This 481297-nucleotide long non-coding RNA is filed under the name Gossypium barbadense (sea-island cotton). RNAcentral's name for it is "long non-coding RNA (GBAR_LNC016635)". The record is from RNAcentral. Lineage: Eukaryota; Viridiplantae; Streptophyta; Magnoliopsida; Malvales; Malvaceae.
UUUGAUUUUGCAUGCAAUAUUGGCAAAAUCCCCUCUUACAUUAGAAAAACAACAUAAUCCAUGAAACAUUGAUAGCCCAAUACAAAUUUCAUCAAGAAAAAAGUUUCUUUGUUUUGUAGAACAUGAUGGUAAAGAUGUGGAGUUUCCUUUAGUUUUCCUUGAUCAACAACCACUUGCCAAAAACACAAUUAGAUUAGAUUAUGAAUGAUACUUUCAACUAUGACAAUAUUAAAUACUAAACACUCCAAAUAGCUCUAAAUAACUGGAAAGCAACAAAUUACCUGACGAGGCAAGCUAGCUCAAUUAAGACCAUUGUGUUAUACUUGUCUCUGAAUUGAAAAAUCUAGAAGACAAUAAAGAGAAAGAGUUAGCAAAUACUUGAAAACCGAUAAAACUUAUAUGUCAUUGAUUGGAUAAACUACGAUCACCCAUAAUAGCCUUUAUCUUGCAACCAUCUACAUGAACCUAUAGGGCUCUUAGCAGAAUCAAGAGACAAAACCUUAACAUGAGAAAAAUACCAUUUGUUGAGGGCUUUGUUAAUAGGGUCGUACCUAGGAGAGUUGGUAGGGGUCCCAACCCCCCUUAAAAUUAAAAAGUUUCCAUUUAGGCCCUUUAAAAUUUUUAAAAUUUUUAAUUAAUAAACGUAAAAUUGUACUUUGGCCCCCCCAAAAUGAUAAAACUUUGAUUUAAUCCUUUAAAAAAUAUAAAAAUAUAGGCUAUUAAAACGGUGAAAUUACGUUUUUACCAUCGUAAAAAUUACAAUUUAAUUUCAACUCCUAAAAAGAUUUUCUGGCUUCGCCCCUAAUAAAACCUUUGGCAAAAGAUGAAAAUAAAUUUAUAUCGUAAAUAAAAAAAGAAACUAUGAAAAUCCAAUCCAACAAAGAAAAUAACUUGAUGUCGAAAUUUAAUGCAUUUUAUUGGUUUCCAUUUUGAUUUUGAAGAGAGCCUAGUACGUGAGAGCAAAAGAAAAAAAAUGGUUUAUUAAUUUUUACGAAUACCGACAUAUUAUAUAUAUGAUUAAAAUUCCAGAAUAACCACAAGUGUGAAUUAAAGAUAAAAUUAAGUGUGAAUUAAUAAUUAGAAGUGUACUCAUUACUCACCAUCUCUGUUAAAAAUGUUGGAUGUUGUUGAGCAACCUUUGUUUGAUUUUCUUCAGCUCAACCACAACAUCUUUCAUAUCUUUUCUUUCUUCUGGUAACUCAGCUGAACAAUUCAAAGCCAACUCCAUGAUAGAUGAAAUACAAUUUGCUUUAACAACAAUGUACUCAUCCUCUCUUCUUAAUAAAUCAACAUCUGCAAUUUCUAUCGCUCCUUUAGGCAAUGAUCUUUCCAUCCAAUGCCUUAUAGUCUCUUCUUCAACAAAAACAUUAUCAGUUGGCUUUUUCUUUGUGAAAGUUUCUAUAAGUACGAUCCCAUAACUAUAGACGUCAGAUUUUAUAGAAACAAUUCCUACUGUUCCAAAUUCUGUAUUUCAAGUAUAAUUAGAACAUCAUUCAUCCUCAAUUAUUUCUAAAAUGCUUAUUCAAAUAUAAAUCCACAUACACAUGAAACAAAAAUAUAAAAUGCAAAUUAGGAAAAUAAUCAUACAAAAAUAAAAAAAGAAUUCACCUGGUGCCAUAUACCCGGUUGUUGCAAGAGUCAUGGUUUGUUUCAUUACUUCACCCUCUCCCAACAAUUUGGCAAUGCCAAAAUCUCCAACAUGUGCAACCAUGUCUUCAUCUAGUAAAAUAUUGCUUGGUUUUAUGUCACAAUGAAUUAUAGGUGUUGGAUGUCCAUUGUGGAGGUGUUCUAUAGCUACCGCAACAUCUAUCAUUAUGUCGACCCUUUGUAUGAUAUCAAGGAAACAAUUUUCAGAAUGUAACCAUUUCUCAAGGUUUCCAUUAGACAUGUAAUCAAGCACCAAGGCUUUGAAGUCAACACUUGAACAGCAAGUAAUGACCUUCACAAUAUUACGAUGAACUAUAUUACGCAUAGCAUCACAUUCAAUGUCAAAACUCCUAAAUGCUCCCUCUGUUUGCAAAUUGAAAACUUUUAUUGCAACUUCCAUUCCAUCUGAAAGCCUCCCUUUAUAUACACAUCCAAAACUCCCUGAACCAAGCAUAUUGCUUUCCUCAAAUCCAUUAGUUGCUCUUGAAAGUACAGCAUAUGAAAUUCUUCUCGGUGUUUUCAAAGACAGCAAAUCAUCUUUAAUUGGUAGAGUUGUACUCCUUCGCCGGCAUCUUCUAUACAUAAUAGUUAAGACUAAUAGUACUAUGACAAUACCAAUUGUUGGUAAACCAUACCUAAAAGCAUGCAAUAUAAUCAUUUGGGAGUUUUUGUGGAUGUCGUUUUUGCAAGGUGGGACUAGCAAUCUAGGUGGACCACAAAGUGCAUAAUUCCUCAUGAAUGAUGUGCUAGAAAAGUUUGAAAAACAUCCUUUGCUGGGAAUUUCCCCUUCAAGUCUAUUGAAUGACACAUUAAAAUACUUUAGAUAUAAAAGCUUUUCCAAAGAUUUGGGAAUGACUCCAGAGAGAUUGUUAUUGGAUAAAUCCAAGAAUUCCAAACUAAUCAACCCAUCAAAUGAUUCAGGGAUAUGACCAUGUAGUAUAUUAUUUGAUAAAUCUAAUGAAACCAAAGUUUGAAGACCCCCAAAUGUGGAUAAGACAUCGCCCGUGAGAAGAUUCCUUGAUAAAUUUAGUUUCAGUAGACUCCUCAAAUUUCCAACAUCAAUAGCAUGUGAAUUGUGAAGAUGGUUUGAUGAUAAAUCUAUUUCUAAGAUAUCUUUAAGAUUCCACAAAUUUGAGGGUAUUGCGGAACUCAAUCUGUUGGAAUUUAAGUAAAGAUAUCCCAAAGAAGUAAUAUUACCCAAACAAGAGGGUAUGGGUCCAUGCAGCUUAUUCAACCCUAAAUACAUCUUGUAUAGUCUCUCCAAACCACAGAGGCUUUCGGAGAUAGGCCCUCCUAAUUUAUUAGAGGAAAGAAAUAGACCUUGGAGAUUUCUCAUUCCUCCUAUUGAUGCUCGAAUCAAUCCACUUAAUUUAUUAUAGCCAAGUUGUAAAAGCAAUAGGUUGGUUAAGUUACCUAUUUCCAUAGGAAUAAUGCCUUGAAGCUCACAAUUAUGGGCAUAAAAGUAUUGAAAGGAUUUUGAAAGGUUCCCGAUAUAAGUAGGAAGAACGCCACUCAAUGGAUUUCCUGAAACCGCUAUUUUUCUCAAAUGCCUGCAAUUCGAUAAAGAAGAAAGAAAGCUCCACUCAUGAUCAGUAGCAGAUCCUGUGAUGAAAUUAUUGUUUACGAUUCGGAACCGUUCAAGGUGUCUUAAGUUGCCAAGUGUUUUAGGGAUUGGACCAGAGAAUAAGUUAUGUGACAACUCUAGUUUCUUAAGCAUGGAAGCAUUGGAGAUAGAGUUGGGAAUGUUUCCGCUAAGUUUAUUUCCCCACAAAAAAAGAAACUCAAGCUUUGGAGCAUUGGUGAUGGGUGGUAAAUUACCUGUAAAAUAGAAUCUUUUAGUAUACAAAUUCACAAAAUAUAUAAUACAUUAAAGUAAAAACUGUAAAACUUUAAAUCAAUUAAGAAUAAAAUUUUGGCAUGGAAAAAUGUGAUGAAAUCAAUUAGAAAGUUGAGACAUAAUAAGAAGUUUUGAGUAGUAAUUAGUCCUUGUGAUUUGUAUAGACAAAACAUAUAAUACACUAAUAAUUUUUUAAAAUAUUGUAAAACUUGAAAUAAAAUAAAAAUAAAAGUUUGGCAUGAGAACGUGGCAUCUAAUCAAUCUUAAAAAUGAGACUGAUACUGAAUAAUAAUUAGUUAUGAUUUGGGAAACAAAAAUGUUAAAGUCAUUGUUUUUAAUGUAAACUGGUAUGAUUUUGACCUAUUAGGUUAAUUAUUUAUUUUUAUUAAAUUAUAGUGUAAAAUUUAAAGAUUAUUAUUUGCUCAAAAUUUUUGUGUUUUUCGUAUAUUUGAAAUUUAAUCUUUAUAUUUUUUAUUUUCUGUGAUUUAGUCUCUCUACUUUUUGAAUUAAAAAUUUUAGGUUCAUUUAUUAACACUGUUAAAAAAGUUUUUCUGUUAGUAUGGCAUUUUGAAAAAUAAAAUAAACUUGAUAUCUAUGUUUUUAAUUAUUCCAAAUAUUGUUUCACUAUUUCAAGAUAAAUUAUUUGUGUUUAGACCAAUAUCUUAAGAACUAUUGUUGCAUGUUUAAUUAUUCUAAAGAAUUGUUGAUUGAGUCUUAGCUGAAGUGCACUAUUCUCCUAUUUAUGAAUUGGGGAGUUGGUAAAGUAUUAAAUUUUGAUAUAUUUUAAAAUAUUAAAAAUUUAUUAAAAUAUUUUUUAUAAAAAUUGAUUAUACCACAAUAUACAAUUUUAAUAUCAAAUUUUUAUUUUUUUUUAAAAUAUUAGCGAAUAUAUACUUUAUUUCAAGUUACACAAUUUUUACUAGUUUUUAAAUUUUUUUAAAAAUUUUUAUCGUCUUUUAUAAUUUCUAAUAAUUUUUUAUAAUUUUUUACAAUAUUUACAAUUUCUAACAAUUUUUAAUAAUUUUAUUAUUUAUUACAAAUUUAAAAAUUAACAAAUUUUUAUUUUUUAAAACAAUUAUAUAUUUAUAAUGUAGUUGUUUUUUUUAUAAUUUUAUUUGAAAUUUUAAAGAUUUUUUUUGGUUUUUUUUAGAUGAUGAUGCCAUCAUGAUGUCAUCAUAUGUCACAUGGCAAUUUAUAAUUAGUUGAAUAUCUCAAUCUAUUUUAUUAACGUCCAAUAGACUAAAACAAGAACACCUGAUAAUGUUAGAGACUACACUAGGAAUGUUUGAUAAUAUUAGGUACUAAAGUGGGCAAAAAAAAUUAAGGACUAUAUUAAAAAUAUAUCUAUAAUAUAUAUAAAUGCAUGGAUUUUGAGAAACUUUUGAAAUGAUAAUUAUAUAGUCUUUGUUUUUUUUUUCUAUAUUAUUGAAUUUUUUAUUUUAAAUAUUUUUUUAUUACUUUUAAGAUUUAUCAUAUGCAUGGAUAAGAAUUUUGGUUUUACUAAAAUAUUUGGUUAAAUAAAUUCACUUCAUAAGAAAAUUUAGGAUCCUUAUAAAUAACAAUUUUGAUUCUAUUAAAAAUAUUAUUUUAAAAAAUAUAUAAUAAAAAUUUAAAAUUUAUAUUGAAUUACUUUAUACUUAAAUUAUUAUUAGAAACUUUAUCAUACACAUACAUAUAUGAGAAGCACGUAUUUAGAACAUAAAUUUGUGUUUUAAAAUAACUUAUGAUAAAUAAUGAAAUGUAUAAUUUGAAACUAUUUAAUAAUAACACAUGGCAUAUCUACCAUAUUAAAAUAAAAAUAGAUUAAAUUGUAGGUAAAACAUAAUUUAAACAUAUGAAUACAUCAAAUUAAGAAUACUAAAUGAAUACAGUUAUUUAUGAUGAUGUUGUUGCCAAUUCUUAACUUGGUGUCGAGUUAAUUUGUGACAUCAUAAAUUUAAGUGGUAAAUUUAAGGUUUUAUGUAUUGAUGUGGAUUCAAAUAUCACCAUAAUUUUUUUUAAAAAUAAAAAACUAAAGUACCCUCAAACAAUAUAACUUAUAUUAAAUAUGAAAGGGUAUUUUUAUAAUUUCUUUAACCGAGUUGAUGCCCGGUUGACUCAUGACACCAACUCAAUCAAAAGCUUCAAUAAUAAUAUAGAUAUUCACGUUAAAAAAACCAAAAAAAGUACUUUAGUUCCAAAUAAUUAUAUAAUAAGUAAAUUUAUAAUUGAUGAAUAAAUUUAUAAAUAAUAUAUUUAUAUGAUCUAAUAUAUUAUAUAUAUUAAUUAUAUAUCAUCUACAAACUUUGAAGAUCAAUUUAUUAAGUAUCAAGAAAAGAAAAAAUGAAAUUGAAUUAACACUAAAUCGAUUUUUAGAUUUUGUCCAGAUGAUUUAAUGAUGAUAAAAAAAUUAUUAGCACUAUUUUUGAAUUAACAAAAAAUUAGUGAUAUAUUUUAAUUAUAUUUAUUAUUUAUUAGUUUUAAUAAUGUUUUUUUAAUUAUAUGAAGUAAAAUUAUAUCGUAUACUAAAUAUGGUACAUAUACUUUAAUUAUAACUUGAAAAAUUAUUAUAUAAAUUAAUAUAUUUUAAUUAUAUUCAACCAUUUGAAUAACAAAAUUAAAAAAAAACUAAUUAGAAUUAUUUACUUUUUAAAGUUUAAUGGAAAUUAAAAAAUUAAAAAUAAAUCAAUUCAUAUAAAUCUUAUUGUUUAUUAUCAGAUUAAUAUGAUAAAAGUAUAUGACAUAAAUAGAAGAAACAAAUUCAACACAAUGUUUUUGGAGUUUGGAAAAAAUUAAAGUGAAAAACAUACCUUCUAAUUUGUUGUUAAAUAGCUCUAUACCUUCGAGCGUAGUUGAAUUAAAAAUACUUGAUGGAAUCUGGCCUGCACACAUAGUCGAAAAUUGAAGUGAAAAAUAUACCUUCUAAACUGUUCAACUAAAAAUACUUUAAGCAUCUUUUUUUCCAUCAAAUUAGUUAUCUAUUACAAAUCAAACUCUUUUAUGAAAUGUUGAAGAUGGAAGAUGGAACCUGACCAGAUAAUUGAUUGAAUCCCAAGUUCAAGAUCUCUAGAUUAGACAUGUUAACAAGUGUUUCAGGGAUUGUGCCUGUAAAGUUAUUAUUCUUCAUUUCCAGCCUUCGAACUCUUUGUAAGUUCCCAAGCCAUGAUGGAAUUUCCCCAUUCAGACGGUUGUAGCUUAAUUGAAGGAUCCUCAAACGAUGCAAGUGGCCCAAUUCUUUAGGGAGAUGGCCAUAGAAAUGGUUGCUACUCAAGUCUAGAGAGAGUAGAAAUGAAAGAUUUCCAAGGUGUGGAGGGAUAGUACCCCUAAGAUUCAUGCUUGUAAGAUUCAAAGCUAUAACUCUUUUAUGGAGGAUGCCACAAGAAACACCAAUCCAAUUGCAAACAGAGGUUGAGGCCGUCCAAUUGUUUGCCAUGACAUUUUGAGGACCGGCAAUGCGAUCCUUGAACUCGAGAAGUGCAAAUUGAUCAGAGUUGAGAUUCCUGACUGUUAUAGCCAAGCAAAGUACGGAACAUGGUAUGAAUAAAGCUAAAAGAAGAUGAAAGCAAGUGUUGUAGUCCAUGAUUGCAAGACGGAAUAAGGCAAGAAAAUAAAAAAAAAAGUAGGAAAAGGGAAGUUGAGUUGAUAAAAUAGUUUGGAUGAUGAAGAAAAGCCCAGAGAGCAUGCUUUAAUAUGUUUCAACCCUCGCACACUUGAUAAACUUGAUAAAUUUAAGACUACUCUAAAAAUUAAAAAGGAAAACAAAGUUUUGAUGAAAUUUCAAAAUAAAUGUCAAGUAUUCUUCUUUUAGAAAUACGUAUAAAGAAGUGAAUUUUCAAAAUUUCUCCUAAAUUUUCUUCACAUUACUCCACAUAAUCCAUUAAAAAAAACUUAAAAAAUAUAUUUUAUUAAUUACUAUAUAUUCUUUUAUUUUCAGAAUAAUAAAUUGUUUAAAAUAUGCUACUAGUCCCUGUAAUUUAAAAGUUAAAAAAAAUCCAAUCCUCCUAUUUUUUUAAUUUAAAAAUUCUAGUCCAAUCAUUUUUAAUUCCAUUAAAAAAUUUCAACUUAAUAGAUUUUUUAUUAUCAAUCAUAUGCAACAUUAUAUGAAGGCAGUCUACUCAGUAUAUAUCCAAGUUUACAUAUUUUAAUAGAAAAUACUUACAAUCCUAAUGAUAGGACUAAGUUUUUUAAACUAGAAAAGUACAAAAACUUAAAUUUUAACUUUUUUAAGUACAAGGAUUAAAUUUUAAAUGUUGUCAAAGUACAAGCACUAACAAAAUAUUGUGAUCUAAUAAAUGUAAAAAGCAUUUUAAACAAAAGAUGGUUGAAAUAAUCUAUUUGUCCUUAUACUUUGAUAAAAUUUGAGAUACCAUAAAAUUUGUAUCUUUUUUCGAAUUAUUUAAUGCCAUUUCAACAUUUUCAUUAAAAAAAAAACAUAUCAUUUUGAAUUUGAUCUUUUUCAAGAUGAAAAUAUUGAAAUGAUGUUAAAUUAUCGGAAAGAGAUACAAGUUUCAUGGUAUCUCUCUAAGAAAGCUGAUGUAAGAUAUUAAUGACAUCAUUUGAACAAAGUUUUAGGUCAAAUUAUUCAUCUAGUCCUUGUAAUUAUUCUUUAAGGUGAAUUUCAUUAUUAUUCUUUUAUUUUCUUUGGCUUAAAUAAACAUUUACCCCUAAUUUUAUCACAUUCUCCUUAAUUGGUAUUUAUAGUUUAGAAAAUUUUACAAAUAUAUUAUUUUUUAAGAAAUUAUAAGAAGAUUACAAAAAUUCCAAAAUAAUAUAAAAAAGCUAAGAAAAACCUAGAAAUUCAAAAAACAAAAAAAUAAUGUUUUUACAAAUUGGGGUAUGCAAUCAAUUUUAAGAUGGUUUUUGGAGUUCAUCUCACUUUAGCAUUGACUUACUUUUCUACAGUUAGUCUUCUCCAACAAGUUAAAUAUUUCAAUUUUAACAACAUUGACAGGUCUUAGGGGUAGGGUCGAGCAAAACUCAAUAGAAAUAGAUGAUAUAGGUUGAGUUGGCUCGGCCAAGUCGAGUCGACUUGUUCAAAUUUGUUAAAUUAGUAAAUUUUGGGGUGCAGUUAGAAUUUUUUUGUUUUGAGAUGCUAAGAUUAAAAAAAUUUGAGUUUUGAAAACUUUGACUCCUUUUUGCUUUGAGAGUUGAUUUGAAGAGAAAAGAGCUUGAAGGUGCUUUUGUAGAAAUAGGACAAAUUUUAAAAUAAGGAGUAAAUUGGAAAAAAAAAUUUGGGUUGGGCUAAUUUGAAAAUUUGACACUUUUGUGGGAUAAAAAUAGAAAAAUAUUUUGGUUGAAUACACAUAAGGAGUUACGAACUUGAGACUUAUAGGUAGGCUAAGGCCUUACCACUUAACCAACAAGCUCAUUAUUAUUAUCUUUUAACACAAAUAAAUUUUAAGGCAUACUAAGGGCUUGUUUAGCAUUGCAGUGAAGAAGCAUUUUGGCUUAAAAAACACUUUUGAGAGAAAAGUGGUUCUAAGCUAGUAACUUUUGGCUAAGAUUUUGGCUUUUCAAAAGCAAUUUUGGCCAAAUGGAGAAGUUAAAAUUAUUAGCUUUUCUUACCCAAAAGCAGUUUUGAGUGCUUAAUUACUAAUUCAUCCCCCCAAAAACACAAUUUAAAAUAAAAUAAUACAAAUAUGUUAAUAUUUAAUUACAAAUAUUUAAUGGGUAUAUUUAAAUAUUUAAAAUAUAAUUUAUAUAUUCUAAUUAAAUUUUAUAAAUAAUUAAUAUUUGUUGCUUAAAAAUAUUUAAAAUUUAUAUUUUAUAUAUUAAAAUAUUAACAACAAAUUAUAAUAAAUUAUUUUUUAUAUUCUUACUAAAAUAUCAUAAUAUAAAUUAAUUUUAAUAUUAUUUAAAUACAUAUUUGUUACUUUAUAAUAUCAUGUCUAAGAUUGACGUUUUAUUUCUCAAAAGCACUUUUUGAAAUUAAUACUAAACACUUAAAUUUUAAACUAAACUUCUCAAAGAUACUUUUCUACAACACUUUUAAAAGCACUUUCCAAAAUCAAUGCUCAACUACCUCAAACUCUCUUACCUUAUACUUUAAAAGAGAAAAAAAAAAGAUUUUAAAUUUUAUCCCUAUUUCUUUUAACCCAAUUUUUAGGAUGUCAAACAUUUAUAAAUAAAAUAAGUAAAAGGAAAAAAAAGCAUAUACUUUAUUUUUAUCGCAGGUAAAAGUUUUAAUGGAGAGGAUCAUGUAAAAUUAUGAUCUGAAUAAUUUUAAACAUUUCAUCAUUGCAAAAAUGAAAUAAUAGAAAAGAAUGACUAUUCGAAUUUGCAUUUGUGUUCUUUCUUUCAAUAUUUGCUUUCAAAACUGUGGGAAAAUUUUAAAUUUGAUGAAAUUUUAAAAUUGCAGUUCAGUAAAAUAUAAAUUUUAUGAAUUUGGAGUAGCCAUUUUAUUUAUAAUUUUCUGUGUUUUCUUCUUUGCUGACUUUUUUAAUGUCAUUUUCUAUCAUGAAAGAAACUUAAAGAUUCACUAUGUAUUUCUCAACCACUAUGAAAUUACUUGACUACGGGGGUAGAAUUUUCUCACCAAUUUUCUAACAUUAGAUUUUUUGAAUGAGACAAAUAUUCAAUUUUAACACAUUUCCCAUAAUUAGUCACCCCUAUUUGUGAGUGAUUUGGGGAUAAAAGCUUAAACAUUUAUGGAUCACAUUGCAUUUAAGACGGGUGUUUGGAGUUAUAUGAAAUUUUAACAUAGACUGGCUUUUCUAUAAAGAGUACUCCUUGCUUUACUAUUGUCAUGAUACGAGGAGAUACUGAAAAUUAUUGUACUAUGAAAUUUUAAUUCACUCGAAAAAUAAGUGUUUUAUUUCAAGGGAUUAAUAUUAGCUUUCUCUUUUUUAAAUUUUGAAUUUUUUUUGACAACUGCGUAAUUAAGAAUAUAUCAAUUUUAGGUGUUAUAGGGGUGUUUUAACCUUCCCUAUGUGUAAUCGACUACUGAAACUUUUUUAUUCUUUAGAAUUCAACACAUACCUCAAAAUUUUCUUUUUAAAAGAUUUUUAAAAUCUCUUUAUAAAAGAUUAUCACACUUAACAAAGAUGAUCAGUGACUACUUUUCUUUAAUAAAAUAUUAUGUUUUUGCAGAGACCAAAAUUUUCAUAUUUUUCAAGAAUUCCUCAAUCUAAUUUUCUUUUUGAAUUUUUAUUUUCAAGAGGAAAAUGAUCCCUACAAUUAAUAUUUAUUUUCCUUAUUUUUAAUUUCUUUUUAAGGGAGAUGAAUAGUGGAAUGAUAAUUUUUAGUUAUGGUAAAGUAAAUUUAAUUAUCCACAACCUUCAACUAUUAAUUUUUUCGAUUUAAUUACACAAUUUUUUGAAAUUAACACUCUUUUAUUAGUUGUCGCUAGGUGAUGGACGAAAAGUUGAUUUGGACUUUUUGUUGACCUAAUAACAAAUUUAGAUAUUCAAAGUUUACUUAUUCUAUCAAUUUAAUGCUAAAUUUAAAAAAUUCAACAAAUCCUAUCAAAAAACAAUUGGACCUUGAGUACACAGGCUGUGAGAUUUUCACAUGGCUGUGUCUACACUGCACUCUAUUUUAUCAAAUUCGGACAAAGAGUUACACAGGCUGUUCACACGGGCAUGUGCCUCCUUCACAUGGGGCGUGUAGACCUCCACACAACUUAGGAACUUCCACAUGGCUGGGGCACACGGUCAUGUGGCCUUGUUUUGUAGAUUUUUGUUCUGUGUUAGAUUUUGACUCGUUUUGUGCCUGUGUGUAUUCUGACCUCAGUUAAGACUUAGUAAGAAUGUUUAGGACUCUGAUUAGUUCGAAUUUGUGCAUUUGUUUGUAACUAAUGUGUUAAUUUAUUAGUUUGAUUAAAUGUUAUGUGAUGUUAUUAGUAAAUAGUUACAAACCUAAUUGAUUCUAAAUCUGAUUGAUUGAACUUGUGUGUUUCGUUUUCUGUAUGGAUGUUUGUAUGUUGUGUGCAUUUUGCAAUAGCAUAAAAAUUUUACUAUUGAUUGACUGAAUAUGAACUUCUAUAUCUGUGACACUAUUAGUGUUUGAUGUGCAUUCAUACAUAUGCAUAAAAUUAGGGUUUUGGUUAUGAAGAGAAGGGAGCCUGUUUCGGUAGUUCAACUGUAAUAUUUCUGAACAGCAGUUUACCGCAUGAUUCUAUAUAUAUGUCAGCUUAGCUGCAUAUUAUGAUUUCGAGUGGCUUAUUUUCCUUAUUGUAGUGUGUAGGGUGGAUGAACCUUUUAUAGUUCUUGUAAUAGGCCCAAUUUGUAUGGGCCCAAAAAAAUAAGUUACAAACCCAAAAUAAACAUUACAAGCCCAAAAAUUAAAAAAAAAACUAACGGCCCAAGUGGCCCAAAACCUAACCCUCUUUAGUCGCCACUUCUCUCACGCGAGCCAACCUCCUCACGCGUGCCACCACGUCAGCACCUCCGUACCCUCCACGCUCUCUCUCUCUGCCACCAUAGCAUGCGUCCUUGCCCGGUACUUGCAGACCAAGCAAAAGAGAGCACAACAGUAAAGAGAAAAACAUUGUAUUUUUCGGCUAUAAAAGCCAUGAACAAAUCAAUGUAAAUUUUUUACGACAAAAAUAAAUACAAAAAAGGCAAUUGGAAACAAAAAAAAGGUGGUUCUUUUUUUGUUUUUAUUUCUUUUCUACUUAUAUUUCUACUAGUUUUUAAGAAAAAUAAAAAAGAAUGGAGUCGAAUCUUACCCUUUUCUCGCAUGUGCGCCGUCGUGGGGGGUCGAGGUUCGUCUUUUCCAAUGAAAAAUGACAUUUUUUGAGUUGAGGAAGUCGAAAAGUCAAAAAAUGGCCUUUUUUCGAUUUUUUGGCCACCGUGGAUGGCGGCGCCGUCACCGACGACCGACGGCCGCCACGACGGUCCGUCGGUUGGAGCCAUGGCCGGAGAGGGGAGUUGGGAGAAAGGGGGAGAGUGAUUUGAGUGUUUUUUUUUCAGAGAAUGGGGAGAAAUGAAAAAUUAAAAAAAAAGGUUUUUAUAGAGGAUUGAAAUGGCAUCGUUUUGGGCCUUAACCCCAGUGGCCAAAACGACGUCGUUUCACCCCUUUAAUCUGCGCGUGGACCCGACCCGCAAGAGGAUCCGUGUGUUUUUGUGGAAGGGUCUAUUUGCGUGUUAGACCCUUCCACAUUUUUCAAUUGUCUUAAUCCAGUCCUUUUUUAUUUUCUAAUUUGUACUUCAAAUUUUAUUUUAUUUUUGAUUUGGUCCUAGCAAAACGGCGCGUUUCAGAGGGCGGGGAUAUUUCCCCAAUUGGUCCCUCUUAGUUAUUCGCGCCUUUCAAAUGGGUCCUCUACCUUAUUUUCAUUCUCGAUUUUUACCCAGUUUUCUGAUUAAACUUCAAUUUAGUCCUUCUGCAUCUAUUUUAUUAUAAUUUUAGCCCCUCUUAUAUUCAUAAACUUAUUUUAUUAGGAUUUGGACUCUUAAUUUUAUUUCAAUGUCAAUUUAAUCCCCUUUUAUCUCAGUCUAGGUUUUAUUUUCUUUUUUUUUGUUGUGCUUUAUUUAUUUUAUUUAUUUGCUUACCAUUUCUUUUUUUAUUUUGAUUUUCGUAUUUAAUGAUGCUUUUACUUUAUUUAUUUUAUUCUUGACUUUCAUUGUUAUUGUUGUUGUUGUUGUUGUUAUUUUUAUGGUUUUUUAUUAUUUCAUUUAUUUACAUAUUUUAUUCCAAAUUGUUGCUUUAAAUUUUGUUUACAUUUUAAUUCGGUUCUUUACUUUCAAUAUUUUUUUAUAAACUAUUUUCCCUUACAUUAUUUAUGUAUUUAUUUUAUUUGUUUUUUUUAAAGUUGGUAUUGUCCUUUUAUGUGCAUACUUUGACAUUAUUACCAUUGUUAUUAUUUAUUUUAUUUAUCUUUUGAUUAUUCAUAUUAAUGUUAAAGUAGUGUAUAUUAUAUGAUUCUCGUAAAUUGUCUUUAUUAUAUUCAUUAUUGUUAUUUAUUAAUGCAACAUUUCAUUCAUGUAUUAUUUUAAAUAUUACACAUUUUUACCCAAAUUUGUAAAAAAAUAUAAAAAUUAGAAAAUAAGCAAUAUUUCGUAUUUUGGAAUUUGAAAAGUCGUUCCCUAACUUACGGGGUUUCAAUUUUUUUGAUAAAUCCAAAUAUACGAGCUAUUUUUCAAAAACACAUUUUUAAAAUUAUCUCGAGAAUUAAAAAGAUCGUUUUUCAACUUUUGGAAUAUGAUUUCUUUUCUAAAACUGAGAUAAUAAAAAUUUUCUAAAAAUAAAUAAAAUUUUUGGUGUUUAUUCUCGUUUUGAGAUUUAAGGUUAUGUCCUAACUCACAGGGUAUAAUUCUUUUUCUCGGUUGACAUAAAAUAUGCCCUUUUUAAAAUUCUUUUAGGUAAUUUUAAUAAAAGGAUCGUAUUUUAAGUCUCUUCAAAAUUUUCAACUUUCGACAUUAAGACAUUAAUUAAUCAAUUAGGUAUCAAUUUUGGGCGUGACGAGGGUGCUAAUCCUUCAUCGCACGUAACCGACUCCCGAUCCAUUUUUCUCGAAUUUCGUAGAUCAAAAUCAUUGUUUUAGUAAAAUCGAAACGUUUUGUUAAAAAGAUUGAAUUGCAAGGUGAUCCGAUCACACCAAAAAAAAAUAUCGGUGGCAACUACAGUUUUUUUCGUUUUUAUUUUUAUAAUAAAAGUCGACCCCUUUUUUAUUAAAAAAUGGCUUCGAUAGUUCUAUGUGGUGUGAGGGUAGACGGGCCUUCUAUAGCCCUAAUGUGGUGUGCAGGGUGGUCGAAGUGGUGUUCAAAUGGUUGGGUGGGUUUUUAACUUAUUGCAUACGGUUUGCAUUAGGCAUAUGUGUCUGAUUAUGAUUCUUUUUAAAAUUAUUUGCAAAUGUUUGUACUAAUUUGAUUAUUACAUGUGUUAGAGACAUUGCUUAUGCAGUUUGAUACUAUAUAUUGACUUAUUGAUGUAAGAUUUUCGUAAGUGACCAUCAUAUAGUGCUUGUCUGAAAUAUUUAUGGAGUUAUCCCCUCUUUUACCGACUGUUGUGUUUUGGACUCACACUGAGCUCGCGUAGCUUACCACCUUAGUUUUCUCCCUUUUAGAUACUCUCGUGUUCUGUAGCUAGACUCGACAUAUUAGAAGGCUCAGACGGAAGAGGUGAGAUUUGAUUUAAUAAAGUGUUUCAAUUCAAUUUUAGUUUUUCUAACUUCUUGGGACUAUAAGUGUUAAUAGGGACUGUAGUAUAAGUUUUACUUCUGGAUUUUCGUAAAUUUUUAUUUUGGGACUGAACUUUUGAAAUUGUGGAAUUAUACUUUCUAUUGUUUUUAACGUAAUUUAAAAUCUUUGUUUGAAUCCUGAAUGGUUAAACGACUUAGUUUGAUUUUAGCAAAAAUGAGUUAUAAAUGAGAUGUUAACAAUUCAUUUUGUAAAAUUAUUUUUAGAUCACUUCGGUGUUCAAAGUAACCUCUGAGAUUCGAUCCAUACUUCUAGGCCGAGUUUUGGGGUGUUACAUUAGUUUUCAAGAGGAGAUUGGUGAUCUACUUGAAGAUAGAUUGAUUUUGAAAACUUUGACUCCUUUUUGCUUUGAGAGUUGAUUUGAAGAGAAAAGAGCUUGAAGGUGCUUUUGUAGAAUCAGGACAAAUUUUAAAAUAAGGAGUAAAUUGGAAAAAAAGGGUUUUGGGUUGGGCUAAUUUUAAAAUUUGACACUUUCGUGGGAUAAAAAUAGAAAAAUAUUUUGGUUGAAUACACACAAGGAGUUACGAACUUGAGACCUAUCGAUAGACUAAGGCCUUAGUACUGAACCAACAAGCUCAUUCUUAUUAUCAUUUAACACAAAUAAAUUUUAAGGCAUACUAAGGGCUUGUUUAGCAUUGCUGUGAAGAAGCACUUUUGGCCUAAAAAACACUUUUGAGAGAAAAGUUGUUCUAAGCUAGUAACCUUUGGCUAAGAUUUUGGCUUUUCAAAAGCACUUUUCGCCUAAUGGAGAAGCUAAAAUUUUUAGCUUUUCUUACCCAAAAGCACUUUUGAGUGCUUAAUUACUAAUACAUCCCUCCAAGAACACAUUUUAAAAUAAAAUAAUACAAAUAUUUUAAUAUUUAAUUACAAAUAUUUAAUGGUUAUAUUUAAAUAUUUAAAAUAUAAUUUAUAUAUUCUAAUUAAAUUUUAUAAAUUAUUAAUAUUUGUUGCUUAAAAAUAUUUAAAAUUUAUAUUUUAUAUAUUAAAAUAUUAACAACAAAUUAUAAUAAAUUAUUUUUAUAUUCUUACUAAAAUAUCAUAAUAUUAAUUAAUUUUAAUAUUAUUUAAAUGCAUAUUUGUUACUUUAUAAUAUCAUGUCUAAAAUUGACGUUUUAUUUCUUAAAAGCACUUUUUGACAUUAAUACUAAACACUUAAAUCUUAAACUAAACUUCUCAAAGAUACUUUUCUACAACACUUUUUAAAAACACUUUCCAAAAUCAAUGCUCAACUAUCUCAAACUCUCUUACCUUAUACUUUAAAAGAGAAAAAAAAGAUUUUAAAUUUUAUCCCUAUUUCUUUUAAUCCAAUUUUUAUCCCAGGUAAAAGUUUUUAUGGAGAGGAUCAUGUAAAAUUAUGAUUUGAAUAAUUUUAAACAUUUCAUCAUUGCAAAAAUGAAAUAAUAGAAAAGAAUGACUAUUCGAAUUUGCAUUUGUGUUCUUUCUUUCAAUAUUUGCUUUCAAAACUGUGGGAAAAUAUUAAAUUUGAUGAAAUUUUAAAAUUGCACUUCAGUAAAAUAUAAAUUUUAUGAAUUUGGACUAGCCAUUUUAUUUAUAAUUUUCUGUGUUUUUCUUCUUUGCUGACUUUUUUAAUGUCAUUUUCUAUCAUGAAAGAAAGUUAAAGAUUCACUAUUUAUUUCUCAACCACUAUGAAAUUACUUGACUAUGGGGGUAGAAUUUUCUCACCAAUUUUCUAACAUGAGAUUUUUUGAAUGAGACAAAUAUUCAAUUUUAACACAAACAUAUCUUUAGUUAUUGAGUCACCCCUAUUUGUGAGUGAUUUGGGGAUAAAAGCUUAAACAUUUCUGGAUCACAUUGCAUUUAAGAUGGGUGUUAGGAGUCAUAUGAUAUUUUUUCAUAGACCGACAUUUCUAUAAAGAAUCCUUGCUUUACUUUGGGUAGAUUCUUCCAAUUAGCGUGGUCGUUGGUAUUACUCUCCAACAAUUAUUGUACUGUCAUCCUUAUUCCUACUCCUCCUAGCAGAGAAGUUUCAUAAGUGUUUUAUUUCAAGGGAGUCAGCACUUAGCAACCCCUUGGGGGAUUCAGCACUUAGCAACCCCUUUUAUAUUCAAUGUACUCCGGCUUAUUCCGAGUGUUCAACCGGAAAUCUUGUUUGCAAUAUUUUACCAUUUUUUCCAACUUAACCACAUUUUUAGGAUCUAUGGCAAGUAUUUAUUCUACGUUCAAUUAAAUCUCCUCAUAUAAUGAAUAAUAUCAAAAUAAUGCAUUAAUUCACAUGUUUACUUACCUUGGUGCAAAAUAUUGUAAUUUUGCAAUUUACUCCACAAUUUUCUCUUUUCCCCGAUUGAGGUUGUCUCCUCGUCUUUCUUGAUCUAUAAUAGCAAUUUUAGCUUAUUUAAUAUUCACAUUUAUUAAAACAAUCCUCGACUCACAUUUAUUAAACUUGCUAUUUAAUAUUCACAUUUAUUAAAACAAUCCUCGACUCAACUUUUUACAAAAUUAUGAUUUUGCCCCCAAACUUUUGCAUAUUUACACUUUUGUCCCCAAGCUCGAAAAUUAAAUUCCACUCCUUAUUCUUAUGUUUUACAACAUGCUGAAUACUUUUCCCUUCUAUGGCAACAUCAAAUUCUCACUCUAACAUACACUCAUGAACAUUAAAUAUUUUUACCGAUUAUGUCAAUUUACCCGUUUCUACUUAAAAUUGCUUAGUAAAAGUUGUUUAACAUAAUUCUAGCUCCAUAUUCUACCAUAAAACAGUAAAAUAAACACAUUUCACCUAUGACUAUUUUUCCAAAUAUGAACCCUAGGUUAAAUUAUGUGUUUUGUUCUUCCAAAUGUGUUUUGUUACGAAAUUGAAAACCAAAAUUUAUGUAAAUUUGUCAUGAUUCCUCAAUAGAAAAAUCUGUAAAUUAUCAAAACGUAAAUGUGAACAUAUUAAUUAUUAACUUAAAAAAAACCUAGUCUUGUACAAUCAAAAUUCAAAAAUCAUUUGCCUUGUAAAACUUGUAAUUUUCAUUAAAAUUUUUGCAGCGAAAACUUUUUAUUUAGCCUAUUGAGCAUAUUUUUAAAUUUACGUUUUUAACUUUCGUAAAAUCCCAAUUUGUAUUUUUGUGGUGGAAAAUUUUAUAAUUUUGAAAACCUAGCCUUGAUUGUUGGUUAACACAAAUCAUGCAGAAAAAAAAAACCUUUAACUAAGCCAAAGAAAUCCAAAGCCAAAUUAAAUCGGAGAAAUUCAACCAAAAGCCAAAAGUCCAGUAAAUCAAUUUAUUAACCAGAGCAAACAUUUAAUGAAAGAAUCAAUCCGAGACCCCGCAAAUUCUAACUUUCCGAUUACCUGAAACAUCAUAAAUAAAAUAAAGGGGAGAGCUAUAAAGCUCAGUGCAUAACUAAAACAGAAGCUGAGAUCACAUACAAUACAAUAUACAAAUCAUAAAAUCAUAGAAAAUUUCAUAACAAACAGUCAAACAGAAUUGAGUAUACAUGAUUAUGCCAAUGCGGUAUUUUUCAGAAAAUCUUAAUGCAAAUUUUUCAGAAAACGUCCUACCCAAAUCCUCUACACACUUGAAUAGAGUUCUCCAGAACUUAUCCAUAAAAAAAACACACCAAUUAAGUCAUCCCAGGUUGCCCAAAAACGAUGACUCACCACCAUGGGAUGCCCGACAACGAUGGCUUAUCAAUAUGUAAUUAAACUGUUAGAUCAGAUAUUUGUGGUCAAGCCAUUGAAUUGCAUCUCAGCUACUUAAACAAAAAUAUGUAGUGAAGCCACUAUAUUGUAUCCAAGUUGCCAAAUAAAAAUAUGUGGAUAAACCACCAGAUAGUGCAGACCAUUAAACUACCAAAACUUCCUCCCUGCCAUAUUAUCCCAACCCCAUGCAAUGUGACAUGACAUGCAUUUACAUAAUCAAAACGACAAGCAUGUAAGACAUGUAGUCGUACCAUAACACAAUUUAGCAAGCAUGGCAUUCCACUCUUUUACAGAACAGAUGUAUCAGAAAUUCAACAUAAGCAAGUUGGUAUGCUAUAAAGUCACAUGCAUGAUCACAUAGCAGAAUCAGAAACAUAAAAAUAACGUAACCAAACCUCAUAUACACAAAUACAAACAUAACAAUACAAAUCAUGCUACCAGAUUCAUUAGAAAACAGUUCAUGCACACUAAUUUCACAUACCUUAUUCAUAUCACCUACAAUAUCAAAUUAUCAGAUAUUACAUUUUCAAAGUCAAUUUUACACAGUACGAACCCUACAAAGUGGCUAAACAUGAUUCACGAAUCAAAAGGGGCCUAAACGAAAAUUUUUAAAAGAUGGGCCAAUAUGGCCCAAUUAGCCUAGGCCGUAUGGCGUCGACAGUCCAAUUUUUGACUUUCAGCUGUUCAUUAUUUUUUGACUUUUUUGAUAUACACCUUACUAUUUUCCGAAGCAAAAUCAUGGCAAGAAUUCCAAAACUUAAAAUCCAUAUUCAACCCACUCAAAUUAGUAAUGAAACCCAAAACUAAAUCAUUAAACAACCAAAACUGCUACCAAUAAACCUUAUCAAACCAGGAAUCAACCUUUUGGCAUCUGACUACUAACCCAAAAUAGUAGCAGUAGUACUAAAAAUCUCUCAAUUCAUCGGAAGACUAUUUGUUACAGAAACGUCACCUAAACCAAAGAUUUCAGAGUAAUCAAAAUCGCGUCACACAAAGAAGGAAACAAAUUAACCCUAAAAUCGUGAAACUCAACAAAAUACGAAUCUUUUCACAUAUUCCUUACCACCAACCGUCAAGAUUGGUCAAAAACCACUAAUGACACCGACCAUCGCAAGGUUAAAUUGAAACCAAAAGGCAACUAAAGAUGGAACAAAGGUUGUUAUAAAAAAAAUUAACAAAGACUUAUUGCAGCAAAAAUGGCAAAAAAUCAAGAAUAGGGAGAUUGGAAAAAAAUAAUGAAACGGCAAAGAGAAGGAGUGGGAAAGUGACGGCAGUUUGUGGAGAGAUUUUGGGUAAAUAAAAAGUAACUCACCACUCAACCCAUUAAAUCUGAUUACCCUCUAGACAGAUUCCCUUAGAGUUUAAAUUCAACCCAAAUACCGCUACAUGGGCGGCAUAGUGUAAGGAAAUAAAAAUAUUUCUACUUUGCACACACGCGGUCUUGAACACGAAGCCUUAGGGUAAUUUGAAGCCUUACCACUAAAUUAGUAGGCUCAUCCUUGAAAUUAAUUGAACGAAAAUAUUAUUUAUGUCAGAUGAUCAGGGAUAGAGGUUAAGACCAAAGAUGACAAAAAUUCAAAGGAAAGAUUUAAACCUAGAACCUCACACACACAAGCAUAACACCUAUCCACUGAACCAUAUUUACUCCACUGACAUAAUUUUCACAAUAUUAACUAAAAAUUCAGAAUAUGGUCACUCUUGGUUUCACUUACCUAAUUUCUUCUAACCUGAUUUUUGUGAUGUGACAACUCUCCCAUCCUUAAAAGAAUUUCAUCCUCGAAAUUCCUAUUAUGACACCAUACACUUAACUACAAAAUCUAAAAUUCCCUAGUCCAAACCAACCACCAGGCUAUCAUUGUACAACUCUAAUCUCCAUUCAAGUCUGAUCCAGACAAUAUUUCAGAGGAAUUUCCUAUUCACUACCUCGAAUUACCUCAAUAAGCUUUCCACAGAAACAUCACUAAUGAUCCUUUACCCCAGACUCUAAAAAAAUCACUUACCACAAAAUACAGGUACAAACAAUUCUUAUCAAUGCAUAGUACAUUUGGAACAUAUCAUAAAAGUACCUGUAUCAUUGUCAAAUGCAUCACGGCUCGCUUGAUACCUAGUUGCAUAUCCCCAUCUCAAAUUUUGUUUUUAUGUCGAAGCUUGUACCCGUAAAAUAGUGUCAUGAGCAAUCCCAAACUCGAUGCUCAACUGACCUACAUCUAAAACACGCUCUCAUUUUCCUCCAACAAUCGUCCGAAUGGUGCCUAUCACAGUAAGUAUAAAUCAGAAGCUCAACCGCAUUCACAAUUGCCUCACCCCGCUGAAGCCUGUCUAUUUUAGCCCGUUUCCUUGGUCAUGGAUUCAAGUCAAUAGAACCAUCACUCAUCUUAUUUUGCACUUUAUUCAUUACUUAUUCUCUCCCUUGGAGCAAUUACUCUCUACCGCUAACUUGACUUGAUACGCUUGAGGUCACUCAAUCACAGACUCUUGUCUCAUACAUCCAAAUUGGGUUCCAUCGAUCCUUUGCAAAUCUCUAAACACCUCUUGGAACACUGAAACGUCCCCUACUUCUAAACUGCCCUCAGAUUUGGGCGUCAUAGCAAACUUAUUUAUUUUCAAAUUGGGCUUACUGCCCCGAGAAGAGAACUCAACUCGAGUCACCCAGCUACGUCCACCACGCCCUCGCACAUCAUGACCUCGAGUACUCAUUAUACUAAUCUACAGUUUGCGAAAUUUUAUGAAUUAGCUUAGGUUUAUUAAAAAUUAUAAGUCUAGAGUUUUAUCAAAGUUUCUUACAUAAUUACCAUAGUCUUUAGCUAGAGUAGAGUAAUCCUAGCACUUAAGUUUUGUUAGUUUGUCUAGUAUAGCUAAAGUAAAGAUACUUACAGGAUCGACGAUGUAGUUUUGGAUUCUUUUUGAUAGAAUCAAAUAUAAAAAUAAUCAAAAUCUAAAUACCCAUUUUAGAAACCCAAAGUAUAAUAAUUAAUCAAAAAUUCAAUUUAUUUAAAGCAUAUUUAAUGGAGAUUUUCAAACCCAGAAAUCAUAGCCUGAGUUUUGUUACCUUGCUCUGAUACCACUAAAUGUAACACCCAAAACUUGGCUUAGACAUUAUGGCCAAAUCUGGAAGGUUACAUUAGUACGAAAAAAAUGAUUUUUCCAAAGUGUGGUUUGUUACGAAAUUGAAAACCAAAGUUUAUGUAAGUUUGUCAUGAUUCCCCGAUAGGAAAAUUUGUAAAUUAUCAAAACGUAAAUGUGAACAUAUUAAUUAUUAACUUAAAAAAAACCUAGCCUUAUACAAUCAAAAUGCUAAAAUCAUUUGCUUUAUAAAACUUGUAAUUUUGACUAAAAUUUUUGCAACGAAAAUUCCAAACUAAUAUUCGUAAAUUGUAAUUUUGUCAAGUAAAAACGUUUUAUUUAGCCGAUUAGGCAUAUUUUAAAUUUACGUUAUUAAAUUUUGUAAAAUCUCAAUUCGUAUUUUUGUGGCAAAAAAAUCUUGGCUCGUAUAAUUUUGAAAACCCAACAUUGAUUGUUCAGUAACACAAAACAUACAGAACAAAAGACUUUAACUAAGCCAAAGAAACCCAAAGAAAAAUUAAAUUUGAGAAAUUAAACCAAAAUCCAAAAGUCCAAUAAAUCCAUUUAUUAACCAGAGUAAACCAUUUAAUUAGAGAAUCAAUUCGAGCUUCCACACACUGCCCGAUUCUAAGUUAUCGAUUAUUUGAAACAUCAAAAAUAAAACAAAUGGGUGAGCUAUAAAGCUUGGUGCAUAACUAAAACUCAAGCCGAGAUCACACACAAUACAAUAUACAAAUCAUAAAAUCAUAGGAAAUUUCAUAACAAUCAGUCAAACAAAAUUGAGCAUACAUGAUUAUGCCAAUGCGGUAGUUUUCAGAAAAUCAUAAUGCAAAUUUUUUCAGAAAACAUCCUACCCAACACCACCACACACCCAAAUAUAGUUUCCCAAAACUCGUCCAUCUAAAAACACACCAAUUAAGUCAUCUCAGGUCGCCCGAAAGCGAUAACCUACAACCUCGAGUUAGUCGGCAAUGAUGACUUAUCAAUUUGCAGUUAAACUACUAGAUCAGAUAUUUGUGGUCAAGCGAUUGUACUGCAACUCAGCUGCCAGAUUAAAUGUUCCUAGUGUAGUCCCUAACAUUAUCAGGUGUUCUCGGCUCAGUCCUUUGGACAUUAAAAAAAAUAGAUUUGGAUAUGCAAUUAAUCAUAAAUUGCCAGGUGGUAUAUGUUAAAGUUACGAUAACAUCAUCAUCAAGAAAAAAACCAAAAAAAUCUUUAAAAAAUUUCAUAAAAUUCAAAUAAACUUAUAUAAAAUUAACUACAUUAUAAAUAUAUAAUUGUUAAAAAAUAAAAAUUCUUAAUUAUUUUAAAAUUUGUAAAAAAUAAUAAAAUUAUUAGAAAUUGUUAAAUAUUGUAGAAACAUUAUAAAAAUUAUUAGAAUCAUAAAAGACGGUAAAAAAUAAAAAGUUAAAAUACUAGUAAAAAUUGUCUAACUUGAAAUAAAGUAUACAUUUGGUAAUCAAAUUUAAAAUAUUGAAAAUUUAAUAUUAAAGUUGUAUAAUUUUUAUAAAAAAUAUUUUAAAAUAUUUUAAUAAAAAUUGAAUAAAUUUUAUAUCUAUUUUUUAAUAUUUUAAAAUACAUCAAUUUUCAGUACUUUACCAACGUUACUGGCAACAAGUUUUUUCGACUUGACUCCCUAUUUAUUGUCUUAAGUAGCUUCCUGCAUCCACCAUUUUGCACAUGGUUUUUCUAUUUUAUACCAAAGCUCUUUAGAAUAGUUAAACAUUCGACAAUAGUUCUUAAGAUAUUAGUUUAGAGACAAAUAAUUAUCUUGAGAUAGUAAAAAAAAAAGAAAUAAUUAAAUAUAUUAUUUACUUGAAAUAAUAUUAUUUUUCAUUAUUUAAAUUAUUUGAGAAAAAAACUUAUUCAAGUUUAUCACGUAAAAAGAUCUACCAAUUAUAAAUUUUGAUUAGUUGAACCAUAAGACAAUUGUUAUAGGUAGUAUCAUUCCAAGAGACAAUUAUCACAUGUUCAAACUCUAGUUAAUGUGAUUUAUAAAAUUUUAAAAAUAUUAAAAUAUCUAAUAUAUUUUUGAAAUUUAUGUAAAUUUUUAUAUUUUACACAGUUUUUUUUUCUAUUUUUAAAUAAUUUUGAUAAUUUUUCUUUUAUAAUUUUUGUCAUUUUUGAAGAUUCUUUAAGGGUUUUUGUUGAUGAUUUCAUUAUGAUAUCAUCAUACGACAUGUGGUAGUAUAUGAUUUGUUGAAUAUUCCAAAGAAUUUUUUAUUGACCAAUGAACUAAACUAAAAAUUUUUAAUAACAUUAGGGACUGAAGUGGAUAAAAAUAUUUUAAAAACUAAAGUUAAAAAAGUGAUAUACUUGCAUUAACAUUUUCUAAAAGAUGGAAGUGUUUUUCUGUUUUAAGGGAAUAGAAUUUUUUUGAGUGAAUAUAGUUUUGUGAGGGAGUAGUGAUAUUAUUAUUAGAGACAAGGCAUUUGAUUUUUAUAUAACUUUUUAAUUAAGUCAAUAUCACUCAUCGAGUAAAACCCAACAUAUUAAGCACAUUAUUAUACUAAUUUAGAUUAAUAGGAAUCAUCAAAUUUACAAUUAAGGAUUAUAAAUUUAUUUAAUUCCAAUCUUCUACCUUUUCUAAAUUAUAAGAAUGGUUUUGCCUUAUAUUUUCUUCAAAUUGAGAUUUAAUUUAUAAUUUUAAUUUUGAUAUAAUUUAGUUUAUCAAUUUUUAUAAUGCAAUUAAUUAGUUAAUACUUUAUUUUAAUCAAAAUAAUUAUAUUAAUUUUAAAGAAUUAUUAUCACCGUUAAAAUUCUUUACUAACAAUGAUUUAAAAUUAAGUUCUAUUGCUUUUGUUUUAGAUUACACAUAAAUGUUUACAAUAUGAAAUUCUUUAUAAUUUUCAAUACAUAUUACUUAAAUAAAUAGAAAAUAGAGUUUUAAUAAUGCACAACCAAAUAAAUUUUAGGGUAAACGACCAAAAUAGUCACUUUUGUUUGCCUUAGGUUACAUUUUAGUCACUUAUGUUUGAAAUGUUACGUUUUAGUCACUUACGUUAUCGUGUUGUAACAUUUUAGUCACUGAGUCAUUAAUUGUCGACAAUGGUGUAAUGGUAAGUUGAUGUGGCACGUUAAAUCAUCAUUUCAAACGAAAUUUUUAGGUUAAAUUCUACAAUUGGUCCCUAUAUUUUUCAUUUUCAACAAUUUAAAAAAUUUCUUUUAUGUUCUUCUAACUUUUUUUUUUCCAUUCUCUUAUGCUUCUCCCUCUAUUUUCCUCCCUUCUUCAUUUCUUUUAACAUAGUUUUUCUAUGAUUUCCAUUUGUAACUAGUCCACAAGCUCGCCUCACUCGAAAAAAUUAAAUUGUUCAAAAAAUAAAACAUAGAAUAACUACGUUGAAAGAAAUGGAGAAGGGAGGAAAACAAAGGGAGAAACAUAAGAGAAUGGAAAAGAAAGAAAGUUAAAAAAACAUAAAAGAAAAAAUUAAAUUGCUCCAAACGAAAAAAUAUGGGGACCGAUUGUAUAAAUUAACCUAGAAUUUUUGUUUGAAAUGAUGAUUUAACGUGCCACAUCAGUUUACUGUUACACCGUUAAUAGAAACUAACGGCUCAGUGACUAAAAUGUUACAACGUGAUAACAUAAGUGACUAAAACGUAACAUUUCAAACAUAAGUGACUAAAAUGUAACCUGUGCCAAACAAAAGUGACUAUUUUGGUAGUUUACCCUAAAUUUUAUUGAUGUUCUAUUAUUUUGAUUUCUUAGACUUGUAUAUAGGGAAAAUAAAGGACUAUUGCCAUUUAAUUGCUUUAAAACAAUUUUAAUGAGCUCUAGUCAUGCAAGAUUACCAUUAAAUAGAAUACUCAUAUAGAAGGAUUUACUAUUUUUGUUUCUCAAAUCACAACUAAUAAUUGUUCAUAAUUUCUUAUUUAGUGUCAUUUUUAAGAUUUAUUAGAUGACAAUUUUUCAUGCCAAAGUUUUAUUUUUAUUUCAUUUAAAGUUUUACAAUAUUUAAAAAAUUAUAUAUUUUGUAAAUUUGACAUUUAAUCAAUUUUAGAUCUAAAAAGUAAUAAUGAUUUCAACCCAAGGCCUGAGCUAGGAAUAGUUUUAGUUUGGAGUACUAUAUAUAUAUAUAUAUACUAAAAGAUGCAAUUUUUAUAAAUAACUUACAAAUCUAUCAUUAAAUCAAAUACUGGUAUGAAAUGGUUUAAUUAUUUGAUCACAUUUUUCCAUGACAAAAUUUUAUUUUUAUAUGAUUUAAAAUUUUACAAUUUUUAUAUUGUGAAUUUGGUGUACUAAAAGAUGUAAUUUUACAGGUAAUUUUAAUACCCAUCACCAGUGCUGCAAAGCUUGAGAUUCUUUUAUUGUGGGGAAAUAAACUUAGUGGAAACAUUCCCAACUCUAUCUCCAAUGCUUCCAUGCUUAAGAAACUAGACUUGGCAGAUAACUUAUUCUCUGGCCCAAUCCCUAAAACUUUUGACAACUUAAGACACGUUGAAUGGUUCCAAAUUUCAAACAAUAAUUUGAUCAAAAGACCUGCUACUGAUCAUGAGUGGACCUUUCUUUCUUCUUUGGCAAAUUGCAAGCAUUUGAGAAUAAUAGAUGUUUCAAGAAAUCCAUUGAGUGACGUUCUUCCAACUUAUAUUGGGAACCUUUCAAAAUCCCUUCAAUACUUUUAUGCAUCUAAUUGUGAGAUUACAGACAAUAUUCCUAUGUAAAUAGGUAGCUUAAGCAACCUAUUACUUUUACAACUUGGCUAUAAUAAAUUAAGCUUUAUUCCAACACCGAUAGGAGGACUGCAAAAUUUGCAAGGUUUACAACUUUCCUCUAAUAAAUUAGAGGGGCCUAUAUCAGAAAGCCUUUGUGGUUUGGAGAGAUUAUACUACUUGUAUUUAAGGCUGAUUAGGUUGCAUGGAUCCAUACCCUCUUGUUUGGGUAAUAUUUCUUCUUUGAGAUAUCUUUACUUAGAUUCCAACACAUUGAGUUCUACAAUACCCUCAACUUUGUGGAAUCUUAAAGAUAUCUUAGAAAUAGAUUUAUCAUCAAACCAUCUUUACAAUUCACAUGCUAUAUUGAUGUUGGAGAUUUGAGGAGUCUACUAAAACUAAAUUUAUCAAGGAAUCUUCUCAUGGGCAAUAUCUUCUCCACAUUUAGGGGUCUUCAAAUUUUGAUUUCAUUAGAUUUAUUAAAUAAUAUACAACAUGGCCAUAUCCCUGGAUCAUUAGGUGGUUUGAUUAGUUUGGAAUUCUUGAAUUUAUGAAAUAACAAUCUCUCUCGAGCCAUUCCCAAAUCUUUGGAAAAGCUUUUAGAUCCAAAGUAUUUUAUUGCGUCUUUCAAUAGACUUGAAGGGGAAAUUCCCGCCAAAGGAUGUUUUUCAAACUUCUCUAGCACAUCAUUCAUGAAGAAUUUUGCACUUUGUGGUCCACCUAGAUUGCUAGUCCCACCUUGCAAAAACAAUAUCCAAGAAAACUCCCAAAUGAAUAUAUUGCAUGCUUUAAGGUAUGGUUUACCAACAGUUGGUAUUGUUGUAGUACUAAUAGUCUUAACUAUUGUAAUCACUGAAUUUUGUCCGGCUCGAUUUGGUUUUUUUUAAAAUUUUUUUUUAAAUACAAAAAAUAAAAAAUUGUAUUUUGACCCCUAAACUUUUUUUAAAAUUACAUUUUACCCCUAAACUUUCUCAAAAUUACAUUUUGACCUCUAAACUUUCUCAAAAUUAUGUUUCGACCCUAAUACUUUUCCUGCAUUUGCAGUUUAGUCCUUCUGGCAGCAACUUGCACACCUACCCCCGUGAUUUCCGGCCACUGGCCUAGGGCAUGGCCUCCCUCUCCCCUAGCCACCUAAUCCCUGCAAAAAGGAAGAAAAAACAGCUAUAAAAUGGGUUAAAAAACCCCAAAAAUCGGACCCCCCACGAAAAAAUAAAAAAAAAACUUGCAAAAAAGAGAAAAAGAAGAGGAAAAAGGAGAGAAAGAGAGGAGAAAGGAGAAGAAGAGGCCGGCCAUCGGCGAACCACUGGCAGCAGCACGAGCAGCGACGUCGACGGCGGCGAAGGAGACCGAACGGAGAAGAAGAAGGAGAAAAGAGAAGAAAAAGAGAAAGAAGAAAGGAAAAAGAAGAAGGAAGAAAAAGAAAAAAAGAAAAAAUAUUUUUUUUAACAGUCGGGUCAAACCGACCCGACCCAACUCUGACCCGAACACCGCGACCCGACCCGGCACCUGCAUACCCAGGCCAAGCCCAGCAGCCUAAAGAAAAAACAAAAAAAGAGGCAAAAGCAAAAAAAGAAAGAAAGAAAAGGAAACAGGCCAAAAACAGCCCAAGCGCAGGCCCAAACCAACGCCAGGCCCAACAGCAGGCCUAGCAGGCCAACCAACCCAACGCUAGGCCCAACAGCAGGCCUAGCAGGCCAGCCAGCCCAACGCCAGCAGCAGGCCCAAUAGCACAGGCCCAAAAGGCAGCAGGCCAAAAAAAAAGAAGAGAAAGAGAAAAAAAAAGAAAAAAGAAAAAAAGAGAAAUAAAAGAAAAAAAGAAAAAAAAAAGAAGAAAAAAGGGGUUUCAAUUUGAACAACCCGUUCGGCGAAGCUCGUGUUUUAGAUUUUUCGGUAAUUUUAUUUAUUUCUCUUUUAAUUUAAUGCUCGUAUUUUUAUGUUAUUUCAUUUUAAUAUUAUUAGCAUUUUAUGCAUUUUUUAUAUUUUUAUAUUUUUGUAUUUAUAUUUUCAAUUUAAUUCAAUUUUAAUUUUAUUUUAUUUUAAAUAAUUUUAAUAAAUAAGGCAACGGAUCGAUUUAUCAUAAAAUUGUUGAUUUCAUCGCUAUGUUGGGUGAAUAUCACCGGUUUGUGUUAAACUCGAUACGCUCUUUUAAAAAUAAAAAAUAUUCAAAAAAAUUGUAUUUUCAAAAAAAAAUCCUCGGGUUUCGAAAUUUGCGUGUCUUCAAAAUAAUUUCUCGUGUUUUCAAAAAUAAGGUAACGAAUCUAUUUGACACUAAUUCGUUGAUUUCAUUGCUAUGUUGAGUGAAUAUCACUGACUAGUGUUAAAUAUGAUACGUGCUUAAUAAAAAAAUCAGAAAAUUUUUCGUGUUUUCAAAAAUUUCCGUGUUUCAAAAAUUUUCAUGUUUUCAAAAAUUCUCGUGUUUUCAAAAAAAUUCCAAUUUUCAAAAUUUUUCGUGUUUUCUAAAAACUUCUGUGUUUCAAAAAUUUUCGUAUUUUAAAAAUUUUUGUGUUUCUAAAAUUUUCGUAUUUCAAAAAUUUUCUUGUUUUCAAAUUUUUCGUAUUUCAAAUAUCCUCGUGUUUUCAAAAAAUUUCGGUGUUUUGAAAAUUUUCUUGUUUUUCAAAAAAAUCUCGUGUUUCAUAAAUUUUUGUUUUUUUUUAAAUUGUGUUUCCAAAAUUCUCGUGUCUAAAAAAAAUUCUCGUGUUUUAAUCGGAUCAGGAUUAAAUAUUAAAUUGAACUCGUAUUUUUGAAAGUGAAGACAACUCGCAUUUAACGAGAUACCAAUUUCGGGCGUCGCGAGGGUGCUAAUACCUUCCUCGCGCGUAACCGACUCCCGAACUCUAAUUUUCUCUGGAUUUUCACGUAGACCAAAAAUUACCUCUUUUUUAGAAAAAUUUAAAAAAUAAAUUUUCCUUCUAAAAAGAGAAUUUAUUAGGUGUCCAAUCACACCUAGGAAAAAAAAGAUCGGUGGCGACUCCUUUUUCAAAUAAAAUCGAAACACCGUUUUCAAAUUUUCAACAAUCAUUUCGAUUAGCGCCCGUGCACGAAAUUUUUAGGUCGCUACAACUAUUAUGUAUAGAAGAUGCCAAAGUAGGAGUACAACUCUACCAAUUCAGGAUGAUUUGUUUUCUUUGAAAACGCUGAGUGGAAUUUCACAUGCUGAACUUUCACAAGCAACUAAUGGAUUUGAGGAAAACAAUAUGCUUGGUUCAAGGAGUUUUGGAUAUGUAUAUAAAGAAAGGCUUUCAGAUGGAAUGGAAGUUGCAAUAAAAGUUUUCAAUUUGCAAACAGAAGAAGCAUUUGGGAGCUUUGACAUUGAAUGUGAUGCUAUGCGAAAUAUAGAUCAUCAUAAUAUUGUGAAGGUCACUACUUACUGCUCAAGUGUUGACUUCAAAGCCUUGGUGCUUGAUACAUGUCUAAUGGAACUACAGAGAAAUGGUUAUAUUAUUAAAACUAUUUCCUUGAUAUCAUACAAAGGGUUGACAUAAUGAUAGAUGUUGCAUCAGCUAUAGAACAUCUCCACAACGGGCAUCCAACACCUAUAAUUCAUUGUGACUUAAAACCAAGCAAUAUUUUACUAGAUGAAGACAUAGUUGCACAUGUGGGAGAUUUUGGCGUUGCCAAAUUGUUGGGAGAAUGUGAUGUAAUGAAGCAGACCAUGACUCUUGCAACAAUCGGGUAUAUGGCACCAGGUGAAUUUUUUAUUUUUGUAUUAUUAUUUGUCUAAUAUGCAUUUUAUAUUUUGUUUCAUCUGUAUGUGGAUAUAUAUUUGAAUAAUCAUUUUAGAAAUAAUUAAAGAUUAAUGAUGCUCUAAUUUUACUUGAAAUGCAAAAUUUGGAUCAACGGGAAUUGUUUCUAUAAAAUGUGACAUCUAUAGUUAUGAGAUUGUCCUUAUACAAACUUUCACAAAGAAAAAGUCAACUGAUAAUUUUUUUGCUGAAUAAGUGACUAUAAAGCAUUGGAUGGGAAGUUCAUUGCCAAAGGAGCAUGAAAAUCCCCAAAACCUAAAUUCUUUCCUUCUAGCAAUGAAGAGAUGGUGAGGGGAAGGGGAAAAAAUCACGUUAAAUGAAAAGAAAAAGAAAAAGAACAAAAUUAAAUUUGACGUGAAAAUUAUUUUAAUACUUUUAAUUUGAGUUGGAAAGGUUGAUGAUGUAGCAUAAAAUAAUUGGAUAGGACCAUAUUUGAGGUAGUGGGUGUAACACCCCUUACCUGAGACCGUCGCCGGAAUCGAGUACGAGAUGUUAUCCAAUUUAACUUACCAAUUUGGAGCAUAAAAAUUUGCUUUGUAAAUUACUUUCACAAUUUACAGCAAAGCUGUCCACCUGCGCGACUGUCACUAAUUUAAUUAUAACUCGAGUUACGAAACUCGAAAUUUAAAUCCGUAAAUUUUCCAUGAAACUAGACUCAUAUUUCUACGUACCAUAAAAUUUUUAGAAUUUUUGACUUAUCCAAUUAGUACAGUUUAUUCAUUAAAGUAUCCCCUGUUUCACAACUUGACAGAUCUGACCUCUUGGCACUAAAAAUCAAUUAUCUCACUGUACAAAAUUCAUAUAAGGUUAUCAUUUAUUUCUCUUGAAAAUAGACUCACUAAGGAAUCUAGAAAUAUAAAUUAUGACCCAUAAUUCUUUCUGUACAAUUUAUAAUGAUUUUCUAAAGUCAGAACAGGGGACUUUAAAAACCAUUCUGACCCUGUCUCACUAAAAUUCAAAUAUCUCAAAAUAUACAAUUCCUUUGCCUACACCGUUUCUUUCAUAUAAAAAUAGACUUGAUAAGCUUUAAUUCCAUCUAUAAUUCACUCUCUAAUUCCAUUUAUACUAUUUAUGGUGAUUUUUCACAUUCACGUCACUGCUGCUGUCAAAAAAACUGCUUCUUUAUAUUAGUUCCAUUUACACAUACAUACCACCAAAACAUAAUCUCUACUAACCACUUCAAUAGCUAAUCUUAGCCAUAUCAUAUGAACAUACUCAAAAUGAUUAAGACUCUAUACAUGCCAUAGUUUAAACAUUUUGGAAAGCACACAAUACCGAGAUGAUUAUGAUAGUGUGAUACGAGCUCCGACGAUCCCCAAUUCGAUCAAGUUCAAAUCACUAUAAAACAAAGGAAAUAAGAAAAUGUGUAAGCUACAAUUAGCUUAGUAAGUUACAUGUAAAUAAUAGAUACUCAUUUAAUAAUUAACACUUUUAACUUAUAACUAAUCAAAACAUUUCUUGGCAAUUUCAAUCACUUACACAUGCACAAUCUUACCAUUUCACUUACAUAUACAUUUUCACACUUAACCUUUACCACUUUUGAUCAUUAUUUCAAUUGUACCUGCAUACACACUUCAUUUCAUAUUCACUUUAACACAUUAUUAAUCCCGUUGAACACUUGGAAUAUACACGGAUACAUAGAGAUUUAGCACAUAAGUGCCACACUGAUAUGUAGCCGAAGCUACCACUGAUAUGUAACCGAAGUUACCACUGAAUGUAGCCGAAGCUACCACUGGGAUGUAACCGAAGCUACCACUGAUCAAUAACACUGGAAAUGUCCACGGGCCUGCUCACACAAGCUGUCAGGUGUCUGCAACACAUGCUAGAUCACCCAGCACCCGGGACUCACUGUAACACUGUAACACUGGUCUCUAGUGACAUGUCACUUGUAUCCAUUUCUAUUCCUAAGUUCAACUGGGAAUUUACACUUAACACUUUAUUUUCAACACUUUAUCACUUGAAUAAUUCAUGAAUAUUUUUCCUUCCACAUUCAAUAUUGAUUCACAUAUCAAUAAAAUUCACAAUUUAUAAAAAUGUAUUACUAUUAUUUACACAUAACUUACCUCGGAUGCAAAACGACUAUUUCUGUAAUUUAGUCGAUAACUUUCUCUUUUCCCCGAUCACUUGCACUAUUUCUUCUUUCUUGAUCUAUAUUAACACAAUUUAAUACAUUUUAUCAACAUUUCAUUCAAAUACAAUUCAUACACAACAUUUUGGCAAAUUUACAUUUUUCCCCAAAACUUUUCAAAAAUUUCACUUUUGUCCCUAAGCUCGUAAAAAUAAAAUUCACUAAAUUCUUAAAUUUCAAACUUCACUAAAUCAUAUUUCAUGCUCAUAACAGCCCUCAAUUUCACAAAAUCACAACUUUAUGCACACUUUACCAUCUUUCACAAUUUAGCCCUUUUUCAACAUUUUCAUUGAAAUUCAUCUAGUAAAACUUGAAAUUAACACUUCAAACAUUCAUUAUCUAACAUCACUAAUCACUUUACAAUUAUAUCAUGAAUGGGUCAAUUUUUAAACUUUAAUUUCACUUAAAUUAAAUGGUAGAAACAUGAAAUUCAAGCAUCAAUAAGCAUAAAAAUACGAAAAUAAUUAAAAACGGGGCAAGAAAUCACUUACAAUUGAGCUUAGAAAAAUCAAAACCCUUAGCUAUGGUAACAUGAAACUUUCGGCAGCAAGCUUCUGAUUUUUGAAGAAGAUGACACUUAUUUUCUCUUAUUUUGUCUUUUUGGACAAAAAUGCCCUUGACCCAUUACUUAGAUAUUUUUCUAGAAUUACCCUUUUGUGUCCAUAUCACUAAUUUAUGGUCUAAUUGCCACAUAAACACUUCCAAUUUCAUGCAAUAAUUCAAUUAAGUCAUUUAAUCACUAAUUAGACACACUUUGCAAUUUUCUCGAUUUAGUCCUAAAAAUUCAAUUAGGCACUAAAUCAUUAAAAUUUCCUAUCCAUAUUUUCACACAAUAUUUCAAUCAAUCAAUAACUAAUAAAAAUUUAUAAAAUUAAAAUAUUUCACUUCGGAUUUGUGGUUACGAAACCACUAUUCCAAUUAGGCCCUAUUUCGGGCUAUCACAGUGGGAAAGGUCCAUGAAAUAAUUUUUCUAUGUUAUCAAAUAGAUGAAUGAUGGUUAUUGGGAUCAAACUAAUGAUUUUGAGGAUGUUAAUGGUUAAUUUGGUGGAGAGGGUGGAAAAGAAACAAAUAAUUCAUUAUAUGUCAUAUAAUUAUGCAAUUCAAGUUGUAAUACCCAAAUUUUACCCGGCCUACAAAAACAGUCCAAAUUACAAUGGGCUUAUGUGGCCCAAAACCUGAAAUGAACAGAGGCCCAAAACAAUGGCCCAAAACAAUGUCAGAAACUCCUAGGGUUUCUAAGGAAACUUUCCCGCCGCAGCCACCAAGCACCACGAGCCGAAAUCUUCACCUGCGCAGAAACAACGGAAAUGGCAAGAAAAUCAAAGAUUGCGAAUCAAAUAUGAGCAAGAUUUGAUUCUUUAUAUUAUUAUUUUCAUUAUGGCUAUAAAAUAGCCAUUGAUAUGCUGUAAAAAAGGAGGGGAAGACCAAAAGAAAUACAAAGACCAAUAGGAAAUUUUCUUUUUUUUGAAAUACAAAGGUUUUCUUUUCUGUUUUACCUCAUUGUCGAUUAUUGUUCUUUUAUUUUUUCAUUUAUACAUAUACAUAUUUGAUUUUUUAUAGUUUCUCUAUUUUUUUUAUUUAUUUUUGCUUAAAAUAUAAAGAAAAGAGGAGGGAUUUUACCUUUUUUUCGUCGAAGUUGUCGAACGGUGGCCAUCUCCGUCGCGAUCGGAGUGUUGGCACAGGCGAACAGCGGCGCAAAAGGGGUUAAGAAAAAACCCUAGCAGAGCAUUUGUGUUUUUUUUGUUUUUUUUUAUGUGGGUUAUUGAUUUUUAUUUUUUUAAAGAAUUUUCGUUUAAAUAACAUUAGCAAAACGACGCCGUUUUAGGGGAGCAGGAUCCGCGCGUUGACCCGACCUGCAGGCAGGGUGCACGUUCUGGCCUUGAAUGGGGUAUUUGUGCAUUUAGUCCCUCCUCUUUGCGACGCACUUCAAUAAAACCCAUUUUUCUUUUUCUUUUUUUAAAUUUAGCGGCAUAUUUCAUUUUUGUUUCAAUCGAGUCCGUCACUGCGCAGCGUUUUGGAAGUCGGAAUUAAUUUCCCUUUUGGUCCUCUAUUGUUGCUUGCGCAUUCAAGUUGGUCCCUUCUUUAUAUUUAUUGCUAAUUUGCCCCAUUUUUUCGCUUUUAGUUCAGUUUAGUCCAUUUUUUUAGCUAUUUCAUUAUUUAGUUAUUUUUUUAUUUAUUAUUAUUAUUAUUAUUAUUAUUAUUAUUAUUUCUAAAUUUAUACACGCAUUUUUUUAUGGUAUAUAUAUAUAUGCAUUUUUUUUGUAUAAUAUAUAUUUUUUAACUUUUAUAAAUACAUGCAUAUACUUCAUACAUAUUUGUUUAUUAUUAUUUUGAUUUCAAAACUUUUAUAUACUUUAAAUUUUAUAUACAUACAUAUACAUUUUAUAACACAUAUACAUUUUCCACGUUUUAUAAUUUAAAAUACACAUACAUUUUCUAUAAUAUAUUUAUGUAUACGUUUUUAUUCUUUAUAUUUUUUUUGGUUUAUUUCCUUCGUCUAUUCAUUGAUUUAGGUUUUCAUUUACAUUUUAAAAGAAUGUCCUUUUUUUAUAUUGCUUAUUCAUUUUAUAUUUUUGCAUUGUCAUUGUUUAUUUUUUUAUUUUAUAUUAAUUUCGUUUAUUUACUAUUUAUAUUAUUUCUAUACAAUUGUCGUAUUUAUUAUUGCAACAUUUAUACAUACAUUCCAUAUAACAUUACAUCAUCUUUUACUCGAAUUUAAAAAUAGAAAAUUUUCAAAAUAGAGAUAAUACUCGUAUUUAGGAUUUUCAAGAAAAUUGAGCCCUAACGUAUUGGGUUCCGAUUUUCUUCGUUAAAUCUAACAAUCGAGAAUUGCUCUUUGAUAAAAAAUAAAAUAAAAACUUGUCAUCGGGAAUUCAAUAUGUUGUGUCCUAACAUAUUGGAUGUGAUGCGUUGAUUUCUCGAGAUAAAGAUUUUCUAAACAAUAAAAGAAAUAUUCAAUGUUUGGGAUUUUAAGAAAUUGUGCCUUAACGUAUUGGGCUGUGAUUUCUUCAUAAAUUUUAAACAAUUAAAUAUUUUCUUAAAUUUUAUUACACGAGUUUUUUGGACCAGCUCAUCUUAAAAAGAAUAAAAUAUUGUGCCCUAACGCAUUGGGUGUGAUAUUUUCUUUUUUCAAAAUGAGAAAGUCUUAACAAAAAAUUUAAUUUAACUAAGGAUCGUAUUUAUUAACUCUCGACAUUAAGACACUGAUUAAUCAACUCGGUACCAAUUUUUGGGUGUUACGAGGGUGCUAAUCCUUCCUUGCACGUAAUUUACUCCUAAACCCGUUUUUUAAAACUCGUAGGCCAAAGUCGUUUUUUGGUGAUCCAAUCACACCUUAAUAAAAGAUUGGUGACGACUCCAAUUUUCAUCGACAACUAAUUUUUGUUUUUUUUCAAAAUAAAAAUGGUUUCGACAGCUUGGCGACUCCGCUGGGGACACAUACGAGAGUCGAGCCACAAAGUUGAUUAAUUUCUGUCUUAUUGGCGAGAAAAUAAAUUUUUUUAAAAAAAUCAUGAAAUCAUUGUGCAUUCAUUCAUUUUCUUGCUUAAUUGAUCUUUGCAUUAUACAUUACAUGAGUUGAAUGAUUUUACCCUUCUAAGUGGGAGUGAGAAACUAUUCCUUCGUGAGGUUUUCACCUCCGUAUAGGAUAGUGGAUCGCUUUCGGGAUACAUCUGUACCUAUGCCUUCUUGAGAUUUUCAUCUUCGUAUAGUCAUAGGGAAAAUGUAUUCCCCUGAACCGAACUUGAUCUAUAUGAGCCUAUAAUGGGUGAAGAUUGAGGAAUCUGCUGGUUUGGGUACCUUUGCCCUAGAAGUCAAACCACAUAUAGUGAACCUUAGGAACUUGCCCUAGGUAGGGAUAUGCCAAACCCCUAGUGGUCACCCGAAUAGGUUUUCUAUUUAUUCUUGCUUUAGCUUUGUACCAACCUGUUUUCUUUUUGGUUGUGAUUGCAUUGCAUUUUCAUCAUAAAAAAAGAGAGAGGUGUUGAUUCACAUUCAGUUGCUAAAUAGAUAGCUUGUCAUAAGAAAAUGAGUUUCUUGAUAAAAUGGAUGAUAAUAUGGUUGUCCGAAUAUGGUCCAAGAAAUGUGAUAAGAGAAGGAUGAUAGUUUAAUGGAGGACUACACGACUAUGGCUCCAUUGCCCAAGGAUUCAAGAUAACAAAGAUUAUUCGAGAGCCGCUAAACUUUCUUAAAGAGAAACCAACAAGCAUCACAAGGAUGAGUGAGCAACAAAUUGCGGCCUGGAUCAAGCAAAAAGGAGAUAGAAGAGACUUCCUUUUUGAAAAGUUCGUGAGAUUUAUCUUAACGCUUGAAUGAAGAAGAGGAUCGAAUGUCUUCGCCUAUGAGGGCAAGGCUGUAUAAAUAUUCAUUUUAUGUAAAGAGAUUUGUUUUCUAGUAAAGUUCUCUAAAUGGAAUUGAAUCAGAAUCAACGUCCCUUUAUGCAUUCAUUUCCUGCAUUCGCAUUACAUGAUAUCAUAGCAUUAAAAUCCACUAAAAGAUUCUAAUUAAUAUAAAUCAUUCCUCAGUUAAUCUGGAAACCAACCAACCCAUCACACACCACUACGGUACUCGAUCAAAAACUAAAGACAUGGACCAAAGGAUGGAAAGGUUAGAACAGUUCCAAAAAGAAAUGCAGUAUCAACUUCAAUAACAAAUGAAUGAACAACUUGAGAAAAUUCAGCAAAAAAUGAUGGACAAAAUGAUGGAAUCUCAAGAGAGUAUGAUGGCUCAAUUAACUCAGUUGUUGACCAGAGGAACUAAUAAAGGAAAAGGCUCUGUGCUCAAUAUGGAAGAAGGAGACAGUGAGGGACUUCUUUAUCCUCCAGGCUUGACCCCUCAGCAUGGGCAGACCCAAGUAGAGGUAUAUCCGCACAAAUCCUCUAUCACCAUCAAGCCUCAGCAGUUUCAGGCCGGUGCUGUAACACCAAUGAAUUUUCCAGCUAGAUCAGGCCCUAACCCCAGAGACGACCUUGUUAAUCCUGAUAUCCCUGACUUCGAUGAAACAGCUGAAAAAGAGAAAAUGAAUGGUGAAUUGCCAAAACAGCUCGAAGAAAAGUAUAAAUGGCUGGAGGAAAAACUUAGAGUGAUGGAAAGUACUAAGAGCUACCAUGGAAUUGACACUAAAGAAUUGAGCUUGGUUCCGGAUUUAGUACUCCCUUAUAAAUUCAAAAUUCCUGAGUUUGAGAAGUACAAUGGAACUAAUAGCCCCGAAGCUCAUAUUACCAUGUUUUGUAGGCGGAUGACUGGGUAUGUUAAUAAUGACCAACUGCAUAUACAUUGUUUCCAGGAUAGCCUUGCAGGGGCAGCAUCCAAGUGGUACAACCAACUGAGCCGUACCAAGAUUAAUUUAUGGAGAGAUUUAGCAUAGGCAUUCAUAAAGCAGUACAAUCAUGUAACUGACAUGGUACCUGAUAGAAUCACUCUACAGAACAUGAAAAAGAAGCCUGGUGAAAGUUUUAGGCAGUACACACAGAGGUGGAGGAGGUCGCAGUCCAAGUUCAGCCACCGCUUCUGGAAAAGGAAAUGACAAUGCUAUUCAUAAAUACAUUGAAAGCUCCGUUCAUCACACAUAUGUUAGGGAGUGCUACAAAAAGCUUUUAUGGCAUAAUCAUGAAUGGUGAAAUGAUUGAAAGCGCCAUAAGGAGCAGAAAAAUUGAUGCUGGAGGGAAUAACAGAAGGCAAGCCUCAAAAGAAAAAGAAAAUGAGGUGAACAGCGUGAAUACGUACAGAAAAUCGAUUGCUAAUCAGUAGGGUUCAUCAAGACAAGAAUCAUGUGUGAAGCAAGGUACUGAAAAACUCUAGUUCACUCCAAUUCCAAUGUCGUACAAGGAGCUGUAUCAAAGCUUAUUCGAUGCGCAUAUUGUUUCUCCUUUACAUGUGAAGCCUCCACAGCCUCCGUAUCCCAAAUGGUACGACGCAAGUGCACAAUGCGAUUAUCAUGUGGGAAUUACGGGACACUUAAUAGAGAGUUGCAUUACCUUCAAAAAGCUAGUUGAAAAAUUCAUCAACAUGGGUAUCGUCAAGUUGAAUGGCUCAUUUAAUGCAGAAAAUUUACUACCCAAUCAUGAUUGACAAUGGGGUGAAUGCAAUAUAUGAAGAGAUGUUAGGAAGUGUUCACAUCAAUGACAUAUAGGAAUACACAAAUGAAAGGGGGACCUUGUUAGAUAUCCGCCCUUAUAAAUCUGGGAGUGUUUAAAAUAAUUGGAUUGCGGAAGAAAUAUCUAUAGUCUUUAGAGCGUAUUUAGAGUAAUGUUCAGAACAUUCUUGUUGUUUUUAGCCUAAAAAUGAUAGGAAUUCCUUUGUGAAAUAGACUCAUGUCUGAUGAUCAUUAUUAUAAUAAAAUACAUCUUUGUAUUUAUUUUUGAGCCAACAUUCUUUCAUUCUUUGCGAGUAAUUAUUUUGUCAUUCUUUUGGAUUUUCUUCCACAUCAUUCUUUCAUUCAUAAUUAUAUUAAAAAAAUAAUUAUUCGUAAAUUCACACAUUCUUUUGCGCUUACUAUGGGACCCCAAAUAUCAAUGACAUGAGUGACGCUGUACUGACUCAAAAUCUCCUUCUGAGCGAGACAUGUGUUUAAAGGGAUCUCAUGACUUUGAAGAUGACAUAGAUCGUAGCCUAUUUCUGGACCUAUUAAGGAUGGUAGAACAAGUCGAGAAACGAAUCUUACCCUACAAAGAAUCAUUGGGAUAUAUGACUUCUCCUUAUGUGGGGCAUGAAGGUCAUUUGGUCGAUCUCGCCAAAAGAGUCUGACGGUCAUUGAUUCAUCUUUGUGAUCGUCAAUUACUUUACUAAAUGAGGGGAAGCUGCUUUAUAUGUCAAUGUCACAAAGUUGACAGUUAGCAAAUUCUUGAAGAAUCAUAUGGAACGUCAAAAGGAUCAUAUCUGACAAUGUACUAAAUUUGAGCAACAGCACAAUAUCAAAAGUUUGCAGUCUAUUCACGAUUAAUGCCAUAUCACCAAAAAAGAUGGCGCAAAAAAAAGAGAGAAAAGAAGAAAGAAAAUGGAGAGGCCAAAGUGAAAACCCGCAAAGGGCACCUUGAGACCAAAGGGGAUUUGAGUUGAAAACCCGAAACAGGCGGCUCAAAUAUUGAUCAGAAUAGGGCAUGAGGUGAUUAGAGCAACUCGAAUUUUAACCAGAUUGGGGCAUGUGGUGAUCUUGUUAUACCUGAAUUAUCAGGAAAGGGUAGGCAACAUCUUGGGGCAUUGGCAGAGUACUGUGGAUCUCCUAAACACAUGUCAAACUCAGAAGGAUCUUCAAAAAGUUUGUACGGAGAAAUUCAAGCUGCGAUAUCUGGGGCACCCAAUUUUCAUACUAUUGAAUUUGUUAUUCUUAGAAUACUUCAUUCUUUUCAAAGAUACACAUUCCCAAUCAAUUUCUUUGUUAUCCUUUUUACUAUUUUUGAUAAUUUAUUCCUUUCGAGCUAUGCUCAGAACUAAUUUUAUUCUUAUCCAUUGUUAUGACCUUUUUGCAUGCAUAUUGCAUUGGAAUAAUGAUCAAUGGACUAAUAAAACUUUCACAAGGGAAGUUUUGCAUAUUACUCUAGAAGUUUCUAAAUAAUAUAGGAGCCUGAAACAGGACUAUUAUUUAGAACGCACUAGGUUUAAAGGUUGGAAAUCUAAAAAGGAAGAGUCUAAACUAGGACUUUCUCUUUGGAUUUUGUUGUCAAAAAUCAUUAGUUGAACAAAAUAAUAAGAUGUCGUGUUGAUGACAAAGCUUAAAUCAACAAGCAAGUAAUGAUCACCAGGCAAUAGAAAGAGGUUACCUCGGGGAAGAGAGCCCUCAUUUGCUCAUGAGCCUUUGGUACGACACCCUAGGAAUGGUGUAAGAGACAAGAAAGAUUUAGAUCCUGUAUCCUUGAAUUGUGAUAGGAGAGGAUUGAAGAAAAGCCAUAUACCCUUGGGUUACAGUGGGAGAACGAUGGUAUGAAUUUUUGCGCCCCAAUGGAUUAAACUUUGAGGUUUACAGUGGGGGCAACCUGACUAAAUGUUUCUUCAGAAAAGCCAGCCAAGCAAGAAGGCAUUGUAGCACGUUAGUGUUAAAGCCUUAAUAAUCUUCGAACAAUGACAACCUAGGUGGGAUCAUUCUCGAAAAAAAAACUAUGCAUUCAUGCAAACACCAUUCACAGAUGUCUAGUUAGGAGCAUUUGAUUCAUUUUAUGCCAUCCUAAUCAUUAGGCAUAAAUAGGUUCAUUAUACAGGUCAUGUUCCCCAGAGAGCAGAUCAGUAAAAAUAGCAGAUCUUGCCUUCCUACACCGACAGUGAAACAGAUCAAAGACACCAGCCAUGCCUCCCUGGGUUGCAGUGGAGUAGGUUAAAAAUAGCAGAUCUUGCCUUCAUGCACCGACAGCGAAGCAGAUCGAAGAGACCAGCCUUGCCUCCCUGGGUUGCAGCGGAGCAGGUUAAAAUAGCAGAUCUUCCCUUCCUGCACUGACAGCGAAGUAGAUUGAAAACACCAGCCUUGCCUCCUUGGGUUGCAGUGGAGCAGGUUAAAAAUAGUAGAUCUUGCCUUCCUGCACCGACAGCGAAGCAGAUCGAAGACACCAACCUUGCCCCCUAGGUUGCAGUGGAGCAGGUUAAAAAUAGCAGAUCUUGCCUUCCUGCACCGACAGCGAAAUCGAAGACACCAGCCUUGCCUCCCUGGGUUGCAGCGUAGCAGGUUAAAAAUAGCAUAUCUUACCUUCUUGCACCGACAGCGAAGCAGAUCGAUGACCCCAGCCCUAUUUCCCUGGUCAGCAGGGGAAUAAGUUGAAGAUUGAGAAUCUUAUCUCCCUGAAGUUGCAGUGGAGUAGAUUAAAGCCAAUAAUCCUAUCUCCUUAAAUUUGUAGUGGAGCGGAUUAAAACCACAGAUCUUAUCUCUCUAAAGUUGCAGAGAGCAGAUCGCAUCUGGUCUUAUCUCCCAAAAGUUGCAGUAGAGCAGACUGAGUAAGAAAGUCUUAUCCCCCUGAAAUUGCAGUGGGGCAGACUAAAUGAACAAAUCUUAUCUCCCUAAAGUUGUAGUGGAGUGGAUUAGAAUGAUGGGUCUUAUCUCUCUGAAGUUGCAACAGAGCAGAUCACAUCAAAUUCAUCUUUAAGUGACAGCAGAUCAAGUUGAAGCUAUAAGUCUUAUCUCCCUGAAGUUGCAGUGGAGUAGAUUGAAGCACUAGUUCCUAUACCUUUGAAGAUGCAGUAUGAAGGAAUGAGGCUACUUGAAGAAGAAGACUACCUAGGUCCAGCACGAUCGGGUAAAAUUGGGCAUUUUUAAAGUCUUUACUCCAUUCCUGUUACACGAUAACGAGUAAAGAGGGGCAGCUGUAAUACCCAAAUUUUACCGAGCCUACAAAAACAGUCCAAAUUACAAUGGGCUUAUGUGGCCCAAAACCCGAAUGAACAGAGGCCCAAAACAAUGGCCCAAAAUAAUGUCAGAAACUCCUAGGGUUUCUGAGGAAACUUUUGCGCCCAGCCACCAAGCACCACGAGCUGAAAUCUUCACCUGCACAAAAACAACAGAAAUGGCAAGAAAAUCAAAGAUUGCGAAUCAAAUAUGAGCAAGAUUUGAUUCUUUUUAUUAUUAUUUUCAUUAUGGCUAUAAAAUAGCCAUUGAUAUGCUGUAAAAAAGAGGGGGAAGACCGAAAGAAAUACAAAGACCAAUAGGAAAUUUUCUUUUUUUGAAAUACAAAGGUUUUCUUUUCUGUUUUACCUCAUUGUCGAUUAUUGUUCUUUUAUUUUUUCAUUUAUACAUAUACAUAUUUGAUUUUUUUAUAGUUUCUUUAUUUUUUAUUUAUUUUUGCUUAAAAUAUAAAGAAAAGAGGAGAGAUUUUACCUUUUUUUCGUCGAAGUCGUCGAAUGGUGGCCAUCUCCGUCGCGAUCGGAGUGUUGGCACAGGCGAACGAUGGCGCAAAAGGGGUUAAGAAAAAACCCUAGCAGAGCAUUUGUGUUUUUUUGUUUUUUUUAAUCUGGCUUAUUGAUUUUUAUUUUUUAAAAAAAGAAUUUUCGUUUAAAUAACAUUAACAAAACGGCGCCGUUUUAGGGGAGCAGGAUCUGCGCGUUGACCCAACCCGCAGGCAGGGUCCACACGUUCUGGCCUUGAAUUGGGUAUUUGUGCAUUUAGUCCCUCCUCUUUGCGACGUGCUUCAAUCAAACCCAUUUUUCUUUUUUUUUUUUAAAUUUAGCCGCAUAUUUCAUUUUUGUUUCAAUCUGGUCCGUCACUGCGCAGCGUUUUAGAAGGCGGGAUUAAUUUCCCUUUUGGUCCUCUAUUGUUGCUUGCGCAUUCAAGUUGGUCCCUUCUUUAUAUUUAUUGCUAAUCUGCCCCAUUUUUUCGCUUUUAGUUCAGUUUAGUCCAUUUUUUUAGCUAUUUCAUUAUUUAGUUAUUUUUUUAUUUUUUUGUUAUUGUUAUUAUUAUUAUUUCUAUACUUAUUAUUUCUAUAUUUAUACACGCAUUUUUUUAUAGUAUAUAUAUAUAUAUGCAUUUUUUAUAUAUAAUAUAUAUUUUUUAACUUUUAUAAAUACAUGCAUAUACUUCAUACAUAUUUGUUUAUUAUUAUUUUGAUUUCAAAACUUUUAUAUACUUUAUAUUUUAUAUAUAUACAUAUACAUUUUAUAACACAUAUACAUUUUCCACGUUUUAUAAUUUAAAAUACACAUACAUUUUCUAUAAUAUAUUUAUGUAUACGUUUUUAUUCUUUAUAUUUUUUUUUUGGUUUAUUUCCUUCGUCUAUUCAUUGAUUUAGGUUUUCAUUUACAUUUUAAAAGAAUGUCCUUUUUUUUAUUUUGCUUAUUCAUUUUAUAUUUUUGCAUUGUCAUUGUUUAUUUUUUUACUUUAUAUUAAUUUCGUUUAUUUACUAUUAUAUUAUUUCUAUACAAUUGUCGUAUUUAUUAUUGCGACAUUUAUACAUACAUUCCAUAUAACAUUACAUCAUCUUUUACUCGAAUUUAAAAAUAGAAAAUUUUCAAAAUAGAGAUAAUACUCGUAUUUAGGAUUUUUAAGAAAAUUGAGCCCUAACGUAUUGGGUUCCGAUUUUCUUCGUUAAAUCUAACAAUCGAGAAUUGCUCUUUGAUCAAAAAUAAAAUAAAAACUUGUCAUCGGGAAUUCAAUAUGUUGUGUCCUAACGUAUUGGAUAUGACGCGUUGAUUUCUCGAGAUAAAGAUUUUCUAAAAAAUAAAGGAAAUAUUCAAUGUUUGGGAUUUUAAGAAAUCGUGCCCUAACGUAUUGGGCUGCGAUUUCUUCAUAAAUUUUAAACAAUUAAAUAUUUUCUUAAAUUUUAUUACACGAGUUUUUUGGACCAACUCAUCUUAAAAAGAACAAAAUAUUGUGCCCUAACUCAUUGGGUGUGAUAUUUUCUUUUUUCAAAAUGAGAAAGUCUUAAUAAAUAAUUUAAUUUAACUAAGGAUCGUAUUUAUUAACUCUCGACAUUAAGACACUGAUUAAUCAACUCAGUACCAAUUUUUGGGUGUUACGAGGGUGCUAAUCCUUCCUCGCACGUAACUGACUCCCGAACCUGUUUUUUAAAACUCGUAGGCCAAAGUCAUUUUUAGGUGAUCCAAUCACACCUUAAUAAAAGAUUGGUGGCGACUCCAAUUUUCAUCGACAACUAAUUUUUGUUUUUUUCAAAAUAAAAAUGGUUUCGACACAAGUAAUAGUAAGUUUCAUACAAGGUUCAAAGGCAAUUAAAUGACUUGUAAGUUUGUUGAACUUCUUUGAAAGGCCCAAAGGCAAUUGAACAUUUACAAAAUAGUCUCUAUAUACUGUAGAGACAAAUCAAAUCCAUGGGAGCAUUACAGUUAGUUAAAUUGAGCAUUGGCAGAAAUUCCAUCAUAGGAAAUAUUGGCAAAAUCGUCUAUUUAAUUAGAAAAACAACAUAAUUCAUGAAACAUAGAUAGCCCAAUAUAAAUGUCAUCGAGAAAAAAAGUCUGUUUGUUUUAUAGCACAUGAUAGUAAAGCAUGCGAAGUUUCAUUCUUCUUAUUGGCCUCCUUUAGUUUUCCUUGAUCAUCAACCACUAGCCAAAAACACAAUUAGAUUAGAUUAUAAAUGAAACAUUCAAUUAUGAUAAAAUUAAAUAGAAAACACCCUAAAUAACUCUAGAUAAAUGAAUAGUAGCAAAUUACCUGGUGAGGCAAGCUAGCUCAAUUAAGAUCAUUGUGUUAGACUUGUGUAUGCAUUAAACAAUCUAAAAGAAAAUGAAGGAAAAGACUUAGAAAACACUUGAAAAUUGACAAAAUUUAUAUGCCAUUGACUGGUUAAACUAUGAUCACCCAUAACAGACCUUGUAUUGGAGUUUUUGUUGAGGGAGAUCAAGUCCUUCAAGAAAAGUCUUUUAAGUGUUGUUUGUUACGUAAUCGCUGCUACCCUCAACAAAAGGUAUUGUCCUCAUGUCAAGAUUUUAUCCUCAGCCUUUAUGGAAUAAUCAUGGAGAUUACAUGUGCAAGGAUUCAAACCACCAACCAAUGCAUAUGUAGUAUUUACUUUGGAACCAUCUCCGUGAACCCACGAGGUUCUUUGCAGAAUCAAGAGACAAAACCCCAACACAAGAAUAAUACCAUCUAUUGAGGGUCCUUUAACACAACAAAUGAAAUUCAUACAUUUAUUUAAUAAAAGUAAAUAUCAUAUUUAAUUGGGGAAAAGCAACAAAAAAUCCAACAAUAAAAUCCUUAGCAAAAGAUUAAAACACAGUUAUAUCGUAAAUGACAUAAGAAACUAAGAAAAUCCAAUCUGACAAAGAAAAUAACUUGAUGCUCCAAAGCUACCAUAUACCGUAAUUCAUGGGAAGGUCUGAUGCUCAUUUUAUUGGUUUCCAUCUUGAUUUUGCAAAAGAAGUUUGAAUUUUGAAGAGAGCAAAAGAUUGAGCGAAAGAAAAAAAAUUAGUUUAUUAAUUUUCACAAUUUAUAAGACAAACCUUAUGGAGACAAAUAAUGACAUAUUAGAUAUUUGUGAUUAAAAUUCUAGAAUAGAUUUAAAAUGUUGAAUUAAUGAUGAAAUUAAUAGUGAAUUAAUAACAACAAGCGUACUGAUUACUUAGCUUCUUUGUUAAACAUGUUCGAUGUUGUUUAACAGCCUUUGUUUGAUUUUCUUUAGCUCAACCACAACAUCUUUCAUAUCUUUUCUUUCUUCUGGUAACUCAGCUGAACAAUUCAAAGCCAACUCCAUGAUGGAUGAAAUACAAUUUGCUUUAACAACAAAGUACUCAUCCUUUCUUCUUAGUAAAUCAACAUCUGCAAUUUCUAUCGCUCCUUUAGGCAACGAACUUUCCAUCCAAUGCGUUAUAGUCAUUUCUUCAGCAAAAAAUUUAUCAGUUGGCUUUUUCUUUGUAAAAGUUUCUAUAAGGAUGAUCCCAUAACUAUAGACGUCACAUUUUAUACAAACAAUUCCUGUUGAUCCAAAUUCUGCAUUUCAAGUAUAAUUAGAACAUCAUCAAUCCUUAAUUAGUUCUAAAAUGCUUAUUCAAAUAUAUAUCCAUAUAUGCAUGAAACAAAAGUAUAAAAUGCAAAUUAGGAAAAUAAUGAUACAAAAAAAAAAUUCACCUGGUGCCAUAUACCCGAUAGAUGCAAGAGUCAUGGUUUGCUUUAUUACAUCACCUUCUCCCAACAAUUUGGCACAACAAAAUCUCCCACAUGUGCAACCAUGUCUUUAUCUAGUUGUAAUAGCCCAUUUUGCCCGGGGCCCAAUAAAACCCAAAACAAACCAAAAUAAUAAAACAUUCACAGUCCAUUUACAAUAAAUAAACACACUACCCAUAUCAAGCCCAAUUAAACCCAAAUCUCAAAGCCCAAAACAAAACAACACAACCCGAGCCCAUAAACUAAAAAUUUUCAGCACAAAAAACCCUAGCCCUAAGCCUCCAGUGCCGCAUGUGCUCCACCGCCGCCGCUCGCCUAUCACCGGCCAUCCACGCGUCUGGCACCACCUGCAAGAGCAAACAACACGCAAAAGAAGAGGCCAACCAGUAACAGACAAGAACAAAGAAAUGAAACAAAUUUUGUAAUUUUGGCUAUAAAAGCCCGAAUAUAUCUUUGUAAUUUCUUCUUCCGUUUUACGAACAUCUAGUAAAAAAAAGAAGAAAAGCAGAGAACAGAUUUUCGAGAGGUGAAACCUUUUUUUCGGUUCUUUUUUUUCAUUAUAUUUUAUUUUUUUAUUUUCAUUUUUUAUAUCAAACAAUGAAAUAAAAAAAAGGAGAAAGAAAUGUAGCAGAAUCGACCCUUAGCCCCGCCGUCGGUGGUCUUUUCCCCGGCAUCGAAAUUGGCGAGAAAUGAGGCAAAGGUCGAAUCUUUUUCAUUUUUCUUUACUUUUCAGUCAUUUUCCUUGUAGAUCUAAAAUCUACGCUUAAAACGGGCUAAAAAUAAAAAGUUUUGGGUUCUCCGGUCACCGUGGGCUGCGACACCGUCGCCGACGAUCGGCGGCCGCCACGGGGGUCAACGGCCGGCCCUUUGCCCGGAAUCGAAGAGAAAUUUUAAGAGAAAAGGGAGCUUUGGAAAUUUUUUAAAGCAAAUGGCUGAAAUGGGGUUUCAAAAAAAUGUUGGCUUUUAUAAUACUAUUAAACGGCGUUGUUUUGCAACUGAAGGUCAGGUGCCAAAACGACGUCGUUUUGGCCCUUACCCGCUCGCGCUCCCGACCCGCUCCUGGGGGAUCCGCGUGUUUUUGGCGUUUGGGCUAUUUGCACUGCGGAUCCUUCUGCAUUUCGCCCAGUUUAUGAUUUAGUCCCUUUCGUUAGAUUUCUUUUAUUUUUAAUUUCGCCUUGAAAUUUUGUUCUGAUUUUAUCGGAGUCCCGCAAAGUGCUGCGUUUUGGAGGGCAGGGAUAUUUUCCCCUUUGGUCCCUCCUUGUUAUUCACGCACUCGAUUUGGUCCCUUUCUUUUAUUCAUUUGCGAAUUUGCCCCCAUAUUUCUGUGUUAAGUUCAAAUUAGUCUCUUUUUUAUUUAUUUUUGCUAUUAAAUUAAUUAAUUUUGAUAAUAUUAUCAUUAUUAUUAUUAUUAUUAUUAUUAUUAUUAUUGCUAUUAUUAUCUUCGUAUUAUUAUUAUUGUUUGCUUUAUUAUUAGUAUUAUUAUUAUUUUCAUUAUUACUAAUAUUAUUAUUUUUAUUUUACUACUCUUAUUAUUAUAUAUUGUUAUUAUUUUUAAAUUGUUUUACCUAAUAUUCCCUCGUUUAUUAUUUAUAUUCACUCGUUCAAAUUUUCAAUCAUUUUCAAUUAGUUACUUCUUUUUUUAAAUCAGUUUGUUUUAUUUUUUAUUUUCAUUUUAUUAUUUCAUUAUUUUAUUGUUUUUAUUAUUUAUAUUAUUUUUGUUUUUACUCUUAUUAUUCCUUUUUAUUUUGGUUUAUUUCAUUUCAACUUUUGCGCUCAAAUUUUUUUUGUUAUUUCGUCAUCUAUUUAUUUUCGUAUUUAUAUUUUGUUAUACAUACAUUCAAAUCUCAACUAUUCAUUAUCAUUAUUAAUUUUAUUAUUAUUGUUAUUUAUAUUUAUUAUUGACAUCCUCAUCAUGUUGUUGCACACAUUAGCAUUGUAAUCCAUUUUACAUUUUACUAUAAAAUCGCGUUAUGUUAACCUUCAUCCAAUACAUUUUAUAUUAAGCAAUUUUGUAACUCAAAAUUCCAGAAAUCGUACCCUAACUUACUGGGUUUCGAUUUUCCUCGACGAGUCUAAAGAACCAAUCCUUUUUUUAAAAAAUCAAAGCAUAAGUUAAAUAAAAACUUAUCCUCAGGAGUUCAAAAUGUUGUGUCCUAACUCACUGGAUGUGACAUUUUGUUAUCUCAAGGUAAAGAUUUCUAGAAACACAAAGGCAAUAUUUUGAAUUUGGAAAUUCGAGAAAGUGUGCCCUAACGUGCUGGGUUUCAAUUUCUCGUUUGACCAAAUAGCCAAAUAUCCUCUUAAAACUUCAAAGUAUGGGUUUUUCAAACCAUAAGGUGAUCUUUGUUUCGAUGGUUUAAAGUAUCGUGUCCUAACGUGCUGGAUGUGAUAUUCCUUCGGAAUAAGAGAAUCUUAAAUUUCAAUCCAUGUUAUUCAAAUUUUUUUUAAGGAUUGUAUAUUUUUUUAAACUCUUCAAAGUUUUCAAUCUUCGACAUUAAGACACUAAUUAAUCAACUAGGUACCAAUUUUUGGGCAUUACGAGGGUGCUAAUCCUUUCUCGUACGUAACCGACUCCCGAACCUGUUUCUUUGAAUUUCGCAGACCAAAAGAAUUGUUUUAAUAAAUCUAAAUUGUUUAUUAAAAACAAUCGUUUUACGAGGUGACCCGAUCACACCUCAUCAAAAAAGAUUGGUGGCGACUCCCGUGUUUAUUAUCAUUUUCAAAACCCAAGUCGACCCCGUUUUCACAAAAAAAAUGGUGCCAACACUAGUAAAAUAUUGCUUGGUUUUAAGUCACAAUGAAUUACAGAUGUUGGAUGUCCAUUGUGGAGAUGUUCUAUAGCUACCGCAACAUCUAUCAUUAUGUCGACCCUUUGUAUGAUAUCAAGGAAGCAAAUUUCGGAAUGUAACCAUUUCUCAAGGUUUCCAUUAGACAUGUUAUCAAGCACCAAGGCUUUAAAGUCAACACUUGAGCAGCAAGUAAUGACCUUCACAAUAUUACGAUGAACUAUAUUACGCAUAGCAUCACAUUCAAUGUCAACACUCCUAAAUGCUCCCUCUGUUUGCAAAUUAAAAACUUUUAUUGCAACUUCCAUUCCAUCUGAAAGCCUCUCUUUAUAUACAUAUCCAAAACUCCUUGAACCAAGCAUAUUGUUUUCCUCAAAUCCAUUAGUUACUUGUGAAAGUUCAGCAUGUGAAAUUCUUCUCAGCGUUUUCAAAGACAACAAAUCAUCCUUACUUGGUAGAGUUGUACUCCUACUUUGGCAUCUUCUAUACAUAAUAGUUAAGACUAUUAGUAAUACGACAAUACCAAUUGUUGGUAAACCAUACCUUAAAACAUGCAAUAUAUUCAUUUGGGAGUUUUCUUGGAUGUCGUUUUUGCAAGGGGGGACUAGCAAUCUAGGUGGACCACAAAGUGCAAAAUUCUUCAUGAAUGAUCUACUAGAAAAGUUUGGAAAACAUCCUUCGGUGGGAAUUUCCCCUUCAAGUCUAUUGAAAGACACAAUAAAAUACUUUAGAUCUAAAAGAUUUUUCGAAGAUUUGGGAAUGGCUCCAGAGAGAUUGUUAUUGCAUAAAUUCAAGAAUUCCAAACUAAUCAAACCAUCUAAUGAUCCAGGGAUAUGACCAUGUAGUAUAUUAUUUAAUAAAUCUAAUGAAAUCAAAGUUUGAAGACCCCCAAAUGUGAAUAAGAUAUCGCCUGUGAGAAUAUUCCUUGAUAUAUUUAGUUUCAAUAAACUCCUCAAAUUUCCAACAUCAAUAGCAUGUGAAUUGUGAAGAUGGUUUGAUGAUAAAUCUCUUUCUAAGAUAUCUUUAAGAUUCCACAAAGUUGAGGGUAUUGCAGAACUCAAUUUGUUGGAAUUUAAGUAAAGAUAUCUUAAAGAAGUACUAUAACCCAAACAAGAGGGUAUGGAUCCAUGCAAGUUAUUCAACCCUAAAUACAUCUCGUAUAGUCUCUCCAAACCACAAAGGCUUUUUGAGAUUGGUCCUAAUUUAUUCGAGUGAAAAGUUAGACUUUGGAGAUUUCUCAUUCCUCCUAUUGAUGCUGGAAUAGAUCCACUUAAUUUAUUAUACCCAAGUUGUAAAAGCAAUAGGUUGUUUAAGUUACCUAUUUCCAUAGGACUAUUGCCUUUAAGCUCACAAUUAUUGGCAAAAAAGUAUUGAAGGGAUUUUGAAAGGUUCCCGAUAUAAGUAGGAAGAACAUCACUCAAUGGAUUUCCUGAAACAACUAUUCUUCUCAAAUGCCUGCAAUUUGCCAAAGAAGAAAGAAAGGUCCACUCAUGAUCAAUAGCAGAUCCUGUGAUCAAAUUAUUAUUUAUGAUUCGGAGCACUUCAAGGUGUCUUAAGUUGCCAAGCGUUUUAGGAAUUGGGCCAGAGAAUAAGUUAUCUUCCAAGGCUAGAUUCUUAAGCAUGGAAGCAUUGGAGAUAGAGCCGGUAAUGUUUCCGCUAAAUUUAUUUCCCCACAAUACAAGAUUCUCAAGUUUUGGAGCAUUGGUAAGGGUGGUAGAGUACCUGUAAGAUAGCAUCUUUUAAUAUACAUAGCCAUUGGAUACCAAAUUCACAAAACAUAUAAUACAUUAAAAUACAUUUUUAAAAUAAAAAUUGUAAACCUUUAAAUCAAAUAAAAAUAUAAUUUUGGCCUGGAAAAAUGUGAUCAAAUCAAUUAGUCCCUUGUGAUUUGUAUAAACAAAAAAAUAAAAUAAAACCAUUCCAUACCAGUAUUGUAUUUGAUUUAAUGAUAGAGUUGUAAGUUACUUGUAAAAGUUACAUGCUCUAGCAUAUAAAUUUUGUCCAAGCCUUGGGUUGAAAUCAUCGUUACUUUUUUAGAUCUAAAAUUGAUUGAAUAUCAAAUUUGUAAAAUACUGUAAAAUUUUGAAUCAAAUAAAAACAAAACUUUGACAUGAAAAUGUGGCAUCUAAUCAAUUUUAAAAAUGACAUUGACACUGAAUACGAAAUUAUGAAUAAAAAUUAGUUAUGGUUUGGGAAACAAAAAUAUUAAAUUAUUCUGUAUGAUUUGGUAUUAGUUAUUAUUUUGAAUAAUAUUGUUAAUUUUUAAUUACAUAAAACUAUUGUAUGUUAAAUAUGGUUUUAAUUAUGCCUUGAAAUUUUAUUAUUAUAUUUCAACUACCAUAUAAUAUUUUAAUUAUGUUUAGCCAUUUGAAUAACAAACCAAAAAACUAAUUAAAAACUAAUUACUUCUUUAAGUAUAAUGGAAAUUAAAAGUUUUCAAUUCAUAUAAAUUUUAUUGUUUAUUAUCAAAUUAAUACAUUUUAAUAGAUGAUAAAAUAUAUGAGCAAAAAAGAAGAAACAAUUAAAGAGAAUGUUUUUGGAGUUUGGAAAAAAUUAAAGUGAAAAACAUACCUUCUAAUUUGUUGUCACAUAGAUCUAUUUCUUCGAGCGUAGUUGAAUAAAAAACACUUUCCGGAAUCAGCUCACUGAAUUGAUUUGCUGCUACGAAUUCUAAAGCUUGUAACAUUCACUUAUACUAGAUGGAAUGUUACAGAUAAUUCAUUUGUAUCCAAGUAAAGCCCCUCAAACUUGGGAAGAUGUUGACACAUAUCAUUAAGUAAACUACCUGAUAGGCUAUUGCAGGAGAGAUUAAUAGUCUUCAGAGAAGAAAUAUUGAAGAUAGAAGACGGAAUCUGACCUGUAAGGUAUUUAAUUACUGUAAUACUAAGCAUUUUCAAACAUUACUAAUAUAAAUAGUUCAUGGAAGUAAGAAAGUGUGCAUAAUAAAACCAAAUUGUAUAAAAAAUUUAAAAAAUUUUGAUUAAUCAAUAAAUUUAAGAUUUUAUAUAUUGAAGUGGGUUCAAAUCUCACUAUUAUUUUUUGUUUUGUUUUUUUUUUAAAAACCAAAGUACCUCAAAUAAUGUAACUAAUUUUAAAUACGAAAAGUUAUUUUUGAAAUUUCUCUAAUCGAGUUGGUGCUCAUUGACUCGUAACACAAUCCUAAUCAGAUACUUAAAUAACAAUAUAGAUAUUCACAUUCACCAAAAAAGUUCAAAAAAAUUGUUACUUUAGUUUCAAAUAACAAAUUUUAAUUAUUUAUAUAACAAGUAACUUUAUAAUUCAUGUAUAAAUUUGACUAUUAAGAAAAGAAAAAAUGAAAUUAAAUAAUGAAUAAUUUAAUUGAAAAUAUAUCAAUUUUUAUAUUUUCUACAUAUGCUUUAAUGAUGAUGGAUUUUUUUUAUUAUCACUAUUUUUGAAUUAAAAGAAUUUAUUAAUAUAAUUUAAUUAUAUUUUGAAUAAUGUUACUCUUUUUUAAUGACAUGAAGUAAAAUCAUAUUAUAUAUUAAAGAGGGUACAUAUGCUUUAAUUAUAGCUUGAAAUUUUAUUAUUACAUUUGAGUUAUUAAAUAAAUUAAUAUAUUUUAAUUAUAUUCAGCCAUUUGAAUAACUAAUUAGAAUAAUUUUAAAAAACAUUAUUUAAAAGCUAUGUAUAUAAAUGUAUAUGUAUAUAUAUGGUUGUUUCAUAUUUUUAAAAUAAAUAUAUUUUCAAUGUUGGUUUCUUUUCUUCCACACACAAAGUAUUUCUAAUGUUUUUUUUUUAUAACUUUUACUUAUAUAAAAUAGAUUAGUUAAUGCAAUAACAAAUUAAUUACUUUUUUUAAACUUAAUGGAAAUUAAAAUAAAUAAAUUCAUAUAAAUCUUAUUGUUUAUUAUCAAAUUAAUAGAUGAUAAAGUAUAUGACAAAAAGAAAAGGACAAAUUAAAUUCAAUAGAAUGUUUUUGGACUUGUGGAAAAUUUUAAAGUGAAAAACAUACCUUCUAAUUUGUUGUCAAAUAGAUAUAUUUCUUCGAGAAUAGUUGAAUUAAAAAUACUUUUUGGAAUCAGCCCACUGAAUUGAGUUGUUGCUAAAUUCAAAACCUGAAGCUUGUUACAUUCACCUAUACUUGAUGGAAUCUGACCUGCACACAUACUUGACAUAAGUCAAAGAGGUUUUCUUUUCUAUAAUUUGGAGAUGUUAUAUUUUAAUAUAUUUAAUCAUAUUUUUUCUUCAAAUUAACUAUUUUGAUUUUAAUGAAAUAAAAAGCUCUUACUUUUUCUUUUAUAAAAAAAAAAUACUUUAAACUAAAGAAACCAAAGAAAUUUAGUACCUUCUAGAUUAUUAAACACCAAAUAUAAAUGUCUAAGUCGUGUCAAGUUUCCAAUACUUCUUGGAAUGAUACCUGUGAAUUGAUUAAUGGACAGUGACAAAAUUUGAAGGUUGCAUUUGUCUAUACUUAAUGGAAUGUUACCAGAUAAUUCAUUCAAACUCAAGUGAAGCCCUUCAAGCUUAGGAAGAUGUUGACACAUAUUAUCAGGUAAUCUACCUGAUAGGAUCAAUAGCCUUCAGAGAAGAAAUGUUGAAGAUAGAAGAUGGAACCUAGACAGAUAAUUGAUUGAAUUCCAAGUUCAAGAUCUCUAGAUUGGACAUGUUAACAAGUGUUUGAUGGAUUGUGCCUGUAAAGUUAUUAUUUUUCAUUUCCAGCCUUUGGACUCUGUGUAAGUUCCCAAGCCAUGAUGGAAUUUCCCCAUUAAGACCAUUGUAGCUUAAUUGGAUGAUCCUCAAACGGUGCAACUGGCCCAAUUCUUUAGGCAGAUGGCCAUAGAAAUUGUUGCUACUCAAGUCGAGAGAGAGUAGGAAUGAAAGUUUUCCAAGUUGUGAAGGGAUAGUACCUCGAAGAUUCAUGUUUGUAAGAUUCAAAGCUACAACUCUUUCAUGGAUGAUGCCACAAGAAACACCAAUCCACCUGCAAACAGAGCUAGAGGCUAUCCAAUUGUUUUCCAAGACAUUGUGAGGAUCGACUCGAUCCUUAUACUCGAGGAGUGCAAACUAAUCGGUGGUGAGAUUCCUGGCUGUCAUAGCCAAACAAAGUACGGAACAUGGUACGAAUAGAGCUAAAAGAAGAUGAAAGCAAGUGGUGUAGUUUAUGAUUGCAAGACGGAAUAAGGCAAGAAAAUAAAAGAGUAGGAAAAGGGAAAUUGAAAUGAUAAAAUAGUUGGAUGAUGAAGAAAAGCCCAGAGAGCCUGCUUUAAUAUGUUUCAACCCUCCCACACUUCUCCUAAUUAAAUUCACUCGGCUGGGGUUACAACAUUAAUUUUCAAAAUAAAUGUCAAGUCUUCUUUUAAAACACAUCCAAAGAAGCGAAUUUUCUCCAAAAUUUCUUCACAUUACUCCACAUAAUCCAUAACAAAAUUAAUAAAAUAUAAUUUUUUAAUUACUAUAUAUUCUUUUAUUUUCUUCACAAUAAUAAGUUGGUUAAAUAUGCUAUUAAUCCCUGUACUUUUUAGAAUUUGAGAUUUAGUCCUUAUACUUUAAAAGUUAAAAAUUAAUUCAAAGAUAUUCUUUUUUCUAAACUGAGUGAAUUCACAAGCUUUGUUUUCCUUUAACAAAUAUUUUUGGUAUUUUCGUGGAUAUGAGGAGAUACUGAAAAUUAUUUUACUAUGAACUUUUAAUUCACUCAAAAAAAUAAGUGUUUUAUUUCAAGGGAACACAAUUAAACAUUAGAUUUCCCAUUUUUAUGUUUUGAAUAUUUUUGACAACUGCAUAAUCAACAAAGUAUCAAUUUUGGGCGUUGUGAGAGUUUUAUAACCUUCCAUAUGUGUAAUCGAUUUUUGAACCCACUUUUUAUUUUAGAAUUCAGGACAUACCUUAAAUUUUUCUUUUUAUAAGUUAUUUAAAAUCUAUUUGUAAAAAGCGAAUUUUUAAGUGACCGAUCACGCUUAACAAAAAUGAUUGGUGGCGACAAGUCCUUUUUGAUAAAAUCUUGUUCUUGGAAAGACCAAAGUUUUCAUUUUUUUAAGAAGUUUUCAAUUUAAUUUUCUUUUUGAAUUUUUAUUUUUAACCAGAAAAUGGUCCUUACAGUUAUUAUUUAUUUCCCAAUUUUUAAUGGUUUUUUUCAAGGAGAUGAAUAGUGGGAUGAAAAUUUUUGGUUAAGGUAAACUCAUUAUGUAUAGUUGAUUCUUUUUUGAUCCUUCAAUUAUUAAUUUUUUUGAUUUAAUUACAUAUUUUUUUAAAAAAAAAUUAACACUCUCUUAGUUGCCUCUUAAUUGAGGGACAAAAAACUUAGACAUUUUUUAAUCACAAUUAAUUUAAUUGCGUUUAGGAUCACAUAAUUUUCUUUUAUUCUUUUUAAAUUAUAAACUGUUUCAAAAAUUCCGUCAAUAGCUUAAGUGAAAUUAUCCUUUUUUGAAAUAUCAAUUUCACUUAAGCUAUUGACUUAAUUUUCAGCUAUUAGUCUUUUUUCCAAUCAAAUUGACUCUUAGCAGAAAUGCAAACUGCGCAAAAGAGUGUAAACAAAGAAGUUGAAUUUAAUUAUUUUCUGAGUCUAGUUUCAAAAGACAUAAUUAAUAAUAAACUUAUAACUAGCCUUAUUUAUUUAACAUGUUAAGAAACCUUUGCUUCAUUUUCUUGAACUCAACCACAACAUUCUUCCUAGCUUUUCUUUUUUGACGUAAUUCAGUUCAACAUUUCAAAAGAAAUUCCAUAAUCGAUGAAAUACAAUUUGCUUUAACAAUAAAUCUGCAUCCUCAAAGUCUAGUAGUCCUUCCAACAAUGAGCUUUGUAGGGCCCAACUUCUGCCCCGGGCCCAAAUAAUAAAAACCAAAAAUAAUCCAAAGUUAAACAGUCCAGUUACAUUAAACCCAAAUACAAGCCCAACUACCCAAACCCUAAGCCCAAACCUAAUAGCCCACAACAAACUUUCAAUAGCAGCAAAACGUGCAACACGCAACAAAAAGAAGCAACCAAAUCGCAAAACAACAAAAAACAGGCAUCAAAGAGUUGUUUAGAUCGGCUAUAAAGCCAAAAAUCAGAGACUUGUAGUUUUUCGGCUUCCUUUUUUAACACACAUCAGAAAUAAAAGAUCAUAUAAACUUCUAAAAGGUUGCUGUUCUUUCUUUGUUUUUCUUUUUAUUUCACUUAUUUUAUUUAUUUUUUUUACUGAUCCUUUUUUACAAAUAAAAAACGAUUAAUAAAAGAAAAACAAGAAAGGAAGAGAAGGGGAAUAGCUAGAAUCACCCGCAAGUCCCAUUGCCGGAGCCCUUUUGCGGCCACCGGAGUCGUGCUGGGAGGGUGCGGGGUCUCCUUUUCCUCUGGUCUUUGGGCCAAGAAAGGCACCGUCACCAAAAGGCCUUUUAAAUCGGUUUAAAAUAGACCUUCGGGUCGCAGGCCACCGCCCGCGGCGGAUCUAUGGCGGCGCGAGUGACGGCCAUGUUGGCCGAAUUUGGGGGGACCGAGAGAGAAACCUUACUCUCUCUGUUUUUUCUAGAAAAUUGAAGGAAAUGAUUUCUUUUUUAUUUUUUUUGUAUUUAUAUAUGCUAUAAUACGGCGUCGUUUUGGCCUUAGCAUCAGUGGCCAAAAACGGCGCCAUUUUGAUGUUUGACCCGCGACCCGACCCAGUAACGCUAAAGAUCCGCGCGUUUUCGUUUAAGGGUCUAUUUGUGCAAUAGGUCCCUCCACCUUUGUUGCGUGUUUCAAUGUGCUUUUUUUAUUUUUUUGAUUUUGGCCACCAGAUUUUUAUUCUGUUUUAAUUUGGUUCUGGGAUGCGCAGGCCCCAGUAUUGCGAACGGCCCCGUUCAGGUGGCAUGGGAUUAUUUCCCUUUCGACCCUACGUCUAUGUGCGCAUUUCGCUCAGGUCCUGAAUGUUCUUUUGUUUUUCAAAUUUUACCCUUUAAUUUUAUUUUAACUUCAAUUCGGUCCUUUAUCCUAUAUUUUAUUAUUUUGAAUGCUUACCUUGAAAUAUCAUUUAGUUUCCAAUUUAAUACAUAUAUCCCACAUGUUUUAUGAUCCAUAUAUAUUCAUACGUCUUUUAUAUUUUAUAAUUUUAAAAUUUGUACAUGCAUACGUAUAUUUUAUAAUUUCUAUAUGCGUAUAUAUAUAUCUACAUAUGUAUUUUUUAAAUUUUUUUUUACAAAUAUACACAUACUUAUACAUACUCUUUAUAUUUUAAAAUCUAUAUUUUUCUUAUGUAUUUUCCAUAGUUUAUAAUUCAUGUAUACAUAUUUUUAGAAAUUUUACAAUGCAUACAUGCACAUAAUAUAUAUAUAUGCGUUUUAUUUUUAUAAAUACAUAUACAUUACCUACCUUUAUAUUUUAUAUCUUCCAUGACUUUAUAUAUAUAUAUACAUGAAUGUACACAUACAUACUUACAUAUUUUUUACGUACAUAGAUUUUUCAUAUUUUCAUAAUUUUAUGCACACACAUAUAUAUCUUUUUACUUUUUCAUAAUUUUAUUUAUUAUUUAUUUAUUUCAUUUUUAUUAUUGAUUUGAGGAAAUGUUUUAAUUUUAUUUGCUUGUAUACAUUGUUAUUUCGGACGUUAUUGAUUUGUACUUUUUAUUUAUCUUAUAUUCGUUGCUAUUACUCGUAUUAUUUUUACAUCAUCGUAUUCAAUAUUGUUUUGUUACGAACAUUAACAUCGUGUUUUAUUUUUACUAUUUGGUGUUAGAUUAUUUUUAUUCAACACAUAAAUUAUGAUUUUUUGAAUAAGCAAAAUCUCGUGUUUAGAUUGGAGAAGGUUGUACCCUAACUUACUGGGUUUCGAUUUUCGCAAUGACUUUAAAUACGUGAAUCUUUUCAAACUCAAGUUUUAAAUGAUCUUGGGAUUUAAAAAAGAUCGUGUCCUAACUUACUGGGCAUGAAUCCUUUUUAAAAAAAAAUCUGAGAUAGCUAAAUAUCUUUUAAACAAGCAAAUUUUUAGCAUCCAUUCGCGUAUCGGGAAUUCGAGAUAUUGUGUCCUAACUUACUGGAUAUGAUUCUCUUUCUCGAUUAACGUGAAAUAUGCCCAUUUUCCCAAAAAUUUUCAACAUUUUAAUACAAGGAUCGUAUUUUUUAAAAUUCUUUAAAGUUUUCAAAUUUCGACCUCAAGACAUUAGCUAAUCAACUAGGUACCAAUUUUUGGGCGUUACGAGGGUGCUAAUCCUUCCUCGUACGUAACCGACUCCCGAACCCGUUUUUUGAAUUUUGUGGACCAAAAUUAUUGUUUUAAUAAAAUCUAAAUCGUUUAUUAAAAACAAUCAUUUUAUGAGGUGACCCGAUCACACCUCAUCAAAAAAAGGAUUGGUGGCGACUCCCAUUUUUGUUUUAUUUUUGAAAUUUAAGUCGACCCCGUUUUACCAAAAAAUGGUGUCAACAGCUUGGCGACUCCGCUGGGGAAGAGAUAUGUGAGUCAAGCCACGUGUUGAUUACUUUUUGUCUUUUUGUCGAAAAUCGAGAAUUUAAUUUAAAUUUACGAUCCGUUCAUUGCAUUUCAUUCGUCUUUAUUACGAUCUUCAUCAUUGUGGUUUUAUAGUUGUGUUGGUUUAAGUCUUGAUAUAUUUUUGCACAUUGCAUUGCAUGACCGUUGGUCACACCUUUUAAGUGGGAGUGAGAAGCUAUUUCCUUCGUGAGGUAUUCACCUCCGUGCAGGAUAGCUGAUCACUUUCGGGAUACAUCCGUACCUAUGUCUUUGUAAGAUUUUCAUCUCCGUGCAGCCAUAGGGAAAUGUAUUCCCCUGAACCGAACUCGGUCCGUAUGAGCCUAUAAUGGGUGAGGAUCGAGGAACCUACUGGUUUGGGUACCUUCGCUUUAGAGCCGAACCACAUGUAGUGAACCUAAGAGCCUACCUUAGGAAGAACCACUUCAAACCCCUAGUGGUCACCCGAGUAGGUGUUCUAUUUAUUCUUGCUUGCUUUUGCUUUGUACUAACCUGUUUUCUUUUGUUUUGAUUAUGAUUGCAUUGCAUUAUCAUCAUUAAAAAGAGGUGUUGAUUCACGUUCAGUUGCUAAAUAGAGAGCUUGUGAUAAAGUGGAUGACGAUACGAUUGUCCGAAUAUGGUCCAAGAAAACGUGAUAAGAAAAGGAUGAUAGUUUAAUGGAGGACUACAAGACUAUUGCUCCGUUGCCCAAGGAUUCAAGAUGACAAAGAUUAUUCGAGAGUCGCUGAACCUUCUUAAAAAGAAGCCAAUGAGCAUUACGAGGAUGAGUGAGCAACGAGUCGCGGCCUAGAUCAAGCAAAAAGGAGAUAGAAGAGACAUCUUUUUGAAGAGUUCGUGAAAUUUAUCUUAACGCUCAAAUGAAGAAAAGGAUCAAUUGUCUCCGCAUAUGAGGGCAAAGCCGUAUAUAUCCGUUACAGAGAUUUAUUUUCUAGUAAAGCUGUUCUAAUAGAGUUGAAUCAGAAUCAACAUCUCUUUUUGCAUUCAUUCCAUGCAUCUGUUUUACAUUUCAUUGCAUCAUUUGCAUUAAAUUUCACAAAAGAGCCCUACUUAAACGAGAUUAUUUCAGUUAAUCUGGAAACCAACAAGAAUCUACCAACCAAAUAUCACUAUGGUACCCGUCGCAAAACAAAAGUAAUGGAUUAGAGGUUAGAAAGAUUGGAACAAUUGCAAAAAAAGAUGCAAGAUCAGAUGCAGGAACGACUAGAUAAAAUCCAGCAAGACAUGCAAGAAUCCUAGAACACUAUGAUGAACAAAUUGGAGCAGUUAUUGGCUGGAAGGAAUGAUAAAGGAAAAAGCCCUUUAGUUGAUUCUGGAGUUGAUCAUGAGGACCCUAUUUAUCCUCCAGGUUUUACCCCAAUAGGCAUCCAGGCACAACCGGAUAUAUGCCCGCAAAGAGUACCUGUCAUUAUCAGACCUCAAUAUACGGUUGGUGCCUCAGUGCCAAUGCAUUUUCAAACGGGCUUGGGUUCUAAUCCCGGAGACAACCCUACCAAUCCUGUGGUCCCUAAUCUCGAUGACGUGGAAGAAAUAGAAAAAGCAAGAAUGGACCUGCCAAAACAACUUGACGACCGAUGUAGAUGGCUAGAGGAAAAAUUUAGAGCCAUGGAAAACACCGACUACCAUUGUGGAGUUGACGCCAAGGAUCUGAGUUUGGUCCCUGAUUUAGUGCUCCCGCCUAAGUUUAAGAUGCUGGAGUUCAAAAAAUACAACGGGACUAGUUGUCCUGAAGCUCAUAUCACUAUGUUCUGUUGAAGGAUAAUAGGAUACGUCAAUAAUGAUCAACUAUUAAUCCACUGUUUCCAGGAUAGUUUGAUCGUGUCUGCAGCCAAGUGGUACAACCAAUUGAGUCGUGCUAAAGUUAGUUCAUGAAGAGACUUGGCACAAGCUUUUAUGAAGCAAUACAGUCAUGUAACAGAUAUGACACCUGAUAGAAUUACGUUACAGAAUGUGGAAAAGAAGCAAAAUGAGAGCUUUAGGCAAUAUGCCCAAAGAUGGAGAGAGGUAGCGACACAAGUCCAGCCACCUCUUCUGGAGAAAGAAACCACAGUGCUUUUCAUUAACACUCUGAAAGCCCCAUUCAUUAACCACAUGUUGGGAAGCACUACUAUGAGCUUCUCAGAUAUGGUAAUGUCUGGCGAGAUGAUUGAAAACGCCAUAAGAAGUGGGAAGAUAGAUGCAAGGGAAGGUGCCAAAAGAUCAACCCCAAAGCACAAAGAAAAUGAAGUGAGCAACCUGAGCUUGUAUAAUAAAGGGUAUUCAAAAUUAGUCACUGUAGGCCAGCCAAGGACGGUAGCAGCUAGCUAUCAAGGCCCCUCAAAGUAAGAAUCCAACUCGAGGCCAAACACAGAAAGACUCGAGUUCACACCUAUCCCGGUGAUGUAUAAGGAGUUAUAUCAAAAUCUGUUUGAUGCGCAUGUAGUAGCUCCGUUCUACUCAAAACCCAUGCAACCUCCAUACCCCAAAUGGUACGACGUAAAUGCUCAAUACGAGUAUCACGUAUGAACUACGGGGCACUCGAUUAAAAACUACACUACAUUUAAAAAGUUAGUCGAAUGGUUCAUUAAUAUGGGCAUCGUGAAGUUUGACGAUCCAUCUGGACCUAAUGUGGCAGGAAGUCCGUUACCCAGUCAUCCAGACCCAGGAGUAAAUGCGAUAGCUGAGAAUGGAGGAAAAAAAACCAAAACAAAUGUUGCAGAAGUAAAACCCCCACUAAAAUGGGUUUUGAAACAAAUGAUGGACAUGGGAUUAAUCAUUCAGAAUUUGGAGAAGAGACCAAAAUGGAUGAGGAGCUACUGUGAGUUUCACGCUAAAGAAGGCCAUGAAAUCCAGGAGUGCACUGAAUUCAAAGCUUUGGUGCAAAGUAUAAUGGAUAAUAAAGAGUUGGAAUUCUUUGAAAAAGUCAAAGGCCUAGAAGAAAUGUUGGGAAAUUUAAAUGUUAACGAUGUAUCCGAAGAGGGAACUGAGGAAGAUAAUUUAUGAGGCAUCGGCCCUUAACGCAUUUGGGAGUGUUUUGAACAAUGAGAUUGUGGAAGAGAUCCCUAUAUUUUUUUAGAUCUAUUUCAAAGUAAUGUCCAAAACACGCUUAUUGCUCUAAGCCUAGGAGCAAUAAGAAUCCUUUUGUGAGAUAGACUUAUGUUCAAUAUCUUUAUUUUAAUAAAAUGCAUCUUUGUUUCUCACUUCGAGCAAAUAUUCCUUUAUUAUUUCCAUUUCAUUCAUAAUCAUACUGUACAGAUAAAUAUUCUUAGAUUCUUUUUAUUCUUUGGAUUUGCUUUCGUCCCUACAAUAGGUCUCCAGAUAUCAAAGAUAUGAGUGACACUACUACUGACUCAGAAUCUCCUUUGAGCAAGAUAUGUGUCCAGAUGAGCCUCAGGACUUUGAAGAUAACUGAGACUGUAACUUAUCCCCUGAUUUGUUAAUGAUGGUAGAACAAGAUCCUACCUUACAAAUAAUCAAUGGAAGUCUUGACCUUUCUCUAUGUGGGGUACGGAUGUCAUUGAACCAAUCUCGUCUAAGGUUUUGGCGAUCAUCAAUUCAUCUUUAUGGUCGUUAAUUACCUCACUAAGUGGGUAGAAGCUGCUUCAUAUGCCAAUGUCACAAAAAUGACGGUCAGUAAAUUCGUAAAAAAAGAAAUCAUAUGUUGGUAUGGGAUGCCGAAAAGGAUCAUAUCUGAUGAUGCACCAAAUUUGAAUGAUAGCACGAUAUCAGAAGUUUGCAGUCUGUUCAAGAUUAACACCAUGUCGCCCAAAAUGAAUGAUUCAGUGGAGGAAAAAAAAAGGAAACCAAACAAAAAACAAAACAAAAAAAACAAAAAACAAAAAUAAAAAAACAAAAAAUAAAAAACCUCUACCGGGGUAACUUAUUUCUCAUUGGUAUAUAGAAUAGAGGCAAUUUUACCCAUCGAAGUUGAUAUUCCUUCCCUUCAAGUCUUGUUAGAGCUGAAGUUGGAUGAAGCAGAAUAGAUCUAGGCCUGAUAUCAUCAGUUAGAUUUGAUUGAUAAGAAAAGGUUAAAAGUUAUCUGUCAUGGUCAAUUGUACCAAAAGCGAAUGAUGCGAGUUCACUAAAAGGUUCGCCCAGAGAAUUCCAUGAGGAGGACUUGAUAUCGAAGAAGAUCCUUCUCAAACAAAAGGACUUAAGAAGAAAGUGAAUGCCAAAAUGGAAAGGACCUUAUGUGGAAGGCCUUAUUUGAAAAAGCGUUGAUAUUGACCAAGAUAGAUGGUAAGAACCUGCCCAAUCUUGAGAAUUCUGAUUCCAGCAAUAAAUACUUCACUUGAAAAAAGAAACGAAAAGAAAAAAGAAAAGAAGAAGAAUGAAAAAAGAAAAAGGAAAGGCCAAGGUGAAAACCCGCAAAGGGCGCCUUGAGACCAAAGAGGUUUUGAAUUGAAAACCCAGGAAUGGGCAGUUCAAAUUUUGAUCAAAGGUGGGGCAUGCAGUAGUCUUGUCGUCUCUGAAUUAAUAAGAAGGAGAGAUGCUACAUCUUGGGGGCAUCAAUGAAGUCUUCUAGGACUUCUAAACACAUAUCAAGUUCAAAAGGGUCCUCAAGAAGUUUGGGGCAGAGAAGCUCAUGCCACGAUAUCUGGGGCACCUCUUUUCAUUUAUUCUUUUUGUAUUUGUGACAAAAUACGCCAUCUUGAUUAAUUUAUUCUCAUUUUGUAUUCUAGCAAAAUUUGCUAUCUUGAUUAAUUUAUUCAUUCAGAGCUUUGCUCUCAAUAAUUUUUCAUCUUAUCCAUUGUGAUAAUCCUUUCAUCUUAUUCAUCUCAUAUCUUAGCAAAAUUUGCUAUCUUGAUUGAUUCAUUCAUUUCAAGCUUUGCUCUCGACAAAAUUUUAUCUGGUCCAUUUUGAUAAUCUUUUUCAAGCAUUUUUCUUUGAAAUAACGAUUAUUGGACUGAUAAUGUUCAAGCAAAAGAAGUUUUGCAUAUUACUCUGAAAGCUUCUAAAUAGUACGAGGACCUAAAGCAGGGCUAUUGUUUAGAACUAACCAACUUAAGGGUUAGAAGCAUUGGAGAAAGAAUAAUCUAAAUUGCGACUAUUUCUUUGGUUUUUCUAUCAAAGAUACCACUGAAUAAGAAAGCAUCGGUGAUAAAACCUUGAUGAACAAUAAAGAAUGACAAUCUAAGCAUUAAAAAUGGAUCAUUCUCAUGACAUUCUACAAAUAUCAUACAUACACAUCUAGUUAGGAGCAUUUUAUUCAUUCUAAUCAUGACAUCCUAAAUGCUAGGCAUAAAUAGGUAUAUAAAAUGGAUUUUACAGGUCAUGUUCCCCAAGGAACAGAUCAAUGAAGUUACCCAUACCCCUGAAGUUGCAGUGGGAUGGAUUGAAGUCAUCAUAUCCAACAUUAUCUCCCUGAGCAACAGUGGAGAAGGUUGAAGAAAGCAAGUCUUGUCUUCCUGUAUUGGCAGCGAAGUAGACUGAAGAUAGCAGAUCUUGUCUUAUUGUAUUGGCAGCGAAGUAGACUGAAGAUAGCAGAUCUUAUCUUCCUGUAUUAGCAGCAAAAUGGAUCAAAGAUAGCAGAUCUUGUCUUUCUGUAUUGGCAGUAAAGUGGAUCAAAGAUAGUAGAUCUUGUCUUCCUGUAUUGGCAGCGAAGUAGAUCGAAGAUAGCAGAUAUUAUCUCCUUGAGCAGCAGUGGAGUAGAUCGAAGAUAGCAAGUCUUGUCUUCCUAUAUUGGCAGCGAAGUAGACUGAAGAUAGCAGAUCUUGUCUUCCUGUAUUGGCAGCGAAGUAGACUGAAGAUAGUAGAUCUUGUCUUCCUGUAUUGGUAGCGAAGUAGAUCGAAAAAAGUAGAUCUUGUCUCCCUGAGUAGCAGUGGAGUAGAUCGAGGAUAGCAAGUCUUGUCUUCCUGUAUUGGCAGCAAAGUAGAUUGAGGAUAGCAGAUCUUGUCUUCCUGUAUUGGCAGCAAAGUAGACUGAAGAUAGUAGAUCUUGUCUUCCUGUAUUGGCAGCGAAGUAGAUCAAAGAUAGCAGAUCUUGUCUCCCUAAGCAGCAGUGAAGUAGAUCGAAGAUAGCAAGUCUUGUCUUCCUAUAUUGACAACGAAGUAGACUGAAGAUAGCAAGUCUUGUCUUCCUGUAGUGGCAGUAAAGUAGACUGAAGAUAGGAAGUCUUGUCUUCCUGUAUUGGCAGCGAAGUAGACUAAGGAUAGCAGAUCUUAUCUUCCUGUAUUUGGCAGCAAAGUAGAUCGAAGAUAGCAAGUCUUAUCUUCCUGUAUUGACAGUGAAAUAGACUGAGGAUAGUAGAUCUUAUCUUCCUGUAUUGGCAGCGAAGUAGAUCGGAGAUAGCAAGUCUUAUCUCCCUAAGCAGUAGCAGAGCAGACAGAUGAAACCAAUCCUAUCUCUCUGAAGUUGCAGUGGAGCAGAUUAAAAUGAUGAAUCAUAUGCCUCUGAAAUUACAGUAGGUCGAAUUAGAUCAUAUCACAUCAAACCUUAUCUCCCUGAAGUUACAGUGGAGCAGACUAAAACCACGAAUCUCAUCCCCACGGAUUUACAACAGAGUAGAUUGAAGUCAUAUCUCUCUGAGGAUGCCGUGAAGAGGAUCAAAGUCAUAAGGCGCAGUGGGCUAGAAAGAGACUACUUGAAGAAGAGGAGUAUCAAGAGAUCAAGAUUCGUGCGACCAUUGAACGUAAAAUCAAAAUGCUUAAAGUGUAUGGAGAUUCCGCGUUGGUGAUAUACCAACUCAAAGGAGAGUGGGAAACCAAAGACCCUAAAUUGAUCAAUUAUAAAGAACUGGUUCUUGAAUUGAUUUACGAGUUUGAUGACAUCACCUUCAGUUAUCUCCCAUGAAAGGAAAACCAAAUGACUGAUGCAUUGGCUACUCUAGCUUCGAUGAUUCAGGUGAACAGGCUUGAAGUAAUGAAGCCUAUUCAGAUGAGUAUCUACAAAACCCCAGCUCAUUGCUACAAUAUUAAGGGGAAGGGAAAAGACAAUCACCCUUGGUAUCGGAGUAUCCUACAGUAUGUGAAGAAUCGGGAGUACCCUAGCCAGGCAACAGAGAACGACAAGAGAACUCUGAAAAGAAUAGCCAUCGAAUAUAUCUUAGAUGGGGAAGUGUUAUACAAAAGAAGGAAAGAUCAGGUAUUGUUAAGAUGUGUAGAUGCCGUAGAAGCUAAGAAAAUUUUGGAGGAAGUCCAUGAGGGUAUCUGUGAGACGCACGUCAAUGGCUUCACCAUGGCCAGAUAGAUCAUGAGAUUUGGGUACUAUUGGUCCACUAUGGAAGGGGAUUGCAUUAAUUACGCCAAGAAAUGCCAUAAAUGUCAAAUUUAUGGAGACAAGAUGCAUCCCCCCUUCGCUACUUCAUGUUAUGACCUCUCCAUGGCCAUUUUCCAUAUGGGGUAUGGAUGUCAUUGGGCCGAUAUCGCCAAAGGCUUCUAACGGGCAUCGUUUCAUCUUCAUAGUCAUUGAUUACUUCACUAAGUGGGUAGAAGUUGCUUCUUAUGCAAAUGUCACGAAGUCAGCAGUUAGUAAAUUCUUGAAAAAUGAGAUUAUUUGUCGAUAUGGAAUGCCUGAGAGAAUCAUAUCCAACAAUGCGCUGAAUUUGAACAAUAGCACAAUAGCAGAGGUUUGCAGCCAAUUUAAGAUCAAGCAUCAUAACUCAUCGCCGUAUCGUCCAAAAAUGAAUGGUGCAGUAGAGGCGACCAAUAAGAAUAUUAAAAGAAUUGUGGGGAAAAUGACUGAGACUUACAAAGAUUGGCAUGAGAAGUUAUCAUUUGCUCUCCUUGCCUAUCGAACAUCUGUUAGAACUUCUACUAGGGCAACACCUUUUUCUCUAGUUUACGGAAUGGAGGCAAUAUUACCCAUCGAAGUUGAAAUCCUCUCUCUACGGGUAUUAUCCGAACUCUAGUUGGACGAGGCUGAAUGGGUCCAAUCUCGUUAUGAUCAGUUGAACCUAAUAGAGGAGAAGAGAUUAAAAGCUAUUUAUCAUAGGCAAAUGUACCAGAAACGAAUGAUGUGAGCCUAUGAUAAAAAGGUUCACCCCAGAGAAUUUAGUGAAGGAGAUUUGGUGCUAAAAAAGAUUCUUCCUAUGCAAAAGGACUUUAGAGGAAAAUGGAUGCCAAAUUGGGAGGGUCUUUAUGUCGUAAAGAAGGCCUUUGAUGGUGGAGCUUUGAUUCUAAGUGAGAUAACUGGAAAAGACUUGCCCAAUCCCGUAAAUUCAGACUCAGUCAAGAAAUACUUCACUUGAAGAAAAGGGACCAAAGUGAAAACCCGCAAAGGGCGCUUUGAUCCCUAAAAAAAAAGAAAUGAUGAUGAUAAAAAUGGAGAGGCUAAGGGGAAAACCCGCAAAGGGCACCUUAGGCCAAAGGGGAUUUGAGUUGAAAACCCGAAAAGGGCGGCUCAAAUGUUUGAUCAGAAUGGGACAUGAAAUGCUUAGAGCAGCUGGUAUCUUGAUCAGAUCGGGAUGUGUGGCAAUCUUGCUAUGCCUGAAUUAACAAGAAGGGAUAGGCGAUAUCUUGGGGCAUUGACAAAGCAUUGAAGAUCUCCUAAACACAUGUCAAACUCAGGAUGGCCUUUAGAAAGUUUGUACAGAGAAAUUCAAGCUGCGAUAUCUGGGGGAUUUAAUUCCCCUAUUAUUUUGUAUAUAUUGAAUUUUGUUGAUUCUUGGAAUAUUUUCUUUCUCUUUUCCAAGAUAUAUAUUCCCAAUCAAUUUCUCUACUAUUUGUGAUGACUUAUUUAUUUUUAGCUAUGUUCAGAACCAAAUUUAUUCUUAUAUAUUGUUAUGACCUUUUCUGCAAACAUGUUACAUUAGAAUAAUGAUUAAUGGACUAAUAAAACUUUCACAAAAGAAGUUUUGCAUAUUACUCUGAAAAGUUCCUAAAUAAUACAGGAGCCUAAAACAAGACUAUUGUUUAGAACACACCCAAUUUUAAAGAUUGGAAAUUUGAGAAGGAGUUUAAAUUUGGACUUUCUCUUUGGAUUUUGUUGUCAAAUGCAUUGAUUGGCAAGAUGCCAUGUUGAUGACGAAGCUUAAGUAAACAAGCAAACAAUGAUCACCAGGCAAGAGGAAGAGGUUACUUUGAAAAAGCCUUCAUCUACACAUAAGUUUCUAGUAUGACACCUUCAAAAUUGUGUGAGAAACCAGAACGAUUCAGAUCCUAUAUCCUUGAAUUGUGGGGAUUGAGGAAAAGCCACAUAUUUCUACCCUUGGAUUACAAUGGGAAAGUGGUGGUACAAUUUUUUUGCGCCCCAAUGGUUUAAACUUUAAGGUUCACAGUGGGGGCAAUCUGACUAAGUGAUUCUUUGAAGAAGCCGGUCAAGCGAGGAGGCGUUACAGCACAUCAGUGUUAAAGCCUUAAUAAAUUUCGAGUAAUAAUAACCUAAGCGGGAUCAUUCUCAAAAAAUAAAAUUCUGCAUUCAUGCAAACACUAUCCACACAUGUCUAUUUAGGAGCAUUCGAUUCAUUUUGAUCAUGCCAUCCUAAUCAUUAGGCAUAAUUAGGUUCAUUAUACAGGUCAUGUUCCCCAGAGAAUAGAUCAAUAAAGAUCGAAAACAAAGCCUUGCCUCCAUCGGUUGCAGUGGAGCGGAUUAAAAUAAAGGAUCUUAUCUCUCUGAAGUUACAGUAGAGUAGAUCGCAUCAGAUUGAAGCCAAAAAUCUUAUCUCCCUAAGAUUACAGCGGAGCAGAUUGAAGCUAGAAAUUCUAUCUCCCUGAGAUUACAGUGGAGCGGAUUAAAAUAAAGGAUCUUAUCUCUCUGAAGUUAUAGUAGAGUAGAUCGCAUCAGAUUGAAGCCAGAAAUCUUAUCUCCCUGAGAUUACAGUGGAGCAGAUUGAAGCUAGAAAUCCUAUCUCCCUGAGAUUACAGUGGAGCAGAUUAAAAUAAAGGAUCUUAUCUCUCUGAAGUUAUAGUAGAGUAGAUCGCAUUAGAUUGAAGCCAGAAAUCUUAUCUCCCUGAGAUUACAGUGGAGCAGAUUGAAGCUAGUAAUCCUAUCUCCAUGAGAUUACAGUGGAGCGGAUUAAAACAAAGGAUCUUAUCUCUUUGAAGUUACAGCGGAGUAGAUCGCAUCAGAAUGAAGCUACAACAGCAAAUCUCACUACCCCGACCUCACAAUUAAGCAGAUUAAGGUUACGAGUUACAAAUCCUAUCUCCCUGAUGUUACAGUGGAGUGGAUCGAAGCACCAAUUCCUAUACCUCUGAAGAUGUAGUAGGUUGAAAUGAGUCAACUCGAAGAAGAAGAGCACCAAGGUCCAAACACGACUGGGCAAAAAGGGGCUUUAGUCUUUGCACCGUUCCCGUUACACGACAACAAGCAAAGAGGGGUAGCUGUAAUAGCCCAUUUUUGCCCGGGCCCGUAAUAAGUAAACCAAAAUUAAAAAUUAAAAAUUAAAGUCCAAAAAAUAAUAAUAGAGUCCAUUUUUUACAAUAGGCCUAAUAGCCCAAAUCCACUACCCAAACCUAAUUAGCCCAAAUCCACUACUUAAACCCAACUAGCCCAAAUGCCCAUGACCGAACACUAAAUCUGAUUAGCCCAAUUACAGUGGCCCGACACCUAACCCAAAACCCGAUUCAGCCCAAUUAGCCCAUUUUGAAAAAGCAUUCCAGAAAUCACUAGGGUUUCUAGAACCCUUCAGCCGCCAUUGCCACGCACGGGCUCCCCUUCGAGCCACUCCUCACGCGCGUGAUGCCUUCGUACGCCACGCAUGCCUCCGUACGGCCACCUCUGUACCUCUAGGCUGGCCGAGUACCUGCAAAUACAAGCGAACACACGGAAGCAGCAACAAAUAGAAAAACAACAGCAUUUUUAUUUUAUUUUUUUAUUUUCUGUAAAUGGGGCUAUAAAGAAGCCAUUCGAACACUGUAAACGAUUUACACGCAUUUUCAGAAUACAGAAAUCAAAAAAAGUUCCAAAAGGUGAUUUUCGGUUCUCUUUUCUUUUUCGCAGAUCGUUUUCCUUCUUUCCUUUUGUUUUUACAUACAUUAGUCAUCUGUUAAAGGAGAAAAGGGGAACCAAAAGGGAAGAGGGGCAUACCUGAGGGCCGGAUUUUUGCUCACUCCGCAGCCAUCGGAGUUGGGGCGAAUAUUGGGAGUCUUUGGAGGCAAUGAAUCCCCAGAGCGGCGACGAGCCUUUCUUUUUGUUUAGGUUUUGCUAAUGUAAACCCUAGGUUUUAGGAUUUAUUUAGUUUUUAAGUGCAUGAAUUAAAACGACGCCGUUCAGAGUCAAUGCAAUGGCACUGAAAUGACAUUGUUUUGGAGACUCAACCCAAACGAUGACCCGAUCCGGGAAGGAUCCGCACAAUAUGGGUCGAAUGGUUUAUUUGCUAAAUAGGUCCCUGUGUGUUUAUUGAGAUUACGUUUUGUUUUUUUAUUUAAUUGUAAUUUGUACGGCACAUUUAAUUUUGUUUCCAUUCAGAUCCGACUUGAUACGGUACCGUUCUGCGGUUGAUUGUUAUUGUUUAUAAUGCUUGCGUUUAAUUGUUGGUUUAGUCCUCCAAGGUUAAAAAGGAUUUCGAUUUGAUACAAAUUUAGAUUUUUUUACUCAAAAUGCCUUUAAUUAUAAUUAAUCCUACUUUUAUAAACGGAUUUCAUUAUUGUUUUAAUUUUAUCUAAGCUUCGAUUUUUAAAAGAAUUUGUUGAUUAUUAUUUUCAAUGUCAAAAAAUGCCUUUUAUGUUAAUUUUGAUUUAAAAAGUUUUUUUUAAAUAAAUCAAUUUUUAAUAUUACUUUAAUAGAUAUUUUUUUCAAAUUUAUUAUUAGCACAAAUUCUAUUUUUUAAAAAAAAUAUAAUAAUAAUAAUAUAUUUUUUAAUUGUUAUCAAUAUGUUUUAAAUGUAUCAAUAUUAUUUAAAAAUACAUAUAAUUUAAAUUAGACUAUUUUAGUAUAUAUGUACAUAGGGUAUAUCGUUAACUUCAAAUUAACCUUUUAUUCACAUAAUUUUUUAUACAUAAUUGUUUUAUUUCUUAAACCUUAUUUAUUUUAUUCGUUUUGGUGGGUUGUCAAAUUAUUAAUAUGGAUGUUUGUAUAAUAUGAUUAAGGUCAAUGUUAGUAUUUGCCUAUUAUUUGUUUAAUUGUUUCUAGUUUAAGUUUAAAUUGUUAUUUAUAUUUUGCAUUACAAGUUGUUAUUCAAUUAUGUUGGUUGUAAAAAUUUCAUUUCGUUAAAAUAUUAUAAUCGUUUCAUUUCAAAAGUUCAAAAAAGAGGCUUGGUGUUAAAUAAUUCUCGAGAGAAUUGUGCCCUAACUUACUGGGCCUCAAUUCUUCUCGAUGAAUUUAUAUCAUCAAGUAUCCCUUUCUUUAAGACAUUUAAAAAAAAAUUCUUUAGAUUUCAAAAUGUUGGAUCCUAACUUACUGGAUGUGACAUUUUGUUAUCUCGUUUUUAAAUAAAGGAAAUAUUUGGUGUUUAAGGAUUUUAAGAAAAUUGAACUCUAACUUACUGGGUUUUGAUUUUCUCGAUCGAUUUAAAUAACCAAAUAUCCUUCUCAAAAUGUAUGAAUUUGUUUUAAAUUUUAAAAAGGGACGAAUCUAACUUCGAAGAUUGAAUCGUUGCACUCUAACUUACUGAAUAUAACGAUUUAUUUCUUUAAAGUAGGUAAGUCUUAUUUCCCAAUCCGAUUACUCAAAUUUUCUUUUCAAAGGAUUGUAUUUUAAAAUCCUUUCAAAGUUUCGACAUUAAGACAUUAAAUAAUCGAUUCGGUACCAAUUUUGGGCAUUACGAGGGUGCUAACCCUUCCUCGUGCGUAACCGACUCUCGAACCUUAUUUUUUUCAAAAUUCGCAGACCUAAAAUUAUUUUCAAGGUGAUCUGAUUACACCACAAUAAAAUAUCAGUGGCGACUCCCAUUUCCGUUUUCAUUUUAAAAGUCGAUCCCCGUUUUUUUAAAUUUCAAAAAAAAUGGUUUCGACAAGAAACAAAUGAUUCAUUAUAUAUAUAAUAUAAUUAUGAAAUUCAAGCCAUAUAUUUUAUGUUUCAUACAUAAAAAUUUCAUGGGAGGCCCAAAGGUAAUUAAAUGACUUGUAGGCUUGCUGAAUUUCUUUGAAAGGCCCAAAGGCAAUUUAACAUUCACAAAAUAAUCUCUAAAUACUGUAAAGACAAAUCAAAUCCACAGUAGCAUAAGAGUUGAUUAAGCUAAGCAUUGGCAAAUAUUACUAUGAUUUUGCAUGCAAUAUUGGCAAAACCUCCUCUUACAUUAGAAAAACAACAUAAUCCAUGAAACAUUGAUAGCCCAAUACAAAUUUCAUCGACAUGAAAGUCUCUUUGUUUUGUAGAACAUGAUAGUAAAGAUGUGGAGUUUCAUUCUUCUUAUUGGCCUCCUUUAGUUUUCCUUGAUCAACAACCACUAGCCAAAAACACAAUUAGAUUACAUUAUCAAUGAUACUCUCAACUAUGACAAUAUUAAAUACAAAACACUCUAAAUAACUCUAAAUAAAUGGAAAGCAGCAAAAUUACCUGACGAGACAAGCUAGCUCAAUUAAGACCAUUGUGUUAUACUUGUCUCUGAAUUGAAAAUUUUAGAAGGAAAUAAAGAGAAAGACUUAGAAAAUACUUGAAAACAGGUAAAACUUAUAUGUCAUUUAAAAUAAAAAAUUUCUAUAUAAGCCAUUUAAAAUUUUUAAGAUUUUUAAAAUUUUAAAAUGAUAAAGGUAAAAUUGUACUUUGGCAUCCCAAAAAUGACAAAACUUUGAUUUAAUUCUUUAGAAAUUAUAAAAAUAUAGGCUAUUAAAAUGGUGAAAUUAUAUUUUUACUAUAGUAAAAAAUUACAAUUUAAUUUCACCCCUAAAAGGACUUUCUCACUUCGCCCCUAAUAAAAUCUUUUGCAAAAGAUUAAAAUAAAAUUAUACAUAAGAAAAUCCAAUCUAACAAAGAAAAUAACUUCUUGUCCAAAAGCUACCAUAAACCGUAAUUCAUGGGAAGGCUUGUUGCUUAUUUUAUUGGUUUCCAUUUCGAUUUUGCAAAAGAAGUUUGAAUUUUGAAGAGAGCCUACUACGUGAGAGCAAAAGAAAAAAAAAGUUUAUAUGAUUAAAUUCCAGAAUAGAUUAAAAAUGUUGAAUUAAAGAUAAAAUUAAGUGUGAAUUAAAAAAAUUUCUAUUUAGGCCCUUUAAAAUUUUAAAAUGAUAAAGAUAAAACUGUACUUUGGCACCCAAAAAAAAUAAAAUUUUAAUUUAAUCCUUUAAAAUUUAUAAAAAUAUAGGUUAUUAAGUGUGAAUUAAUAACCACAAGUGUAUUCAUUACUCACCAUCUCUGUUAAAAAUGUUGGAUGUUGUUUAGCAACCUUUGUUUGAUUUUCUUCAGCUCAACCACAACAUCUUUCAUAUCUUUUCUUUCUUCUGGUAACUCAGCUGAACAAUUCAAAGCCAACUCCAUGAUAGAUGAAAUACAAUUUGCUUUAACAACAAUGUACUCAUCCUCUCUUCUUAAUAAAUCAACAUCUGCAAUUUCUAUCGCUCCUUUAGGCAAUGAUCUUUCCAUCCAAUGCCUUAUACUCUCUUCUUCAACAAAAACAUUAUCAGUUGGCUUUUUCUUUGUGAAAGUUUCUAUAAGGACGAUCCCAUAACUAUAGAUGUCAGAUUUUAUAGAAACAAUUCCUACUGAUCCAAAUUCUGCAUUUCAAGUAUAAUUAGAACAUCAUCAAUCCUCAAUUAUUUCUAAAAUGCUUAUUCAAAUAUAUAUCCACAUCCACAUGAAACAAAAAUAUAAAAUGCAUAUUAGGAAAAUAAUCAUACAAAAAUAAAAAAGAAUUCACCUGGUGCUAUAUACCCGAUAGUUGCAAGAGUCAUGGUUUGCUUCAUUACUUCACCUUCCCCCAACAAUUUGGCAACGCCACAAUCUCCAACAUGUGCAACCAUGUCUUCAUCUAGUAAAAUAUUGCUUGGUUUUAUGUCACAGUGAAUUAUAGGUGUUGGAUGUCCAUUGUGGAGGUGUUCUAUGGCUACCGCAACAUCUAUCAUUAUGUCGACCCUUUGUAUGAUAUCAAGGAAACAAUUUUCAGAAUGUAACCAUUUCUCAAGGUUUCCAUUAGACAUGUAAGCAAGCACCAAGGCUUUGAAGUCAACACUUGAGCAGCAAGUAAUGACCUUCACAAUAUUACGAUGAACUAUAUUACGCAUAGCAUCACAUUCAAUGUCAAAACUGCUAAAUGCUCCCUCUGUUUGCAAAUUAAAAACUUUUAUUGCAACUUCCAUUCCAUCUGAAAGCCUCCCUUUAUAUACAUAUCCAAAACUCCCUGAACCAAGCAUAUUGCUUUCCUCAAAUCCAUUAGUUGCUCGUGAAAGCUCAGCAUGUGAAAUUCUUCUCGGUGUUAUCAAAGACAACAAAUCAUCUUUAAUUGGUAGACUUGUACUCCUUCUUCGGCAUCUUCUAUACAUAAUAGUUAAGACUAUUAGUACUACGACAAUACCAAUUGUUGGUAAACCAUACCUAAAAGCAUGCAAUAUAAUCAUUUGGGAGUUUUUGUGGAUGUCAUUUUUGCAAGGGGGGACUAGCAAUCUAGGUGGACCACAAAGUGCAUAAUUCUUCAUGAAUGAUGUGCUAGAAAAGUUUGAAAAACAUCCUUUGCUUGGAAUUUCCCCUUCAAGUCUAUUGAAAGACACAUUAAAAUACUUUAGAUAUAAAAGCUUUUCCAAAGAUUUGGGAAUGACUCCAGAGAGAUUGUUAUUGCAUAAAUCCAAGAAUUCCAAACUAAUCAACCCAUCAAAUGAUUUAGGGAUAUAACCAUGUAGUAUAUUAUUUGAUAAAUCUAAUGAAACCAAAGUUUGAAGACCCCCAAAUGAGGAUAGGAUAUCGCCCGAGAGAAGAUUCCUUGAUAAAUUUAGUUUCAGUAGACUCCUCAAAUUUCCAACAUCAAUAGCAUGUGAAUUCUGAAGAUGGUUUGAUGAUAAAUCUAUUUCUAAGAUAUCUUUAAGAUUCCACAAAGUUGAGGGUAUUGUAGAACUCAAUUUGUUGGAAUUUAAGUAAAGAUAUCCCAAAGAAGUAAUAUUACCCAAACAAGAGGGUAUGGAUCCAUGCAGCUUAUUCAACCCUAAAUACAUCUCGUAUAGUCUCUCCAAAUCACAAAGGCUUUCUAAGAUGUGCCCUCCUAAUUUAUUAGAGGAAAGAUCUAGAGCUUGGAGAUUUCGCAGUCCUCCUAUUGAUGCUGGAAUGAAUCCACUUAAUUUAUUAUGGCGAAGUUGUAAAAGCAAUAGGUUGGUUAUGUUACCUAUUUCCAUAGGAAUAAUGCCUUGAAGCUCACAAUUAGAGGCAUAAAAGUAUUGAAGGGAUUUUGAAAGGUUCCCGAUAUAAGUAGGAAGAACGCCACUCAAUGGAUUUCCUGAAACUCCUAUGGUUUUCAAAUUCUUACAAUUCGUCAAAGAAGAAAGAAAGCUCCACUCAUGAUCAGUAGCAGACCCUGUGAUCAAAUUAUUGUUCAUGAUUUGGAACCAUUCAAGGUGUCUUAAGUUGCCAAGCGUUUUAGGGAUUGGGCCAGAGAAUAAGUUAUCUUCCAAGUCUAGUAUCUUAAGCAUGGAAGCAUUGGAGAUAGAGUUGGGAAUGUUUCCUCUAAGUUUAUUUCCCCACAAUGCAAGAAUCUCAAGCUUUGGAGCAUUGGUGAUGGGUGGUAAAUUACCUGUAAAAUAGCAUCUUUUAGUAUACAUAUUCAUUGAAUACCAAAUUCACAAAAUAUAUAAUACAUUAAUAAUAUGAAGUUUCGAGUACUAAUUAGUCCUUGUGAUUUGUAUAGAAAAACAUAUAAUACGCUAAUAAAUUUUUAAAAUAUUGUAAAACUUGAAAUAAAAUAAAAAUAAAAUGUUGGUAUGAGAAUGUGGCAUCUAAUCAAUUUUAAAAAUGAGACUGACACUGAAUAAUAAAUAGUUAUGAUUUGGGAAACAAAAAUAUUAAAGCCAUUGUUUAUCUUUAUUAAAUUAUAGUGUAAAAUUUAAAGAUUACUAUUUGCUCAAAAUUUUUGUAUUUUUCGUAUAUUUGAAAUUUAAUCUUUAUAUUUUUAUUUUCUGUGAUUUAGUCUCUCUACUUUUUGAAUUGAAAAUUUUAAGUUUAUUUAUUAAAACUGUUAAGAAGUUUUUGGGUUAGUAUGGCAUUUUGAAAAAUAAAAUAAACUUGAUAUCUAUGUUUUUAAUUAUUUCAAAUAAUGUUUUACUAUUCCAAGAUAAAUUAUUUGUGUCUAGACCAAUAUCUUAAGAACUAUUGUUGCAUGUUUAAUUAUUCAAAAGAAUUGUUGAUUGAGUCUUAGCUUGAUUGACAUGUGUAUUGUUACCAAUGUAAGAGAAUGUGGGUUCAAGUAUGCUAAAGUGCAUUAUCUUCUUAUUUAUAAAUUGGGGAGUUGGUAAGGUAUUAAAUUUUGAUAUAUUUUAAAAUAUUAAAAUUUUAUUAAAAUAUUUUUUAUAAAAAUUGAUUGCACCACAAUAUACAAUUUUAAUAUCAAAUUUUUAAUUUUUUUAAAAAAUAUUAGCGACUAUAUACUUUAUUUCAAGUUACACAAAUUUUACUAGUUUUUAACUUUUUUUUAAAUAUUUACCGUCUUUUAUAAUUUUUUACAAUAUUUAAAAAUUUCUGCCAAUUUUUAAUAAUUUUAUUAUUUAUUACAAAUUUAAAAAUUAACAAAUUUAAAAAUUAACAAAUUUUUAUUUUUUAAACAAUUAUAUAUUUAUAAUGUAGUUAUUUUUUAUAUAAUUUCACUUUAAAUUUUAAAGAUUUUUUGGGUUUUUUUUUAGAUGAUGAUGCCGUUAUGAUGUCAUCAUAUACCACAUGGCAAUUUAUGAUUAGUUGGAUAUCUCAAUCUAUUUUUUAAUUUCCAAUGGACUAAACCAAGAACACCUGAUAAUGUUAGAGACUACACUAGCAAUGUUUGAUAAUAUUAGGUACUAAAGUGGGCAAAAAAAUAUUAAGAACCAAAGUAAAAAAAAAAAAAAGAAGAAGAAGCAAUAUGCUGUAGAGAAUAAACUAUGCAUUAAGCCAUUAAAAAUAUAUCUAUAAUAUAUAUAAAUGCAUGGAUUUUGAGAAACUUUUGAAGUGAUAAUUAUAUAGUCUUUGUUGUUUACUAUAUUAUUGAAUUUGUUAUUUUAAAUAUUUUUUUAUUACUUUUAAGAUUUAUUGGAUAAGAAUUUUGGUUUUUACUAAAAUAUUUGGUUAAAUAAAUUAACUUCAUAAGAAAAUUUAGCAUCCUUAUAAAUAACAAUUUUGAUUCUAUUAAAAAAUUAUUUUAAAAAGCAUAUAAUAAAAAUUUAAAAUUUAUAUUGAAUUACUUUAUACUUAAAUUAUUAUUAGAAAUUUUAUACUUAAAUUUAUGAGAACCACAAAUUUAGAACUUAAAUUUGUGUUUUAAAAUAACUUAUGAUAAAUAAUGAAAUGUAUAAUUUGAAACUAUUUAAUAAUAACACAUGGCAUAUCUACCAUAUUGAAAUAAAAAUAGAUUAAAUUGUAAGUAAAACAUAAUUUAAGCAUAGGUAUACAUCAAAUUAAGAAUACUAAAUGAAUACAGUUAUUUAUGAUGAUGUUGUUGUCAAUUCCUAAGUUGGUGUCGAGUUAAUUUGUGACAUCAUAAAUUUAAGUGAUAAAUUUAAGGUUUUACGUAUUGAUGUGGAUUGAAAUAUCACCAUACUUUUUUUAAAAUAAAAAACUAAAAUACCCUCAAAUAAUAUAACUUAUAUUAAAUAUGAAAGGGUAAUUUUGUAAUUUCUCUGACUGAGUUGGUGCCAGGUUGACUCAUGACACCAACUAAAUCGAAAGCUUCAAUAAUAAUAUAGAUAUUCACAUUAAAAAAAAGUACUUUAGUUCCAAAUAAUUAUAUAACAAGUAAAUUUAUAAUUGACGAAUAAAUUUAUAGAUAAUAUAUUUAUAUGAUCUAAUAUAUUAUAUUUAUAUUAAUUAUAUAUCAUCUACAAACUUUGAAAAUCAAUUUAUUAAGUAUCAGGAAAAGAAAAAAAUGAAAUUGAAUUAACACUAAAUCAAUUUUUGAAUUAACAAAAAAUUAGUGAUAUAUUUUAAUUAUAUUUAUUAUUUAUUUUUUUAAUAAUAUUUUUUUAAUUAUAUGAAGUAAAAUUAUAUUGUAUGAAGUAAAAAAAAUAUAUUUUCCGCAUUGGUUUCUUUUAUUCUACAGACAAAGGAUUUCUAAUGAUUUUUUAAAAAAAAAUUACUUAUAUAGAAUAGAUUAGUUUAUGCAAUAAAAAAUAAUUUCUUUUUUUAAAGUUUAAUGGAAAUUAAAAAAUUAAAAAUAAAUCAAUUCAUAUAAAUCUUAUUGUUUAUUAUCAUAUUAAAAUGAUAAAAAGUAUAUGACCAAAAUAGAAGAAACAAAUUCAACACAAUGUUUUUGGAGUUUAUUAUCAUAUUUCUAAUUUGUUGUUAAAUAGAUCUAUUUCUUCCAGCGUAGUUGAAUUAAAAAUAUUUGAUGGAAUCUGACCUGCACACAUAGUCGAAAAUUGAAGUGAAAAUUAUAUCUUCUAAACUGUUCAACUAAAAAUACUUUAAGCAUAUUUUUUAAGGUUAUUGCAUUUACCCAUGCCAAAUGGAAUGCUACCAAAUAACUCAUUGCUAUGCAAGUAAAGCCCUUCAAGCUUGGGAAGAUGUUGACACAUAUCAUUAGGAAAUUACCUGAUAGGCUAUUUUUGGAGAGAUCAAUGGUCUUCAGAGAAGAAAUGUUGAAGAUCAAAGUUGGAAUCUGACCUGUAAGGCCUUUAAUUGCUUGAAUAUUAAGCAAUUCCAAACCAUGAAGAUUACCAAUUUCCUCAGGAAUUUGACCUGCACACAUAGUCGAAAAAUCAAGGUGUCAAACUACCUAUUUUGUUAGCAUAAGUCAAAGAGGUUUUCUUUUCUGUUCUAUGGUAAUUUGGAGAUGUUAGAUUUUCAUAUAUUUCAGCAUAUGUUUUUCAUCAAAUGAAAUAAAAACUUUUUCCUUUUGUUAUCUAUUACAAAUCAAACUCUUUUAUAAAAAAAAUACUUAAAAUUCAAGAAAUCAAGGAAAUUGAUUACCUUCUAGAUUAUUAAAUCCCAAAUAUAAUUCUCUGAGUUGUGUCAGAUUUCCAAUACUUCUUGGAAUGAUCCCCGUCAAUUGAUUCAAGGACAAGGACAAAUUAUUAAGGUUGCUGCACUUGCCCAUACUUGACGAAAUGUUACCAGAUAACUCAUUGCUCUGCAAGUAAAGCCCUUCAAGCUUGGGAAGAUGUUGACACAUAUCAUUAGGUAAACUACCUGGUAGGCUAUUGCUGGAGAGAUCAAUGGUCUUCGAAGAAGAAAUGUUGGAGACCGAAGUUGGAAUCUGACCUGUAACGCCUUUAAUUGCUUCAAUAUUAAGCAAUUCCAAACCAAGAAGAUUACCGAUUUCCUCAGGAAUUUGGCCUGCACACAUAGUCGAAAAAUCAAGGUGUCAAACUACCUAUUUUGUUAGCAUAAGUCAAAGAGGUUUUCUUUUCUGUUCUAUAGUAAGUUGGAGAUGUUAGAUUUUCAUAUAUUUCAGCAUAUGUUUUUCAUCAAAUGAAAUAAAAACUUUUUUCUUUUGUUAUCUAUUACAAAUCAAACUCUUUUAUAAAAAAAUACUUAAAAUUCAAGAAAUCAAGGAAAUUGAUUACCUUCUAGAUUAUUAAAUCCCAAAUAUAAUUCUCUGAGUUGUGUCAGAUUUCCAAUACUUCUUGGAAUGAUCCCCGUCAAUUGAUUCAAGGACAAGGACAAAUUUUUAAGGUUGCUGCACUUGCCCAUACUUGACGGAAUGUUACCAGAUAACUCAUUGCUAUGCAAGUAAAGCACUUCAAGCUUGGGAAGAUGUUGACACAUAUCAUUAGGCAAACUACCUAAUAGGCUAUUGUUGGAGAGAACAAUGGUCUUCAGAGAAGAAAUGUUGAAGAUCGAAUUUGGAAUCUGACCUGUAACGCCUUUAAUUGCUUGAAUAUUAAGCAAUUCCAAACCAUGAAGAUUACCGAUUUCCUCAGGAAUUUGACCUGCACACAUAGUCGAAAAAUCAAGGUGUCAAACUACCUAUUUUGUUAGCAGAAGUCAAAGAGGUUUUCUUUUCUGUUCUAUAGUAAUUUGGAGAUGUUAGAUUUUCAUAUAUUUCAGCAUAUGUUUUUCAUCAAAUGAAAUAAAAACUUUUUCCUUUUGUUAUCUAUUACAAAUCAAACUCUUUUAUAAAAAAAAUACUUAAAAUUCAAGAAAUCAAGGAAAUUGAUUACCUUCUAGAUUAUUAAAUCCCAAAUAUAAUUCUCUGAGUUGUGUCAGAUUUCCAAUACUUCUUGGAAUGAUCCCCGUCAAUUGAUUCAAGGACAAGGACAAAUUAUUAAGGUUGCUGCACUUGCCCAUACUUGACGGAAUGUUACCAGAUAACUCAUUGCUAUGCAAGUAAAGCACUUCAAGCUUGGGAAGAUGUUGACACAUAUCAUUAGGCAAACUACCUAAUAGGCUAUUGUUGGAGAGAACAAUGGUCUUCAGAGAAGAAAUGUUGAAGAUCGAAUUUGGAAUCUGACCUGUAACGCCUUUAAUUGCUUGAAUAUUAAGCAAUUCCAAACCAUGAAGAUUACCGAUUUCCUCAGGAAUUUGACCUGCACACAUAGUCGAAAAAUCAAGGUGUCAAACUACCUAUUUUGUUAGCAUAAGUCAAAGAGGUUUUCUUUUCUGUUCUAUAGUAAUUUGGAGAUGUUAGAUUUUCAUAUAUUUCAGCAUAUGUUUUUCAUCAAAUGAAAUAAAAACUUUUUCCUUUUGUUAUCUAUUACAAAUCAAACUCUUUUAUAAAAAAAUACAUAAAAUUCAAGAAAUCAAAGGAAAUUGAUUACCUUCUAGAUUAUUAAAUCCCAAAUAUAAUUCUCUGAGUUGUGUCAGAUUUCCAAUACUUCUUGGAAUGAUCCCCGUCAAUUGAUUCAAGGACAAGGACAAAUUUUUAAGGUUGCUGCAUUUGCCCAUACUUGACGGAAUGUUACCAGAUAACUCAUUGCUAUGCAAGUAAAGCACUUCAAGCUUGGGAAGAUGUUGACACAUAUCAUUAGGCAAACUACCUGAUAGGCUAUUGCUGGAGAGAAUAAUAAUCUUUAGAGAAGAUAUGUUGAAGAUGGAAGAUGGAACCUGACCAGAUAAUUGAUUGAGUCCCAAGUUCAAAAUCUCUAGAUUAGAUAUGCUAACAAGUGUUUCAGGGAUUGUGCCUGUAAAGUAAUUAUUUUUCAUUUGUAGCCUUCGAACUCUCUGUAAGUUCCCAAGCCAUGAUGGAAUUUCCCCAUUCAGACGGUUGUAGCUUAAUUGAAGGAUCCUCAAACGAUGCAAUUGGCCCAAUUCUUUAGGGAGAUGGCCAUAGAAAUGGUUGCUACUCAAGUCGAGAGAGAGUAGAAAUGAAAGAUUUCCAAGGUGUGGAGGGAUAGUACCCCUAAGAUUCAUGCUUGUAAGAUUCAAAGCUAUAACUCUUUUAUGGAGGAUGCCACAAGAGACACCAAUCCAAUUGCAAACAGAGGUUGAGGCCGUCCAAUUGUCUGCCAAGACAAUUUGAGGACCGCCAAUACGAUCCUUAAACUCAAGAAGUGCAAACUGAUCGGAGUUGAGAUUCCUGACUGUCAUAGCCAUGCAAAGUACGAAACAUGGUAUGAAUAAAGCUAAGAGAAGAUGAAAGCAAGUUUUGUAGUUCAUGAUUGCAAGACAGAAUAAGGCAAGAAAAUAAAAAAAGUAGGAAAAGGGCAGUUGAGUUGAUAAAAUAGUUUGGAUGAUGAAGAAAAGCCCAGAGAGCAUGCUUUAAUAUGUUUCAACCCUCGCACACUUGAUAAACUUGAUAAAAAUAUUUUGAUCUAAUAAAUGUAAAAAAAAAUUAAACAAAAUAAGGUUGAAAUAAUCUAUUUGUCCUUAUAUUUUGAUAAAGGUUGAGAUUAGUCCUUAUACUUAAAAGGUUAAAAAUAAAGUUUUCUUGUUUUUAUUUAAAAAUCUUAGUCCUAUCGUUAAUUUUUUUUGGGCAAAAUUUGUCAACUGGACAUAUUAAUUUGGUUUCCCUUAUAUGUCGUUGUAUAUGACUAACACAAAAUAAGCAAGUUGACAAAUUAUGACAAAAAAAUAUCAAAGAUGAUAAUAAUUUGAUUAAAAUUUUUAAAUUGAAUUAAUAACCUUUAACAUAUAAGGAAUGGAUAUCAAAUAUUUAUAGGAAUAAAGGGACAAACAACAUAUUUUAACCACAAAAUAAUAUGAGUGAUUAGAAUGAAUCUAAAAGAGACUAACAACAUAUUGAUAACUUUGAAAUCUCCUACGAUCAUCCUUUUUCUACGUAGAAAAAGAAAAUUAAUUAGCAUCUAAAGUGUCAAUUAAUGAAACCUUCAAAAGAAAAUGUGAAAGUGAUUUACCAAACAAUAAUAUUCUAACUUAUAAUAUAUUUAAUUACAUUUAGUACUUUAUCAAUCAAAACUUAAUUAACAUCCAUCAAUACUUCAUACAUAAGUAAAUUUACCAUUUAACUCAGAUUUAACUUUGCAAGUAAACUUGAAAUUUUAUUUAAUUUUGUCACUAAAUUUAAUUUGCUCAAUAUAGAUUUUGGUGACUUAAAACAAAAUUAAUAAAAAAUUAUUCUUUCAGACAUCUUUUUAAUGUUUAAUAAUAAGUUAAUUUAUAAAAUAUACUUUCAUUGGACACAAGCCUCCAAGGCAGUGAACCACUAAUCAAAUUAAUUUGGAGAUAUCUUUUUUUUCCAAAUAAAAUGGAUAUCAAGAGAUACCAAAAAUUAUUUCACUAAGAAAUUUUAAUUCACUCGAAAAGUUAGUGUUUUAUUUCAAGGGGUCAUAAUUAUAAAUUUUGAACUUUUUGACAAUUGCGUAAAUAAUAAAUACCAAUUUUGAGUGCUGUAGGGCUAGGACAAUCUCCCUUACACAUAACCGACUCUUGAACCUACUCUUUUCUCUAGAAUUCAACUCAGACCUCAAAUUUAUCUUUUGAAAAGAAUUUUAAAAUCUUUGUAUAAAAGGUGUAAAAAUAUAUAUUUUAUUAAUUACUAUAUAUUCUUUUAUUUUCAGAAUAAUAAAUUGUUUAAAAUAUGCUACUAGUCCCUAUAAUUUAAAAGUUAAAAGUAAUUGGGAUCUUGAGUGCAUCAAAUUCCUCCUUUUAUUAUUAAAUGUUUUAUUUUAGUUACUCUAAUUAAAUAUAUCCAAAUUGUAAUAAACAUUUAUUAUAUAAAAAAUAUUUUAAAUUUAUUUCAAUUGCAAUUUAAUUUUAGUAGAAAUAUUUCAUUUAUAAAAUCAUAAAAUUUUAAAAUAUUAACUUUAUUAAAUAAAAAAUAAUUUUUUUUAAACAGUAAAUGUUGACUUUAUUAACACAAAUGGGUCUUUAGGGUUAAACUUCAGUAACUGACGAGCUCUUCCACAAACUGUGGAUGAUUUGGGGAUAAGAACUUCAAUAAUUCUAGAGUUAAAGUGUAAAUUUACUACUAUAUUAUAAGUAAAUAUUGAAAUUUAUCACUAAAUUUUAAUUGAUACUUGUCAUUACACUUUGAAAAUAUAAGUAAAUUUACCAUUUAACUCAUAUGUGAUUGAGCUUUGCAAAUAAACUUAAAAUUUUAUUUAAUUUUGUCACUAAAUUUGAUUUAUUUAAUUAAAUUUACAACUCAAUAUAGAUUUUGGUGACUUGAAUUAAAGUUAAAAAAAAAACUAUUCUUUCAAAUAACUUUUAAUGUUUACUAAUAAGUAGAUUUAUAAAAUAUACUUUCAUUGGACACAAGCAUCCAAGGCUGUGAACAAACCACUGGUCAAAUUAAUUUGGAGAUAUCCUUUUUGCGUUUUUCUUUUUUUUUAAAUAUUUUUAAUAUUUUUGUGGGUAUCAACAGACACCAAAAAUUAUUUCACUAAGGAAUUAAUUUGUAUUUUAUUUUAAGGGUUCACAAUUGAACAUUAGAUUUUUUAUUUUUAAAUUUUGAAUUUUUUGACAGUUGCGUAAUUAACAAGUACUAAUUUAGGGUGUUGUAGGGUUAUUACAACCUUCCCUACACGUAACAGACUCUUGAACCUACUUUUUUUUCUCUAGAACUCAACACAAACCUUAAAUUUAUCUUUUUAAAACAAUUUUAAAAUAUCUUUAUAAAAGGUUAUUUUUUUACCCAUCACACUUAACAAAAUUUUAAAAAUUAUUAAUUUCUUUUUGAAAUUUAAAGUGAUCUAAAAAUAUAUUUUUAAGUGCUUUAGACCCUGCGGUGCUGAUUUCUUUAUUGUAUUAAAUGCUUGCAAUCACUCCUGAUAUCUUAUACUUGAGUUGUAACAAAACCAAUUAUCAUGUUCCAUAAUGUUCUAUUGAUGCUGAAACUGAAGUUUUUGUUAUAUUAAUAGAGCUUGUCCUUCAACACGUAUAACGGGUGUUUGUUAUUUUUUUCUUCAAAUUGUAUGAUCUCAUUCAUUAAAUGAAUUAAUGAAUUUCCCUUUAAAAAAUAUAAUUUUAAAAAUUAAAUACUUUAUAAGAUAUUUAAAACUAUUUAAAAAUUGUAAGCGUUAAAACAAUCAACAAGAUAUAUUUUUCUUUAAAAAAUCAAUAAAAAUAUGUUUAAAAUUUUAUAUGAAAUUUACAAUUUUUUAACAAUAAUAUAUUUUAAAAUUAUUUACACCUUUUUUAUAUAUUUUUCCUAACAUAUAUUUUCAACACUAUCGUAAUCCUGUUUUGAUAACUCCCUUUCCAUACAUCCUUUUUCUACAUAGAAUUUCGAAAGAAAAUGUGAAUUAAUGCAGACGUGAGAAGACUUAGAGGUAAGUCACCCAAUGAAAGUGACCUACUUAUGGAAAAAUCAAACAAUAAUUUUGUAUCUUAUAAUAUAUUAAAUUACAUUUAUGAGGUUAUCAAUCAAAACUUAAUUAAAAUCCAUCAAUAAAGUUGUUGAUUGUAUAGCUAAGGCAGAUGGAGGCAUAAUUGAGCAGUUAGUUAUCUUGGAAAAUCCUCCGCAUUAUGUGAGAUGUUGGCUUGAAGAAAAUAUUAGACAGUCGUUGGUCACUGAUGAUAAUUUUUAUUUGGAUUGAAGCUGGCUUAAUUUUCUAAGUUUAUGUUCAACUAGAAAAAAAAUGUCUAAAUUGUAAUUGAAUUAACAUUUAGUGUAUAAAAAAUAUCUUAAAUUUUUUUUUUCAAUUGCAAUUCAAUUCCACAAAUACCGACGAUGAACCCUAAAACGGACAUGAAAAUUACAAAAAGAAAAAAAGCACAUCUAUUAUCAAACCAGCAAUACAUGCCUAAACUAAUAGAGAUGAACCCUAUGAUAGAUUGUGACCCCCCAAAGUCGACCGGGAUAGACCAGCCUGAAUUCAAAGCAUUACAUUAGCCACCUAAAUGACUCUCCAGCUAACGACCACCCAAGGCACACCCCAACCUUAUAACACCUCAAUUUUAUCUAAUUAUUAGUUAUUUAUUAAUGCCAAAGUAAAUUAUGAGCCAAUUUUAAACUUUUCCUAAGUAAUUUAAUCUAUGGGCAUUUACGUUAUUUUACCACCUAUGGUAAAACUAACUUGAUUUUAGAUCUAAGUGUUUACUCACCUUCUUUUAGUCAAAUUAUGCAAGUCUAAAAUUUCCAGGUGAAUUUGAGUUUGUUUACUAUGUCUAAUUCAAGUUUUAUUAUUUAGGAUUAAAUUGUAACUUAAACAAAUUCGAAUACCAAUUUAAAGAGGCAAAAAUUCAAAACCCAAAACAGACACAAGCAUGUGCGUAAAUGACACGGGCGUGUGAAAACUGGAACUAUCACAUACGGACGUGUGGGAUUGAAAAAUAUAAAAUAAAUUAAUCCACUCAAUUUUCCAAUAGCCAUGCUAUACUACCAAACCAAAAAAUGCUUGAAGCUUUGAAUAGGGGUGAAUCUAAAAAAAAAAUUAGAAGAAUUAGAAUUAAAUUAUAAUCUAAAAAAAAUUAGAAGAAUUAGAAUUAAAUUAUAAAACUUUGAGAAGUUAAAAUAUAAUUUUAUCAUGUAUUAAUUUAUUAUUUUUAAAAUGGUCUUAAUUGAAUUUUUUUUUCCAUUUUUGUUGGGCCAAUACCCCUGCUUGCCUCUUUGAAUUUGCUCCAACCCUAAACCCAAUAAUCAAUUUGGAUUAACAACAAUAUAUAGGUUAGUAUUUGUGGGAGUUUGACAAUAAAAUUUUUUUUAAAAGGUUUAAAUUAUAAAUUUUUGAAAGAUUAAAAUAAAUUUGUAUUUUUUAUUAACAAAAUAUAAAAGAAAAAAACAUGUUUAGACAAGCCAAGAGACCUUUGGGAUCAUACGGGUGAUUUUGAUGAUGUUAAUAGUUAUUUUGGUGGAGAGGCUGAGAAAGAAACAAAUGAUUCAUUAUAUAUAAUAUAAUUAUGAAAUUCAAGCCAUAUAUUGUAUGUUUCAUACAUAAAAAAAAUUGGAGCAAUUUAAUCCCUAUCAAUUUUGAAAGUGAGCAACUAAGAACAAUGAAUUAUGGUGUUUCCUUCUUAAUUUCACAAUUGCGCAAAUUAGUCCCUCUCAAAAAAAAUUGGAGCAAUUUAAUCCCUAUCGAUUUUGAAAGUGAGCAACUAAGAACAAUUAAUUAUGGUGUUAAAUUCUUCCAUCAAUUGUACAUAAUUUUGAUUGGUAUAGUAAUAAAUUUAGCCUUCAAUGUUUAAAUAUUUUGUCAUUUUGGCCUUAAUUUUUUUUUAAAAAAAAUUCAAGCAUUUCAACCUCAACAUUUAGAUAUUUACACAAACGUUGCGGGAAAUUUUUGUUAAAUUUAGACCAAAUUGCAAGUAUAAAUUUUGAAGGCUAAAUUUAUUAUUAUACCAACCAAAAUCAUGUACAUUUUAUGGAAAAUUAACAUCCUGAUUAAUUAUUCUUAGUUACUCACUUUCAAAAUUAAUAGGGACUAAAUUGCUCUGAUUUUUUAAGGGUGACCAAUUUCCUCAAUUUGGAAAUUGAGAGAGACUAUUCAGAUAUUUUACAUAUUUUUUUAUAAAUAUAUUUUUUUAAUAUAAAAUAUAUUUGUUCACACAUAUUGUGAGUAUGAUAAAAUAUUUUUAUUAUUGAUUGAGUUGGUGUCAAAAAUUAACUCGACACCAACUCAAGAUUAAUAAUAACAAUAUGAUAAAUAAUUUAUUUAUUUAAUAUUCUUAAUUUAACAUAUUGAUGUAAAUUUUAAGACAUGCAUGUCUUGUAGAAUUGAGAUUAUACUAUUUGAGUAUUGAGUCAGUUUUCCACAAUGGUGGGUCUCGAGCAACAGCACAAUUUCAACAUUUCUUCAUCUCGCUUAAUCCAAAUGCAUUUAGGAUUUUUUUUUUAUAUCAUUGUUUCAAAAACGAUAAAAAAAAACGUGGACAUUGAAUUUUCUGUUUCACAUUCAAUUUUUGGAGAAGUAGAAUUUUCUAACUUAUUUUCCAUCAACUUCACUUCAAUUUUCAAUCACAAUCUAUUGUAUUCAAGAGUACCACAUCUUUUUGGAUGAAACAAACCUCUCAAUCUUAAGAUAAACGGAAUCUAUUGCAUUCAAGAGCACCACAUCUUUUUGGAUGAAACAAAGCACUCAAUAUUAAGAUAAACGGGUCUUUAGGGUUAUUAACUGAGGGCAUUUUCCACAAAUGGCAUCGUUAUUUGAAGGUGAUUCGGGGAUAAUAACAUCAACAUUUCUGUAUCACAUUUAAUUCAAUUCCACAUUUAACUUUUAAUUUUUGGAGAGAUGAUUGGGCUACAACAAUGGUUUGAAGUGAAGAUAUUUCAAAAGAAGGCAAAUAUAUCAAUUUUUUUAAGGGGUCUUUGGAGUUAUAUGUGACUUUAGCAUUAUUGACCGAUUUUUUUAUGGUUAAUCUUUUAUAAUAAGGUAAAUAUAUCAAUUUUAAUAACAUCGGCAUGUUUUUUAGUAGGGUCGAGCAAAACCCAAUUAAAACCUUUCAUCACUGCAAAAAUGAAAAUAAUAGAAAUGAAAGACUAGCCAUUGUAUGAGAUUUAUAAUUGUAACUGUCAACGAAAUUGGGAGAAAUUUUUAAAUUUUAUGAAAUUUUAAAAUUUAACUGUCAAUAAUAGAAAAUUGCCUGAGUAACUUGAGAUAAGAGGUUGAACAUUUCUGGAUCACAUUACAUUUAAGAUGGGUCUUUAAGGUUAUACUUUAGUUAUUGAGAACAUUUUCCACAAGUUACCGUCGUUAUUUGUGGGGUAAGUGGUUGAACACUUCUGGAACACAUUGCAUUUAGGACGGGUAUCAUUCAUAGACUGACUUUUCUAUAAUUAGUCCUUGCUUUACUUUAGGUGGAUUCUUCCAACUAGUCCAAGAAUUAUUGUACAGUUACAAUUAAUCUUUUUAAAUGAGACAAACAUUUCAAAUUUGUCGUUACUAUUUGUGAGUGAUUUGGGGGUAAGAAGUUUAACACUUCUGGAUGUCUUAUAGAAUUGUGAUUAUACUUUUUGAGUAUUGACUCAGUUUUCCACAAUUGUGGGUCUCUAUUUGAGCAAAACAAUUUCAACAUUUCUUCAUCUCGUUUAAUCCAAAUGCAUUUAUGCAUUUCUUAUAUCAUUGAAUUUGCUGUUUCCCAUUCAAAUUUUGGACAAGUAGAAUUUUCUAACCUAUUUUCCAUCAAGAAUUUUCUAACCUAUUUUCCAUCAACUUCACUUGAAUUUUCAAUCACAAUCAAUUGCAUUCAAGAGCACCACAUCUUUUUCGAUGAAACAAAACUUUCAAUUUUAAGAUAAACGGGUCUUUAGGGUUAUUAUUCAUUUAUUGAGGGCCUUUUCAACAAUUGCCAUCAUUAUUUGUUGGUGAUUUGGGGAUAAUAACUUGAACAUUUCUGGAUCACAUUGAAUUCAAUAUUCUUAUACAAUAGUAUUUUAUAUAUAUACGUACAUAAUUUAUAUUAAACUAUUUUUAUUUUAUAUAUUAUUGAUUUCGUAUUAUUAUAACUAUUGACCUUAUGUUUAUAUGUUUUUUUAAAACCUAUUUUUUACAUAUACAAUUUACUUCUUUUAAAAAAACCCUACUUCAUAUACUUGGUUUAUUUCAAAUUUCUACAUAUAUUAUUAUGCAUAUAUAUAUAUAUUAUCAUUUGUAUUGUUAUUAAGCUUUUCAUUUCAUAUAUAUUAAUUAUUUAGGUUAAUACAUACAUUAUUUUGUACAUUACCUAUUUUGAUUUUAUUCUUAUGCAAAAUUUACUUUAAAAUUUGUUUACAUAUUAUUGUUUCACAUAGUAUUUAUUUUUAACUCUAUUUUUGGUCUAUUUCGAAUUUUCAUGUACAUUAUUUAUUUUUAUACUUUUUGGAUUUACAAUUUCCUUUCUUUCAUGCCAUUUUUUAAUUAUUUCAAAACUUAUACAUUGGAUUUGCAUUUGUGUUAAUUUGUUUGCUUUUUAGGUUUUACUAGCUUUUAAAUAUGGAUGUUAGUAGUUGCAUAAUGUGUAAUAUAAGAUUGUUGCCCUUAUGUAUGUUGUAUUGUUUAUUUGUAUUUUAUUGAUCCUUUGUUGCUCAUUAGCUUACAUUUAGCUUACAAAUUGUAAGUGUAACUUUUGAGGGCUAAAUUUAUUAUUAUACCAACCAAAAUCAUGUACAUUUUAUGAAAAAUUAACAUCUUGAUUAAUUAUUCUUAGUUGCUCACUUUCAAAAUUUCUCUGAUUUUUUUUGGGUGACCAAUUUCCUGAAAUUGGAAAGUGAGAGAGACUAUUGAGAUCUUUUACGUAUAUUUUUUUAUAAAUAUAUUUUUUAAAUAUAAAACAUAUUUGUUCACACACAUCAUGAGUGUCGAAACCAUUUUUUUAAUAAAUGGGGGUCGACUUUUAUUUUGAAAAUGAAAAUAAACAAAUGGGACUCGCCACUGAUCUUUUGUUUAGUGUGAUCAGAUCACCUUGAAAGCGAUUUUGGUCUACGAAAUUUGAGAAAACAGGUUGGGGAGUCGAUUACGCACGAGGAAGGGUUAGCACCCUCGUAACACCCAAAAUUGGUACCUAAUUGAUUAAUUAAUGUCUUAAUGUCGAAAUUUUAAAAAAAAAAUUUAAAAUACAAUCCUUCUAUUCAAAUGAACACUUGUAUGAAUCAGAUUGCGUACUAAGACCCUCUUGUUUUGGAGAAAUAGAAUGCCACACACAGUGAGUUAGGAUAUGACAUUUUCACAUCUUCCAAAAAUGAGCUGGCCUUUUGAUUUUUUUUUUUAAAAAAAAAACUCUUGCAGUGAAGUUUAAAAAAAGGAUACUCUAUUGUUUUGGUUAGAUGAAAAUAAAUGAAUAAAUGAAUAGCAUACAAGAAAGGAAAUUUAAAAUUAUCAAUACAUAAACAAUAAAUUAUAUGCAUUAACUUUUAAAAUAAACAAUAUAUAUACGAGUUUGAAAUAGAUCAAAAAUGAAGAUAAAAAAUAGAUACUAUAUGAAAUGAUAAUAUCAAAAUGAAUUUUAAAGUAAAUAUUGAAUAAAAAAAAUCAAAAUAUGUAAUAUACAAAAUAAUAUAUAUUAAUCUAAAUAAAUAAUAAAUAUGGAAUGAAAAAUUCGAAAUAGAUAAUACUAUAUAUAUAUAUAUAUAAAUAUAUGUGAAAAGUCGAAAUAGGUAGAAUAUAAUAAAAUAGGUUUUUUAAAGAAAUAAAUUAUAUAUAUAUGGAAAUAGGUAACAAAGAUAUAUAUAACAGCAUGAAAUCAAUAAUAUAUUAUAUAUGCAUAUAUGUAUAAUAAAAAUAGUUUAAUAACACUUGUAUAUAUAUGUAUAAAAUAGUAAUAUGAAAGAGCAUUAUCGUAUAAAUCUUUAAAACAAAGAAGUAUAUAUAAGUGCAUUUUAAAAAUGUAUUUAAAAUAAAACCAUUAAAAACGUAUAAAUUAUAUUGAAAUUGCAUAAAAAGUAUAUAAAAUAAUAGAUGGAAAUUAAAAUAAUAAUAUAUGAUAAAUUUUAAAAAAAAAGUAAUUAUACAUGAAAAACUUAGAAUAAUAAUACAUAAAAAACUUAAAAUAAUAAUACAUGAUGAAUUUAAAUAACAAAUACAUGAUAAAUUUAAAUAAUGUUAAUGAUAAAUUUAAAAUAAUAAUAUAUUACAAAUUGAAAUAAUAUUGAUGAUAAAUUUAAAAAUAAUGUUAAGCUUAAACAUAAAAAUAAUAUUAGAUUUAAAAUUAAAUAUAUAUUUUUUUAAAAAUAACAGGAUAAUAAAUAUUUAAAAAAAUUGAACACGUUAAAUUAAACAAAUACGGGUUAAAUUGUAUUUAAUACAAAAUUAAAAGAAAAAAUGAAAAUAAAAUAAAAUAGAGGGCCAAAAUGCAGCACACGAAUAACAUGGGGGACUAAAUGGGGAAUAUUCCCUGCCCACCAAAACGCUGUGUUGCAAUAUGGAUCAAAAUGAACAGUAUUCAAAUUAAACGAGGUAAAUUUAAAAAUAAAAAAUGAAAUUAAAAUAGUGAAAGAAAAUAAAAGGGUCAAUGGUGCAAAUAUCCCCUUUUAGACCCAAAACACGUGGAUCUGACCUUGCUCGAGUCGGGUCAUUAGAUCUCUUAAACCUAAACCAUUGAAGCAAGGCCCAAACGGUACCAUUUCAUGGUCUUCUUAAAACAAAAACCUAAACCACUAUUUGGUUGUUCUUAAAUCAGAUUAGCCAAAACCCUAGCCGCUCGAAUGCUUUGCCGAUAUUCAACCUUACAGUCCUCGCUUGAGCUCCGAUUACGACAAAGUGAAUGGGGAUACAAUGGCGCUAUCUUAUAGGUAAAUCCCUCUCCUCUCAUUCAUUUCUCUUUCACAAACAAGUAUAACAAACAAAGAUUGAGGAAACAGAAAAGAAAAAAGAAAUCUAAAGAUAAAGAAAUGGGAUUUUUUUUCAUAACGGCUAAAUCAUUCAACUCAUAGUUUUUGUUAAAUGAAGAGGUCAAUUGAUUUUUUUGGAAUCAUUGAGUACUCAAUUGGUGCACUUUUUUCAUAAAGGCUAAAUUAAUUUUUUAAUUUGUUACUGUUGAGGGCUAUAGCAAUAAAAAAAAUUGAGGUAAAAUGGAAAAAAUGUUAGAGCUAAAUUUAUCACUAUGCCUAAAACCAAAAUUUUUUGAAAAUAAAAAAAAAUGGAAAAUCACAAAUUUUGUCACUUAUGUUAGCUUAAAAUUAUAGUUUUGGUCACCAAUCUUUUGAAGUAAAUAUCUGGUCAACAAUAUUAUCCAUUUGUUACUUUGUAAUAACUCACCUUAAAGUUAUAUCCCUGCGCAAGAAAGGAUUAAAUGACAAACUUGUAUCUUUUUUUAUUCAUCCAAUGUCAUUUCAACAUUUUCAUUUAAAAAAAUUGACAUAUCAUUUUGAAUUCCAUCUUUUUCAUGAUGAAACUAUUGAAAUGAUGUUAAAUUACUGGAAAGAGAUACAAGUUUAAUCUUAUCUAUCUAAGAAAGCUGAUGUAACACAUUAAUGACAUCAUUCCAAACAAAGUUUUAGGUCCAAUUGUUCAUCUAGCCCUUGUAAUUGUUUUUAGGUGAAUUUCAUUAUUAAUCUUUUAUUUUCUUUGGCUUAAAUACACAUUUACCCUUAAUUUUAUCACAUUCUCCUUCACUGGUAUUUAUGGUUUAGAAAAUUUUACAAAUAUAUUAUUUUUUAAGAAAUUAUAAGAAGAUUACAAAAAUUCCAAAAUAAUAUAAAAAAGCUAAGGAAAACCUAGAAAUUCAAAAAAAAAAUCAUGUUUUUACAAAUUGGGAAAUACCUAAAUUUGUUUUCAUCAAUUAAGAAAUUAAAAAAAUUGUUGAGAAAUAUCUUUUUAGAAAUAUCAUAAUUGCAUUUAAGACCUCAUGAUUAUCUUUUAUAAUUUCAAGGUUAUCAACUAUUUUGAAAACAAAGACAAAAACAAAAACAAAAACGUCGACAUAUCACUUUAGCAUUGACUUACUUUUCUACAGUUAGUCUUCUCCAACAAGAUAAAUAUUUCAAUUUUAACAACAUUGACAGGUCUUUGGGGUAGGGUCGAGCAAAAGUCAAUAGAAACAGAUGAUAUAAGUUUAAAUCGGCCCGGUCAAGCCGAUGUCCUGGUAAAAUCAAUUUUAAAAUUAAUUAUAAUAGUUUAAGCGAAUUGAUUAUUAAGUAAUGAAAUACUUAAUUCAAACAAUUGAUGUAAUCAAAUUAUAAUAAAUAUAUAUUUACUUUUAUGGGAUCCUUCAUCUCCUUUUUAGAGUUUGUGGCAAUAUUUAUUUUAAGCUUCAAAUUUAUAUUUUUUAUUUAUGAGUACAAUGUGUUUUACAAUUACAUCUACAGUGUAUAUUUUUUAUUUUAAAACAUAUAUUAUAAUAUAUGAAAAACAUAUAUGUCGAAACCAUUUUUAAUAAUUUUGAAAAACGGGGAUCGACUUCGAAAAUAAAAUGGGAGUCACCAUCGAUCUUUUAUUGAGAUAUGAUCGGUUCACCAUUAGACGUAAUUUUGGUCUGCAAAUUUUGAGAAAACAAGUUCAGGAAUCUGUUAAGCACGAGGAAGGGUUAGCACCCUCGUAACGCCCAAAAUUGGUACCAAAUUGAUUGUUUAAUGUCUUAAGGUCGAAAUUUUGAAAAGAUUUUAAAAUACGAUCCUUUGAAGUUUAAAUUUGAAUAAACCAAAUUGAAUAAUAAGACACACUCAUUUCGAAUAAAUAAAUUGUCACACUCAGUGAGUUAGGAUGCAACAAUUCAAUCAUCAAAAUUAAGUAUGUCUUUUUUAAUUUUAAAAUUUUAAAAUUCAUGCAUUUUGAGAAUGUUGUUCGGUUAUUUAAGUCAAACGAGAAAUCAGAAUUCAGUAAGUUAGGUUUCGAUUUCUUGAAGUUCUUAAACAUCAAAUAUUGUCUUUAUUUUAAAAUCAGGAUAUCAGAAUGUCACAUCCGGUAAGUUAGGAUCCGACAUUUUGAAAUCCUAAAUGCUUAGUUUUAAAAUGGUAUGGUUUUAAUAAAAUAAGCAUAUAGCUAUUUAAAUUCAUCGAGAAAAAUUGGAACCCAAUAAGUUAGGGCACAAUUCUCUCGAAAAUUAUAAAUGCUAGACCUUUUUUAAUAUGAAAUAGAAUAAAAAAUUUAAAAGAAGUAUGAAAUGUAAAAGAUGAUUGAUAAUUCAAACUUAAACUAAGAAGUAGCAAAUAAGUGAUAAAUAAAUACAAAUAAGGAAUAGCAAUAAUAGUUUUAAUAAUAUUAUAUUAACGCUAACAUUGACAAUCAAACAUCAAAUUCUAAAGUAUAUCCAAGAUGAUAAAAGGGGAAUUUCACCUCACGAAACUUAUGCACACAAGUUCUAAAAGAUUUAUUCACAAAAUCAAAAUAGAUUCGAAAUAAAAUAAUAAUAACAUUGUAUAAUAGCAUUUCGAAAUGAGCUUGAAACAAAUAAAAUAUAUUUAUUAAUCCACCUUAAAUAAUACACAUAAAAUAACUAUGAAAGGGUCUCAAUGCAUGUAUGAUUUAAAAGAAAUAAGUAAUUACCCAAAUAGGUUUUCAAAGAAAUAAAUUAUAUAAAUGAAAUCGACUUAAAAUUCAUAUAUGCAUAUAAAAAUACUUUGAAAAUUUAUAAUCAUGAUGAUAUUAAACAUCAAAACAAUAAUAUAUAUAUUUUUUGAAAUAAUUUAAUAUCACAUAUAGUAGCAUUUAAAAACAUUAUAUUAAAAGAAAAUUAAGUUAUAACACAAAAUGAAUUACUAAAAUAUGUUCAAAGUAUGUCAAAUUGCUAUAAAACAUUUUUACAUAUAUAGAUGAUGAAACAUAUAAUGAUAUAGAGUUUUAAAAUAAAAAGGAUAAAUUUUAAAAAAAUGUUAAUAAACUCAAAACAUGUUAAUAAUAAUUUUAAAUAACAAUAUGUUGUACCUUAAAAUUAUAAUAAAAAUGUUUGAAAACAGUGUUAAUCCUAAUAUUUAAAACUUAUUAAAAAUAAACAUAUUAAAAAUACUAAGCUAACUUUACAUUAUGUUAUAUAUAUAAAAAAAAACUAAAUUUGAAUGAAAUUUGUAGAAGCCCAAAUUUGCCGGGCCCAUACCAACAAAAUAACCCAAACAAUAAACCCGAAGCCCAACUACCCCAGCCCAUUAACCUAAGCUCAGCAUUCAGAAACCCUAAUCCCACUAACCCUAGCCACCUACCCCCACUUGCCCACUUGCCCACUUGCGCCGAACACCACCAUGCCACUAUCGGCCAUGGCCACCUGCAAGAAGCCAAGUAGAAAUAAACAAAUAGAAAAUAAACAUUUGUAAUUGGUUAUAAAAACCGAAAAUCUCACCAUUGAUAAAGGGGAUUUUUUAUUUUUUGCUAUGAAAACAAAAGAUUUUCUUUCAAUAUUAACAGAUUCAAUACAAGAACCAUUCGAAAAUAUAUAUACUAUCAGGGGCUCUAACACCAAAUCGGAGAAUCAAAUCUAAAACCUAAGGUGAACCUAAGGUGACUCUUUCUUUUUUUUUUCUUUACUGUUUUGAGUUUAUUUUCUACAUAAAAAUACUAAAAAAUAUUAAAACAUAAAAAUAUAUGCAUUAUUAAGCAAAAAAAAAAAGAAAAAAAGAAAAAAAAUAUUUUUUUUACCUUUUCCGGCCACCGCCGGCGAGCCUCCGGUGGCCGUCCGGUGACCGGCCCCCUGGCCGGAUUCCCCUUUCCCCCUCCCUUCUCUCUCCCUUCUCUCUUCCCUCUCUCUCUUCUUUUUUUUCUUUCCCUCUCCCCAAAGGAUUUUUUUGGCUAUUUUAGGCCUUUAUAUAGCCCUCCAAAACGAUGUCGUUUUGGGGGCUACACUUAAGCCUCAAAACGACGUCGUUUUGACCAUUGCCCGACCCAUCCGACCCGACCCGCUAGAGGAUCCGCGUGUUUUCGUUUGAAUGGGAUAUUUAUGCGCGCAGUCCUUCCGCUUUUUCAAGGUUUUGCAGUUAAGUCAUUUUUCUUGUUUCCAAUUUGGCCCCAUAAUUUCUCGCGCUUUUCGAUUUAGUCCCCGCUAAUGUGCUGUGUUUUAAUGGAAUGGAAUAAUUGUUGUUUCGGUCCUCCUAUGUUUUGUGCGCGCUCAAAUAAGCCCAUUUCUCUUUAUUUCCUUUCACAUUUGCCCCACAACUUUGUUUUUAAUUCAAUUUUAGUCCUUUUUCGUUUAUUUUUAUAUCUUUAUUAAAUAUCAUUGUUAUUUUAUAUUAUUAGUAUUAUUAGUAUUACUAUUAUUAUUAUUAUGUAUUAGUAUAUAUUUUUAUUAUGUACGCGUAUACAUGUAUAUAUAUUUUCAUAUUUAAUAUUUUUAUUUCAUUUUUUUCUAAUAUUUUAUUAUAAUUUAUAUAUAUAUACAUAUACAUAUUCUUUAUUUAUUUUAAGUAUAUAUUUUUUAUAUUUCAUAUUUUCUACAGGCAUAUAUAUACUUAUAUAUUUACAUAUUUUAAUUCAUAUACUUAUAAAUGUAUGUACAUACUUACGUUAUUUUAUUUUUAUAAUAUACAUAUUUAUAUUUUUUUGUCUUUAUGUAAUAUAUAUACAUACAUGCGCAUGUUAUUUAUAUAUAUGUAAUUAUGUUUUCAUAUUUUAUAAUUCUUGUACAUACAUAUAUAUAUAUAUAUGUAUAGACAUACAUAUUUUCAUUAUAUAUAUAUACCUACAUAGUUUUUUUUUUGUAUUUUAAAUCUUUUAAAAUUCAUACAUGCAUUUUUAAAACUUUUAUAAUUUUAUUCAUUUCUUUAUUAUUAUUAUUGUUUUACUUUAUGUUUAUCUAUUUAUUUAUGUGUCCAUUAUUAUUUUUUUUAAAAAAUGUUUUAGUUUUUUUUAUUUUGUUUAUUUACUUGUUAUUGUAUAUAAUUGAUUUUUUAUAUAUUUAUUUUUGUUAUCUUCGCUCGUAUUAUUUUUACUCGCAUUAUCGUAAUUGUUAUUCCGUCACAUCAAUUUUUACCCAAAUUCGUAAAAAAGGGAAAAUUUUGGAAAUAAAGGCAAUACUCGAUACUUGGGAUCUUCGAGAGAAUUGGGCCCUAACGUGCUGGGUUCUAAUUUUCUGUUGAAUCUAAAUGCUCGAGAAUGCUCUUUAAUAUAAAACAUAAAUAAAAACUCAUUAUCGGGAUUUCAAUAUGUUGUGUCCUAACGCAUUGGAUAUGACACGUGGUUUUCUCGAUAUGAGGAUUUUUUUUUUCGAAAGUAAAGACAAUAUUCCGUAUUUAGAAAAUUCGAGAAAAUCAUGCCCUAACUUACUGAGCUUCGAUUUUUCUCGUUGAUUCUAAGUAAUCGGAUAUCCUUUUAAAAUUAAAAUAAAUGAGGUUUAAAUAAAAAAAUGAAAGGCAAGUUUACUCUCGAAAAUACGAGGUGUCGUGUCCUAACUUACUGGAUGUAACAUCUUGUUACUUCGAGAUAAAGAGGCAUUUUCCAUUUUGAUUUAUUCGAGUAUUUUUAAAAUAACACGAUAUAAGGAGGGAUCAUAUUUUUAAGAUUCUUUUCGAGUUUUUAAUUUUCGACACUAAGACACUAAUUAAUCAACUAGGUACCAAUUUUGGGUGUAUCGAGGGUGCUAAUCCUUCCUCGUGCAUAACCGACUCCCGAACUCAUUUUUCUGAAUUUCGUAGACCAAAAUCGUUGUUUUAAUAAAAUUAAAUCAUUUAUUAAAAACAACCACUUUUUGAGGUGACCCGAUCACACCUCAUCAAAAAAGGAUUGGUGGCGACUCCCAAUUUCGUUUCAUUUUCAAAAUCCAAGUCGACCCCGUUUUCAUCCAAAAAAUGGUGUCAACAGCUUGGCGACUCCACUGGGGACAAUAAGAGAGUCAAGCCACGUGUUGAUUAUUUCUUGUCUUUCUGUUGAAAGUGGAAAAUUCGAUUUAAAUUUACGAUCCUCUCAUUACAUCUCUUUUGUUUUGAGUUAUAUUUUUAUUGUGUUCUGUAUUUUAUUUUAUACCUCUGCACAUUGCAUUGCAUGACCGCUGGUCAUACCCUUUUUAAGUGGGAGUGAGAAGCUACGCCUUCGUGAGGUUUUCACCUCCGCAUGGGAUAGUGAAUCGCUUUCGGGAUAUAUCCGUACCUAUGUCUUCGUGAGAUUUUCAUCUCCGCAUGGCCAUAGGGAAAUGUAUCCCCCUGAAUCGAACUCGGUCCAUAUGAGCCUAUAAUGGGUGAGGAUCGAGGAAUCUGCUGGUUCAGGUACCCUUACUUUAGAACCAAACCUCAUGUAGUGAACCUUAGGAGCCCACCCUAGGUAGAACCACCUCCAAACCCCUAGUGGUCACCCGAAUUGCUUUAUUUGUUAUUUAUUCUGCACUAACGUGUUUUGUUUUUUUUUUGUUUAUAAUUGCAUUGUAUUACAUCAUCCUAGGAAGGAGGUGUUGAUUUAUAUUUGAUUGCUAAAUAGAACAGUUUGUCAUAAGAAAACAAAUUUUUUGAUAAAGUGGAUUAUAACACGGUUGUCUAAAUAUGGUCCAAGUGAAUACAUGAAAGAAGGCUGAUAGUCCGUGAAGAAAUACAAGACUUUGCUUCAUUGCCUGAAGACAGAAACUAACAAAGAUUAUUCGAGAGCUGUCAUGUCUUGACUUUCUUAAAGGAGCUGAAAAGUAUCAUAGAAAUAAGUGAGCAACGAGUCGCUGCCUGGAUCCAGCAAAAAAGCAGUUAAUAUAGACAUCUCUUGGAGAAUUCGUCAGACUCGACCAUAAGAUCCAGAUAUGAAGAGGAAGAAAGGUGUCUUCACUUGGAAUAUGAGAGAAAGACCGUGUAUGUAGUCCGUUUUAUGUAAAGGAAUUUGUUUUCUAGAAAAGUUGUUCCAAUGAAAUUAAAUUUAGAAUCAAUGUCUUCCUUUCUUUUUGCAUUCAUGCAUUUGCAUUACAUUACAUCAAAGAAAAGAAUGUGUUGAUUCGAAAUUCGAUUCCUAAAUAGAAUAGUUUGUCAUAAGGAAACGAAUUUCUUGAUAAAGUGGAUUAUAGUGCGGUCACCUGAAUAUAGUCUGAGUAAACACGAUGAGAGAAAGCUGGUAGUUCACGGAGGAAUACAUGAUGUAAUUUCUAGAGAUUCAAGCCAACGAAGGCAUGACGAGAGAAAGCCGGAAGUCCACGAAGGAAUACAUGACUUGAUUUAAUUGCCAACGAAGAUUAUCCAAGAGCCGGCACUUUUUGAUGAAUAUCAUGGAGAUAAGCGAGCAAGAGAUCGAGGCUCAGGUUAAGCAGUAAGGAGCUAGCAAAGGCAUCUUUUGGAGAAUUUACAGGGUUUAACCAUGAAGAAAAUAUCAGCGUUUACUUGGACUAUGAAGGGCAAUACCACAUAUGUAAACUAUUUUCAUGUAAAAAAAUUUGUCUUCUAGAAAAAUUAUUCUAAUAGAAUUAAAUUUAGAAUCAACGCAUUCUUUUUCUUUGCAUUCUUUUCAUGCAUUGCAUCACAUCAUAUGCAUUAAUGACCAUUUAAAAAGAACUUAAUCGAAUAAAAUCAUUUCAGUUAACCUGGAAAACCAACAAAGUUACGGCACCCGAGCUAAGGCAAAAGUUAUGGACCAAAGGUUGGAGAAGCUAGAGCGACUUCAAAAAGAAAUGCAAGACCAGUUGCAGGCGCAAAUGAAAGAGCAAAUGGAAAAGAUUCAGCGUGACAUGGUGCAAAAGAUGGAGGAGUCCCAAAAUGAUCUGGUGGCUAAGAUGACGCAAUUAUUGAAGGGAGUAGAUAAGGGUAAAGGUCCUGUGAUUGUUAGUGAAGAAGAAAACAAUGGUGAACCACUUUAUCCUCCAGGUUUCACGCCUCCGCAUGAGCAAGUACAGACUGAGCUGCAUCUGCGGAGACCCUCUGUGUCGGUUAGGCCCCAGCAGUUCCAAGGCGAUGCUUCAAUCCCAAUGAAUUUUCAACCCGGAGCGGGCUUUAAUCCCAGUGAUAGCCCGAAUAAUAUUGUUGUCCCAGAUCUUGAUGAGAUGGUUGAAAAGGACAAGGCGAAGGAGGAAUUUCCAAAACAAUUUGAGGAGAAAUGGAAAUGGAUAGAAGAAAAGUUUAGGGCAAUAGAAAGCAUCGAAAGCUACGGAAUAGAUGCAAAGGAUCUGAGCUUGGUUCCGGACUUGGUGCUCCCUUACAAAUUUAAGAUGCCGAAAUUCGAGAAAUACAACGGGACUAGUUGCCCAGGAUCCCAUAUUACUAUGUUUUGUAGAAGAAUGACGGGGCAUAUUAAUAAUGAUCAAUUAUUAAUACAUUGCUUUCAGGAAAGUCUUACGGGAGCGGCGUCAAAGUGGUACAAUCAGCUGAGCCGAGCUAAAAUUGCUACUUGGAGGGAUUUAGCACAGGCUUUCCUGAGACAAUACAAUCAUGUCUCAGAAAUAAUGCCUGACAGGAUAACUCUGCAAAAUUUAGAGAAGAAAUCAAACGAAAGCUUCAGACAAUAUGCGCAGAGGUGGCGAGAGGUGGCAGUUCAGGUGCAACCACCGCUUUUGGAAAAAGAGAUGACAACGCUUUUUAUUAAUACUUUGAAAGCCCCGUUCAUCACUCACAUGUUGGGAAGCGCUUCAAAAAAUUUCUCGGAUAUAAUCAUGAAUGGUGAAAUGAUUGAGCAUGCCAUUAAAAGUGGAAAAAUAGAUGGAGGAGAAAAUAAUAGGAGGGCACCCCUGAAGAAAAGAGAAAAUGAAGUGAAUAAUGUGAAUGCUUAUGGUAGGUCAAUUACCGUGAAUCAACCAAAGAAAGUGGUUGCUAAUCAACAGGGAUCAUCAAGACAAGAGUCGGGAGCUAGGCAAACUACUGAAAAGCCCUAAUUCACGCCAAUCCCGAUGUCAUACAAGGAGUUGUAUCAGACUUUAUUCGAUGCACAUGUUGUUGCUCCUCGUUACUUGAGUCCUCUACAACCCCCGUAUCCAAAAUGGUAUGAUAUGAACGCGCAAUGUGAUUAUCAUGCGGGAAUUUCUGGGCACUCGAUAGAAAAUUGUACUGCCUUCAAGAAGGUAGUAGAAGGACUUAUCAAUUUAGGUGUCGUCAAACUUGACGACUCACCUAACGCAAAGAAUCCGUUACCUAAUCACGCAGAUAAAGGGGUGAAUAUGGUUAGCGAAGAUACGGGAGAAGAAGCCAAGACUGACAUUGCUGAAGUAAAAACUCCAUUGAAACGGGUCUGGAAAGAAAUGGCGAAAAGAGGUUUGGUUAUUUCAGAUUCUGAGGAAGGGCAUGAGAUGGGAAAUUAUUGUGAAUUUCACCAUAAAACAGGGCACGAAAUCCAAGAAUGUGAAGGAUUUAAGGCUUUGGUUCAAAGCAUGAUGGAUAACAAGGAGAUGAGGUUUUACGAAGAUGCGAAAGAAAUGAGGAGCAUAUGCGCGACAGAGUUGGGAACAAAGGCUCCAAAUCAUCCUGUGGUCAUUAUCUCACGCCCUAAGGGUAAGGAGGUUAGGGCUCAGGUAACACCGAAAAUUGUAAUCCAGAAACCAUCAAAUUUCUCUUAUAGGGAUAACAAAAUGGUACCGUGGAAUUACGGGUGUAAUGUGACCAUUUUGGGAAAAGAAGCAGAAAGAAAUCAGGAAAUAGGUUCUUACACGCGCAAUAGAAAAAGAUAUGACGCUCAAGCAGAGUCGUCCAGGGAAGAGAAUUGGAAGAAAGAACAGAGGAAAGGGAAAGCAGUAGAAGUUGAGCCAUUGGUAAAUGAACCAAAAAAAGAAGAGGAGGCAAAGGAGUUUUUGAAGUUUUUGAAACACAGUGAAUACAGUGUUGUGGAGCAACUACACAAACAGCCAGCCCGCAUUUCUGUAUUAGCUUUACUCUUAAACUCGGAAGUACAUCGGAAUGCACUAUUAAAGGUGCUAAACGAAACAUAUGUGGCUGACGAUAUUUCGGUAAACAAGCUGGAUCGGCUGAUCAACAAUAUUGGUGCUGACAAUUUUAUCUUCUUCAGUGAUGAUGAAAUACCAUCCGGAGGAAGAGGUUCUACUAAAGCCCUGCAUGUUACUGUCCGAUGCAAAGGGUACACACUCCCGGGGGCCUUGGUUGAUAAUGGAUCUGCACUAAAUGUAUUGCCUUUGUCCACUCUUAGUCGAUUACCAAUAGACAGUUCGCACAUGAAAGCAUGCCAGAACAUAGUAAGGGCAUUUGAUGGAACAAAAAAGGAGGUUAUGGGGAGAAUUGAGGUACCAUUAAGGAUUGGCCCAGUCACUUAUGAGGUGGAUUUCUUGGUAAUGGAUAUUAAACCCUCCUACAACUGUCUAUUGGGGAGACCGUGGAUACACUCAGCAGGGGCAGUACCUUCAUCAUUACAUCAGAAGGUGAAGUUGGUAUCGGAGGAUCGGUUGGUAACAAUAGAUGCAGAGGAGGAUAUUAUCGCAAUGAUGACUAGCGAUGCACCUUAUGUGGACAUCAACGAUGAGGCACUAGAAUGUUCUUUUCGGUCGUUAGAAUUUGUGAACGCGAUGUUUAUUGCGGAGGGAAAUAGAAUUCCAGUACCAAAAAUAUCCAGGACCACUGAGAUGGGAUUGCGAUUGAUGGUAGGAAGAGGAGCCUUACCCGGGAAAGGAUUGGGAAAAUAUCUUCAGGGAAGGAUUGAGGCACCAAUGCCGAAGGAAAAGUUUGAUAGAUUUGGUUUAGGGUACAAGCCAGACAUGAAGCAGAAGAAGAAAGAAGUAGAGAAGAGACAAGAGAGAAGAAGGGCGCGUUUGAAUGGACAUGAAGCUAAGUGUGAGCCUUUAACCUUUCCCCACAUAUCUACAUCUUUUGUGUCGGGAGGAUUUAUUCAUUCUGAAUGUGGAGUGUCCGGUAGCGGCAUGGGAGGAAUGUUGGAAAACGUUUAUACCAACGCCAUAGAAGCAACGGAAAGGAGGGCCUUGUUGGAGAUCUGCCCUUAUGAGCCUGGAAGCGAGCUAAACAAUUGGACUGCUGAAGAAAUCCCUGUAGUCUUUAGGGCUUAUUCAGAGUAAUGCUCAAAACAUUCCUGUUGUUUGUUGGCCUAGAAACGAUAUGAAAUCUUUUGUGAAAUAGGCAUUGGGCCUAAAUAUCAUUAUUUUAAUGAAAUACGUGUCUACGUUCAUCUCGAUCAGUCACUUUUUUUUCCUUUCAUAUUUUUCAUUUGGUUGAUUGUCUUACAAAUAAUUCUUUCAUUUGUAAUUCUUUUGCACAAACAUAUUCAUAAAUUUAUAUUCUUGGUAUAUUCUUUGAUGCGCCCUCAUAGGUCUUCAGAUAUCAAUGACAUGAGUGACGCUGCCUCAAACACGGAGCCUAUUUUUGAGCAAAAAGUGUGUUCAGAGGGAUCCCACGACUUUGACGAAGAUUAUGAUGCAUCUCCGGACUUGUUAAGAAUGAUGGAACAAGAGGAUAAGCAUAUCCUACCUCAUAGGGAAUCGUUAGAAAUAGUGAGCCUAGAGGAUGGAAAGGAGGUGAAAAUUGGAUCUGAAAUCACCGCAAAGACAAGGCAAGACCUCAUUAAUUUGCUCCGAGAGUUCAAGGAUGUUUUCGCGUGGUCGUACCAAGAUAUGCCUGGGCUAAGUACUAACAUUGUGGUGUAUCGUCUGCCCAUAAAGGAGGAUUGUAAACCCGUUCAACAGAAGCUUAGGAGAAUGAGACCUGACAUUGUGUUGAAAAUAAGAGAAGAAGUCAAAAGACAAUUCGACGCUGGAUUCUUACAAGAAGUCAAGUAUUCGGAUUGGGUAGCCAACAUCGUCCCAGUUCCCAAAAAAGAUGGAAAGGUACGAAUGUGUGUGGAUUAUAGGGAUUUAAACAAGGCUAGUCCAAAGGACAACUUUCCACUGCCUCAUAUUGAUACUUUGGUAGAUAACACGGCGGGCUAUUCAUUGUUUUCUUUCAUGGACGGUUUUUCUGGAUACAAUCAAAUAAAGAUGCAUCCUGGAGACAUGAGGAAAACCACAUUCAUUACCUUAUGGGGAACAUUCUGUUACAAGGUAAUGCCCUUCGGAUUGAAGAAUGCGGGAGCAACAUAUCAAAGAGCUAUGGUGACUUUGUUUCACGACAUGAUGCACAAAGAGAUCGAAGUCUAUGUUGACGAUAUGAUCGCGAAGUCUAGAACGGAAGAAGAGCAUGUUCAGGUCUUGAAAAAGUUAUUUUUGAGAUUAAAGAAAUUUCAGCUCAAGCUUAACCCGGCCAAAUGCACGUUUGGAGCCAGAUCAGGGAAGUUAUUAGGCUUCAUAGUUAGCAAAAAGGGGAUCGAGGUUGACCCAGACAAAGUAAAGGCAAUACGAGAUUUACCUCCCCCGCGCACUCAGAAGGAGGUUCGAGGUUUCCUAGGGAGGCUGAAUUACCUUGCUCGGUUCAUCUCAUAACUGACAGAGAAAUGUGAUCCAGUAUUCCGGCUCUUAAAGAAACAUAAUCCGGGUGAAUGGGAUGAAGAGUGUCAGAGGGCUUUCGAUAAGAUAAAGCAGUACUUGGCUAAUACCCCAGUCUUAUCACCUCCAAGUCCAGAUAGGCCAUUGAUAUUGUAUCUAACAGUGUUGGAGAAUUCCAUGGGAUGCGUAUUGGGCCAACAUGAUGAGAUAGGAAAGAAAGAAAGGGCAAUAUACUACCUCAGUAAGAAAUUUACCGAUUGCGAAAUGAGGUACUCAUCAAUUGAGAAGUUGUGUUGCGCUCUAAUCUGUGCAACCCGAAGACUGAGGCAGUAUAUGUUGUAUCACACGACUUGGCUGAUUUCAAAGUUAGAUCCUUUAAAGUAUAUGAUGGAAUCGACUGCUUUGAACGGGAGAAUGGCUAGAUGGCAGAUCUUGCUCUCAGAAUUUGAUAUAGUAUAUGUCAGUCAGAAGGCCAUAAAGGGAAGUGCAAUAGCCGAUUUCCUAGCUAGUAGAGCCUUGGAGGACUAUGAAUCUUUGAAUUUCGAUUUUCCAAACGAGGACUUGAUGUAUGUGGCGAAUACUGAAGAAAAUCCUUAAAUGGAUCGCGUAUGGAAGUUAAAUUUUGAUGGAGCUUCAAAUGCUACGGGUAAUGGAGUUGGGGCAGUUUUGGUAUCCCCAAGUGGAGAUCAUUAUCCUGUUGCUAGCAAGUUGGACUUCGAUUGUACAAAUAACAUGGCAGAAUAUGAAGCAUGUAUUAUGGGCAUUCGUGCAGCCAUUGAACGGAACAUCAAAGUACUGAGAGUAUACGGGGAUUCAGCGUUGGUGAUAUACCAACUCAAAGGGGAGUGGGAGACUAGGGAUCCUAAGCUAAUCGGUUAUAGAAAACUAGUUCUUGAAUUGGCUGAGGAGUUUGACGAUAUCACCUUCUAUUACCUCCCACGGGAGGAAAACCAAAUGGCUGAUGCUUUAGCUACUCUAGCUUCGAUAAUUCAGGUGAAUAGACUUGAGGCAAUGAGGCCUGUUCAGAUGAGUAUCUCUGAGACCCCGGCUAAUUGCUGCAAUAUUGAGGAGGAGGGAAAAGAUGAUUGUCCUUGGUAUCAGAGUAUCCUACAAUAUGUGAAGAAUCGGGAAUACCCUGAUCAAGCGACAGAGAAUGACAAAAGAACUCUGAGAAAGAUAGCCAUUGAAUAUGUCUUAGAUGGAGAAGUGUUAUAUAAAAGAAGGAAGGAUCAAGUACUGUUAAGGUGUGUGGAUGCUGUGGAAGCCAAGAAAAUUUUGGAAGAAGUCCAUGAGGGUAUUUGUGGGACGCACGCCAGUGGUUUCACGAUGGCCAGACAGAUCAUGAGAUUUGGGUACUAUUGGCCCACCAUGGAAGGAGAUUGUAUUGAUUAUGCCAGGAAGUGCCACAAAUGCCAAAUUUACGGAGACAAAAUGCACGCGCCCCCUUCACCUCUUCACGUCAUGACCUCUCCUUGGCCGUUUUCCAUGUGGGGUAUGGAUGUUAUUGGGCCAAUAUCACCAAAGGCUUCUAAUGGGCAUCGCUUCAUCUUCGUAGUAAUUGAUUACUUUACUAAGUGGGUGGAGGCUGCUUCAUAUGCAAAUGUCACGAAAGCAGUAGUCAGCAAAUUCUUGAAGAAGGAGAUCAUUUGUCGAUAUGGAAUGCCUGAGAGGAUCAUAUCCGACAAUGCGAUGAACUUGAAUAAUAGCACAAUAGCUGAAGUUUGUAGCAAAUUUAAAAUUAAGCAUCAUAACUCAUCGCCGUAUCGUCCCAAAAUGAAUGGUGCAGUGGAGGCGGCCAAUAAGAACAUUAAAAGGAUUGUGGGGAAAAUGACUGAAACCUACAAGGAUUGGCAUGAGAAAUUAUCAUUUGCUCUCCUUGCCUAUCGAACAUCUGUUAGAACUUUUACUGGGGCAACGCCUUUUUCUCUGGUUUAUGGAAUGGAGGCAGUAUUACCUAUUGAAGUUGAAAUCCCUUCUCUACGGGUGUUAUCUGAGCUACAGUUGGAUGAAGCCGAUUGGAUCCAAUCUCGGUACGAUCAGUUGAACCUAAUAGAAGAAAAGAGGCUAAGAGCUAUUCACCAUGGGAAAAUGUACCAGAAACGAAUGAUGCGAGCCUAUAAUAAAAAGGUUCGCCCCCGAGAAUUUCGUGAAGGGGACUUGGUACUAAAAAAGAUUCUUUCUAUGCAAAAAGAUUUUAGAGGAAAAUGGAUGCCAAAUUGGGAAGGCCCUUAUGUUGUAAAGAAGGCCUUUUCUGGUGGAGCUUUGAUCCUAUGCGAGAUGGAUGGCAAAAGUUUACCAAAUCCUGUAAACGCAGACUCCGUCAAGAAAUACUUCACUUGAAAGAAAGGGGAACCAAAGUGAAAACCCGUGAAGGGCGCUUUGCUUCCUAAAAAAAAAAGAAAAAAAAAAACUUUGGGGAGGCUAAGGUGAAAACCCGUAAAAGGCACUUUGAGACCAAAGAGGGCUGGAGUCGAAAACCUGAAAAAGGUGACUCAAGUACUGGGCAGGAUUGGAACAUCAGGAUUUGAGCGGAUCAAAUUUUGAUCGGGGGCAUAUGAUUAUCUUGCUUUACUUGAACCAAUAAGAAAGGAUAUGCAACGUCUUGGAACAUGGACAGAGUAUUCCAGAUCUCCUGAACACAUGUCAAACUCAGAAGGGUCUUCGGAAAGUUUGUACAGAGAAACUCAAGCUGCGAUAACUGGGGCACCUAGUUCUUAUGUGUAUUCUUGAAAAUACAUUUUUUUAUUUUCUUUCUUUCUUCCUUUCUUUUGGUGAAAACGCACAUUCUCAAUCCAUUUCUUUGUUACCUUGCUUUCGCCAUCUUUGAUGUUUUAUUCGAGUUAUGAUCAGAACUAGCUUUAUUCUUAUCCAUUGUUAUGAUCUUUUUGCAAACAUGUUGCAUAGGAAUAAUGAUUAACGAACUAAUAAAACUUUCAGGAAAGAAGUUUUGCACAUUACUCUGGAAAAUUUCUAAAUAAUAUAGGGACCUGAAUCAUGACUAUUGUUUAGAAAAUACCAAGUUUAAAGGGUGAAAUAUCUAAGAAGGAAGAGUCUAAUUUAAAGACUAUCCUUUCAGAUUUUGUUGUCUAAACAUUGAUUGAACAAAAUGACAAGCUGUCGUGUUACAAAGCUUAAAUGAACAAGCAAGCAAUGAUCAUCAGGCAAUAGGAAGAGGUUACCUCGGAGAAGAGAGCCUUCACUUGCGCAUAAGACUUUGGUACGACACCUUGAGAAUGGUGUAGGAAACCAGAACGGUUCAGAUCCUAUAUCCCCGAAUUGUGAUAAAAGAGGACAGAGGAAAAGCCACAUAUUUCUACCCUUAGAUUACUGUGAGAGAAUGAUGGUACAAAUUUUGGCGUCCCAGUGGAUAUAACUUUGAGGUUUACAAUGGGGACAGUCUGGCUAAAUGUUUCUUCAGAAAAAAAAAUCAGUCAAGCGAGAAGGCGUUGCAGCACGUCAGUCACAAAGCCUUAGUAAACUUCGAGUAAUGACAACCUAAGCGAGAUCAUUCUCGGAAAAAUAAAAUUCUGCAUUCAUGCGAACACCAUUCACAUAUGUCUAGUUAGGAGCAUUUGUUUCAUUUUGAUCAUGUCAUCCUAAUCAUUAGGCAUAAUUAGGUUUAUUAUACAGGUCUUAUCUCCCUGAGAUUACAGUGGAACAGACCAAAGAAUUUCAGAUCCUAUCUCCCUGAGAUUACAGUGGAGCGGAUUAAAAUAAAGGAUCUUAUCUCUCUGAAGUUACAGCAGAGUAGAUCGCAUCAAGUCUUAUCACCCUGAGGUUACAGGGGAGUAGACCGAAGAAUUUCAGAUCUUAUCUCCCUGAGGUUACAGUGGAGCAGAUUGAAGCCAGAGAUCUUAUCUCUCUGAGAUUACAGCGGAGUAGAUUGAAGCUAGUAAUCCUAUCUCUCUGAAGUUACAGUGGAGCGGAUUAAAAUAAAGGAUCUUAUCUCUCUGAAGUUACAGUAGAGUAGAUCACAUCAGAUUGAAGCCAGAGAUCUUAUCUCCCUGAGAUUACAGUGGAACAGACCGAAAAAUUUCAGAUCUUAUCUCCCUGAGAUUACAGUGGAACAGACCGAAAAAUUUCAGAUCUUAUCUCCCUGAGAUUACAGCGGAGUAGAUUGAAGAUAGUAAUCCUAUCUGCCUGAGAUUACAGUGGAGUGGAUUAAAAUAAAGGAUCUUAUCUCUCUGAAGUUACAGUAGAGUAGAUCACAGCAGACAAAACCACAGAUCUUAUCUCCCUAAGCAGUUAGUGGAACAGAUCACAUCAAGUCUUAUCUCCCUAAGUAGUAGUGGAGCAGACUAAAAACACAAAUCUCAUCCCCAUGGAGUCGUAGCAAAGUAUAUUGAAGCUACAAGGCGUAUCUGAACUUGAAGUAGAGUGGAUCGAAGCAACAAGAUGUAGCAGGCUGGAAUAAGGCUACUUGAAGAAGAGAAGCACCCAAAGAAGUCAAGCCUCGGUGAGACCAGGCAAAUUUGGUCUUUUUUAGUCUUUGCUCUGUUCUUGUUACACAAAAACGAGCAAAGAGGGGCAGCUGUAGAAGCCCAAAUUUGCCGGGCCCAUACCAACAAAAUAACCCAAACAAUAAACCCGAAGCCCAACUACCCCAGCCCAUUAACCUAAGCUCAGCAUUCAGAAACCCUAAUCCCACUAACCCUAGCCACCUACCCCCCACUUGCCCACUUGCCCACUUGCGCCGAACACCACCAUGCCACUGUCGGCCAUGGCCACCUGCAAGAAGCCAAGUAGAAAUAAACAAAUAGAAAAUAAACAUUUGUAAUCGGUUAUAAAAACCGAAAAUCUCACCAUUGAUAAAGGGGAUUUUUUAUUUUUUGCUAUGAAAACAAAAGAUUUUCUUUCAAUAUUAACAGAUUCAAUACAAGAACCAUUCGAAAAUAUAUAUACUAUCAGGGGCUCUAACACCAAAUCGGAGAAUCAAAUCUAAAACCUAAGGUGACUCUUUCUUUUUUUUUUCUUUACUGUUUUGAGUUUAUUUUCUACAUAAAAAUACUAAAAAAUAUUAAAACAUAAAAAUAUAUGCAUUAUUAAGCAAAAAAAAAGAAAAAAAGAAAAAAAAUAUUUUUUUUACCUUUUCCGGCCACCGCGUGCGGUGGCCGGCGCCGGCGCCGGCGAGCCUCCGGUGGCCGUCCGGUGACCGGCCCCCUGGCCGGAUUCCCCUUUCCCCCUCCCUUCUCUCUCCCUUCUCUCUUCCCUCUCUCUCUUCUUUUUUUUUCUUUCCCUCUCCCCAAAUGAUUUUUUUUGGCUAUUUUAGGCCUUUAUAUAGCCCUCCAAAACGACGUCGUUUUGGGGGCUACACUUAAGCCUCAAAACGACGUCGUUUUGACCAUUGCCCGACCCAUCCGACCCGACCCGCUAGAGGAUCCGCGUGUUUUCGUUUGAAUGGGAUAUUUAUGCGCCCAGUCCUUCCGCUUUUUCAAGGUUUUGCAGUUAAGUCAUUUUUCUUGUUUCCAAUUUGGCCCCAUAAUUUCUCAUGCUUUUCGAUUUAGUCCCCGCUAAUGUGCUGUGUUUUAAUGGAAUGGAAUAAUUGUUGUUUCGGUCCCCCUAUGUUUUGUGCGCGCUCAAAUAAGCCCAUUUCUCUUUAUUUCCUUUCACAUUUGCCCCACAACUUUGUUUUUAAUUCAAUUUUAGUCCUUUUUCGUUUAUUUUUAUAUCUUUAUUAAAUAUCAUUGUUAUUUUAUAUUAUUAGUAUUAUUAGUAUUACUAUUAUUAUUAUUAUGUAUUAGUAUAUAUUUUUAUUAUGUACGCGUAUACAUGUAUAUAUAUUUUCAUAUUUAAUAUUUUUAUUUCAUUUUUUUCUAAUAUUUUAUUAUAAUUUAUAUAUAUAUACAUAUACAUAUUCUUUAUUAUUUAAGUAUAUAUUUUUUAUAUUUCAUAUUUUCUACAGGCAUAUAUAUACUUAUAUAUUUACAUAUUUUAAUUCAUAUACUUAUAAAUGUAUGUACAUACUUACGUUAUUUUAUUUUUAUAAUAUACAUAUUUAUAUUUUUUUGUCUUUAUGUAAUAUAUAUACAUACAUGCGCAUGUUAUUUUUAUAUAUGUAAUUAUGUUUUCAUAUUUUAUACUUCUUGUACAUACACAUAUAUAUAUGUAUAGACAUACAUAUUUUCAUUAUAUAUAUAUACCUACAUAGUUUUUUUUUUGUAUUUUAAAUCUUUUAAAAUUCAUACAUGCAUUUUUAAAACUUUUAUAAUUUUAUUCAUUUCUUUAUUAUUAUUAUUGUUUUACUUUAUGUUUAUCUAUUUAUUUAUGUGUCCAUUAUUAUUUUUUUUAAAAAAUGUUUUAGUUUUUUUUAUUUUGUUUAUUUACUUGUUAUUGUAUAUAAUUGAUUUUUUAUAUAUUUAUUUUUGUUAUCUUCGCUCGUAUUAUUUUUACUCGCAUUAUCGUAAUUGUUAUUCCGUCACAUCAAUUUUUACCCAAAUUCGUAAAAAAGGGAAAAUUUUGGAAAUAAAGGCAAUACUCGAUACUUGGGAUCUUCGAGAGAAUUGGGCCCUAACGUGCUGGGUUCUAAUUUUCUGUUGAAUCUAAAUGCUCGAGAAUGCUCUUUAAUAUAAAACAUAAAUAAAAACUCAUUAUCGGGAUUUCAAUAUGUUGUGUCCUAACGCAUUGGAUAUGACAUGUGGUUUUCUCGAUAUGAGGAUUUUUUUUUUUCGAAAGUAAAGACAAUAUUCCGUAUUUAGAAAAUUCGAGAAAAUCAUGCCCUAACUUACUGAGCUUCGAUUUUUCUCGUUGAUUCUAAGUAAUCGAAUAUCCUUUUAAAAUUAAAAUAAAUGAGGUUUAAAUAAAAAAAUGAAAGGCAAGUUUACUCUCGAAAAUACGAGGUGUCGUGUCCUAACUUACUGGAUGUAACAUCUUGUUACUUCGAGAUAAAGAGGCAUUUUCCAUUUUGAUUUAUUCGAGUAUUUUUAAAAUAACACGAUAUAAGGAGGGAUCAUAUUUUUAAGAUUCUUUUCGAGUUUUUAAUUUUCGACACUAAGACACUAAUUAAUCAACUAGGUACCAAUUUUGGGCGUAUCGAGGGUGCUAAUCCUUCCUCGUGCGUAACCGACUCCCGAACUCAUUUUUCUGAAUUUCGUAGACCAAAAUCGUUGUUUUAAUAAAAUUAAAUCAUUUAUUAAAAACAACCACUUUUUGAGGUGACCCGAUCACACCUCAUCAAAAAAGGAUUGGUGGCGACUCCCAAUUUCGUUUCAUUUUCAAAAUCCAAGUUGACCCCGUUUUCAUCCAAAAAAUGGUGUCAACAAAAUUUUCUUUAAUAUAUUCACUAUAAGAGCCAAUAAUAUUUAUGAAACUUAACAAAACAUUAUGACUAAUGAGAAAUAAAGAUAAAAUUAAAAAAAGAAGAAGCAAUAAUUGAAUCGAAAUUACAGCACUUGGAAGACUAAAUUUGCAAUCAAUCGAAAACAUGAGGACUAAAACCAUAAUUAAACACAAUGGUUCAAACAUUCAAAUUCAGAUAAUGGAAACGUCGCCGUUUAACUAUGAACCAAAUUGAAACCAGAUUAAAUCAUACGGUAUAAAUCGAAAAAUUGCAGAAAAUCGAAUUAGAACAAUACAAGAUAAAAGAGGACUGAUUGCGGAAAUAGUCCAAUGAACCAGAAUGCGCGGAUCCUGCCCCGGGUCGGGUCACCGCGUGGGUCCAAGGACGCUAAACGGCGUCGUUUCUUUCACACUAUAUAAGCUAAAAUAAACCUAAAACCUAAAGCUCUCAGUCAUUUUUUAAGAAAAAAAACCUAAAAGAAAACUAAACUCCUGGCGCCGCUUCAGCGUCGAAAACCCCCCUCGCCUAUUCAAUCUUGGCCUGAACGGGGGAGGGAUUCGGCGACUCACCGAUCCAGGUAAGGUUUCUGAACUGUCCUCCCUUUUUAUUUUAUAUAUAUGCUUAUAUAUGUGAUUACUAGCAAACAGAAAAAAAGAAAAAGCAAUCGGAAAAGGAACAGAACCGAAAAGAGGAAAAAAGAAAACCUUUUUUGUAUUGAUUUCGUUUUUUUUUUAUACAGUCUCCCCUUCCGGAGUACAUGAGAAAAUAAGGCUCUCAUAGCCCGAAAAAUAAAAAAUAAACCCUCUUUUCUCCUUUUUUCUUUUGUUGUUAUCGUUUUUUGCUUUUUUUCUUCUUCUUUUGCUGUUGUCUUGUUAUUUGCUGCAGGUACGGGUACGCGUGACGUGGCUCAACGCGUAUGGAGGCAGAGGCUGGCGUGGAGCGGCUCGGAGGCGUGGCUGCAGCGCUGGAGGCUGAAUGUUGCUAGGGUUUGCUGCUGUGCAUUCUGGUGUUGGGCCAUUUGGGCUGAGUUGGUUUGCUGGGCUUAGAAUCAGGUUUAGGUUUGGGCUAGGGUCUAGGCAAAUUGGGUUUGGUGAAUUUUUUUGUAAUUUGGACUGUUAUUUUAUUUGUUUUUUUAUUAUUUAUUUUAAUAGCGGGCUGGGCAAAUUGGGCCUAUUACAAUAUAUAUAACCAAAUUUUGUAACACCCAUUUUAUGUUAAAAAUAUUUUCUUUAAAAUUAAGUAUAGGUUGGGUGGUAAAGUACUUAUAUUUUAAUACUAGUAAAUACAUGUUCAAUCUUUAGAUUUAUAAUUUAUAAUUCUUUUAAUUAAAGAUGAUAUACAAGUAUGAAAAGACAAAAGUGACAUAGUAAUAAUAUUAAUUAUAAAUUUUAUAAUUUCAUAAUUGAGUUGAUGACGUGGUUGAAGGUGGCACUAACUCUAAAACACUUAAAUAUAAUAAUAGCUUAAAAAUAAGGGGCUUUUGGAAAAUACAUUUCUGAGUUGGUGACCUGAGGGUCACACCAACUCAAUAAAACUCUUAAAUAUUGAUUACAAAUCCUAUCACACACUUAUGUGUAUCAAUAUCACAAAUUUAGAAUAUAAAGAUGUGUUUAAAAUUAACAUACAAUAAAGAAUGAAAUUUAUGGUUUGAAACUAAUUAGUAAUAACACAUGAAAUAUGUAUGAUAUUAAAAUGAAAAAAGAGAGAUUAAAUUGUGCAUAAAACAAAAUUUUAUCCUAUUACAUCAAUAAAGUUAUAUUUAUUACCCUCGCCAAUUAUUUGUCAUUAAGAACAUUAAAGUAUCCUUGAAUGAUAUAACUUAUUCUAAAUAGAGUUGAUGUAUGGUUGGCUUGGGAUACCAACUCAGUCAGGAGCUUAAGAUUAUUAAAAUAUUCUUAUUUUAAAGAGAAAUUAAUAUUAUUAUAAGAGCACGUUUGGUUCGUUGUAUUGGAUUAGAGGCGUAAUGGAAUAGAGGUGUAAUGGAUUAGAGGUGUAAUGGAAUAGAGGUGUAAUAGCAAAUCAACUGUUUGGUUAAAUGUAAUGGAAUAGAGGCGUAAUAGUAAUCUUGUAUUUGGUUGAAUGAAAUAGAGGUGUAAUAGCAUAAUGGGAAAAACUAAAAUGACUAGAAUACCCUUAGCAUAAAUUUGUUAAUGAUUAUUGUUAUUGUUAUUUAAAUUUUAAUAAGAUUAUUAUUAUCAAUAAUAAAUAAUUUAAUCAUAUUUAAACAUAAUUAUUAUUAAAUAUAUUAUAAUUAAAAUAUAUAAUUUAAUAAAAUUCUUAAUAAUCAAUAUUCUUAUAUGAAUUUACUCAAAUCAUAAUAUAUGAUACUAUAAAAUUUAAAUUAACAUAAUUAUUAUUAAAUAUAUUAUAAUUAAAAUAUAUAAUUUAAUAAAAUUCUUAAUAAUCAAUAUUCUUAUAUGAAUUUACUCAAAUAAUAAUAUAUGCUACUAUAAAAUUUAAAUUAACAUAAUUAUUAUUAAAUAUAUUAUAAUUAAAAUAUAUAAUUUAAUAAAAUUCUUAAUAAUUAAUAUUCUUAUAUGAAUUUACUCAAAUCAUAAUAUAUGAUACUGUAAAAUAUAAAUUAAAAUAAUAAUUAUUACAUAUAAUUUAAUAAUAAUAUAUAAUUUAAUAAAAUUCUUAAUAAUUAAUAUUCUUAUAUGAAUUUACUCAAAUCAUAAUAUAUGAUACUAUAAAAGAUAAUUUGAAAUAAUUAUAACUAAUAAAUUAUAUUUUAUGAAUUUGUAUAAUUUAAAAUAAUAAUUAUUACAUAUAAUUUAAUAAUAAUAUAUAAUUUCAUAAAAUUCUUGAUAAUAAAUUUUCUUAUAUGAAUUUAUACAAUUUAAAAUAAUUAAUAUUAAAUAUAAUUUAAUAGUGAUAUAUAAUUUCAUAAAAUUCUUAAUAAUAAAAUGUUCUUAUAUGAAUUUACUAAAAUCAAUAUAUAACUUGAGAAUUAUAUUCUGCAUAAACAUAAUUAACUUAUAUUAAGAAAAGGUUAGAUGAAAAUGAAAUUCUACAUCAUAAUCCAUAUGUUAUAUAGUUUUACAACAUCAAAAAGUUUGAACAUUGAUAUUUAAUGGUGAGAAAGAAAUCUUCUGACCCAUUCCAAUCGGGCAACAGAAGGUAAACUAAAGAAAACGAUCAUUUGAGUUGGAUGAUCUGGAAUUUUACUCAAAGCAUCAUACCGCUGAUCGUCAGUUAAACCUUCAAUUGACCAUAGGGCUGAAUAUAAAUUUGAAGCUUUCUCUUCCAUCUUUUGAUAUUCUUCUGACUUCUGCUGAACUACCACCUCGAAGGCAAUACUCCUACUGAUUUGAUCGCCAACGGCCUGGAUUUUUUCCCCCAACAAAGUGGCAGCCUCAUCAAAUGAAGAAUACACAUUAUCACGAGCAUCAGAUUUCUUCUUUCUCUUGUUUGAAGAUGAGGAACCCCCUUGGUCUCUAUCUCCUCACGGAUCUGUACCAGAAACAUCCAUGUCGUCUAAAGAGACGUCAGCUUCGCAGUCAUAGAAUGUGUUUCUCUCUUCAUUCAUAUCUGUAGUACGUACAUCCUCAGCAUGUAUUUCUUCAAGAACAUCAGCAGCUGUUUGAGCGUCUUUCCCAGUUGCUCGAUCUCUUGCUUAUAUGGUAGUAAGCUGGUCAUAGUAAGAGAAAGUACGAUAUUUGAAUUGAGUGGCUUCUCUGUGACUCUAAAAAAAAUGAGGAAAUCAUAUUAGUCAUAAGUUUGGUAUAAAUAAGAUAAUAAAGACUUGAAAUAAUCUUACCUUUAAAUAGGACUCCCAAACCGUAUCUUCAGCAACAACGAGCUGCCUAUGCUCGUCCCAACCAAAACCGCUAUUGUUUUGGCCAUUAAGCAUGUCAUAAACGAUUGACCACUCCCUUUUUAGUAACCUAACCCUUGAUUCAAUAUUAGGUUUCGCCUUCAACAUUGCAUUUAGUAAAACCGUUUGUAGCAUUCUUUCCAACUCGUUCAAAUAACCGGCUUUGAACCCGGUAUCAGCAUUAAAUGUUCCAACAUUGUGCAGGUCCACCAUGCAGGAAACUAAUGCUGCAUCUUCUUCUGGAACCCAUUUUCUUUUGCUUCCUCGAGAAGCUUGAGAAGAAGCAUUUGAUUCUGGAACACCUGACAUAAUGAUCUUAAGAACAAAAAAAAAACAAAUUAUAUUAAUUACUAUUUUAAUAUCAUGAUUCAAAAGGUCAACACUAUAUAAAAUCUAAGGAAUUAAGUUGAAUAUCAUGAAUCAAAAGCUCCAUACCACAAAAAAUUUAAAAUUAUAACACAUGCUGAAUUAGAAGAAAUUAUAUUAUAAUUCAACAAGUUUAGUACAAUACAAAAAUCAAUACAAAAGUUUCACAAACUAAUUUCUAGAUGCUUGCCAUUCAUCGAACAUUUGGUUGGCUAGUUCCAUCCUCCAAGUAGCCCAAGCAUCUGAUGGAUGAAUAUUUGUGAUAUUCGGUUCAUCGUCAUCCACCACAUUAAUUGUAGGUAAUCCUUCUCCCACCUCCGCUUCAAUGGGAUCAAUACUCAUAUGGGUUCGAAUAAAAUUAUGGAGCAAACAACAUGCAAUAAUAAUUCUAUUGUGCACCCUUACAGGAUAGAACGAUGGACUCCUAAGUAUUCCCCAUCUAAGUUUUAAUAAGCCAAAGCAUCUUUCAAUAACAUUACGUGCUGAGGCAUGUUUCAUAUUAAAAAACUCUUGCGGAGAACUUGGCUGAUAACCCUGACGCCACUCGUUCAAAUGAUAUCGCUGUUCUCUAAAUGGUGCAAGAAAUCCCUCACAAUUUGUGUAUCCAGCAUCAACUAGAUAAUAACAACCUAUAAAAUAAAUUUUUUUUUAAAAUGAUUAAUUCAGCACACAAAGUUUACUAAAAAAAUAAUUCAAAGUCCUCUAACUAUACACUUUACCAUGAGGAACUUUUAAUCCAUGUCUUCUACUAAUGGCAUCUCGAAGAACCCGUCCAUCAGCAACUAAACCUUCCCAACCAGGAAGAACAUAAACAAAUUGCAUCUCAGGUGUACAAACACCUAGCAUAUUUGUUGCUAUGUCACCUUUUCACGUUCGAUAUCUAGGUUUAUCAACUGUUGGAACCCUAAUCUUGAUGUGGGUUCCAUCAAGAGCACCUAAGCAAUUCUAUAUCACAUGAUAUAAAACCUUGAGUUAGAAUACUAAUUUAAAUCUAAAUCAAGUAAAUGUUGUUGAAGAUAUAUAUAAAACUUAGUCCAAUACCUUAAACCAUUUCCACCUUGUGUCAGAAGAAUCAGCUGUAAUUAGCUCUGGCUUUUUAAAUAACACAUCUUGUAAGCGUAUGACAGCAUUUAAAACACUAUGAAAUGCUCUGCUAACAGUUUCCCCGGACCUUCUAAAGUGAUGCUUGAUAACUCGAUUUUUCAGGUGAUGGGAGAUGAUAAGUAAAAACAUUGCUACUUGCUCGUCAACAAGCAUGAACCUUGUCGACUUCAAUCCCCUAUCGAUUCUAACAUCUCACAUUGUUUAAAAAAGGCAGCUCUAUUCAUCCUAACUUGUUCAAUACAGGUCUCGUCACUAGCAUAUACAAGCCUCUUCACAUAAUCCCGUUUUGCAUAAAAAUCUACGGUAUAGGACCUAAUCCUUGGUCUAUGUAGCCUAAGGCUGGCACCCAUUCUAAAUAAGAACCAAAUCGCGAUUCUACAGAUUUCCAACCAUAUUGUCACAGCAAUACCAAUUCUUUUACGCCUCACACUUUGUGCAAUUAAAGGCAGACGAGCCAUUACUGCAACAUUUAGAACACACAUAGUUUAAACUCACGAAUUUAGAACACACGAUAGUUUGAACAUUAAUUAGUUUGAACAUUUCAUUUCGUAUAAAUAUAUUGAUUAGUUAAUUAAAGCAUGUUCAAUGUUUGAACAUUGAUAGUUUGGACAUUUAAAUUUAAAUUUAAAUAUAAUUUCGUAUAAUGAAAUUUAAGAUUUAAUAAAGGUGAGUAUCAAAGUUUGAUCAUUGAAUAAUCUUUUUUAUUGAUGAUUAGUUUAAUUAAGGUUUUCUAAUUUCAAAAUAAAUAAAAUGAAGAAUGAAGAUUUGGUUUAAUAAUGAAGAUUUGGUUUAAUAAAUAAAAUGAAGAAUGAAGAUUUGGUUUUCUAAUUUCAAAAUAAAUAAAAUGAAGAAUGAAGAUUUGGUUUAAUAAUGAAAAUGAAGUUUUAAAAUUUUUAUAACAUUUUAAAUGGUAAUUUUAUUUUGUAAAAAUAUAUAUAACUUUUAUCUCAUUUACAUGUACAAAUUAAUAUUAACAGUAUUGUAUUUGCAAUUAUGAUUGGAAAGAUUGAAAUCUAGUAUUGUAUUUACAUGUACAAAUUAAUAUUAUUUAAGCCCAUUAUUUGUAGGCAUAAUGCUCUUUAAGAUUGAACAUAAUUAAAGGUUGAACAUAAUUAUUAUUAUUUGAAUAAUAUCAAUUAAAGGUUGAACAUAAUUAUAUAUUAGUAUCAAAUUUGUAUGUACUCUUUAUAUGUACUCUUUCACUAAUAAAUUAUAUAUCAAAUUUGUAUCACAUUGAUUUUAUGUACGCUUUCAGUAAUAAGUUAUAUAUUAGUAAAAAGUUGGUGCAUUGGUACACCAAAUAAUUUGAAUACAUACUACUUUCUUUAAAAAAAAUGUUACCUAUUAGUAAAAACAUAUAACCUAUUUGGGAAACAACAAAAGCUGUAAUGACCAUAAUUAUGCAAAUUGGUGAUAAAAAAGAACAAUAAUUAUGCAGCAAUAACCAUAACCAUACAAACAAAAGCUGUAAUGAGCAAUACAAACAUACAAACAAAACCAUAUUCAUUUGGGAAACAACAGAAGCAGCUACAGCAAUACAAACAUAACCAUACAAGGAAAACAUACUAAUAAACCAUGAAUACCAAUGGAAAACUAACCUGUAAUGAGCAAAUCGGGGACGACUGCGAUGUAGAAGUGUUGGAACAAAGAACCUGUAACCAGUAAAGGGAAAUCAAUGUUACAAAAAUAAUCAGUUUAUAAAAUUGAUCAUACACUUUACCAAAGCAGCCUCUCAUUUAGUAACCAGUCCUUUAGAUUAUUAAAUAUACCAACUUGGCAGCUUUGAAUAUAUAUGCAAAGCCAUUUUACUUUAAAAUACAUCCCUCCAUUUAUCCUCUUUAAUGUGGUUCACUAGCACCAAGGAAGGCUUAGCAAUGAGGACUUUACAUUCCCUUUCGAAUUUUAAAAUCCCAGGGUUUACCAUCACAAGAAGAUACAUCCUUAUUCAAUCACACUCACCAACUAUUAUGUAAUUACUAAAAAAUGCAACCAAAAUGGGGUUGGCCUAACAUAAAUCAUACACCACACCAUCAAUUGAAGGUUAAUUCAUGGUAACAUUAGUAUUGAAAGGUUGCGUUGUGGGCAGCCUAAGAGGACUCGCAACACUAGGCUUAAUUGCUGUAACAUAUCACAUUCGGAGGCUGGUUCGGACAGCAUCAAUAAUACAAUAUUUAGACAUCAUUAACAACGCAAUAUUCGAACAACAUCAAUACCACAAUCGGACAGCAUAAACAGGGCAGCAAUUAACAAUACCAACAAGGUAAAAUUCGGACGGCAAUUUAACAGUUUCAACAAUUAUCAAACACAAGAAAAUAGAAGUUCAAGGAAAACUCGCCAAGGUUCCCAACACCAAUUUUACCUAUUUAAUUUACUUCUUCCCUUUUCCGCUACAGCCUUCUCCCACCUUGUUAGCUAAAUACAAUGAACCCAAAAGUUACAAAAAUGGUGUAUAACAACUCAAGCAUUCACUAAAUUCUUUUAACACAAGUGAGAAACUCCUCAUCUUCUAGACAUGCAACGUUUACAACUAGAAAAGAAACUCUUCUCUUCUCCCACACAUUCGGUCAAGCUCAAUUCAACAAUGCAACCAGAAUUUGUCAACGAAAAGCUAUGGGCAAGGGAGAGCUUAGAAGAGUUACAGUUCUACUUGAAAAUUUUAACUUCUAAGCAAGCAAAUUUCAUGGUUUUCCAGUACAUGUAGCCGGCCUCUCCUCUCUAGCUUCAUUUGAAAGAGACAAGGAAGCAAGAUAGAAAAAUAAAAAGUCGAAGUCUUUCUUUCUUACUUACCGUCCAUUUCUCCACCCUUUACCCAUCAUAAAAUGAAAUUUAGCCAAUCAACAAAUCUUAGCCGGCCACCAACCAAAAACCAAAAACCAAAAACCAUAAAAUGAAAAGAAUCAUGUAAAAGUUUAUUCAUACCUCAAAAACCAAACGCCGAGACCGAGAGAAGAAACGAUGAGGACUGAAUCAUCAACGAAAGCAGUGGGAAAUGGGAGGAGAAAUUAUGAGGACAGAAGAUGAGAGGGUCGGGUAGGGAGGGAGGGUAAAACAGAGAGUUGGGGAGGGAAGCCGGACGUAAUACCUAUUACUCGAUUUGGGAAGGGAUUAGAAAAGCAGGGAAUUUGGGGAUUAGGUCGGGAUUGUAUUACGCGCGUAAUACCUAUUACAGCGAACCAAACGCCAGAUUAGGGGCGUAAUGUAAUAGCCGCAUAAUCAGUCAGUAAUGGAUUACCUAAUACACUGAACCAAACAUAGUGUAAGUGUAUUUUCACCUUUUCAUACUUUGAUAUAAUCUUCAAGUAAAACGAUUGAAAAAUAUUAUUUGACGACACAAGACUAAAAAAAUUCAUAUAGAAAAUGCUUACCACUCCACUAGUAAUCAUUUGUCAAUGUAUUUUUGGUAAAAAGACCUCUCCAAUCCCUCUUAAUUUCACAAUUGCGCAAAUUAGUCCCUCUCAAAAAAUUAAAGCAAUUUAAUCCUUAUCAAUUUUGAAAGUGAGUAACUAAGGAUAAUUAAUUAUGGUGUUAAAUUCUUCCAUCAAUUGUACAUAAUUUUGAUUGGUAUAGUAAUAAAUUUAGCCUUCAAUGUUUAUAUAUUUUGUCAUUUUGGCCUUAAUUUUUAAAAAAAUUUUAAGAAAUUCAACCUCAACAUUUACAAUUUACACAAACGUUGCGGGAAAAUUUUGUUAAAGUAAGACCAGCUAAAUUUAUUAUUAUACCAACCAAAAUCAUGUACAUUUUAUGAAAAAUUAACAUCCUGAUUAAUUAUUCUUAAUUGCUCACUUUCAAAAUUAAUAGGGACUAAAUUGCUCUGAUUGUUUUAGGGUGACCAAUUUCCUCAAUUUGGAAAUUGAGAGAGACUAUUGAGAUCUUUUACAUUUUUUUUUAUAAAUAUAUUUUUUAAUAUAAAAUAUAUUUGUUCACACACAUCGUGUGUAUGAUAAAAUAUUUUUAUUGUUGAUUGAGUUGGUGUCAAAAAUUAACUUGACACCAACUCAAGAUUAAUGAUAACAAUAUGAUAAAUAAUUUAUUUAUUUAAUAUUUUUAAUUUAAGAUAUUGAUGUAAAUUUUAAGACAUGUAUGUCUUGUAGAAUUGUAAUUAUACUUUUUCAGUAUUGACUCAGUUUUCCACAAUUGUGGGUCUCUAUUUGAGCAAAACAAUUUCAACAUUUCUUCAUCUCGCUUAAUCCAAAUGCAUUUAGGAUUUUCUUAUAUCAUUGCUUCAAAAAGGGUAAAAAAAAACGUCGACAUUGAAUUUUCUGUUUCACAUUCAAUUUUUGGAUACGUAGAAUUUUCUAAUUUAUUUUCCAUCAACUUCACUUCAAUUUUCAGUCACAAUCAAUUGCAAUCAAGAGCACCACAUCUUUUUGGAUGAAACGAAGCUCUCAAUUUUAAGAUAAACGGGUCUUUAGGGUUAUUAAUUGAGGGCCUUUUCCACAAUUGCCAUCGUUAUUUGCGGGUGAUUGGGUUACGACAAUGGUUUGAAGUGAAGCUGUUUCAAAUGAAUAUGAAUACUCUACCAGUAAGUCAUAAUUUAAAAUUCAGGUUAUGUUUCAUUUCAACUAAGUUAAAUGUUAAGAUUGAAGUUAAACCUUUUAGAGGUUGCUCACAAAAGGAUCAAACCUUUAUAAAAGUGCUUAAAUGAAUGCCAAAUUUUUUAAAAUAGACAAAUAAGGCCCUAACCUUUUAAAAGGUGUUCAAAUAAGGGCUUCUCAAAUGUUGUAUAUCAGGUUAUGUGUUUUACUCUAAACAUAUCAGUAUUUACUAUUUUUUCUACAAAUUGGGUUGAAGUGCAUGAAAAAUUUUAUUUUAGCACUUUUGUAAAGGUUAAACUCUUAUUUGACAAUUUUGAAAGGUUUGAUCCUUAUGUGAGCAACCUUUAAAAGAUUGAGCACUAAUUUAACAAGUUGAGAAAUACCUAAAUUUGUUUUCAUGAACCAAGAAAUUAAAAAAAAAAAAAAAACAUGUUGAGAAAUAUUUUAGAGAUUCUUAGCCUUGACAAGUUCCCUCCACCAUCUCCCUGCCUCCAGUCCCACCUCUUCUCUUAUGCUCCUUCCAGGUUCUUGUUUUUUGUGUAUUGAAAAUUCGACGGAACAAAAUAUCAACCUACAUCAUAAGGCACGAAGGCCAGAACUUUACUUUCUAGCCCGUCCGAUCCAAUGAAAGAAGAACAAAGAGUAUUGAGAUCUGACAACUUUAUUUCAUUUUCAUUUUCUUUGUUAUUUUCUAUGUUUCAUGUCAAAUACAAUGGAAGAAGAACAUAGAAAAAUGUUGCCUAUUUAUUUCCCAAUCAUCAUGAAAUUACUUGCCAUAGUCUUAGAAUUUUCUCACCAAUUUUCAAGCAAUCUCACAUGAUUUCUCAAUCACAAUUAAUUGAAUUCAAGAUCUUUUUGGAUGACACAAACAUUUCAAUUUUAACACAAACCAAUAUUUAGGUUAUACUUCAGUGCUUGACAAGCACUUUCACAUUUGUGGGAUAAUAACUCUAGCAUUUUAGGAUCACAUUUAAUUCAAUUGCAUUUAAGACCUCAUGAUUUUAUUCUAUAAUUUGAGUCUUAUCAACCUUUUGGGAAAUAAUAAAACAUCGACAUUAAACUUGUUGUUGAUGCAUUCAAUUUGAUUUUUUGAGGGGUCGUUGGAGUUAUAUAUGACUUUAGCAUUGAUUGAUUUUUUUAGAAUUAAUCUUUUAUACCAAUUUAAUAACAUCGACAUGUUUUUGGGUAGGGUAGAACAAAACCCAAUUUAAACCGAUUAUAGUGGUUUAGUUGACUCGGUCAAGUCCAUUAGAUGGAUAAAAUCAAUUUUAAAAUCAGUUAUAAUGGAUUAAGGUAAUUAAUUAUCUAGUAAUGAAAUACAUAAUCAAAUCAGUUACGGAAUCCGCCAUGUUAGAUAAUAUGAACAUCCCAUAUAUAAUAAGAAAAAAUUACGUACGAUUAUUUAUUAUCAUAAAUGGUUAGCUUAAAUUUAAAGUAAUCUAAUAUUUUUAUUGAUCUUCAACUAUUAACUAAAGUAUAAGCUAAAUAUGUGUAAAUAUUCUAGAAAUCAUUUCUAAUUGAUGAUAGGCUAAUUCGGAAUUAAGAUUAAUAUAUAAAAACUAGAUAGUAGGGUUAUAGUCCUCAAACUACACCUAAUUUAGUUUUUCCGACAUAUUUUUGAAAAAAUAUCACCUUCUUUAAAAAAAAUUGGUACAAAUUUCAAAAAUUAAAACUAUCAAUAAAUUCAGAUAUAUUAAUAAGUACCAACUAAACAAUACUUAAAUAUAGAUGUGUUUUAUAAAAAAAAAUUAUCAGCUUAAAGAAGUUGCAACAAAAAUUUAAAAUUCAUUUAUCAAAUGAAUAUUUAAAACUUAUAAUCUAAACUCUGACAUAAUAAAAUACAUAAGCAUAACUUGGAUUUACCAAAAAUCUAUGAACUUUUCUAAAACUUAAAUUUUAGUCCCUAUACUUUAAUUUAGAGACAUUGAGUCACUAUACUUUUUUAUUUAAAAAUCUUGGUCCCUUCAUCAAUUUUAUCAUUAUAAUUGUUGAUUUACUUGUUAUAAAAAAGGUAGAAUAACUUUUUUAGCCUUAAACAUUUAUAGUUUUUAUUAAUUUGGUCCUUACUCUUUAAAAUUACAUAAAAAUUCAAAAAUAUUUUAAAAAUUAAAUUUUUUCGUAUUUUUAAAAACAUUUAUAGUUUUUUUUUGUGGUUUGGUAACUUAUCAACUCGACUCUUAAUUGUGACAAACUUUUUUGACCUUUUUCGUACCCUUAACCUAAGUCCCGCUACAACUUUCUAAAGACCUCUUGAUUGGUGUAUCAUCUCGAUUUGUUUUUAUAGUGGUGGAGAUUUGGUUUUGAAGCAAGCCUAUGAUAAUCACAUUUUUCAUUCAACUGUUGAGCACACAAUACUUGAACCUUAAACACUUAGAGUGCUUUGAGUGAAUCUUAGAUAGGGUAUUGAUUAUGGUUGAGUUUGAAUUUCAGGUAAUUAUUGAGAUAGAGGAGACGCCUAUGUUUUUUGUGCUUUACAAAUUUUUGCUUAGAUUGCUUUUAUUCUUUAGUGUUAUGCUAGUUUCAAUUUCUAGUGCGUGAUUAUCUGUAGAUUAUUCCUAAGGAAUUGUCGGUGAAAACAAUAAAUUGAGGGAGAUUAACUUGAAUAAGGGUUGAGAAUUUUGCUUAAGGACAAACAAAUGCUUAAGUGUGGGGAUAUUUGAUAAGUGCUAAAAUUAAUAUGUUUUAACAUCAUUCUUAAUGUGUUUUUGGUUGAUUAUUUGAUGUUAAUUAUGAAUUUUAUGCUCCUAAUUCGUGUUUUUAUGCUUAAUAGAACAUUUGGGAGGAAAAUGAGCUAAAAUGGGGGCAACUAUAGGACCCACACAGGCUGACCUAUUCCAUAUGACCAUGUGGGUCAUGUGGCAGGCCAUUCGAUUUCGUAAAUUUUCACUCUGAACUGCGAAAAAAAAACGAAUUUUAGGUUUUUCAAGCAUUUUAAGGCGUAUAUAUGAAAAACAUAAGAAUAUAGGAGAGAACCUACCUAGAAUAUUUAAGAAAACAACUCCAAAAACACCAUUGAAGUCGGCUCUGAAGUAGAUUUUCAUCAAGAUUGAAGAUUCCCAGUUGAUUUCUUAGGAGAUUAUCAUGAGUUUCUUUAUUUCUUUCGGUUAUACUGCCCUUUGGAUGUUUUUAUUUUUAAGCAUGAACUAAUUUUCUAAAUACCUAAGAGAGAUGAACCCUAUGAUAGAUUGUGGCACCCCAAACCCGAUCGGGAUAGACCGGCCCGAAUUCGAAACAUUACAUUAGCCACCUAAGUGACUCUCCAGCUAACGACCACCCAAGACACAACCCAACCUUAUAACACCUCAAUCUUGUUUAAUUAUUAGUUAUUUAUUAAUGUAGAAGUAAAUUAUGAACCAAUUUUAAACUUUUCCUAGGUAAUUUAACCUAAGGGCAAUUUCAUCAUUUUACCACCUAUUGUAAAACUAACCCGAUUUUAGAUCUAAUUGCUUAUCAACCUUUUAAUCAAAUUAUGGAAGCCUAAAAUUUUUAGAUUCAUUUGAGUUUGUUUACUAUGUCUAAUUCAAAUUUUAUUACUAGGGACUAAAUUGUAACUUAAACAAAUUAGAAUAUCAAUUUAAAGAGACAAAAAUUCAAAACCCCAAAACCUACACGGGCAUGUGGAGACUGGAGCUAUCACAUACGGGCAAGUGAGAUUGAAAAAUAUGAAAUAAAUUAAUCGACUUAUUUUUCCAACAACCAUGCUAUGCUACCAAACCAAAUAAUGCUUGAAGCUUUGAAUAGGGGCGAAUCUAAAAAAAAAAAAAAUAGAAGAAUUAUAAUUAAAGUAUACAAUUUUGAGAAGUUAUCAUGUAUUAAUUUAUUAUUUUUUAAAGGGUCUUAAUAGAAAUUUUUUCCCAUUUUGGUUGGGCCAAUACCCUUGUCUGCCUCUUUAAAUUUGCUUCAACCCUAAACCCAAUAUUCGAUUUGGAUUAACAAAAAUAUAUAGGUUAGUAUUUGUGGGAGUUUGACGAAUAAAAAUUUCUUUUCUAGAGGUUUAAAUUAUAAAUUUUUGAAAGAUUAAAAUAAAUUUGUAUUUUUUUAUUAACAAAAUAUAAAAGAAAAAAAACAUGUUUAGACAAGCCAAGAGACCUUUGGGAUCAUACGGGUGAUUUUGAGAUGUUAAUGGUUAUUUUGGUGGAGAGGGUGAAAAAGAAACAAAUGAUUCAUUAUAUAUAAUAUAAUUAUCAAAAUUCAAGCCAUAUAUUGUAUGUUUCAUCCAUAAAAAUUUGAUGGGAGGUCCAAAGGUAAUUAAAUGACUUGUGGGCUUGCUGAAUUUCUUUGAAAGGCCCAAAGGCAAUUUAACAUUCACAAAAUAAUCUCUAAACACUGUAAAGACAAAUCAAAUCCACAGUAGCAUAAGAGUUGAUUAAGCUAAGCAUUGGUAAAUAUUACUUUGAUUUUGCAUGCAAUAUUGACAAAACCCCCUCCUACAUUAGAAAAACAACAUAAUCCAUGGAACAUUGAUAGCCCAAUACAAAUUUAUUCGAGAAAAAAGUCUCUUUGUUUUGUAGAACAUGAUAGUAAAGAUGUGGAGUUUCGUUCUUCUUAUUGGCCUCCUUUAGUUUUCCUUGAUCAACAACCACUAGCCAAAAACACAAUUAGAUUAGAUUAUGAAUGAUACUUUCAACUAUGACAAUAUUAAAUACAAACCCACUCUAAAUAACUUUAAAUAAAUGGAAAGCAGCAAAUUACCUGACCAGGCAAGCUAGUUUAAUUAAGACCAUUGUGUUAUACUUGUCUCUGAAUUGAAAAAUUUAGAAGGAAAUAAAGAGAAAGACUUAGAAAAUACUUGAAAACAGAUAAAACUUAUAUGUCAUUUAAAAUAAAAUAAAAAAUUCUAUUUAAGCCAUUUAAAAGUUUUAAGAUUUUUAAAAUUUUAAAAUGAUAAAAGUAAAAUAAUACUUUGGCACCCAAAAAUGAUAAAACUUUGAUUUAAUUCUUUAGUAAUUAUAAAAAUAUAGGAUAUUAAAAUGGUGAAAUUACAUUUUUACUAUAGUAAAAAUUACAAUUUAAUUUCACCCCCUAAAAGGAUUUUUUGGCUUCGCCACUAAUAAAAUCUUUGGCAAAAGAUUAAAAUAAAAUUAUACCGUAAAUGGAAAAAGAAACUAAGAAAAUCCAAUCUAACAAAGAAAAUAACUUGUUGUAACCAAAAGCUACCAUAAACCGUAAUUCAUGGGAAGGCUUGUUGCUUAUUUUAUUGGUUUCCAUUUUGAUUUUGCAAAAGAAGUCAGAAUUUUGAAGAGAGCAAAAGAAAAAAAAGUUUAUAUGAUUAAAAUUCUAGAAUAGAUUAAAAAUGUUGAAUUAAAGAUAAAAUUAAGUGUACUCAUUACUCACCAUCUCUGUUAAAAAUGUUGGAUGUUGUUUAGCAACCUUUGUUUGAUUUUCUUCAGCUCAACCACAACAUCUUUCAUAUCUUUUCUUUCUUCUGGUAACUCAGCUGAACAAUUCAAAGCCAACUCCAUGAUAGAUGAAAUACAAUUUGCUUUAACAACCAUGUACUCAUCCUCUCUUCUUAAUAAAUCAACAUCUGCAAUUUCUAUCGCUCCUUUAGGCAAUGAUCUUUCCAUCCAAUGCCUUAUACUCUCUUCUUCAACAAAAACAUUAUCAGUUGGCUUUUACUUUGUGAAAGUUUCUAUAAGGACGAUCCCAUAACUAUAGACGUCAGAUUUUAUAGAAACAAUUCCUGCUGAUCCAAAUUCUGCAUUUCAAGUAUAAUUAGAACAUCAUUCACCCUCAGUUAUUUCUAAAAUGCUUAUUCAAAUAUAUAUCCACAUCCACAUGAAACAAAAAUAUAAAAUGAAAAUUAGGAAAAUAAUCAUACAAAAAUAAAAAAGAAUUCACCUUGUGCCAUAUACCCGAUAGUUGCAAGAGUCAUGGUUUGCUUCAUUACUUCACCUUCUCCCAACAAUUUGGCAACGCCAAAAUCUCCAACAUGUGCAACCAUGUCUUCAUCUAGUAAAAUAUUUCUUGGUUUUAUGUCACAAUGAAUUAUAGGUGUUGGAUGUCCAUUGUGGAGGUGUUCUAUAGCUCCCGCAACAUCUAUCAUUAUGUCGACCCUUUGUAUGAUAUCAAGGAAACAAAUUUCAGAGUGUAACCAUUUCUCAAGGUUUCCAUUAGACAUGUAAUCAAGCACCAAGGCUUUGAAGUCAACACUUGAGCAGCAAGUAAUGACCUUCACAAUAUUACGAUGAACUAUAUUACGCAUAGCAUCACAUUCAAUGUCAAAACUCCUAAAUGCUCCCUCUGUUUGCAAAUUGAAAACUUUUAUUGCAACUUCCAUUCCAUCUGAAAGCCUCCCUUUAUAUACAUAUCCAAAACUCCCUGAACCAAGCAUAUUGCUUUCCUCAAAUCCAUUAGUUGCUCGUGAAAGUUCAGCAUGUGAAAUUCUUCUCGGUGUCUUCAAAGACAACAAAUCAUCUUUAAUUGGUAGAGUUGUACUUCUCCUUUGGCAACUUCUAUACAUAAUAGUUAAGACUGUUAGUACUACGACAAUACCAAUUGUUGUAAACCAUACCUAAAAGCAUGCAAUAUAAUCAUUUGGGAGUUUUUGUGGAUGUCGUUUUUGCAAGGUGGGACUAGCAAUCUAGGUGGGCCACAAAGUGCAUAAUUCUUCAUGAAUGAUGUGCUAGAAAAGUUUGAAAAACAUCCUUUGCUGGGAAUUUCCCCUUCAAGUCUAUUGAAAGACACAUUAAAAUACUUUAGAUAUAAAAGCUUUUCCAAAGAUUUGGGAAUGACUCCAGAGAGAUUGUUAUUGCAUAAAUCCAAGAAUUCCAAACUAAUCAAUCCAUCAAAUGAUUCAGGGAUAUGACCAUGUAGUAUAUUAUUUGAUAAAUCUAAUGAAACCAAAGUUUGAAGACCCCCAAAUGUGGAUAAGAUAUCGCCCGUGAGAAGAUUCCUUGAUAAAUUUAGUUUCAGUAGACUCCUAAGAUUUCCAACAUCAAUAGCAUGUGAAUUGUGAAGAUGGUUUGAUGAUAAAUCUAUUUUUAAGAUAUCUUUAAGAUUCCACAAAGUUGAGGGUAUUGCAGAACUCAAUUUGUUGGAAUGUAACCAAAGAUAUCCCAAAGAAGUAAUAUUACCCAAACAAGAGGGUAUAGAUCCAUGCAGCUUAUUCAACCCUAAAAACAAGUUGUAUAAUCUCUCCAAAUCACAAAGGCUUUCUGAGAUGGGCCCUCCUAAUUUAUUAGAGGAAAGACCUAGACUUUGGAGAUUCCGCAGUCCUCCUAUUGAUGUUGGAAUGAAUCCACUUAAUUUAUUAUAGCCAAGUUCUAAAAGCAACAUGUUGCUUAAGUUACCUAUUUCCAUAGGAAUAGUGCCUUGAAGCUCACAAUCUUCGGCAUAAAAGUAUUGAAGGGAUUUUGAAAGGUUCCCAAUAUAAGUAGGAAGAACGCCACUCAAUGGAUUUUCUGAAACUCCUAUGGUUUUCAAAUUCUUACAAUUCGUCAAAGAAGAAAGAAAGCUCCACUCAUGAUCAGUAGCAGAUCCUGUGAUCAAAUUAUUGUUUACGAUUCGGAACCAUUCAAGCUGUCUUAAGUUGCCAAGCGUUUUAGGGAUUGGGCCAGAGAAUAAGUUAUCUCCCAAGUCUAGUUUCGUAAGCAUGGAAGCAUUGGAGAUAGAGUAGGGAAUGUUUCCGCUAAGUUUAUUUCCCCCCAAAAAAAGAAACUCAAGCUUUGGAGCAUUGGUAAUGGGUGGUAAAUUACCUGUAAAAUAGCAUCUUUUAGUAUACAUAUUAAUUGAAUACCAAAUUCAUAAAAUAUAUAAUACAUUAAAAUAAAAACUGUAAAACUUCAAAUCAAUUAAGAAUAAAAUUUUGGCAUGGAAAAAUGUGAUGAAAUCAAUUAGAAAGUUGAGACAUAAUAAGAAGUUUUGAGUAGUAAUUACUCAUGAUUUCUAUAGACAAAACAUAUAAUACACUGAUAAUUUUUUAUAAUUUUUACAAUAUUUACAAUUUCUAACAAUUUUUAAUAAUUUUAUUAUUUAAUACAAAUUUAAAAUUUAACAAUUUUUUAUUUUUUUAAAACAAUUAUAUAUUUAUAAUGUAGUUAUUUUUUUUAUAAUUUUUUUUGAAAUUUUAAAGAUUUUUUUGGUUUUUUUUCUAGAUGAUGAUGCCAUCAUGAUGACAUCAUAUGCCACAUGGCAAUUUAUAAUUAGUUAAAUAUCUCAAUCCAUUUUUCUAACGUCAAAUGGACUAAAACAAGAACACCUGAUAAUGUUAGAGACUACACUUGGAAUGUUUGAUAAUAUCAGGUACUAAAGUGGGCAAAAAAAUUAAGGACUAUAUUAAAAAUAUAUCUAUAAUAUAUAUAAAUGCAUGGAUUUUGAGAAACUUUUGAAAUGAUAAUUAUAUAGUCUUUGUUUUUUUUACUAUAUUAUUGAAUUUUUUAUUUUAAAUAUUUUUUAUUACUUUUAAGAUUUAUCAUAUGUAUGUAUAAGAAUUUUGGUUUUACUAAAAUAUUUGGUCAAAUAAAUUCACUUUAUCAAAAAAUCUAGCAUCCUUAUAAAUAAAAAUUUUGAUUCUAUUAAAAAAAUUAUUUUAAAAAAUAUAUAAUAAAAAUUUAAAAUUUAUAUUGAAUUACUUUAUACUUAAAUUAUUAUUAGAAACUUUAUCAUACACAUACGUGCAUUAGAACCAUGUAUUUAGAACUUAAAUUUGUGUUUUAAAAUAACUUAUGAUAAAUAAUGAAAUGUAUAAUUUGAAACUAUUUAAUAAUAACACAUGACAUAUCUACCAUAUUAAAAUAAAAAUAGAUUAAAUUGUAAGUAAAACAUAAUUUAAACAUAUGAAUACAUCAAAUUACGAAUACUAAAUGAAUACAGUUAUUUAUGAUGAUGUUGUUGUCAAUUCCUAAGUUGGUGUCGAGUUAAUUUGUGACAUCAUAAAUUUAAGUGAUAAAUUUAAGGUUUUAUGUAUUGAUGCGGAUUCAAAUAUCACCAUAAUUUUUUUUAAAUAAAAAACUAAAGUACCCUCAAAUAAUAUAACUUAUAUUAAAUAUGAAAGGGUAGUUUUGUAAUUUCUCUAACGAGUUGGUGCCCGGUUGACUCAUGACACCAACUCAAUCAAAAGCUUCAAUAAUAAUAUAGAUAUUCACGUUAAAAAAAAAGUACUUUAGUUCCAAAUAAUUAUAUAACAAGUAAAUUUAUAAUUGAUGAAUAAAUUUAUAAAAAUAUAUUUAUAUGAUCUAAUAUAUUAUAUUUAUAUUAAUUAUAUAUCAUCUACAAACUUUGAAGAUCAAUUCAUUAAGUAUCAAGAAAGGAAAAAAAUGAAAUUGAAUUAACACUAAAUCAAUUUUUAGAUUUUGUACAGAUGAUUUAAUGAUGAUAAAAAAAUUAUUAGCACUAUUUUUGAAUUAACAAAAAAUUAGUGAUAUAUUUUAAUUAUAUUUAUUAUUUAUUAUUUUUAAUAAUGUUUUUUUAAUUAUAUGAAGUAAAAUUACAGUGUAUACUAAAUAUGGUACAUAUACUUUAAUUAUAACUAGAAAAUUUAUUAUAUAAAUUAAUAUAUUUUAAUUAUAUUCAACCAUUUGAACAACAAAAUAAAAAAAAUAAUUAGAAUAAUUUAUUUUUUAAAGUUUAAUGGAAAUUAAAAAAUUAAAAAUAAAUCAAUUCAUAUAAAUUUUGUUGUUUAUUUCAGAUGAAAAUGAUAAAAGUAUAUGACAUAAAUAGAAGAAACAAAUUCAACACCAUGUUUUUGGAGUUUGGAAAAAAUUAAAGUGAAAAACAUACCUUCUAAUUUGUUGUCAUGGAGACCUAUUUUUUCGAGCAUAGUUGAAUUAAAAAUACUUGAUGGAAUCUGACCUGCACACAUAGUCGAAAAUUGAAGUGAAAAACAUACCUUCUAAAUUGUUCAACUAAAAAUACUUUAAGCAUAUUUUUUAGUAAAGCCCUUCAAGCUUGGGAAGAUGUUGACACGUUGACACAUAUCAUUAGGCAAAGACUAAUAGCUUUCAAAGAAGAAAUCUUGAAGAUGGAAGAUGGAACCUGACCAGAUAAUUGAUUGAGUCCCAAGUUCAAGAUCUCUAGAUUAGACAUGUUAGCAAGUGUUUCAGGGAUUGUGCCUAUAAAGUUAUUAUUUUUCAUUUCCAGCCUUCGAACUCUGUGUAUGUUCCAAAGCCAUGAUGGAAUUUCCCCAUUAAGACGGUUGUAGCUUAAUCGAAGGAUCCGCAAACGAUGCAAUUGGCCCAAUUCUUUAGGGAGAUGGCCAUAGAAAUGGUUGCUACUCAAGUCGAGAGAGAGUAGAAAUGAAAGAUUUCCAAGGUGUGGAGGGAUAGUACCCCUAAGAUUCAUGCUUGUAAGAUUCAAAGCUGUAACUCUUUUAUGGAGGAUGCCACAAGAAACACCAAUCCAAUUGCAAACAGAGGUUGAGACAGUCCAAUUGUUUGGCAAGACAUUUUGAGGACCGGCGAUGCGAUCCUUAAACUCGAGAAGUGCAAACUGAUCGGAGUUGAGAUUUCUGACUGUCAUAGCCAAGCAAAGUACGGAACAUGGUAUGAAUAAAGCUAAAAGAAGAUGAAAGCAAGUGUUGUAGUUCAUGAUUGCAAGACAGAAUAAGAAAAGAAAAUAAAAUAAAAAAAAGUAGGAAAAGGGAAGUUGAGUUGAUAAAAUAGUUUGGAUGAUGAAGAAAAGCCCAGACAGCAUGCUUUAAUAUGUUUGGAUGAUAAAUUUAAACUUGAUAAAUUUAAGACUACCCUAAAAAUACGUACAAAGAAAUUUCAAAAUUUCAAAAUAAAUACGUACAAAGAAGCGAAUUUUCAAAAUUUCUCCUAAAUUUUCUUCACAUUACUCUACAUAAUCCAUUAAAAAAAACUUAAAAAAUAUAUUUUAUUAAUUACUAUAUAUUCUUUUAUUUUCAGAAUCAUAAAUUGUUUAAAAUAUGCUAUUAGUCCCUGUAAUUUAAAAGUUAAAAAAAUUCAAUCCUCCUAUUUUUCUAAUUUAAAAAUUCUAGUCCAAUCAAUUUUAAUUCCAUUAAAAAAUUUCAACUUAAUAGAUUUUUUAUUAUCAAUCAUAUGCAACAUUAUAUGAAGACAGUCUACUCAGCAUAUAUCCAAGUUUACAGAUUUUAAUAGAAAAUACUUACAAUCCUAAUGGUAGGACUAAGUUUUUUAAACUAGAAAAGUAAGAAGACUUAAUUUUUAACUUUUUAAGUACAAGGAUUAAAUUUUAAAUGUUGUCAAAGUACAAGCACUAACAAAAUAUUUUGAUCUAAUAAAUGUAAAAAACUUUUUAAACAAAAUAAGGUUUGAAAUAAUCUAUUUGUCCUUGUAAUUUUAUAAAUUUGAGAUUUAAUCUUUAUACUUAAAAGGUUAAAAAUUAAGUCUUCUUGUUUUUAUUUAAAAAUCUUAGUCCUAUUGUUAAUAUUAUUUUUUUUUUGCCAAAAUUUGUCAACUUUACAUAUUAAUUAGGUUUCCCUUAUAUGUCGUGGUAUAUGACUAACACAAAAUAAGCAAGUUGACAAAUUCUGACAAAAAAUAUCAAAGAUGAUAAUAAUUGGAUUAAAAUUUUUAAAUUGAAUUAAUAACCUUUAAUGUAUAAGGAAUGGAUAUCAAAUAUUUAUAGGAAUAAAGGGACUAACAACAUAUUUUAACCAGAAAAUAAUAUGAGUGAUUAGAAUGAAUCUAAAAUUUUAUAGAAAUAAAAGAGACUAACAACAUAUUGAUAACUUUCAAAUCUCCUUCGAUCAUCCUUUUUCUACGUAGAAAAAGAAAAUUAAUUAGCAUCUAAAGUGUCAAUUAAUGAAACCUUCAAAAGAAAAUGUGAAAGUGAUUUAUCAAACAAUAAUAUUCUAACUUAUAAUAUAUUUAAUUACAUUUAGUAAUUUAUCAAUCAAAACUUAUUUAACAUCCAUCAAUACUUCAUACAUAAAAAACGCAAGCAUAAAUUACCAUUUAACUCAGAUUUAACUUUGCAAGUAAACUUAAAAUUUUAUUUAAUUUUGUUACUAAAUUUGAUUUGUUCACUAUAGAGUUUGGUGACUUAAAAUAAAAGUAAUAAAAAGUUAUUCUUUCAGAUAUCUUUUUAAUGUUUAAUAAUAAAUUAAUUUAUAAAAUAUACUUUCAUUGGACACAGGCCUCCAAAGCGGUGAACCACUAAUCAAAUUAAUUUGGGGAUACCUAAAUUUGUUUUCAUCAAUUAAGAAAUUUAAAAAAUUGUUGAGACCUCAUGAUUAUCUUUUAUAAUUUCAGUCUUAUCACCAAAAACUAAAAAAUAAAAACGUCGACAUUAAAUUUGUUGGUAUGCAAUCAAUUUUAAGAUGGUUUUUGGGGUUAUAUAUCACUUUAGCAUUGACUUACUUUUCUACUCUUAGUCUUCUCCAACAAGUUAAAUAUUUGAAUUUUAACAACAUUGGCAGGUCUUUGGGGUAGGGUCGACCAAAACUUAAUAGAAACAGAUGAUAUAGGUUGAGUUGGCUCGGCCAAGUCGAGUCGACUUGUUCAAAUUAUUUAAAUUAGUAAAUUUUAGGGUGCAGUUAGAAUUUUUUGUUUUGAGAUGCUAAGAUUAAAAAAUUUCAGUUGCUAAAACAAAAAAUUUGUAUUUAAAAAGGCAUAAAUUAAAUAAUUAAGUUUUUCAAGUUUCCAUUUAAUCAAAGGUUAAAAGGACUAAAUUGAAGCUUUUUAUUUUUAAGAAAGGCUGAAUGCCAAAUUGCCCAAAGCCCAUGCCCCUAGCUAUACAACUAACUUUUCUAUGAUUAGUCCUUGGUUUGCUUUGGGUGGAAUCUUCCAACUAGCCUCAUCCUUCGUUUUACUUUCCAACAAUUAGUUUAUCAUGAGUUUUGUUUUCUUUAAAAAAAUAUUUUUGUGGAUAUUAGGAGAUAAUGAAAAUUAAUUUAGUAUGAAAUUUUAAUAAAACUGGAAAAUAAGUAAUUUAUUUAAGAGAUCACAAUUAAACGUUAGAUUUCCAAUUUUUAAAUUUUAAAUUAUUUUGACAAUUGCAUAAUAUUUUGAGCAUUGUAGGAAUGCCAUAAUCUUCCCUACGCAUAAUCGACUCUUGAGCAUGAUGGAUCCUAGGCCUUCUCCUCUAUUCUCGUACCACAAACUGCUUCGAGUGUGGAUUCGAACAAUCACAAAUUAAACACAAAACCAGAAAUGAUUUAUUACUUUCAAUAGCAAAGUAAUUCUCUCUCAAUAGAAACCAAUAGAAUUGUAAUUCCUAAAAAAUAAAAUUUAUUUUUGGAAAAUAUAUUCCCACUACUUUCUAGCAGAAUAAUAAUAUGUGAAACUUAUGUCUUGUGUUAAUAGCUCUACCAGCACUAUCUAUUUAUAGGGAGAGACGAGAAUCCUGGUUGACUUAGUAAAACACGAAUAAUAUUUAUUUCAUUGAAAACAAUAUUCCACCCUAAGUAGAUCAAGUUUGUAUGACGCAUGGAUCGAAGCUCAAUCUAGGAGAAAAAAAAAAGGAAUUUUCUUUGUAAAGAAAAUCUGAGAUUGUACUAUUUUCAAAGUUAUAAAUAAAAUUAUAAGCUAAAUUUUCAAGUCAAUUUUCAACUCCAAUUUUGUAUGCACAAAUUUCUAAUACACUUGGUGGGACAUUCUUUGACUUUUAUCUAUUCUCUCAAAAAGUUAAAGUUCAAAGUUGCAUUAAACUCAAAGAAGAUAAUCAUUAGUAAACCAGCUCACAAGCCUGCUCAAGCUAAUCCUACAACUUGUUCCACUUCAUCAUCAAACACCAAUGUUCUUGCUUAUCCUUAUGGAAUUAAACAGUCUCAUUUUCUGCAUUUUGGAUACACACCUAGUUUUGUUUGAUGCUAAAACAGUCCCUGAGCACUCCAAAGCCUAUAAUUGAACAAAUAACACUAAUUUAAUCUUACAUAACGUGAUCCCAAAUUGAACUUGUAUCGAGGUUUUAACCCAUAAGUGACUAAACUUUACCUUCAACCGAUGAACAGUAAUUCCCACAUAAACUAAGACUCCGAUUGGCGAUUACGAGCCCUUGAAUCCUCCCCUAAUUGGCAUAAACAAAACACUUCAGAAGAAAGUUAACAAACAGAGACAAAUCACUUAUCUAAAACUUACUGAAUGAUCACAGACAAACGUGGAGCGACACAAGGCAGAGUGGGAAAAGAAAAAUCAAGAGGAUGAAGGGUGAAAGAGAGCAGAAAUUCGGUAGCAAUAAAGAGAAAACGGUAAGAGGGUGGAGGGAUUUUGGGGAAAGUAAAAAAAAAAGAUGAACAGAAUAUUUGAUAACUACCCCAAUCCCUUAUUUCUCUCCAUCAAACUCUCCACUAAAUCCACUACUCGAAUUUUUAGUCCAUCUCAAACUCUCCUGGACGCAUGAGCAAAAAAUAAUGCCCAUGCCAAAAUUUGAACACAUGACCUCCUUCACACCAACACUCCACUUAUCCACUAGACCAACAGGCUCAUUCUUUUAAUUAUUUGUCAACUUUUACUUAAAAGCCUACUGACCAAAAAAUACCAAAAUUUGCCCAAGUCCUAGAUUGAACUUGGGACCUCCCAAACACACCCAGAACACAUAGCCAAUUUUCAAGCAAUCUGACAUGAAUUCUCAAUCACAAUUAAUUGAAUUCAAGAUAUAUUUGGAUGAGAAGACAAAUAUUUCAAUUUUAACACAAACCAAUGCUUGGGAUGAUUUGGGAUAAGAACUCCAACAUUUUAAGAUCACAUUUUCUUUUAUAAUUUCAGGCUUAUCAACUAUUUUGAAAACAACAAAACGUCUUACACCAAAAACUAAAAAAUAAAAACUUCGACAUUAAAUUUGUUGGUAUGCAAUCAAUUUUAAGAUGGUUUUUGGAGUUAUAUCUCACUUUAGCAUUGACUUACUUUUCUACUCUUAGUCUUCUCCAACAAGUUAAAUAUUUCAAUUUUAACAACAUUGACAGGUCUUUGGCCGAAUAAUUUUAAACGUCUCAUCAUUGCAAAAAUGAAAUAAUAGAAAAGAAAGAGUAGCCAUUUUAUGAAAUCUAUAAUUCCAACUGUGAAUAAAAUAUAAAUUUUAUGAAUGUGGACAAGCCAUUUUAUUUAUAAUUUUCUGUGUUUUUCUGACUUUUUUUAAGUCAUUUUCUUUGUUUCCUAACCAAAAAAUUUGCCCAUCACUUUAAAUAUAAAUUUAAAUAUAAAUUUUCUUUUUAAAAUAUAAAUUACUUGUCACAAUUCAUAUUUCUAAGUCAAUUUGCCAUCACUUUAACAUACACUAACUGUUCUAUGAUUAGUCCUUGGUUUGCUUUGGGUGCAAUCUUCCAACUAGCCUCAUCCUUGGUUUUACUUUCCAACAAUUAGUGUAUUACGGGUUUUGUUUUCCUUAAUAAAUAUUUUUGUGGAUAUUAGGAGAUACUGAAAAUUAUUUCACUAUGAAAUUUUAAUAAAACUGGAAAAUAAGUAAUUUCUUUUAAGAGAUCACAAUUAAACAUUAGAUUUCCAAUUUUUAAUUUUAAAGUUUUUUGACAAUUGCAUAAUUAAUAAGGUACCAAUUUUGAGAGUUGUAGGAAUGCUAUAAUCUUCCCUACGCAUAAUUGACUCUUGAGCAUGAUGGAUCCUAGACCUUAUCCUCUAUUCUCGUACCAGAAAUUGUUUCGAGUGUGGUUCGAACAAUCACAAAUUAAACACAAAACCAGAAAUGAUUUAUUACUUUCAAUAGCAAAGUAAUUCUCUCUCAAUAGAAACCAAUAGAAUUGUAAUUCCAAGAAAAUAAAAUUUAUUUUUUGAAAAUAUAUUCUCACUACUUCCUAACAGAAUAACAAUAUGUAAUACUUAUGUCUUGUGUUAAUAGCUCUACCAGUACUAUCUAUUUAUAGGGAGACACACGAGAAUCCUGGUUGAAUUAGUAAAACACGAGUAAUAUUUAUUUCAUAGAAAACAAUAUUCUACCUUAAGUAGAUCAAGUUUGGAUGACGCAUGGAUCGAAGCUCAAUCUAGGAGAAAAAAAUAAAGUAAUUUUCUUUGUAAAGAAAACCUGAGAUUGUACUAUUUUCGAAGUUAUAAAUAAAAUUAUACGCCAAAUUUACAAGUCAAUUUUCAACUCGAAUUUUUUAUGUACAAAUUUCUAAUAGACUUGGUGGCACAUUUUUUGAAUUUUAUCUAUUCUCUCGAAAAGCUAAAGUUCAAAGCUGCAUUAAACUCAAAGAAGAUAAUCAUUAGUAAACCAGCUCACAAGCCUGCUCAAGCUAAUCCUACAACUCGUUCCACUUCAUCAUCAAGCACCAAUGUUCCUGCUUAUCCUUAUGGAAUUAAACAAAAGACAAAAGCUCUCUAAGAGUUAUUUGAACAGACAAAAUAUUCAGAUGUGUUGAGAUGGAAAGUGACAACGCAAAGUUGAUUGAAACUAUUUGUAACGGGUUGGCUACAAUAAGUAGUGUUGUGAAGUAAGAUAGAUUCACGAUUGGUGUUCCAAAAUUGAGUAGCUAGUUAUCUUGGAAGAUCCUCCACAUUAUGUGAGAUGCUGGCUUGAAGAAGAUAUUAGACAAUUGCUAGUGACUGAUGAUAAUUUUCAUUUGGACUGAUGCUUGCUUAAUUUUCUAAGCUUAUGUUCAACCAAAAAAAAAAAAAUUAAAUAUGUCUAAAUGAUCAUAGAGUUAACAUUUAGUGUAUAAAAAAUUAAUAUAUAAUUUGUUUUCAAUUGUAGUUUAGUUCUAGAAAUACCAACGAUGAACCUUAAAACGGAAAUGAAAAUUACAAAAAAAAAAACAAACCACAUCUAUUAUCAAACCAACAAUCCAUGUCUAAACUUAAAUUAACAAAAUUCGUUACGCAACUCGGUACACUAUUUUAUAUAAUCAAUAUAUUAGAUUUAUUCUUGAUGCACAUGUUUUAUUAUAGUUAAAAAUUAAAAUAUAUGAUUUACUAAGUUUUAAUUGAAUUAGUAUUGGUAUUAUAUCAGUGUAGGAAAAUGUGAGUUUAAUCGUACUUAAAUAUGUAUCCUCCAACUCAACAGUUGGGAAAAGGUUAUUGAUAAUUAAAUUAUACCAAUUUUUACAAUAUCUAAAAAGCAUUCAUAAACAUAUUCAUAUUGAUGGGCUCUUUCAUUAUUAAACUUUUUUUCUCUCACAAGUAAAAGUACUUGUGGUGAGGAUCAUGUAAAAUAAUAAACUGAAUAAUUUUAAACGUCUCAUCAUUGCGAAAAUGAAAUAAUAGAAAAGAAGCCAUUUUAUGAAAUUUACAAUUCCAACUGUGAAUAAAAUAUAAAUUUUAUGAAUGUGGACAAGCAAUUUUAUUUAACUUUUUUUAAAGUAAUUUUCUUUGUUUCCUAACCAACAUGAAAUUACUUGUCACAAUUCAUCUUUUUAAAUGAGAAACAUUUUCAACAAUUUGCCAUCACAUCAACAUACACUAACUUUUCUAUGAUUAGUCCUUGGUUUGCUUUGGGUGCAAUCUUCCAACUAGCCUUAUCCUUGGUUUUACUUUCCAACAAUUAUUGUAUCCUCCUCAUUACUUUUACUUACCGACGGAUGAAAAAUUCACUGAUCAAAUUAAUUCAAAGAUUUUUUUUUUCUAAAUCAAGUGAAUUCACGAGUUUUAUUUUCUUUAAAAAAUAUUUUUGUGGAUAUUAGGAGAUACUGAAAAUUAUUUUACUAUGAAAUUUUAAUAAAAUUGGAAAAUAAGUGAUUUAUUUAAAGGGAUCACAAUUAAACAUUAGAUUUUUAAUUUUUUAAUUUUAAAUUUUUUUGACAAUUGCGUAAUUAAUAAGGUACUAAUUUUGAGCAUUGUUGGAGUGCUAUAACCUUCCCUAUGCAUAAUCGACUCUUAAAUUCACUUUUUUCUCUAGAAUUUUAACAAACUUACAAAAUGAUUUAAUGAUAUUUAAUUAUUGAUGGGUAAAAAAAUUAUAUCAUAUAAAUUCCGAAUAAUUAAUUAUAUAUCUACAUAUUAUAACCAAUUCAUCUUUCAAAAUUAUUUCCUUAUAAUUAAAGCAAAAAUUAUAUUUAUAAAAUUCUAAAUAUAUUAUAAUUCUUGUAAAUAUAUAUAUUUACAUAUAUAAGUCCAAAUUGUAAUAGAGUUAACAUUUAUUGUAUAAAAAAUGUCUUGAAAUUUUUUUUUUCAAUUUCAAAAGAACUAUUCCAUUUAUAAAACCAUAAAACUUUAAAAAUAUAAACUCUAUUAAAUAAAAAUAAUAAUAUUUUUAAACAAUAAAUAUUGACUUUAUUUUAAAUUGACAUUAUCUAAUUCUUUUUAAUAUGUAUCGCUAAGCUUUACAUUAAUAUACAUGAUUUAUUUGUUCGUUAUUAUUAUUAUUAUUAUUAUUAUUAUUAUUAUUAUUAUUAUUUCUAUGAUUAUUAUAUUAUACUUAUCGGACUACAAUCAUAACCAUGUCUAUUAUCAUUCGAUAAAAAAAAAUUAAGUGUUGAGUAUAAUGACAAGGCACAUUACACUCUGAAGGGGAGAUUAAGGUUUGGACAAAGGAAGAAUAUGAUUCAAAUUUUGGAGACAACAUUCUUGAAAUGAGCAACCAUAAACCCCGAUUAUGAACCAUAAAACGAUCAUGAAAAGUACCCAAAAAAACACAUUUAUUACCAAAUAGUAAUCCAUCUAAGGAUUAAAUUAACAAAAUUCACCAUCCAACCGUGUAGACUAUUAUAAAUAUAUAUACUAUAUUUAUUCUUCAUGCAAAUGUUUAUUAUAUUUAAAAAUUAAAAUAUAUGGUUGAUUGAGUUUUAGUUGUGUUAAUAUUGAAAUUAUUGUCAGUGCAAAAGAACAUGAGUUCAAUCAUGUUUAAAUACGUUUUAUACUCCAAUUUAGGAGUUGGAGAGGAUUCUCAAUAGUUAAAUUAUAUUAGUUUUUGUCUAUUUAAAAAUGAUUUAUAAAUAAUAUAAGUAGAAAAUUUUAAAAAAAAUACAUAUUCAUAUUGAUCGGCUUUUUCAUUAUUAGACUUUUUUCCCCACAGUUAAAAGUAUUUAUCGAAUUCAAAUUUUGGGUUUUAAAUAAGGGUUUCGGAUUUUUUUUAAACAUUUGUGUGAGUUUUUGCCAAAUUUUAUAUUUUCGGAACGAAUAACUAAGUUGAUUUUUAAUUACUUUUUCAAACAAGUCGAUGUAAUUCCUCAAAAAUCUAGUCAAAGCGUCUAGGCUGGGUUUGGAGGUGUUACACUAACGUUACUAAAGUUAAUCUUAAUCUAUUUAGUCUAGAUCUAAACAUCAAUAUUCUCUUCCAAGAAAAAUCAAGAUUAUCAAAUUAUUACAACUGUGUAGCCAGACAAUCAUAUUAAAUAUGCAUAAAACAUAAUAAAUAAUUAGCGAAGAUUGAAACAAUCAAAGAAAAAAAUAAAUAAAUAAACUAAGAAAUAAGGAUCCAUUAUUGUUUCAAGAAAACAGAGUUUAGUUCAUAUUGAGUUGAGAAAACCAGAAAGGAGAUUCAAAACAAACUUGUGAUAAGGGGAACAAUGUCAAUAGAUCAUAUUCAAGUUGUUCGACUUCAGAUUUGACCUGAAAAGAAGAAACCAAACAUAUUUAGGAAAACAAGAAAAAACAAAGAAAAAAAACUAAAAUGAGAAAUUUAAGAAUAAAUAAUAAAUAUUAAAAAUAAAUAAAGAAAUUAUAGAAUAAAAAGUGGCAGAUGGAAUGAAGAAAUGAUGGAUAUAAAUAAAAGAUGGAUAUGACAUAUAGAUGAAUAAGUGUCUGAUAACUCUUGAAAAAAAGUUAUAUUUCAUGCCUUUAGACCUAGCUAAUUGCUUGUACUUAAGUAUAUUUUGUUGCUUUUUAAGACAUUUUAGUGAGCAUUUUUAAUAUUGUAUUAGGACUUAGACUGAGUUGGAAUUAGGUGCUUUUAAUCGCUUGUGGUGGAGUUUUUUGUGUGUUGGUAUGGCAGGAACAGGUUUUAGAUCGAGGAAAUAAAUGAGUGAAGUUUUGUUUGGGCAAAAGUGCAUAUAGUUUUCCAACAAGGAUGCCGUGGCAAUGCCGAGAAGACCAAGUUCAUAUUUUUUGUGCAACAGUCCUAGUUCAAAUUCAAACUUGUAUGAGAUAAAUCCCCCUAAAAGAGGAGAAGAUAAUUACAUUGAUGUUAGUUGACCCUAGCCUAAUCUAUCUAUUAAAUCCAAUGAAAGGGAUCUCACAAAUGGUAGAAAAAAGUGAGAGAGAUCUUUAGGGGUGAAUAAGGGUUUGGCUGUGCAAAGGAAAAGAAGUCAAGGGCAAUCAUUCUUAGCCUUCACAGGACGUUUUGUUGCCAAAGUGUGGACUGGGCAAGUGAAAGCUGUUUCCCAAAGUUCUUCUGUUAUUUCCAUCAGUGUUCCUUCGAAAGAUUGAAUUGAAGUAGUUGAACACAAUGUCAGAUAAUAUUUUGGUUUGAAAUUCUAUUUCCCAGUUUAUGAGCUAAAUCUCAUAAGGUUGGGAUUACUUUCGAUGAAACCUUUAAUUUUUUUUAUGGAUGCAAUAUAUAUCUAAUUUACAUUACAGUUUCAUUUGAUUGUUCUUAUUUCUUAAUUAAAAUGCAAAUGAUCUCUAGACAUAGAAGACUAUUCACAUACUUAUAAACUGAUUAUAAUUCUAAAAGGGUUGGAUUAAAAUUAAAUGAAAUGAGCAAGUAUUUGAUAGACACUUGUAGCCGACUCCAGACAUAGAGUCACGAUCAUACAGAAGGAACCCAUGCAAGAUAUCUGAAAAGCCUUUAGACACAGGCAAGGCAACUUGAGGUUAUUCUCUCACACGAGGCAGACCAUUUUAGAACUCUUCUGUGUUGUAAAGUAGAUACGAUUUUGCCAAGGCAUUAUUGACAAUAAGGGUUGAUUCUGGGUAAUCCCGACCUUCCAAAUCCACAUCGUAUAUCCUUCAUUAUUUUCCAUAGUAUCUUUUCCACAUCAUUAUUAAUUAUUUAUUUGUUCAUUUACAUAAUAUUCCCAUAGUAAUUCUCAUAAUUGCCAUUACAUUUCUACUCUCGAUUUGCCAUAGCAUUACCAAAUAUUCAUUAAUUCCACAUAUUGAUUACAUCAUUACUCUACUCAUUGCCAUUGCAUAUUUAUCAUUGACUUUGUCACAACAUUAAUUGUAUUUUAUGAUAAUAACUUGAUCGAUUUUGUGCCUCAAUCUGAUCAUCGUGGGAAUGAUACUCACUCAUCAUUUAUUACUUGAUUCAACGUGUAUACUUGCACAAAUCGCAUAUCAUUUCACAUGCGACAAUGUCCAAUUGAACCCUUUAAGAUAUAAACUCAAACAAACUCAAUUAAUGGCUUUAAUCAACCCACCAAGAAAUAAUCCUUGGCAAAUUGAAGGAUGAAUAAUGAAUUCCCAUGACUCCUUAAAGAAAAUUGAGAAGAAAACUGCUUCUAAAAAUUACAAGAAACAAUCUUGCACAAAGAAACUAACCUUGAGAGUUGGAAAUUUUAGUAACGAACAAAGACAAUUGUGUCUCUAAUGACCAUGAAAGAGCUUUACAUAGGCUAGAUAAGUACAUCCAAAUAAAAUUUCGAAGUAUCUUAAAACUUUAAUUAAUGUAAGCAAAAAGUAAUUUUCAACUAAAAUAGUCAUAAUUUCCGUAAUAAUCCCGUCUAGAAAUUCUACUCACAUAGUCAUCACUAAAAUAGUCAUCAUUUGAGCUCUUGAACUAGAAAUUGAGUGAAUAAAAGUGUGUUUGAUAGACCUUAGAACUCCAUCAAGACAUAUCAAUCGAAAAAUAUUUGGAUCCCAUCCAAAAAGUCAUUGCAAGUUAACUGAUUUUCCAAACUUGAAAAUUGGCAGCUUCAGUGAAUGAAAUUUAAUAAAGUUCACCCCAUCUGCUCAUGUAUAAACUUGCAGUGGUAAAAAGUAAAAAGAAAUAAUCUAUAGAGAAAAUAGUUGAAGAAUUUAUGACAAUUUAUUCAGACCUUUUUUUCUUCUAGCCUUUGCAAGCUUGAAGUUUCCGUUGGUGUGUGAGAGUUGUUCCUUACCCUUUAAGUUAUUUCUUUUCUUUUCCUUCUUUUUCUUUCUCUUCGAUCUCAUCACCUAAGGGUGCUCAAACAACUGAUUCAGUUAAUACCCGAACAAAGCUAUCAUUAAAUGAAAUUUUGAAACCCUUAAUCAUUAAUGAAACCAAUUUUUUGUUGAAACCUAUUAACCGGCCGGAUUGAUUUCGGUUAAUUUGUGCAGUUAACCAGAAUUUAUACAUUGUUUGUUUUUUAUCAAACAAUUUUAAAACAAAGAACAAUCCAUGACAACUUUUUCCUUGUUUUUUAUUCAAAAAUUAUUAAAAGAACUAAAAAAAAUAACAUAAUAACAACACUAAAUUAAAAACAUAAUAGCAUUCAUUACAGUACAAAUCUUUUUUCUUUUUUUUCUUUUUGUUGACUUUUUAGUUUAAUUUUAGUUUUUUUUCAAAUAUUUUAGUUUUCAUAUUCUUGUUAAGCUUAUUAUAAGAAAACUUAUAAAUCCAUUAGUUUUUAUAUAUUAGGUUUGUAUAAUGUAUUGGAGCUAUCUCUAUAAUAUAUUUUUAUUGAUUUCGGUUAAUCAAUUAAUUCGGUUAAUUAGUCGAUUUCAAACGAAACUAAUUGAUAAACAAAAUCUUCAAAAACAUUUAACCAACUCCCAACCAAAUUAGAUUCGUUGAUCGCCUGCUUAAUCAAGUUAAUCAUAUGGUAAAAUGGCAUAGUUUUGGAAUGGUUUUUUGGAAUUAUUGGUAUAGGUUUAAGUUAUGAUCUUGAGAUGUUGAGUUGAAUUAAGUUUGAUAUGUAUAUUGUGAUGCCUUCAUUGGCAUAUUGGUUAGAUAUUAAAGGAUGGUUGAUUUGGUAUGUUUUUAAAAUGGUUGUUGGUAUGUGUGAUCUAAAUUGAUUAAAUGAACUUGUAAUGUUGAAUGGUAUAAUAUUUGUUGGUACAUUAGUUAGUCUUAUAGGUUGAUGGAAUUGGUAUGUUUUAAAUGUGUUUAAAAUGUGUUUUGAUUGUUUAAAUGUUUGUGGAAAUGGUGUGUCUUGGUGUACAAGAUUUGAAAUUGAAAUGGCUUGAUUUAGAAGCAACUUAUGUUGUACACCACCUGGGACACUGGUUGUCACAUGGUUGUGUGUCAUUAUUGUUUUAGGUACAGGUUUCACACAAUCUGAGACUCGGCUCACGACAUAGCUGUGUAUCACAAGUCAGUAUGUAACACGGUUUGGUACAUGGCCUGCGACAUGACCGUGUGUCCAAACUUCGAAUGUCCACACGGUCUGGGCUAUGUCACACGGGUUGGCCACAUGGCCGUGUGACCCUUGUUUUCAAGUUUUCUAAAAUUUUCUAUUUUAUUUCAAAUUGAUCCUAGAAUAUUCUCAAACUGUUUUUAGGGCCCGUAGGUUCGAAUUAAGGCCCAUAAGUGUAUGUUUGCUAUAAUUAAGUUGUGUUAAUUAAUGUUAUUAAUUAAAUGGCAUGAAUAUUUUAUUGUAAGUUAAAUGUUUUAAUUUGAACUAUAAUGCUCCGUAACUCUAAUCUGGCGACGGAGACAGGUUUGGGGUGUUACAAUUUUGGACUUGAAAUUUGUUUUGGGGCUUUGUUCGAUGUUUGUUGGAUUUUAGUGUUUUAACAUUAAACUACAAAAUUGUAUGAUUUAACAAACUAAAAAUUAGGUUUUCAAAAUUAAAACUCUGGAAGUUUCUGUUUCAAAGAUUAAGUAAUCACUUAAGUGUUUUCCCAUAAAUAAUUAAAUGGUUUUUAACAAAUGUUUUCCUUAGUUUUGGAAAUGAUAUGCCAACAUUAGUACUUUUAAAACACAUGAUUUCAAAUUCAAAUUCUUGGUUUUAAGUAAGGGUUUUCAAACUUUGAUUUUUUUUAACAUUUGUGAGAGGUUUUUGCCAAAUUUUAUGUUUUCAGAACGUGUAACUAAGUUGAUUUUUAAUUAGUUUUUCAAACAAGUCAAUGUAAUUCCUCAAAAAUCCAAUCAUAGCGUCUAGGUCGGGUUUGGGUUGUUACACUGACGUUACUAAAGUUAAUCUUAAUCUAUUUAGUCUAGAUCUAAACAUUAAUAUUCUCUUCCAAGAAAAAUCAAGAUUAUCAAAUUAUUACAACUUGGUAGGCAGACAAUCAUAUUAAAUAUGCAUAAAAGUUAAUAAAUAAUUAGCGAAGAUUGAAACAAUCAAAUAAAAAAUAAAUUAAUUAACUAAGAAAUAAGUUCCAUUAUUGUUUCAUGAAAAUAGAGUUUAGUUCAUAUUGAGUUGAGAAAACCAAAAGCGAGAUUCAAAACAAACCUGUGAUAAGGGGAACAAUGUCAAUAGAUUAUAUUCAUGUUGUUUGACUCAAGAAAGAAAUAUUCGAAUCUAACUUGAAAAGAAGAAACCAAAUAGAUUUAGAAAAAUAAGAAAAAAAAACAAAGAAAAUAACUAAAAUGAGAAAUUUAAGAAUAAAUAAUAAAUAUUAAAAAUAAUAAAGAAAUAAAGAAAUUAUAGAAUAAAUAAUGGAAGAUGGAAAUGAAACGACGGAUAUGACAUAUAGAUGGAUAAGUGUCUGAUAAUUCUUGAAAAGAGUUAUAUUUCAUACCUUUAGACCUCACUAAUUGCUUGUACUUAAGUACAUUUUGUUGCAUAUUGAGACAUUUUUGUUCGUAUUUGUAAUAUUGCAUUAGGACUUAGAUUGUGUUAGAAUUAGGUGUUUUUGAUCACUUGUGGUGGAGUUUUUAGUGUGUUGGUAUGGUAGGAACAAUAUUUAGAACGAGGAAAUAAAUGAGUGAAGUUUAGUCAGCGCAAAAGUGCAGAUAGUUUGCCAACACGUAUGCCGUGGCAAUGUCGGGAAGACCAAGUCAACAAAUUUUUGCGCAACAGUCCUAGUUCAAAUUCAAACUUGUACUAGAUAAAUCUCCUUAAAAGAGGAAAAGAUAAUCACAAGUUGUUAACCGACCCUAGCCUAAUCUAUCUAUAAAAGCCAAUGAAGGGGAUCUCACAAAUGGCAGAAAAAAGUGGAAGAGAUCCUUAGGUGCGAAUAAUGGUUCAGCUGCGCAAAGGAAAGGAAGUUGAAGGCAAUCUUUUUUAGCCAUCACAAGACGUUGUGCUGUCGAAGUGUGGACUAGACAAGUGAAAGUUGUUUCCCAAAGUUCUUUCGUUAUUUCCGUCAGUGUUCCUUCAAAAUAUUAAAGUAGUUGAACAUAAUGUUGGAUAAUAUUUUGGUUUGGAAUUUUAAUUCCUAGCCCAUGAGCUAAAUCUCGUAGGGUUGGAAUUACUUUUGAUAAAACCUUAAACUAUUUUUAUGGAUGCAGUAUAUAUGUAAUUUACUUUACUGUUUCAUUUUAUUAUUCUUAUUUCUUAAUUAAAAUGCAAAUGAUCUCUAGACAUUGAAGCCUUUCACAUACUUAUAAACUGAUUUUAAUUCUGAAAGGGUUGGAUUGGUUGGAUUAAAAUUAAAUGAAAUGAGCAAGCAUUCGGUGGACACCUGUAGUAGACUUUAGACAUAGAGUCACGCUCAUACAGAAGGAACCCAUGCAAGAUAUCUAAAAAGCCUUUAGACAUAGGCAAGGUAACUUAAGGUUUUGCUCUCACGAGAGGCAGGCCAUUUUAGUACUCUUUUGUGCUUUAAAGUAGAUACGAUUUUGCCAAGGCAUUAUUGACAGUAAAGGUCGAUUAUGGGUAGUCCCAACCCUCCAAAUCCACAUCGUAUAUCCUUUACUCUUUGCCAUAGUAUAUUUGCCACAUCAUUAUAAGUUAUUUAUUUGUUCAUUUACAUAAUAUUUCCGUUGUAAUUCUCAUAAUUAUCAUUACUUUCUACUCUCGAUUUGCCACAACAUUACUAGUUAUUUAUUAAUUCCACGUAUGGCUUACAUCAUUGCUCUACUAAUUGCCACUGUAUAUUUACCAUUGACUUCGCCAUAGCAUUAAUCAUAUUUUAUUAUAAUAACUUGACCAAUUUUGUGCCUCAAUUCGAUCCUCAUGGAAAUGAUACUCACUCAUCACUUUAUUUGUAACACCCCAAACUCGGCCUAGACGUUAUGGCCGAAUCUGGUGAUGUCACAUGGAGAGGGAUUUGAAGACAAGAUUGUUGAGUUUAAAAACCGUUACAGUAAGUUAGCUUUUAUUUAGGGAAAAUCGUGUUUUGUAGAGUUGUAGUUUUUAGGAAAAAAAUCGUGUUUUGUAGAGUUGUAGUUUUUUUAAAAAACCCAAUAAAAAAUAGUAUAAAGUCCCAAAUUUAAAACCAAUCAGUCCAUAGUCCAGAAGAUACAUCAAAAACUCAAAAUAAGUAAUAAAUUCUAGGCAUUAACGGAAAACAAUCUAAAAUUUACGUGUGGCCACCAUUGAGUCCUCUGCUGCACCGAUUCGUCAAGUCUGAGGAUUACCUAUACAAAUUAAAUAGAGAAAGGGUGAGUUGUCGCAAACUUAGUGUGUAAUCCCCACAGAAAACAUGCAUAGAGAUAAUUAACAAAAUUUAGUUAGAUACAGUCUAGGGCCUGUGCCCAUCAUAGAAUCAGUUUGGGCCUUAGCCCAUUCAGAUAUAGUCUUAGAAAUACAUUAGGGCAUUGACCAGCCUCUACAAACCACCUCCAUCCAACCAUACACACCAUGUGGGGAUUAAAUCAACCAACCCAUCCCUACACACCAUGCUGUACCGAAAUGCGGCACAUAAUUAGAAGGUUGCAGCUGGGCUGCCAGAUAACAUAAGUCAUGCUCGGUAUAGAAAUCAGACAGACAGAUCACACAUAUAGGUGUCUAAGUAAAGCUUACUGACCCUACAGUAGGUCCACAGUUAACUUGGGCGACCCGUGCAAAAUUACAGAACUUUUUAGAAAAAUGGGCUUACACGCCUAUGUGGCCCACUCGGCCCAAAUUGGCCUUGACCACGUGAUCCAUUUUUAAUGUAACCAGUGCUAGUUAAUUAUUCAUAUAUGUUUUCACUAUUUACUUAUAUGUUAAUUUAAAGCUGUCUACUUGAGUCACUGUUACUAAAUUAUUUAUAUCUUGAGCUACAGAAUUUCAAAUUAAGAUCCGCUUAAUGUCUUUGAAACUAGACUCAAAUAUCUUUCUACUAUAAAAUUUUUAUAAUUUUUGGUUGAGCCAACAAGUACAGUAAAAUCUUCAAACCUUCCCCUAUUCUGCUGUCUGACAACUUCAACCCUUCUUUGCUAAGAAUUAAUUAUCUCUUAGUACAAGAUUUGGAUGAUGUUUACAUUUGUUUCUAUUGAAAAUAAACUCAUUAAUAAUUUAAAAAUGUAAAUUUUAAACCCCUAAUUAUUUUUCUCCAAUUUUUGAUGAUUUUCCAAAUUUAGAACAGGGGAACCUUAAUUCUUUCUGACCUUGUCUCACGAAGUUUAUUAUACCUCACAAUUUACAAUUCCAUUACUUACAUCGUUUAAGAUUUAAUUCCAUAUUUUUUUCAUCCUCUAAUUCAAUUUCCACAAUUUAUGGCAAUUUUUCAAAGUUAACCUACUGUUGUUGUCCAAACAGCAAGCAAUUUUGGCUUUUCGCCGAAUCCUUUUUUUUGCAUUUCGGGUACACACCUGGUUUUGUUUGAUGCUAAAACAAUCCCCGAACACUCUAAAGUCACCAAUGAUAACCAUCCAUUUAAAUAUUGUUAACACGAGAACACUGAAUUCACUAGUCCGAGUCUCCCCCUACGCCCAAAUCGCAGAGAAAAUACGUUACCACUUUAGUCGCUAAAAGAUUCAUGAUAGAAAAGAAGAGAAACACUUACCGAACUAAGCGAGCACUAACCGUGUGUGAAAAUGAAGGAAAAUAAAUGGAUUAGGGAAAAAUCAAGAACAAGAAAAAGAAGAAAAAGAAAAACUCAGAGAAUUUCAACAAGAGGAGAGGGAGAAGAAUAGACGGCGAAUAAAAUUCUGAUAACCCCCAAAAUCCCUUAAUCUUCUCCCCUAAUUCCCACUACACAUCCACUAUUCAUAACCCCCUAUUACAUAACUCUAUCCGAAAUCUGAUAAAAAAAAACAUAAUACCCUUGCCUGCAUAGGGGUUCAAACACAAAACCUCUACUAUAAUAACACAUCAUUUAACCACCAGACCAGCAGGCCCAUUCUGAUGUAAUUUACCCAAAAAUCAAAUAAAAGCCUACUCAACAAGAGUAAAGCCUAAUUCAUUCAAAAUACCAAAAUUUGCCCAAGCAAAAGCUUGAACUUGGGACCUCCCAAACACUCCCAGAACACAUAACUACUAAAGCUGACAAAUAUUUGUGUCAUAUUUUCACAAUAAUGAAAUUAGAAAUUUUGGGACAUUACAUUAUUACUUGAUUCAACUCUUGCACAAAUCGCAUAUCAUUUCACACACAACAGUGCUCAAUUGAACCCUUUAAGAUAUGAAAUCUAACAAACUCAAUUAAUGGCUUUAAUCAAUCCACCAAGAAAUAAUCAUUGGCAAAUUGAAGGAUGAAGAAUGAAUUCCCAUGACUCCUUAAAAAAAUUGAUAAGAAAACUACUUUUAAAAAUCACAAGAAACAAAUCUUGCAUAAAGAAACUAACUCUCAGAGUUGGUAAUUUUAGUAAUAAACAAAAACAAUUGCGUCUCUAAUGAACAUGAAGGGGCCUUUACAUAGGCUAGAUAAGUACAUCCAAAUAAAAUUGUCAAAUAUCUUGAAACUUUAAUUAAUGUAAGCAAGAAGUAAUUUUAAACUAAAAUAGUCAUAAUUUUCGUAAUAAUCCCGUCUAAAAAUUCUGCUCACAUAGUCAUCAUUAAAACAAUCAUAAUUUGAGCUCUUGAACUCAAAAUUGAGUGAAUAAAAGUGCGUUUCGAAGUUAAGUGAUAGAUCCUAGAACUCUAUGAAGACAUAUCAAUCAAAAAAAUAUCUGGAUCCCAUCCAAAAAGUCACCGCAAGUUAACUAAUUUUUCAAACUUAAAAUUUGGCAGCUUCGGUGAAUGGAAUUUAAUAAAGUUCACUCCAUCCAUUCAUGUAUCAACUUGCAUUGGUAACAAGUAAAAGAAAAAAAUCUAUAGAGAAAAUAGUUGAAGAAUUUAUGACAAUUUAUUCAAAUCUCUUUUUCUUCUAGUCUUUGCAAGCUUGAAGUUUCCCUUGGUGUGAGAGAGUUGUUCCUUACCCUCUAAGUGAUUUUUUUCUUUUUCUUUCUCUUCGAUCUCGUCACCUAUUGGUGUUCAAACAAUUGAUUCAGUUAAUACCCGAACAAAACUAUCAUUAACUGAAAUUUUGAAACCCUUAAUCGUUAAUCAAACCAAUUUUUUUAAAAAAAACCUAUUAACUAGCUGGAUUGAUUUCGAUUAAUUUUAGCGGUUAACCAGAAUUUAUACAUGGUUUUUUUUUGUUCAAAAAAUUUUAAAACAAAGAACAAUCCAUGACAAUUUUUUCCUUGUUUUUUAUUGAAAAAAUUAAAAGAACUAAAAAAAUAACAUAAUAACAACAAUAAAUUAAAAACAUAAUAGCAUUCAUUACAUUACAAGGCAUAUAUAUAUAUUUUUACUUUUUCUUCACUUUUUAGUUUAAUUUUAUAUUUUUUAAAAUAUUUUUAGUUUUCAUAUUUUUGUUAAGCUUAUUAUAAGAAAACUUAUAAAUCCAUUAAUUUUUCUAUAUUGGUUUUGUAUAAUGUAUUGGACUUAUCUCUAAUAUAUUUGGCCUAUAAUAUAUUUUUAUUGAUUUCGGUUAAUCAAUUAAUUCGGUUAAUUAGUCGAUUUCAAACUAAACUAAUUGGUAAACAAAAUCUUCAAAAACCUUUAACCAACUCCCAACCAAAUUAGAUUUGAUUGCUUAAUCAAAUUAAUUAGGUUUGAUAAAUUAAUUCGUUAAAACCAAAAAAUCCACACCCCUAUCAUCACCUUUAUUUUUAGGGAUUUUAAUCAUGUUGCUGCACCUGAUGCAGAAGUUGAGGUGGAACGAACUGCUUGCUACCACAAUUUAUGAAUUAUAGAGCAUGCUCCACCGUAGUGAAUCAAAUUCGGUGGAGUAGAAGACUUUUCUUCACUACUUUAUGCUCUAUGCUCCAAGUCUUCUAUUCUUCUUCUGAGACCUACAAUGGGAAAAUAAAAACUAAGAAACAAGUCUAAACUAACUUUGAAAAUUAGAAAUUUUCAACAAAAUUGAAAUAAAAUAUAAUUAAUCCAUAAAAAACUAUAAAAUGCAAUAAAAACAAACCUAAAUACUAAAAUUACCUCCUAAAAUGCUGUGGAAACUAUACUAAAAUAACUCUAAAUAUGAUAGUUAUCAGAAGCGACUUGAAUAAGCCAAUCGAGUAGAUGAUUUCAACUAUUGCAAAUAGCAUCAGUCGAUUAACCAUCCUCUUGAGAAGAUCAUAGAGUUGAAAGAAAAAAUCAUACAACUCCAUGAAGAAGAAAAAAUCAUGUUUGAAAAAGAAGUGGCAUUAUCAAACUUGACAUCAAUGCUUUGGUUUCUCAAUACAAUAUUAAGGAGAAAUUCAUCAAAUUUGGCUCUUUCACUCCUAUUACACUAGCUCUAAGUAGAAGUAAGAUGGUGAAUUUCGAAGGGAUUGGGGACAAUCAUCUAUUUUUGGAAUAUCAGAAUGGUCAUGAUUGGACUCAAAGAAGCCAAUGAAAUGCAUCUCUCCUAGGUAUAAGCUUAUAUUGUCACAUUGCUCCUAAGCACGAGCAUAAAUUGUUCAUCCAAAAUGAUGAUGCUCCUAAGCAUGAGCUUAAACUGUUCAUCUAAUGCUCCUAAGAAGGAGCCUAAACUAUUCAUAAAAAAUAAAUGAUGAUCCAGUGAAGCACGAGAUUAAACUAUUCAUACGAAAUAAAUGAUUACCUCCUAAGCAUGAAUUUAAAUUGUUCAUACAUAAUAAAUGAUGAUACUCCUAAGCAUGAGCUUAAAUAGCAGUCCAAAAAAAAUUGAACAACAUUAUAACUUUAUCUUUUAAAAAUGAAGGUACGUAGAUAGCCUGGUUUCAUUGCCAAGUUCAGUCAGUGAAACAAAUUCUUGAAAGUAGGAAGCAAAUAAAAUUUCAAGACUUGUACCCUUUCUACGCCCAACAAAAUUCAGAAUUCAGCAUUUGUUAUUACUGUUUAUCUCUAACUAAAUUAAUGAAAAGAUAAAUCAAGAAAUUAAAUCCUUUUAGAACUGUCUUAUAAAGAAACCAUAUUCUUUAAGGAUUACUUUAUCUAUAAUUAAUUAAAUUAAUAAGAUAUGAAUAAUAAUAAUAGAGUUUAAAUUCUUAUAGAACACUCAAAUGAAAAAGCUAAAUUCUACAACAACUCUCUUAUAUCAAAGUGAUUGGGCACUAUAAAAAUGGGUCACCUCCAAGUCAUUCUACACAUUCACAAGUUCAAGAAGUUCAAAAAUUCUUUACGAAAAUAUGAAGAAACUAAAGAAGUAGAAGAAAUUCUGAUGAACAUCAUAUCAGUUCUAAAGAAAAACUGCCUCCUAUCCAAUUCAAUUGAGAGGAGGAUGUCAACAGAAGAGAAGAAUCGAAGAAGUUUUGUUUGUAAAUAAAUUCAAAACUAUACACUCUUCGAAAUAAUAAAUAAAAUUUGACGCAAAAUUUUCAAGUCAAUUCUCAACUUAAAAUUUGCGUGUACAAUAUAUAUAGGAAAGAAUCCAUUUACAUUAUAUAAAACUAGUGUAUGUAUAAUACAGAAAUAUUUAGUACAUUAUCAAUAAAGUUUUUAAACUAUGCACUGUGAUUAAAACCAAAAUAAUAAUAAUAAUAACAACCAAUCACUUUAUUUGACUAACUUUUCCCUACAAGUCUUUAGUAUGGAGACAAAUCAGUUUAAUCAGCCUUUGGAGCUAUUAACUGACAUUUCCACCAUUGAUUUGAAAAUCCUAACCCAUCAAUUCACUUUAAAUGAAACGAGAUCCACUAGUGUUUGGUGUUAUAUUUUUAAAAUGUAUUUAGAUUAUUGUUUAUUAAUUUUAUUUGUUUAUAUUUAAAUCAAAUGUAAUAAAUUGUUGAAUUUAUAUACUUCAUAUUAUAACAAUAUAUUUUAACUUGCUACUUCUCUUUUUAAUUUAAUUUUUUGUAACUCUUCACAAUUUAUUUUGAAAAAAAUUGAAAAAACUAAAUGAUUAAAUUAAGGCUCAACUUUUCACUAACCUUAGUUUAUUUAGUCUAACUUUUCACAAAUUAAUAUACUCAUUUCAUGUUUCAUACCAACAACUUUUCUUUUUGGUAAAAAGAAAAAACAACUAUACGUUUUUUUUAAUCCCAAAAUUAAGGCUUUAUGAAUGAAAAUAAUAUUAUAUUAACUAUGAUAAUUAAGUCUUUAUUUUUAAUAUGAUUAAUAUUAUAUAUAAUAACUUUAAAUAUGCUUCCACUAAUCAGAUAUACUAAAGGAAAGAGUAACUUUCUUUUUAUGGUAACUAAUUUUCAAUUAUGUAUUUUAAUCUAUCACUAAAUAAUUAAUUAUAAUCAAGAUGUUAAUUUUCCAUAAAAUGUACAUAAUUUUGGUUGGUAUAUUAAUAAAUUUAGCCCUAAAAAUUUACACAUGCAAUUUGGUCUUAAUUUAACAAAAUUUUCCCGCAACAUUUGUGUAAAUAUGUAAAUGUUGAGGUUAAAUUUCUUGAAUUUUUUUUAAAAAAUUAAGGUCAAAAUGACAAAAAUAUAAAUAUUGAAAACUAAAUUUAUUACUGUACCAAUCAAAAUGACAAAAUAUAGCUAGGGACAUGGGCUUGACCGAGCCAACUCAACCUAUUUCAUCUGUUUCUAUUGACUUUUGCUCGACCCUACCCCAAAGACCUGUCAAUUUUGUUAAAAUUGAAAUAUUUAACUUGUUGGAGAAGACUAACUGUAGAAAAGUAAGUCAAUGCUAAAGUGAUAUGUCGACGUUUUGUUGUUUUCAAAAUAGUUGAUAAGCCUGAAAUUAUAAAAGAUAAUCAUGAGGUCUUAAAUGCAAUUAUGAUAUUUCUAAAAAGAUAUUUCUCAACAAUUUUUUUAAUUUCUUGAUUGAUGAAAACAAAUUUAGGUAUUUCCCAAUUUGUAAAAACAUGAUUUUUCUUUGAAUUUCUAGGUUUUUCUUAGCUUUUUUUUAUAUUAUUUUGGAAUUUUUGUAAUCUUCUUAUAAUUUCUUAAAAAAUAAUAUAUUUGUAAAAAUUUUUAAACCAUAAAUACCAAUUAAGAAGAAUGUGAUAAAAUUAGGGGUAAAUGUGUAUUUAAGCCAAAGAAAAUAAAAGAAUAAUAAUGAAAUUCACCUAAAAACAAUUACAAGGACUAGAUGAACAAUUUGACCUAAAACUUUGUUUGAAAUGAUGUCAUUAAUGUGUUACAUCAGCUUUCUUAGAGAGAUAAAAAUUAAAUGAAUAUGAGAUACAUGAAACUUGUAUCUCUUUCCAAUAAUUUAACAUUAUUUCAAUAUUUUCAUCUUGAAUUCACGAGUGAAGCGUACAUCAUAUACCAACUCAAUUGGAAAAAAGUCUUUAAAUUAUUUUUAAAUUGUAACAAAUAUUAUUAUUAAGAUGUUUUUCUUUUUAUAUUUUUUAUAAAAUAUAUUAAAAAACAAUUAAAAUAAUUUUAAGAGAAAAAAACUCAUACAAGGUAGAAUUUAAUCUAAAGAUGUCAAAGUUUUAAAGCCUCAACUUUAACAUUUCAACCGAAAUUCCAUUAGUAUAUAAAUAUUUAUAAAUAUAGAUUUUAUAUAAAAAAUUUUAUGUAAACUUUUUUUUAACCCGCAUCACAAGUACACCAUAUUUAGAGAUAUUCAUAGUUAGGCAGUCCACUUUGAGUCAAGCUUGAGCUUAGGUUUUCAAUCUCAAGUUGGCCCAAUUCAACUUAUUUUACUACUUAAAAAUAUAAAUAUAUGUUAUAUUGAUAUUUAUAUAUGUCUAUAGUUAAAAAAUUAUUAAAAAUAAAUUCAACUUAUUUAUUAAUUAAAAAUAUAAAUAUAUGUCUAUAAUUAAAUUUUAAAGAAAUUUAUUGUUAUUUUCUAAACAUAAAACAAAGAAAACUUUCACCCAAAUUAUAAGUUUGUGGUCAGGCAGCCCACUUUGGGACUGGAAUCAGCUUACUUUUUUAAUCUUGGGCUUUAAAAAUAAUAAAAAUAUAAAAAUAAUGUUCUAUUAAUAUUUAUAAAUUUUAUAAAUUUAAAUUUAAUUAUAUUUUUUAAACAGUAAAAUCAACCAUUUAUAUGGGCUAAAUUGAGUUAAGUUCGGUUUGCAUCAAGCCUUAACUUUGACCAAAUCCAACUAAAAACACCUCUAACCAUAAUCUAGUAUUGUUUUUAUGAAUUCAAUUUUAACUUGUAAUUUUCAAUUCUAUUACAAAAUUUCUUUGCCUACGAUAAGAAAAUAACAUAUUUGUAACUAAGUAAUUAAUUAAGUUAAUGUCACGAGUGAAUCAUACAUUAUAUGCCAACUCAAUUGGAAAAAGUUUUUAAAUUAUUUUUAAAUUGUAACAAAUAUUAUUAUUAAGAUGUUUUUCUUUUUAUAUUUUUUAUAAAAUAUAUUAAAAAACAAUUAGAAUAAUUUUAAGAGAAAAAAACUCAUACACGGUAGAAUUUAAUCUAAAGAUAUCAAAGUUUUAAAGCCUCAACUUUAACAUUUCAACUAAAAUUCCAUUAGUACAUAAAUAUUUUAUAAAUAUAGAUUUUAUAUUAAAAAAAUUAUGUAAACUUACAUAUAUGGUUCGUCAUGCAAAUGUUUAUUAUAUUUAAAAAUUAACAUAUAUGGUUAUUGAAUUUUAAUACUGGCUUGAGGAGUCGACUCUAUUGUAGAUUCUAGAUUAAUCUAAUAUUUCACCCUCUUUUAAUUUUCUUUAUUGGAAGAGUCUUUAAGAGAUAAGUUAAGUAGUAUAGCAGUUUCAUCUAAAACAACAUCUCUGCUAAUCACAACUUUUCUAUUUUUAGGACACCAUAACUUAUACCCUUUUACAUCAGCUUUAUAACCAAUAAAAACACAUUUAAUGAAUCUCGGUUCCAAUUUUUCAUUAUCAACAUGAGCUUACGAAGGACACCCAAAGAAUUUAAUCUAAAGAUAUCAAAGUUUUAAAGCCUCAACUUUAACAUUUCAACCGAAAUUCCAUUAGUAUAUAAAUAUUUUAUAAAUAUAGAUUUUAUAUAAAAAAAUUUUAUGUAAACUUUUUUUUAACCCGCAUCUCAAGUGUACCAUAUUUAAAGAUAUUCAUAGUUAGACGUCCACUUUGGGUCAAGCUUGAGCUUAUGUUUCCAAUCUCAAGUUGGCCCAAUUCAACUUCUUUUACUUUUUAAAAAUAUAAAUAUAUGUCUAUAAUUAAAUUUUAAAGAAAUUUAUUGUUAUUUUCUAAACAUAAAACAAAGAAAACUUUCAUCCAAAUUAUAAGUUUGUGGUUAGGCAGCCCACUUUGGGACAGGAUUCAGCUUACGUUUUUAAUCUUGGGCUUUAAAAAUAAUGUUCUAUUAAUAUUUACAAAUUUUAUAAAUUUAAAUUUAAUUAUAUUUUUUAAACAGUAAAAUCAACCAUUUAUAUGGGCUAAAUUGAGUUAAGUUCGGUUUGCAUCAAGCCUUAACUUUGACCAAAUCCAACUAAAAACACCUCUAACCAUAAUCUAGUAUUGUUUUUAUGAAUUGAAUUUUAACAUGUAAUUUUCAAUUUUAUUACAAAAUUUCUUUACCUACAAUAAGAAAAUAACAUAUUUGUAACUUCUCCAAUUCGACGUAAAUGUUCAGUCUGAAUUCAGAAGAUUACAUCAGCCAUAAAGAUGGCCUAGCAAGGUUAUUAGAGUUUUCAAAAACAGGCAUCUUUAAAAUGCUUGUUUAAUUUAUACAAAAACUUAUUUAAUUUCCAAAUUAUUUAUUACUUGAAAUCUUAAUUAUACUUUGAAAGCAAGAAGUGGUAACUAUUUAUUUUUAAUAAAAAUCAGGGUUCAUGUAUAAUUGAUUAAUAACUGUUAGAAUUAAGCGACCCGAAUCUUUAUUUAAAUGAAAUACAGUGGUAAAAUAAAAUAAAAUUAAAAUCCCUAUAGAACUACACUUAUUUUAUUUUAUUUUAGAAUAAGGAUUUUUAAACCUUAUUAAACUCCAUCCAUUUGAUAUUGAUUAGAAUAAGGUGUUUCAAUCUUACUACACUCCUAUUAGAAUAUGGUUUUACAAGCCUAUAAAUAGACAUAGUCUACUCCUCUUGUAAUUAUUCGAAUUCGACAUAGGGAUUUAUCUUCUCCUCUACCAAUAGCUUUUUCCCUGAAAGGGUUUCCACGUAAAAUCUGUGUGUUUUUUUUAUUUUUCUCCCUUUUAUUCUUUGCAAUACAUUGUCAUUACCAACAUUCUAUUUUUAGCAAAUUGGUAUCCAAGCUUCCAAUUUGUUCAUCUCAAUCAUGGUAAUGGCGUCUUUGAAGUAUGAAAUUCUGCUAUUGGAUCGCAACACCAGAUCCGCAUUGUGGCAGAUAAAGAUGCAGGCAGUUCUUACACAGAUAGACUUAGAGGAAGCCUUGCUAGGGGUAGAUAAAAUGUAUUCAACAUUAACAGAGGAAGAGAAGAAGCACAAGGAUCGAUAGGCGUUAACACAAUUACAUCUUCAUUUGUCCAACGAAAUUUCACAGUAUGGAGAAGACCGUCGCUGGAUUAUGGAAGAGGUUGGAACAAAUAUGUACGUCGAAUACUCUAACUAGCAAGUUGCAUAUGAAGCAGCUUCUUUAUGCUCAUCGUUUGGAGGAAGGUGUCUCUAUGCACGAACACUUAAUAGUGUUUAAAGGAAUUCUCUCGAACUUAGAGGUCAUGAAGGUUCAGUAUGAUAAUGAAGAUCUACGAUUGAUUCUACUUUGUUCGUUGCCUCUAUCUUAUUCAACCAUUAGAGAUGGGAUUUUAUAUAGCCGCGAGUCUCUCACAGUUGAUGAGGUUUAUGAUUCUUUAACCUCGUAUGAUAAGAUGAAGCAUCUUUUUCGUAAAACUGACUCUUAGGGAAUGGGUCUCAUUGUUCAUAGUAGAUAAGAUCAGAAUGCUGAUGAUGAUCGUGAAAGGACACAGGAAUAGAAUUCUCGCGAUAAAUCUAAGGAUAGAUCAAAGAUUUCAAGCAGAGGUAAAACUUGUAACUUCUGCAAGAAGAAAGGGCACAUUAAAUCUGACUGUUAUAAGCUACAAAUCAAUAUCAAAAGGGAGGUUGUGAAACAAAAUGGAAAACAACUAGAAUAUGUUGGUAAAGCUGAUGUUGUAGAAGACUAUAGCGAUGGUGAACUUCUAGUCACUUCUAUCAACAAUUCUAAAAUAAGCGAGGAGUGGAUCCUUGAUUUGGGCUGCACCUUUCACAUGAGUCCCAAUGGAUAUUGGUUUAUAACUUACGAAAUAGUGUUUGAAGGUGUUGUUUUGAUGGGAAAUAAUGCUUUAUGUAGAAUUGCAGGUGUUGGGACAAUAAAAGUUAAGAUGUUUGAUGGAGUUCUCAGAACACUUAAUGACGUACGACAUGUUCUAGAAUUGAAGAGAAAUUUAAUUUCAUUGAGUACUCUUAUUCAAAAGGUUAAAAAUACAUAGCUAAAAGUGGGGUUUUUAAUAUUUCCAAAGGUUCUCUCGUUGUGAUGAAAGGGCAGAGAAAGACUGCCAAGUUAUAUGUUUUGUAGGGUUUAGGAGUUCUUUGGCAUAUACGCCUAGGGCAUAUAAGUGAGAAUGACAUGGCAGAAUUGAGCAAAAGAGGACUUCUUGAUGGGCAAGGAAUUUGCAAACUGAAGUUCUGUGAUCACUGUAUUUUUGAGAAGUAAAAGAGAGUUCGAUUCAUCAGAGGAAUCUAUAACACGAAGGGAACAUUGGAGUAUAUUCAUUCUGAUCUGUCGGGGACACCCAGAGUGCAUUCAAGAGGUGGAGCUAAUUAUAUGCUAACUUUUAUUGAUGAUUUUUCUAGAAAAGUUUGGGCGUUCUUCCUAAAGCAGAAAAUCGAUGUGUUUUUCGCAUAUAAGUCUUGGAAAACUAUGAUUGAAAAACAUAUGGAAAAACAAAUAAAAUAUCUCCACAUAGAUAAUGGCUCAAAGUUCUGUUCUAAUCACUUUAAUAAACUGUGCAAGUCAGAAGGGAUCGUGAGACACUUGACAGUUUGCCACACUCCACAACAAAACGGUGUUGCAGAACGAAUGAACAGAAUGAUCGUGGAGAAGGUUUAAUGUAUGUUUUCAAAUGCCAACUUAACAAAGUUGUUUUGGGCCGAAGUAGCCUCUACUAUAUAUUUUUUGAUCAACCGAUCUCUAUCUAUUGCCAUUGAGAAAAAGACUCCACAAGAGGUAUGGUCUGGUAAUCCUGCUAACUGUUCUGAUUUAAAGAUCUUUGGGUGUCCUGUGAAUGCUCAUGUUGAUAAUGGAAAAUUGGAACUGAGAUCCAUUAAGUGUGUUUUUCUUGGUUAUAAAGCUGGUGCAAAAGGGUAUAAGUUAUGGUGCCCUAAAAAUAGAAAAGUUGUGAUUAGCAGAGAUGUUGUUUUUGAUGAAACUGCUAUGCUACCUAACUCAUCUCUUAAAUACUAUUCCAAUAAAGAAAAUAAAAAGCAGGUGGAGUAUCAGAGUAAUCCAAAAUCUACAACAGAGUCGACUCCUCAAGCCAAUACAAAAAUUCAAAAUAGAGUUGCUUCUUUACCACAAUACUCUAUCGUAAAAAAUAAAACUAGAAGAGAUAUUAAACCCUCAAAGAAAUAUGCCGAGGCUGAUCUAGUUGCUUAUGCUUUAAAUAUUGCUAAAGAUAUAGAUGCAAACCAAGAGCCAUCUAAUUAUUUUGAUCCGGUUAGCUAUAAAGACUCAGAAAAAUGGAUGUUUGCUAUGUAAGAGAAGAUGGAAUCACUCUACAAAAACAAAACAUGGGAUCUUGUAAAACUUCCUAAAGGUAAAAAGGUUGUUCGUUGUAAAUGGGUGUUUAAAAAGAAAAAGGGGACUCUGGGAGUUGAAGAACCCAGAUUUAAAGCAAGGCUUGUUGUAAAGGGUUACAGUCAAAUUCCAAGAGUGGACUUCACAGAUGUGUUCUCCCCAGUUGUGAAGCAUAGUUCGAUUUGAGCUUUGCUUGGUAUUGUGGCCAUGCAUGAUUUGGAGCUAACUGUAAAAACUACAUUUUUGCAUGAAGAACUUGAGGAUGAUACUUACACGCAACAACCAUAGGGUUUUAUAGUCUCAGAAAAAGAGGACUAUGUUUGCCUGUUGAAAAAGUCCUUUUACGGUUUGAAACAGUCACUAAGAAAGUGGUACAAGAGGUUUGUUUCCUUUAUGACUUCUUAUGAUUUUAAAAAAAGUAGCUUUGACAGUUGUGUUUACUUUAAGAAAAAUAGUGAUGAUUCUUUUGUGUAUCUACUUCUUUAUGUUGAUGACAUGUUGAUAGCAACAAAAGAUAAAUGAGAGAUAAGAAAGGUUAAAGCCCGACUAAGUGAAGAUUUUGAGAUGAAAGAUUUGGGACCAGUAAAGAAGAUACUUGAUAUAGAGAUUCUCAGAGAUAGAAAAGUAAGUAAAUUGUACCUAAGUCAGAAGGGGUACAUUGAGAAAGUUCUUUGCAAAUUCAAUAUGCAGAAUGCUAAGCCUGUUAGUACUCCUUUAGCAGCCUAUUUCAGACUUUCAUUGGCUUUGUCUCUACAAUCAAAUGAUGAGAUUGAGUACAUGUCAUAUUUUUCAUACUCUAGUACAAUGGGAUCUCUCAUGUAUGCUAUAUUUUGUUCACGUCCAAAUUUAUUAUAUGCAGUCAAUACAGUUAGUAGAUAUGUGGCAAAUCCUGGUAAAGAACAUUGGAAAAUACUGUUUCCAAAAAUUUAUGGAUUUCUGGUGAGUGAACUUCUAGUGAAAUUAUUGUGCUAAGUCCAUUGGGGCAGUCUGUUUGAGUAAGUACACUUUAUAGGAAUGUACCUUUGGAAGUACAAGGGAUUGUGUUUUCGGCAGAUCUGGUGAGGUUACUUCUAGUGAAAUUAUUGUACUAAGUCUGUUGGGGUAGUCUAUUCGAGUAAGUAGACUUUAUAGGAAUGUACCUUUGGAAGUACAAGGGAUUGUGUUUUCGGCGUUUUAUUCACAUAAAAGCAGCAAAAUUUAGCGACAUUGUCUACAGCGGCAUUUUUUACGGCGCUUGUGAAAGCGCCGCUAUAGGCCUAAAAAACACCGCUAAAAGCCUAUUUUGCUGCAGUGAAUUAAUAUUAUUAUAAGUAUAUUUUCACCUUUUCAUUCUUUUAUAUAAUCUUCAAGUAAAAUGAUUGAAAAAUAUUAUUUGAGAAUCAAACACAAGACUAACAAUAUUCAUAUAGAAAACGCUUAUCACUCCACUAAUAAUCAUUUGUUGAUGUAUUUUUGGUAAAAAGAGCCCUCCAAUCCCUCUUAAUUUCACAACUUCUCAAAUUAGUCCCUCUCAAAAAAAUUGGAGCAAUUUAAUCCCUAUCAAUUUUGAAAGUGAGUAACUAAGGACAAUUAAUUAUGGUGUUAAAUUCUUCAAUCAAUUGUACAUAAUUUUGAUUGGUAUAAUAAUAAAUUUAGCCUUUAAUGUUUAUGUAUUUUGUCAUUUUGGCCUUAAUUUUUUUAAAAAAAAUUCAAGAAAUUGAACCUCAACGUUUACAUAUUUGCACAAAUGUUGCAGGAAAAUUUUGUUAAAUUAAGACCAAAAUGCAAGUGUAAAUUUUGUUAAAUUAAGACCAUAUUUUCCCCCUUUAUUUUUUCAGUGCCGACCGGAAAAAAAAAUUUCAGUCUCAUCUAAAUAAGACAUACUUCAGCAGACCAAUAGACUGCAGAUCAGACCCAAUUCAAGGGUAAUGCAGUCCAAAGUUCCUUGAACUCCCUCCUCCAAAGUGAAAAACAAAUCUAUAUAUUUCUGCAUGAUUCAAACAGAAAGGACUGUUGGACAUGUAACUCAGAAAGAAUGCAAAUACAUUGAAAGUACCAUAGACUUUAUAAAUUAGUUUCAUGUUGUUAAAUUUCAACACUAUAAACCUAAAAAUUCCCAGAACGAAAUGCGGGAAUCAUGCCUUAAACUCCAAUACUCAAAUAAGAGACAGAUAAAUUGCACAUUUUUUAAUAUAAUAUUUACAGACUAGAGAUAAAAAUAUAGAAAAAUAUAAACAUGGACAUCGACAAAAAGACUAAUUGACUGUGCAUGUGUGCUAGAGAGUGGCAAUUAAACAUUAUCCAAACACAAUCAUUUCUCAACAUUUGUAAAACAAAAAGAAGAUUAAGAUUAGCAGUAAACUAAAUAAAACCAAAGAAGUGAGAACCACAAGUAAAUGAGAAAGAAAACAAAAUAGAGAUCCUAGUAGCUUUCCCAUUGAACUUCGUAUAAGAGAAAUAACAACAUUUGAACUUUAAGCAAAUAAAAAUGUAAAAUAUUCAGAAUCAAAACAAUCUUUUAUCAAAAUUCAAGCCAAAAACAAUGAGCUUCACUCUAUACAAGAAGCAUGUUAAAGUCAUAGGCUUUCUCGUUUCUGGAAACCAAAUCCAGAAACGUCUCCCACCAAAAAUCAAGAAAAUAACUUCUGUUUUUGAAAAUCACAUUCAAAUCGUGAAAUAGGAGCAAGGUCCUUCAAAUUCAAGCAAAGUUGGUAGUAAAAGCUUAACUUUCAAAGGUCAAACAACACAGCAUUAAGUAUAAAACUAACCCAAUCUCCACCAAUUCAAAAACAAGAAACCAAACACGAACCCGAAGAUCCAAACACGAUUUCGAAAAAAAAAAAUAGAUAUUCCUGAAAAUCGGAUAAAAAACUAGCAUAUACUUAAUGAAAAGAGAAAUUGACGAAAAAUCACAAGAGAUCUGCAUGCAAAUAUAGGCACACUUUUGCUUGAUUAUUCGCUUAAAAAAGUAACAAUGGAAAACAAGAUGCAAGUGUCACGGGCCGCAGUUCAAAGCCCGUGACCAGCGCACCAAAUGCAUCCAAUAGAGAUCUAUUGCUCAGAUAGGGAUCAUUUGGCCCACAAGAACUGGCUCGAUUCAAGGAGCUAUUGGACAAGCCUGUCAGAUUGAAGCCUGGUUGGCCCGAAAACGAAGAGAUGGCAACUUAGGCUAAUAUGGUAACUAAUCUUAGAAGAUAGAGGGAAUCUUAUCUUGUAAAGAUUAGAUUAGAUUAGAUAAGGCUUAUCUUGUAAAUCCCUAAAAUUAAGGGAUAUGGGUUAAUCUCAUCCGUCGAUGUAAAUGUAUAUUGACCGUCGAUUUUGGGGGAGAUCAACUAUAAAUAGAGAGCCUCCCCCUCAUUUGUACUCACUCUUGUAAUUAUUUCAUUAUUCUUUGUGAAUAAGAGAAUUGAGAGCAUUUACUCAAACACUUUACGAGCGUCCUUUCUGUUGUUCUUUUGUUUAGCUUCUUUUGGCACAAUCGCUUCCGCUAUACAAAUUGGUGCCUUGGAGGAGUUCUAAAAGAAUCCUCACUUGAGUUAAGCCUGACUUGGGCGAGUUUGGAUGAACAAAUUGUCUAAGGCUGCACGAAUUACGAGACGAAAGGUCUAGCCCUGUGACAAGUGGUAUCAGAGCCAAGUUUUGAACCAAGUGACAUUCGAGUUGGUUUGAAGGCACCGUUGGGAUGUCAAGAGAAGAGUUCGAACAAAGGUGGGAGAAGAAGUAUUUGAGGGAGACAUUAUCGGUAGUAGAGAAACGUGUGGGUAAACUCGAGGGAUCCAUGGAGGAUGUAAAGGAGGCACUCGAUGGGGUCGAGGAUCACAUUGCAAACUGGAAGGAGCAGUCUAGAGACUAUGUAAAGAUGUCUCUUAGUUCCAUCAUGGAUAUGGUAAACGAGUUGUUUAAUUCACACAGGGAUAAGCUGUCGGAAAGGAAUGAUGCUCUCGAGGCCAAAAUGAUGGCUUUGAAAGAGGAAACAAUGGCCACGACGAGGGCUUUGAGCACAAGAAUAGAGGAGCUCGAGGGAGAGCUGGCCUUGUGUUGAGCAGCCGUGAGGAAAGGAGUGGCAAAUGUAGCACUCAGUAACGAGGAUGUCCCAAAGCUGAAAGAGUUUGUGGGGACAAGGUCUGCGUGCGAUGUGGAUAAUUUCUUAUGGAGGAUGGAAAACUACUUCCGUGCCAAAGGCGUCAUGGAUGAUACGGUUAAGGUAAACACUACUUCAAUGUUUCUUACUGCCAUUGCACUUUUAUGGUGGAGAGGUAGGACCACAAAUAAAAGGCAAGGUGAGAUUGGGACGUAGCAAGAGUUCCAAUGCGAAUUGAAGGGACAGUUUUACCCAGAGUUUACCGAGGAAGAAGCUCGGGCAAAGUUGCAAGGGAUAACGUAACAGGGCACAGUGGGGGAGUAUGUUCGAGAGUUCAAGGAACUCAUGCUCCAAGUUUUAAAGGUGACCGAAAGAGAGGCAUUGCUUGCUUUUCAAAAUGGAUUGAAGCCGUGGGUCAGACAGGAGGUGGAACAAAGAGGUGUCCAAAAGCUAUCGGAAGCCAUGACGGUAGUUGAGUCUGUGGUUAAGCUUAGUCUAGGGAAAGACAAGCUUGGAUCUUCCAAGUCCGAUGGAAGGGGUAUAUGUGAAAUGGAUCAAAAGGAAGAUAGUGUUGAUGGCAAUGGCAACGGCAACAAUGGUGGUAAUGGGAAACCAUGAGUUGGGAAGAAGAAACCCAAGAGGAAAAGGGACAAGCUAAAAUGCUUUCUCUGCGACGGUCCACACAUGCUGAAGAAAUGUCUGAAAAAUUUGAGCUCAAGGAGAAGCCGGUGGGUAAGGCCUUGGUACUUGGUUCGAGCGCAAGGGGUGUCGAAGCCAAGAAGGCCAAAAGUAAGAAGAAGCCAGUGGAGUGGUUCUUGUGUCAUGGUCCGCAUAGGUUACGAAAGUGUCCGAGGAAGUCUAUCAUCGAGGGGAAUGAUGGAGCAGACAAGGAGCCCAAGAAGCUUGGUUCGAGCAAGGGAAAAGCCGAAGCCAAAGGGGCAAAAGGGAGCAAAAAGAAGCGAGUAAAGUGCUUCUUGUGCCGUGGUCCGCAUGAGUUACGGAACUGUCCAAAGCAAGCCGGAGUCAUAAGAAAGGCAACGUCUGAGCUUGGUGAGUCAUCGGAGGGGCUUCCACCCAAGGAAGAGGUGAGUUUGUCAUCGAACUUAAAGGAAAUAGUUGCGAUGAAAACAGUGAAGCUGGGACCAAUGAGGCUCAAGUUGAGUGAAGCGUCGGAGUUGGCCGAGUCAUCGAUAAGGCUUCCACCUAUGGGAGAGGUGGGUGGUGCAUCAGACUUCAAGGGAAAAGAAGGGAUGCAUGUGGGACAGUUGACCAGAGUAAAUGCGACGAGUAGGACGGUUUGAGUUAAGAAGCGACGUAAGCCGAGGCAAAAAUCCCGAAGGAAGGGAAAGGCUAAGGCAUUGAGACAAGACCGAGGUGAAUCGAGUCAGUGCCAUUCAAAAGUCACAACGAGGACGGUGCAAGAAUGUGUGGGGGAGAAUGUCACGGGCCGCAGUUCAAAGCCCAUGACCAGCGCACCAAAUGCAUCCAAUGGAGGUUUGUUGCUCAGAUGUGGAUCAUUUGGCCCACAAGAACUGGCUCGAUUUAAGGAGCUAUUGGACAAGCCUGUCAGAUUGAAGCUUGGUUGGCCCGAUAACGGAGAGAUGGAAACUUAGGCUAAUAUGGUAACUAAUCUUAGAAGAUAGAGGGAAUCUUAUAUUGUAAAGAUUAGAUUAGAUUAGAUAAGGCUUAUCUUGUAAAUCCUAAAAUUAAAGGAUAUGGGUUAAUCUCAUCCGUCGAUGUAAAUGUAUCUUGACCGUCGGUUUUGGGGGAGCUCAACUAUAAAUAGAGAGCCUCCCCCUCAUUUGUACUCACUCCUGUAAUUGUUUCAUUAUUCUUUGUGAAUAAGAGAAUUGAGAUCAUUUACUCAAACACUUUGUGAGCGUCCUUUCUAAUGUUCUUUUGUUUAGCUUCUUUUGGCACAAUCGCUUCCGCUAUACAAAUUGGUACCUUGGAGGAGUUCUAAAAGAAUCCUCACUUGAGUUAAGGCUAACUUGGGUGAGUUUGAACGAACGGAUCGCCUAAGGCCUCACAGAUUGUGAGACGAAAGGUCUAGCCCCGUGACACAAGUGCUAGGUAAAACCAUCAUGUCUGCUUACUCACCACAAACAAAGGCCCUCUAGGACCUUCAUGAAUUUUUGUCUUAUAAGUGCUUCCAUUGUGAGCCUGAACAGCUUGAUAGCCCACAAGAUAAGGAUAUCGAUCUUUACCCUACAGAUUAACAAGGUUAAAUCCACUUAAAUGAAGCACCAUUAGUCUAUAACAAUUUACUUCAAUUUUCUGCUGUUAGUUCAAAUAUUUAUUUUUUUAAUUUGCCAAAACUUGCUAGGAUCGAAGAUUUGGAAUUCCUAAAUUUCAAUUACAAAUUUACACCGUACUUGCAGAAAAAUAUAUUACUAUUAGAGACACCAGCAAUCAACCAGAGUUCUUUAGUUUUCAAUCAAGUUAUUCGACAGGUAUCUAUAUUGAUUACACAAAAAAAAUCAUACACCGUGAGAAUGUCGAGUAAAUUACAAAUACAAAAGCAAACGAACCCUAAAGGAGCUCCAAUACUUCUUCUCCCAGGGGCCUUUGUAUAGAGAUCCAAUGGAAACGAUCUCUAGAUCCUCUAAUUUCGUUGUUUGUUCUCCUUUUUUUGUUUUCGCCAUUCAAAGAAAUGAGAAGAAAGCAAGAUUUCCAAACAACUAACAAUAAGAGAGUAGAGAGGAUUUUCAAGAUAGACGAAGACAUGGCAUUUUAAAAUAGGGGAACUAAAAUCUUAAAAUGCAUGAUUUCCCUUGAAAUUCUAAAUAAAAACUUUAUUUGAUUAGGAAAAAUGUGAAUUGAUUUUGGGAAAAAGAAGGGAAAAAAAAGAAAAGAUUUCAUUUGAAAUAUUGGGAUAAAAAAAUAUAAUUACAAAACGACGCCGUUUUGAAAAAAACAUAUUCGUGGCGUUUGGAAAAAAAAGUCACUAUUGCUCGACUUUUAGCGACAUUUGGACCAAAAACGCUACUAUUGUUCAACUUUUUUCUGCAUUUACAACAAAAAAGCCGCUAUUGCUUACCUUUUGCGGCGUUUUUUUUAUAAAUGCCGCUAACACUUGACUUUUUUACAAUUUUUAUAUUGAAUUAUUGUAUCUUUCAUAUAAAUUUUAAAUGAAUAAUUUUUAGUUUUUGUAUUUCAUUUUUAUUUUUGUAUUUCAUUUUUAUUUGUUAUAAUUUUGUCCUAUCCAAAAUAGAUAGUUACCUAUCCAUAUCAAUCUGUUACUUUUUUUUAUUUAUUUAUCAAUAUUUUUUUAAAUUUAAUAGUUAAAUAUAUUAAAUGGUUUAGAUUUAAUAUUUUUAAAUAUAAAAGCAUUAAUUGAUUGUAUAAAAUUUUAUCAUUUAACAAAUCUCAAGUAAACCUUAAAUCCUAAACCAUUUAAUAUAUAUAAAGUUUAUCUAUUAUCUCUUAAAUAAUUUAAACUAUAAUCAUAAUUUUAAUAUAUUAAAAUUAAAAUUAAAAUGAUCUCUUUUACAAUUAUAUAAGAAAUUAUUUAAUAUAUAAAUUAAAAAACACUAAUUAACCUAAACCCUAAACCCUAAACCCCUAUCCCCUAAACCUUGAAUUAUAAAACAUAAAACAUAAACCCUAAAUCCCUGAAUCCCUAACCCUUAACCCCUAACCCCUAACCCCUAAACCUUAAACCCCAACCCUUAAACCAUAAUCCCUAAACCCAUAAUCCAUAAUCCAUAAACCUUAAAAUAGUAACUCUUAAACCUUAAACCCUAAACCAUAAACCCUAAACUAUAAUGAUAAUUAAUUCAAUAUUUUAAAAUUAAUACUAUCUCUUUUACGAUUAUAUAAGAAAUUAUUUAAUAUAUAAAUUAAAAACAAUCAGUCAUGUACCCAAGAAACUUUAAAAUUAUUUUAAAUAAUAUAUUUUAAUUUUUUCAUUUUUAACAAAUAUUUUCUAUGUUUUUACUUUCAAAAUUUCUCUACGUGUCAUUAUUUUUUUCUGAAGAAUUUAAAUAUUCAAUUAAAAAUAAAUUUAUUUUAAUUAAUAUAAAUAAAGCGGUUAAAUAAUAAAUAGACAGAUAAAAUACUUUUUGCGGUGAUUUUCAUAAAGUGCCGCUAAAGCUCGAUCUACAGCGGCGUUUUACGAAAAAGAGUCUUACUGAAUUUUUUGGGGCAUUUUUCAAAAAGCGCCACUAAUUCUCGAUCUAUAGUGGCGUUUUUCAAGAAGCGCCGCUAAUGCCACUAAAGCUCAACAUAAAACACCAGCAUUGAGCUUAAUUUUUUUGCGGCGUUUUUCAAAAAGAGCCGCUAAUGGUAGACCUAUAGCGGCGUUUUUCAAAAAGCGCCACUAAAGCUCAACAUAAAACACCGGCGUUGUGCUUAAUUUUUUUACGGCAUUUUUCAAAAAGCGCCGCUAAUGGUCGACUUAUAGCAGUGGUUUUAAAAAAGACCCACUAAUGCUCGAUCUAUAGCGGCAUUUUUCAAAAAGCGCCGCUAAUGCUCGAUCUAUAGUAGCGUUUUUUAUCCAAACGCCGCUAAAAAUGCCACUAAAAACCUAUUUUGCUGUAGUGAUUUGUGGGGUAAGUGGUUGAACAUUUUAAUAUAGACUGACUUUUCUAUAAUUAGUCCUUGCUUUAAUUACUUUGGGUGGAUUCUUCCAACUAGUCCAAGCAUUAUUGUACAAUUACAAUUAAUCUUUUUAAAUGAGACAAACAUUUCAAAUUUGUCAUUACUAUUUGUGAGUGAUUUGGGGGUAAGAAGUUUAACUCUUCUGGAUGUCUUAUAGAAUUGUGAUUAUACUUUUUGAGUAUUGACUCAGUUUUCCACAAUUGUGGGUCUCUAUUUGAGCAAAACAAUUUCAACAUUUCUUCAUCUCGUUUAAUCCAAAUGCAUUUAUGCAUUUCUUAUAUCAUUGAAUUUGCUGCUUCAUAUUCAAUUUUUGGACAAGUAGAAUUUUCUAACCUAUUUUCCAUCAACUUCACUUGAAUUUUCAAUCACAAUCAAUUGCAUUCAAGAGCACCACAUCUUUUUGGAUGAAACAAAAAUUUCAAUUUUAAGAUAAACGGGUCUUUAGGGUUAUAAUUUCAAUUUUUAAAAGUUUAAAAUAAAUUUGUAUUUUUAUUAACAAAAUGUAUAUAAAAAAAAACUUGUUUAGACAAGCCAAGAGACCUUUGGGAUCAUACGGGUGAUUUUGAUGAUGUUAAUGGUUAUUUUGGUGGAGAGAGUGAAAAAGAAACAAAUGAUUCAUUAUAUAUAUUAUAAUUAUGAAAUUCAAGCCAUAUAUUGUAUGUUUCAUACAUAAAAAAAAUUGGAGCAAUUUAAUCCCUAUCAAUUUUGAAAGUGAGUAACUAAGGACAAUUAAUUAUGGUGUUAAAUUCUUCCAUCAAUUGUACAUAAUUUUGAUUGGUAUAGUAAUAAAUUUAGCCUUCAAUAUUUAUAUAUUUUUUCAUUUUGGCCUUAAUUUUUUUUAAAAAAUUCAAGAAAUUCAACCUCAACAUUUACAUAUUUACACAAACAUUGCGGGAAAAUUUUGUUAAAUUAAGACCAAAUUGCAAGUGUAAAUUUUGAGGGCUAAAUUUAUUAUUAUACCAACCAAAAUCAUGUACAUUUUAUGGAAAAUUAACAUCUUGAUUAAUUAUUCUUAGUUGUUCACUUUCAAAAUUAAUAGGGACUAAAUUACUUUGAUUUUUUUAGGGUGACCAAUUUCCUCAAAGUGGAAAUUGAGAGAGACUAUUGAGAUCUUUUGCAUAUUUCUUUUAUAAAUAUAUUUUUUAAAUAUAAAAUAUAUUUGUUCACACACAUCGUGAGUAUGAUCUCAAUAGUCCACAUAAUCCAUUAAAAAAACUUAAAAAAUAUAUUUUAUUUUUUAACACCUAAGUGAUUCUCCAGCUAACGACCACCCAAGACACACCCCGACUUUAUAACACCCCAAUCUUAUUUAAUUAUUAGUUAUUUAUUAAUGCAGAAGUAAAUUAUGAGCCAAUUUUAAUCUUUUCCUCGGUAAUUUAACCUAAGGCCAAUUUCAUCAUUUUACCACCUAUUGUAAAACUAACCCGAUUUUAGAUAUAACAACAUGUUUGGUUUGGUGUAAUAGAUUAGCCAUUACACCCCUAUUUCGUGGGCCCCACUAAUCCCCACUUAUUCUUGUGUUUGGUUUGAUGUAUUGCCUAUUACAGGCCUAUUACAACACGAAUGUAUUCCUCAUUUUCUCUGCUUCAACAAUGAUUAGCCAUUCCGUUCCAAAAGUAAGGAUUAGCUAAUCGUCUCUGUUUUACCCUCCUCAGCCAAAAUCUACUGCUCCACCCCACCCUCUCCCUCCCAACAUCAACAGCAGUUUUCUUCGAACCAAAUCUCCACCGUCUCAGAUCGCCUGUGAGUAAUCUCAACAGCAGUUGCCAGUGAAAAUUGCCCUUUCUUCAAAAACCCAGCCCUAAACCCUUCUUCUCUUUCAAUACUCCAUUCGAACAGGUUGCGGUGUCUCCCUCCUCUGAGGUAUGGCUCUGUUUCUUUAACUUUAGCAUUGAGCGACUCUUUUCAAUUCCAAAAUUAGUCUACUCUGCUAAGGGUUCUUGCUUUUCAAACCAUUUUUUCACCAUUUUUCUUGUAAUUCUUUUUCUUGUUAGAGUUCAGAUUUUAGAUUUUUUUUAAAAAAAAACGAUUAGAUUGUGAGGUUCAGUUAAUUAUUAGGGUUUUCUGUUUUGGGUUUCCCUGUUGCGUGGUAAUUUUGAAGUGCAUAUAAAAUGGAUGCUUUUGAGGAUCUUAAGCAAUUCGGCGAUACUGAUAAAGGUUGAUAUUCGAUUCAUUUUGCUUUAAUUUACUUGGUUUAUGCAUUUUGGGGAUAAAAUUAGCUUUGUUUUCUUCUCUUUUGGUUGGCUUUAAGCUGAGAGUAAAAUUUGAAACCUUUGUGGUGGAGGAGUUACCGUUCUUCUGAGAUCAAAUGUAUAACAGGUUAGAAGGAAAUGAAAUUAGAUCCUUAAAUAUUGUGUUUUCAAUGUUAAGGGCAGGCUUUUGUUGCUAAAACAAUUGUGGUAACACUGUUUGAUUCAGUUAGAAGUCAAAUGUCGUUUCCAUGUGUGAACAAUUUCUGGUUUUUAAGUAGCGACUUUGUUUCAUGUUGGCCUGGACAUUUUCCAAAUUAGUAAUUAUAAGUUUGAAUUUGGCUACUAAAUCACGCCAAUUAAUGAUUUCAGUGUGCUGGUGUUUCAGACUUUCAGUUGAAUUGACUUUGGUUUCGAAUAUUUUUAGUGAUGGAAAUAAGCACGAUUUAUUUAAAUUAUGAUUGAAUUGGAGAAACUGCUUUUUGUACAUUUUGAGAAAUAUCAGGCCCUUGGAUACACAAAGGGUGUUAACUUGCGCCUAUCUCAAUUACCCCAUUCCUGCCCAUUGAAUUGGAGAAAGUUCUUUUUUUUAAUGAUUCUGCGUUGCUACUGAUUUUUAGUGAAAUGGUAUUUUUCUUAUGAUGUGUUUUCUUCUUUAUGAAGAGCUCAUUUCAGUAAAGUUAACCUUUCUAUUAUGCAGAAGGUGCAGUAUUUGAUGCAUCACAAUAUGCAUUUUUUGGAAACAAUGUUCUCGAGGAAGUUGAAUUGGGGGGGCUAGAUGAUGAGGAUGAGGAUUUACCUGCAGCUGGACUUGAUGAAGAGGAGUUUUUGUUUGAUCAAGAGGAGGUUAAUAUUCUUGUUUCUUUCAGUUUUAUUUUUCCUGUUUCGAUUGUUCUUGCAAGUUUCUGCAGCAUAGCACAACCAGUGACUAUUCGAUCGAAAAAUAAAUGUAUCCCUUCCAGGCGUCAUGCUAAAAAAUAGCCUUUUGGAUUAGUGUUGGAUUUUUUCUCCAUGUUCUUUAACAGAUAGAUUCCACUGCAUUCAAUUAGUGGUUGGCAUGCGAGUUUUAUUUGUGGAAUAAAGCUCUGUGGGAGUUCAUAUUAUAUAUUGUUCUAUUUGUCUGUGCAAAACAUUGUGAACCUUGUUCUCUGUAUUUAUAAGUUGACAAUGUAGCCAUCUUGGUUGGCUGCUUUCCGAAGUCAAUUUAUUUGAUUCGUUCUCUUUGCUCUUCACAAUGAGAGGUAGCUCUUUUGUACUUUUUUAAUAAGAUCAUAUUAUACAUGCUCUUUUGCAGUGGUCUAGUGGUUUAGUAUCUUGUUAAUAAAACCAUAUUGUAUAUUUGAAUAGUUUGGAGAUUGUGUUAACUGUAUUUGGUGCAUCUUGAAGUAAUGUUUGUUGUAUCUUAUAUGCUUCCUGAAUCAAAUAUGGAGAGAAGGUAGUAUAUGGAGUUUAUAUUUUCAAGUAUUUUUCACACAAUUGAUUUAUCUGUUCCCUUCAUUGAGGGGAAAACAUGGAAUGAAUUGACUUACACCUCACUUCUUCCUCAAACAUCUUUUGUACCACUUAUUUUCAUAAAAUGAUAAGAAUCUUUUUAGAUUACAACUUCCAGAGGUCUAUGUCACCUUCUUGACAAUCAGGUUUUUAGGAAUAUUUUUACCCAUCAUGCAGAAGUUUUAGACAAAAUCUUGUUCGUGGUUGCUGCUAGAUGCAUGAUACUGCCUCAUUUCCUUUGUGGUGGUUCUUCGCUCUCCCCCUUCUUAGUAUUUUUGGUUGUUGAGUCUUGGAGGCAGUUGUAUUCAGUAAUGGCUGGCUUGCUUUGAUGCAUUGCUUCUGUAUAUCUUUGUAGAAAACGAAUCUGUAUCUAUUAUUAACACAAAUUUGAUUAGUUCAUGCCAAUGGAUUUGUAAAGUUAAAUUAGUUAUUGGCGUUAGAAAUUUACUCUUAUGCCUGGAAGGAGAUCUGGCUUACAGAUCAACUACUGGAGUUAAUUGUGGAAAUUUGUUUGAUUUGGUUUCUUAUAAAAUUGUUACCCUGUUCUAUUUAUGUUGGAGUAGCUGAAAUCUGAGGUUGCAUUUGUCAUUAACAAAUAGAAAUCCAAAAAGAGAGGAAAGUGAUAUCAUCCCCUCCACUUUUUCCUUGGAAUUGCGUACUUCAAACUUUUUUAAUUGUAUAAAUUCAUAUAAGAAAAUUUAUUAUGAUGUUGUAAAACUAUAAAACAUAUGGAUUAUGAUGUAGAAUUUCAUUUUCAUCUAACCUUUUCUUAAUAUAAGUUAAUUAUGUUUAUGCAGAAUAUAAUCUCAAGUUAUAAUUUGAUUUUAGUAAAUUCAUAUAAGAACAUUUUAUUAUUAAAUUAUAUUUAAUAUUAAUUAUUUUAAAUUGUAUAAAUUCAUAUAAGAAAAUUUAUUAUCAAGAAUUUUAUGAAAUUAUAUAUCAUUAUUAAAUUAUAUUUAAUAUUAAUUAUUUUAAAUUAUAUAAAUUCAUAUAAGAAAAUUUAUUAUCACGAAUUUUAUGAAAUUAUAUAUUAUUAUUAAUUAUAUUUAAUAAUAAUUAUUUUAAAUUAUACAAAUUCAUAUAAGAAAAUUUAUUAGUUAUAAUUAUUUUAAAUUUUAUUAAAUCAUAUAUUUUAAUUAAAAUAUUUUUAAUAUUAAUUACUUCAAAUUAUAUUUUAUAGUAUCAUAUAUUAUGAUUUUAGUAAAUUCAUAUAAGAAUUUUGAUUAUUAAGAAUUUUAUUAAAUUAUAUAUUUUAAUUAAAAUAUAUUUAAUAAUAAUAAUGUUAAAUUAUCUUUUAUCGUAUCAUAUAUUAUGAUUUGAGUAAAUUCAUAUAAGAAUAUUAAUUUUUAAGAAUUUUACUAAAUUAUAUAUUUUAAUUAUAAUAUAUUUAAUAAUAAUUAUGUUAAAUUAUAUUUUAUAGUAUCAUAUAUUAUGAUUUGAGUAAAUUCAUAUAAGAUAUUGAUUAUUAAGAAUUUUAUUAAAUUAUAUAUUUUAAUUUAAUAUAUUUAAUAAUUAUUAUGUUAAAUUAUCUUUUAUAGUAUCAUAUAUUAUGAUUUGAGCAAAUUCAUAUAAGAAUAUUAAUUAUUAAUAAUUUUAUUAAAUUAUAUAUUUUAAUUAUAAUAUAUUUAAUAAUAAUUAUGUUUAAAUAUGAUUAAAUUAUUUAUUAUUGAUAUUAUUAAUCUUAUUAAAAUUUAAAUAACAAUAACAAUAAUCAUUUACCCAAACAAAUUUAUGCUAAUGGUAUUCUAGUCAUUUUAGUUUUUUUCCAUUAUGCUAUUACACCUCUAUUCCAUUCAACCAAACACAAGAAUACUAUUACGCCUCUAUUCCAUUACGCCUCUAUUCCAUUCAACCAAACAAUUGAUUUGCUAUUACGCCUCUAUUCCAUUACACCUCUAUUCCAUUACGCCUCUAUUCCAAUACAGCGAACCAAACGUGCUGUAAGUGUUUACCAACCUUCUUUUAGUUAAAUUAUGCAAGCCUAAAAUUUUCAGCUUUAUUUGAGUACGUUUUCUAUGUCUAAUUCAAGUUUUAUUAUUAAGGACUAAAUUGUAACUUAAACAAAUUAGAAUACCAAUUUAAAGAGACAAAAUUCAAAACCCCAAAACCCACACGGGCAUGUGGGUAAGUGGCACGGGCCAGUGGAGACUGGAGCUAUCACAUAAGGCGAGUGAGAUUGAAACAUAUGAAAUAAAUUAAUCCACUUAAUUUUCCAACAACCAUGCUAUACUACCAAACCAAAUAACGAGUGAAGCUUUGAAUAGGGGCGAAUCUAAAAAAAAAAUUAGAAGAAUUAGAAUUAAAUUAUAAAAUUUUGAGAAGUUAUCAUGUAUUAAUUUAUUAUUUUUUUAAAGGGUCCUAAUAGAAUUUUUUUCCCAUUCUGGUUGGGCCAAUACCUUUGACUGCCUCUUUAAAUUUGCUUCAACCCUAAACCCAAUAUUCGAUUUGGAUUAACAACAAUAUAUAGGUUUGUAUUUGUGGGAGUUUGACGAAUAAAAAUUUCUAUUUAAAAGGUUUAAAUUAUAAAUUUUUGAAAGUUUAAAAUAAAUUUGUAUUUUUUAUUAACAAAAUAUAAAAGAAAAAAAACAUGUUUAGACAAGACAAGAAACCUUGGGAUCAUACGGGUGAUUUUGAUGAUGUUAAUGGUUAUUUUGGUGGAGAGGGUAAACACGAAACAAAUGAUUCAUUAUAUAUAAUAUAAUUAUGAAAUUCAAGCCAUAUAUUGUACUUUUGGUUUUUCUGCAAUAUGAUACAUGUAUUUGGUAAAAAGUUAUAUAUUUUGAUACUUAAAAGUAACAUUGUUAAUUUUUUUAGUGCUUAAUCUGAAUUUUAGAGUUUAUUUAAUGAACAUUAAUUGUUAAUAUUGUUAUGUUUAUUUUUUUAUGAUUUUGUUAAUAAAAUAAAUUUUAUGUUUAUCUUGUUAUCUUUUUUAUUUUAGAAUUGAUUACAUGAAAGUUAAUUGCUAAUAUUAUUAGUUAACUAUUAGUUUUCUUCAAAUCAAAUUAAAACCCGAAAGAUCCCACUUUUUUUUUAUAUUAGUUUUAGUUAUCCAUUAAAUUUGUUUCUUUGUAAUAAAAUUAAAUUAUAGAAAUAACAUUAAAAUUUUAAAUAAAAUUAAUUCACAAUAAUUAUACAGAAUUUAAUUUUCUUUCAAAUACUGCAGUUAAUAAGGAAAGUGAAUAUAGUAAAAAGAAAUAUUGUUUAAUUAGUUAAUUUAAAAAUCAAUAGCGUCUAAAAACUGUCAGAAUGGAAUAUUAGAUUUUAUAAGAUUUCAUUAUUCUAAAAAAUAAAAUAUGACAAUGCUUAAAAAUUUUAUCAAAAAAGUUUUAAAUUUUAUAUAAAAUUUUAAAAAAUAAAAAAACAGUAUUAAAAAUUUUUAUAAGCAAAUUAAAUAUUAAUUAGUAAAUUAUUUUUGUAAUAUUUAUAUGUAUUUUCAUUUUUAUAAAUACUAUUAAAACUUUUUUUAAAAAAAUUGAAUGCUAUGUAAAAACAUUAUUAAAAAUAAAAUAUUAUAUGAAAGUUAAAAUGAUGUAAAAACAUAUUUUCAGUGUUGGCGUUGCUCGUUCGUAAAUGGGUUAGUUUCCGUUUUGAUGUGUUUUUACGUGGAUAGUAAAAGAAAUGUGUUAAUUUUUGGAUUAUGGAGUUGAUCGUUUUUAAUCAAUUCUCCAGUAAGUUGACUCGUUUGUUGUUGUUAUGUGCUAGGAUAAGAGAUUAAUUCUGAUUUGGGCCUGUGUGGUUGUGUAGAUUUUCCAUGUGAAAUCGUUUGGUAUUUUUAGGAUAAAUCAUUCUUUAAAUCGUAUUGCUACCAUCGCGAAUGUGAUGUUUUAAUUUAUGCAUUUAGGAUCUGGUAGUCUUAUAGGUGUUUUCGCAUAAAAAAUUGAACCAUGUGUGUAACGAAAGCUAAAAAAUUGCACUGUUGACGCCACACGGCCAUGUGACAAGUCGUGUGCUGGAUCAUGUGUAACACACGAUUUGAGCUAGUUGAGCCAUGUGGAAAACAAAGGUGUGUGUGAAGGCGUGUGCCACACCAUGUGGGCCACACAGGCUGGCCAUUUAGGCCGUAUGGGACCAAAAUUCUAAUUUUUUUCCUAGGGUUAUACACAGUGUGUAUACUUGUCUUUGAAUUGAAAAAUUCUAAACAACUCUAAAUAAAUGGAAAGCAGCAAAUUACCUGACGAGGCAAGCUAGGUCAAUUACGACCAUUGUGUUAUUCUUGUCUCUGAAUUGAAAAUUUUAGAAGAAACUAAAGAGAAAGUGUUAGAAAAUAAUUGAAAACAGAUAAAACUUAUGUCUCAUUGAUUGGAUAAACUACGAUCACCCAUAAUAGACCUUGUACUUGACUUUUUGUUUAGGGAGAUUGACUCUUUUAGGAGAAGUCUUUUGAGUGUUGUUUGCUAGGCAAUCGGUGCUGCCCUCAACAACUAAUGGUAGUGUCCCCAUGUUGGGAUUUUAUCCCCAGCCUCUGCGGAAUAAUCAUUGAGGAUAUGUGCGUAGGGAUUCAAACUACCAAUCAAUGCAUGUGUAGCCUUUACCUUGCAACCAUCUCCAUGAACCCAUAGGGUUCUUAGCGGGAUCAAGAGACGAAACCCUAAUGUGGGAACAAUACCAUUUGUUGAAGGCUUUGUUAAUAGGGUCACACCUAGGGGAGUUGGCAGGGGUCCCAACCCCCCUUAAAAUGAAAAAUUUUCCAUUUAGGCCCUUUAAAAUUUUUAAAAUUUUAAAUUAAUAAAAGUAAAAUUGUACUUUGGCCCCCCAAAAAGUGAUAAAACUUCGAUUUAGUCCUCUAAAAAUUAUAAAAUAUAGGCUAUUAAAAUGGUGAAAUUGCAUUUUUACUAUCAUAAAAAUUAUAAUUUAAUUUCACCCCCUAAAAAGAUUUUCUGGCUUCGCCCCAAAUAAAAUCUUUGCCAAAAGAUUAAAAUAAAAUUAUACCGUAAAUGAAAAAAUAAACUAAGAAAAUCCAAUCUAACAAAGAAAAUAACUUGAUGUCCAAAAGCUACCAUGAACCGUAAUUCAUGGGAAGUCUUGUUGCUCAUUUUAUUGGUUUCCAUUUUGAUUUUGCAAAAUAAGUUUGAAUUUUGAAGAGAGCCUACUACGUGAGAGCAAAAGAAAAAAAUUCUAUAAAGAUUUUGAAUUUUGAAUUUUGAAUUUUGAAUUUUGAAUUUUGAAUUUUGAAGCAGAUUUUCAUUAAGAUUGAAGAUUCCUAAUUGAUUUCUUAGGAGAUUAUCAUGAGUUCCUUAUUUCUUUCAGUUAUAUUGCCCUUUGGAUUUUUUAUUUUUAAUCAUGAACUACUUUUCUAAAUACGUAAGAGAGAUGAACCCUAUGAUAGAUUGUGACACCCCAAAGCUGACCGGGAUAGACCGGCCUGAAUUCAAAGCAUUACAUUAGCCACCUAAGGACCACUCAAGACACACCCCGACCUUAUAACACCUCAAUCUUAUCUAAUUACUAGUUAUUUAUUAAUGCCGAAGUAAAUUAUGAGCCAAUUUUAAAGUUUUCCUAGGUAAUUUAACCUAAGGGCAUUUACAUCAUUUUAUGACCUAUGGUAAAACUAACCUAGAAAUACCGAAAACAUUCCAAAAUAAUAUAAAAAAAAAGCUAAGAAAAACCUAGAAAUACAAAAAAAAAUUCAUGUUUUUACAAAUUGGGAAAUACCUAAAUUUGUUUUUAUCAAUUAAGAAAUUAAAAAAAUUGUUGAGAAAUAUCUUUUUAGUGAUUGUUAGCUUUGACAAGUUCUCUCCACCACUUCUCUUACGCUCCUUCCAGGAUCUUGCUUUUUGUGUGUUGAAAACUCAAAUGAACAAAAUAAAGUGAAUUUACGAGUUUUGUUUUCUUUUAAAAAUAUUUUUAAUAUUUUUGUGGAUACCAAGAGAUACCAAAAAUUAUUUCACUAAGAAGUUUUAAUUCACUCGAAAAGUUAGUGUUUUAUUUCAAGGGGUCAUAAUUAAUCAUUAGAUUUCUCAAUUUUAAAUUUUGAAUUUUUGACAAUUGUGUAAUUAAUAAGUACCAAUUUUGAGUGGUGUAGGGCUAGUACAAUCUCCCUUACACAUAACCGACUCUUGAUCUAAUAAAUAUUUAUCCUUAUACUUUGAUCUAAAUAUUUUGAUGUAAUCAAUGUAAAAAACCUUUUAAACAAAAUAAGGUUGAAAUAAUCUAUUUGUCUUUAUACUUUGAUAAAAUUUGGGAUUUAGUCCUCAUACCUAAUGUUGACACCAUUUUUUUGUGAAAACGGGGUUGACUUGGAUUUUGUAAACGAAAACGAAAACGGGGGUCGCCACCAAUUCUUUUUGAUAAGGUGUGAUCGGGCCACCUUGAAAAGUGGUUGUUUUUAAUAAACAAUUUAAUUUUAUGAAAACAACGAUUUUGGUCCACGAAAUUCAGAAAAACAGGUUCGGGAGUCGGUUACGUACGAGGAAGGAUUAGCACCCUCAUAACGCCCAAAAUUGGUACCUAGUUGAUUAAUUAAUGUCUUAGUGUAGAAGAUUGAAAACUCUAAAGAGAUUUAAAACACGAUCCUUUACUGAAAUGAUAAAAAUUUUCGGCAAAAAGGGCAUAUUUCACAUUAAUCGAGAAAGAGAAUUAUAUCCAAUAAGUUAGAACACAAUGUCUUGAAUUCCGAUGCGCGAAUGAAUACCAAAAAUUUACUUAUUUAAAAGAUAUUUAACUAUCUCGGAUUUAAAAAAGGGAUCAUGCCCAGUAAGUUAGGACACGAUCUUUUCUUAAUUCCCGAGAUCGUUUAAAACUUGAGAAAAAAGGGAUCAUGCCCAGUAAGUUAGGACAUGAUCUCUUCUUAAUUCCCGAGAUCGUUUUAAACUUGAGUUUGAAAAGAUUCGUGUAUUUAAAUUUAUUGUGAAAAUUGAAACCCCGUAAGUUAGGGUACGACCUUCUCGAAUCUAAACAUGAGAUUUUGCUUAUUCAAAAAAUCAUAAUUUAUGCAUUGAAUAAAAUUAAUCUAACACGAAAUAGUAGAAAUGCAACACGGUGUCAAUAUGUGUAACAAGACAAAAAUGAAUAUGAUAAUGUAAGCAUAAAUAGUACGAACGACAUCGUAAAUGAGAUAAAUAAUAGGAGAGACAAAUCCAUCAUAUCACAACAAAUAAAUAAAUGCAAUAUUAAGACAUUCUUUUCAAAUGAUAAUGAACAUAUACGCAAAUAAACAAAUUAACAUCGAGUGAAACAAAAAUGCAAUAACGAAAUUAAUAAAACUAUAAAAAGUAUAAAAAUAUGUGUGUAUGUACGUGUAGGUAUGCAUUAUAAAAAUAUAUGUGCAUAUAUAUAUAUAUAUAUUUGAAAUUACAAAAUAUAAAAGAUAUAUAUAGGUAUGUAUAUGUAUGAGUUAUAAAAUAUAUGUAUGUAUAUGUGUACAUAACUAAAUUUGAAAUAAAUAGAUAUAGAUAAACAUAAUAAUAAUAUAGUAAGACAGAUAUAUUUAAUAUUUAAAUAAGUGAACAUAAUAAAUGGGAGUAUAAUAAAUAAUAAUAAUAAUGCAAAGCUAGUAAUAUGAUAUAAUGAUAUAAUAUUAAUGACUAAGUAAAUAUAAGAAGAAAAUAUUAAUAGAUAAUGUAACAACCCGGUUUUGACCCUAAUCGGAAUAGUGGUUUCGGGACCACAAAUCCGAACUAGAAAAAUAUUAUUAAUAUUAUUUAGUGUGUUUAUAUUGUGUGCAUUUGAAUGUGUGAAAUUUUCGUGUUUUAAUUUCAUCGUUUAAGUGUCCGAUUUAAUAAAAGGGUUUAAUCGCGUAAAAUGAAAAAUUAGGGGUUAAUUAUAAAAGCACCUAAUUGUUGUUGGCUUUAUAAUUUAGAGGUUUUACUAUGAAAUUAGUCCACUAUAUAAGUUAGUGGGUGGCAAAAGACUAAUGUAACCUUAUUAUAUAUGUUUUAUAUAUAUAUUAGUAAAGGUUAAAAUAGUAAAUUAAUUAUAAAGUUAAUAUAUGUUUAAUAUAACAAAUUAAAUGGCUAUGUUCUUCAUCUUUUGGCCGAAUGGGUGAGAAAAUAAAAGGGGUUUAAAGCUUUUUGUAUUUCGGCAGAUUCAAGCUUUGAUUUAGGUAUGUUUUUGCUUCGGUUUUUGAUGAUUUUUACGUUUUUGAGAUCGUUGCUUUGAAUACUUCAAAACCCAUGUCUUAAUUUUGUGAAUUGAUGAAUAUUUUGAAUUAUGUCAUUGAUGAAUAUUUGUGUUUUGGGAUGUUUGAUGAUGAAUAAUGGAAGAUAUGUCUUAGAUUAACAUGUUUUGUAUUGGUAUUUUUGAUGAAUUUGAGUAUUUAGGGCUAAAUUGUGAAAAUAAAUUUUUGAGGGAUUAAAAUGUGAAAUAAAUGCAAUGUGUGGACUUGUAUGAGAACCAUGAAUAUUCGGCCCUUGUGUGGUAUGGGCAAAUUUUGUGUAUUUUGUGUUUUGUGCAAAAAGGACUAAAUUGCAAAAAGUGCAAAAUGUUAGGGGCAAAAUGGUAAUUUUCACAUUUAUGUAUUGAUGGACUCAAAUGAAUGUUUUGAUGAAUAAGAAGGUUAAAUUUGACUAUGUUUAGAUCAAGGAACGAAGAAAACGAAUUUGGAUCGGGGGAAGUCGAAAGUAAUCGAAUAGUCGAUCGUGUUUGCUGAUAUCCGAGGUAAGUCUAUUAGCAACUAAAAGUUAUUAAGUUAAUAUUUAUACAUGCAUACUAAUUUUAUCUUAUGAUUGAGCUAUAAUUUAAAGUAUAAAAGUUGAAUAAACUUUGGACUAUAGAUAUUGUAUAUAACAUGUUCGAAUAUACAAGUAUGAUCUUGUAUAAAUUAUUGGAUUAAUCAAAGAUAUGUAUAAGAUAUAUGUAUAUACAUAUAAGGUUUGAAUGAUUAUAUGAGUAUGUAUAUAUAUGUAUAAACUCUUGGAUUUGAUUUGUGAUAUGUAAUUUAUAAUUGUAUAUAUAUAUAUAUAAAGUCGAAUAAGCAUGCAAUUAUACAUGUAUGUGUUGUGUAUUGAAUUUAGAUAUGUCAUUAUAUAAGUAUAUGAGGAUUGAUUGUGAAUUUAUAUAUGUAUAAGUUUUUGUUUUGAAAUUAAGUAUGAAAUUAUACAUUCAUAUGGUAGAUUCGAAUAUGUAUAAAUGCACAUGUAUAAUUUCUUGAAUUGAAAUUAGGUAUGGAAUUAUAUAUGUAUGUGAAAGUUUCGAUUUGUAUGUAUAUUCACGUAAAAUUUUUUGAAUGGAAGUGAAGAUAUGAAAUUAUUAGUUUGGAUCAUUAUAAAGUGAUUGAAUGUAAUACAGACGUUACGUCUAGCAGGCUUGAUGCCGGUGAAGUAAUUCAGACUUUAAGUCUAGCAGGCUUAAUGCCGGUGAUACAUUUCAGACUAUAUGUCCAGCAGGCUAAGUGCCGGUGUACUGAAUCAGGCUUUAAGCCUAGCAGGCAAAAUGCUAGUGAAUCUUUUUAAAUUAUGUGAGAAUAUGCAAUUGAUAUAUCUAUGAUUUUGAUUAUACGAAAUAGAUGAAUACAUGAACAUUCGGUUUUUUUUUAUAUGCCUGGUGAGCUUACACCUACAUUCGGGUUUUAUAUUGGUUAAACAUAAUUGUAUGGAUUCGGUAUAUACAAUUAAUAAAGGCAUAUGUACAUUAGGUAUAUGCGAUUGCUGAAAUUAUAAAUGCAUAUGGUGAUAUGUGAUUGUUAAAUAUACACGUUGAGCCUAUGUGUUCGAUAAUUAAUUAUGUAUGCAAUUGAGAUAUGUAUAUAUAUACAUGUACUCAUUUAUAGGUAUAUAUAUUCGAAUGUAUAUACUAGCUAUGUAUUCAGGUAUAAAUCCAUAAUGAGUAUAUAUAUAUACAAACGAAUAUAAAAUGUGAUUGAUACAUAUGUGUUAGAUUCGAAUUGAUUUAAAGUUUACCAUGAGUAUACAUACACAUUCGGUUAAGAUAUGUGUAUAAUAUAUAUAUAUGCUCGAUUGUAUACAUUGGGUUGUAAUGUUGUUUUGUAUAAUAUAUAUUCAAUUGAUUUCAUUCGACAGGUAUACAUAUCUGACUAUAAAUAAAAUGGUCUGAGUACAAUAAUGUAUGAAUGUUAGUUGGUCGUGUUAGUUGAAAUUUCAGUAAAAUAGAUUAAAAGGUUAUAUUAAUUAUGUGUUUAUAUAUACAUUUAGUUAUGCUGUAGACUUACUAAGCUAUAAAAGCUUACUUCAUUUGUUUUCGUUCAUUUGUUUUUAUAGAUUUUGGAGACGCGUUACGAGCUCGGGGAUCAUCAGCAUAGUCCAUCACACUAUCGACUUCUUUUGGUAUUUUGUUAAAUAUUUGAACUCGAUCUUAUGGCAUGUAUAGGCUUGAUAAUGUUUUGGUUAGUUUUGGAUCCUAAUAUGUAAAUAGUCAUGCGAAAAGGGUUUAAUUUCCAUGCUUGAAUUUGACUACAUAUGAUCAUGAUUUGGGCUUGCAUUUGAAUGAGAUAUUCAAGUUACAUGUAUGUUAUAAAUUUUGGAUUAUGUUAGGUAUUAAAGUCAUGUUUAUGUGUGCUUUGUUUCGUAAUGCCUCGUAACCCUAAUUCGGCGACGGAGACGGGUUAGGGGUGUUACAGAUAAUAGCUAGGUUAAUAAAAAAAACAAAAUGGACUAAUUCAUGAUAAAAAUUAAAUUUAAAGGUUCAAUCUAUAAUAAAAUAAAUAAAGUGGGUCCAAAAUGAAAAGGCACGAAAGGGCGGAGGGCCAAAUGAGCAAUAAACCCAAAUUCCAGGCCACGCCCAGGGGUCCAACGAAUUGAGGAACGAAUUGAAAACCGCAACAAACCUACGGUCCAAAUUACAAAACGAGGGAAAAAAGAAAAGGAACUAAAUCAAAACAAAUCGAUAAUGCGGAGGGGCCAAAGGAGCAAAUAACCCAACACUUAACAAUGCACGGAUCCUCUGGUCGGGUCGAGUCGACGAGUGGAUCUGGGGGGCAAAACGACGCCGUUUUGGUACCUGGGAGGCCUGCCCAAAACGACGUCGUUUUAGGGCCUAUAUAAGUAAAAAAACAUAAACAAAAAAAUCAUUUUAAAUCCAUUUCAGAAAAAAAAAACUUUCCCUUUUUUAUUUUCUCUCUAGCCCCACUCCCUUCGAUCCAGACUCCGACCGAUGGCCGUCGCACCGCCCACCGACCACCGGCGACGGUGCCGCCCACUGACCACCGAUGACGGCGCCGUCGUGCACAGUUGUCGGAAAGUUCAAAACCCCUUUUUCUCUUCUCUUUUCGAGUAAAGUACCUAUUUGGGUUUAAGACAUCCCAAAAGUCCUUCAAAAUAAAAAAAGAAAGAGAGAAAAAUCUAGAGACCUUUCGGUUUCUCAUCACCGCCGAUGGAGUUUUUGGCGAACCCGUUGGUUUGACCACCCCAAGACCGGAGGUACCUCCGUCCGCGGCAAUAAAGGUAAUAGAUUUCUCUUUUUAUUUACUAUUAUAUUUAUUUUCGAAAUAAAUAAAUAAAUAAAAAUAUAAAAGAGGCACCUUUGUUUUUUCCAAAUCUGUUUCAAACUUUUUUAUUUUCGAAAAAAUCCCAAAAAUCCCCAUGAUUACAUUGAAUUUGUGGCUUUUAUAGCCCAAUGCAUAUUUUCUUUUUUCUUUUUGUUUAUCACUGCUUCUCUGCUAUUUGUGCUGUUGUUGCGUGUUUUUUUCAUGUUUUGCAGGUCUUGACGGAGCAGGUGGGCAGGUGGCAGAGCAAGUGGCGGUGGGUGGUGUCAGAGGUGGCAGAGGCAGAAGGUGACGCCAGAAGAUAGGAACCCCUAGGUGUGGCGCACCUAGGGUUUGACAUUGUUGUUUUUUAUUUGAUUUUUUGGGCUAGGUUUAGACAGUUGGGCCUGUGCAUUUUGCUUCGGGUUUGGGUUUAAUCUCGUUGGGCCGGGUGUAAUUGUGUUAGUUAGGCCGGGGCAUAAAUUGGUUAUUACACCUAAAAGGUUAAAAAUUAAGUCUUCUUAUUUUUUUUUAAAUCUUAGUCCUACCGUUAAUUUUUUUUUGUCAAAAUUUGUUAACUUGACAUAUUAAUUAGGUUUUCCUUAUAUGUCGUGGUAUAUGACCAACACAAAAUUAAACAAGUUGACAAGUUCUGACAAAAAAUAUCAAAGAUGAUAAUAAUUUAAUUAAAAUUUUUAAAUUGAAAAAGUAAGGGAUUAAAUUUAUAACUUUUGAAGUGUAAAGAAUGAACUUAUUGAAAUACAAGAACUAACAACACAUUUUAAAAUAUUACUAGUAAAUUAUAUAUCUACAACGUAAGCUCUUAUAUUAUAUUCUUGUAUCUAUUUUGUAUCUUUCAUUAUAAUAUGAUUUAUUAAUUUUAAUAUUUUUAUAGAAUAAUAUGCUUUAAACUAUUUUUUGUAUAAUUUAUAAAAAUUAUAAUAAACUUGCAAAAUGAUUUAAUGAUAUUUAAUUAUUAAUGGAAAAAAAAAUGAUAACAUAUAUAUUCUGUAUAUAUUAAGAUUUUGAGUCAUUAAUUAUAUAUCUACACAUUAUAAUAAAUUCAUCUUUCAAAAUGUUCCUUAUAAUUAAAGCAUAAAUUAUAUUUAUAAUAUUAUAAAUAUAUUAUAUCAUAAAUAUUCUUUCAAAUAUUUUUUAAUGUUUAAUAAUAAGUUAAUUUAUAAAAUAUUCUUUCAAUAAAUUAACGUGAUGCGAUCGUUAGGUGCUUGGAUUUGGUGAUGGGGGAUGAAGAGAAAAGGGAUGGAAGUGAAGAAAAAUGUUGAGAAAUGGAAAGGGUUAGCAAGGGAAGCUGCCAUGAAAGUUGGUUCUAUGGAUAUGAACCUUCAAGCUUUUGUGGAUGAUGUUACUCAAGGUUGUUGGAAGUAAAUUUUAAAAAAAUUGAGGUAAAAUUAAAAAAAUGUUAGAGCUAAAUUUGUCAUUAUGACUAAAAUGUAAAACCAAAAUUUUUUGAAAAUAAAAAAAAAUGGAAAAUAACAAAUUCUGUCACUCAUGUUUGCUUAAAAUAUAGUUUUGGUCACCAAUCUUUUGAAGUAAAUAUAUGGUCACCAAUAUUAUCCAUUUGUUACUCUGCAAUAACUCACCUCUAUGAAAUUUGGCAGGCCGUGUCAAUUUUGUAGAUUUGCGCUCUGAACUGUGAAAAAAAUGCAAAUUUUAGGUUAUUCAAGCAUUUUAAUACGUAUAUAUGAAAAAAAGAAGAAGAUAGGAGAGAACCUUCCUAGAAUAUUUAAGAAAAUAGCUCCAAAGACACUAUUGAAGUCAACUUUGAAGCAAAUUUUCAUCAAGAUUGAAGAUUCCCAGUUGAUUUCUAAAGAGAUUAUCAUGAGUUUCUUUAUUUCUUUCGGUUAUACUGCCCUUUGGAUGUUUUUAUUUUUAAGCAUGAACUAAUUUUCUAAAUACCUAAGAGAGAUGAAUCCUAUGGUAGAUUGUGGCACCCCAAACCCAAUCGGGAUAGACCGGCCCGAAUUCGAAGCAUUACACUAGCCACCUAAGUGACUCUCCAGCUAACGACCACCCAAGACACACCCUGACCUUAUAACACCUCAAUCUUGUUUAAUUAUUAGUUAUUUAUUAUUGCAUAAAUAAAUUAUGAGCCAAUUUUAAACUUUUCCUAUGUAAUUUAACCUAAGGGCAAUUUUGUCAUUUUACCACCUAUUGUAAAACUAACUCGAUUUUAGAAGUUUUUACCAACCUUAUUUUAGUCAAAUUAUACAAGCCUAAAUUUUUUAGCUUAAUUUGAGUUUGUUUACUAUGUCUAAUUCAAGUUUUAUUAUUAAGGACUAAAUUGUAACUUAAACAAAUUAGAAUAUCAAUUUAAAGAGAAAAAAUUCAAAACCCAAAAACCCACACGGGCAUGUGGGUAAGUGACACGGGCGUGUGGAGACUGGAGCUAUCACACACGGGUGAGUGGGAUUGAAAAAUAUGAAAUAAAUUAAUCCACUUAAUUUUCCAACAACCAUGCUAUACUACCAAACCAAAUAACGCUUGAAGCUUUGAAUAGGGGUGAAUCUUAAAAAAAUUAAAAGAAUUAGAAUUAAAUUAUAAAAUUUGAGAAGUUAUCAUGUAUUAAUUUAUAAUUUUCUAAAGGGUCUUAAUAGAAUUUUUUUUUUCCCAUUUUGGUUGGGCCAAUACCCCUACCUCUUUAAAUUUGCUUCAAUCCUAAACCCAAUAUUCGAUUUGUUGUGGAAGUUUGAUGCAUAAAAUUUCUUUUUUUAGAGGUUUAAAUUAUAUAUUAUUGAAAGUUUAAAAUAAAUUUGUAUUUUUUAUUAACAAAAUAUAAAACAAAAAAACAUUUUUAGACAAACCAAGGAACCUUUGGGAUCAUACGGAUGAUUUGGUGAUGUUAAUGGUUAUUUUGGUGGAGACAAGCCAAGAAAAGAAACAAAUGAUUCAUUAUAUACAAUAUAAUUAUCAAAAUUCAAGCCAUAUAUUGUCUGUUUCAUCCAUAAAAAUUUCAUGGGAGGUCCAAAGGUAAUUAAAUGACUUGUAGGCUUGCUGAAUUUCUUUGAAAGGCCCAAAGGCAAUUUAACACUCACAAAAUAAUCUCUAAAUACUGUAAAGACAAAUCAAAUCCACAGCAGCAUUAGAGUUGAUUAAGCUAAGCAUUGGCAAAUAUUACUUUGAUUUUGCAUGCAAUAUCGGCAAAACCCCCCUCUUACAUUAGAAAAAACAACAUAAUCCAUGUAACAUUGAUAGCCCAAUACAAAUUUCAUCAAGAAAAAAGUCUCUUUGUUUUGUAGAACAUGAUAGUAAAGAUGUGGAGUUUCAUUCUUCUUAUUGGCCUCCUUUAGUUUUCCUUGAUCAACAACCACUAGCCAAAAACACAAUUAGAUUAGAUUAUGAAUGAUACUUUCAACUAUGACAAUAUUAAAUACAAAACACUCCAAAUAACUCUAAAUAAAUGGAAAGCAGCAAAUUACCUGACGAGGCAAGCUAGCUUAAUUAAGACCAUUGUAUUAUACUUGUCUCUGAAUUGAAAAAUUUAGAAGAAAAUAGAGAAAAAGACUUAGAAAAUACUUGAAAACAGAUAAAACUUAUAUGUCAUUUAAAAUAAAAAAAAAUUAUUUAAGCUGUUUAAAAUUUUUAAGAUUUUUAAAAUUUUAAAAUGAUAAAGGUAAAUUGUACUUUGGCACCCCUAGAAAUGAUAAAACUUUGAUUUAAUCCUUUAAAAAUUAUAAAAAUAUAGGCUAUUAAAAUGAUGAAAUUAUAUUUUUACUAUAGUAAAAAUUACAAUUUAAUUUCACCCCCUAAAAAGAUUUUCUGGCUUCGCCCCUAAUAAAAUAUUUGGCAAAAGAUUAAAAUAAAAUUAUACCGUAAUUGAAAAAAGAAACUAAAAAAAUCCAAUCUAACAAAGAAAAUAACUUGAUGUCCAAAAGCUACCAUAAAUCGUAAUUCAUGGGAAGGCUUGUUGCUCAUUUUAUUGGUUUCCAUUUUGAUUUUGCAAAAGAAGUUUGAAUUUUGACGAAUACCGACAUAUUAUAUAUAUGACUAAAAUUCCAGAAUAGGUUAAAAAUGUUGAAUUAAAGAUGAAAUUAAGUGUGAAUUAAUAACCACAAGUGUACUCAUUACUCACCAUCUCUGUUAAAAAUGUUGGAUGUUGUUUAGCAACCUUUGUUUGAUUUUCUUCAGCUCAACCACAACAUCUUUCAUAUCUUUUCUUUCUUCUGGUAACUCAGCUGAACAAUUCAAAGCCAACUCCAUGAUAGAUGAAAUACAAUUUGCUUUAACAACAAUGUACUCAUCCUCUCUUCUUAGUAAAUCAACAUCUGCAAUUUCUAUCGCUCCUUUAGGCAAUGAACUUUCCAUCCAAUGCCUUAUAGUCUCUUCUUCAACAAAAACAUUAUCAGAUGGCUUUUUCUUUGUGAAAGUUUCUAUAAGGACGAUCCCAUAACUAUAGACGUCAGAUUUUAUAGAAACAAUUCCUGCUGAUCCAAAUUCUGCAUUUCAAGUAUAAUUAGAACAUCAUUCAUCCUCAAUUAUUUCUAAAAUGCUUAUUCUAAUAUCUAUCCAUAUACACAUGAAACAAAAAUAUAAAAUUCAAAUUAGGAAAAUAAUCAUACAAAAAUAAAAAAGAAUUCACCUGGUGCCAUAUACCCGAUAGUUGCAAGAGUCAUGGUUUGCUUCAUUACUUCACCUUCUCCCAACAAUUUGGCAACGCCAAAAUCUCCAACAUGUGCAACCAUGUCUUCAUCUAGUAAAAUAUUGCUUGGCUUUAUGUCACAAUGAAUUAUAGGUGUUGGAUGUCCAUUGUGGAGGUGUUCUAUAGCUAACGCAACAUCUAUCAUUAUGUCGACCCUUUGUAUGAUAUCAAGGAAACAAUUUUCAGAAUGUAACCAUUUCUCAAGGUUUCCAUUAGACAUGUAAUCAAGCACCAAGGCUUUGAAGUCAACACUUGAGCAGCAAGUAAUGACCUUCACAAUAUUACGAUGAACUAUAUUAAGCAUAGCAUCACAUUCAAUGUCAAAACUCCUAAAUGCUCCCUCUGUUUGCAAAUUGAAAACUUUUAUUGCAACUUCCAUUCCAUCUGAAAGCCUCCCUUUAUAUACAUAUCCAAAACUCCCUGAACCAAGCAUAUUGCUUUCCUCAAAUCCAUUAGUUGCUCGUGAAAGUUCAGCAUGUGAAAUUCUUCUCGGUGUUUUCAAAGACAACAAAUCAUCUUUAAUUGAUAGAGUUGUACUCCUUCUUUGGCAUCUUCUAUACAUAAUAGUUAAGACUAUUAGUACUACGACAAUGCCAAUUGUUGGUAAACCAUACCUAAAAGCAUGCAAUAUAAUCAUUUGGGAGUUUUUGUGGAUGUCGUUUUUGCAAGGUGGGACUUGCAAUCUAGGUGGACCACAAAGUGCAUAAUUCUUCAUGAAUGAUGUGCUAGAAAAGUUUGAAAAACAUCCUUUGCUGGGAAUUUCCCCUUCAAGUCUAUUGAAAGACACAUUAAAAUACCUUAGAUAUAUAAGUUUUUCCAAAGAUUUGGGAAUGACUCCAGAGAGAUUGUUAUUGCAUAAAUCCAAGAAUUCCAAACUAAUCAAUCCAGCAAAUGAUUCAGGGAUAUGACCAUGUAGUAUAUUAUUUGAUAAAUCUAAUGAAACCAAAGUUAUAAGACCCCCAAAUGUGGAUAAGAUAUCGCCCGUGAGAAGAUUCUUUGAUAAAUUUAGUUUCAGUAGACUCCUCAAAUUUCCAACAUCAAUAGCAUGUGAACUGUGAAGAUGGUUUGAUGAUAAAUCUAUUUCUAAGAUAUCUUUAAGAUUCCACAAAGUUGAGGGUAUUGUAGAACUCAAUCUGUUGGAAGCAAAGUAAAGAUAUCCCAAAGAAGUAAUAUUACCCAAACAAGAGGGUAUGGAUCCAUGCAGCUUAUUCAACCCUAAAAAAAAGUUGUAUAAUCUCUCCAAAUCACAAAGGCUUUCUGAGAUGGGCCCUCCUAAUUUAUUAGAGGAAAGACCUAGACUUUGGAGAUUCCGCAGUCCUCCUAUUGAUGUUGGAAUGAAUCCACUUAAUUUAUUAAAGCCAAGUUCUAAAACCACCAUGUUGCUUAAGUUACCUAUUUCCAUAGGAAUAAUGCCUUGAAGCUCACAAUUAGAGGCAUAAAAGUAUUGAAGGGAUUUUGAAAGGUUCCCAAUAUAAGUAGGAAGAACGUCACUCAAUGGAUUUCCUGAAACAUCUAUUGCGGUCAAAUUCCUACAAUUCGUCAAAGAAGAAAGAAAGCUCCACUCAUGAUCAGUAGCAGAUCCUGUGAUCAAAUUAUUGUCAUUGAUUUUGAGCACUUCAAGGUGUUUUAAGUUGCCAAGCAUUUUAGGGAUUGGGCCAGAGAAUAAGUUAUGUGACAAUUCUAGUUGCUUAAGCAUGGAAGCAUUGGAGAUAGAGUUGGGAAUGUUUCCGCUAAGUUUAUUUCUCCACAAUAAAAGAAUCUCAAGCUUUGGAGCAUUGGUGAUGGGUGGUAAAUUACCUGUAAAAUUGCAUCUUUUAGUAUACAUAUUCAUUGAAUACCAAAUUCACAAAAUAUAUAAGACAUUAAAAUAAAAACUGUAAAACUUUAAAUCAAUUAAGAAUAAAAUUUUGGCAUGGAAAAAUGUGAUGAAAUCAAUUAGAAAGUUGAGACAUAAUAAGAAGUUUUGAGUAGUAAUUAGUAAAACAUAUAAUACAUUAAUAAUUUUUAAAAUAUUGUAAAACUUGAAAUAAAAUAAAAAUAAAAGUUUGGCAUGAGAAUGUGGCAUCUAAUCAAUCUUAAAAAUGAGACUCACAUUGAAUAAUAAUUAGUUAUGAUUUGGGAAACAAAAAUGUUAAAGCCAUUGUUUUUAAUGUAAGCUGGUAUGACUUUUAUCUAUUGGGUUAAUUAUUUAUUUUUAUUAAAUUAUAGUGUAAAAUUUAAAUAUUAUUAUUUGCUUAAAUUUUUUGUAUUUUUCGUAUAUUUAAAAUUUAAUCUUUAUAUUUUUAUUUUCUGUGAUUUAGUCCCUCUACUUUUUGAAUUGAAAAUUUUAGGUUUAUUUAUUAACACCGUUAAAAAGUUUUUGUGUUAGUAUGGCAUUUUGAAAACUAAAAUAAACUUGAUAUCUAUGUUUUUAAUUAUUCCAAAUAUUGUUUUACUAUUUCAAGAUAAAUUAUUUGUGUCUAGACCAAUAUCUUAAGAACUAUUGUUGCAUAUUUAAUUAUUCUAAAGAAUUGUCGAUUGAAUCUUAGCUUGAUUGGCAUGUGCAUUGUUGCCAAUGUAGGAGAAUGUGGGUUCAAGCAUGCAUGCUGAAAUGCAUUAUCCUCCUAUUUAUGAAUUGGUAAAGUACUAAAUUUUGAUAUAUUUUAAAAUAUUAAAAAUUUAUUAAAAUAUUUUUUUAUAAAAAUUGAUUGUACCACAAUAUACAAUUUUAAUAUCAAAUUUUUAAUUUUUUUAAAAAAUAUUAGCGAAUAUGUACUUUAUUUCAAGUUACACAAUUUUUACUAGUUUUUAAAUUUUUUUAAUUUUUAUCGUCUUUUAUAAUUUCUAAUAAUUUUUUAUAAUUUUUUACAAUAUUUAACAAUUUCUAAAAUUUUUUAAUAAUUUUAUUAUUUAUUACAAAUUUAAAAAUUAACAAAUUUUUAAUCUUUAAAACAAUUAUAUAUUUAUAAUGUAGUUAUUUUUUUUAUAAUUUUAUUUGAAAUUUUAAAGAUUUUUUUGGUUUGUUUUCUAGAUUAUGAUGCCAUCAUAAUGUCAUCAUAUGCCACAUGGCAAUUUAUGAUUAGUUGGAUAUCUCAAUCUAUUUUUUUAACGUCCAAUGGACUAAGCCAAGAACACCUGACAAUGUUAGAGACUACACUACGAAUGUUUGAUAAUAUUACGUAUUAAAGUGGACAAAAAAAAUUAAGGACCAAAGUUAUAAAAAAAAAAAAAAAACAGCAAUCGGCUGCAGGGAAUAAACUGUGCAUUAAGCCAUUAAAAAUAUAUCUAUAAUAUAUAUAAAUGCAUGGAUUUUGAGAAACAUUUGAACUGAUAAUUACAUAGUCUUUGAUGUUUACUAUAUUAUUGAAUUUGUUAUUUUAAAUAUUUUUUUAUUACUUUUAAGAUUUAUCAUAUGUAUGGAUAAGAAUUUUGGUUUUACUAAAAUAUUUGGUUAAAUAAAUUCAUUUAAUAAGAAAAUUUAGCAUCCUUAUAAAUAACAAUUUUGAUUCUAUUAAAAAUUAUUUUCAAAAAUAUAUAAUAAAAAUUUAAAAUUUAUAUUGAAUUACUUUAUACUUAAAUUAUUAUUAGAAACUUUAUCAUACACAUACGUGUAUGAGAACCAUGUAUUUAGAACAUAAAUUUGUUUUUUAAAGUAACUUAUGAUAAAUAAUGAAAUGUAUAAUUUGAAACUAUUUAAUAAUAACACAUGUCAUAUCUACCAUAUUAAAAUAAAAAUAGAUUAAAUUGUAAGUAAAACAUAAUUUAAACAUAUGAAUACAUCAAAUUAAGAAUACUAAAUGAAUACAGUUAUUUAUGAUGAUGUUGUUGCCAAUUCUUAAGUUGGUGCCGAGUUAAUUUGUGACAUCAUAAAUUUAGGUGAUAAAUUUAAGGUUUUAUGUAUUGAUGUGGAUUCAAAUAUCACCAUAAUUUUUUUAAAUAAAAAACUAAAAUACCCUCAAAUAAUAUAACUUAUAUUAAAUACGAAAGGGUAUUUUUGUAAUUUCUCUAACCGAGUUGGUGCCCGGUUGACUCAUGACACCAACUCAAUCAAAAGCUUCAAUAAUAAUAUAGAUAUUCACGGUAAAAAAAAUUACUUUAGUUCCAAAUAAUUAUAUAACAAGUAAAUUUAUAAUUGACGAAUAAAUUUAUAAAUAAUAUAUUUAUAUGAUCUAAUAUAUUAUAUUUAUAUUAAUUAUAUAUCAUCUACAAACUUUGAAGAUUAAUUUAUUAAGUAUCAAGAAAAGAAAAAAUGAAAUUUAAUUAACACUAAAUCAAUUUUUAGAUUUUGUACAGAUGAUUUAAUGAUGAUAAAAAAAAUAUUAGCACUAUUUUCGAAUUAACAAAAAAUUAGUGAUAUAUUUUAAUUAUAUUUAUUAUUUAUUUUUUAAUAAUUUUUUUAAUUAUAUGAAGUAAAAUUAUAUUGUAUACUAAAAAUGGUACAUAUACUUUAAUUAUACUUGAAAAUUUAUUAUAUAAAUUAAUAUAUUUUAAUUAUAUUUAACCAUUUGAAUAACAAAAUAAAAAAAAACUAAUUAGAAUAAUUUAUUUUUUAAAGUCUAAUGGAAAUUAAAAAAUUAAAAAUAAAGCAGUUCAUAUAAAACUUAUUGUUUAUUAUCAGAUUAAAAUGAUAAAAGUAUAUGACCAAAAUAAAAGAAACAAAUUCAACUCAAUGUUUUUGGAGUUUGGAAAAAAUUAAAGUUAAAAACAUACCUUCUAAUUUGUUGUUAAAUAGAUCUAUUUCUUCGAGCGUAGUCGAAUUAAAAAUACUUGAUGGAAUCUGACCUGCACACAUAGUCGAAAAUUGAAGUAAAAAACAUACCUUCUAAACUGUUCAACUAAAAAUACUUUAAGCAUAUUUUUUAGUAAACUGUGCAACAGGUGAUAUGAGAAUCUAUGUAUAUAAAUGUAUAUGUAUAUAUAUCGUUGUUUCAUUUUGUAAAAUAAAUAUAUUUUCCACAUUGGUUUCUUUUCUUCUACAGACAAAGGAUUUCUAAUGAUUCUUUUUUAUUUUUACUUAUAAAAUAGGUUAGUUUCUGCAAUAAUAAAAACAAUUUCUAAUGAUUAUUGUUGUUACCAGAUAACUAAUUUUCAUUCAAGUAAAGCCCUUCAAGCUUGGGAAAAUGUUGACACAUAUCAUUAGGCAAACUACCUGAUAGGCUAUUGUUGGAGAGAUCAAUGGUCUUCAGAGAAGAAAUGUUCGAGAUCGAAGUUGGAAUCUGACCUGUAAGGCCUUUAAUUUCUUUAAUAUUAAGCAUUUCCAAACUAAGAAGAUUACCAAUUUCCUUAGGAAUUUGACCUGCAGACAGUCAAAAAAUCAAUGUUUUUCAGCAUAUGUUUUUCAUCAAAUGAAAUAAAAAGUUCUUCCUUUUGUUAUCUAUUACAAAUCAAACUCUUUUAUAAAAAAAAAACUUUAAAUUCAAGAAAUCAAGGAAAUUGAUUACCUUCUAGAUUAUUAAACCCUAAAUAUAACUUCUGGAGUCGUGUUAGAUUUCCAAUACUUCUUGGAAUGAUACCCAUAAAUUGAUUAUAGGACAACGACAAAAUUUGAAGGUUGUUGCAUUUGCCCAUGCCAAAUGGAAUGUUACCAGAUAAUUCAUUCAAACUCAAGUAAAGCCCUUCAAGCUUGGGAAGAUGUUGACACAUAUCAUUAGGCAAACUACCUAAUAGGCUAUUGCUGGAGAGAUCAAUAAUCUUCAGAGAAGAAAUCUUGAAGAUGGAAGAUGGAACCUGACCAGAUAAUUGAUUGAAUCCCAAGUUCAAGAUCUCUAGAUUAGACAUGUUAACAAGUGUUUCAGGGAUUGUGCCUGUAAAGUUAUUGUUUUUCAUUUUCAGCCUUCGAACUCUUUGUAAGUUCCCAAGCCAUGAUGGAAUUUCCCCAUUCAGACGGCUGUAGCUUAAUUGAAGGAUCCUCAAACGAUGCAAUUGGCCCAAUUCUUUAGGGAGAUGGCCAUAGAAAUGGUUGCUACUCAAGUCGAGAGAGAGUAGAAAUGAAAGAUUUCCAAGGUGUGGAGGGAUAGUACCCCUAAGAUUCAUGCUUGUAAGAUUCAAAGCUAUAACUCUUUUAAGAAGGAUGCCACAAGAAACACCAAUCCAAUUGCAAACAGAGGUUGAGACUGUCCAAUUGUUUGGCAAGACAUUUUGAGGACCGACGAUGCGAUCCUUAAACUCGAGAAGUGCAAACUGAUCGGAGUUUAGAUUCCUGACUGUCAUAGCCAAGCAAAGUACGAAACAUGGUAUGAAUAAAGCUAAAAGAAGAUGAAAGCAAGUGUUGUAGUUCAUGAUUGCAAGACGGAAUAAGCCAAGAAAAUAAAAAAAAGUAGGAAAAGGGAAGUUGAGUUGAUAAAAUAGUUUGGAUGAUGAAGAAAAGCCCUGAGAGCAUGCUUUAAUAUGUUUCAAUCAUCGCACACUUGAUAAACUUGAUAAAUUUAAGACUACCCUAAAAAUUAAAAAGGAAAGCAAAGUUUUGAAGAAAUUUCAAAAUAAAUGUCAAGUCUUCUUCUUUUAAAAAUACGUACAAAGAAGCGAAUUUUCAAAAUUUCUACUAAAUUUUCUUCACAUUACUCCACAUAAUCCAUUAAAAAAACUUCAAAAAAAAAUAUUUUAUUAAUUACUAUAUAUUCUUUUAUUUUCAGAAUAAUAAUUGUUUAAAAUAUGCUAUUAGUCCCUGUAAUUUUAAAGUUAAAAAAAAUCCAAUCCUCCUAUUUUUCUAAUUUAAAAAUUCUAGUCCAAUCAUUUUUAAUUCCAUUAAAAAAUUUCACCUUAAUAGGUUUUUUGAUUAUCAAUCGUAUGCAACAUUAUAUGAAGGCAGUCUAAUCAGCAUAUAUCCAAGUUUAUAGAUUUUAAUAGAAAAUACUUACAAUCCUAAUGGUAGGACUAAGUUUUUUAAACUAGAAAAGUAAGAAGACUUAAUUUUUAACUUUUUAAGUACAAGGAUUAAAUUUUAAAUGUUGUCAAAGUACAAGGAUUAAAUUUUAAAUGUUGUCAAAGUACAAGCACUAACAAAAUAUUUUGAUCUAAUAAAUGUAAAUGAACUUUUUAAACAAAAUAAGGUUGAAAUAAUCUAUUUGUCGUUGUAUUUUGAUAAAAUUUGAGAUUUAGUCUUUAUACCUAAAAGGUUAAAAAUUAAGUCUUCUUGUUUUUAUUUAAAAAUCUUAGUCCUAUCGUUAAAUUUUUUUGUCAAAAUUUGUCAACUUUACAUAUUAAUUAGGUUUCCCUUGUAGGUCGUGGUAUAUGACUAACACAAAAUAAGCAAUUAAGUUGACAAAUUUUGACAAAAAAUAUCAAAGAUGAUAAUAAUUGGAUUAAAAUUUUUAAAUUGAAUUUAUAACCUUUAAUGUAUAAGGAAUGGAUAUCAAAUUUUUAUAGGAAUAAAGGGACUAACAACAUAUUUUAACCACAAAAUAAUAUGGGUGAUUAGAAUGAAUCUAAAAUUUUAUAGAAAUAAAAGAGACUAACAACAUAUUGAUAACUUUGAAAUCUCCUUCGAUAAUCCUUUUUCUACGUAGAAAAAGAAAAUUAAUUAGCAUCUAAAGUGUCAAUUAAUGAAACCUUCAAGAGAAAAUGUGAAAUUGAUUUACCAAACAAUAAUAUUCUAACUUAUAAUAUAUUUAAUUACAUUUAGUAAUUUGUCAAUCAAAACUUAAUUAACAUCCAUCAAUACUUUAUAUAUAAAAAACGCAAGCAUAAAUUACAGUUUAAAGUAAUUGGGAUCUCGAGUGCAACAAAUUCCUCCUUUUAUUAUUAAAUGUUUUAUUUUAGUUACUCUAAUCAAAACUUAAUUAACAUCCAUCAAUACUUCAUACAUAAAAAACGCAAGCAUAAAUGACCAUUUAACUCAUAUUUAACUUUGCAAGUAAACUUCACUAAUUAUAGAGUUAUAGUGUAAACUUUGAAAAUAUAAGUAAAUUUACCAUUUAACUCAGACUUAACUUUGCAAGUAAACUUAAAAUUUUAUUUAAUUUUGUCACUAAAUUUGAUUUGUUCAAUAUAGAUUUUGGUGACUUAAAACAAAAUUAAUAAAAAAUUAUUCUUUCGGAUAUCUUUUUAAUGUUUAAUAAUAAGUUAAUUUAUAAAAUAUACUUUCAUUGGGCACAGGCCUCCAAGCCGGUGAACCACUGAUCAAAUUAAUUUGGAGAUAUCUUUUUUCUGAAUAAAGUGAAUUUACCAGUUUUGUUUUCUUUUAAAAAUAUUUUUAAUAUUUUUGUGGAUAUCAAGAGAUACCAAAAAUUAUUUCUCUAAAAAAUUUUAUUUGACUCGAAAAGUUAGUGUUUUAUUUCAAGGGGUCAUAAUUAAUCAUUAGAUUUCUCAAUUUUAAAUUUUGAAUUUUUUCACAAUUGCGUAAUUAAUAAGUUCCAAUUUUGAGUGUUGUGGGGCUAGUAAAAUCUUCCUUACACAUAACCGACUCUUGAACCUACUCUUUUCUUUAGAAUUCAAUGCAGACCUCAAAUUUAUCUUUUGAAAAGAAUUUUAAAAUCUCUGUAUAAAAGGUGUUUCUUUUUGUUACCGAUCACAUUUAACAAAAAUUUAAAAAUUAUUAAAAAAUAAUUUCUUUUUGAAAUUUAAAAUGAUCUAAAAACAUAUUUUUAAUUGCUUUGGACCAUCUAUUGCUGAUUUCCUUAUUAUAUUAAGUGUUUGCAAUCACUCUUAAUAUAUUGUGCUUGAGUUGUGACAAAGCCGAUCGUCAACGUGCCAUAAUGAUCAAUUGACGCUGAAACUGAAGUUUUUGUUAUAUUGAUAGAGCUUGUCCUUCAACGCAUACAACGUGUUUGUUAUUUUUCUCCCUUCAAAUUGUAUGAUCUUAUUCAUUAAAUGAAUUAAUGAAUAUCCCUUUUAAAAAGAUAUAUUUUUAAAAAUUAAAUACUUCAUAAAAUAUUUAAAACCAUUUAAAAAUUUGUUAGCCUUAAAACAAUCAACAAAAUAUAUUUUUCUCUAAAAAAUCAAUAAAAAUAUGUUUGAAAUUUUAUAUGAAAUUUAAAAUUUUUUAACAAUAAUAUAUUUUAAAAUUAUAGUAACGCUACAAAAUAUAUAUAUUUACUAAUUAUAUACACCUUUUUUAUAUUUUUUCCUAACAUAUCAUUAUUUUCAACAUUAUCGUAAUCCUGUUUUUAUAAUUCCCUUGUCAUACAUCCUUUUUCUACUUAGAAUUUCAAAAGAAAAUGUGAAUUAAUGUAGACGUGAGAAGACUUCAAGGUAAGUCACCCAAUGAAAGUGACCUAAACCGACUUAUGGAAGAAUCAAACAAUAAUUUUGUGUCUUGUAAUAUAUUUCUUGUAAUAUAUUUAAUUACAUUUAUUAGUUUAUCAAUCAAAACUUAAUUAGAAUCCAUCAAUAUUUCACACAUCAAAAACCCAAACAUAAAAUUCACUUCUAAAUUAUUUGGGAUAUAUUUGUAUUAUAGGAAAUGGAUUAAAUUAGUCUUUUUAUUAUAAAAUGUAUUAUUUUAAUCUUUGUAUUAGGUAUGAAUGAUAUCUCCUAGAUUGAACCCAAAGCUAUUCUUGAAAGACUGAAAUUAGGAUUUAGAUGUGUUGAGAUGGAAAGUGACAACACAAUGUUGAUUGAAACUAUUUGUAAUGGGUUGGCUACAAUAAGUAGUGCUGUCGAAAUAAGACAGAUUCACGAUUAGUCUUCCAAAAAUUGGGAAGUCAAAUUUCGACAUAUUUAGCGGAAUGCCAAUAAAAUUGUUGAUUGCUUAGCUAAGGCAAAUGGAGGGGUAAUUGAGCAGCUGGUUAUCUUGGAAGAUCCUCCGCAUUAUGUGAGAUGCUAGCUUGAAGAAGAUAUUAACAGUCACUGGUCUGAUGAUAAUUUUCAUUUGGACUGAUGAGCGCUUAAUUUUCUAAGCUUAUGGUCAACAAAAAAAAAUUAAAUACGUCUAAAUUGUAAUAGAGUUAACAUUUAGUGUUUAAAAAAUAUCUUAAAAUUUAUUUUUUCCAAUUGCAGUUCAAUUCCACAAAUAUCGACGAUGAACCCGAACAUAAAAAUUACAAAAAAAAACACAUCUAUUAUCAAACCAACAAUCCAUGUCUAAACUUAAAUUAACAAAAUUCACCACGCAACCUGGUACACUAUUUUAUAUAUAUAUAUAUACUAGAUUUAUUCUAGAUGCACAUGUUUUAUUAUAUUUAAAAAUUAAAAUAUAUGGUUGACUAAGUUUUAGUUGAAUUAGUAUUUGUUAAAAAUAUAAUGUUGGUAAUGACAAUAUAUAGCAAAGAAAAUAGAAAUAGAAAAAUAAAGAACACACAUAUUUUACGUGGAAACCCUUUCGGGAAAAAACCACAGGCAAAAGAGAAGAAAAUUCACUAUGUCGAAUUCAAAUCAAUUACAAGAGGAGUAGACUAUGCCUAUUUAUAGGCUUGGAAACCUUAUUCUAAUAGGAGUGAAACUCUUUAUUCUAAUAAUAUCAAAUAGAUGGAGUUUAAUAAGGUUUAAAAAACCUUAUUCUAAAAUAAAAUAAAAGAAGUAUAAUUCUAUAGGGAUUUUACUUUUAUUUUAUUUUACCAUAGUAUUUAAUUUAAAUAAGGAUUUGGGUCACUUAAUUCUAACAAUCUCAACCUUGACACGAAUUCUUAAUGAACAAGUUCUUCAUCGCGAACUCUCAACGAACAAGUUUCUCCACCUCUUCCAUAAAACCCCUUAAGGGUUUAUUUUCAACAAUGAACACCAACCAAGUCUAAGCAGUGCUCAAACUUGGUUAUAGGAAGUGACUUAGUCAUCAUAUCUACAGGAUUUUCAUGAGUACUAAUUUUGCUCACAACAAUAUCACCACGAGCAAUAAUAUCACGAACAAAAUGAUACCGAACAUCAAUGUGUUUUGUUCUCUCAUGAAACAUUUGAUCUUUUGUAAGGAAGAUGGCACUUUGACUGUCACAAAAUACUGUAUUAAUUUGAAGGUCUUCAUUGAGUUCACUAAAGAGUCCGUUCAACCAAAUAGCUUCUUUGCAAGCCUCAGUAAUCGCCAUGUGCUCAGCUUCAGUGGUAGACAAAGCGACUGUAGUUUGCAAAGUGGCUUUCCAACUGAUUGCACAACCUCCGAUUGUAAAGACAGAACCUGUGAGAGAUCUUCUUCUAUCCAGGUCUCCAGCAAAAUCAGCAUCAACAUACCCAAUGACUCCAUCUCUAGUUCUUCCAAACUGUAAGCAAACAUCGGUAGUACCUCGUAAGUAUCUUAAAACCCACUGAACUACUUUCCAAUGUCUUUUAUCGAGAUUCGCCAUGUAUCUACUAACUGCACUAACUACAUAUGAUAAAUCUAGAUGUGAACAAACCAUGGCAUACAUGAGAGAUCCUCCUGCACUAGAGUAUGGAACAUGUGACAUGUACUCAAUCUCAUCAUUUGAUUGUGGAGACAAAGCUGAUGAUAGUCUGAAAUGGGCUACUAAAAGAGUACUAACAGGCUUAGCAUUCUGCAUAUUGAAUCUAGAAAGAACUUUCUCAAUGUACCCUUUCUGACUUAGGUACAAUUUACUUGCUUUUCUAUCCCUGAGAAUCUCCAUACCAAGUAUCUUCUUUGCUGGUCCCAAGUCUUUCAUCUCAAAUUCUUCACUUAGUUGGGCUUUGACCUUUCUUAUCUCUCAUUUAUCUUUCGCUGCUAUCAAUAUGUCAUCAACAUAAAUGAGUAGAUACACAAAAGAACCAUCAUUGUUUUUCUUAAAGUAAACACAACUGUCAAAGCUACUUCUUUUAAAAUCAUGAGAAGUCAUAAAGGAAUCAAACCUCUUAUACCACUGUCUUGGUGACUGUUUCAAACCGUAAAGAGACUUUUUUAGCAAGCAAACAUAGUCCUCUUUUUCUGAGACUGUAAAACCCUCUGGUUGUUGCAUGUAAAUAUCCUCCUCAAGUUCUCCAUGCAAAAAUGUAGUUUUUACAUCUAACUACUCAAGCUCCAAAUCAUGCAUGGCCACAAUACCAAGCAAAGCUCGAAUCGAACUAUGCUUCACAACUGGAGAGAACACAUCUGUGAAGUCCACUCCUGGAAUUUGACUGUAACUAUUUGCAACAAGCCUUGCUUUAUAUUUGGGUUCUUCAACUCUUGGAGUCCCCUCUUUCUUUUUAAACACCCAUUUACAACGAACAAUCUUUUUAACUUUGGGAAGUUUCACAAGAUCCCAUGUUUUGUUUUUGUGGAGUGAUUCUAUCUCCUCUUGCAUAGCAAACAUCCACUUUUCUGAAUCUUCACAACUAAUCGCCUUAGAAUAAUUAGAUGGCUCUUGGUUUGCAUCUAUAUCUUCAGCCACAUUUAAAGCAUAAGCAACUAGAUCAGCCUCAACAUACUUCUUUGGAGGUUUAAUUUCUCUUCUAGUUCUAUUUUUGGCGAUAGAGUAUUAUGGUGAAGAAGCAACUCUAUUUUGAAUUUUCGUACUGGCUUUAGUAGUCGACUCUGUUGUAGAUUCUAGAUCAAUCUGAUGCUCCACCUGCUUUAGAUUUUCUUUAUUGGAAGUCUUUAAGAGAUAACUUAGGUAGCAUAGCAGUUUCAUCUAAAACAUCUCUGCUAAUCACAACUUUUCUAUUUUCAGGACACCAUAACUUAUACCCUUUUACACCAGCUUUAUAACCAAGAAAAACACAUUUAGUAGAACUCGGUUCCAAUUUUCCAUUAUCAACAUGAGCAUACGCAGGACAACCAAAGAUUUUUAAAUUAGAAUAGUCAGCAAGAUUACCAGACCAUACUCUUGUGGAGUCUUUUUCUCAAUGGCAACGGAUGGAGAUCGGUUGAUCAAAAAACAUACAGUAGAGGCUGCUUCUGCCCCAAAAUGACUUUGAUAAGUUGGCAUUUGACAACAUAUAUCAAACCUUCUCCAUGAUCAUUUUGUUUAAUUUUUCUGCAAUGCCGUUUUUCUAUGGAGUAUGACGAACUGUCAAGUGUCUCACGAUCCCUUCUGACUUGCACAGUUUAUUAAAUUCAUCAGAACAGAACUCUAAGUCAUUGUCUGUGCAGAGGCAUUUUAGUUGCUUUCCUAUCUAUUUUUCAAUCAUGGUUUUUCAAGACUUAAAUGAGGAAAACACAUCACUUUUCCGCUUUAGGAAGAAUGCCUACACUUUUCUAGAAAAAUCAUCAAUUAAAGUUAGCAUAAGUAGCUCCACCUCUCGAAGGCACUCUGGAUGGCCCCCACAGAUCAGAAUGAAUAUACUCUAACGUUCCCUUCAUGUUAUGGAUUCCUCUGGUGAAUCAGACUCUCUUUUGCUUCCCAAAAAUGCAGUGCUUACAGAACUUCAGUUUGCAAAUUUCUUGCCCAUUAAGAAGUCCUCUUUUGCUCAAUUCUGCCAUGCCAUUCUCACUCAUAUGCCCUAGGCGCAUAUGCCAAAGUUUAGUAAUAUCAUCAUCUGACAAGGAAGAGGAUGAGACAGUUGCAUCACCAGUAACAGUAGAACCCUGCAAAACAUAUAACUUGGCAGUCUUUCUCUGCCCUUUCAUCACAAUGAGGGAACCUUUGGAAAUCUUCAAAACCCCACUUUCAACUGUGUAUUUGUACCCUUUUGAAUCAAGAGUACUCAACGAAAUUUAAUUUAUUUUUAAUUUUAGAACAUGUCGUACGUCAGUGAGUGUUCUGACAACUCCAUCAAACAUCUUAACUCUGAUUGUUCCAACACCUGCAAUUCUACAUGAAGCAUUAUUUCCCAUCAACACAAUACCUUCAGACACUAUUUCGUAAGUUGUAAACCAAUCCCGAUUGGGACUCAUGUGGAAGGUGCAACCCGAAUCAAGGAUCCACUCCUCGUCACUUUGGAAUUGUCGAUUGAAGUGACUAGAAGUUCACCAUCGCUGUAAUCUUCUACAACAUCAGCUUUACCAGAAUUUUCUAGUUGUUUUCCAUUUUGAUUCGCAGCCUCCCUUUUGAUCUUGUUCUGUAGCUUAUAGCACUCAGUUUUAAUGUGCCAUUUCUUCUUGCAAAAGUUACAAGUUUUACCUCUGUUUGAAGACUACUUUUAGAUUUACUGCGAGGAUUCCGUUCCUGUGUCCUUCCAUGAUCAUCAUCAGCAUUCCGAUCUUGUCUCCCAUGAACAAUAAGACCCUCUCCCCGAGAGUCGAUUUUAAGCACAAGAUGCUUCAUCUUAUCAUACGAGGUUAAAGAAUCAUAAACCUCAUCAACUGUGAGAGACUCGCGGUUAUAUAAAAUCGUAUCUCUAAAGGAUGAAUAAGAUGAGGGCAACGAACAAAGUAGAGUCAACCCUAGAUUUUCCUUAUCAUACUGAACCUCCAUGGCCUCCAAGUUUGAGAGAAUUUCUUUGAACACUAUUAAGUGUUCGUGCACAGAUGCACCUUCCUCCAAACGAUAAGCAUAAAGACGCUGCUUCAUAUGUAGCUUGAUAGUUAGAGUUUUCGACAUACAUAUCUAUUCCAACCUCUUCCAUAAUCCAGCAGCAGUCUUUUCCUUCAUCACAUCCUGCAAAAUUUUGUUAGACAAAUGCAGAUGUAACUGUGUUAAUGCCUUUCAAUCCUUGCACUUCUUCUUUUCUUUCGUCAAUGUUGAAGGCAUCUUAUCUACCCCUAGUAGGGCUUCCUCUAAGUCCAUCUGUGCAAGAACUGCUUGCAUCUUUAUCUGCCACAAUGCAAAUCUAGUAUUGCGAUCCAACAGCAGAAUUUUGUACUUCAAAGACGUUAUUACCGUGAUUGAGAUGAACAACCCAGAAGCUCUGAUACCAAUUUGUUAAAAAUAUAAUGUCGGUAAUGACAAUAUAUAGCAAAGAAAAUAGAAAUAGAAAAAUAAAGAACACACAGAUUUUACGUGGAAACCCUUUCGGGAAAAACCCACGGGCGGAGGAGAAGAAAAUUUACUAUGUCGAAUUCAAAUCAAUUACAAGAGGCGUAGACUAUGCCUAUUUAUAGGCUUGUAAACCUUAUUCUAAUAGGAGUGAAACUCCUUAUUCUAAUAAUAUCAAAUAGAUGAAGUUUAAUAAGGUUUAAAAAACCUUAUUCUAAAAUAAAAUAAAAGAAGUAUAAUUCUAUAGGGAUUUUACUUUUAUUUUAUUUUAUCACAGUAUUUAAUUUAAAUAAGGAUUUGGGUCACUUAAUUCUAAUAGUAUUGAUAUUAUUGUCAGUGUAGGAAAAUAUGAGUUUAAUCAUGCUCAAAUGUGUUUUAUCCUCCAAUUCAAGAGUUAGGAAAAGGUUAUUGAUAAUUAAAUUAUACCAACUUUUAUGAUAUUAAAAAAGGGUUUAUAAAUAAUAUAAGGAAAAGAAAAAAAAGCGAGAAACAUAUUCAUAUUGAUAUUAGACUUUUUUUUUUCUAUCACAAGUAAAAAUAUCAAAGGUGAUAAUAAUUAAAUUAAAAAAUUUAAAUUGAAAAAAUAGGGGAUUGAAUUUAUAACUAACAACAUAUUUUAACCACAUAAUAAAAGUAGUUAUGAAGAGGAUCAUGUAAAAUAAUGACCUGAAUAAUUUUAAACGUCUCAUUCUUGCAAAAAUGAAAUAAUAGAAAAGAAAUAAGUGUUGGGUGUAGUGACAAUGUACAUUAUACUUCUAAGGGGAGAUCAGGGUUUUAGGCAAGGGAAGAAUUUAAUUUAAACCUACUUUUUUUUCUCUAGAACUCAACCCAAACCUCAAAUUUAUCUUUUUAAAAGAAUUUUAAAAGAUCUAUAUAAAAGGUGAUUUUUUUUUAUCGAUUACACUUAACAAAAUUUUAAAAUUUCUUUUUUUGAAAUUUAAAGUGACCUAAAAACAUAUUUUUAAGUCCUUCAGACCAUCCUGUGCUGAUUUCUUUAUUAAUUUGAUUUGUUCAAUAUAGAUUUUGGUGACUUAAAACAAAAAUAAUAAAAAAUUAUUUUUUCAGAUAUGUUUUUAAUGUUUAAUAAUAAGUUAAUUUAUAAAAUAUACUUUCAUUGGAUACAGGCCUCCAAGGCGGUGAACCACUGAUCAAAUUAAUUUAGAGAUACCUAAAUUUGCUUUCAUCAAUUAAGAAAUUAAAAAAAAAUUGCUGAGACCUCAUGAUUAUCUUUUAUAAUUUCAGGCUUAUCACCAAAAACUAAAAAAUAAAAACGUCGACAUUAAAUUUGUUGGUAUGCAAUCAAUUUUAAGAUGGUUUUUGGAGUUAUAUAUCACUUUAGCAUGGACUUACUUUUCUACAGUUAGUCUUCUCCAACAAGUUAAAUAUUUAAAUUUUAACAACAUUGACAGGUCUUUGGGGUAGGGUCGAGCAAAACUCAAUAGAAACAGAUGAUAUAGAUUGAGUUGGCUCGGCCAAGUCGAGUCGACUUGUUCAAAUUAGUUAAAUUAGUAAAUUUUAGGGUGCAGUUAGUAUUUUUUGUUUUGAGAUGCUAAGAUUAAAAAAUUUCAGUUGUUAAAACAAAAAAAUUGUAUUAAAAAAAGGCAUAAAUUAAAUUAUUAAGUUUUUCAAGUUUCCAUUUAAUCAAAGGUUAAAAGGACUAAAUUGAAGCUUUUUAUUUUUAAGAAAGGCUGAAUGACAAAUUGCCCAAAGCCCAUGCCCCUAGCUAUACGCCCCUGGUAAAAUCAAUUUUAAAAUUAGUUAUAAUAGUUGAAGCGAAUUGAUUAUUGAGUAAUGAAAUACAUAGUUCAACAAAAAAAAUAAGUUGACAAAUUUUGACAAAAAAAUAUCAAAAAUGAAAUAAUAGAAAAGAAAGAGUAGGCAUUUUAUGAAAUUUAUAAUUCCAUGAAUAAAAUAUAAAUUUUAUGAAUGUGGACGAGCCAUUUUUUUAUAAUUUUCAGUGUUUUUCUUCUUUUUCUUACUUUUUUUAAAGUAUUUUUCUUUGUUUCCUAACCACCAUGAAAUUACUUGUCACAAUUCAUCUUUUCAAAUGAGAAACAUUUUCCACAAUUUGCCAUCACUUCAACAUACACUAACUUUUCUAUGAUUAGUCCUUGGUUUGCUUCGGGUGCAAUCUUCCAACUAGCCUUAUCCUUGGUUUUACUUUCCAACAUUUAGUGUAUCACGAGUUUUGUUUUCUUUAAAAAAAUAUUUUCGUGGAUAUUAGGAGAUAAUGAAAAUUAUUUUACUAUGAAAUUUUAAUAAAACUGGAAAAUAAGUAAUUUAUUUUAAGCGAUCACAAUUAAACAUUAGAUUCCAAUUUUUUAAUUUUUUUUUUACAAUUGCAUAAUAUUUUGAGCAUUGUAGGAAUGCCAUAACCUUCCCUACGCAUAAUAUACUCUUGAGCAUGAUGGAUCCUAGACCUUCUUUAUUCUCGUACCACAAAUUGCUUCAAGUGUGGGUUCGAACAAUCACAAAUUAAACACAAAACCAGAAAUGAUUUAUUACUUUCAAUAGCAAAGUAAUUCUCUUUCAAUAGAAACCAAUAAAAUUGUAAUUCCUAGAAAAUUAAAAUUUAUUUUUUCAAAAUAUCUUCUCUCUACUUUCUAGCAGAAUAACAAUAUGCGAAACUUAUGUCUUGUGUUAAUAGCCCUACCGGUACUAUCUAUUUAUAGGGAGAGACACGAGAAUCCUAGUUGAAUUAGUAAAACACAAAUAAUAUUUAUUUCAUAGAAACCAACAUUCUACCCUAAGUAGAUCAAGUUUGGAUGACGCAUGGAUCGAAGCUCAAUCUAGGGGAAAAAAAUAAAGGAAUUUUCUUUGUAAAGAAAAUCUGAGAUUAUACUAUUUUCGAAGUUAUAAAUAAAAUUAUACGCCAAAUUUUGAAGUCAAUUUUCAACUCAAAUGUUGUAUGUACAAAUUUCUAAUACACUUGGUGGGACAUUCUUUAACUUUUAUCUAUUCUCUCAAAACGUUAAAGUUCAAAGUUGCAUUAAACUCAAAAAAGAUAAUCAUUAGUAAACCAGCACACAAGCCUACUCAAGCUAAUCCUACAACUCGUUCCACUUCAUCAUCAAACACCAAUGUUCUUGCUUAUCCUUAUGGAAUUAAACAAAAGACAAAAGCUCUUUAAAGUUAUUUGAACAGACUUCUUUAAUGGUAAAUGAUAAUCCACUCUAUGAUGCUUCUUCGCCCAACUCAUGAUUUAAAAGAAGUUUCUACUCAUAGAUCAAGUGUAGCUCGCCAGUUAUCAUUAAGGAGAAAAAGGAGUCAAUCAAGUGAAAAUUAUAUUCCAACAUCUCCCCAGAACCAAAUUUCAUAGUGAUGAAUGUCAUGACAACUGACACUACAUUCUUAGAAGAAUAAGUAGAUUUCUAGCAAAAACGAUGGAGAGUUUUACUACAAGCAUAAAAGAAAUGGAUGAUCAAAUUGAACAUCUUAGUGGAAGUAACCAAACCUUUUCCAACGAAACUCAACAUCCUCUUCACAAAGUUGUUGGAAUCUUAAUUGUUGAAGGACUUUAAAGUGUUUCUUUAGAUCAACUCAAGGAGUUUAUUAAAAAAACCAUCAAAGAUCAAGUCAAAAGUGUUACUUUGCCUUCAUAUACAUACUCAAAGUCAUACAUCUGAAGGAUUUAUCAUUUGAAUAUGCCUGAGCAUUAUCCACCUUUAAAAUUGUAAUAGUUUGAUGGUAAAGGAAAUCCAUGUAAACAUGUCGUUCACUUCAUGGAAACUUGUGAUCGCGUCGAUGUAACACCCCACUCGUGACCCAAUCGCUGGAUUCAAGAAGAGAGAUACCAAAAUCAUGUUGGAAAAAAUCUUCGAUAAGUGUAGCAUGAGUGCUCACACUCUCCAAACACUCCAUACUAUCUUUGGUAUUGAAGUUAAGCUUGACACUCCCUUAUCUCUCUAAUGUUAUCUUCAGGCCAUAAUGCCCUAUCACAUAGUAAAAAAGGUGAGUACUCACAAUCCUAUGGCAUGCCAAUGAUAUCUAAUGGUUUCAAGUGUUCACAAUGCCAACAUAUGUUUUGUAUCACAUUCACUUUACACAAUUUAAAAGGGCUCACAAUACAGCAGAUCUCACGUAUAAUAGUUUUUAAUAACACAAUUCACAUUUCUGUAGGGCUCGUAUUAUAUAUAAGUUCGUAAUAACAUGGAUUCGCAUAACACUUAUGGCUCGCAUAUAUUUAGGGCUCAUAUGUAACAGUUGGGAUCCUAUAUAUUUAAACUCGCAUAAUACAGGGGCUCGCACGACAUAUUUUGGCUUGCAUGCAAUAUAGGGCUUGAUCACAUAUAUAGGUUCACAUGAUCUUAGGGCUCGCAUCACAUAUAUAAGCACGCAUGAUACAUGGGUUCACUCAACAUGUAUAUAUCAACUCGUGCAUCAAAGUAUAGGCUCGCAAGCAUUAAGGUGAUAGAGUUUGCAAACAAUUUAGAGCUCGCACACAUCAUAGGCUUGCAUACAUACAUGUUAGCAAGGUCUGCAGGUUACAAAUCGAGGCUCACAUAACUAUAGAGGCUUGCAUGGAAAUAUAAAAUUGUUCAGAUAUCAUUUUAAUCGGCUUCACACAUUAAAUCAAAUGGUUUGCAUGCAUUCCUUGGCUUUCAUUAGCAUGCGAACUCGUGUUUUUAACACAGUGUGCAAGGACACUCACUAGUUGUUUGUUGAUACUGUCGAACCUAUACCACCUUUUGCUUGACUUUUUCCUUGCUCAUGGAUGCACCUUCACAUUGAAAGGAUUUGCAUAAAACAAGAAAUAAUACAGAUUACUACUUUCACAGACAUAAUAACCUUCUUAACAAACAUAGUAGCGAAUCUUCCAAUCUUCCUUAAUAAUUCCUUAAAUGAAGCUAAACCAAAAUGCAUUAUAAAUUCAAUCAAUUUACCAUUAAACCAGCCCCCAAACACCCACUUAUAAGUUCAAACUGAUCAUUGAAAUUAUAAUUAUUUUAUGAAUCCAAACUAGUUAGAUUCCUUAAACUGUAUUGAUGCGAAUUGUAUGUACAAUCGUUCUUCACCUUUACGGAUGAUUUGGGGUGUUUGGGUCAACACCUAAUUCAAUAAUAUACUGGAAAACUAGUAGUUAACCAAUUCAUAACCUUUACCCAACAACUAUGUCGAAAUAACAAACUAGUUUAUAAUUAAUCGUACUUAUACCAAAUUGCGAGAUCUGAAUGGCUAAUUGAUCAAGAAUGUGUUUUGUAACAUCCCAAAAAUUAGGUUAGAAGAAAUGGGGCUUUGAAACCAAGAGUGGUCAUCCCCCGAUUAUGAGUUUAGAUCUUGGAAAAUUUGACAAGUAAACUGAUCUGGUUAAUGGUUAAGUGUCUUGGUUAUAUGUGUCAGGUUUUGGGUUCAAAUCUUGUUUUUGGAAAUUUUGUUACUUUGCUUAAACUCUUACCUUGAAUGUUUGGUUUAUAAGUUAAAUUUAGUCAAUUGAUGUCAAGAAUGAGUCUAUUGGUUCAAUGGUUAAGUUUUUGUAUAAUCAUUGGUCUUGUGUUCGAAUCUCAACAAAAGUAAUAGGGAAUGUUUUGUUUUUAAAUUUUUUUUAUAGGGUAGUUAGUUUCGAUUGGUUAUUUAAAGCCUUCCAGAAACCUCUAUUGCUUUUAUUUUUAUUUUGUUCUUUCUUUUUCUGCGACAUUUUCUAUCAUUUUGUUUCUGUUCUUUAGUUUCGUCAUAUUGGUUUUUUAUUUUCAAGCAACUUUUUUUUUGUUAUGUUACAUUACGCCGAUUGUGUACGGAGUCUAACUUCACCCUCUAGUUAAUUCGCUGGCCGGUAAGUUCGAUUUAAAGUUUUGGUGUUGAAAGUUUUUUAACGUAAAUUUAAUUUUGAAAUGUUAGUUUUUAGUGGUUUAGCUGCAAAUUAAUCGUUUGUUGGAAAAUUGCUUGUCGUUCAGGGACAUGAAUUUAUCCUUGUUACUCUUGCAUCAAGUUCGUAUCAAGUGGGUAUCAGAAAACCCUUCUUCUUUAAAUUUUAGUUGUCAAAUAAUGGCACUAUCGAUGCCACAUAGCUGUGUGGCAGGCCGUGUAACUUACUGUUCAAAAAAAUUAGAGGCAUACGAGCGUGGGCCCAAAUUGUGUGUGGUUAUGAAUUGUGUAGGGUUCACACAGGCCAGUGACACUAGCAUGUGUCAGGUCGUGUGGGACACACGGGCAAGUACACGAGCGUUUACCAGACUGUGUGGAGUCACAUGGGCCAGUUCUCUAGGCCGUGUAAAACCAUAUAGGUAUGUGAAGCAAUAUUUGGAAUUUUUCCCUUGGGUUACAAGAGUUGUUUGAAACAAACGCAUAAAUACUGUAGGGUCCGUACGAUUUGGAUUAGGCUAUAUAACUUGAUAUUUGAUGAUAUGAUGAUGAACAACUUGUGAUCUAUACGUAUAUUUGUUAUGUUUGAACCUAUGUGAGUAGGAUCUGUUAGAAUGUAACAUGUUAUUUUUUGUUGUGUGUGAACUAUCCAGGUACAAUUUGUAUUCUAUUAAGUUUUUUGGUACGCCUAUGUGUUACUCUAUUGAUGAAGAAUAUGUGACAUUUGAUUAUGUUAGAUUGAUUGUUACUGAUUAUAAUUUAUAACCCUCUACGUUACUUCAUUGAUGAGGAAUACACGUAUAUGAAAAUGUUAGAUUGAUUGUUACUGAUUCUAAUUUAUAGUCGUGUAUGUGACUUCAUGGCAAAUAUGAUAUGAUUUGUUGAGGUUUGAUAAGUCUAUUUUACAAAACAUGGACCCUCAUGUCUCCUGAUUCUGUUAUUGAAAGAUAUCAUGACUUACAUGCUCAUCACUCUAAUUCUUCAUAUGUAUGUCAUGACACGUUGCAUGGGAUUUGGGUUGAUGUGAAAGGAGGAAGUUUUUGGCAGUUAAUGAUCUGUAUUAUCUGGUGGUUUAUCCAUGAUUCUGUUCCGGCAACUUAGUUGUACUAUAGUGGCUUGACCAAAUGUAACCGAUCUGGCAGUCUUAACUGCAAAAUUUUGGUGGCACCAUUCACAAUUAUCUAUUGGUGUAAUUUGGCCGGAUGAGUUAUGGGGGAACUCUAUUUUGGUUAGUAGCAAAGUUUGGGUAUGAUGUUUUCUGAUAAUUUUGCAUUCUAAUCUAUUUGAAAAAUACAAUAUUUGCAUAACACAUUUUCUACUCUGCUCUAUUCUGUUCUACUCAGUUCUAUUCUGCUUGAUUUAUUAUGUUCUGCUUCAUUCUGUUGUGUUCGGUUCUGUUGGACUGUUGUUGUGAAAAUUUUCGUGAUACUCUAGAUCUAUUCCAUACUGGUUAUAAAUUUGUUAUUAAGUUCUUUGCGUUACUUUGAUUUAUAUAAUAAAAUCUGUUUAUUUGUAUCUAAGUUUCAUUAUACACGACGCUUGGUGUUUCACCCUUUGUCUUAUCUUAAUCUGUUCAAGUGCACAUCUUACUUACGACUAGAUGUACAGGAGCUCAGAUUGUUUUGCAUUGAUAUAACUAUGAUUUGAUCUUUUAGGUUGUAAUUUGUUUUUGGACUUGUCUUGCUUUUCUUUUGAUAAUCUCGUCAAUAUCUGUCAUUUUCUAACACAAAAAUAAAAAACCACCUAAGUCGACUAAAAUGAAUUUCUGGUUUUCAAAGUUGAAAUUUUGAAAAGAAACUAGUUUUCUGCACGUUGGCGUAACUCGUCCAAAUUUGGCUUAAAUUUGUAGGUCGAGUUUGGGGUGUUACAUCUUUCCCUAAUUAACAUGUGAUUAAAUAUUUAUUAGAAGGAUUCAAAAACUCAACUUAAUGCUGGAAAAAUAUGGGCAAGAACCAAGAAACAAAACAACCCCCUUUCUUACACAUAGCCGUACGAACCACCACCCAUGAUGGCCAAAAUUGGGGUUGAAUUUUAAAAUGGUUUGAGAUCUCAUUAAAAAUAUAGAAAAACACAUUUGUGUCGAAACCACUAUUUAUUUUUGAAAAAUGGGAAUCAACUUUAAAAAAUGAAAAUGGGAGUCACCACUGAUCUUUUAUUGAGGUGUGAUCAGAUCACCUUAAAAAUGAUUUUAGGUCUACGAAUUUUAAGAAAAUAGGUUUCGGAGUUGGUUACACACGAGGAAGGGUUAGCACCCUCAUAACGCCCAAAAUUGGUAUCGAAUAGACUGUUUAAUGUCUUAGUGUCGAAAAUUUGAAAACAUUUUAAAAUACGAUCCUUUUUUAAAGAAAAUUUGAAUAAGUUGACUUAGAAGAUAAGACCCUUUUAUUUCGAAGAAGUAAAAUAUCACAUCCAGUGAGUUAGGGUGCAACAUUUCUAAUCCUUAAAAUUAAGUUUGUCUUUUGAUUUUUAAAACUCAUGCAUUUAAAUUUGAAAAGGAUAUUCAGUUAUUUGGGUCAAAUGAAAAAUCAAAACCCAAUAAGUUAGGGUUCAACUUCCAAAAAUUGCUAAAUACCGAAUAUUGCCUUUAUUUUUUUUAGAAAUCCAUAACUCAAGAUAACCAAAUGACAUAUCCAGUAAGUUAGGAUCCAACAUUUUGAAAUCCCAAUAGAGAACUUUUUAUUUAGGAUUUGUAUGGUUUUAUUGCAAAAGAGAUACUUGGCUAUCUAAAUUCAUCGAAGAGAAUUGAAGCCCACUAAGUUAGGGCAAAAUCUUCUCGAAAAUCGUGAAUACCGAGUAUUUUGAAAAUUUACGAAAUAAGAUGAUUUUAAUGCUUUAAGGAAACAUAAUUUUUAAAACAAAUGUAGUGUGAUUGAACGACAAUGUACAAUGCAAAAGGAUAAUUAAAAAAAAACAUGUAUACAUUAGUGAAUAACUAUCAAUCAAUAAAUAUAAAUAAGUAAAAUGAUACAUACGAGAACAAUAAUCUUACAUUCCAGAUUAUGCAAAUACUAAAUUUUAAAACUAAUGAAUUAUAAAUUAAUUUUGAAAGAAAUGCCAAGCAAACUAACACAAAUAAAAUAUAACAAGUUUUAAAAAUAAAAAGAAAUAAAAAAAGUACACAGAAAGAAAUUUAAAAUCAUCAGUACAAACAAUAAGUUAUAUGAAUAAUAUUUCAAAAUAAACAAUAUAUAUAUGAAUUUGAAAUAGUUCAAAAAUAAAGGUAAAAAAAUACUAUGUGAAAAGAAAUAAUAUCUAAAUGAAUUUUAAACAAAUAUUGUAUACAAAGAAAAUCAAAAUAAGUAAUACACAAAAUAAUACACGUAUAUCAAUCUAAAUGAAUAAUACAUAUUAAAAAAUCUUUAAAUCAUAGAAAUAUAAAUAAGUGAAUUUUUUAAAAAAUUUAAUUAUACUGCAAAAUAAAACCAUUAAAGAAUGUGUACAAUUCUAUUGAAUUUAUAUAAAAUAAUAUAUGACAAAUUAUAAUAAUAAUACAUAAUAAAUCUGAAAUAACAAUAUACAAUAAACUUAGAUAAUAUUAAUGAUAAAUUUAAGAUAAUAAUAAGUUUUAACAUUCAAAUAAUAUUAGAUUUAAAAUUAAAAAUAAAAAAUAGCAUAAUAAAAAAUACUUAAAUAAGUAAAAAGCAAGCAAAUUAAAAUAAAGUAAUGAGGAUUAAAUUGAAUUUAAAACAAAAUUUAAAAUAAAAAAAUGAGAAUAAAACAAAACUGAGAGCCAAAAAAAGACGCGCGGAUAACAUGGGGACCAAAUGGGAAAUAUUCCCUUCCUUCAAAACGCAGCGUUUUGACACGGACCAAAUUGGAAUGAAACAUAGAAUGCGUGGCCAAAUCUAAAUAAAAUAAAAGGAUAAAUUUGAAAGAGUUAUAAAAAGAACGGGGACCAUUUGCGCAAAUUUCUCCUACGCUAUAAAACGCGCGGAUACUUCUCCGGGUAGGGUCACCGGGCGCGUAUAGGCCAAUAUAGUGUCGUUUUGAAGCCACUGAAGCAGGCUGAAAAUGACAUCAUCACAAAAUUAGUAUAAGAUUAAAAUUAAAGCAAACAUUAAGCCAUUUAACCACAGAAACCCUAGCCCCUUUCGCCGUUCUGAACUUUGCUAAUUCUUUUAGCCUUGAAACCCUUGCCAAACUCUGAUCACGGCGAAGCAAACAAGGAUUUCGCGGCGGUUUUAUUAAGGUAACUUAUUCUUUUGUUAAUCGCCUCUUUUUUAUAUCUAGUAAUAAACAAAAUAAGGAUUCAAGAGCAGAGAAGAGAACUAUCAAGAGAAAAAGAAAAAAAUGAAAACUCAAAUCACCUUUCGAGAUUUCGUAUUUUUUGCCUAUUAGAUUUCUUUUUCUGAAUCAGUAUAUGUAAUCCUUUUACAAAUGAAUCAAUCGGCUUUAUAUAGCCGAAUAAAACCAAAAAAUUACAAAAUUAUUAUUUUUGUUAUUUAUCACUGCUGCUAUUCUCGUUUUUUCUUUUAUGUUAUUGCCUUCCUUCGUUUGCUUGUUUGUUGCGUCUAUUGUAGGUACCAAACCAGCUGGAGCACACGCAUGGAGGCACAAUGGAUGGGGGGCACACGCGUGUGGGGUUGGAGCUGCUGCGGCGUUGGGGCAACAGGCUAGGGUUUUUGGAAACUGCUUAGGUUUAUCUAGGUUUGGGCUUGUUGGGCCAAAUGGGGUUAGUUUUGGGUACUUUAAGUUAAAAUGAUUUGGGCUAUGUAUUUGGGUAUGGGUUUUAGGCUAAUACUGGACUACUAUUAUUUUUAUUUUAUUUUGGUUUAUUAUUGAUUGGGCCUAGGUUUUAUUAGAUUUGUAAUUGUAUUUGGUUUUUUAGUAUUUGGUUUGGGCUAGGCAAAAUUUGGUAUUACAAUUUGAAUUCAUUUAAAAUCCCCCAAAUUCCAGAUCUAAAAUUUUUUCUUUUUAAUUGACAAGAUUAAUUAAGAAAUUGAAGAGAAAAGAGAUCUUACCCAAGCCAGUUGAGAGAAAUGACGAUGACACUUUCUUUGCAAUGCUCAAGAUCGAUCUUAGGGUUCAAGAUUUUAGAUUUGGGGAUGAUUUAAAUGAGGAUAAAUGAUAGCAAUAGAGUAAAGGAGAUGGUGCACAAUCUUGAUGCAAAAAGAAGAAGAAAGAGAUGGUAAAUGGGAGGUGUAAGCAAUGACAACAAUGGGAGAAAGAAAGAAAAUAAGAGAAAAGUGGGGAGGAAGAUGCUGAACAGAUAGGGUAGGGAAAAAUUGAAUUUUAGGCUAAAAAUAUACUUAGGGUUCAAGGUUAUGGACAGCACACACAUUUAAAAAACAAAGGAUUUUGCAAAAUUUACUAUUUUGCAAGGGAAAGGAUUCGAAAUUGGGACCUCAUUUAAUUUUCAUGUUUUCUCAUAUUUCUUUUAACCAUUAGGAUUUUUCCUCAUUCUUAAAAUCAUUUUGAAAUAUUUAUUUUAAAAAUAAGGCAUGUCACACUAGGGUUUAAGGCAAAAUUAGCAAAAUAAUAAAAAAAAUGAGAGAGAAGGGGGUUUCAAGGAACGCUUCACUAAAACUUAUCCAACAAACCAACACCUCAUUAUUUUCCUAAAUAUGCAUAGGUAAUCAUCAAAAUUAAGGCAUCACCACUCUUUCUCGAUUCACAAACCCGAUUCUACUAACCCUUGAUUUUUGGGAUGUUAUAAGGUGAGUUCGUAGUGUAACAAUAUAUAUGUGUGUGUUUUGGGGAUACGAUUGGCAUGCCAAUAGGGUUAGUUACACUUCAAUGCCUCUCUUUACAAUUUGGUGCCACUGUAUUUGCACUACAGUGCCUCUGUUAGUAUUUCGAUGUUUAGGGGAAACCCGAGUAUCCAAGUCAUUUUAAUAUAGUUCAAAAGGCCAUGAAAUUUUAUGUUUAAAUGUUAAAUUACUCUUGAGUUUGAUUUAUGUAUAAAAUGAUAUAUUUGUGUAUAUACGUAUAUAAGCAUGGAUUGCUUUGGUUUGAGCCAUUGUUUAUAUUGAAUCAUAUGAGACAAAUGUUUUGAUUAGUAUAGUUUGAGAAUAAAUAUUAAUGCUUUGGUGUAAUUAUAUGAUUCAUAUGUCUAUAAACAUGAAUCUAAUUAUGUUUAUGGUGUGUUUAGAGAAUUAAAUGGUUAUAUGAUUAUUUUCCAGGUAUUCGAGGUUGUUUAAUUUGGUUUAAUGGGUAAAUAAAGCUUUAAAGGGUAUGUGAUUACAUGAAAUGAACUAUCAUAUUUGAGUAAUGAUAUGGAUUAUGAUGAAAUGUUUAAUUGAAAAGAAAAUAUGGUUUAGUAUAUAUGUAUGAGUGGUGAAUUAUGAAAGUGAAAUGUAGAUAUGUUUUAUACCAUGUUUUGAUUUGAAUUAUAUAUGAUAUGUUACACCAACUAACCUUGUGAGGUGGUGUGUAUAGGAAAGGAAAGUUGGCUUAAAACAUAAUGAAAUUAUGCUUGGUUUUUUAACUUAAAAUAUUCAAUAAGUUAAGUUUCAUUUAUAUGAACUUACUAAACAUUAAUUGCUUACAUAGUUAUUUUUCUUUAUUUUGUAGUUCAUCAGAAGCUCGGCCGGUUGGAAUCAUGUCAGAGCACGAUCACACUAUCCAUUCAACAUUUUGAUAGUUUUUGGUUAUUUUGGUAAAUGGUUAUAAAUGACAUGAAAUAGGGUUUAAAGGUCAUUCCAGUGAUUUGACUUGUUUUGAGUUGUGUCAAGCUUAUUGUGAUUAAUGUUGUUAGUUGCUGGCAUGUAAAUAAUGGUGUAAAUAUGUGUGGUCGGACCCUUAUGCAUGCUUUAUUGAUUAAAGAUAUCAUAUGUUAAAAUGGCAUGUUUUUGGAAUGGUUAUUUGGCAUGAUUGGUAUAGGUUUAAGUUAUGAUCUUGAGAUGUUGAAUUGAAUUAAGUUUGAUAUGUAUAUUGUGAUGCCUUCAUUGACAUAUUGGUUAGAUAUUAAGGGAUGGUUGAUUUGGUAUGUUUUUGAAAUGGUUGUUGGUAUGUUUGAUCUAAGUUGAUUAAAUGAACUUGUAAUGUUGAAUGGUAUAAUAUUUGUUGGUACAUUCAUUAGUCUUAUAGGUUGAUGGAAUUGGUAUGUUUUAAAUGUGUUUUAAAUGUGUUUUGAUUAUUUGGAUGUUUGUGGAAAUGGUGUCUCUUGGUGUACAAGAUUUGAAAUUGAAACGGCUUGAUUUAGAAUCAACUUAUGCUGCACACUGCCUGGGACAUGGAUUGUCACAUGGCUGUGUCAUAAUUGUUUUAGGUACGGGUUUCACACAAUCUAAGACUCGGCUCACGACACAGUUGUGUAUCACAAGUCAGUAUGUAACACAGUUUUGCACAUGGCCUGCGACACGAUCUUGUGUCUAGACUUCGAAUGUCCACAUGGUCUGGGCUAUGUCACAUGGCUUGGCCACAUGGUCGUGUGACUUUUGUUUUCAAGUUUUCCAAAAUUUUCUAUUUUAUUUCAAAUUGAUCCUAGAAUAUUCUCAAACUAUUUUUAAGGCCCCGUAGGUUCGGAUUAAGGCCCCGUAAGUGUAUGUUUGCUAUAAUUAAGUUGUGCUACUGAAUGUUACUAAUUCAAUCACAUGAAUAUUUUGUUGUAAGUUAAAUGUUUUAAUUUUUACUAUAAUGCUCUGUAACCUUAAUCUUGCGAUGAAAACAGGUUUGGCGUGUUACAAUUUUGGAUUGUAAAUUUGUUUUGGGGCUUUGUUCUUUGGUUCUUGCGAUGUUGGUUAGAUUUUGGUGUUUUAACAUUAAACUGCAAAAUUGUAUAACUUAAUAAACUAAAAAUUAGGUUUUCAAAAUUAAAACUCUGGAAAUUUUUCUUGCAAAGUUUAAGUAAUCACUUAAGUGUUUUUCCAUAAAUAAUUAAAUGGUUUUUAACAAAUGUUUUCCUUAGUUUUGGAAAUGAUCUGCCAAUAUUAGUACUUUUAAAACACAUGAUUUCAAAUUCAAAUUCUCAGUUUUAAAUAAGGGUUUUCACACUUCAGUUUUUUUUAAACAUUUGUGAGAGGUUUUUGCCAAAUUUUAUGUUUUCAGAAUGUGUAACUAAGUUGAUUUUUAAUUAGUUUUUCAAACGAGUCGAGUAAUUCCUCAAAAAUCCAGUCAUAGCGUCUAGGCCGGGUUUGGGAUGUUAUACUGACGUUACUAAAGUUAAUCUUCAUCUAUUUAGUCUAGAUCUAAACAUUAAUAUUCUCUUCCAAGAAAAAUCAAGACUAUCAAUUUGUUAAAACUUGGUAGGCAGACAAUCAUAUUAAAUAUGCAUAAAACUCAAUAAGUAAUUUGCGAAGAUUGAAACAAUCAAAGAAAAAAUUAAUUAAUUAACUAAGAAAUAGGAUACAUUGCUGUUUCAAGGAAACAGGGUUUAGUUCACAUUGAGUUGAGAAAACCAAAAGGGAGAUUCAAAAUGAACUUGUGAUAAGGGGAAUAAUGUCAAUGGAUCAUAUUCAAGUUGUUCAGCUCGAGAAAGAAAGAUUCAGAUUUAACUUGAAAAGAGUAAACCAAAAAGAUUUAGAAAAACAAAGAAAAUAACUAAAAUGAUAAAUUUAAGAAUAAAUAAUCAAUAUUAAAAAUAAUAAAGAAAUUAUAGAAUAAAUAGUGGAAGAUGGAAUGAAUAAACGAUGGAUAUGACAUAUAGAUGGAUAAGUGUCUUAUAAUUCAUGAAAAGAGUUAUAUUUCAUGCCUUUAGACCUAACUAAUUGCUUGUACUUACGUACAUUUUGUUGCAUUUUAAGACAUAUUAGUUAGCAUUUCUAAUAUUGCAUUAGGACUUAGAUUGUGCUGGAAUUAGCUGUUUUUAAUCGCUCGUGGUGGAGUUUUUUUUGUGUUUUGGUAUAGAAGGAACAUGUUUUAGAUCGAGGAAAUAAAUGAGUGAAGUUUUGUCAAGGCAAAACUGCAGAUAGUUUGCCAGCACGGAUGCCGUGACAAUGCCGGGAAGACCAAGUCAACAUUUUUUUGUGCAAUAGUCUCAGUUGAAAUUAAAACUUGUACCAGAUAAAUCUCCCUAAAAGAGGAAAAGAUAAUCACAAGACCCUAGCCUAAUCUAUCUAUAAAAGCCAAUAAAGGGGAUUCUCACAAAUGGCAGAAAAAAGUGGGAAGGAUCCUUAGGUGUGAAUAAGGGUUUAGCUGCGCAAAGGAAAGGAAGUCGAAGGCAGUCCUUUUUAGCCAUCACAGGACAUUGUGUUGCCGAAGUGUGGACUAGGCAAGUGAAAGUUGUUUACCAAAGUUCUUUUGUUAUUUCCAUCAGCGUUCCUUCAAAAUAUUGAAGUAGUUGAACACAAUGUUGGAUAAUAUUUUGCUUUGGAAUUUUAUUUCUCAUCCCACGAGCUAAAUCUCGUAGGGUUGGGAUUACUUUUGAUGAAACCUUAAACUAUUUUUAUGAAUGCAGUAUAUAUCUAAUUUACUUUACUGUUUCAUUUGAUUGUUCUUAUUUCUUAAUUAAAAUGCAAAUGAUCUCUAAACAUAGAAGACUGUUCACAUACUUAUAAAUUGAUUCUAAUUCUGAAAGGGUUGGAUUGGUUGGAUUAAAAUUAAAUGAAAUGAGCAAGUAUUCGAUGGACACUUGUAGUAGACUCUAGACAUAGAGUGGCGAUCAUACAGAAGGAACCCAUGCAAGGUAUCUAAAAAGUCUUUAGACACAAGCAAGGUAACUUGAGGGUUUGCUCUCACGAGAGGCAAGCCAUUUUAGUACUCUUCUGUGCUUUAAAGUAGAUACGAUUUUGCCAAGGCAUUAUUGACAGUAAGAGUCGAUUUUGGGUAAUCAACCUUCCAAAUCCACAUCGUAUAUCCUUUAUUCCUUACCAUAAUAUAUUUGCCACAUCAUUAUUAGUUAUUUAUUUGUUCAUUUACAUAAUAUUCCCGUAGUAAUUCUCAUAAUUGUCAUUACAUUUCUACUCUCGGUUUGCCACAACAUUACCAGUUAUUUAUUAAUUCCACGUAUUGCUUACAUCAUUACUCUACUAAUUGUGACUAUAUAUUUAUCAUUGAGUCUGCCAUAGCAUUAAUCAUAUUUUAUUAUAAUAACUUGAUCAAUUUUGUGCCUCAAUUCGAUCCCCAUGGGAAUGAUUCUCACUCAUCAGUUUAUUACUUGAUUCAACUGUAUACAUGCACAAAUCACAUAUCAUUUCACACACGACAGUGUUCAAUUGAACCCUUUGAGUUAUAAACUCGAACAAACUCAAUUAAUGGAUUUAAUCAACCCACCAAGAAAGAAUCAUUGGAAAAUUGAAGGAUGGAGAAUGAAUUCCCAUGACUCCUUAAAAAAAUUGAGAAGAAAACUACUUCUAAAAAUCACAAGAAACAAAUCUUGCACAAAGAAACUAACUCUCAGAGUUGGAAAUUUUAGUAAUAAACAAAAACAAUUGCGUCUCUAAUGAACAUGAAAGGGCCUUUACAUAGGCUAGAUAAGUACAUCCAAAUAAAAUUGUCAAGUAUCUAGAAACUUUAAUUAAUGUAAGCAAGAAGUAAUUUUAAACUAAAAUAGUCAUAAUUUUCGUAAUAAUCUCGUCCAAAAAUUUUGCUCACAUAGUCAUCAUUAAAAUAGUCAUAAUUUGAUCUUCUAAACUCAAAAUCGAGUGAAUAAAAGUGCGUUUCGAAGUUAAGUGAUAGAUCUUAGAACUCUAUGAGGACAUAUCAAUUGAAAAAUGCCUGGAUUCCAUCCAAAAAUUCACCGCAAGUUAACUAAUUUUUCAAACUUGAAAAUUGGUAGCUUCGGUGAAUGGAAUUUAAUAAAGUUCACCCCAUCUAUUCAUGUAUCAACUUGCAUUGUAAAAAGUAAAAAGAAAUAAUCUAUAGAGAAAAUAGUUGAAGAAUUUAUGACAAUUUAUUCAGAUCUCGUUUUCUUCUAGUCUUUACAAGCUUGAAGUUUCCCUUGGUGUGAGAGAGUUGUUCCUUACCCUCUAAGUGAUUUUUUUUCUUUUUCUUUCUCUUCGAUCUCGUCACCUAAGGGUGUUCAAACGAUUGAUUCAGUUAAUACCCGAACAAAACUAUCAUUAACUAAAAUUUUGAAACCCUUAAUCAUUAAUCAAACCAAAAUUUAUUUGAAACCUAUUAACCAGCCAGAUUGAUUUCGAUUAAUUUGAGCGGUUAACCAGAAUUUAUACACUGUUUGAUUUUGUUCAAACAAUUUUAAAACAAAGAAUAAUCCACAACAAUUUUUUCCGUAUUUUUUAUUCAAAAAAAUUAAAAGAAUUAAAAAAAAUAACAUAAUAACAACACUAAAUUAAAAACGUAAUAGCAUUCAUUACAUUACAAAGCAUAUAUAUAUAUUUACUUUUUCUUGAAUUUUUAGUUUAAUUUUAGUUUUUAUUCAAAUAUUUUUAGUUUUCAUAAUUUUGUUAAGCUUAUUAUAAGAGAACUUAUAAAUCCAUUAGUUUUUAUAUAUUGGGUUUGUAUAAUGUAUUUGACCUGUCUCUAAUAUAUUGGGCCUAUAAUAUAUUUUUAUUGAUUUCGGUUAAUCAAUUAAUUCGGUUAAUUAGUCGAUUUCAAACUAAACUAAUUGGUAAACAAAAUCUUCAAAAACCUUUAACCAACUCCCAACCAAAUUAGAUUCGUUGAUCAACUGCUUAAUCAAAUUAAUUAGGUUUGAUAAAUUAAUUCGUUAAAACCGAAAAAUUGACAUCCCUAUCACCACCUUUGUUUUUAGGGAUUUUAAUCAUGUUACUCCACUUGAUGCAGAAGUUGAGGUGGAACGAAUUGCUUGCUACCAAAAUUUAUGAAUUAUAGACCAUGCUCCACCCGGUGAAUCAAAUUCAGUGGAGUGGAAGACUUUUUCUUCACUACUUUGUGCUCUAUGCUCCAAGUCUUCUAUUCUUCUUCCGAGACCAACAAUGGGAAAAUUAAAAAUAAGAAACAAGUCUGAACUAACUUUGACAAUUAGAAAUUUUCAACAAAAUUGAAAUAAAAUAUAAUUAAUUAAUAAAAACUAUAAAAUUCAACAAAAACGAACCUAAAUACUAAAUUUACCUCCUAAAAUGCUAUGGAAACUAUAUUAAAAUAACUCUAAAUAUGAUAGUUAUCAAAAGCGACCUGAAGAAGCCAAUAUUCGAGUAGAUGAUUUCAACUAUUGCAAAUACCAUCAGUCGAUUAGCCAUCCUCUUGAGAAGAUUAUAGAGUUGAACGAAAAAAAUCAUACAACUCCAUGAAGAAGAAAAAAUCAUGUUUGAAAAAGAAGUGGCAUAAUCAAACUUGACAUCAAUGCUUUGGUUUCUCAAUACAAUAUUAUGGACAGAUUCAUCAAAUUUGGCUCUUUCAAUCCUAUUACACUAGCUCUAAGUAGAAGUAAGAUGGUGAAUUUCGAAAGGAUUGGGGGCAAUCAUCUAUUCUUGGAAUACCAGAAUGGUCAUUAUUGGACUCUAGCCACAUGUCAAAGAAGCCAAUGAAAAGCAUCUCUCCUAGGUAUAAGCUUAUAUUGUCACAUUACUCCUAAGCACGAGCAUAAAUUAGUCAUCCAAAAUGAUGAUGCUUCUAAGCAUGAGCUUAAAUUGUUCAUCUAAUGCUCCUAAGAAGGAGCCUAAACUAUUCAACCCAAAUGGUCAUGCUUUAAGAAAAAUCUUAAACUAUUUUUAAGGCCUUAUAGUUCGGAUUAAGGCCCGUAAGUGUAUGUUUGUUAUAAUUAAGUUGUGUUAUUGAAUGUUAUUAAUUCAAUCACAUGAAUAUUUUGUUGUAAGUUAAAUGUUUUAAUUUGUACUAUAAUGCUCCAUAACCCUAAUCUGGCAAUGGAAACAGGUUUGGCGUGUUACAAUUUUGGGUUCUUGCGAUGUUGGUUGGAUUUUCGUGUUUUAACAUUAAACUGCAAAAUUGUAUGAUUUAACAAACUAAAAUUAGGUUUUCAAAGUUAAAACUCUGGAAAUUUUUGUUGCAAAGUAUAAGUAAUCACUUAAGUGUUUUUCCAUAUAUAAUUAAAUGGUUUUUAACAAAUGUUUUCCUUAGUUUUGGAAAUGAUCUGCCACCAUUAGUACUUUUAAAACACAUGAUUUCAAAUUCAAAUUCUUUGUUUUAAAUAAGGGUUUUCACACUUCGUUUUUUUUUAACAUUUGUGAGAGGUUUUCGCCAAAUUUUAUGUUUUCAGAACGUGUAACUAAGUUGAUUUUUAAUUCGUUUUUCAAAUGAGUCGAUGUAAUUCCUCAAAAAUCCAGUCAUAGCAUCUAGGCCGGGUUUGGAUGUUAUACUGAUAUUACUAAAGUUAAUCUUCAUCUAUUUAGUCUAGAUCUAAACAUUAAUAUUCUCUUCCAAGAAAAAUCAAGAUGAUCAAAUUGUUAAAACUUGGUAGGCAGACAAUCAUAUUAAAUAUGCAUAAAACUUAAUAAAUAAUUAGCGAAGAUUGAAACAAUCAAAGAAAAAAUAAAUUAAUUAACUAAGAAAUAGGAUCCAUUAUUGUUUCAAGAAAAUAGAGUUUAGUUCACAUUGAGUUGAGAAAACCAAAAGGGAGAUUCAAAAAAAACUUGUGAUAAGGGGAAUAAUGUCAAUAGAUCAUAUUCAAGUUGUUCGGCUCGAGAAAGAAAGAUUCAGAUCUAACUUGAAAAGAAGAAACUAAAAAUAUUUAGAAAAACAAGAAAAAACAAAGAAAAUAACUAAAAUGAUAAAUUUAAGAAUAAAUAAUCAAUAUUAAAAAUAAUAAAGAAAUAAAGAAAUUAUAGAAUAAAUAGUGGAAGAUGGAAUGAAUAAAUGAUGGAUAUGACAUAUAGAUGGAUAAGUGUCUUAUAAUUCAUGAAAAGAGUUAUAUUUCAUGCCUUUAGAUCUAACUAACUGCUUGUACUUAAGUACAUUUUGUUGCAUUUUAAGACAUUUUAGUUAGUGUUUCUAAUAUUGCAUUAGGACUUAGAUUGUGUUGGAAUUAGGUGUUUUUAAUCGCUCGUGGUGGAGUUUUUCUGUGUGUUGGCAUGGCAAGAACAUAUUUUAGAAUGAGGAAAUAAAUGAGUGAAGUUUUGUUAGGGAAAAAGUGCAGACAAUUUGCCAACACGGAUGCCGUGACAAUGCUGGGAAGACCAAGUAACAUUUUUUUGCGCAAUAGUCUCAGUUGAAAUUAAAACUUGUACCAGAUAAAUCUCCCUAAAAGAGGAGAAGAUAAUCACAAGAUGUCAGCUGACCCUAGCCUAAUCUAUCUAUAAAAGCCAAUAAAGGGGAUCUCACAAUUGGCAGAAAAAAGUGGGAGAGAUCCUUAGGUGUGAAUAAGGUUUUAGCUGCGCAAAGGAAAGGAAGUCAAAGGCAGUCCUUUUUAGCCAUCAUAGGACGUUGUGCUGCCGAAGUGUGGACUAGCCAAGUGAAAGUUGUUUCCGAAAGUUCUUUUUUUAUUUCCAUCAGCGUUCCUUCAAAAUAUUGAAGUAGUUGAACACAAUGUCGGAUAAUAUUUUUCUUUGGAAUUUUAUUUCUCAGCCCAUGAGCUAAAUCUCGUAGGGUUAAGGUUACUUUUGAUGAAACCUUAAAUAUUUUUAUGGAUGCAGCAUAUAUCCAAUUUACUAAACUGUAUCAUUUGAUUGUUCUUAUUUCUUAAGUAAAAUGCAAAUGAUCUCUAAACAUAGAAGACUGUUCGCAUACUUAUAAACUGAUUCUAAUUCUAAAACGGUUAGAUUGGUUGGAUUAAAAUUAAAUGAAAUGAGCAAGUAUUCGAUGGACACUUGUAGUAGACUCUAUACAUAGAGUGACGAUCAUACAGAAGGAACCCAUGCAAGGUAUCUAAAAAGUCUUUAGACACAGGCAAGGUAACUUGAGGUUUUGCUCUCACGAGAGGCAGGCCAUUUUAGUACUCUUCUGUGCUUUAAAGUAGAUAAGAUUUUGCCAAGGAAUUAUUGAGAGUAAGGGUCGAUUUUGGAUAAUCAACCUUCCAAAUCCACAUCGUAUAUCCUUUAUUCCUUACCAUAGAAUAUUUGCCACAUCAUUAUUAGUUAUUUAUUUGUUCAUUUACAUAAUAUUCCCGUAGUAAUUCUCAUAAUUGUCAUUACAUUUCUACUCUUGGUUUGCCACAACAUUACUAGUUAUUUAUUAAUUCCACGUAUUGCUUACAUCAUUACUCUACUAAUUGCGACUGUAUAUUUAUCAUUGAGUUUGCCAUAGCAUUAAUCGUAUUUUAUUAUAAUAUCUUAACUAAUUUUGUGCCUCAAUCUGAUCCCCAUGGGAACGAUACUCACUCAUCACUUUAUUACUAGAUUCAACUGUAUACUUGCACAAAUCGUAUAUCAUUUCACACACGACAAUGUUCAAUUGAACCUUUUGAGUUAUAAACUCGAACAAACUCAAUUAUUAGCUUUAAUCAACCCACCAAGAAAGAAUCAUUGGCAAAUUGAAGGAUGAAGAAUGAAUUCCCAUGAAUCCUUAAAGAAAUUGAGAAGAAAACUACUUCUAAAAAUCACAAGAAACAAAUCUUGCACAAAGAAACUAACUCUCAGAGUUGGAAAUUUUAGUAAUAAACAAAAACAAUUGCGUCUCUGAUGAACAUGAAAGGGCCUUUACAUAGGCUAGAUAAGUCCAUCCAAAUAAAAUUGUCAAGUAUCUAGAAACUUUAAUUAAUGUAAGCAAGAAGUAAUUUUAAACUAAAAUAGUCAAAAUUUUUGUAAUGAUCUCGUCCAAAAAUUCUGCUCACAUAGUCAUCAUGAAAAUAGUCAUAAUUUGAUCUCUUGAACUCAAAAUCGAGUGAAUAAAAGUGCGUUUCAAAGUUAAGUGAUAGAUCUUAGAACUCUAUGAGACAUAUCAAUUGAAAAAUGUCUGGAUUCCAUCCAAAAAUUCACUGGAAGUUAACUAAUUUUUCAAACUUGAAAAUUGGUAGCUUCAGUGAAUGGAAUUUAAUAAAGUUCACCCCAUCUAUUCAUGUAUCAACUUGCAUUGUAAAAAGUAAAAAGAAAUAAUCUAUAGAGAAAAUAGUUGAAGAAUUUAUGACAAUUUAUUCAGAUCUCUUUUUCUUCUAGUAAUAUAUUGGGCCUAUAAUAUAUUUUUAUUGAUUUCGGUUAAUAAAUUAAUUCGGUUAAUUAGUCGAUUUCAAACUAAACUAAUUGUUAAACAAAAUCUUCAAAAACCUUUAACAAACUCCCAACCAAAUUAGAUUCGUUGAUCGACUGCUUAAUCAAAUUAAUUAGGUUUGAUAACUUAAUUCGUUAAAACCGAAAAAUGCACAUCCCUAUCAUCACCUUUGUUUUUAGGGAUUUUAAUCAUGUUGCUCCACCUGAUGCAGAAGUUGAGGUGGAACGAACUACUUGCUACCAAAAUUUAUGAAUUAUAGAGCUUGCUCCACCGCAGUGAAUCAAAUUCGGUGGAGUGGGAGACUUUUCUUCACUACUUUAUGCUCUAUGCUCCAAGUCUUCUAUUCUUCUUCCGAGACCUACAAUGGAAAAAUAAAAAAAUAAGAAACAAGUCUGAACUUACUUUGAAAAUUAGAAAUUUUCUACAAAAUUGAAAUAAAAUAUAAUUAAUCAAUAAAAACUAUAAAAUGCAAUAAAAACGAACCUAAAUACUAAAAUUACCUCCUAAAAUGCUAUGGAAACUAUACUAAAAUAACUCUAAAUAUGAUAGUUAUCAGAAGCGACCUGAAGAAGCCAAUCGAGUAGAUGAUUUCAACUAUUGCAAUAAUAUUGGUCGAUUAGCCAUCCUCUUGAGAAGAUCAUAGAGUUGAAAGAAAAAAAUCAUACAACUCCAUGAAGAAGAAAAAAUCAUGUUUGAAAAAGAAGUGGCAUUAUCAAACUUGACAUCAAUGCUUUGGUUUCUCAAUACAAUAUUAUGGACAGAUUCAUCAAAUUUGGCUCUUUCAAUCCUAUUACACUAGCUCUAAGUAGAAGUAAGAUGGUGAAUUUCAAAAGGAUUGGGGGCAAUCAUCUAUUUUUGGAAUAUCAGAAUGGUCAUGAUUGGACUCUAGCCACAUGUCUUCGGAACAUCAGAAUGGUCAUGAUUGGACUCUAGCCACAUGUCAAAGAAGCCAAUGAGAAGCAUCUCUCCUAGGUAUAAGCUUAUAUUGCCACAUUACUCCUAAGCACAAGCAUAAAUUGUUCAUCCAAAAUGAUGAUGCUUCUAAGCAUGAGCUUAAACUGUUCAUCUAAUGCUCCUAAGAAGGAGCCUAAACUAUUCAACCCAAAUGGUCAUGCUUUAAGCAAAUAUUAAACUAUUCUUAAAAAAUAAAUGAUGAUCCAAUGAAGCACAAGCUUAAUCUAUUCAUACGAAACAAAUGAUGACCUCCUAAGCAUGAAUUUAAAUUGUUCACACAUAAUAAAUGAUGAUACUCCUAAGCGCGAGCUUAAAUUGCAGUCCAAAAAAUAUUGAACUACGUUAUAACUUGAUCUUUUAAAAUUGAAGGUAAGUAGAUAGCCUGGUUUCAUUGCCAAGUUCAGUCUAUAUGAUAAAAAAAAUUUGAAGGUGAUCUUUGAAACAAAUUCAUCAAAGUAGGAAGCAAAUAAAAUUUCAAGACUUGUCCCCUUUCUACGCCCAACAAAAUUCAGAAUCCAUCAUUUGUUAUUACUGUAAUAAUAUCUCUAACUAAAUUAAUGAAAAGAUAAAUCAAGAAAUUAAAUCCUUUUAGAACUCUCUUAUAAAGAAACCAUAUUAAGGAUUACUUUAGAUCUAAUUAAUUAAAUUAAUAAGAUAUGAAUAAUAAUAAUAGAGUUUAAAUUCUUAUAGAACACUCAAAUGAAAAUGUUAAAUUCUACAAGAACUCUUAUAUGAAAGUGAUUGACACUAAAAAAAUGGGUCACCUCCAAGUUAUUCUACACAUUCACAAGUUCAAGAAGUUGAAAAAUUAUUUACAAAAAUAUUUGAAGAAACUAAAGAAGUAGAAGAAAUUCUAAUGAACAUCAUAUCAAUUGAGAGGAGGAUGUGAACAGAAGAGAAGAUUGAAAAGAGUUUUGUUUGUAAAGAAAUUCAAAACUUGUUAUAAAAUUUGACGCAAAAUUUUCAAGUCAAUUUUCAACUUGAAAUUUGUGUGUACUAUAUAUAUGGGAAAGAAUCCAUUUACAUUAUAUAAAACUAUUGUAUGUAUAAUACAAAAAUAUUUAAUACAUUAUCAAUAAAGUUUUUAAACUAUGCACCUGUGAUUAAAACCAAAAUAAUAAUAUUAAUAACAACCAAUCACUUUAUUUGACUAACUUUUCCUCACAAGUCUUUGGUAUGGAGACAAAUCAGUUUAAUCAGUCUUUGGAGCUAUUAACUGACAUUUCCACCAUUGAUUUGAAAAUCAUAACCCAUCAAUUCACUUUAAAUGAAACGAGAUCCUCAAGUGUUUGGUGUUAUAUUCUUAAAAUGUAUUUAGAUGAUUGUUUAUUAAUUUUAUUUCUUUAUAUUUAAAUCAAAUGUAAUAAAUUGUUGAAUUUAUAUACUUCUUAUUAUAACAAUAUAUGGACUAUCUUCCUACUUCUUUUUUUAAUUUAAUUUUUUGUAACUCUUCACAAUUUAUUUUGAAAAACAUUGAAAAAAAACUAAAUGAUUAAAUUAAGGCUCAACUUUUCACUAAUCUUAGUUUAUUUAGUCUAACUUUUCACAAUUUCAUAUACUCAUUUCAUGUUUCAUACCAACAAUUUUUCUUUUUGGUAAAAAGAAAAAAACAACUAUACUUUCUUUAAUCCCAAAAUUAAGGCUUUAUGAAUGAAAAUAAUAUUAUAUUAACUAUGAUAAUUAAGUUUUUAUUUUAAAUAUGAUUAAUUUUAUAUAUAAUAACUUUAAAUAUAAAUAUAUAUAUAUCUAUAAUUAAAUUUUAAAGAAAUUUAUUGUUAUUUUCUAAACAUAAAACAAAGAAAACUUUUUACCCAAAUUAUAAGUUUGUGGUUAGGCAGCCCACUUUGGGACAGGAUUCAGCUUACGUUUUUAAUCUUGGGCUUUAAAAAUAAUAAAAAUAUAAAAAUAAUGUUCGAUUAAUAUUUAUAAAUUUUAUAAAUUUAAAUUUAAUUAUAUUUUUUAUACAGUAAAAUCAACCAUUUAUAUGGGCUAAAUUGAGUUAAGUUCGGUUUGCAUCAAGCCUUAACUUUGACCAAAUCCAACGAAAAACACCUCUAACCAUAAUCUAGUAUUGUUUUUAUGAAUUGAAUUUUAACUUGUAAUUUUCAAUUUUAUACAAACUUUCUUUGCCUACGAUAAGGAAAUAACAUAUUUGUAACUUCUCCAAUCUGGCGUAAACAUUCAGUCUGAAUUCGGAAGAUUACAUCGGCCAUAAAGAUGGCCUAGCAGGGUUAUCAGAGUUUUUGAAAAUAGACAUCUUUAAAACGUUUGUUUAAUUCAGUAAAAAACUAAUUUAAUUUCCAAAUUAUUUAUUACUUGAAAUCUUAAUUACACUUUAAAAGAAGGAAGUGGUAACUAUUUAUUUUUAAUAAAAAUUAGGGUUCAUGUAUAAUUGAUUAAUAACCAUAAUUCGAAAACAUUAAAACUUAAAUUAAAUGUCAUGCAAAAUAAAACAAGCUUAAACCUAAAUCUCAUGCCACAGUUCAAAAUAAUUUAUUGUAGUCUUCAAAAAUAAAAUAAAUCAUAUAAUCAACCAAAAAUAAGUUUUGUAAUUUAGCAAUGUAUCGAGACCUUCUAGAUGUCAUGCCCGCGUCCUAACUUGGUUAUUUGUAAGUGUAACGACCCGAAUAAUUUAUCUCUAUUUCUGUAAAUAUUUGACGCAAAUACUUGUUUGCUUCAGUGGUUAAAUGUUUUGGGUGUGUUUGAGAGGUCUUGGGUUCAAGUCUCAUUUUUGUAAAAUUUUGUUAUUUUUAUGAUUCAAGCCUUAGCCUUGUUGAGUGGGCUUUUAUGAAAUUGUUUGCUACUUCAUAUUAGAAUGAGCUUGCUAGUUCAAGUGGUAAGGAGUUGGUGUGAAGGAGGUUCUGUGUGUGAAUCCCUGCACGAGCGUGGGUAUUAUUUUUUUGCUCAGUUAUAUGGUAGAGUUUCGGUGCUUUUGGGAUUAUAGGGUAGUUGGAUGUGAAUUAGUGGGGAGUUAGGAUAUUAGUGGGUUUUUAAUUAGAUUUUAUUUAAUUUUUAUUCUUUUUGUUUUUCCCAAUUUUUCUCUUAGCUUUUGACGUUCUGUUUCCCUUUUCUCCUCUGCUGAAUUUUUGCCGCUCCCUCUCAUUUUUGAUUUUUCCAAUUCGUCUCCUUUUUGUGCAAUGUUUGAUUGCAUUCGUUCGGUAAGUCUUGUAUUGUUACGAUCUUAUUGUUUGGUGGUUAAUGUUUUAAUGGGGGUUUUGUGUUUACUCUCGAUUAAGGGAAGGGCAAGAAGAGUUGGUACUCCUGCAAGAUUUGAGCGUUAAGGGUGUCUGUUCGUUGGCGGUAAGUUUUCAAAUUCUUUGUUGGUUAUUGUAAGGCUCCGUUUGUGGAAUGGUUUCGGAUUGAGUUUCGUAAGUGUGUAUCGAAUUUGGGCUUCUGGAUACUGUUUCUUAGGUUCGGUGGUCUCAGGGGUGCUUGUGCAUCAAAAUGAUAUCAGGUGUGUACCCGAAACGUAGAAAAUCGAGUUUCGAUGAAAGGUAAAAAACCUUAUUUUCGAUGCCACACGGGCGUGUGCAUGGCCGUGUGGUUGGCCGUGUGCAGGACACAGUCAUGUGUUCGACGAGGGUAGGGCCGUGCGCAAGACACGGCUGUGUGACGAUGUGGGUGUGGCCGUGUGGGCCACAUAGGCUAGGCCAAGUUGGGCUUGUGGGUUUUGGGCCACACGUGCAUGUGCCUUUUAAACAAGUCCGUGUGGACCACACGGGUAGGGCUAAUAUGGGCGUGUUGGCCACAUGGGCAUGUGGGCCGAAAAUUCUAAAAUUUUCCUUAAGGUCGCACAGGUCGUUCUAGUCGACUGUGGGCCUACCGUAGGGUCGGUAAGGGCUAACCAAACCCUAAAACUAUGUGAUCUGUUAGUUUGAUAUUUUGUUCUGAAUAUGAUACUGCUAUGCAUGUUUGAUUAGUUUGGUGUAUGUAUAUAUAUAUAUAUCUGAUAUCUAUGUAUGAGCAUGUGAGCAUGGUAACUCUAAUUAUCUAUAUCUGAUUGGGGUGGGAUUUGUAUAUGUGGAGGAAGUGUUCUGUAUGGCGGUCAUCGCUUAUAUUCUGGCAGCUUGGCUGCACAUUAUCUGACAUGUGUCGUAAUGGCACGAUAUGGUGUGUAGGGAUGGGUGGGUGUUUUUAACCCCACAUGAUGUGAUGGGAUAGUUGGAGUUGGUGUGUAGAGGAUGGAGUUAGGAUUUUGUAUUUCUGAUCUGAUCUGCAUAUCUGUUAUGUUAUCUGAAUCUGUAAAGGACUUAGGUCUGAAUCCGAAUCUAAAAUUGUAUCUGACUAUGUAUGAGUUUACUGCAUGUAUUGCAUGCAUUUUUUUAUUGGCUUACACACUAAGUUUACAAAAACUCACAUUUGUUUGUCUGUUAUGUUCAGGUAAUCCACAGAUUUAGGCGGGUCGGUGUGACGGAGGCUCAGUGGUGACCACCUGAUUGAGAACUAUUUUACUUAGUAAAUUAUGUUUUAUUUAUAAUUUCUAUUUCAUUUGAGAGUUUUUAAUUUUUGAGACUCUCAGUACUGCUGGUUUUUAUUUUGGUUUUGGAUGCGAUUUUAGACUAUUUUGUUGCGAUGCAUGAUGGAAAACACGAUUUUAUGAAAAAAAGUUAUUCUGAAAAUACGAACUGGAUUUCUAAAAUAUAACGGUUCAAAAACUUUCACUAAAAAUCACGUUUUGGUAAAUAAAUGAAUUAAAUAAUACUUUCAAAAAUGGUUAUAAAUAAUUAUGAACUAUGAAUCUUUAAUGAUUUGAUGAAACGACCUUAUUUUCAAAACCAUACCUUGUGACCACUCCGGAUUCAGCCAUAACGUCUGGGCUGGUUUGGGGUGUUACAGUAAGGAUGAAAAUUUAAGGGAAUGAGCUAUGACGCUUACUAUGAGUUCAUUCACAAUAAAUUCAACGCAAACGGUUGGUAGGACACAUUAAAUAAUAUCGCAUAAAAUAAUCACAAUUAGAUAAUAGUUCAGAAUGUCGGUUUUACAAUUUAACCACCAAUAUAAUCACAGUAUUCACAGUUGUAAUUUUAGAAUAUCAAAUUUCCACAUCAUUCACAAUAUUCAGAUAUAUAUAAAUAUAUCAUAACAGAAUUCUGGAUUUGUAUGCACAUGAUUUAGAAGAUGCCAUACAAUUUCAGGUUUUAACAGAAUAAAUCCUACCCCACGUUACAUACCAUAAUGGGAGUUCCCCUAAACUCCCUUCUGCAACACACUGGGUUAUGGAUAAACCACUACCGGUUUACAGAUAAUAACUAUCAUUUGGUUGUGGACACACAGCAAGUCUCCACAAUUGGAUUCUAGAUUUGGUUGUGGGUUCACAGCAAAAAAAAUCUACAAAUGAAGCCUGCUUUUGCCUGUAGAUUAUACAACAUAUACCCAUAGUUGGAAUCUGCCUUCGGCUAUGGAUGCACUGUAACACCUCAAACCUGACCUGGACGUUAUGACCGAAUCCUGAGGAAUUACUUUAACUCACUAGAAAACCCAAGAGUUUACUAUGAAAUCAUGUGGUUAAACUAGUGUUCACUUUGAUAAAUCGUUUUCCAGUUUUAGGGAAAAUUAUUGUUAAAACUGUUACUUUAUUACAAUAAAACAUUAAAGUGAUUAUAUCAUUUUGUAACGGAAUCUACUGAGCUAUAAGGUUAUGAAAAUCGUGGUUUAAUUUGCAACAAAUCAUUUUGUAAAUAGAAAUUUAAUACUACUUAAUUUGGAAAAGCAUGCUAAAACGAAAGCAAAGUCCAAACUAAUUUAUGAUUUAAAAUUCUAAAAAGUCCAAAUUAAACAUAAAGUCAAUUUAAACCAGUUUAUCGAACGUGUAACACCCCAAACCUAGCCUGGAUGUUAUGGCUAAAUCUGGAUGUGUUACGAAAAAAAAGUUUAUAAAACGACUUCCUUAUUAUUGGCAAAUCAUCGCAACCAUUAUUACUUAGUAUGCUCGAUUUGUUUGGAAAACUUAUUGAUAUACUUAUUUGAUUUAAAAUCAUUGCUCGCUUAUGCCUUUCUAUUAAACUGAAUGUUUUGUAGUGGAGUUUCUUUAAAACACCAUAUUUUGGCAAAUCAAUUUGUUUCUUGAAAAUCGUUAUUUCAAAAAAAUUGUCAUUUUUAGAAAAAACUAUUUUAUCAGUUGUUACGCUUAGAAACCAAAAUAAAAUCCAAAACCAAAAAUAGUCCCAAAAAGUCCAGAGAGUCCCGAAAUUACAAAACUCUCAAAACCAGAAAAGUUUGAACUAAUUUAAAAAGAAUGAAAUUUUACGGAAAUAUGGUUAACACUGAGCUUCCAUCACACCGACCCACCUAAAUCUGAGGGUUACUUGAAUAGAACAAACAAAUAGAGAGAGUUUUGAAACUCAGUGUGUAACGCGAAUAUAAACAAAAAUUCAGAAUCAAUCUCAUGCAGAACAUAUACAAAUGUAAACCAUUUAUAGAAUAAGAAUUAUACAGAUACAAAUAUGCAACAUCCUACCCUCAUCCUAUACACACCAAUUCUGACCAUCCCAUCACACCACGUGGGGUAUAAAACACCCACCCAGCCCUACACACCGUAUAGUGUUUAUACAACACUUUUCAAAAUAAUCGCAGCAGAGUUGCCAGUAUAUAGGUGAGAUAUCGCUUCACACAGAACACUUCCUCCUCAUAAUACAAAUCCCGCUCCAUAGCCAGAUACAGAUAGAAUAUCAGGUAAAACAAAUUAAUAGAUACCAGAGUUAACAUAUCACGCGUGAGCGUAUAACAGAUAUUACACAUGCUUAUACAUAACAGAACAAAUCAUACAUACCGUAUUCCAUAAUACUCAUAUAAAUGUUAUUUUUUAAAUUGUAACAAAUAUUAUUAUUAAGAUGUUUUUCUUUUUAUAUUUUUUUAUAAAAUAUAUUAAAAAACAAUUAGAAUAAUUUUAAGAGAAAAAACACUCAUAAACAGUAGAAUUUAAUCUAAAAAUAUCAAAGUUUUAAAGCCUCAACUUUAACAUUUCAACCAAAAUUCCAUUAGUAUAUAAAUAUUUUAUAAAUAUAGAUUUUAUAUAAAAAAAUUUUAUGUAAACUUUUUUUUAACCCACAUCACAAGUAUACCAUAUUUAGAGAUAUUCAUAGCUAGGCAGCCCACUUUGGGUCAAACUUGAGCUUAGGUUUCAUCUCAAGUUGGCCCAAUUUAACCUAUUUUACUAUUUAAAAAUAUAAAUAUAUGUUAUAUUGAUAUUUAUAUAUUUCUAUAAUUAAAUUUUAAAUAAAUUUAUUGUUAACUUUUAAACACAAAACAAAGAAAACUUUCACCCAAAUUAUAAGUUUGUGGUUAGACAGCCCACUUUCGGGGCAGGAUUCAGCUUACGUUUUUAAUCUUGGGAUUUAAGAAUAAUAAAAAAUAUAAAAAUAAUAUUGUAUUAAUAUUUAUAUAUUUUAUAAAUUUAAAUUUAAUUAUAUUUUUUAAACAGUCAAAUGAACCAUUUAUAUGGGCUAAUUAGAGUUAAGUUUGGUUUGAAUCAAGCCUUAACUUUGACCAAAUCCAACUAAAAACACGUCUAACAAUUAUCUAGUAUUGUUUUUAUGAAUUGAAUUUUAACUUGUAAUUUUCAAUUUUAUUACAAAAUUUCUUUGCGGACGAUAAGAAAAUAACAUAUUUGUAACUUCUUCAACCCGGCGUAAAGGUUAAGUCUGAAUUUGGAUUACAUCAGCCAUAAAGAUGGCCUAGCAGGAUUAUCGGAGUUUUUAAAAACAAACAUCUUUAAAACGUUUGUUUAAUUUAUAGAAAAGCUUAUUUAAUUUCCAAAUUAUUUAUUACUUGAAAUCUUAAUUACACUUUAAAAGUAGGAAGUGGUAACAAUUUAUUUUUAAUAAAAUUCGGGGUUCAUGUAUAAUUGAUUAAUAACCGUAAUUCGAAAACAUUAAAACUUAAAUUAAAUGUCAUGCAAAACAAAACAAGCUUAAAUCUAAAUCUCAUGCCGCAGUUCAAAAUUAUUUAUUGUAGUCUUAGAAAAUAAAAACAAUCAUAUAAUGAACCUAAAUUUUUUAUUUUACUUUAAUAAUGUGUCAAGGUCUUACAGAUGUCACGCCUGCGUUCAAUCUUGGUGGGUUAUCUGUAAGGAUGAAAAUUUAAGGGGGAGUGAGCUAUGACGCUUAGUGUGAGUUCAUUCACAAUAAAUUCAAUGCAAACGGUUGGUAAGACACAUUAAAUAACAUUGCAUAAAGUAAUCACAGUCAGAUAACAGUUUAGAAUGGCGAUUUUACAAUUUAACUACCAAUAUUAUCACAAUAUUCACAGCUGUAAUUUCAGAAUAUCAAAUUUCCACAUCAUUCACAAUACUAACAUAUAUAUAAAUAUAUCAUAACAGAAUUCCAGAUUUGUAUGCACAUGAUUUAGAAGAUGCCAUACAAUUUUGGGUUUUAACAGAAUAAAUCCUACCCCACAUUACAUAUCAUAAUGGGAGUUCCCCUAAACUCCCUUCUCCAACACACUAGGUUGUGGAUAAACCACUACUCGUCCACAGAUAAUAACUAUUAUUUGGCUGUGGACACACAACAAAUCCCCACAGUUGGAUUCUAGCUUUGGCUGUGGGUUCACAGCCAAAAGUCCUGCAAAUGAAGCCUGUUUUUGCAUGUAGAUUAUACAACCUAUACCCGCAGUUGGAAUCUGUCUUUGGCUAUGGAUGCACUAUAACACCCCAAACCCGACCUGGACGUUAUGGCUCAAUCUUGACGUAAUGCCCCAAAAUUUCUAAUUUCGUUAUUGUGAAAAUAUGACACAAAAUAUUUGUCUGCUUUAGUGGUUAUGUGUUCUGGGAGUGUUUAGGAGGUCCCAAGUUCACGCCUUCACAUGGGAAAAUUUUGGUAUUUUGAAUGAAUUAGGUAUUACUCUUAUUCAGUAGGCUUUUAUUUGAUUGUUGGGUAAAUUAUAUUAGAAUGGGCUUGCUGGUCUAGUGGUUAAAUGGUUUAUUAUUAUGGUGGAGGUCUUGUGUUCAAGUCCCUAUGUAGGCAAGGGUAUUAUUAUUAUUAUUAUUUGCUCAAAUUUCUGGAUAGAGUUGUGUAAUAGGGGGAUUCUGAGUAGUAGAUGUGUAGUGGGAAUUAGGGGAGAAGAUUAAGGAGUUUCAGGGGUUAUCGAGAUUUUAUUUUAUUUUUUCCCAUAACCGAAUUUUGACUUUCUUUUUCCAAAAAAAAUCUGCCAUCUAUUCUUCUCCCUCUCCUCUUGUCGAAAUUCUCUUAGUUUUUUCACCUUUCUCUUCUUUUUCUUCUUCUUGAUUUUUCCCUAAUCCAUUUAUUUUUCUUCAUUUUCGCACGCGGUUAGUUUUCGCUUAGUUUCGAUAAGUGUUUCUCUUCGUUUCUAUCAUGAAUCUCCUAGCGACUAAAGUGGUAACUUUUUUUCUCUGUGAUUUGGGUGUAGGGGAAGGCUCGAACUGUUGAAUUCAGUAUUCUCGUCUUAACAAUAGUUAAAUGGAGGGUUAUCGUUGGUGGUAAGUUGGGUUUCUGUUCAUUCUUAGUUGUCAAUUUGCUUGUAAAUCUGUUAAAUUGAUGUUGAGUAUCUUGAUUAUAGGCUUUGGAGUGCUUGGGGACUGUUUUAGCAUCAAACAAAACCAGAUGUGUACCCGAAACGCAAAAAAAAAGGGAUUCGAUCGAAAGCCGAAAUUGUUUGCUGUUUGGACAGUAGCAGUAGGCUAACUUUGAAAAAUCGCCAUAAAUUGUGGAAAUCGAAUUAGAGGAUGAAAAAAAUAUGAAAUUAAAUCUUAUUGAGUCUAGUUUCUCAUAGAAGAACGGUGUAAGUAAUGGAAUUUUAAAUCGUGAGAUAAUAAACUAUGUGAGACAAGGUUAGAAUAAAUUCGGGUUCCCUUGUUCUGACUUUGGAAAAUCAUCAAAAAUUGGAUAAAAAUAAUUAGGAAUUAAAAUUUACAUGUUUAAAUUAUUAAUUAGUCUUUUUUCAAUAGAAACAAAUGGGAACUUCAUCCAAAAUUUUUACUAAGAGAUAAUUAAUUUUUAGCAAUGAAGGGUCGAAGCUGUCAAACAGCAGAACAAGGGUAAGUUUGAAGAUUUUACCAUACUUAUUGGCUGAGCCAAAAAUUUAAAAAUUUUAUGGUAGAAAGGUAUUUGAGUCUAUUUUCAAAUACAUCAAGUGAAUUUUAAUUAGGAAUUCUUUAGCUCAAGAUAUAAAUAAUUUAGUUACAGUGAGUCAAGUAGAAAGCUUUGAAGGAACACAUAAGUAAAUUGUGAUAAGAUAUAUGAAUAUUUAGCUAGCACAGGUUACAUUGAAAAUGGAUCACGCAGCCAAGGCCAAUUUGGGCUGAGUGGGCCACAUGGGCAUGUGAGCCCAUUUUUCUGAAAAAUUCUGUAAGGUUGCACGGGUCGCCCAAGUCGACUAUGGACCUACUGUAGGGUCGGUAAGCUUUACUUAGACGCCUAUAUGUGUGAUCUAUCUGGCUGAUUUCUAUACCGAGCAUGACUUAUGAUAUUUGAAUGUAUGUACUUUUAAUUACAUAAUGGCAUGACAAAUUUUGUAUGUUGCAUUGCAUCGGAGUGGGUUGAUGAUAUUUGGAGGAAGUGUCUAAAAGGCUAUUAAGCCUGUUAUCUGGCAGCUCAGCUGUAACCUUCUGAUUAUGUGCGCAUUUCAGUACAACAUGGUGUGUAAGGAUGGGUGGGUUGAUUUAACCCCCACAUGGUGUGUAAGGUUGGACAAAGAUGUGCGUAGAGGCUGGUGGGUAGGAUUCUGAUUUCUGUAUCUACAUUAUGUAUCUGAUAUGGGCCAAGGCUCUAAUGUAUUUCUGAGACUGUAUCUAAACGGGCUAAGGCCCAAACUGAUUGUGUGAUGGGCCUAGGACCCAGACUGUAUCUAACUAAAUUCUGUUGAUUAUUUGUAUGCAUGAUUUCUAUGGGGAUUACACACUGAGUUUGCGAAAACUCACCCUUUCUCUAUUUAAUCUGUACAGGUAAUCCCCAGACUUGAUGGGUCAGUGCAACAAAGGAUUCGACAGUGGCCACACGUAAAUUAUGGAUUGUUUUCCGUUAAUACCUAGAAUUUAUUAAUUAUUUGGGGUUUUUGAUGUAUCUUCUGGACUAUGGACUGGUUGGCUAACAUACCUUUUUGCAUUGCAUCAUGUGCACGACAUAUUUGAAUAUUAUUGGUUUAUGCUACGUAGUGUAUUUUGUUGUAUUGAAUGGUAUCAAAAUUAAUGAUUGUCACUCGAAUGAAUUAUGACCUAUGCUCAUACACUGUUUGACAUCAAUUUGAUAAUGGCUAUGUAACGAUAUGAAAUUCCUAUAAUGGUUCUAUUUUCUUCUGUUAAAGCUAAUUAGUUUUACUGUAUUUGAUAUUUAUGUUUGUUUCAAUAAUUGUUCGACUCACGCUGAGCUUUUCAUAAGCGCACCCCUAAUAUGUUAAACUUUUCAGGUAAACCUCGAAAUUAAGACCAGACUUGGCAUUCGAAGAAUCACCUUAGACCUUGAAUUAUUUUUCUAAUAAGUAUUAAUCAAUCUCUAAUGGUUUUCGUUUGUAAUUUUUAAUUAUAUCUAGUCUGUGGCUUGAUAACUUUUCUUCUGGGAUUUUUGCAUGCAUGGAUUACUCAAGCAUAGUAACCGGAUAAUGCAUGAUAUUAGGCUUAAGUAAAAUUUGAUAUUGUUCCCUAGAUUCCGCUGCAUUGCAAAGGAUUUGUUUUUGAAAAACAAAUUGAUAAGGUAACUAAGUUUUCAAAAUGACUUGAAAAAUGGUUUUUCCCCUGCAUUAGUUUAACAUCGAAUUUUUUUUAAAGGAGAGCAACAAGCAAAUGAUUUUUCUAAAACAACACUAUCAACAAUAAAAUGAAUUCUAAGUAUACACAACCUAAUGAAUGAAUGCUUUUAAGCUAACUUAAAGUACAACUAUGGUUUUCUCUAAAAUGAGUUUAUUUAAAGUUUUCAUAAGUAAUGUAAGUUAGCUUAGCCAUUUCGGUGGCUAAUGUAGCCUUCUCAUUCUAGCCAUAACGUCUAGGCCAGGUUUGGGAGGUUACAGUAUUGAUAGGAACUGUGGUAUAAAUUUUAUUUUGGACAUUCUUAAAUUGUUAUUUGGACUAAACUUUAGAAACUAUGGAUUUUAUACUGAGCCUAAAUUUACGAAGUUCAUGCGUGGUUUUUACGAAAAUGAAACUCAUAUGAAAUUUCAAAACCGUGAUGUUUUUUUUAACGCUCCAAUUUGAAAUUGUACAAGAAAUGUCAAUUUGAAUUAUUUUUGAAUGUUUUUUAUGCCAAUUAAAUAUUGUUUCAAAACAUAGCUAAGUAUUAUUUAAUUUCGUAAAGAUGAAGCAAACUCCGAACAAUCUAAAACUUCAAGGACUAGUUUGCAAUUUUUUUUUCCUCAAUUGUCUCCGGUUUGAUUCAAUUCUUGAUCUAUACAAUUAUUCCAUUCAAUUCAUCAAUAUUAAACAUUUAUACAUUAUGUCAUGUCAUGAAUGAACCUAGAUAAAUUCAUUUUUUGAUACCCUUAAAGUUUUACAUUUAUUUCAAUUUAGUCUCUAAAAUCGAAAUAGUCAUAACUUUAAAUUCUGAACUUCGGUUUGAAAAUCGACCUCAAUUUCAUUAUAGACUCUCUACUAUCCAUUAUUAUCAAAAUUUCACAUCAAUUUCACAAUUUAUUUACUUUAGUUAUUAUGUACAAAAUUAACAACCAAACAUCACAAUUUAGUCAUUUUUCAUAAUUUAAGCUUAAAAUCUAUCAAUUUAAUACCAAUUUCUUCAAGAAAUCAACCAUGAUAACUAUAAAAAAAAAUUAACAGUUUUGCAAAUUGAUACAUAGGUCAUUUAAAUCAAACUUUCAUGACCUCAGAAACACAAAAAAAAAUUAUACGAAAAUGAUUUAGAAAUGCAUACCAAUUGAGGACCGAAAGCUUGAAGCUCAAAAUGGCUUUUUCCCUUGAGGUUUUAUGUUGAUUAAAUGAUGAAGAAGAAGAAAUAAAGAUGACAACUUGCACUAAGUCACCUUUAUAUACUUAGAUUAAAUCUUAAUUAAUCAAAUUUAAUUAAUUAAAUCUUAAUUAAUUAACCUUAAUCACAAUUAAAAAAAAUUAGUGGAUGUUAACAUCAUCCUACACUAUUUCAUAUAACCAAAUGAUCUAUUUACCAUUUUGAACCUUUAGCUAAUUAGAAAUCUAUAGCGAUAAGACUUUUAAAAUUUAGUUUCUGUAUCUUAAUUAUGCAAUUAAUAGACAAAGUUGAAGGUUUAAAAUUUAAUGUUCUAUUAUACCAACUCUGUAAAUAUUCAUAUUUAAUAUUUACAGACCCGAAUUACGAAAAUGAGAUUUUGAAAUUGUAUUUUCCAAUACCACUGAAAAUCGAACAAUUAUGUAACCUAUUUGCACCAAAGGGCCAAACAUGGCAAAUACUUGACAUGUAUGUCUUAAUAUCCUCAUCUAUUCUCUUCAAUAUAAUAACAUCCAAUAAUUGUUUCAUCCACUGUAACUAUCACGAAGAUUAGAUUUACCAAUACAGCCUACAAUUUGCAGAAGCGCGACAUUUUCAUUCUAGAGAAAGGUAUAAUUGAAACAAAAUUGAAAUAAAGAUUUCAAUACAGAAUCAACAGACAUUCCAGCUAAUACUUAUCAAUUAUUUGCAGCUUCAUUGCUCCAACUAAGAUGGUUUUUAGUCGAAUAUGGUAAAUGAAAUCAAUGAACACCAGCUACUUGAUGAACGAGUGAAUCAAAGUCCUGAUAUGUGCCGGCUUAUUGGUGAAAAAAUACAUGGGUUAGUUUUGCAGCAAUUCAUGAUCUUACAUUUUAUAACCUUUGCUUACAAUUAUUCACUGACUAAUCAUUCAAUGAAUGUAGGCCUCAAAUUUAGCCACUAAACUUUGUUCUUUAUUUUUAGAUACAUAUUAUUUGAUCACUUCAUACAGCCUAUUACUCAUAAUAACUUCCAAUUUCCCUUCUUUAGGUUAGUUGCAAAUGUACAGCUUUUUCUAGAAGAAGAAAAUUGUCAAGAGCCACCUGUUCAAGAGAGGCGCAAACAGAAUGUAACAAUACCUGACCUACUUACGGUACAGCCAAGUAAUCAUGUGUUUCUAUGCUAGAACAUUAAAUCAAUGACUACAAAUUUCAUGUCAUGGUUGUGUAUCAUUUAUGCCACUGAUGCUGCUAUUUUCUAUUCUAAUGCAUAAUAGGGAUUUAGUGUUUUUACCGUUAAAAUUGUGUCCUUUAAUUUUGGCUUUUUUCAAUUGUUGAUCAUGUCCACCUAUGCUUUAUUUUACUACUAUUGCUUUCUUCAAUGAUAGAUGAUUGAAUCGGUAGAAUUUUAUUAAUCCUCUACAUGUUUUAGCUUGAUAUGUGGAUCCUAAGCAUUCCUUGGAUUGUGCCCUCUUUGUUCAUUUAUUUUUUUUCCUGGAACCUUAUUACAUGUUGUAACACUCCAGUUUUUUGGAGACAUUGAAGACGACUAACUGCUGAAUUCUUUCUUCUGCAGAGGAACCAAUGGCAAGAGACUCUAAAACUCCUACUCUUUUUUAUACCUUCCUCACCUCUUUGUGACAUUAUAGCUGAAAAAUGAUGUAUGCUAAUACAUGAAAUGUUUCCUCUUGCCUUUCUUUUUGUAGUACUAAAACUACAAAUAGUGUCUGUAAAUCUCUUUUCCCGUAAUCUUAUCUUUUCCUCAUUGUAAUAGUUGGAAAACAGCUUUGUUGAAGACAAUGUCAACUACUGGGAUAAGUUACAAACACUGUUAUUGUUUAUUUUGUAGUCUAAAUUAUGAUAAUUUCUGCACAAAAUUCACAUAAAUGGUUACCCUCCCGAAGCGGAGCGAGGGUGAUGCUUACUAGUUAUUAAGAAAACAGGACCUUGUAGGGCUUAACUGUUGAAUCGAGAAAGAAAUUUCUUUUAAUGCCUUCAAUUUUUUUUAAAGCUGAUUUUUUUUUACAAAUUAAAGUUUUGAUUGUAUGUUAAUUGCUUGAGGGAAGGUCGGAUACUUUAUUAUCCCUAUUUUUAUUUGUUAUAUAUUUUAACCAUAAUGAUUUUUUUGGCCCUACAAUUUUACCAAAAAAAUCAUAUUAGCUUUCAUUUAAUUUUCGUCUCUUUUAACCCUUUAACUUGUAUUUUUUUUGUCAAAUCACCCCAAAAUGGAUCGAAAACUUUAACAUUUGUGAACUUUGAUUAUGUGACAUACACAUGAAUUGUCACAUGGAUGACAAGUCAACAUUUCUUUUAAAAAAAAACUUAAAAAAUAUUAAAUAAAAUAUUUUUGAUAUUUUUUAAUGAUUUUUAAAUUAAAAAAAGUUUUUAAAUAUUUUUUAAUUUUUAAAAAUUAAUUAGACGCAGGCAUGGAAAUUCACAUCUAUGUGUCACAGGCCGUGGAUUAAAGCCUGUGACCAUUGCGCAUAGAACACCCCAUAGAAUUUUGGCUUUUUAUUUGGUCAAUCAUGUCCACCUAUGCUUUAUUUUACUAUUAUUGCUUUCUUUAAUGAUAGAUGAUUGAAUCGGUAGAAUUUUAUUAAUCCUCUAUGUAAUAACCAAAUUUUGCCCGGGCCCAAUGCCAAACAAAUAAAACCCAAACCAAAUAAAUAAAAUAAGAGUCCAAAUUACAGUCCAUUAGAGCUCAAUUCAGACCAGCCCACUAUUCAAUCAGACUGGCCCAACACCCAAAUAACCUAACAACCCUAGCCCAACAAAAUCAGAAAAAUGAACAGCAAAAAAACCUUAGGUGCGCCGCACCUAGGUCUUUUGGCCUAACCGCCGCUGUUCGCCUAUCACCAGCCUCCUCGCUGCCACCGCCGCAUGCGCACCAGGCCUCCUCCAUGUGUGUCUGACACCUGCAAAGAGAGUCACACGCAACAGUAGAAACAAAAACAAAAAACAAAUAGCAAAACGACAAAAAAAAUAAUGAUUAAGGAGUUCGUAAUCCGACUAUAAAAGCCCUAAUCUGUGACUUGUAAUUUUUUGACACACAUUAGAAAAUAAAAACCAAAAAAAAAAAACUUUAAGGUGAUACUCAUUUCAUUUUAUUUUUGUUUUAUUUUAUUUUAUCAUUUUUAUCUUUUUAUUUCGAAAUAACAUAAAUAAAAAGGGGAGGCUGGGUUGCCGUUGCCAGAGCAUAUUUUGUGCUAAAGGGGGUUGCGCAGGAGGAAAAGAGGAAACUUUUCAGUUUCCCGCCGCCGUGAUGGCCGAACCUCUGACUGGCGCUUGGAGAAAGAAGGGGAGAGUUUGAGAGAAUUUUAGGUUUUUUGUUUAAGAAAAGUGAAAAAUGAAGAAUUCUGAAAAAAUUAAUAUUUAUAGCACCUAGAAAUGGCGUCGUUUUGGCCAGUUUCAUUUGGCCCCAAAAUGACACCGUUUAAUGGCCUAUACCGGCACAGUGACCCGACCCGGGGAAGGAUCGGAGUGUUUUGUGCUAUUGGGUAAUUUUCGCAUUUGGUCCCUCUUAUUUUGUAGUGUUUUCAAAUUAGAUUUUAUUUAUUUUAAAUUUCAACAUACAUUUUUGUUUUUGUUUCACUUAGAUCCUGAACAAUGCGCAGCGUUUUGGGGGCGAGGAAAUAUUUCCAAUAUGGCCCCAUGUAAUCUGCAUAUUACACUUUAACCCCUCGUCUUGUUUAUAAUUCUAUUCUUUUCUUGUUAAUUUAGAUUCAAUUGCGAUUUAAUCUUUUGUUAAAACAUUUGUUUUCUUUAUUAAUUUAUUAACUAUUUUAUUAUUAUUUUAGUGGUAUAUUCGGUCAUAUUUUCAUUAUCUUAUUAUAUAUUAUCAUUUUGAGUUUUACUUAUAUUAUUAUUAUAAUUUUAUAAUGUGUUAUUUUAUUAACUCAAUAUAACAUAUAUAUAUAUGUAUUUUUUUGUGGUUUUAUUUUUAUAAUAUAUUUUUUUAAAUCCAUUUUUAUGCACUUUAUAUUUAAGUAUUUAUACAAUAAUAUUCUUAUAAUAUUUUUAUACAUGUACAAUUUAUAUAUAAUUAUUUCUUAUACGUGUAUAUAUACAUAAUAAAUCAUCGAUUACAUGUUAUUAUAUUAUUUCCACUUAUUUCAUAUAUAAUUUAUUUCUUUUAAAAUACUCUAUUAUAUACUUCAUUUAUUUCAACCUUUUAUGUGUAUCAUUAUAGAUAUACUAUUAUAUGAAGUUUUUCAAUCCCUAUGCAUUACUUAUUUAAAUUAAUAUAUGUAUAUUAUUUUAUGUAUUUAGAUUUAUUUUGUAUAUAAUAUCUACUUUUAAAUUUAUUUGGAUACUAUUAUUUUAAGUGGAAUUUAUUUUUAACUAUAUUUUUUUAUUUAUUUCAAUUUUUCAUAUAUGUAUAUAUUAUUUAUUUUAAAUUUAUUUUAAUCAUAAUUUCCCUUCUUUCAUAUUUCUUAAGUUUAAAAAAAAAAACUUGUACAAUUUCAUGUGCGUCAAUUUGUUUGGUGCUUUGAUUGUUUUUUAAUUCAUUAGCCUUUGAAUGUUAGCAUAAUACAUUAUGUGAGAUUAUUGCUCUUAUACGUAUUAUAUUGCUUAUUUUUAUUUACUAAUUAUUCGUAGAUCAUUAGAAUACAUUUUGGUUUACAAAUUAUCGCUUUGUAUUGUACAUUAAUAUUCAAUUGUUUUUUUAUUCGUUCGAAAGAUUACGUUUAAUAUCAUUUAAGUAUCAAAAUCGAUUUAUUCAAAAACUUUCAAGAUAACGUAAUAUUCUGUAUUUGGGAUAUUCGAGAGAAUUGAGCCUUAAUGUAUUGGGUUCCAAUUUUCCUCGUUGAAUCUAGAUAAUCGAGAAUAAUCUUCAAUCAAAAUACAUACAUAAAAAGCUCAUUAUCGGGAAUUCGAUACAUUGUGUCCUAACGCAUUGGAUACGACAUGUUGUUUUCUCGAGAUGAGGAUUUUUCUAAAAAAAAUAAUAAAGGCAAUAUUCCGUAUUUGGGAAAUUUGAGAGAUCGUGCCCUAACUUACUGGGUUUCGAUUUUUCUCCUUUAACCCAAAUAAUCAAAUAUCCUUCUCAAAAUGCAUAGGUUUUAAAAGUCAAAAGAUAAACUUAAUUUUGAAGAUUAAGAAUGUUGCGCCCUAACUCACUGGGUGUGACAUUUUAUCUCUUUGAAAUAAGAGUGUCUUAUCAUUUAAUUCAAUUUAUUCAAGGUUAAAAGGAUCGUAUUUUAAAACCUUUUCAAAAUUUCAACACUAAGACAUUAAGUAAUCAACUAGGUACCAAUUUUUGGGCGUUACGAGGGUGCUAAUCCUUCCUUGUACGUAACCGACUCCCGAACCUAUUUUUUUGAAUUUCGUGGACCAAAAUCAUUAUUUUAAUAAAAUCAAACCAUUUAUUAAAAACAACCACUUUUCGAGGUGACCCGAUCACACUUCAUCGAAAAAGAUCGGUGGCGACUCCCAUAUUCAUUUUCAUUUUCAAAAUCCAAAUUGACCCUGUUUUAUCAAAAAAUGGUGUCAACACUGCACAUGUUUUAUCUUGACAUAUGGAUCCUAAGCAUUCCUUGGAUUUUGCCCUCUUUGUUCAUUUAUUUUUUCUUGGAACCUUAUUACAUGUUGUACCAUUCCAGUUUUUUGGAGACAUUGAAGACGACUAACUGCUGAAUUCUUUCUUCUGCAGAGGAACCAAUGGCAAGAGACUCUAAAAAUCCUACUCUUUUUUAUACCUUCCUCACCUCUUUGUGACAUUAUAGCUGAAAAAUGAUGUAUGCUAAUACAUGAAAUGUUUCCUUUUGCCUUUCUUUUUGUAGUACUAAGACUACAAAUAGUGUCUGCAAAACUCUUUAGAGAAAAACAAAUGUCUGUAAAUCUCUUUUCCCGUAAUCUUAUCUUUUCCUCAUUGUAAUAGUUGGAAAACAGUUUUGUUGAAGACAAUGUCAACUACUGGGAUAAGUUAUUGUAAGCAUCUUUUCUUUAAGUGUUUCAUAUUAAAAACAAACACUGUUAUUGUUUAUUUUGUAGUCUAAAUUAUGAUAAUUUCUGCACAAAAUUCACAUAAAUGGUUACCGUCCCGAAGCGGAGCGAGGGUGAUGCUUACUAGUUAUUAAGAAAACAGGACCUUGUAGGGCUUAACUGUUGAAUCAAGAAAGAAAUUUCUUUUAAUGCUUUCAGUUUUUUUAAAGCUGAUUUUUUUUACAAAUUAAAGUUUGGAUUGUAUGUUAAUUGCUUGAGGGAAGGUCGGAUGCUUUAUUAUCCCUAUUUUUAUUUGUUAUAUAUUUUAGCCAUAAUGAUUUUUUUGGCCCUACAACUUUACCAAAAAAAUCAUAUUAGCUUUCAUUUAAUUUUCGUCUCUUUUAACCCUUUAACUUAUAUUUUUUUGUCAAAUCACCCCAAAAUGGAUCGAAAACUUAACAUUUGUGAACUUUGAUUAUGUGGCAUACACAUGAAUUGUCACAUGGAUGACAAGUCAACAUUUAGUUUUUUUUUUAAAAAAAAAAACUUAAAAAAUAUUAAAUAAAAUAUUUUUGAUAUUUUUUAAUGAUUUUUAAAUUAAAAAAAGUUUUUUAAUAUUUUUUAAUUUUUAAAAAUUAAUUAAAUGCAAACAUGGAAAUUCACAUCUAUGUGUCACAGGCCGCGGAUUAAAGCCCGUGACCAUUGUGCAUAGAACACCCCAUAGAGGUCAACUUAUUAAACAAGGUUCAUUUGACCCGCAUGAACUGGCCCGACCCAUGGAACCCGUGGAGAAGCCCAUCUACUUGAAGCCUUGGUGGUCUAGUGAAAUAUAGUUUAAUUUUUUUUAAACAUAGGGUAAGGGAAGAAGAAUGCCUUAAAAUUAAUUUUUGUUAGAAAACUAAUAAGAAUGAGUUUGUUGGUUUAGUGUUAAGGCCUUAUCCUAUCCAUAGAUCCCAAGUUUGAAUCCCUUGGUGAGCAUUCAACCAAAAUAUUUUUAUUUCCUUGUUUUUACCACACUAAAAGUGACAAAUUUUAAAAUAACCCAGCCCAAAAACUAUUUUUUUUUAAUUUUAGUCCUUAAUUUAAAAUUUUCCCAAACCUACAUAAAUUUUUAAAACCUAUUCCAAUUAGGAAAAAUAAGUAUUAUAAAUAGACAAUUUCAAAACAAACUCUAGAAUUUCAUCUAGCAAAUUUUCAAGAAAACAUCCAUAAACACUUUCUUUUCCAAAUCAAACUUUCAAGCUAAAGAAAUCAGAAUCUUCAAAAUCAUCCCUCAAGUAGAUCUUCAAUCUUUUCUCCAGCACUAAGGUUUCUAAGUAUUCAAAAUAGGUGUGGGAACUAAACCUAAAUCUUUGUGUAUAAUUGAAUCUAAUAGCAAGUAGAGAACCAGUAUAGGCUAACCCUAGGAGAAACCCCCUGUAUGUGCAAUCAUGUAGGUGUGAGCCUAUAGAUGCAAAACCCAUUGUACAUGAAAACCCCAUGCAUGCAAACCCUUACGUGAAACCCCCCUUUCAUGCGAACCCUGUAUGAAUACCAUGUGAACCCUAGAUUAUAGUUGCGAACCCUAGGUUGUUAUGUGGAUACCCAUACUGUGAACCCAAGUGCACAAACAUAUAGGAAUAUUCAUGCGAGCCCCCUUGCAUGCGAACCCUAGUUAGUGUACAUACGGGUCUCAUAUUUACAUGCAAACCACUACUAGUGCGAGUCAAUUAUAUGAUAUCACAUACGAACCCUACUAUUACAUGCAAACCUUUAUACAUGUUAUAUUCGAACCUUUUUUUGUUAAAACUGGUGAGACUUGUCUAGUAUUACAUACGACCUAAUUUGCGAACUCAUAUGUUAAAAGUAUGUGAACCUAUCUAUGUUUGUUAUGCGAGCUCACAUGUUAGCAGUAUGUGAACCUAUAUAUAUCAGUUAUGCAAACUCACAUGUUAGCAGUAUACGAACCAUAAGUCUGUUAUGCAAACUCACACGUUGGCAGUAUGCGAACCCUAUAUACACCUUUAUGCAAACUCACACAUUAACAGUAUGCGAACCCUAUAUACGCCUUUAUGCAAGCUCACACGUUAGCAGUAUGCGAACCCUAUAUACGCCUUCAUGCAAACUCAUAUGAUUUGCAGCAUGCGAUCUCUAUAUUUAUGCGAACCCUUGUAAUAAAAAAUAUGCGAACCUUAACUUGCGAACCCUUGGCAGGAACCCUGCACUCGCAAAGCCUUCUUCCGGACCUGUACAUAUGCUAGAUAACCAAGCCUAUUAGUUUACAUUAAAUCACUGUACAUAUGAGACUGUUUGUUUACUUGCACAAGUUAUAUGUGUAUUUACUAUUCGAUACAAGAGUACCUAUCGACCUUUUGAUGAGAAUUCAGAGAUUAACGAUGAUAAUUCCAACAAUCGGUGUAAGAACGAGUUAAAUCGAGAGUUGAUGUAAUUUAAGGUAAUAAAGUUAAUUUUUCAGUAAUAAAUGUAAAAUUGUUAUGGAAAGAAACGAUGGGUAAAAAAAAAAAUGAGAGUUUUAAAGAAAAGAGAGGAAAACUUCAAUUUAGGGUUGAAGAGGAACUAAAAAUCUACGUGAAAUUAGGAAAAAAUAUAAAAUACCUAGGAUUAAGAAAUUUGAGGGGGUUGAAUGGUAAAAUACCCUUUUUUCUUAAAAAUGAAAAAAAUGGAAAUGGGUAUUAAGUUUGGCACGACUUGAAACUUGGAAGCAAAGGAAAAAAUUACAAAGGCCUUACCAUUUGGGUUGCUACCCACAUUUGGCAUAUUUUUACACUAUUUAAAAUAUAUCCUAGCUUAGUUUUGAUCAUAGGUUGUUGAAAAAAAAAAACAAGGGGUAAGAGUGUGGCUUCAACCUUAAUUCUCUAGUUAGUAUACUAAGCUCUGAACCAUUAAAAUUAAGGCUCAUGUCUUAGUCAAUUAAUUCAUCUAACUCUAUAUAUUUUGAGGUAUUACAUCUUGAAUUAGAAAAACCCAUAAAAUGCAUGUAGACUUGUAUUGCUCGGUACUUGGUACUAUAUAUGUAGACUUGUAUGUUGAUUAAGCUAGCUUAAUUAAGACCAAUGUGUUAGACUUGUCUAUGCAUUGAACAAUCUAGAAGAAAAUGAAGAAAAAGACUCUGAAAAUACUUGAAAACAGAUAAAACUCAUAUGUCAUCGACUAGUUAAACUAUGAUCACCCAUAAUAGACCUUGUAUUUGACUUUUUGUUGAGGGAGAAGUUUCGUGAGUGUUGUUUGUCAGGGAGUCAGUGUUGCCCUAAACAACUAAAGGUAUUGUCCCCAUGUCGAGAUUUUACCCCCAGCCUCUGCAAAAUAAUCAUGAAGAAUACGUGCGAAGGAAUUCAAACACCAACCAAUGCAUGUGUAGCCUUUACCUUCCCACUAUCUUUGGGAACUCAUAAGGAUAAAAUCCCAACAAGAGAAUUGUAUCAGAGGGGUCUGUCAACACAAUGAAUGAAAUUUCAUACUUUUUUUUUAAUGAAAGUAAAUAUCAUAUUUAGUUAGAGAAAAGCAACGAAAAAUCUAACAAUAAAAUCCUUAGCAAAAGAUUAAAACACAAUUGUACCAUAAAUUAAAUAAGAAAUUAAAAAAAUUCAAAUCUAACAAAGACAGUAACUUGAUUCCUCAAAGCUACCACAAACAGUAAUUCAUAGGAAGGCCUGCUGCUCAUUUAUAACACAAACUUCAUGGUGACGGAUACCAACAUACUAGAUACUAUGAUUAAAAUGCUAGAAUAGAUUAAAAAUGUUGAAUUAAUGAUAAAAUUAAGAGUGAAUUAACACAAAGUACUCAUCCUCUCUUUUUAAUGAAUCAACAUCUGCAAUUUCUAUCACUCCUUUAGACAGUGAACUUUCCAUCCAAUGCCUUAUAGUCACUUCUUCAGCAAAAUAAUUAUCAGUUGGCUUUUUCUUUGUGAAAGUUUCUAUAAGGACAAUCCCAUAACUAUAGACAUCACAUUUUCUAGAAACAAUUCCUGCUGAUCCAAAUUCUGCAUUUCAAGCAUAAUUAGAGCAUCAUUAAUCCUUAAUUAUUUCUAAAAUGUUUAUUCAAAUAUACACAUGAAACAAAAAUAUAAAAUGAAAAUCAAGAAAAUAAUCAUAAAAAGAAUUCACCUGGUGCCAUAUACCCGAUAGUUGCAAGAGUCAUGGUUUGCUUCACUACAUCACCUUCUCCCAAAAGGUUGGAAAAGCCAAAAUCUCCCACAUGUGCAACCAUGUCUUUAUCUAGUAAAAUAUUGCUUGGUUUGAAGUCAGAAUGAAUCAUAGGUGUUGGAUGUCCGUUGUGGAGAUGUUCUAUAGCUGUCGCAACAUCUAUCAUUAUGUCAACCCUUUGUAUGAUAUCAAGGAAACAGUUUUUACAAUGUAGCCAUUUCUCAAGAUUUCCAUUUGACAUGUAAUCAAGCACCAAGGCUUUUUUAAAAAUAAAAUAAAAUAAACUUGGUAUCCAAAAUGUUUUUGUGUUGACAUGGCAUUUUUAAAAAUAAAAUAAACUAGGUAUCCGUGUAACAAAAAUAAAAUUGUAAUAUAUAGGCCUAAUUUUAGUAAAGAAUGUUAAUGAUGUUAAGAAUUCUUUAAAUUUCACAUAAUCAUUUUUAUUAGAAUAAAGUAUUUAGACUAACUAAUUAUAUUAUAAAAAUUAAGAUACCAAAUUAUGUCAAAAUUAAAGUUAUAGAUUAAAUCUCAAUUUUAACAUUCUUAUAAUUUAAAAAAGUAGAAGAUUGGAAUUAAAUAAAUUUAUAAUCCUUAAUUGUAAAUUUGAUAAUUCCUAUUAAUCUAAAUUAUUACAAUAAUGUGCUUACUAUGCUUGGUUUUACUCAAUGAGUGAUAUUAAAUUAAUUAAAAAAUUAGAUAAAAAUCAAAUAUCUUAUUUCUAAUAAUAAUAUUAUUACUCCCUCACAAAACUAUAUUUCACUUGAAAGAAAUUCUAUUCCCUUCAAAAAAAAAUUACCAUCUUAAAACACUUCCAUCUUUUAAAAAAUCUUAAUGCACACUUUAAUCCUUGAAUUAUAUCACUUUUUCAACUUUAGUCUUAAAUUUUUUUUAUUGAUUUUAGUCCCUAAUAUUAUUAAACGUUUCCAAUUUAGUUCAUUGGACAAUAAAAAUUGAUUGUCGUUGGGAUAUCCAACCAAUCAUACACUACCAAAUAUUGUACGAUGAUAUCAUUAUGACAUCAUCAACAAAAAAACCUUAAAAAUCUUUAAAAAUGAAAAAAAUUAUUAUAAUUAUUUAAAAAUAGAAAAAAAAUAAAAUUGUAAAAAUAAAAAAUCUAUGUAAAAUAUAAAAAUUUACAUAAAAUUUAAAAAUAUAUUAGAUAUUUUAAUAUCUUUAAAAUUUUAUAAAUCACAUUUACUAGAGUUUGAACCUAUGAUUAUUGUCAACAAUUGUUUUAUGACUCAAUUAAUCAUAAUUUAUAAUUGGUAGAUCUUUUUAUGUGAUAAACUUGGAUAAUUUUUUUUUCAAAUUAUUUAAAUAAUGAAAAGUAAUAUUAUUUCAAAUAAAUAAUAAAUUAUAUAAUAUUUAUAAUUAUUCCAAAUAUUUUUUUUUACUAUCUUAAGAUAAAUUAUUUGUCUCUAGACCAAUAUCUUAAGAACUAUUGUCGUGUGUUUAACUAUUCUAAAGAACUUUGGUAUAAAAUAGAAAAAGCAUGUGCACAAUGGUAAAUAGGGAGUCGAGUCAAAUAAACUUGUUGCCAGUAACGCUGGUAAAGUACUAAAAAUUGAUGUAUUUUAAAAUAUUAAAAUUUUGAUAUAAAAAUUUAUUCAAAUUUUUAUUAUAAUAAUUUUAAAUAAUUUUUUAUAAAAAUUGAUUGUAUUACAAUAUACAAUUUCAAUAUCAAAUUUUUAAUAUUUUAAAUGUGAUUAGCGAAUGUAUACUUUAUUUCAAGUUACAUAAUUUUUACCAGUAUUUUAAAUUUUUUAUUUUUUUACAAUCUUUUAUUAUUUCUAAUAUUUUUUAUAUUUUUUACAAUAUUUAAAAAUUUAUAAUAACUUUUAAUAAUUUUAUUGUUUUUAGAAAUUAAAAGAAUUAACAAUUUUUUAUUUUUUAAAAAAAUUAUAAAUUUAUAAUGUAGUUAAUUUUAUUUAAGUUUAUUUGAAUUUUAUGAUAUUUUUAAAAAAUAUUUUUUUAUUUUUGCAAUCGUGACAUCAGCAUAUGACACGUGGUAAUUUAUGAUCAGAUGAAUUUUUAGUUUUUUUUUUAACGUCCAAAGGAUUAAGCUGAGAACACCUGGUAACGUUAGGGACUACACUAAGAGCAUUUGAUAAUAUUAGGUACUAAAGUGGGCCAAAAAAACAUUAAGGACCAAAGCAAAAAAAAUGCUAUACUUGAACUUUCAAAAUUAUCUUUCAUUUAGUUAGGAUUAAUAUUUAAUGAUUUACUUAAAAAAUAGAAAUUUAAAAAUUUGUAGUAUUGAGGUUAAAAAAUGAGUAAGAGGUGGUGGAUGGUUCAUACAAUGGUGAGGCACAAAGAACCAUUUUAAAAUAAGAGAAGGGAGGGGUGCUUAUUCUUGAGGUUAAGAAUGAGUAUUUAUAGGUGAGGUUAAUCAUCCUUGAUCAUUAGACCUUGACAAGUGUUUGAUGCCAGUCUUAUCGUGGUUGGCCACUAAGGGAAUGAUGGACCUCUAGGUAGUGAUGGAAUUGACAUGAAUUAGAUGAGAUUAGGAUGACAAUUUGGAUUUUGAAUUCGGAUAAUAUUGGAAUUAAAAUUUUGAAAUUACUAUCUGUUGCAUAUUUGAAGUGAAUGCGGAAAGAUAUUUCAGAAUUAUAUUAGUCGAAUCUACUUUACUUAUUCGAAUAGAUGUAGAUUGGAAUUUAGAUAUCUGAAUCAACUAGUCACGAAAUGUGUAUAGUUUUGAUUAUAUAUAAAAAAAAUUUGGUGGAUUCAAUUUUGAAUUUUCGUGGAUUUGGAUAUCCAAAACAUGAUUGAAAUUUUUAAAAUUACUCCUUUUCUGUUGAUUCAGAUAUUUGACGAAUAAUAGUACUUAACUUAAGCCAAAUUUAGACAGUAAUACUCGGAUAAUUUGUAUAUAAUAAAUAAAUUUUGAUUUUCAAGCAAAUAUGCAUAUUCUAAUUCAAAAAAUGUAGUUACUAACCUAUUGCCAUUCCUAGGCAAGAGUACCCUACGUGUGAUCCAUGCACAGAAGGAUCCAACAUCUUUCACUGACGAGGUAGAUUAGAAGCGUCACGUACCAGGCAUAUAUGUAUCAAUGAGGUCUAUAGCUGGCAAAGUGUAGCCCACAACUGAAAUCAUAGUUGACGAGGUAGUAGUUGGGCGACAUGAUGGUGACAAAAGCCACUCUGGUAAAAUAUUAAUAGCAAUCACCCUCCAAUUAAUGAGAAGUUAUAAAAUGACCUAAUUAAAUGGUAGCAUAGUUUACCAUAAGUGUCAUAUGUGUUGUAAGGCAUGAGCUCAAACCCUACCAAACUCAAAUGAUCAAAUUUCCUUGGUAGGUGGUCAUACGUCACGUACCGUUUGUCCCAACAAGGCGCUCCCACUCUGUUGAACCUGUCACCUCUUUAGGUAGCUUUAGGCACUUGAGAUCUUUACAAAGUCGAGAGGUAAAAUUAUUGGAAAAAAAAAACUCGGUUUGAAAAUAGUUUUCUUACACAGUAGAAAAAUAAAAUUUUGAAAAUCGACCUGGUUUGUGAUAUUUAUAACAAAAAAACCUUAACUGAAUUCAUACAUGUGUUUUUGGAUAAGUGGAUCCUUGAUGUUUUCAGGCUUUCAACCAAAUGAUCUUUUGCACUAUUCUCGUACCACGAACUGCUUCGAGUGUGGCCUCGAACCAAUUGAAUCAAAACACAAAACUAGAAAAGGUUUUCCUUUUUGGGUGAAAACCAAAAUUCUCUCUUCUUUAAUAGAAAUCAGUAAAAUUAUUAUUAUGAAAAAUAUGUUUAUAAGUUGAGAAUAAAUUCUCUCUAUUUUUCGACAGAAUAAAAAUCUCUCAAAAGUUGUGUAAAUAGCUCUACUGGUGCCAUUUAUUUAUAGGAAGAGAAAGUAGAACCCUUGUAGAGUUGUAAAAGUUUAUAUCCACUAGAAAAAUAAUAUCCUAGCCUAUCUAGGAUAUAGGGAGCAACAACCGUAGUUAAUGAUACUAGGGUUUUGUCAUCCCACCUCUUUAUAUGAGGGGUUUUAGGCCUCUCUCACAUCAGAUCCAAGUACAAGUACUUCUUAAAUAUAAAUUUGAAUUUGAUAUAUUGAUUACAUAUGAAUUUAUAUAUUGUGAGUAAAAUUUUUAUUUGAUAUAUUAAUAAUGUAUAAAUUUAUAUAUUGUUAAUACAUCAUAUGUUUAAAAAAUCUAAUAAUUAUAUAUUAUUUUCAAUAAUUUUUAAAUUUAUUAAUUGAUUUAUUGGUAUAUUAAUAUUAUUUAUUAGUAAUAUGUAAAUUUAUACCCUGUCAAUUUAUGAAAUAACAUUUAGUGAGUGGAAUAUAUAUAAAAGAAGAUAUUCUAAAUCUUUCUAAAUUCUUCCUUAAAAUAGAAAAAGAAAUAAAUUGUUGAUAUAGAUAUGUUGAUAAGAUUUUCAUGUAGGGCUUUUCUGUAAUUCAUGAUUUUGUUACAUGCAUAAAUUGUAAUUGUGAUAUUUUAUAUUUUAUUUAUAUAAAUCAUGUUAAAUUUGAUUUAAAUUCCUUUUUUAAUUAUUUAUUCUUUUAAGAAAUUUCAAGUAUUCAAUAAAUAUUAAUGUAUACUUUUUCUUAAAUUGAUAUAAUAGUGAUAUCAGAUUAGUUUAAAAUUUUGCGUGUAUGACAAGUACAAUUAUAUCGAUAGAUUCAAUAGUCGGAUUAUUCAAAUAUUACUCCUACAAAUAUAUAUAUGAAGAAGUAUAAACUGCUUUAAUUUUACAUUGGUAUAAGUAGAUCUCUCUCUUACAUCUGUUGUAUAUAUGAAAUUUUGAUUUUGAUUCAAACGUACUCAUUUAAAGAAAUAAAUACAUCAAUUUAUUUUUAUAUUGAAUAAGUAUAAUUAUUUGGAUAUGCUAUAUAUAGAUGUAAAAUGAUGGUAUAUAAAUAACGAUGUUAGAUGUUUGUAAAAAUUGAAUCAAAUCAAUAUUUCAUGUAUAAAAUUGCACAAUGGACCAAAGUUCAUGUACAAUUUUGAUCUUUAUAUCUGAAAUUUAUUAAUGCAAAUUAUUUUCCAAAAGAUCACAUUGAGUAAGAUUAAUUUAAAUUUCAAUAUUUAAAUUUUUUCUCAUAUAGAAAUAUAAUUUUUUUAAAAGAAGUGUAUACUAAUUGUUGAAAGAUUUCCGACUCUUUUGGAAAGUCUUCGAAGUGGCAUAUUUUGAAGAUGGUGGACCCUCAACACGUCCAAUAUUAUCAUUGGUUAAGGUUUUUUUUGGAUCUAGUGUCCUAAGUGUAGUACUUUUCAUCAAUAUACAGUUGUAAAUUUUUUUAACAAAUUGGUUAAUAAAACAAAUUUAUUGAUUAUAUUAAUAUACUUUAUAUAAUUGUCCUAACAUAGUUUUUGCACGCAAAGCAAAAUGGAAGUAAAUGUUGCUCAUUGGUUGCCUAAAUAUUUAAUUAAUACUAAGCGGUAUUAUGUGUAUAAAAAGACAGCUUGUAUUAGUAGACAAACCUAAACAUGUCCUUAGCAUAAUUGGAAAUUAGUAAAUUGAUUGAAAGACUAAUAUGUCGUCUAUCAAGUGUAUUUGGGGAGAUGCCUUGUCUUGGGCAUCGAAGCAGAUGACUCCCAAAAGGUAGAGACAUAGAUGUGACUGACUGGACUGGUAGUAAAUUGGAUAGCACACAAACAGAAUAGAUCCUGAAUUCGUUUAUGGACUUAUUCACUUGUGAUGUCCAUAGUGUGGCAUACAUAAAUCUUGAAUGGAUAGCGGAGUACGUAUGUGUGACUUUUACACUUUGAUGUAAGUAAAAACAUAAGUUCAAUUAGAUAAGGAACCAGAAUCUGGUACAUUUGGUUUACGACUUCUAUAGUAUGUAGCAUCAUUCAUAAUAGUGAAAUUCAUAGCGCAAAACAUGGGUAAAUGAUAUCCUCUCAUUGACAUUACAUGGUUAAUGAAAAGUAAACGUGGCCACGGGUUGUCCGUCUUUGUGAUGGAAACUUGAUCACUAAUUGAUAAUGAUUGAUUUUUCACGAAAGAAGAUGUAAUGGCUACCAUGAGAUAAAAUAUGAUAUAUUGGGAGAACAAAUAUUAUCCCAAAGAGAUCAAGGAUAUCCUAUGAGGGUAACACACUAAUGACAAGGUUAUUGGACGAGCAUUAAGUAGUUGCUUUCGUAAUGGUAUGUCGUUGGGGAUAUUUCAUUCACGACACUAUAGUGGAAUGACUUCAUCACUAAAUGAUUUUAUAAUUAAUAGGUGAAAAAAAUAGAAUUUAAAUAUAAAUCAUUUGAGCCUCAACUUUAUAUGUCUACUCGGUCCCCCAACUGUUAGUUCAUUGAAACCAAAAAUUAAUUGCACGUUUGAAUGGAAAUCAGCGAAAUGGAUAGAAAAAGAGAAAUGAGAAACAUUCAGGAAUGAUUAUGGUUUCCUCUAAAAUGGAGAAAUGGAAUAAUUUGAAAAUGAAUGUAGGUUUCCAAAAACGGAAAUAGAAAUGAAAAUGGAAACUUGCAAUUUUAUAUAUGAUUACUUAAAAAAUGAUGGAAGAAUGAGUUUAUAUUUUUGGACUAUUUUGAAGCUCGAAAAUGAAAAUAAAUCAUUCAGUCAUAGUGAACAUAUUGAGUUGUGUCAUAUUAAACGAAUUUUCUUGAAAUUUUAUUGGAGGUAAAAUUGCCAAAAUUUUACUGGGUAAAAUUGUCGUGAGAAAAUAAUUUAAUAUGUAAAUAUUAAAAUUUAUUUUGGAAAUAGAAAAAUUGAAUCGGGUUGGACCAUAUUACAAAGUACUAGAUCAAAAAGGCCCAGAAAGUACUCGUACUUGGACCCGAUGUGAGAGAGGCCCAAAACCCCUCAUGUAAGGUGGGACGGCAAAAACCUAUUAACUAGGGUUGUCGACCCUUAUAUCUUAGAUAGGCUAGGAUAUUAUUUUUCUAGCGGAAAUAAACUUUUACAACUCUACAUGGGUUCUACUUUCUUCUCCUAUAAAUAGAUGGCACCAAUAGAGCUAUUUAUACAACUUUUGAGAGAUUAUUAUUCUACCGAAAAGUAGAGAGAAUUUAUUCUCAACUUAUAAACAUAUUUUUUAGAAUAACAAUUUUACCGAUUUCUAUUAAAGAAGAGAGAAUUUUCGUUUUCACCCUAAAAGGAAAACCUUUUCUAGUUUUGUGUUUUGAUUCAAUUGGUUUGAGCCCACACUCGAAGCAGUUCGUGGUACGAGAAUAGCGCAGAAGAUCGUUUGGUUGAAAGCCUAAAAACAUCAAGGAUUCACCCAUCUAAAAACACAUGUAUGAAUUCGGUUAAGUUUUUUUUGCUACAAAUAUCACAAACUGAGUUGAUUUUCAAAAUUUUAACUUUUGAUGUGCAAGAAAACCAUUUUCAAACUGAGUUUUUUUUUUCAACAGUUUUAUCUCUCAACUUUGUAAAGAGCUCAAGUGCCUAAAUCUACCUAAAGAGGUGAUAGGUUCAAUAGAGUAGGAGUGCCUUGUUGGGACAAACGGUACGUGAUGCAUGACCACCUACCAAGGAAAUUUGAGCAUUUGAGUUUGGCAGGGUUUGAGCUCAUGCCUUACAACAGAUAUGACACUUAUGGACAACUGCUACCAUUUAAUUAGGUCACUUUAUAAAUUCUCAUUAAUUGGAGGGCGAUUGCUAUUAAUAUUUUUCCAGAGUGGCUUUUGUCACCAUCACCUCGGCCAACUACAACCUCGUCAACUAUGACUUCAGUUGAGGGCUACACUUUGCCAGCUAUAGACCUCAUCAAUACAUAUAUGCCUAGUACACGAUACUUCUAAUAUACCUCGUUAGUGAAAGAUGUUGGAUCCUUCUAUGCAUGGAUCAUACGUAGGGUACUCUUGCUUAGGAAUGGCAAUAGGUUAGUAUCUACAUUUCUUGAAUUAUUAGAAUUUGGAUAUGCAUAUUUGCUUAAAAAUCAAAAUUUGCUUAUUAUGUAUAAAUCAUCUGAGUAUUACUAUCUAAAUUUGGCUUAAUUUAAGUACUAUUAUCUGUCAAAUAUCUGAAUUCGCAAAAAAAGAGCAAUUUUAAAAUUUUCAAUCAUUUUUUGGAUAUCCAAAUUCACGAAAAUUCAAAAUUGAAUCCACCAAAUUUUUUUAUAUAUAAUCAAAAAUAUACACAUUUCGUGACUAGUUGAUUUAGAUAUUGAAAUUCCAAUCUACAUCUGCUAUUCGAAUAAGUAAUGUUGUAACACCUUAAAUAAUUUAAGUUUGUUUUUGUGAAAUUUAACACAAAAUGUGUACUUGCUUCAGUGGUUAAGUGUUCUAGGUGUGUGUGUGAGGUAUUGGGUUCAAUUCCCACUUUUGGCAAAACUUUGUUAUUUUAUAUCCAAGCCUAACUCUUAUUGAGUAGGCUUAUGUUAAAUUGUUUGUUAAUCCAUAUCAGAAUAAGCUUGUUGGUUUGAGUGGUAAGGAGUUGGUGUGUAGGAGGUCCUGUUUUUGAAUCCCUACGUGAGCGUAGGUAUUAAUUUUUUCUCGGUUGUCUGAUAGAGUUUGAGUGGUCUUGAAAGUCUGAGGUUGUUAAGGCUGGGUGUUAGUCUGAAGUUAGGAUAUUGUGGGGGGGAUUUUUAUGUUGAUUAUUAUUAUUUUAUUUUAUUCCUUUUUCAAAUUUUCCUCUCUCUUUCCAAAAUUUCCCUUUAAUGUUAUUCUUCAAGUUUUUUUUAUUGUCUCUGAUAUUUUUCCCCCUUUUCAUUAAAUCUUUGUUUUGUUCUUCUUUUUUGAUUAUGUUCGUCAACCUAUCAUUCGAUCGUGCCAUUGGAGUUGUCGGGUUAUCUAAUCGGUUGGUAAGUAAAACUUUGCUUCCCUUUAACUUUUGAUUUGGGAUUAUAGUGAUUUCAAUAUGUAGCAAUUGAUUAGUGGAACUUCGUGUUUAGGAGAAGAUUAUGGAGCAAUGAAUUGCACUCCAACAGUUUAGUGUGCAUUGAAGUGGUUUGUCAUCGACGGUAAGUCAGUUUCGUGUUGUUUCUUGUUGUCAAAUUCAUUAAUCAAACUACUAAAUCAAUGUUGGGUACUUUAAUUUUAGGAUUUGGAAGGCUCGGGAGUAUUUUUGCAUUAAAAUCGUAAUAGGUGUGUCCCCAAAACAUAGAAAGUCAGGUUUCGAUAAAAGUCAAAAAUGCAUUUUGUCGAUGCGACAAGGGCAUGUGCCUGGUCAUGUGGCUAGUCGUGUGUGAGACACGGCCGUGUAUUUGACGAGGGUGUGGCUGUGCGCAAGCCACGGUCAUGUGGUAGUGUAAGUGUCGCUAUGUAGGCCAUACGGGCUAGGCCAGUCUAGGUUUGUGGGCCUACAUAGGCAUGCCACACGGACGUGUAGGCCCAUACGGCCAUGUAGGCCCACAAUUUUGAGAUUUUCCCUUAGGUCGCACGGUUCGUUUCGAACGAUUGUGGACCUACCAUAGGGUCAGUAAGGGCUAAUCAAACCCUAAAUUAUGUGAAAUGAUAUUUUGAUAGUUCGCCUUGUGUAGGAUGUCGAUAUGUACAUCUGUUUUAUUUACGUAUAUAUAUGCUAUCUGUAUAUGAGCAUGUUAUGCAUGAUAUUACUGUAUCUGUUAUUUCUGUAUUAUGUAUUUGUAAAUGGGGUGGGUUUUGUAUAUGUAGAGAAAGUGAUCUGUACGAUAACACUUCCAUUAUAUUUUGACAGUUGACUGCAUAUUAUUUGUAAUGUGUCGUAUUGACACUAUAUGGUGUGUAGGGAUGGGUGGGUGCUUUUAACCCUAUAUGGUAUGAUGGGAUAGUCGAAGAUGUUGUGUAGAGGAUGGGGGUAGGAUUCUGUAUAUCUGUACUACUUAUCUGAUUUUGUUAUCUGUAUCUGGAAUGGAUAUAAGUCCGGAUCUUGAUCUGACUGUAUAUAAGACUUCUAUUUGUAUUGCAUUUCUAUUUUUGUUAGGUUACACAAUAAGUUUACGAAACCUCACAUCUGUUUGUCUGUUCUGUUCAGGUCUAUAGACUUAGGCGGAUCAGUGUGACGGAGCCUCACAGUAACCACGAGAUUGUAAACUAUUUAAUAUUACGGUUUUUAUUUAAUUUAAGGAUUCUUUCUGGAAGUUUGUAAUAAUUGGACUUUCUAGAAUAUUUGACUUUUAUUUCAGUUUUGGAGGUGUUUUAACUUUUAUGGCCACGUUUGACCAAAUUCACGGUUUUACUAAAAUAAAGGAUUUUCUGAAUACACGAAUUAGAUUUCCAAGAUUCAAUGCUUUUUGAAAACUUCCGCUAUAGAUUAUGUUUUGGAAAAUGAAUGAAUUAAAUAACGCUUCUAGUAACAGAUAGUACACUUGGGGUGAUUUAUUGAACGACUAAACAAAGCUUUAUUAAAAGAUCACUAUUUUAAAAACCCUUCCAUGUAACACUCUUAGAUUAGGCCACAACGUCUAGGCCAGGAUUAGGGUGUUACAUUUAAUGGUAUCAGAGUUAGGUUACAAAACUCGAGCUGUGAAUUUUGGGUUUCAAAAUUAUGUUUUGAAAAAGAACAGGUUUUCAAAUAAUUUGGAUCAUUUUGAAUAAGUAUGUGGUACACUGAGUCUCCGGCAUUGAUCCUAUAAGUACUUUUGAACUUAGAUAAAACUUUCUGAAAACACUAUAGUUAGUACUUUCUGAAACUGUACUGAGUUAGUUAAAAAAUAAAAACUUUUGAAAUAUGUUCGAACUUCUGAUAAUUUGAGCAUGAAAUAUAUGUUAAUAAACAUUGGAGCUGAUGCAUAAAAUUUUAUAAUGUAGAUAAAUUUGAAAAUAUACGAUGAGCGCUUAUGGAACUUGCGGUCAUGGUAUUCGUGGGCUCAGUGGGAGCCGUAAGGGGCUGGAGCUGAGUCUUUUUCUCUGGGCAGUAUGCCAAACUUAGAUAUGAGUAAGCCACCAGUGUCACUUGCUACUGAGACAAGGUCUCAAAGCCACUUUGGUGGGGACGACGCACUAUCCCAAGCCAUGUUGAGGGUGUUGGAGAGGGUCAUUGGACCCCAUUCUGGAUCUGUGGGCCGUAGGACGGUAACUGAACGACUCUGGUCCAAUAGAGCUGAGUUGUUUAGGGGUGUCAUUGAAGUCGCCCCUAUUGUGGUCGAGUAUUGGUUGGAGGGCACAAAGAGGAUUAUGAACGACAUCGAUUGUACUCUUAAGUAGAAAUUUAAUGGUGCAGCCUCUCUACUUCGCGAUGAGGCAUAUCAGUGAUGGUUGUCGGUUGAGGAGGGUACUCAACGGGACUGUCUGAACUGGGAUUAUUUUAAGACUACCUUUCAGGGGAAGUAUGUGGGUGCAAGCUAUCUUGAUACUUGUAGGCGUGGGUUCAUGAAUCUCACGCAAGGUGAUAAAUCUGUGGCUAAGUAUGAGGCCGAGUUUCUAAGGUUAAGCCGCUACGCUUAAGGCAUGGUGGUGACUAAAUAUGAGAAAUUCAUCUAUUUUAAGGAUAGCUUGAGGUAUAAUCUGAGGGUAUUGAUUGCUCCACAGAGGGAAUGAGAGUUUGAGUUCUUGUGGAUAAGGUGAAGAUCGCCGAGGAGAUUAAGUGCGUGGAGCGCUAAAAUAGGGAUCGUGAGUGAGGCAAGAAUAAGAGGGAUUCAGAGCCCUCUAGUUCUGUUUAGAGGGCUAUUAGAGUAGGGGUUCCUAUUACUUCUAAUAGGAUUCAGCCACGUGAUGAUUGUGGUAGGCACCAUCCGGGUGAGUGUUAGAGGAGGUUGGGGGCUUGUUUGAGGUGUUGGUCUUUGGAGCACCACAUUAGAGAAUGUUCACUCCAUGCGGAUUAGAUGCAAGCUGUAGGAUCAAGUUUUAUACAACCUUAGAGGGCAGUUCAGCAGCCAUCUAAGGGUCGUGGUCCUACUAGGGGUGGUAAUGGUAUGGGUCGAGGACAUAGAAUAUCGGGAAAAGGUGUUAGUUAGAUUGAAUCCUAAAUUAGAGUUAAGUUUGGUUUGAAUCAAGCCUUAACUUUGACCAAAUCCAACUAAAAACACGUCUAACAAUUAUCUAGUAUUGUUUUUAUGAAUUGAAUUUUAACUUGUAAUUUUCAAUUUUAUUACAAAAUUUCUUUGCGGACGAUAAGAAAAUAACAUAUUUGUAACUUCUUCAACCCGGCGUAAAGGUUAAGUCUGAAUUUGGAUUACAUCAGCCAUAAAGAUGGCCUAGCAGGAUUAUCGGAGUUUUUAAAAACAAACAUCUUUAAAACGUUUGUUUAAUUUAUAGAAAAGCUUAUUUAAUUUCCAAAUUAUUUAUUACUUGAAAUCUUAAUUACACUUUAAAAGUAGGAAGUGGUAACUAUUUAUUUUUAAUAAAAUUCGGGGUUCAUGUAUAAUUGAUUAAUAACCGUAAUUCGAAAACAUUAAAACUUAAAUUAAAUGUCAUGCAAAACAAAACAAGCUUAAAUCUAAAUCUCAUGCCGCAGUUCAAAAUUAUUUAUUGUAGUCUUAGAAAAUAAAAACAAUCAUAUAAUGAACCUAAAUUUUUUAUUUUACUUUAAUAAUGUGUCAAGGUCUUACAGAUGUCACGCCUGCGUUCAAUCUUGGUGGGUUAUCUGUAAGGAUGAAAAUUUAAGGGGGAGUGAGCUAUGACGCUUAGUGUGAGUUCAUUCACAAUAAAUUCAAUGCAAACGGUUGGUAAGGCACAUUAAAUAACAUCGCAUAAAGUAAUCACAGUCAGAUAACAGUUUAGAAUGGCGAUUUUACAAUUUAACUACCAAUAUUAUCACAAUAUUCACAGCUGUAAUUUCAGAAUAUCAAAUUUCCACAUCAUUCACAAUACUAACAUAUAUAUAAAUAUAUCAUAAUAGAAUUCCAGAUUUGUAUGCACAUGAUUUAGAAGAUGCCAUACAAUUUUGGGUUUUAACAGAAUAAAUCCUACCCCACGUUACAUAUCAUAAUGGGAGUUCCCCUAAACUCCCUUCUCCAACACACUAGGUUGUGGAUAAACCACUACUCGUCCACAGAUAAUAACUAUCAUUUGGCUGUGGACACACAACAAAUCCCCACAGUUGGAUUCUAGCUUUGGCUGUGGGUUCACAGCCAAGAGUCCUGCAAAUGAAGCCUGUUUUUGCAUGUAGAUUAUACAACCUAUACCCGCAGUUGGAAUCUGUCUUUGGCUAUGGAUGCACUGUAACACCCCAAACCCGACCUGGACGUUAUGGCUCAAUCUUGACGUAAUGCCCCAAAAUUUCUAAUUUCGUUAUUGUGAAAAUAUGACACAAAAUAUUUGUCUGCUUUAGUGGUUAUGUGUUCUGGGAGUGUUUAGGAGGUCCCAAGUUCACGCCUUCACAUGGGAAAAUUUUGGUAUUUUGAAUGAAUUAGGUAUUACUCUUAUUCAGUAGGCUUUUAUUUGAUUGUUGGGUAAAUUAUAUUAGAAUGGGCUUGCUGGUCUAGUGGUUAAAUGGUUUAUUAUUAUGGUGGAGGUCUUGUGUUCAAGUCCCUAUGUAGGCAAGGGUAUUAUUAUUAUUAUUUGCUCAAAUUUCUGGAUAGAGUUGUGUAAUAGGGGGAUUCUGAGUAGUAGAUGUGUAGUGGGAAUUAGGGGAGAAGAUUAAGGAGUUUCAGGGGUUAUCGAGAUUUUAUUUUAUUUUUUCCCAUAACCGAAUUUUGACUUUCUUUUUCCAAAAAAAAUCUGCCAUCUAUUCUUCUCCCUCUCCUCUUGUUGAAAUUCUCUUAGUUUUUUCACCUUUCUCUUCUUUUUCUUCUUCUUGAUUUUUCCCUAAUCCAUUUAUUUUUCUUCAUUUUCGCACGCGGUUAGUUUUCGCUUAGUUUCGGUAAGUGUUUCUCUUCGUUUCUAUCAUGAAUCUCCUAGCGACUAAAGUGGUAACUUUUUUCUCUGUGAUUUGGGCGUAGGGGAAGGCUCGAACUGUUGAAUUCAGUAUUCUCGUCUUAACAAUAGUUAAAUGGAGGGUUAUUGUUGGUGGUAAGUUGGGUUUCUGUUCAUUCUUAGUUGUCAAUUUGCUUGUAAAUCUGUUAAAUUGAUGUUGAGUAUCUUGAUUAUAGGCUUUGGAGUGCUUGGGGACUGUUUUAGCAUCAAACAAAACCAGGUGUGUACCCGGGACGCAAAAAAAAGGGAUUCGAUCGAAAGCCGAAAUUGUUUGCUGUUUGGACAGUAGCAGUAGGCUAACUUUGAAAAAUCGCCAUAAAUUGUGGAAAUCGAAAUAGAGGAUGAAAAAAAUAUGAAAUUAAAUCUUAUUGAGUCUAGUUUCUCAUAGAAGAACGGUGUAAGUAAUGGAAUUUUAAAUCAUGAGAUAUAAUAAACUAUGUGAGACAAGGUCAGAAUAAAUUCGGGUUCCCUUGUUCUGACUUUGGAAAAUCAUCAAAAAUUGGAUAAAAAUAAUUAGGAAUUAAAAUUUACAUGUUUAAAUUAUUAAUUAGUCUUUUUUCAAUAGAAACAAAUGGGAACUUCAUCCAAAAUUUUUACUAAGAGAUAAUUAAUUUUUAGCAAUGAAGGGUCGAAGCUGUCAAACAGCAGAACAAGGGUAAGUUUGAAGAUUUUACCAUACUUAUUGGCUGAGCCAAAAAUUCUAAAAAUUUUAUGGUAGAAAGGUAUUUGAGUCUAUUUUCAAAUACAUCAAGUGAAUUUUAAUUAGGAAUUCUUUAGCUCAAGAUAUAAAUAAUUUAGUUACAGUGAGUCAAGUAGAAAGCUUUGAAGGAACACAUAAGUAAAUUGUGAUAACAUAUAUGAAUAUUUAGCUAGCACAGGUUACAUUGAAAAUGGAUCACGUAGCCAAGGCCAAUUUGGGCUGAGUGGGCCACAUGGGCAUGUGAGCCCAUUUUUCUAAAAAAUUCUGUAAGGUUGCACGGGUCGCCCAAGUCGACUAUGGACCUACUGUAGGGUCGGUAAGCUUUACUUAGACGCCUAUAUGUGUGAUCUAUCUGGCUGAUUUCUAUACCGAGCAUGACUUAUGAUAUUUGAAUGUAUGUACUUUUAAUUACAUAAUGGCAUGACAAAUUUUGUAUGUUGCAUUGCAUCGGAGUGGGUUGAUGAUAUUUGGAGGAAGUGUCUAAAAGGCUAUUAAGCCUGUUAUCUGGCAGCUCAGCUGCAACCUUCUGAUUAUGUGCGCAUUUCAGUACAACAUGGUGUGUAAGGAUGGGUGGGUUGAUCUAACCCCCACAUGGUGUGUAAGGUUGGACAAAGAUGUGCGUAGAGGCUGGUGGGUAGGAUUCUGAUUUACUGUAUCUACAUUAUGUAUCUGAUAUGGGCCAAGGCUCUAAUGUAUUUCUGAGACUGUAUCUAAACGGGCUAAGGCCCAAACUGAUUGUGUGAUGGGCCUAGGACCCAGACUGUAUCUAACUAAAUUCUGUUGAUUAUUUGUAUGCAUGAUUUCUAUGGGAAUUACACACUGAGUUUACGAAAACUCACCCUUUCUCUAUUUAAUCUGUACAGGUAAUCCCCAGACUUGAUGGGUCAGUGCAACAAAGGAUUCGACAGUGGCCACACGUAAAUUAUGGAUUGUUUUCCGUUAAUACCUAGAAUUUAUUAAUUAUUUGGGGUUUUUGAUGUAUCUUCUGGACUAUGGACUGGUUGGCUAACAUACCUUUUUGCAUUGCAUCAUGUGCACGACAUAUUCGAAUAUUAUUGGUUUAUGCUACGUAGUGUAUUUUGUUGUAUUGAAUGGUAUCAAAAUUAAUGAUUGUCACUCGAAUGAAUUAUGACCUAUGCUCAUACACUGUUUGACAUCAAUUUGAUAAUGGCUAUGUAACGAUAUGAAAUUCCUAUAAUGGUUCUAUUUUCUUCUGUUAAAGCUAAUUAGUUUUACUGUAUUUGAUAUUUAUGUUUGUUUCAAUAAUUGUUCGACUCAUGCUGAGCUUUUCAUAAGCGCACCCCUAAUAUGUUAAACUUUUCAGGUAAACCUCGAAAUUAAGACCAGACUUGGCAUUCGAAGAAUCACCUUAGACCUUGAAUUAUUUUUCUAAUAAGUAUUAAUCAAUCUCUAAUGGUUUUCGUUUGUAAUUUUUAAUUAUAUCUAGUCUGUGGCUUGAUAACUUUUCUUCUGGGAUUUUUGCAUGCAUGGAUUACUCAAGCAUAAUAACCGGAUAAUGCAUGAUAUUAGGCUUAAGUAAAAUUUGAUAUUGUUCCCUAGAUUCCGCUGCAUUGCAAAGGAUUUGUUUUUGAAAAACAAAUUGAUAAGGUAACUAAGUUUUCAAAAUGACUUGAAAAAUGGUUUUUCCCCUGCAUUAGUUUAACAUCGAAUUUUUUUUAAAGGAGAGCAACAAGUAAAUGAUUUUUCUAAAACAACACUAUCAACAAUAAAAUGAAUUCUAAGUAUACACAACCUAAUGAAUGAAUGCUUUUAAGCUAACUUAAAGUACAACUAUGGUUUUCUCUAAAAUGAGUUUAUUUAAAGUUUUCAUAAGUAAUGUAAGUUAGCUUAGCCAUUUCGGUGGCUAAUGUAGCCUUCUCAUUCUAGCCAUAACGUCUAGGCCAGGUUUGGGAGGUUACAGUAUUGAUAGGAACUGUGGUAUAAAUUUUAUUUUGGACAUUCUUAAAUUGUUAUUUGGACUAAACUUUAGAAACUAUGGAUUUUAUACUGAGCCUAAAUUUACGAAGUUCAUGCGUGGUUUUUACGAAAAUGAAACUCAUAUGAAAUUUCAAAACCGUGAUGUUUUUAUUAACGCUCCAAUUUGAAAUUGUACAAGAAAUGUCAAUUUGAAUUAUUUUUGAAUGUUUUUUAUGCCAAUUAAAUAUUGUUUCAAAACAUAGCUAAGUAUUAUUUAAUUUCGUAAAGAUGAAGCAAACUCCGAACAAUCUAAAACUUCAAGGACUAGUUUGCAAUUUUUGUUUUUCCUCAAUUGUCUCCGGUUUGAUUCAAUUCUUGAUCUAUACAAUUAUUCCAUUCAAUUCAUCAAUAUUAAACAUUUAUACAUUAUGUCAUGUCAUGAAUGAACCUAGAUAAAUUCAUUUUUUGAUACCCUUAAAGUUUUACAUUUAUUUCAAUUUAGUCUCUAAAAUCGAAAUAGUCAUAACUUUAAAUUCUGAACUUCGGUUUGAAAAUCGACCUCAAUUUCAUUAUAGACUCUCUACUAUCCAUUAUUAUCAAAAUUUCACAUCAAUUUCACAAUUUAUUUACUUUAGUUAUUAUGUAAAAAAUUAACAACCAAACAUCACAAUUUAGUCAUUUUUCAUAAUUUAAGCUUAAAAUCUAUCAAUUUAAUACCAAUUUCUUCAAGAAAUCAACCAUGAUAACUAUAAAAAAAAUUAACAGUUUUGCAAAUUGAUACAUAGGUCAUUUAAAUCAAACUUUCAUGACCUCAGAAACACAAAAAAAAAUUAUACGAAAAUGAUUUAGAAAUGCAUACCAAUUGAGGACCGAAAGCUUGAAGCUCAAAAUGGCUUUUUCCCUUGAGGUUUUAUGUUGAUUAAAUGAUGAAGAAGAAGAAAUAAAGAUGACAACUUGCACUAAGUCACCUUUAUAUACUUAGAUUAAAUCUUAAUUAAUCAAAUUUAAUUAAUUAAAUCUUAAUUAAUUAACCUUAAUCACAAUUAAAAAAAAUUAGUAGAUGUUAACAUCAUCCUACACUAUUUGAUAUAACCAAAUGAUCUAUUUACCAUUUUGAACCUUUAGCUAAUUAGAAAUCUAUAGCGAUAAGACUUUUAAAAUUUAGUUUCUGUAUCUUAAUUAUGCAAUUAAUAGACAAAGUUGAAGGUUUAAAAUUUAAUGUUCUAUUAUACCAACUCUGUAAAUAUUCAUAUUUAAUAUUUACAGACCCGAAUUACGAAAAUGAGAUUUUGAAAUUGUAUUUUCCAAUACCACUGAAAAUCGAACAAUUACGUAACCUAUUUGCACCAAAGGGCCAAACAUGGCAAAUACUUGACAUGUAUGUCUUAAUAUCCUCAUCUAUUCUCUUCAAUAUAAUAACAUCCAAUAAUUGUUUCAUCCACUGUAACUAUCACGAAGAUUAGAUUUACCAAUACAGCCUACAAUUUGCAGAAGCGCGACAUUUUCAUUCUAGAGAAAGGUAUAAUUGAAACAAAAUUGAAAUAAAGAUUUCAAUACAGAAUCAACAGACAUUCCAGCUAAUACUUAUCAAUUAUUUGCAGCUUCAUUGCUCCAACUAAGAUGGUUUUUAGUCGAAUAUGGUAAAUGAAAUCAAUGAACACCAGCUACUUGAUGAACGAGUGAAUCAAAGUCCUGAUAUGUGCCGGCUUAUUGGUGAAAAAAUACAUGGGUUAGUUUUGCAGCAAUUCAUGAUCUUACAUUUUAUAACCUUUGCUUACAAUUAUUCACUGACUAAUCAUUCAAUGAAUGUAGGCCUCAAAUUUAGCCACUAAACUUUAUUCUUUAUUUUUAGAUACAUAUUAUUUGAUCACUUCAUACAGCCUAUUACUCAUAAUAACUUCCAAUUUCCCUUCUUUAGGUUAGUUGCAAAUGUACAGCUUUUUCUAGAAGAAGAAAAUUGUCAAGAGCCACCUGUUCAAGAGAGGCGCAAACAGAAUGUAACAAUACCUGACCUACUUACGGUACAGCCAAGUAAUCAUGUGUUUCUAUGCUAGAACAUUAAAUCAAUGACUACAAAUUUCAUGUCAUGGUUGUGUAUCAUUUAUGCCACUGAUGCUGCUAUUUUCUAUUCUAAUGCAUAAUAGGGAUUUAGUGUUUUUACCGUUAAAAUUGUGUCCUUUAAUUUUGGCUCUUUUCAAUUGUUGAUCAUGUCCACCUAUGCUUUAUUUUACUACUAUUGCUUUCUUCAAUGAUAGAUGAUUGAAUCGGUAGAAUUUUAUUAAUCCUCUACAUGUUUUAGCUUGAUAUGUGGAUCCUAAGCAUUCCUUGGAUUGUGCCCUCUUUGUUCAUUUAUUUUUUUUCCUGGAACCUUAUUACAUGUUGUAACACUCCAGUUUUUUGGAGACAUUGAAGACGACUAACUGCUGAAUUCUUUCUUCUGCAGAGGAACCAAUGGCAAGAGACUCUAAAACUCCUACUCUUUUUUAUACCUUCCUCACCUCUUUGUGACAUUAUAGCUGAAAAAUGAUGUAUGCUAAUACAUGAAAUGUUUCCUCUUGCCUUUCUUUUUGUAGUACUAAAACUACAAAUAGUGUCUGUAAAUCUCUUUUCCCGUAAUCUUAUCUUUUCCUCAUUGUAAUAGUUGGAAAACAGCUUUGUUGAAGACAAUGUCAACUACUGGGAUAAGUUACAAACACUGUUAUUGUUUAUUUUGUAGUCUAAAUUAUGAUAAUUUCUGCACAAAAUUCACAUAAAUGGUUACCCUCCCGAAGCGGAGCGAGGGUGAUGCUUACUAGUUAUUAAGAAAACAGGACCUUGUAGGGCUUAACUGUUGAAUCAAGAAAGAAAUUUCUUUUAAUGCCUUAAAAAAAAGAAAUUUCUUUUAAUGCCUUCAAUUUUUUUUAAAGCUGAUUUUUUUUUUACAAAUUAAAGUUUUGAUUGUAUGUUAAUUGCUUGAGGGAAGGUCGGAUACUUUAUUAUCCCUAUUUUUAUUUGUUAUAUAUUUUAACCAUACUGAUUUUUUUGGCCCUACAAUUUUACCAAAAAAAUCAUAUUAGCUUUCAUUUAAUUUUCGUCUCUUUUAACCCUUUAACUUGUAUUUUUUUUGUCAAAUCACCCCAAAAUGGAUCGAAAACUUUAACAUUUGUGAACUUUGAUUAUGUGACAUACACAUGAAUUGUCACAUGGAUGACAAGUCAACAUUUCUUUAAAAAAAAACUUAAAAAAUAUUAAAUAAAAUAUUUUUGAUAUUUUUUAAUGAUUUUUAAAUUAAAAAAAGUUUUUAAAUAUAUUUUAAUUUUUAAAAAUUAAUAAAACGCAGACAUGGAAAUUCACAUCUAUGUGUCACAGACCGUGGAUUAAAGCCUGUGACCAUUGCGCAUAGAACACCCCAUAGAAUUUUGGCUUUUUAUUUGGUCAAUCAUGUCCACCUAUGCUUUAUUUUUACUAUUAUUGCUUUCUUUAAUGAUAGAUGAUUGAAUCGGUAGAAUUUUAUUAAUCCUCUAUGUAAUAACCAAAUUUUUCCCGGGCCCAAUGCCAAACAAAUAAAACCCAAACCAAAUAAAUAAAAUAAGAGUCCAAAUUACAGUCCAUCAGAGCUCAAUUCAGACCAGCCCACUAUUCAAUCAGACUGGCCCAACACCCAAAUAACCUAACAACCCUAGCCCAACAAAAUCAGAAAAAUGAACAGCAAAAAAACCCUAGGUGCGCCGCACCUAGGUCUUCUGGCCUAACCGCCGUUGUUCGCCUAUCACCAGCCUCCACGCUGCCACCGCCGCAUGCGCACCAGGCCUCCUCCAUGUGUGUCUGACACCUGCAAAGAGAGUCACACGCAACAGUAGAAACAAAAACAAAAAACAAAUAGCAAAACGACAAAAAAAAUAAUGAUUAAGGAGUUCGUAAUCCGACUAUAAAAGCCCUAAUCUGUGACUUGUAAUUUUUUGACACACAUUAGAAAAUAAAAACCAAAAAAAAAAACUUUAAGGUGAUACUCAUUUCAUUUUAUUUUUGUUUUAUUUUAUUUUAUCAUUUUUAUCUUUUUAUUUCGAAAUAACAUAAAUAAAAAGGGGAGGCUGGGUUGCCGUUGCCAGAGCAUAUUUUGUGCUAAAGGGGGUUGCGCCGGAGGAAAAGAGGAAACUUUUCAGUUUCCCGCCGCCGUGAUGGCCAAACCUCUGACUGGCGCUUGGAGAAAGAAGGGGAGAGUUUGAGAGAAUUUUAGGUUUUUUGUUUAAUAAAAGUGAAAAAUGAAGAAUUCUGAAAAAAUUAAUAUUUAUAGCACCUAGAAAUGGCGUCGUUUUGGCCAGUUUCAUUUGGCCCCAAAAUGACACCAUUUAAUGGCCUAUACCGGCACAGUGACCCAACCCGGGGAAGGAUCCGAGCGUUUUGUGCUAUUGGGUAAUUUUCACAUUUGGUCCCUCUUAUUUUGUAGUGUUUUCAAAUUAGAUUUUAUUUAUUUUAAAUUUCAACUUACAUUUUUGUUUUUGUUUCACUUAGAUCCUGAACAAUGCGCAGCGUUUUGGGGGCGAGGAAAUAUUUCCAAUAUGGCCCCAUGUAAUCUGCAUAUUACACUUUAACCCCUCGUCUUGUUUAUAAUUCUAUUCUUUUCUUGUUAAUUUAGAUUCAAUUGCGAUUUAAUCUUUUGUUAAAACAUUUGUUUUCUUUAUUAAUUUAUUAACUAUUUUAUUAUUAUUUUAGUGGUAUAUUCGGUCAUAUUUUCAUUAUCUUAUUAUAUAUUAUCAUUUUGAGUUUUACUUAUAUUAUUAUUAUAAUUUAUAAUGUGUUAUUUUAUUAACUCAAUAUAACAUAUAUAUAUAUGUAUUUUUUUGUGGUUUUAUUUUUAUAAUAUAUUUUUUAAAUCCAUUUUUAUGCACUUUAUAUUUAAGUAUUUAUACAAUAAUAUUCUUAUAAUAUUUUUAUACAUGUACAAUUUAUAUAUAAUUAUUUCUUAUACGUGUAUAUAUACAUAAUAAAUCAUCGAUUACAUGUUAUUAUAUUAUUUCCACUUAUUUCAUAUAUAAUUUAUUUCUUUUAAAAUACUCUAUUAUAUACUUCAUUUAUUUCAACCUUUUAUGUGUAUCAUUAUAGAUAUACUAUUAUAUGAAGUUUUUCAAUCCCUAUGCAUUACUUAUUUAAAUUAAUAUAUGUAUAUUAUUUUAUGUAUUUAGAUUUAUUUUGUAUAUAAUAUCUACUUUUAAAUUUAUUUGGAUACUAUUAUUUUAAGUGGAAUUUAUUUUUAUCUAUAUUUUUUUUAUUUAUUUCAAUUUUUCAUAUAUGUAUAUAUUAUUUAUUUUAAAUUUAUUUUAAUCAUAAUUUCCCUUCUUUCAUAUUUCUUAAGUUUAAAAAAAAACUUGUACAAUUUCAUUUGGUGCUUUGAUUGUUUUUUAAUUCAUUAGCCUUUGAAUGUUAGCAUAAUACAUUAUGUGAGAUUAUUGCUCUUAUACGUAUUAUAUUGCUUAUUUUUAUUUACUAAUUAUUCGUAGAUCAUUAGAAUACAUUUUGGUUUACAAAUUAUCGCUUUGUAUUGUACAUUAAUAUUCAAUUGUUUUUUUAUUCGUUCGAAAGAUUACGUUUAAUAUCAUUUAAGUAUCAAAAUCGAUUUAUUCAAAAACUUUCAAGAUAACGUAAUAUUCUGUAUUUGGGAUAUUCGAGAGAAUUGAGCCUUAAUGUAUUGGGUUCCAAUUUUCCUCGUUGAAUCUAGAUAAUCGAGAAUAAUCUUCAAUCAAAAUACAUACAUAAAAAGCUCAUUAUCGGGAAUUCGAUACAUUGUGUCCUAACGCAUUGGAUACGACAUGUUGUUUUCUCGAGAUGAGGAUUUUUCUAAAAAAAAUAAUAAAGGCAAUAUUCCGUAUUUGGGAAAUUUGAGAGAUCGUGCCCUAACUUACUGGGUUUCGAUUUUUCUCCUUUAACCCAAAUAAUCAAAUAUCCUUCUCAAAAUGCAUAGGUUUUAAAAGUCAAAAGAUAAACUUAAUUUUGAAGAUUAAGAAUGUUGCGCCCUAACUCACUGGGUGUGACAUUUUAUCUCUUUGAAAUAAGAGUGUCUUAUCAUUUAAUUCAAUUUAUUCAAGGUUAAAAGGAUCGUAUUUUAAAACCUUUUCAAAAUUUCAACACUAAGACAUUAAGUAAUCAACUAGGUACCAAUUUUUGGGCGUUACGAGGGUGCUAAUCCUUCCUUGUACGUAACCGACUCCCGAACCUAUUUUUUUGAAUUUCGUGGACCAAAAUCAUUAUUUUAAUAAAAUCAAACCAUUUAUUAAAAACAACCACUUUUCGAGGUGACCCGAUCACACUUCAUCGAAAAAGAUCGGUGGCGACUCCCAUAUUCAUUUUCAUUUUCAAAAUCCAAAUUGACCCUGUUUUAUCAAAAAAUGGUGUCAACACUGCACAUGUUUUAUCUUGACAUAUGGAUCCUAAGCAUUCCUUGGAUUUUGCCCUCUUUGUUCAUUUAUUUUUUCUUGGAACCUUAUUACAUGUUGUACCAUUCCAGUUUUUUGGAGACAUUGAAGACGACUAACUGCUGAAUUCUUUCUUCUGCAGAGGAACCAAUGGCAAGAGACUCUAAAAAUCCUACUCUUUUUUAUACCUUCCUCACCUCUUUGUGACAUUAUAGCUGAAAAAUGAUGUAUGCUAAUACAUGAAAUGUUUCCUUUUGCCUUUCUUUUUGUAGUACUAAGACUACAAAUAGUGUCUGCAAAACUCUUUAGAGAAAAACAAAUGUCUGUAAAUCUCUUUUCCCGUAAUCUUAUCUUUUCCUCAUUGUAAUAGUUGGAAAACAGUUUUGUUGAAGACAAUGUCAACUACUGGGAUAAGUUAUUGUAAGCAUCUUUUCUUUAAGUGUUUCAUAUUAAAAACAAACACUGUUAUUGUUUAUUUUGUAGUCUAAAUUAUGAUAAUUUCUGCACAAAAUUCACAUAAAUGGUUACCGUCCCGAAGCGGAGCGAGGGUGAUGCUUACUAGUUAUUAAGAAAACAGGACCUUGUAGGGCUUAACUGUUGAAUCAAGAAAGAAAUUUCUUUUAAUGCUUUCAGUUUUUUUAAAGCUGAUUUUUUUUACAAAUUAAAGUUUGGAUUGUAUGUUAAUUGCUUGAGGGAAGGUCGGAUGCUUUAUUAUCCCUAUUUUUAUUUGUUAUAUAUUUUAGCCAUAAUGAUUUUUUUGGCCCUACAACUUUACCAAAAAAAUCAUAUUAGCUUUCAUUUAAUUUUCGUCUCUUUUAACCCUUUAACUUAUAUUUUUUUGUCAAAUCACCCCAAAAUGGAUCGAAAACUUAACAUUUGUGAACUUUGAUUAUGUGGCAUACACAUGAAUUGUCACAUGGAUGACAAGUCAACAUUUAGUUUUUUUUUUAAAAAAAAAAACUUAAAAAAUAUUAAAUAAAAUAUUUUUGAUAUUUUUUAAUGAUUUUUAAAUUAAAAAAAGUUUUUUAAUAUUUUUUAAUUUUUAAAAAUUAAUUAAAUGCAAACAUGGAAAUUCACAUCUAUGUGUCACAGGCCGCGGAUUAAAGCCCGUGACCAUUGUGCAUAGAACACCCCAUAGAGGUCAACUUAUUAAACAAGGUUCAUUUGACCCGCAUGAACUGGCCCGACCCAUGGAACCCGUGGAGAAGCCCAUCUACUUGAAGCCUUGGUGGUCUAGUGAAAUAUAGUUUAAUUUUUUUUAAACAUAGGGUAAGGGAAGAAGAAUGCCUUAAAAUUAAUUUUUGUUAGAAAACUAAUAAGAAUGAGUUUGUUGGUUUAGUGUUAAGGCCUUAUCCUAUCCAUAGAUCCCAAGUUUGAAUCCCUUGGUGAGCAUUCAACCAAAAUAUUUUUAUUUCCUUGUUUUUACCACACCAAAAGUGACAAAUUUUAAAAUAACCCAGCCCAAAAACUAUUUUUUUUUAAUUUUAGUCCUUAAUUUAAAAUUUUCCCAAACCUACAUAAAUUUUUAAAACCUAUUCCAAUUAGGAAAAAUAAGUAUUAUAAAUAGACAAUUUCAAAACAAACUCUAGAAUUUCAUCUAGCAAAUUUUCAAGAAAAAAUCCAUAAACACUUUCUUUUCCAAAUCAAACUUUCAAGCUAAAGAAAUCAGAAUCUUCAAAAUCAUCCCUCAAGUAGAUCUUCAAUCUUUUCUCCAGCACUAAGGUUUCUAAGUAUUCAAAAUAGGUGUGGGAACAAAACCUAAAUCUUUGUGUAUAAUUGAAUCUAAUAGCAAGUAGAGAACCAGUAUAGGCUAACCCUAGGAGAAACCCCCUGUAUGUGCAAUCAUGUAGGUGUGAGCCUAUAGAUGCAAAACCCCUUGUACAUGAAAACCCCAUGCAUGCAAACCCUUACGUGAAACCCCCCUUUCAUGCGAACCCUGUAUGAAUACCAUGUGAACCCUAGAUUAUAGUUGCGAACCCUAGGUUGUUAUGUGGAUACCCAUACUGUGAACCCAAGUGCACAAACAUAUAGGAAUAUUCAUGCGAGCCCCCUUGCAUGCGAACCCUAGUUAGUGUACAUACGGGUCUCAUAUUUACAUGCAAACCACUACUAGUGCGAGUCAAUUAUAUGAUAUCACAUACGAACCCUACUAUUACAUGCAAACCUUUAUACAUGUUAUAUUCGAACCUUUUUUUGUUAAAACAGGUGAGACUUGUCUAGUAUUACAUACGACCUAAUUUGCGAACUCAUAUGUUAAAAGUAUGUGAACCUAUCUAUGUUUGUUAUGCGAGCUCACAUGUUAGCAGUAUGUGAACCUAUAUAUAUCAGUUAUGCAAACUCACAUGUUAGCAGUAUACGAACCAUAAGUCUGUUAUGCAAACUCACACAUUGGCAGUAUGCGAACCCUAUAUACACCUUUAUGCAAACUCACACAUUAACAGUAUGCGAACCCUAUAUACGCCUCUAUGCAAACUCACACGUUAGCAGUAUGCGAACCCUAUAUACGCCUUCAUGCAAACUCAUAUGAUUUGCAGCAUGCGAUCUCUAUAUUUAUGCGAACCCUUGUAAUAAAAAAUAUGCGAACCUUAACUUGCGAACCCUUGGCAGGAACCCUGCACUCGCAAAGCCUUCUUCCGGACCUGUACAUAUGCUAGAUAACCAAGCCUAUUAGUUUACAUUAAAUCACUGUACAUAUGAGACUGUUUGUUUACUUGCACAAGUUAUAUGUGUAUUUACUAUUCGAUACAAGAGUACCUAUCGACCUUUUGAUGAGAAUUCAGAGAUUAACGAUGAUAAUUCCAACAAUCAGUGUAAGAACGAGUUAAAUCGAGAGUUGAUGUAAUUUAAGGUAAUAAAGUUAAUUUUUCAGUAAUAAAUGUAAAAUUGUUAUGGAAAGAAACGAUGGGUAAAAAAAAAUGAGAGUUUUAAAUAAAAGAGAGGAAAACUUCAAUUUAGGGUUGAAGAGGAACUAAAAAUUUACGUGAAAUUAGGAAAAAAUAUAAAAUACCUAGGAUUAAGAAAUUUGAGGGGGUUGAAUGGUAAAAUACCCUUUUUUCUUAAAAAUGAAAAAAAAUGGAAAUGGGUAUUAAGUUUGGCACGACUUGAACCUUGGAAGCAAAGGAAAAAAUUACAAAGGCCUUACCAUUUGGGUUGCUACCCACAUUUGGCAUUUUUUUACACUAUUUAAAAUAUAUCCUAGCUUAGUUUUGAUCAUAGGUUGUUGAAAAAAAAAAAAAGGGGUAAGAGUGUGGCUUCAACCUUAAUUCUCUAGUUAGUAUACUAAGCUCUGAACCAUUAAGAUUAAGGCCCAUGUCUUAGUCAAUUAAUUCAUCUAACUCUAUAUAUUUUGAGGUGUUACAUCUUGAAUUAGAAAAACCCAUAAAAUGCAUGUAGACUUGUAUUGCUCGGUACUUGGUAGUAUAUAUGUAGACUUGUAUGUUGAUUAAGCUAGCUUAAUUAAGACCAAUGUGUUAGACUUGUCUAUGCAUUGAACAAUCUAGAAGAAAAUGAAGAAAAAGACUCUGAAAACACUUGAAAACAGAUAAAACUCAUAUGUCAUCGACUAGUUAAACUAUGAUCACCCAUAAUAGACCUUGUAUUUGACUUUUUGUUGAGGGAGAAGUUUCGUGAGUGUUGUUUGUCAGGGAGUCAGUGUUGCCCUAAACAACUAAAGGUAUUGUCCCCAUGUCGAGAUUUUACCCCCAGCCUCUGCAAAAUAAUCAUGAAGAAUACGUGCGAAGGAAUUCAAACACCAACCAAUGCAUGUGUAGCCUUUACCUUCCCACUAUCUUUGGGAACUCAUAAGGAUAAAAUCCCAACAAGAGAAUUGUAUCAGAGGGGUCUGUCAACACAAUGAAUGAAAUUUCAUACUUUUUUUUUAAUGAAAGUAAAUAUCAUAUUUAGUUAGAGAAAAGCAACGAAAAAUCUAACAAUAAAAUCCUUAGCAAAAGAUUAAAACACAAUUGUACCAUAAAUUAAAUAAGAAAUUAAAAAAAUUCAAAUCUAACAAAGACAGUAACUUGAUUCCUCAAAGCUACCACAAACAGUAAUUCAUAGGAAGGCCUGCUGCUCAUUUAUAACACAAACUUCAUGGUGACGGAUACCAACAUACCAUCAACUGAAGUCAUAGUUGACGAGGUUGUAGUUGGCCGAGGUGAUGGUGACAAAAGCCACUCUGGAAAAAUAUUAAUAGCAAUCGCCCUCCAAUUAAUGAGAAUUUAUAAAGUGACCUAAUUAAAUGGUAGCAGUUGUCCAUAAGUGUCAUAUCUGUUGUAAGGCAUGAGCUCAAACCCUACCAAACUCAAAUGAUCAAAUUUCCUUGGUAGGUGGUCAUACGUCACGUACCGUUUGUCCCAACAAGGCGCUCCCACUCUGUUGAACCUCUCAUCUCUUUAGGUAGCUUUAGGCACUUGAGAUCUUUACAAAGUCGAGAGGUAAAAUUAUUGGAAAAAAAAACUCGGUUUGAAAAUGGUUUUCUUGCACAGUAGAAAAAUAAAAUUUUGAAAAUUGACUUGGUUUGUGAUAUUUAUAACAAAAAAAAACCUUAACUGAAUUCAUACAUGUGUUUUUGGAUAAGUGGAUCCUUGAUGUUUUCAGGCUUUCAACCAAACGAUCUUUUGCACUAUUCUCGUACCACGAUCUGCUUCGAGUGUGGCCUCGAACCAAUUGAAUCAAAACACAAAACUAGAAAAGGUUUUCCUUUUUGGGUGAAAACCAAAAUUCUCUCUUCUUUAAUAGAAAUCGGUAAAAUUAUUAUUAUGAAAAAUAUGUUUAUAAGUUGAGAAUAAAUUCUCUCUAUUUUUCGACAGAAUAAAAAUCUCUGAAAAGUUGUGUAAAUAGCUCUACUGGUGCCAUUUAUUUAUAAGAAGAGAAAGUAGAACCCUUGUAGAGUUGUAAAAGUUUAUAUCCACUAGAAAAAUAAUAUCCUAGCCUAUCUAGGAUAUAGGGAGCAACAACCCUAGUUAAUGAUACUAGGGUUUUGUCGUCCCACCUCCUUAUAUGAGGGGUUUUAGGCCUCUCUCACAUCAGGUCCAAGUACAAGUAAUUCUUAAAUAUAAAUUUGAAUUUGAUAUAUUGAUUACAUAUGAAUUUAUAUAUUGUGAGUAAAAUUUUUAUUUGAUAUAUUAAUAAUGUAUAAAUUUAUAUAUUGUUAAUACAUCAUAUGUUUAAAAAAUCUAAUAAUUAUAUAUUAUUUUCAAUAAUUUUUAAAUUUAUUAAUUGAUUUAUUGGUAUAUUAAUAUUAUUUAUUAGUAAUAUGUAAAUUUAUACCCUGUCAAUUUAUGAAAUAACAUUUAGUGAGUGGAAUAUAUAUAAAAGAAGAUAUUCUAAAUCUUUCUAAGAUUUCUAAUUCUUCCUUAAAAUAGAAAAAGAAAUAAAUUGUUGAUAUAGAUAUGUUGAUAAGAUUUUCAUGUAGGGCUUUUCUGUAAUUCAUGAUUUUGUUACAUGCAUAAAUUGUAAUUGUGAUAUUUUAUAUUUUAUUUAUAUAAAUCAUGUUAAAUUUGAUUUAAAUUCCUUUUUUAAUUAUUUAUUCUUUUAAGAAAUUUCAAGUAUUCAAUAAAUAUUAAUGUAUACUUUUUCUUAAAUUGAUAUAAUAGUGAUAUCAGAUUAGUUUAAAAUUUUGCGUGUAUGACAAGUACAAUUAUAUCGAUAGAUUCAAUAGUCGGAUUAUUCAAAUAUUACUCCUACAAAUAUAUAUUUGAAGAAGUAUAAACUGCUUUAAUUUUACACUGGUAUAAGUAGAUCUCUCUCUUACAUCUGUUGUAUAUAUGAAAUUUUGAUUUUGAUUCAAACGUACUCAUUUAAAGAAAUAAAUAUAUCAAUUUAUUUUUAUAUUGAAUAAGUAUAAUUAUUUGGAUAUGCAAUAUAUAGAUGUAAAAUGAUGGUAUAUAAAUAACGAUGUUAGAUGUUUGUGAAAAUUGAAUCAAAUCAAUAUUUCAUGUAUAAAAUUGCACAAUGGACCAAAGUUCAUGUACAAUUUUGAUCUUUAUAUCUGAAAUUUAUUAAUGCAAAUUAUUUUCCAAAAGAUCACAUUGAGUAAGUUUAAUUUAAAUUUCAAUAUUUAAAUUUUUUUCUCAUAUAGAAAUAUAAUUUUUUUAAAAGAAGUGUAUACUAAUUGUUGAAAGAUUUUCGACUCUUUUGGAAAGUCUUCGAAGUGGCAUAUUUUGAAGAUGGUGGACCCUCAACACGUCCAAUAUUAUCAUUGGUUAAGGUUUUUGUUGGAUCUAGUGUCCUAAGUGUAGUACUUUUCAUCAAUAUACAGUUGUAAAUUUUUUUAACAAAUUGGUUAAUAAAACAAAUUUAUUGAUUAUAUUAAUAUACUUUAUAUAAUUGUCCUAACAUAGUUUUUGCACGCAAAGCAAAAUGGAAGCAAAUGUUGCUCAUUGGUUGCCUAAAUAUUUAAUUAAUACUAAGCGGUAUUAUGUGUAUAAAAAGACAGCUUGUAUUAGUAGACAAACCUAAACAUGUCCUUAGCAUAAUUGGAAAUUAGUAAAUUGAUUGAAAGACUAAUAUGUCGUCUAUCAAGUGUAUUUGGGGAAAUGCCUUGUCUUGGGCAUCGAAACGGAUGACUCCCAAAAGGUAGAGACAUAGAUGUGACUGACUGGACUGGUAGUAAAUUGGAUAGGACACAAACAGAAUAGAUCCUGAAUUCGUUUAUGGACUUAUUCACUUGUGAUGUCCAUAGUGUGGCAUACAUAAAUCUUGAAUGGAUAGCGGAGUACGUAUGUGUGACUUUUACACUUUGAUGUAAGUAAAAACAUAAGUUCAAUUAGAUAAGGAACCAGAAUCUGGUACAUUUGGUUUACGACUUCUAUAGUAUGUAGCAUCAUUUAUAAUAGUGAAAUUCAUAGCGCAAAAAAUGGGUAAAUGAUAUCCUCUCAUUGACAUUACAUGGUUAAUGAAAAGUAAACGUGGCCACGGGUUGUCCGUCUUUGUGAUGGAAACUUGAUCACUAAUUGAUAAUGAUUGAUUUUUCACGAAAGAAGAUGUAAUGGCUACCAUGAGAUAAAAUAUGAUCAUAUUAGGAGAACAAAUAUUAUCCCAAAGAGAUCAAGGAUAUCCUAUGAGGGUAACACACUAAUGACAAGGUUAUUGGACGAGCAUUAAGUAGUUGCUUUCGUAAUGGUAUGUCGUUAGGGAUAUUUCAUUCACGACACUAUAGUGGAAUGACUUCGUGACUAAAUGAUUUUAUAAUUAAUAGGUGAAAAAAUAGAAUUUAAUUAUAAAUCAUUUGAGCCUCAAGUUUAUAUGUCUACUCGGUCCCCCAACUGUUAGUUCAUUGAAACCAAAAAUUAAUUGCACGUUUGAAUGGAAAUCAGCGAAAUGGAUAGAAAAAGAGAAAUGAGAAACAUUCAGGAAUGAUUAUGGUUUCCUCUAAAAUGGAGAAAUGGAAUAAUUUGAAAAUGAAUGUAGGUUUCCAAAAAUGGAAAUAGAAAUGAAAAUGGAAACUUGCAAUUUUAUAUAUGAUUACUUAAAAAAUGAUGGAAGAAUGAGUUUAUAUUUUUGGACUAUUUUGAAGCUCGAAAAUGAAAAUAAAUCAUUCAGUCAUAGUGAACAUAUUGAGUUGUGUCAUAUUAAACGAAUUUUCUUGAAAUUUUAUUGGAGGUAAAAUUGCCAAAAUUUUACUGGGUAAAAUUGUCGUGAGAAAAUAAUUUAAUAUGUAAAUAUUAAAAUUUAUUUUGGAAAUAGAAAAAUUGAAUUGGGUUGGACCAUAUUACAAAGUACUAGAUCAAAAAGGCCCAGAAAGUACUCGUACUUGGACCCGAUGUGAGAGAGGCCCAAAACCCCUCAUAUAAGGUGGGACGGCAAAACCCUAUUAACUAGGGUUGUCGACCCUUAUAUCCUAGAUAGGCUAGGAUAUUAUUUUUCUAGCAGAAAUAAACUUUUACAACUGUACAUGGGUUCUACUUUCUUCUCCUAUAAAUAGAUGGCACCAAUAGAGCUAUUUGUACAACUUUUGAGAGAUUAUUAUUCUACCGAAAAGUAGAGAGAAUUUAUUCUCAACUUAUAAACAUAUUUUUUAGAAUAACAAUUUUACCGAUUUCUAUUAAAAAAGAGAGAAUUUUCGUUUUCACCCUAAAAGGAAAACCUUUUCUAGUUUUGUGUUUUGAUUCAAUUGGUUUGAGCCCACACUCGAAGCAGUUCGUGGUACGAGAAUAGCGCAGAAGAUCGUUUGGUUGAAAGCCUAAAAACAUCAAGGAUUCACCCAUCUAAAAACACAUGUAUGAAUUCGGUUAAGUUUUUUUUGCUACAAAUAUCACAAACCGAGUUGAUUUUCAAAAUUUUAACUUUUGAUGUGCAAGAAAACCAUUUCCAAACUGAGUUUUUUUUCAACAGUUUUAUCUCUCAACUUUGUAAAGAGCUCAAGUGCCUAAAGCUACCUAAAGAGGUGACAGGUUCAAUAGAGUAGGAGUGCCUUGUUGGGACAAACGGUACGUGAUGCAUGACCACCUACCAAGGAAAUUUGAGUAUUUGAGUUUGGCAGGGUUUGAGCUCAUGCCUUACAACAGAUAUGACACUUAUGGACAACUGCUACCAUUUAAUUAGGUCACUUUAUAAAUUCUCAUUAAUUGGAGGGCGAUUGCUAUUAAUAUUUUUCCAGAGUGGCUUUUGUCACCAUCACCUCGGCCAACUACAACCUCGUCAACUAUGACUUCAGUUGAUGGCUACACUUUGCCAGCUAUAGACCUCAUCAAUACAUAUAUGCCUAGUACAUGAUACUUCUAAUAUACCUCGUUAGUGAAAGAUGUUGGAUCCUUCUAUGCAUGGAUCACACGUAGGGUACUCUUGCUUAGGAAUGGCAAUAGGUUAGUAUCUACAUUUCUUGAAUUAUUAGAAUUUGGAUAUGCAUAUUUGCUUAAAAAUCAAAAUUUUUUUAUUAUCUAUAAAUCAUCUGAGUAUUACUAUCUAAAUUUGGCUUAAUUUAAGUACUAUUAUCUGUCAAAUAUCUGAAUCCACAAAAAAAGGGCAAUUUUAAAAUUUUCAAUCAUUUUUUGGAUAUCCAAAUUCACGAAAAUUCAAAAUUGAAUCCACCAAAUUUUUUUAUAUAUAAUCAAAACUAUACAUAUUUCGUGACUAGUUUAUUUAGAUAUUGAAAUUCCAAUCUACAUCUGCUAUUCGAAUAAGUAAUGUUGUAACACCUUAAAUAAUUUAAGUUUGUUUUUGUGAAAUUUAACACAAAAUGUGUACCUGCUUCAGUGGUUAAGUGUUCUAGGUGUGUGUGUGAGGUAUUGGGUUCAAUUCCCACUUUUGGCAAAACUUUGUUAUUUUAUAUCCAAGCCUAACUCUUAUUGAGUGGGCUUAUGUUAAUUGUUUGUUAAUCCAUAUCAGAAUAAGCUUGUUGGUUUGAGUGGUAAGGAGUUGGUGUGUAGGAGGUCUUGUUUUUGAAUCCCUACGUGAGUGUAGGUAUUAAUUUUUGCUCGGUUGUCUGAUAGAGUUUGAGUGGUCUUGAAAGUCUGAGGUUGUUAAGGUUGAGUGUUAGUCUGAAGUUAGGAUAUUGUGAGGGGAUUUUUAUGUUGAUUAUUAUUAUUUUAUUUUAUUCCUUUUUCAAAUUUUCCUCUCUCUUUCCAAAAUUUCCCUUUAAUGUUAUUCUUCAAGUUUUUUUUGUUGUCUCUGAUAUUUUUCCCCCUUUUCAUUAAAUCUUUAUUUUGUUCUUCUUUUUUGAUUAUGUUCGUCAACCUAUCAUUCGAUCGUGCCAUUGGAGUUGUCGGGUUAUCUAAUCGGUUGGUAAGUAAAACCUUGCUUCCCUUUAACUUUUGAUUUGGGAUUAUAGUGAUUUCAAUAUGUAGCAAUUGAUUAGUGGAACUUCGUGUUUAGGAGAAGAUUAUGGAGCAAUGAAUUGCACUCCAACAGUUUAGUGUGUAUUGAAGUGGUUUGUCAUCGACGGUAAGUCAGUUUCGUGUUGUUUCUUGUUGUCAAAUUCAUUAAUCAAACUACUAAAUCAAUGUUGGGUACUUUAAUUUUAGGAUUCGGAAGGCUCGGGAGUAUUUUUGCAUUAAAAUCGUAAUAGGUGUGUCCCCAAAACACAGAAAGUCAGGUUUCGAUAAAAGUCAAAAAUGCAUUUUGUCGAUGCGACAAGGGCAUGUGCCUGGUCGUGUGGCUAGUCCUGUGUGAGACACGGCCAUGUAUUUGACGAGGGUGUGGCUGUGCGCAAGCCACGGUCAUGUGGUAGUGUAAGUGUGGCUGUGUAGGCCAUACGGGCUAGGCCAGUCUAGGUUUGUGGGCCUACACAGGCAUGCCACACGGACGUGUAGGCCCAUACGGCCAUGUAGGCCCACAAUUUUGAGAUUUUCCCUUAGGUCGCACGGUUCGUUUCGAACGAUUGUGGACCUACCAUAGGGUCGGUAAGGGCUAAUCAAACCCUAAAUUAUGUGAAAUGAUAUUUUGAUCGUUCGCCUUGUGUAGGAUGUCAAUAUGUACAUCUGUUUUAUUUACGUAUAUAUAUGCUAUCUGUAUAUGAGCAUGUUAUGCAUGAUAUUACUGUAUCUGUUAUUUCUAUAUUAUGUAUCUGUAAUUGGGGUGGGUUUUGUAUAUGUAGAGAAAGUGAUCUGUACGAUAACACUUCCAUUAUAUUUUGACAGUUGACUGCAUAUUAUUUGUAAUGUGUCGCAUUGACACUAUAUGGUGUGUAGGGAUGGGUGGGUGCUUUUAACCCCAUAUGGUGUGAUGGGAUAGUCGAAGAUGUUGUGUAGAGGAUGGGGGUAGGAUUCUGUAUAUCUGUACUACUUAUCUGAUUUUGUUAUCUGUAUCUGGAAUGGAUAUAAGUCCGGAUCUUGAUCUGACUGUAUAUAAGACUUCUAUUUGUAUUGCAUGUCUAUUUUUGUUAGGUUACACAAUAAGUUUACGAAAACUCACAUCUGUUUGUCUGUUCUGUUUAGGUCUAUAGACUUAGGCGGAUCAGUGUGACGGAGCCUCACAGUAACCACGAGAUUGUAAACUAUUUAAGAUUACGGUUUUUAUUUAAUUUAAGGAUUCUUUCUGGAAGUUUGUAAUAAUUGGACUUUCUAGAAUAUUUGACUUUUAUUUCAGUUUUGGAGGUGUUUUAACUUUUAUGGCCACGUUUGACCAAAUUCACGGUUUUACUAAAAUAAAGGAUUUUCUGAAUACACGAAUUAAAUUUCCAAGAUUCAAUGCUUUUUGAAAACUUCCGCUGUAGAUUAUGUUUUGGAAAAUGAAUGAAUUAAAUAACGCUUCUAGUAACAGAUAGUACACUUGGGGUGAUUUAUCGAACGACUAAACAAAGCUUUAUUAAAAUAUCACUAUUUUAAAAACCCUUCCAUGUAACACUCUUAGAUUAGGCCACAACGUCUAGGCCAGGAUUAGGGUGUUACAUUUAAUGGUAUCAGAGUCAGGUUACAAAACUCGAGCUGUGAAUUUUGGGUUUCAAAAUUAUGUUUUGAAAAGAACAGGUUUUCAAAUAAUUUGGAUCAUUUUGAAUAAGUAUGUGGUACACUGAGUCUCCGGCGUUGAUCCUAUAAGUACUUUUGAACUUAGAUAAAACUUUCUGAAAACACUAUAGUUAGUACUUUCUGAAAUUGUACUGAGUUAGUUAAAAAAUAAAAACUUUUGAAAUAUGUUCGAACUUUUGAUAAUUUGAGCAUGAAAUAUAUGUUAAUAAACAUUGGAGCUGAUGCAUAAAAUUUUCUAAUGUAGAUAAAUUUGAAAAUAUACGAUGAGCGCUUGUGGAACUUGCGGUCAUGGUAUUCGUAGGCUCAGUGGGGGCCGUAAGGGGCUGGAGCUGAGUCUUUUUCUCUGGGCAGUAUGCCAAACUUAGAUAUGAGUAAGCCACCAGUGUCACUUGCUACUGAGACAAGGUCUCAAAGCCACUUGGCUGGGGACGACACACUAUCCCAAGCCAUGUUGAGGGUGUUGGAGAGGGUCACUGGACCCCAUUCUGGAUCUGUGGGCCGUAGGACGGUAACUGAACGACUCUGGUCCAAUAGAGCUGAGUUGUUUAGGGGUGUCAUUGAAGUCGCCCCUAUUGUGGUCGAGUAUUGCUUGGAGGGCACAAAGAGGAUUAUGAACGACAUCAAUUGUACUCCUAAGUAGAAAUUUAAUGGUGCAGCCUCUGUACUUCGCGAUGAGGCAUAUCAGUGGUGGUUGUCGGUUGAGGAGGGUACUCAACGGGACUGUCUGAACUGGGAUUAUUUUAAGACUACCUUUCAGGGGAAGUUUGUGGGCGCAAGCUAUGUUGAUACUUGUAGGCGUGGGUUCAUGAAUCUCACGCAAGGUGAUAAAUCUGUGGCUAAGUAUGAGGCCGAGUUUCUAAGGUUAAGCCGCUACGCUUGAGGCAUGGUGGUGACUAAAUAUGAGAAAUUCAUCUAUUUUAAGGAUAGCUUGAGGUAUAAUCUGAGGGUAUUGAUUGCUCCACAAAGGGAACGACAGUUCGCAGUUCUUGUGGAUAAGGUGAAGAUCGCCGAGGAGAUUAAGUGCGUGGAGCGCUAAAAUAGGGAUCGUGAGUGAGGCAAGAAUAAGAGGGAUUCAGAGCCCUCUAGUUCUGUUUAGAGGGCUAUUAGAGUAGGGGUUCCUAUUACUUCUAAUAGGAUUCAGCCACGUGAUGAUUGUGGUAGGCACCAUCCGGGUGAGUGUUAGAGGAGGUUAGGGGCUUGUUUGAGGUGUUGGUCUUUGGAGCACCACAUUAGAGAAUGUUCACUCCAUGCGGAUUAGAUGCAAGCUGUAGGAUCAAGUUUUAUACAACCUUAGAGGGCAGUUCAGCAGCCAUCUAAGGGUCGUGGUCCUACUAGGGGUGGUAAUGGUAUGGGUCGAGGACAUAGAAUAUCGGGAAAAGGUGUUAGUUAGAUUGAGGCAAGGCAGCCUGCACUGGUUUAUGCUACUCGAUGCCGAGAGGAUAGAGACGCUCCUGAUGUUAUCACAGGUACUUCUUUAUUUUUGGUGUUCCAUAUACUGCUCUGAUAGACAUAGGUUCUACUCAUUCCUAUGUAGGUAGUACUAUUUCUAAAAAUUUAGGGAUUUUUGGUGAGGGUACUUCUAGUGAAAUUAUUGUACUGAGUUCGUUGGGGCAGUCUGUUCAAGUAAGUAGGCUUUAUAGGAAUGUAACUUUGGAAGUACAAGGGAUUGUGUUUUCGGCAGAUCUGAUGGAGUUACUGUUUAGGGAGUUUGACUUAAUUUUGGAUAUAGAUUGGUUGGUUGAGCUUCGAGUUAGCUUGGAUUGCACGACUAAGAGGGUCAGUCUAAGGGCUGUGGAUGAAAGAGAGAUAGUAGUGAUCGGUGAGCAUCGAGAUUAUCUACUUAAUGUGAUCUCUGCUAUUGUGGCUGAAAAAUUGGUUCAGAAAGGGUGUGAGGCGUAUUUAGCUUACGUCAGUGUUCCAGUUUUUGGGGACUCUUCUGUCCGGGAUAUCAGAACAAUAAGGUAAUUUUUGGAUGUAUUUCUUGAGGAAUUAUCGGGUUUACCUCCGAAUUGAGAAGUUGAGUUCGAUAUUGAGCUUCUACCAGGUAUAGCUUCAGUGUCCAUCGCUCCCUAUCGAAUGGCAUCGAAGGAGCUUACAGAGCUUAAGGCUCAACUUCAAGAGCUUUUGCAUUGUGGUUUCAUCUAUCCUAGUGUGUCUCUAUGGGGGGCACCGAUUCUGUUUGUAAAGAAAAAGGAUGGUACCACAAGGAUGUGUAUUGACUACCUGCAGUUGAAUAAACUAACAGUAAAGAAUAAGUAUCCACUUUCGAGGAUUUAGGACUUGUUUGAUCAGUUCCGAGGGGCUGCAGUGUUUUCAAAAAUAGACCUUCGUUCUGGGUAUCAUCAGCUUAACAUUAGAUUUUCAAAUUUAAAAAUUAUUUUUUUUACAGCUGCAUAAUUAAUAAGAUAUCAAUUUUGAGUGCUGUAGAAGUGUUAUAACCUUCUCAACGCAUAACCAACUCUUGAAUUCACUUUUUUCUCUAAAAUUCUACAUAGAACACAAAUUUAUUUUUUAAAAGAAUUUUAAAUCUCACAAUUUUUUUAGGUGAUUCACCAAAGAAUAAAAAGAUAGGAGGUGAUUCCUCCUUUUUCAUAAAACCUUGUGCUUUUGCAAACACCAAAUUAUUGCUAAGCUUUACAUUAAUAGACAUGAUUUAUUUGUUCGUUAUUACUAUUUCUAUGAUUAUAAUACUAAACUUAUCGGACUACAAUCAUAACCAUGUUUAUUAUAAUUCAAUAAAAAGAAAUAAGUGUUGGGUGUAAUGGCAAGGUUCAUUACACUCUUAAUAAGAGAUCAGGGUUUUGGACAAAGGAAGAAUAUGAUUCGAAUUUUGGAGAUGCCAUUCUUAAAAUGAGCAACCACGAAGCCCGAUUAUGAACCAUAAAAUGAACAAGAAAAGUACAAAAAAUACGUCUAUUAUCAAAUUAGUAAUCCAUCCCAAGGCUUAAAUUAACAAAAUUCACCAUGCAACCGUGUAGACUAUUUUACGUAUAUACUAUAUUCAUUCUUCAUGCAAAAUGUUUAUUAUAUUUAAAAAUUAAAAUAUAUGGUUGAUUGAGUUUUAGUUGAGUUAAUAUUGAUAUUGUUGUUAGUGCAGAAGAAUGUGAGUUCAAUCAUGUUUAAACGCGUUUUUCUUUCAAUUUAGGAGUUGGAAAGGGUUCUCAAUAGUUAAAUUAUAUAAGUUUUUUUGUCUAUUUAAAAUUGAUUUAUAAACAAUAUAAAUAAAAAGAUUUAAAAUAUAUAUAUUCAUAUUGAUGGGCUUUUUCAUUAUUAGACUUUUUUCCUUACAGGUAAAAGUAUAUAUGGACAUGAUGAUGUAAAAUUAUGACCUGAAUAAUUUUAAACCUUUCAUCACUGCAAAAAUGAAAAUAAUAGAAAUGAAAGACUAGCCAUUGUAUGAAAUUUAUAAUUGAACUGCCAACAAAAUUGGGAGAAAUUUUUAAAUUUUAUGAAAUUUUAAAAUUAAACUAUCAAUAAUAGAAAAUUGCCUGAGUGACUUGGGAUUAGAGGUUGAACAUUUCUGGACCACAAUACAUUUAAGAUGGGUCUUUAAAGUUAUACUUUAGUUAUUGAGAACAUUUUCCACAAAUUGUCAUUAUUGUUUACUGCAGCAAAACAGGCUUUUAGCAUCGUUUUUUUAGGCCUAUAGCGGCGUUUUCACAAGAGUCGCAAAAAAUGCCACUAUAAAAAACGCUGUUAAAUUUUGCGGCGUUUUAGAACAUGACCUUUAGCGGCACUUUACCCACAAAUGCCACUGAAGAACAUGAUCUUUAGCGGCGCUUUCCCAUAAACACCACUAAAGAACUUGAUCUUUAGCGACACUUUUAUCACAAACGCCGCUAAAGAACAUGACCUUUAGCGGCGCUUUUAUCACAAACGCCGCUGAAGAGCAUGGCCUUUUGUGGUGCUUUUAUCACAAACGCCGUUAAAAGUACCAUUCUUUAGCGGCGUUUAUGAAAAAACACCACUAACUUUGGCAGAUUUGUAACAUCCAAUUUUCAUCCAUAUACAACCCUUCCUGUAGCAUGAAAUCCAACCAAAAACAACAAAUCUAAAUGAUACUUCAAAUUCUACAAAAGAUAUAUGAUAUAAAUUGAUAACUGAAGUAUAAUUCAAAAUAUUCUUACAAUAAUGUUAAAAGUUACAACGUUAAAAAUAUUCUUACGAUAAGAAAGCAAUGUCUAAGAUGGCGGAUUUUGCGACUGCUGAAACAUCUUCAUCAUAUUCUGAAGCUGUAGCUGGAGUGCGUAGUACUUUUUGACUGAAUAAACACAAAUCUAUUUUUCGACAGCUAUAUCAAAUUAGCUAUAAACCUUCAACAGGACCAGUACUUGCAAAAACCUCUUGGAGUAGUGGUUCAGCCCACCAACCUGCAGUUUCUCAAAAAUUAAAAUAAAAAAUUAAAAGUUAAAGAAAAAAUAGAAAAAAGAAGAGAUAAAUAAAACUAUAUAAGUAACUUUCUAAGUUGUUAAAAAGAUGCAAGAACAUGCAAGCAUCUAUCAGAUUCCAAAAACCAUUUAACUAGCAAUUAAAAGAGCCAUUAGCUUAGAAUUUUGCACAGAGGGUCAUAGCCACAUAUCCAAUCAGCAACUCAUGAAGGAAAGUGUCUCUAAUUCAUGCAGUUAUAAGCACAAAAGUGACUAGGGUAUGUGCUUAAGCAAGAAGGGGAAAUAAGAGACUCACAAUAUACAAAUAAAACAAAAUGGAAAAAAGGGGAAAAAGAAGUAAAAAAAACCUAGGCAAACACUCACACACUGCGGCAAGUACUUGGAUCAAAACCAUGAGGCAAAUUUCCACUUGGUAUUGGCUCUGUUUGUAGAAUAGAAAAGUGAAAAAUAAAAAAGAGGAGAAAAGAAGAAACGAUGUACAAAAAAUUCAAAUCCCACUCAACUCAAUUCUAAAGCCUCCAUAUCCAAGAAAAAGGAUGAGUUUUUGAAGAAAUCCAAUAGUCAACCUAAAUGAACAAACAAGAUGCUAACUACGACCAUGACAAAUGUAAGCAUCACUUCUCCUACUUUGGAAACACUUUCCACUUGAAAAGACAACAGACUUCCUUGCUUUUACUAUUAUCACAUUUUCCCCCUUCAUUUUUUUAGUGCCGACCAGAAAAAAAAUAUUUUAGCCUCAUCUAAAUAAGACAAAUUUCAGCAGAACAAUAGACAGUAGAUCAGACCCAAUUCAAGGGUAAUGUAGUCCAAAGUUCCUUGAACUCCCUCCUUCAAAGUGAAAAACAAAUCUAUAUCUUUCUGCAUGAUUCAAACAAAAAUGACUGUUGGACAUGUAACUCAGAAAGAAUGCAAAUACAUUGAAAGCACCACAGACUUUAUAAAUUAGCUUCAUGCUGCUAAAUUUCAACACUAUAAACCUAACAAAGCCCAGAAUGAAAUGCGGGAAUCAUGUCUUAAACUCUAAUACUCAAACAAGAGACAGAUAAAUUGCACGUUUUUUUAUAUAAUAUUUACAAACUAGAGAUAAAGAUAUAGAAAAAUAUAAACAUGGACAUGGACAAAAAGACUAAUUGACUGUGCAUGUGUGCCAAAGAGAUGGCAACUAAACAUUAUCCAAACACAAUCAUUUCUCAACAUUUGCAAAACAAAAUGAAGAUUAAGAUUAGCGGUAAACUAAAUAAAACCAAAGAAAUGAGAACCACAAGUAAAUGAGAAAGAAAACAAAAUAGAGAACCUAAUAGCUUUCCCAUUGAACUUCGUAUAAAAGAAAUAACAACAUUCGAACUUCAAGCAAAUAAAAAUGUAAAAUAUUUAGAAUCAAAACAAUCUUUUAUCAAAAUUCAAACCAAAAACAAUGAGCUUCACUCUAUACAAGAAGCAUGUUAACCUCAUAGGCUUUCUGAUUUCUGGAAACCAAAUCCAGAAACGUCUCCCACCAAAAAUCAAGAAAAUAAAUUUUGUUUUUAAAAAUUACAUUCAAAUCGUGAAAUAGGAGCAAGGUCCUUCGAAUUCAAGCAAAGUUGAUGGUAAAAGCUUAGCUUUCAAAGGUCAAACAUCACAGCAUUAAAUAUAAAACUAACCCAAUCUCCACCAAUUCAAAAACAAGAAACCAAACACGAACCAGAAGAUCCAAACACGAUUUCGAAAAAAAGAAAAAUAGAUAUUCCUGAAAACUGGAUCAAAAACUAGCAUAUACUUAAUAAAAAGAGAAAUUGACGGAAAAUCAUAGGAGAUCUGCAUGCAAAUAGAGGCACACUUUUGCUUGAUUAUUCGCUUAAAAAAGUAACAAUGGAAAAUAAGAUGCAAGUUCUAGGUAAAACCAUCAUGUCUUCUUACUCACCACAAACAAAGGCCCUCUAGGACCUUCAUGAAUUUUUGUCUCAUAAGUGCUUCUAUUGUGAGCCCGAACAGCUUGAUAGCCCACAAGAUAAGGAUAUCGAUCUUCAUCCUACAGAUUAACAAGGUUAAAUCCACUUAAAUGAAACACCAUUAGUCCAUAACAAUUUACUUCAAUUUUCUGCUGUUAGUUCAAAUAUGUAUUUUUUUUAAUUUGACAAAACUUGUUAGGAUCGAAUAUUCGGAAUUCCUAAAUUUCAAUUCAAAUUUACACCAUACUUGCAGAAAAAUAUACUACUAUUAGAGACACCGGCAAUCAACCAGAGUUCUUUAGUUUUCAAUCAAGUUAUUCGGCAGGAAUCUAUAUUGAUUACACAAAAAAAAAAUCAUACACCGUGAGAAUGUCGAGUAAAUUGCAAAUAGAAAAGCAAACGAACCCUAGAGGAGCUCCAAUACUUCUUCUCCCAAGGGCCUUUGUAUAGAGAUCCAAUGGAAAUGAUCUCUAGAUCGUCUAAUUUCGCUGUUUGUUCUGCUUCUUUAGUUUUUGCCAUUCAAAGAAAUGAGAAGAAAGCAAGAUUUCCAAACAACUAACAAUAAGCGAGUAGACAGAAUUUUCAAGAUAGAUGAAGAGAUGGCAUUUUAAAAUAGCGGGAACUAAAAUCUUGAAAUGCGUCAUUUCCCUCAAAAUUCUAAAUAAAAACUUUAUUUAAUUAGGAAAAAUGUGAAUCGAUUUUGGGAAAAAUAAGAGGAAAAAAAAAGAAGAUAUUUCAUUUGAAAUUUUGGGAUAAAAAAUAUAAUUACAAAACGACGCUGUUUUGCAAAAUAUAUAUUCGUGGCAUUUGGACCAAAAACGCUACUAUUGUUCAACUUUUUUGCGACGAUUGCAACAAAAACGCCGCUAUUGCUUACCUUUUGUGGCAUUUUUUUUAUAAACGCAGCUAACGCUCGACUUUUUUACAAUUUUUAUAUUGAAUUAUUGUAUCUUUCAUAUAAAUUUUAAAUAAAUAAUUUUUUAAAUUUUACGUAAUAUUUAAAAGAAUUAGAUAAAAUUAUAAUUUUUUAUUUUUUGUAUUUCAUUUUUAUUUUUGUAUUUCAUUUUUAUUUGUUAUAAUUUGGUCCUAUCCAAAAUAGAUAGUUACCUAUCCAUAUCAAUCUGUUACUUUUUUUAUUUAUUUAUCAAUGUUUUUUUAAAUCUAAUAUUUAAAUAUAUCAAAUGGUUUAGAUUAAAUAUUUUUAAAUAUAAAAGCAUUAAUUGAUUGUAUAAAAUUUCAUCAUUUAACAAAUCUCAAGUAAACCUUAAAUCCUAAACCAUUUAAUAUUUAUAAAGUUUAUCUAUUAUCUCUUAUAUAAUUUAAACUAUAAUCAUAAUUUUAAUAUAUUAAAAUUAAUAUUAUCUCUUUUACAAUUAUAUAAGAAAUGAUUUAAUAUAUAAAUUAAAAAACACUAAUUAAUCUAAACUCUAAACCCCUAUCCCCUAUCCCCUAAACCUUAAAUCAUAAAACAUAACCCUUAACCCUUAACCCUUAACCCUUAAUCCUUAAUCCUUAACCCCUAAACCUUAAACCCCAACCCUUAAACCAAAAAUCAUAAACCAUAAACCAUAAUCCCUAAACCCAUAAUCCAUAAACCUUAAAAUAGUAACUCCUAAGCCAUAAACCAUAAACCAUAACCCUAAACCCUAAACUAUAAUGAUAAUUAAUUCAAUAUUUUAAAAUUAAUACUAUCUCUUUUACAAUUAUAUAAGAAAUUAUUUAAUAUAUAAAUUAAAAAACAAUAAGUCAUGAACCCAAAAAACUUUAAAAUUAUUUUAAAUAAUAGUAUUUUAAUUUUUUUCAUUUUUAACAAAUAUUUUCUAUGUUUUUACUUCCAAAAAUUGUCUACAUGUCAUUAUUUUUUUUUGAAGAAUUUAAAUAUUCAAUUAAAAAUAAAUUUUAUUUUAAUUAUAUAAAUAAACCAGUUAAAUAAUAAAUAGACAAAUAAAAUAUUUUUUGCGGCAUUUUUGAUAAAGUGCCGCUAAAGCUCGAUCUAUAGCAGCGUUUUACAAAAAAGCGUCGCUAAUGCCACUAAAGCUCAUUACUGAAUUUUUUGCGGCAUUUUUCAAAAAGCGCUGCUAAUGCUCGACCUAUAGUGGCGUUUUUCAAGAAGCGCCGCUAAUGCCACUAAAGCUCAACAUAAAGGUACUUGAGUCUAGUUUCAAAGACAUCAAGCGGAUAUUAAUUCGGAAUUCUGUAGCUCAAGAUAUAAAUUUAUGUUAAUCUUGUUAUCUUUCUUAUUUUAGAAUUGAUUACAUGAAAGUUAAUUGCUAAUACUAUUAGUUAAUUAUUAGUUUUCUUCAAAUCAAAUUAAAACCCGAAAGGUCCCUCUUUUUUUAUAUUAGUUUUAGUUUUCCAUUAAAUUUGUUUCUUUGUAAUAAAAUUAAAUUAUAGAAAUAACAUUAAAAUUUUAAAUAAAAAUAGUUCACAAUAAUUUAUUAUUUAAAAAACUCCCUGAAAUUUAAAAUUAUUGUUAUAAGUAUACCAUUAAAUUAUACAGAAUUUAAUUUUUCUUUCAAAUACUACAGUUAAUAAGGAAAGAGAAUAUAGUUCAUAUCAAUAAAACUUUAAAAAAGAAAUAUUGUUUAAUUAGUUAAUUUAAAAAUCAAUAGCGUCUAAAAACGGUCAGAAUGAAAUAUUAGAUUUUGUAAGAUUUCAUUAUUCUAAAAAAUAAAAUAUGACCAUGCUUAAAAAUUUUAUUAAAAAAGUUUUAAAUUUUAUAUAAAAAUAAAAAAAUAGUACUAAAAAUUUUUAUAAGCAAAUUUAAAUAUUAAUUAGUAAAUUUUUUUUGUAAUAUUUAUAUGUAUUUUCAUUCUUAUAAAUACUAUUAAAACUUUUUAAAAAAAUUUGAAUGCUAUUUAAAAACAUUAUUAAAAAUAAAAUAUUAUAUGAAAGUUAAAAUGAUCUAAAAACAUAUUUUAAAAAUUUAAAUACUUUAUAAAAUAUUUAAAACUGUUUAAAAAUUUCUAAACCCUAAAAAAAUAAUAAAAUAUAAUUCUUUCUAAGAAAUCAACAAAAAUAUAUUUAUAAUUGAACUCUCAACAAAAUUGUGAGAAAUAUUUAAAUUUUAUGAAAUUUUAUACUUAAACUGUCAAUAAUAGAAAAUUGCCUGAGUGACAUGGGAUAAGAGGUUCAACAUUUCUGGAUCACAUUGCAUUUAAGGCGGGUCUUUAGGGUUAUACUUUAGUUUUUUAGAACAUUUUCCACAAUUUGCCAUCAUUACUUGUGAGUGAUUUGUGGGGUAAGAGGUUGAACACUUCUGGAUCACAUUGCAUUUAAGACUGGUAUCAUUCAUAAAUUAUAUAUCUACAACAAGAAUGGUAGCCUCUUAUAUUAUAUUCAUGUAUCUAUUUUGCAUCUUUCAUUAUAAUAUGAUUUAGUAAUUUUAAUAUUUUUAUAGAAUAAUAUGAUUUAAAUUUUUUUGUAUUUUUCGUAAAAAUUAUAAUAAACUUACAAAAUGAUUUAAUGAUAUUUAAUUAUUAACGGAAAAAUUAUAUCAUAUAUAUUCUGUAUAUAUUAAGAUUCUGAAUUAUUAAUUAUAUAUCUACAUAUUAUAAUAAAUUCAUCUUUCAAAAUUUUCCUAAACUAUAUUCACAAUAUUAUAAAUAUAUUAUAUCAAAAAUAUUCUUUCAAAUGUUUUUUAAUGUUUAAUAAUAAAUUAAUUUAUAAAAUAUUCUUUCAAUAAAUUAACGUGAUGAGAUCGUUAAUUAGGUGCUUGGAUUUGGUGAUGGGGACGAAGAGAAAAGGGAUGGAAGUGAAGACAAAUGUUGGGAAAUUGAAAGGGUUAGCGAGGGAGGCCAGCGUGAAAGGUGGUUCUACGGAUAUGAACCUUCAAGCUUUUGUGGAUGAUGUUACUAAAGGUUAUUGCAAGUAAAUUUAAAAAUGUUUUUUAAUUAUUUUUUGUUAAAAAAUAUUUUUUUUUCUAUGUGGCUUUCCACAUUAGCAUGCUACCAUGUGGUAACUUCUAGUGAUUUCCGUCUGUAAUAUUAGACAGGUUAACAGUUAAACCAUUCAACUGACAAAUUUCGUUAAAGGAAGAGGUCAAUUAAUUUUUUUUGGACUCAUUGAGUACUCAAUUGGUGCAUUUUUUUAUAAAGACUAAAUUAAUUUUUUUAAUUUGUUAUUGCUGAGGGCUACAGUAAUAAAAAGUUUUGAGGUAAAAUUGGAAUAACGUCCCAAAAAUCUAAUACUUAAUUUUUAAAAUUUUAUCAUUAAUAAAUAUUUGUCUUAGUGAUUAAGUAUUUGAGUCGUGUUUAUAAGAUAUUGUAUUCAAGUUCCUACGUGAAUGGAUUGUUAUUAUUAUUAUUUUUUAAUUUUUGAGUUUGAGUCCAUUUCGAACUCUGGAAAAAGGUGGUUACUUAUCUGAGAUGGGGUUAGUGCUUAGUAGAUUUGGAUUUGGUUUAUUUUAAAAUUUAUUAAUUAAUUUGUUAAAAAAUUAAAUUAGUUUUUUCCUAAUUUUUGGCUCACCGUUCUUUCUCUUGUUUUUCUUUAUGCUUUCUUUUUCUUUUCUUUUUCUGUUACCUUUCAAAUCACGUCGAUUUGUUCCUAUUUCGCUUUUGAGUUUUUCUUUUCUUUCCUUUACGCUCCUCUACGAUCGUGUCUUAAUUCCUUCAUUAUUUUCUCUUUGUUGGCGUUGCUCGUUCGUAAGUGGGUUAGUUUCCGUUUUGAUGUAUUUUUACGUGGUUAGUAAAAGAAAUGUGUUAAUUUUUGGAUUAUGGAGUUGAUCGUUUUUAAUCAAUUCUCCAGUAAGUUGACUCGUUCGCUGUUAUUAUGUCCUAGGGUAAAGGAUUAACUCUGAUUUGGGCCCGUGUGGUUGUGUAGAUUUUUCAUGUGAAUUCGUUUGGUAUUUUUAGGAUAAAUCAUUCUUUAAGUCGUAUUGCUACCAUCGCUAAUGUGAUGUUUUAAUUUAUGCAUUUAGGAUUUGAUAGUCUUAUGGGUGUUUUCGUAUAAAAAUCAAACCAAGUGUGUAACGAAAAACCCGACAACAACGAGCGACGAAAGUCAAAAAAUUGCACUGUCGACACCACACGGCCGUGUGUCGGGCCGUGUGACAAGCCGUGUUUCAGACCGUGUGCGACAUAUUGUUUGGGCUAGUUGAGCCGUGUGGAACACACAGGUGUGUGUGAGGAUGUGUGCCACGCCAUGUGAGCCACACGGGCUGGCCAUUUAGGCCGUUUGAGACCAAAAUACUAAAUUUUUCCCUAGGGUUAUACACAUCGUUAUGAUCGAUCGUAGGCCUUUCGUGGGGUCGAUAUAUAAUCAAAUAGACUGUAAAGUAUGAAAUCCGGUCAACUAAUAGUAUAAAUUCUGAUAUCUGUUCAUAUAUUUGAGAUGUUAUUUGUUCAAUAAACCUUGUAAUAGGCUAUGAGAAACUUGAGAAAUAUUAUGUAUGCUUUGUAUCUGUUAUGUCAUACAUGUAUAACUGUAUUAUGUCUGAUUUUGUUCUAUUCUUUUCUGUAUUUGCAUUUGGGGUGGGUUAUAUUAUGUGGAGGAAGUGUUUCUUUGAAUGGCGAUAAUUCGCCUAUUACACUGGCAGCUCAGCUACAAAUAUUCUGAAAAGUGUUAUAUCGACACUAAAUGGUGUGUAAGGUUGGAUGAGUGUUUCAUACCCCAUAUGGUGUGUUGAGCUGGUCGGAGAUAGUGUGUAGCAGAUGGGGGUAGGAAUAUAUGUUUGUAUCUGUACUGCUCUGAUAUGAAUAUGUUCUGCUAAAUCUAUCUGAUAUAAAUUAACUGUUUAAAGUUAUUUGUUAUACAUUGAGUUUUGUAAACUCACUUUCUGUUUGUUUGAUAUUUUUAGGUAACCCUCAGACUUUGGCAAAUUGGUGCGAAGGAGCUCGGUUAAAUUGAUUUAGUUUCAUCAUCUAUUAUAAUCAAAUUUUGUGUUAUUGUGUUUCAUUAUUUUUGAACUUUUGGGACUUUUUGGACUGUUUUGGUUUUUGAGAUUUUAUUUUCAAUUUUUGCAUGAUAUUAUUAAAAAUGUUUUAUCGGAAAUGUCUGUUUUCUUGAAAAACAACUGAUUUCAAAAAAAUAAACUUAGUUUUCCAAACAUAAUGAUUUGAGAAUUUCCGCUGCUAAGUAUUCAUUUUAGAAAAUGUAAGCAAACAUCGUUUUCAACUACAAAGUUAAGUUAGAUGUAUUUUCUCUUAAAUCGAGGUUUAAGUAAUAAAAGAUUAUGUCAUUUUUCCAAAUUUUACGAAAAAUUGGAUUUACAAUUGUUUUAUGUAACAUCUCUAGAUUUGGCCAUAACGUCUAAGUCGGAUUUCGGGCGUUACAUUUUGUGAUAUCAGAGUCAGGUUGCAAAACUCGGGCUGUGAAAUUUUCGGUUCAAAAUUUUGUGAAAACUAUUUUUCGAGUAAAGUUCAUUUCUGCAUUAAUUUGAAAAAUUAAUUAUAUGAAGUAUCGAGUCUCUAACGUUGAUCCUGUAAGUACUUUUGACUUAGAUAAACUUUAGUUUAGAAAACUCUGAAAUGAUUAGAACUAUACUUGGAUAGUUAGAGACUGAAACAUCUUUAUAAAUUCUUUUGAUAACUUUUUGAGAACAAAAUAUCUGCUAAUAAAUACUAAAAUUGAUACAUAAAAUUCGUAAUGUAAGUAAUAUAUACGAUGAGUACUUGUGGAACAUGUGGAUGCGUUACCCGUAGGCGUGGCGGGCGCCGAAGAGGGGCUCGAGCUGAGUCAUCCUCGAUGGGUACCUGAUAGGCUAUUGCUGGAGAGAGCAAUAGUCUUGAGAGAAGAAAUGUUGAAGAUCGAAGUCAAAAUCUGACCUAUAAAGCCUUUAAUUGCUUGAAUGAUAAGCAUUUCUAAACUAAAAAGAUUACCGAUUUUUUCAGGAAUUUGACCUGCAGACAUAGUUGAAACAUCAAGGUGUUAAAUUACCUAUUUUGUUAGUGUAAAUCAAAGAGGCGUUUUAUUUUUUUCGUUUUGAAAUAAUAUGGAUAUGUUAGAUUCUAAUCAUAUUUAAGUAUAUAUUAGUUCUUGAAAGAAAGAGUUCUUAUUUUUGGUAUUUAUAUUGCAAAUAUAUUUUUUUAAAUUUAAAAAAGGGGGGGGGCAAAUGUGUUUAAAACUAAAGACAUCAAGGAAAAGGCAUACCUUCUAGGUUAUUUAACCCCAAGUAUAAUUGUUUAAGUUGUGUCAAAUUCCCAAUGCUUUUUGGAAUGAUCCCACUAAAUUGAUUAAUAGACAAUUCCAAAAUUUGAAGGUUGCAGCAUUUGUCUAUACUUGAUGGAAUAGAACUUGAUAAUUCAUUUCUACUCAAGUAAAGCUCUUUAAGCUUGGGAAGAUGGACACACUAAAUUGAUUAAUAGACAACUCCAAAAUUUAAAAGAUAUUCUGGCUUCGCCCUUAAUAAAAUUUUUGGAAAAAGAUUAAAAAAAAGUUAUACGGUAAAUGAAAAAAAGAAGAAAAUAACUUGAUGUCCAAAAGCUACCAUAAACAGUAAUUCGUGGGAAGGCUUGUUGCUCAUUUUAUUGGUUUCCAUUUUGAUUUUGCAAAAGAAGUUUGAAUUUUGAAGAGAGCAUACUACGUGAGAGCAAAAGAAAAAAUAUAGUUUAUUAAUUUUUACGAAUACCGACAUAUUAUAUAUACGAUUAAAAUUCAGAAUAGAUUAAAAAUGUUCAAUUAAAGAUAAAAUUAAAUGUGAAUUAAUAACCACAAGUCUACUCAUUACUCAUUACUCACCGUCUCUGUUAAAAAUGUUGGAUGUUGUUCAGCAACCUUUGUUUGAUUUUCUUCAGCUCAACCACAACAUCUUUCAUAUCUUUUCUUUCUUCUGGUAACUCAGCUGAACAAUUCAAAGCCAACUCCAUGAUAGAUGAAAUGCAAUUUGCUUUAACAACAAAGUACUCAUCGUCUCUUCUUAGUAAAUCAACAUCUGCAAUUUCUAUCGCUCCUUUAGGCAAUGAACUUUCCAUCCAAUGCCUUAUAGUCUCUUCUUCAACAAAAACAUUAUCAGUUGGCUUUUUCUUUGUAAAAGUUUCUAUAAGGACGAUCCCAAAACUAUAGACGUCAGAUUUUAUAGAAACAAUUCCUGCCGAUCCAAAUUCUGCAUUUCAAGUAUAAUUAGAACAUCAUUCAUCCUCAAUUAUUUCUAAAAUGCUUAUUCAAAUAUAUAUCCUCAUACACAUGAAACAAAAAUAUAAAAUGCAAAUUAGGAAAAUAAUCAUACAAAAAUAAAAAUGAAUUCACCUGGUGCCAUAUACCCGAUAGUUGCAAGAGUCAUGGUUUGCUUCAUUACUUCACCUUCCCCCAACAAUUUGACAAGGCCAAAAUCUCCAACAUGUGCAACCAUGUCUUCAUCUAGUAAAAUAUUGCUUGGUUUUAUGUCACAAUGAAUUGUAGGUGUUGGAUGUCCAUUGUGGAGGUGUUCUAUAGCUACCGCAACAUCUAUCAUUAUGUCGACCCUUUGUAUGAUAUCAAGGAAACAAUUUUCAGAAUGUAACCAUUUCUCAAGGUUUCCAUUAGACAUGUAAUCAAGCACCAAGGCUUUGAAGCCAACACUUGAGCAGCAAGUAACGACCUUCACAAUAUUACGAUGAACUACAUUACGCAUAGCAUCACAUUCAAUGUCAAAACUCCUAAAUGCUCCCUCUGUUUGCAAAUUGAAAACUUUUAUUGCAACUUCCAUUCCAUCCGAAAGCCUCCCUUUAUAUACAUAUCCAAAACUCCCUGAACAAAGCAUAUUGCUUUCCUUAAAUCCAUUAGUUGCUCGUGAAAGUUCAGCAUGUGAAAUUCUUCUCGGUGUUUUCAAAGACAACAAAUCAUCUUUAAUUGGUAGAGUUGUACUCCUUCUUUGGCAUCUUCUAUACAUAAUAGUUAAGACUAUUAGUACUACGACAACACCAAUUGUUGGUAAACCAUACCUAAAAGCAUGCAAUAUAAUCAUUUGGGAGUUUUUGUGGAUGUCGUUUUUGCAAGGUGGAACUAGAAAUCUAUGUGGACCACAAAGUGCAUAAUUCUUCAUGAAUGAUGUGCUAGAAAAGUUUGAAAAACAUCCUUUGCUGGGAAUUUCCCCUUCAAGUCUAUUGAAAGACACAUUAAAAUACUUUAGAUAUAAAAGCUUUUCCAAAGAUUUGGGAAUGACUCCAGAGAGAUUGUUAUUGCAUAAAUCCAAGAAUUCCAAACUAAUCAACCCAUCAAAUGAUUCAGGGAUAUGACCAUGUAGUAUAUUAUUUGAUAAAUCUAAUGAAACCAAAGUUUGAAGACCCCCAAAUGUGGAUAAGAUAUCACCCGUGAGAAGAUUCCUAGAUAAAUUUAGUUUCAGUAGACUCCUCAAAUUUCCAACAUCAAUAGCGUGUGAAUUGUGAAGAUGGUUUGAUGAUAAAUCUAUUUCUAAGAUAUCUUUAAGAUUCCACAAAGUUGAGGGAAUUGCGGAACUCAAUUUGUUGGAAUCUAAGCAAAGAUAUCCCAAAGAAGUAAUAUUACCUAAACAAGAGGGUAUGGAUCCAUGCAGCUUAUUCAACCCUAAACACAAGUUGUAUAGUCUCUCCAAACCACAGAGGCUUUCUGAGAUGGGCCCUCCUAAUUUAUUAGAGGAAAGAUCUAGACCUUGGAGAUUUCGCAGUCCUCCUAUUGAUGUUGGAAUGAAUCCACUUAAUUUAUUAGAGCCAAGUUCUAAACCGAACAUAUUGGUUAAGUUACCUAUUUCCAUAGGAAUAAUGCCUUGAAGCUCACACUCUUCGGCAUAAAAGUAUUGAAGGGAUUUUGAAAGGUUCCCAAUAUAAGUAGGAAGAACGCCACUCAAUGGAUUUCCUGAAACUUCUAUGUCUUUCAAAUUCUUACAAUUCGUCAAAGAAGAAAGAAAGCUCCACUCAUGAUCAGUAGCAGAUCCUGUGAUCAAAUUAUUGUCAAAGAUUUUGAGCACUUCAAGGUGUUUUAAGCUGCAAAGCAUUCUAGGGAUUGGGCCAGAGAAUAAGUUUUGUGACAAUUCUAGUUCCUUAAGCAUGGAAGCAUUGGAGAUAGAGUUGGGAAUGUUUCCGCUAAGUUUAUUUCUCCACAAUAAAAGAAUCUCAAGCUUUGGAGCAUUGGUGAUGGGUGGUAAAUUACCUGUAAAAUAGCAUCUUUUAGUAUACAUAUUCAUUGAAUACCAAAUUUACAAAAUAUAUAAUACAUUAAAAUAAAAACUGUACAACUUUAAAUCAAUUAAGAAUAGAAUUUUGGCAUGGAAAAAUGUGAUGAAAUCACUUAGAAAGUUGAGACAUAAUAAGAAGUUUUAAGUAGUAAUUAUUCCUUGUGAUUUGUAUAGAAAAAACAUAUAAUACACUAACAAUUUUUUAAAAAUAAAAAUAAAAGUUUGGCAUGAGAAUGUGGCAUCUAAUCCAUCUUAAAAAUGAGUCUGACACUGAAUAAUAAUUAGUUAUGAUUUGGGAAAAAAAUGUUAAAGCCAUUGUUUUUAAUGUAAACUGGUAUGAUUUUUAUCUAUUGGGUAUAUUAUUUAUUUUUAUUAAAUUAUAGUGUAAAAUUUAAAGAUUAUUAUUUGCUCAAAAUUUUUGUAUUUUUCGUAUAUUUGAAAUUUAAUCUUUAUAUUUUUUAUUUUCUGUGAUUUAGUCUCUCUACUUUUUGAAUUGUAAAUUUUAGGUUUAUUUAUUAAUGCUGUUAAAAAGUUUUUGUGUUAGUAUGGCAUUUUGAAAAAUAAAAUAAACUUGAUAUCUAUGUUUUUAAUUAUUCCAAAUAUUGUUUUACUAUUUCAAGAUAAAUUAUUUGUGUCUAGACCAAUAUCUUAAGAACUAUUAUUGCAUGUUUAAUUAUUCUAAAGAAUUGUCGAUUGAGUCUUAGCUUGAUUGGCAUGUGCAUUGUUGCCAAUGUAGGAGAAUGUGGGUUCAAGUAUGCUGAAGUGUAUUAUCCUUCUAUUUAUGAAUCAAGGAGUUGGCAAAGUAUUAUAUUUUGAUAUAUUUUAGAAUAUUAAAAAAUUAUUAAAAUAUUUUUUUAUAAAAAUUGGUUGUACCACAAUAUACAUCAAAUUUUUAAUUUUUUUAAAAAUAUUAGCGAAUUUAUAUUUUAUUUCAAGUUACACAAUUUUUACUAGUUUUUAACUUUUUUUUAAAAAUUUUUAUCGUCUUUCAUAAUUUCUAAUAAAUUUUUAUAUAUUUUUGACAAUAUUUAACAAUUUCUAACAAUUUUUAAUAAUUUUAUUAUUAAUUACAAAUUUAAAAAUUAACACAUUUUUAUUUUUUAAAACAAUUUUAUAUUUAUAAUGUAGUUGUUUUUUUUAUAAUUUUAUUUGAAAAUUUAAAGCUUUUUUGGUUUUUUUAAGAUAAUGAUGCCAUCAUGAUGUCAUCAUAUGCCACAUGGCAAUUUAUGAUUAGUUGGAUAUCUCAAUCUAUUUUUUUAACGUCCAAUUGACUAAACCAAGAACACCUGAUAAUGUUAGAGACUACACUAGAAAUGCUUGAUAAUAUUAGGUACUAAAGUGGGCAAAAACUCAUUAAGGACCAAAGUAAAAAAAAAAAAAGAGCAAUAUGCUGUAGGGAAUAAAUGCAUGAAUUUUGAGAAACUUUUGAACUAAUAAUUACAUAGUAAUUAUUAGUGAAUUUGUUAUUUUAAAUAUUUUUAUUACUUUUAGGAUUUAUCAUAUGUAUGGAUAAGAAUUUUGGUUUUACUAAAAUAUUUGGUUAAAUAAAUUCAUAAAAAAAUUUAGCAUCCUUAUAAAUAACAAUUUUGAUUCUAUUAAAAAAAUCAUUUUAAAAAAUAUAUAAUAAAAAUUUAAAAUUUAUAUUGAAUUACUUUAUACGUAAAUUAUUAUUAGAAACGUUAUCAUACACAUAUGUAUAUGAGAACUACGUAUUUAGAACAUAAAUUUAUGUUUGAAAAUAACUUAUGAUAAAUAAUGAAAUGUAUAAUUUGAAACUAUUUAAUAAUAACACAUGGCAUAUCUACCAUAUUAAAAAUAAAAAUAGAUUAAAUUGUAAGUAAAACAUAAUUUAAACAUAUGGAUACAUCAAAUUAAGAAUACUAAAUGAAUACAGUUAUUUAUGAUGAUGUUGUUGUCAAUUCUUAAGUUGGUGUCGAGUUAAUUUGUGACAUCAUAAUUUUAAGUGAUAAAUUUAAAGUUUUAUGUAUUGAUGUGGAUUCAAAUAUCACCAUAACUUUUUUAAAAUAAAAAAUUAAAUUCAACACAAUAAAAUGAAACAAAUUCAACACAAUGUUUUUGGAGUUUGCAAAAAAUUAAAGUGAAAAACAUACCUUCUAAUUUGUUGUCAUAUAGAACUAUUUCUUCGAGCGUAGUUGAAUUAAAAAUACUUGAUGGAAUCUGGCCUGCACACAUAGUCGAAAAUUGAAGUGAAAAAUACACCUUCUAAACUGUUCAACUAAAAAUACUUUAAGCAUAUUUUUUUUUCCAUCAAAUUAACUAUUUUGCCUUGAAUGAAAUAAAAUGCUCUUACUUUUGUUAUCUAUUACAAAUCAAACUCUUUUGUGAAUAAAAUAUUACCAGAUAAUUCAUUCCAACCCAGGUUAAGCCCUUCAAGCUUGGGAAGUUGUUGACACAUAUCAUUAGGCAAACUACCUGAUAGGCUAUUGCUGGAGAGGUCAAUGGUCUUCAGAGAAGAAAUGUUGAAGAUCGAAGUUGGAAUUUGACCUGUAAGGCCUUUAGUUGCUUCAAUAUCAAGCAGUUCCAAACCAAGAAGAUUACCGAUUUCCUUAGGAAUUUGACCUGCAGACAUAGUUGAAAAAUCAAUGUUUUUUAGCAUAUAUUUUUCAUCAAAUUAACUAUUUUUCUUCGAAUGAAAUAAAAAGUUCUUCCUUUUGUUAUCUAUUACAAAUUAAACUCUUUCAUAAAAAAAUACUUUAAAUUCAAGAAAUUAAGGAAAUUGAUUACCUUUUAGAUUAUUAAACCCUAAAUAUAAUUCCUGGAGUCGUGUUAGAUUUCCAAUACUUCUUGGAAUGAUCCCCAUAAAUUGAUUACCGAACAAUGACAAAUUUUUAAGGUUGUUGCAUUUGCCCAUGCCAAAUGGAAUGUAACCAGAUAAUUCAUUCCAACUCACGAAAAGCCCUUCAAGCUUGGGAAGAUGUUGACACAUAUCAUUAGGCAAAGUACCUGAUAGGCUAUUGCUGGAGAGAUCAAUAAUCUUCAGAGAAGAAAUCUUGAAGAUGGAAGAUGGAACCUGACCAGAUAAUUGAUUGAAUCCUAAGUUCAAGAUCCCUAGAUUAGACAUGUUAACAAGUGUUUCAGGGAUUGUGCCUGUAAAGUUAUUAUUUUUCAUUUGCAGCCUUCGAACUCUCUGUAAAUUCCCAAGCCAUGAUGGAAUUUCCCGAUUAAGACGGUUGUAGCUUAAUUGAAGGAUCCUCAAACGAUGCAAUUGGCCCAAUUCUUUAGAGAGAUGGCCAUAGAAAUGGUUGCUACUCAAGUCGAGAGAGACUAGAAAUGAAAGAUUUCCAAGGUGUGGAGGGAUAAUACCCCUAAGAUUCAUGCUUGUAAGAUUCAAUGCUAUAACUCUUUUAUGGAGGAUGCCACAAGAAACACCAAUCCAAUUGCAAACAGAGGUUGAGGCUGUCCAAUUGUCUGCCAAGACAUUUUGAGGACCGGCAAUGCGAUCCUUAAACUCGAGAAGUGCAAACUGAUCAGAGUUGAGAUUCCUGGCUGUCAUAGCCAAGCGAAGUACGGAACAUGGUAUGAAUAAAGCUAAGAGAAGAUGAAAGCAAGUGUUGUAGUUCAUGAUUGCAAGACGGAAUAAGGCAAGAAAAAAGGAAAAAAAAAGUAGGAAAAGGGAAGUUAAGUUGAUAAAAUAGUUUGGAUGAUGAAGAAAAGCCCAGAGAGCAUGCUUUAAUAUGUUUCAACCCUCGCACACUUGAUAAACUUGAUAAAUUUAAGACUACCCUAAAAAUUAAAAAGGAAAACAAAGUUUUGAUGAGAUUUCAAAAAAAAUGUCAAGUAUUCUUCUUUUAAAAAUACGUACAAAGAAGCGAAUUUUCAAAAUUUCUCCUAAAUUUUCUUCAAAUUACUCCACAUAAUCCAUUAAAAAAACUUAAAAAAUAUAUUUUAUUAAUUACUAUAUAUUCUUUUGUUUUCAUAAUAAUAAAUUGUUUAAAAUAUGCUAUUAGUGGCCGUAAUUUAAAGUUUAAAAAAAAAUCCAAUCCUCCUUUUUUUUAAUUUAAAAAUUCUAAUCCAAUCAUUUUUAAUUCCAUUAAAAAGUUUUCAACUUAAUAGAUUUUUUAUUAUCAAUCUUAUGCAACAUUAUAUGAAGGCAGUCUACUCAGCAUAUAUCCAAGUUUACAGAUUUUAAUAGAAAAUACUUACAAUCCUAAUGGUAGGACUAAGUUUUUUAAACUAGAAAAGUAAAAAAAAAAAAAACUUAAUUUUUAACUUUUUUAAGUACAAGGAUUAAAUUUUAAAUGUUGUCAAAGUACAAGCACUAACAAAAUAUUUUGAUCUAAUAAAUGUAAAAAAGCAUUUUAAACAAAAGAAGGUUGAAAUAAUCUAUUUGUCCUUAUACUUUGAUAAAAUUUGAGAUACCAUAAAAUUUGUAUCUUUUUUCGAAUUAUUUAAUGACAUUUCAACAUUUUCAUUCAAAAAAAAAUAUCAUUUUGAAUUUGAUCUUUUUCAAGAUGAAAUAUUGAAAUGAUGUUAAAUUAUUAGAAAGAGAUACAAGUUUCAUGGUGUCCCAAAUUCAUUUAAUCUUAUCUCUCUAAGAAAGCUGAAUUAAGAUAUUAAUGACAUCAUUUGAAACAAAGUUUUAGGUCAAAUUAUUCAUCUAUUCCUUGUAAUUGUUCUUUAAGGUGAAUUUCAUUAUUAUUCUUUUAUUUUCUUUGGCUUAAAUACACAAUUACUCCUAAUUUUAUCACAUUCUCCUUAAUUGGUAUUUAUAGUUUAUAAAAUUUUAUAAAUAUAUUAUUUUUUAAGAAAUUAUAAGAAGAUUACAAAAAUUCCAAAAUAAUAUAAAAAAGCUAAGAAAAACCUAGAAAUUCAAAAAAAAAAAUCAUGUUUUUACAAAUUGGAAAAUACCUAAAUUUACUUUUCAGCCCGUCCGAUGCUAUGAAAGAAGAAGAAAGAGAGUCUUUGCUAACAUUUUUUUUUCUUCGUCAUCUCUAUGUUUCUUGGCAAAUACAAUGAAAGAAGAACAAAGAAAACUGUUGGCUAUUUAUUUCCCAAUAAUCCUGAAAUUACUUGCCAUAGGCGUAGAAUUUGCUAACCAAUUUUCAAGCAAUCUGACAUGAAUUCUUGUUAAGUAUGACUCCUAUUUUCAGUCAAAUUUGAGAAAUAAUCUUCUAGUUAAUUCUGUUUAUUUGUUUCAAUCAAACACUGAUUAGUUUAGAUUAUUUUAUUAUUAUUUGACAUAUGAAUUUAGCCUAUAAAUAGGUUAUUUUACAACCUUAGAAAAUACACCCAAUAGAGUUUAGAACUCAUAACAUAUUUAGAGAAUUUUGUGUUUACGUUUUGAGAGUUCUUUGUUUUCGGAUUUUCGGGGUUUAGUUUUUAUCUCCAUCUCUUGUAUUCUUUGUUCUUUUGCCAUUAUAAUAAAAUUAUCUUUACCCGUGGUUUUUUAUCCUUUUUGGAGGAGUUUUUUCACGUUAAAUUUGUGUGUUCAAUUUCUCAAUUUAUUCCGCUAUUUUGUUACUUGUUGCUUAAUCGGGUCGAUCCCUAACAAUUCUCAAUCACAAUUAAUUGAAUUCAAGAUAUAUUUGGAUGAGAACACAAAUAUUUCAAUUUUACCACAAUCCAAUGUUUGGGAUGAUUUGGGAUAAGAACUCCAACAUUUUAAGAUCACAUUUUCUUUUAUAAUUUCAGGCUUAUCAACUAUUUUGAAAACAACAAAACGUCUUACACCAAAAACUAAAAAAUUAAAACGUCGACAUUAAAUUUGUUGGUAUGCAAUCAAUUUUAAGAUGGGUCUUGGAGUUAUAUAUCACUUUAGCAUUGACUUACUUUUCUACUCUUAGUCUUCUCCAAUAAGUUAAAUAUUUCAAUUUUAACAGCACUGACAGGUCUUUGGGGUAGGGUCCAGCAAAACUCAAUAGAAACAGAUGAUAUAGGCAGAGUUGGCUCGGCCAAGUCGAGUCGACUUGUUCAAAUUAGUUAAAUUAGUAAAUUUUAGGGUGCAGUUAGAACUUUUUUUUUUUUUUUGAGAUGCUAAUAUUAAAAAAUUUUAGUUGCUAAAACAAAAAAUUUAUAUUUAAAAAGGAAUAAAUUAAAUUAUUAAGUUUUUCAAGUUUCCAUUUAAUCAAAGGUUAAAAGGACUAAAUUGAAGCUUUUUAUUUUAAAGAAAGGCUGAAUGACAAAUUGCCCAAAGCCCAUGCCCCUAGCUAUAUGCCCCUGGUAAAAUCAAUUUUAAAAUUAGUUAUAAUAGUUGAAGCGAAUUGAUUAUUGAGUAUUGAAAUACAUAGUUCAACAAAAUAAACAAACUGACAAAUUUUGACCAAAAAAAAAAAUCAAAGGUGAUAAUAAUUAAAUUAUAAAAUUUAAAUUGAGAAAAUAGGGGAUUGAAUUUAUAAUUUUUAAAGUAUAAAGAAUGAAUUUAUAACUAACAUCAUAUUUUAACCACAUAAUAAAAGUAGUUAUGGAGAGGAUCAUGUAAAAUAAUGACCUGAAUAAUUUUAAACGUCUCAUCCUUGCAAAAAUGAAAUAAUAGAAAAGAAAGAGUAAAGAGUAGCCAUUUUAUGAAAUCUAUAAUUCCAACUGUGAAUAAAAUAUAAAUUUUAUGAAUGUGGACAAGCCAUUUUAUUUAUAAUUUUCUGUGUUUUUCUGACUUUUUUUUAAGUCAUUUUCUUUGUUUCCUAACCAAAAAGUUUGCCCAUCACUUUCAAUAUAAAUUUAAAUCUAAAUUUUCUUUUUAAAAUAUAAGUUACUCGUCACAAUUCAUCUUUCGAAAACAAUUUGCCAUCACUUUAACAUACACUAACUUUUCUAUGAUUAGUCCUUGGUUUGCUUUGGGUGCAAUCUUCCAACUAGCCACAUCCUUGGUUUUACUUUCCAACAAUUAGUGUAUCACGGGUUUUGUUUUCUUUAAAAAAAUAUUUUUGUGGAUAUUAGGAGAUAAUGAAAAUUAUUUUACUAUUAAAUUUUAAUAAAACUGGAAAAUAAGUAAUGUCUUUUAAGUGAUCACAAUUAAACAUUAGAUUUUUAAUUUUAAAAUUUUAAAAUUUUUUGAUAAUUGCAUAAUUAAUAAGGUACCAAUUUUUUGAUAAUGCUAUAAUCUUCUCCACACAUAAUCGACUCUUGAGCAUGAUGGAUCUAGACCUUAUCCUGUAUUCUCGUACCACAAAUUGCUUCGAGUGUGGGUUCAAACAAUCACAAAUUAAACACAAAAUCAGAAAUGAUUUAUUACUUUCAAUAGCAAAGUAAUUCUCUCUCAAUAGAAACCAACAGAAUUGUAAUUCCGAAAAAUAAAAUUUAUUUUUUGAAAAUAUAUUCUCACUACUUCCUAGCAUAAUAACAAUAUUUAAAACUUAUGUCUUGUGUUAAUAGCUCUACCAGUACUAUCCAUUUAUAGAGAGAGACACAAGAAUCCUGGUUGAAUUAGUAAAACACGAGUAAUAUUUAUUUCAUAGAAAACAAUAUUCUACCCUAAGUAGAUCAAGUUUGGAUGACGCAUGGGUCGAAGUUCAAUCUAAGAGAAAAAAAUAAAGGAAUUUUCUUUGUAAAGAAAAUUUGAGAUUGUACUAUUUUCGAAGUUAUAAAUAAAAUUAUAAGCCAAACUUUCAAGUCAAUUUUUGACUCGAAUUUUGUACGUACAAAUUUCUAAUACACUUGGUGGGACAUUCUUUGACUUUUAUCUAUUCUCUCAGAAAGUUAAAAGUUAAAAGUUGCAUUAAACUCAAAGAAGAUAAUCAUUAGUAAACCAGCUCACAAGCCUGCUCAAGCUAAUCCUACAACUCGUUCCACUUCAUCAUCAAACACCAAUGUUCUUGCUUAUCCUUAUGGAAUUAAACAAAAGACAAAAGCUCUUUAAGAGUUAUUUGAACAGACAAAAGAUUCAGACGUGUUGAGAUGGAAAGUGACAAUGCAAUGUUGAUUGAAGCUAUUCGUAACCGGUUGGCUACAAUAAGUAGUGUUGCUGAAGUAAGACAGAUUCACGAUUGGUGUUCUAAAAAUUGGGAAGUCAAAUUUUGAUAUAUUUAGUAGAAUGCCAAAAAAGUUGUUGAUUGCAUAGCUAAGGCAGAUGGAGGAGUAAUUGAGCAGCUAGUUUUUUGGAAGAUCCUCCGCAUUUUGUGAGAUGUUGGCUUGAAGAAAAUAUUAGACAAUCGCUGGUGACUUAUGAUAAUUUUCAUUUGGACUGAUGCUCGCUUAGUUUUCUAAGGUUAUGUUCAACCAAAAAAAAAUAAUUUAAAUAUGUCUAUAUUAUCAUAGAGUUAGCAUUUAGUGUAUAAAAAAAUAGUGUAUAAAAUUUUUUCAAUUGCAGUUUAGUUCCACAAAUACUGACGAUGAACCUUAAAACGAAAAUGAAAAUUACAAAAAGAAAAACAAACCACAUCUAUUAUCAAACCAGCAAUCCGUGUCUAAACUUAAAUUAACAAAAUUCAUCAUGCAACUCGGUACACUAUUUUAUAAUAUAUAUAUUAGAUUUAUUCUUGAUGCACAUGUUUUAUUAUAGUUAAAAAUUAAAAUAUAUGAUUAACUGAGUUUUAGUUGAGUUAGUAUUGGUAUUAUAUCAGUGUAGAAAAAUGUGAGUUCAAUCGUACUUAAAUAUGUAUCCUCCAACUCAACAGUUGGGAAAAGGUUAUUGAUAAUUAAAUUACACCAAUUUUUACAAUAUCUAAAAAGCAUUCAUAAACAUAUUCAUAUUGAUGGGCUCUUUCAUUAUUAAACUUUUUUUCUCUCACAAGUAAAAGUACUUGUGGUGAGGAUCAUGUAAAAUAAUAAACUGAAUAAUUUUAAACGUCUCAUCAUUGCUAAAAUGAAAUAAUAGAAAAGAAGACAUUUUAUGAAAUUUACAAUUCCAACUGUGAAUAAAAUAUAAAUUUAUGAAUGUGAACAAGCCAUUUUAUUUAUAAUUUUCUGUGUUUUUCUUCUUUUUCUGACUUUUUUUUAGUCAUUUUCUUUGUUUCCUAACCACCAUGAAAUUACUUGUCACAAUUCAUCUUUUUAAAUGAGAAGCAUUUUCCACAAUUUGCCAUCACUUUAACAUACACUAACUUUUCUAUGAUUAGUCCUUGGUUUGCUUGUCACCAUGAAAUUACUUGUCACAAUUUUCCACAAUCUUCCAACUAGCCUCAUCCUUGGUUUUACUUUCCAACAAUUAUUGUAUCCUUCUCAUUACUUGUACUUACCCGACUGAUAAAAAAUUCACUGAUCAAAUUAGUUCAAAGUUUUUUUUUUUUUUCUAAAUCAUGUGAAUUCACGAGUUUUUUUUCUUUAAAAAAUAUUUUUGUGGAUAUUAGGAGAUACUGAAAAUUAUUUUACUAUGAAAUUUUAAUAAAACUGGACAAUAAGUGAUUUAUUUAAAGGGAUCACAAUUAAACAUUAGAUUUUUAAUUUUUUAAUUUUAAAACUUUUUGACAAUUGCGUAAUUAAUAAGGUACUAAUUUUGAGCGUUGUAGGAGUGCUAUAAACUUCACUACGCAUAAUCGACUCUUAAAUCCACCUUUUUCUCUAGAAUUAUAACAAAUUUACAAAAUGAUUUAAUGAUAUUUAAUUAUUGACCGGUAAAAAAAUUAUAUCAUAUAAAUUCCGAAUUAUUAAUUAUAUAUCUACAUAUUAUAACCAAUUCAUCUUUCAAAAUUAUUUCCUUAUAAUUAAAGCAAAAAUUAUAUUUAUAAAAUUCUAAAUAUAUUAUAAUUCUUGUAAAUAUAUAUAUUUAUAUAUAUAAGUUCAAAUUGUAAUAGAGUUAACAUUUAAUGUAUAAAAAAUGUCUUGAAAAUUAUUAUUUUUUUCAAUUCCAAAAGAACUAUUCCAUUUAUAGAACCAUAAAACUUUAAAAAUAUAAACUCUAUUAAAUAAAAAUAAUAAUAUAUUUAAACAAUAAAUAUUGACUUUAUUUUAAAUUGACAUUAUCUAAUUCUUUUUAAUAAAUAUAGCUAAGCUUUACAUUAAUAUACAUGAUUUAUUUGUUCGUGGUUGUUAUUAUUAUUAUUAUUAUUAUUAUUAUUAUUUCUAUGAUUUUUAUAUCAUACUUAUCGGACUACAAUCAUAACCAUGUCUAUUAUCAUUUGAUAAAAAAAAUUAAGUGUUGAGUAUAAUGACAAGGCACGUUACACUCUUAAGGGGAGAUCAAGGUUUGGACAAGGGAAGAAUAUCAUUUAAAUUUUGGAGACAACAUUCUUUAAAUGAGCAACCACAAACCCCGAUUAUGAACCAUAAAACGAGCAUGAAAAGUACCCAAAAAAACAAGUUUAUUAUCAAAAUAGUAAUCCAUCCAAGGAUUAAAUUAACAAAAUUCACCAUCCAACCGUGUAGACUAUUAUAUAUAUAUAUACCAUAUUUAUUCUUCAUGCAAAUGUUUAUUAUAUUUAAAAAUUAAAAUAUAUGAUUGAUUGAGUUUUAGUUGAGUUAAUAUUGAUAUUAUUGUCAGUGCAAAAGAAUAUGAGUUCAAUCAUGUUUAAAUACAUUUUAUACUCCAAUUUAGGAGUUGGAGAGGAUUCUCAGUAGUUAAAUUAUAUCAGUUUUUGUCUAUUUAAAAUUGAUUUAUAAAUAAUAUAAGUAGAAAAUUUUAUAAAAAUAUACAUACUCAUAUUGAUUGGCUUUUUCAUUAUUAGACAUUUUUCCCCAUAGGUAAAAGUAUUUAUCGAAUUCAAAUUUUGGGUUUUAAAUAAGGGUUUUCGGAUUUUUUUUUAACAUUUGUGAGAGUUUUUGCCAAAUUUUAUGUUUUCAAAAACGCAUAACUAAGUUGAUUUUUAAUUAGUUUUUCAAAUGAGUCAAUGUAAUUCCUUAAAAAUCUAGUGAUAGCGUCUAGCCUGGGUUUGGGGGUGUUACACUGACGUUACUAAAGUUAAUCUUAAUCUAUUUAGUCUAGAUCUGAACAUUAAUAUUCUCUUCCAAUAAAAAUAAAGAUCAUCAAAUUAUUACAAUUGUGAAGCCAGACAAUCAUAUUAAAUAAGCAUAAAACUUAAUAAAUAAUUAGCGAAGAUUGAAACAAUCAAAGAAAAAAUAAAUUAAUUAACUAAGAAAUAAGGAUCCAUUAUUGUUUCAAGAAAACAGAGUUUAGUUCAUAUUGAGUUGAGAAAACCAAAAAUUAGAUUCAAAACAAACUUGUGAUAAGGGGAACAAUGUCAACAGAUCAUAUUCAAGUUGUUCGACUCGAGAAAGCAAGAUUCGGAUUUGACCUGAAAAGAAGAAACCAAACAGAUUAGGAAAACAAGAAAAAAACAAAGAAAAAAAAAUAAAAUGAGAAAUUUAAGAAUAAAGAAUAAAUAUUAAAAAAUAAUAAAGAAAUAAAUAAAUUAUAGAAUAAAAAGUGGCAGAUGGAAUGAAUAAAUGAUGGAUAUGACAUAUAGAUGGAUAAGUGUCUGAUAACCCUUGAAAAAAAGUUAUAUUUUGUUAGGGAUCGACCCGAUUAAGCAACAAGUAACAAAAAAAGGGAAUAAAUUGAGAAAUUGAACACACAAAUUUAACGUGAAAAAAACCUUCCGAAGAGGAUAAAAAAACCACGGGAAAAGAUAAAUUUACUAUAAUGGCAAAAGAACGAAGAGUACAAAAGAUGGAGAUAAAACUAAACUCCAAAAACCCGAAAAUAAAGAACCCUCAAAACGUAAACACAAAAUUCUCUAAAUGUGUUAUGAGUUCUAAUCUCUAAUGUGUGUCAACUAAGGUUGUAAAAGAGCCUAUUUAUAGGCUAAAUUCAUAUGUCAAAUAAUAAUAAAAUAAUCUAAACUAAUCAGUGUUUGACUGAAAUAAAUAAACAAAGUUUAACUAAAAGAUUAUUUUUUAAAUUUGACUGAAAAUAGGAGUCAUACUUAACAAAUCUCCACCUUGACUCAUAUUUCUACAAUGCCAUCUUUGCCAAAGCCCGCUACGAGCCUAUCUUGAACUAUACAGGGAAUUAACUGAGUCGAAUCUGUGCUUAGAAACUGGAAGACUUCUAGCUUUCGACUUGUACACUGCCAAAUCAAAACUAACCCGAGUUUGAUUUUCACGAACACAGUGUCCUAACUUUUCAAAACCUGCAUCCAAAAGAGAACCUCUCUUCAAUGAAACGGUCAUACAUUUUUCCCUCCUAUGACCAAGUUGCCUCUGCUCCAAACGAGUUGACUUCGACUCUGUAACAGACGAGGGAUGUCCGAUUUCACCGGUCAUUGUAGAACCUUCCAGAAUAUAAAGACUGCCAUUUCUUUUACCUUUGAACAAAAUGAGAGCUCCACGAGAUACUUUAAUGCUGCUCGACUCGAUGUUGAUUCUGCAUCAUUUCAAGUCUAAAAUACUCAAGGAGAUGAGAUUCUUUCGUAAAUUAGGUACAUACCUGACAUCUGAGAGUGUCCUAAUCGUCCCAUCGUGUGUCCUAAUUUUAACAGUACCAACACCAAUUACCUUACUAGAUGAAUUGUUUCCCAUGCGCACAACUCCACCUUCAACCGAACUGUAUGUGGAGAACCAUUCUCUAUUGGGACACAUGUGGAAAGAACAUCCCAAAUCUAGGAUUCACUCGAACGUGAGCUUGGAGUUAUCACUCGUUGACACUAACAAGAAAUCAUCACCACUUUCAUCGAUCAAAUUAGCACUAGCUACAUCUUCCUCGUUACUCUCAGCAGCUCCUUUAUUUCGCAGUUUAUAACAAUUUGCUUUGACAUGACCUAACUUUUUACAAUAGUGACACCUUUUGUCUCGUUUCUUUGAUGCCAUCAAAAUGGAAGAUUGCCUAUCUGCCUUGCUAUCUAAAUGAAACUCAUUUUCGAGUUUGUCUCUACUCAACAAAUGACCCUUCACAUCUUCGAACGAGAGUUUGUCUCUGCCAUAGGGUCUCCUUGAAAGAUUUGUAUGAAGGGGGUAAAGAGCAUAAUAAUAGCAUAGCUUGAUCUUCAUCAUCAAUAUGAACCUCAAAGUUCUUUAAAUCAUUUAAAAGAAUAAUGAAUUGACUGAUGUGAUCUCUAAGAAGCUCACAUUCGUUCCUGCGAAACGUAAAUAGACGUUGUUUCAACAGUAAACGGUUAGCCAGAGACUUAGUCGCAUAAAGAGUUUCUAACCUUUUCCAUAAGGUGGAUGAGGUCUUCUCCAUCAAUACCUCCUGCAAUACCGUAUUCGCGAGGCACAACUGGAUUGCAGACAAGGCAUUUUCAUCAAGCUCUUCCCAUUCUGUUUUAUUUAGAUUCUCAGGCUUUUUUUGGUAACAACCUUUUUCAAACCGGAUUGAACUAGAAUUGCCAUCAUCCAAACUUGCCAUAGAUUGAAAUUGGUCUCACCAUCGAACUUCUCAAUUUCAAACCUUGUUGUUGCCAUAUCUGAAUGGGCUGAUUUAUGAAAAUUGAACUAGCUCUGAUACCACUUGUUAGGGAUCGACCCGAUUAAGCAACAAGUAACAAAAAAGGAAAUAAAUUGAGAAAUUGAACACACAAAUUUAACGUGAAAAAAACCCUCCGAAGAGGAUAAAAAAACCACAGGAAAAGAUAAAUUUACUAUAAUGGCAAAAGAACGAAGAGUACAAAAGAUGGAGAUAAAACUAAACUCCAAAAACCCGAAAAUAAAGAACCCUCAAAACGUAAACACAAAAUUCUCUAAAUGUGUUAUGAGUUCUAAUCUCUAAUGUGUGUCAACUAAGGUUGUAAAAGAGCCUAUUUAUAGGCUAAAUUCAUAUGUCAAAUAAUAAUAAAAUAAUCUAAACUAAUCAGUGUUUGACUGAAAUAAAUAAACAAAGUUUAACUAAAAGAUUAUUUUUUAAAUUUGACUGAAAAUAGGAGUCAUACUUAACAAAUCUCCACCUUGACUCAUAUUUCUACAAUGCCAUCUUUGCCAAAGCCCGCCACGAGCCUAUCUUGAACUAUGCAGGGAAUUAACUGAGUCGAAUCUGUGCUUAGAAACUGGAAGACUUCUAGCUUUCGACUUGUACAUUGCCAAAUCAAAACUAACCCGAGUCUGAUUUUCACGAACACAGUGUCCUAACUUUUCAAAUCCUACAUUGAAAAGAGAACCUCUCUUCAAUGAAACCGUCAUACAUUUUUCCCUCCUAUGACCAAGUUGCCUCUGCUCCAAACGAGUUGACUUCGACUCUGUAACAGACGAGGGAUGUCCGAUUUCACCGAUCAUUGUAGAACCUUCCAGAAUAUAAAGACUGCCAGUUCUUUUACCUUUGAACAAAACGAGAGCUCCACGAGAUACUUUAAUGCUGCUCGACUCGAUGUUGAUUCUGCAUCAUUUCAAGUCUAAAAUACUCAAGGAGAUGAGAUUCUUUCAUAAAUUAGGUACAUACCUGACAUCUGAGAGUGUCCUAAUCGUCCCAUCGUAUGUCCUAAUUUUAACAGUACCAACACCAAUUACCUUACUAGAUGAAUCAUUUCCCAUGCGCACAACUCCACCUUCAACCGAACUGUAUGUGGAGAACCAUUCUCUAUUGGGACACAUGUGGAAAGAACAUCCCAAAUCUAGGAUCCACUCGAACGUGAGCUUGGAGUUAUCACUCGUUGACACUAACAAGAAAUCAUCACCACUUUUAUCGAUCAAAUUAGCACUAGCUACAUCUUCCUCAUUACUCUCAGCAGCUCUUUUAUUUCGCAGUUUAUAACAAUCUGCUUUGACGUGACCUAACUUUUUACAAUAGUGACACAUCUCGUUUCUUUGAUGCCAUCAAAAUGGAAGAUUGCCUAUUUGCCUUACUAUUUAAAUGAAACUCAUUUUCGAGUUUGUCUCUACUCAACAAAUGACCCUUCACAUCUUCGAACGAGAGUUUGUCUCUGCCAUAAGGUCUCCUUAAAAGACUUGUAUGAAGGGGGUAAAGAGCAUAAUAAUAGCAUAGCUUGAUCUUCAUCAUCAAUAUGAACCUCAAAGUUCUUUAAAUCAUUUAAAAGAAUAAUGAAUUGACUGAUGUGAUCUCUAAGAAGCUCACCUUCGUUCCUGCGAAACGUAAAUAGACGUUGUUUCAACACUAAACGGUUAGCUAGAGACUUAGUCGCAUAAAGAGUUUCUAACCUUUUCCAUAAGGUGGAUGAGGUCUUCUCCAUCAAUACCUCCUGCAAUACCGUAUUCGCGAGGCACAACUGGAUUACAGAUAAGGCCUUUUCAUCAAGCUCUUCCCAUUCUGUUUUAUUUAGAUUCUCAGGCUUUUUUUGGUAACAACCUUUUUCAAACCGGAUUGAACUAGAAUUGCCAUCAUCCAAACUUGCCAUAGAUUGAAAUUGGUCUCACCAUCGAACUUCUCAAUUUCAAACCUUGUUGUUGCCAUAUCUAAAUGGGCUGAUUUAUGAAAAUUGAACUAGCUCUGAUACCACUUGUUAGGGAUCGACCCGAUUAAGCAACAAGUAACAAAAAAGUGAAAUAAUUUGAGAAAUUGAACACACAAAUUUAACGUGGAAAAACCCCUCCAAAGAGGAUAAAAAACCACGGGCAAAGAUAAGUUUACUAUAAUGGCAAAAGAACGAAGAGUACAAAAGAUGGAGAUAAAACUAAACUCGAAAAACCCAAAAACAAAGAACCCUCAAAACGUAAACACAAAUGGGUGUCAACUAAGGUUGUAAAAGAGCCUAUUUAUAGGCUAAAUUCAUAUGUCAAAUAAUAAUAAAAUAAUCUAAACUAAUCAGUGUUUGACUGAAAUAAAUAAACAGAGUUUAACUAAAAGAUUAUGUUUUAAAUUUGACUGAAAAUAGGAGUCAUACUUAACAUAUUUCAUGCCUUUAAACCUAACUAAUUGUUUGUACUUAAGUAUAUUUUUUUCUUUUUAAGACAUUGUAGCGAACAUUUUUAAUAUUGUAUUAGGACAUAGACUAUGUUGGAAUUAGGUGCUUUUAAUCUCUUGUGGUGGAGUUUUUGUGUGUUGGUAUGGCAGGAACAUGUUUUAAAACGAGGAAAUAAAUGAGUGAAGUUUUGUUAGGGAAAAAGUGCAAACAGUUUGCCAACACAGAUGUCGUGGCAAUGCCGGGAAGACCAAGUUCAUAUUUUUUGUGCAGCAAUCCCGGUUCAAACUCAAACUUGUAUGAGAUAAAUCCCCCUAAAAGAGGAGAAGAUAAUCACAUUGCUGUUAGCUGACCCUAGCCUAAUCUAUCUAUUAAAGCCAAUGAAAAGGAUCUCACAAAGGGUAGAAAAAAGUGAGAGAGAUCCUUAGGGAUGAAUAAGGGUUUGGCUGCGCAAAAGAACAGAAGUCGAAGGGAAUCAUUCUUAGCCAUCACAGAACGUUGUGCUGCCAAAGUGUGGACUAGGCAAGUGAAAGAUGUUUCCAAAAGUUCUUCUGUUAUUUCCAUUAGUGUUCCUUCCAAAGAUUGAAUUGAAGUAGUUGAACACAAUGUCGGAUAAUAUUUUGGUUUGAAAUUUUAUUUCCCAGCUUAUGAGCUAAAUCUCAUAAGGUUAGGAUUACUUUCGAUGAAACCUUAAAUUUUUUUAUAGAUGAAGUAUAUAUCUAAUUUACAUUAUUGUUUCAUUUGAUUGUUCUAAUUUCUUAAUUAAAAUGCAAAUGAUCUCUAGACAUAGAAGACUGUUCGCAUACUUAUAAAUUGAUUGUAAUUAUAAAAGGGUUGGAUUAAAAUUAAAUGAAAUGAGCAGGUAUUUGAUAGACACUUGUAGUCGACUCUAGACAUAGAGUCACGAUCAUACAGAAGAAGCCCAUGCAAGAUAUCGAAAAAGCCUUUAGACACCAGGCAAGGCAACUUGAGGUUUUUCUCUCACGAGAGGCAGACCAUUUUAGAACUCUUCUGUGUUGUAAAGUAGAUACAAUUUUGCCAAGACAAUAUUGACAAUGAGGGUUGAUUCUGGGUAAUCCCGACCUUCCAAAUCCACUUCGUAUAUCCUUUAAUCUUUUUCAUAAUAUCUUUGCCACAUAAUUAUUAGUUAUUUAUUUGUUCAUUUACAUAAUAUUCCCAUAGUAAUUCUCAUAAUUGCCAUUAUGUUUCUACUCUCGGUUGGCCAUAGCAUUACUAAUUAUUCAUUAAUUCCACAUAUUGAUUACAUCAUUAAUCUACUCAUUGUCAUUGCAUAUUUAUCAUUGACUUUGUCAUAGCAUUAAUUGCAUUUUAUUAUAAUAACUUGACCAAUUUUGUGCCUCAAUCCGAUUUUCGUGGGAACAAUACUCACUCAUCACUUUAUUACUUGAUUCAACGUGUAUACUUGCACAAAUCGCAUAUCAUUUCACAUGCGACAGUGUCCAAUUUAACCUUUUGAGAUAUAAACUCAAACAAACUCAAUUAAUGGCUUUAAUCAACCCACCAAGAAAUAAUAAUUGGCAAAUUGAAGGAUGAAGAAUGAAUUCCCAUGACUCCUUAAAGAAAAUUGAGAAGAAAACUGCUUCUAAAAAUUACAAGAAAUAAUCUUGCACAAAGAAACUUACCCUCAGAGUUGGAAAUUUUAGUAAUGAGCAAAAACAAUUGUGUCUCUAAUGAACAUGAAGGGGCCUUUACAUAGGAUAGAUAAGUACAUCCAAAUAAAAUUUUGAAGUAUAUUAAAACUUUAAUUAAUGUAAGAAAAAAAGUAAUUUUCAACUAAAAUAGUCAUAAUUUCUAUAAUAAUCCCGUCUAGAAAUUCUGCUCACAUAGCCAUCACUAAAAUAGUCAUAAAUUGAGCUCUUGAACUCGAAAUUGAAUGAAUAAAAGUGUGUUUGAAAGUUAAGUAAUAGAUCUUAGAACUCCAUCAAGACAUAUCAAUCAAAAAAUGUCUGGAUCCCAUCCAAAAAGUCAUUGCAAGUUAACUAAUUUUCCAAACUUGAAAAUUGACAGCUUCGGGGAAUGGAAUUUAAUAAAGUUCACCCCAUCUACUCAAGUAUAAACUUGCAGUGGUAAAAAGUAAAAAUAAAUAAUCUAUAGAGAAACUAGUUGAAGAAUUUAUGACAAUUUAUUUAGAUCUUUUUUUCUUCUAGCCUUUGCAAACUUGAAGUUUCCCUUGGUGUGAGAGAGUUGUUCCUUACCCUCUAAGUUAUUUUUUUUCUUUUCCUUUUUUUUUCUUUCUCUUCGAUCUUGUCACCUAAGGGUGUUCAAAUGAUUGAUUCAGUUAAUACCCGAACAAUGCUAUCAUUAACUGAAAUUUUGAAACCUUAAUCGUUAAUGAAACCAAUUUUUUGUUGAAACCUAUUAACCGGCCGGAUUGAUUUCGGUUAAUUCAGGCGGCUAGCCGGAAUUUAUACAUUAUUUUUUUCAAACAAUUUUAAAACAAAGAACAAUCCAUGACAACUUUUUCCUUGUUUUUUAUUCAAAAAUUAUUAAAAGAAUUUUAAAAAAUAACAUAAUAACAACACUAAAUUAAAAACAUAAUAGCAUUCAUUACAUUACAAAGCAUAAUUUCUUUUUUUUUUUACUUUUUGUUGACUUUUUAGUUUAAUUUUAGUUUUUUUUUUCAAAUAUUUUUAGUUUUCAUAUUUUUGUUAAGCUUAUUAUAAGAAAACUUAUAAAUCCAUUAGUUUUUAUAUAUUAGGUUUGUAUAAUGUAUUGGACCUAUCUCUAACAUAUUGGGCCUAUAAUAUAUUUUUAUUGAUUUCGGUUAAUCAAUUAAUUUGGUUAAUUAGUCGAUUUCAAACUAAACUAAUCGAUAAACAAAAUUUUCUAAAACAUUUAACCAACUCCCAACCAAAUUAGAUUCGUUGAUCGACUGCUUAAUCAAAUUAAUCAUAUGGUAGAAUGGCAUGUUUUUGGAAUGGCUAUUUGGCAUUAUUGGUAUAGGUUUAAGUUAUGAUCUAAAGAUGUUGAAUUGAAUUAAGUUUGAUAUGUAUACUAUGAUGUCUUCAUUGGCAUAUUGGUUAGAUAUUAAAGGAUGGUUGAUUUGGUAUGUUUUGAAAAUGGUUCUUGGUAUGUUUGAUCUAAGUUGAUUAAAUGAACUUGUAAUGUUGAAUGGUAUAAUAUUUGUUGUUACAUUAGUUAGUCUUAUAGGUUGAUGGAAUUGGUAUGUUUUAAAUGUGUUUAAAAUGUGUUUUGAUUAUUUAAAUGUUUGUGGAAAUGGUGUGUCUUGGUGUACAAGAUUUGAAAUUGAAAUGGCUUGAUUUAGAAAGCAACUUAUGCUGCACACCGCCUAGGACAUGGGUUGUCACAUGGCUGUGUGUCAUUAUUGUUUUAGGUACAGGUUUCACACAAUCUAAGACUUGGCUCACGACAUGGCUACGUAUCAUAAGUCAAUAUGUAACACGGUUUGGUACAUGGCCUGUAACACGACCGUGUGUCCAAACUUCAAAUGUUUACACGUCCUGGGCUAUGUCACACGACUUGGCCACAUGGCCGUGUGACCCUUGUUUUAAAGUUUUCUGAAAUUUUCUAUUUUAUUUCAAAUUGAUCCUAGAAUAUUCUCAAACUAUUUUUAGGGCCUCGUAGGUUCAAAUUAAGGCCCACAAAUGUAUGCUUGCUAUAAUUAAGUUGUGCUAAUUAAUGUUAUUAAUUAAAUGGCAUGAAUAUUUUAUUGUAAGUUAAAUUUUUUAAUUUGUCCUAUAAUGCUCCGUAACCCAAAUCAAGUGACGGAGAUAGGUUUGGGUGUUACAAUUUUGGACUGUAAAUUUGUUUUGAGGCUUUGUUCUUUGGUUCUUGCAAUGUUUGUUGGAUUUUAGUGUUUUAACAUUAAACUGCAAAAUUGUAUGAUUUAACAAACUAAAAAUUAGGUUUUCAAAAUUAAAACUCUAGAAAUUUUCAUUACAAAGAUUAAGUAAUCACUUAAGUGUUUUCCCAUAAAUAAUUAAAUGGUUUUUAACAAAUGUUUUCCUUAGUUUUGGGAAUGAUAUGCCAACAUUAGUACUUUUAAAACACAUGGUUUUAAAUAAGGGUUUUCAAACUUUGGUUUUUUAACAUUUGUGAGAGGUUUUUGCCAAAUUUUAUGUUUUCAGAAUGUGUAACUAAGUUGAUUUUAAUUAGUUUUUCAACGAGUUUAUGUAAUUCCUCAAAAAUCCAGUCAUAGCAUCUAGGCCGGGUUUGGGGUGUUACACUAACAUUACUAAAGUUAAUCUUAAUCUAUUUAGUCUAGAUCUAAACAUUAAUAUUCUCUUCAAAGAAAAUCAAGAUUAUCAAAUUAUUACAACUUGGUAGGCAGACAAUCUUAUUAAAUAUGCAUAAAAGUUAAUAAAUAGUUAGCGAAGAUUGAAACAAUCAAAGAAAAAAUAAAUUAAUUAACUAAGAAAUAGGAUCCAUUAUUGUUCCAAGAAAAUAGAGUUUAGUUCAUAUUGAUUGAGAAAAUCAAAAGGGAGAUUCAAAAAACACUUGUGAUAAGGGGAACAAUGUCAAUAGAUCAUAUUCAAGUUGUUCGACUCAAGAAAGAAAUAUUUGGAUCUAGCCUGAAAAGAAGAAACCAAACAGAUUUAGGAAAAAAAGAAAAAAAAGAAAAAAACUUAAAUAAUAAAUUUAAGAAUAAAUAAUAAAUAUUAAAAAUAAUAAAGAAAUAAAGAAAUUAUAGAAUAAAUAGUGGAAGAUGGAAUGAAUAAACGAUGGAUAUGACAUAUAGAUGGAUAAGUGUCUGAUAAUUCUUGAAAAGAGUUAUAUUUCAUGCCUUUAGACCUAACUAAUUGCUUGUACUUAAGUACAUUUUGUUGCAUUUUAAGAUAUUUUAGUUAGUAUUUGUAAUAUUGCAUUAGGAUUUAGAUUGUGUUGGAAUUAGGUGUUUUUAAUCACUUGUGGUGGAGUUUUUGGUGUGCUGGUAUGGCAGGAACAUUAUUUAGAACGAGGAAAUAAAUGAGUGAAGUUUUGCCAAUGCAAAAGUGCAGAUAGUUUGCCAGCACAGAUGCCGUGGAAAUGCCGAGAAGACCAAGUCAACAUUUUUUUGUGCAACAGUCCCAGUUCAAAUUCAAACUUGUACCAAAUAAAUCUCCCUAAAAGAGGAGAAGAUAAUCACAACUUGUUAGCCAACCCUAGCCUAAUCUAUCUAUAAAAGCCAAUGAAGGGGAUCUCACAAAUGGCAGAAAAAAGUGGGAGAGAUCCUUAGGUGUGAAUAAUGAUUCAGCUGUGCAAAGGAAAGGAAGUCAAAGGCAGUCCCUUUUAGCCAUCACAGGACGUUGUGCUGCCGAUGUGUGGACUAGGCAAGUGAAAGUUGUAUCCCAAAGUUCUUUCGUUAUUUCCAUUAGUGUUCCUUCAAAAUAUUGAAGUAGUUGAACACAACGUUGGAUAAUAUUUUGGUUUGGAAUUUUAUAUCCCAGCUCAUGAGCUAAAUCUCGUAGGGUUGAGAUUACUUUUGAAGAAACCUUAAACUGCUUUUAUGAAUGCAAAUGAUCUCUGGACAUAGAAGACUGUUCGUAUACUUAUAAACUGAUUCUAAUUCUAAAACGGUUGGAUUGGUUGGAUUAAAAUUAAAUGAAAUGAGCAAGCAUUCGAUAGACACUUGUAGUAGACUCUAGACAUAGAGUCACGCUCAUACAAAAGGAACCCAUGCAAGAUAUCUAAAAAGCCUUUAGACACAGGCAAGGUAACUUGAGGUGUUGCUCUCACGAGAGGCAGGCCAUUUUAGUACUCUUCUGUGCUUUAAAGUAGAUAUGAUUUUGCCAAGGCAUUAUUGAAAAUAAGGGUCGAUUUUGGGUAAUCUCGACCUUCCAAAUCCACAUCGUAUAUCUUUUAUUCUUUCCCAUAGUAUAUUUGCCACAUCAUUAUUAGUUAUUUAUUUGCUCAUUUACAUAAUAUUCCUAUAGUAAUUCUCAUAAUUGUCAUUACAUUUCUACUCUCGAUUUGGCACAACAUUACCAGUUAUUUAUUAAUUCCACGCAUUGCUUACAUCAUUACUCUACUAAUUACCACUGUAUAUUUACCAUUGACUUUCCCAUAGUAUUAAUCGUAUUUUAUUAUAAUAACUUGACCAAUUUUGUGCCUCAAUUCGAUCCUCAUGGAACGAUACUCACUCAUCACUUUAUUUGUAACAUCCCAAACUUGGAUUAGAAGUUAUGACUGAAUCCGGCGAUAUCACAUGGAAAGGGAUUUGAAGACAAGAUUGUCGAGUUUAAAAACCAUUAUAGAAAGUUAGCUUUUAUUUAAUUCGGGAAAAAAACUAGUUGAUUUUCUUUAAAACUUGUCUCUUAGCAGAAGCUUUUGUAACCAAUUAAUUUACGAAAAAUCGUUUCUAUUUACAAAAAACUUUAGUAGGAAAAACUAUGUUUUGUGGAGUUGCAGUUUUUAAAAGAAACCCAUAAAAAAAGUAUAAAGUCCCAAAUUUAAAACCAACCAGUCCAUAGUCUAGAAGAUACAUCAAAAACUCCAAANNNNNNNNNNNNNNNNNNNNNNNNNNNNNNNNNNNNNNNNNNNNNNNNNNNNNNNNNNNNNNNNNNNNNNNNNNNNNNNNNNNNNNNNNNNNNNNNNNNNNNNNNNNNNNNNNNNNNNNNNNNNNNNNNNNNNNNNNNNNNNNNNNNNNNNNNNNNNNNNNNNNNNNNNNNNNNNNNNNNNNNNNNNNNNNNNNNNNNNNNNNNNNNNNNNNNNNNNNNNNNNNNNNNNNNNNNNNNNNNNNNNNNNNNNNNNNNNNNNNNNNNNNNNNNNNNNNNNNNNNNNNNNNNNNNNNNNNNNNNNNNNNNNNNNNNNNNNNNNNNNNNNNNNNNNNNNNNNNNNNNNNNNNNNNNNNNNNNNNNNNNNNNNNNNNNNNNNNNNNNNNNNNNNNNNNNNNNNNNNNNNNNNNNNNNNNNNNNNNNNNNNNNNNNNNNNNNNNNNNNNNNNNNNNNNNNNNNNNNNNNNNNNNNNNNNNNNNNNNNNNNNNNNNNNNNNNNNNNNNAGUUCUACACUUACGCCCAUAUAAUGCUUCAUACGGUGCCAUUCGUAUACUUGACUGAUAGCUAUUGUUAUAAGCAAAUUCAACCAAUGGUAGAUAUUUCUCCCAACUGCCUUUCAAUUCUAAAAUACAACACCGGAGCAUAUCUUCAAGAAUUUGAAUCACUCUUUCCGAUUGCCCGUCAGUUUGCGGAUGAAACGCAGUACUGAAAUUCAAUUUUGUACCCAAGGCUUCCUGCAACUUUAUCCAAAACCUCGAAGUAAAUCUCAGAUCUCUAUCCGAUAUAAUAGAUUUAGGCACCCCAUGUAAUCUCACUAUUUCAGCAACAUAUAAUUCUGCCAACCUGUCAAGUGAGUAAUCAAUGCGUAUCGGAAUAAAAUGAGCCGACUUUGUCAAUCUAUCAACAAUUACCCAAAUAGCAUCUUUCUUCUUUGGAGUUAAAGGCAAUCCUGUCACAAAAUCCAUCGUAAUACUAUCCCACUUCCACUCUGGAAUCGUUAUCGGUUGAAGUAAACCCGAUGGUACUUGAUGCUCAGCCUUCACUUGUUGACAGAUUAAACACUUUGAUACAAAUUCCGAGAUAUCCUUUUUCAUGCCUGGCCACCAAUACAACUUCUUCAAAUCAUUAUACAUUUUCACACUACCCGGAUGAACUGACAAGUCACCACUAUGUGCCUCACAUAAAAUGGUCUGAAUUAACUCAUCAUUUCUUGGUACACAUACUCUAUCCCGGAACAUCAAGCAAUCAUCUGAACCAAUUUGAAAAUCUGAGUCAACACCUGCUUCACACUGAGCUCUCUUGGCUUGCAAUUUACUGUCAUUCUUUUGAGAUUCCCGAAUUUACUGAAGAAAUAAUGGUCUAGCUCUCAAUUCAACCAACAUUGAGCCAUCAUCAGAUAAAGUUAACAUCGUACCCAUAGCUCUCAAAGCAAAUAAAGAUUUUCUGCUCAAGGCAUCAGCAACCACAUUAGCUUUCCCGGGGUGAUAAUCAAUCACUAGCUCAUAGUCUUUGAUUAGCUCGAGCCAUCUUCGUUGCCGCAAAUUCAAAUCUUUUUGGCUCAUCAAAUACUUCAAACUCUUAUGAUCAGUGAAGAUUCGGCACUUUUCACCAUACAAAUAAUGACGCCAAAUUUUUAAAGCAAAAACAAUGGCAGCCAAUUCUAAAUCAUGCGUCGGAUAAUUCUUCUCAUGCGGUUUCAAUUGUCUCGAAGCAUAAGCUAUUACUUUGCCCUCUUGCAUUAACACACACCCAAGACCAUUCAACGAUGCAUCACUGUAAAUUACAAACUCCUUCCCGGACUCAGGUUGCACCAACACUGGCGCCUCAGUCAAUAAUGCCUUCAACUUUUCAAAACUCUGUUGACAUUUAUUGGUCCAUUCAAACUUGACAUUCUUCUGCAGUAACUUAGUCAUAGGAGAAGCAAUCAUCGAAAAUCCCUUGACAAAGCGUCUGUAAUACCCAGCUAAGCCCAGAAAGCUUCUAACUUCUGUCACAUUCUUUGGUGGCUCCCAAUCAACAAUUGCUGAAAUUUUGCUUGGAUCAACCCGAAUACCUUCACUUGAAACUAUAUGUCCCAAGAAUCCAACCUCACGAAGCCAAAACUCACUUUUGCUGAAUUUAGCAUACAAUUUCUUUUCUCUCAGAAUCUGCAACACAGUUCUUAAAUGUUCUGCAUGCUCAGAUUCAUCCCGAGAAUAGAUUAAAAUAUCAUCUAUGAACACCACCACGAACUUAUCCAAGUACGGCCGAAAAAUUUGGUUCAUCAAGUCCAUAAAAAUAGCUGGAGCAUUUGUUAACCCAAAAGGCAUUACCAGAAAUUCAUAGUGUCCAUACCUUGUUCUAAAGGCGGUUUUCGGCACAUCAGACUCUUUAACUCUUAACUGAUAGUAACCAGACCUCAAAUCAAUCUUAGAAAACACUGUUGCCCCUUUUAAUUGAUCAAAUAAAUCAUCAAUUCUCGGCAAAGGAUACUUGUUCUUUAUAGUCACCUUGUUGAGCUGACGAUAGUCAAUACAAAGUCUCAUAGAGCCGUCCUUUUUUUUCACAAAUAACACAGGAGCACCCCAAGGAGAAAAACUCGGUCUCACAAAUCCUUUAUCUGUCAACUCUUGUAACUGAGCUUUUAAUUCCUUCAACUCAGUCGGAGCCAUUUGAUACAGUGCAAUAGAAAUCGGUGCAGUACCAGGUAACAGAUCAAUAGAAAACUCAACUUCUCUAAUCGGAGGUAACCCAGGCAAUUCCUCUGGAAAUACAUCUGGAAAUUCACAAACUACCGGCACUGAUUCAAGCUUCGACCCAGUAAUAUCCGUGUUUAGCACAUAAGCAAGAUAAACUUCACAUCCCUUUCUCAAGUAUUUCUGAGCAGACAUGUGCGAAAUCACCAUAGGCAACUUAUUCGGCUCCUUUGUUUCAACCCGGAGAAUUUCACCGUUUUCACAAUUUAAUUCAAGAAUUUUCUGUCUACAAUUUCCCUUGGCAUCAUGCAAUAUCAACCAAUCCAUCCCCAAAAUAACAUCAAACUCAUCAAAUGGUAACAACAUCAAAUUAGCCGGGAAACAGUGGCCUUGAAUCAUCAGGGGACAAUUCUUGCAAACCUUAUCGACUAAGACAUAUUUGCCUAAAGGAUUUGAUACUUUAACUACAAAUUCAGUUUUUUCAACAGGCAAUUUCUUACUAGACACCAAAUUCAUGCAUAUAUAUGAAUGAGUAGAGCCGGGAUCAAUCAAAGCAAUAACAUCAAUAUCAUGAAGAGAAAAUGUACCAGUAAUCACAUCGGGAGAUGAGGCAUCCUCUCGAGCGCGUAUAGCAUAAGUCCUAGCAGGCGCUCUAGUUUCUGAUCCUCCAGCUGUAUCUUUUAUCACACUCUUACCACUGGCUUUGCUUCCCACAUUUCUCGGUGGUCUGCCUCUACUGACAACAUCACCCGAUCCAGCUCUUUGUAAUCUUUCUUCUUCUAUUCUCUCAGGGCAGUCUUUUACAUAAUGCUCUUGGGAACCACAUCUGAAACAAGCUCGUUUAAAUCCCCAACACUCACCAGUAUGUCGCCUGCCACACUGUUGACAUUCAGGUCUGGUGUUUCCUACAUUACCCACACUUGCCACUGAGGUAGCUCGAGUUGUAGUUCCGGAAUAUGACCUCCCUCGGUCUCUGCGUGAAUACCCAACUGAACCGGUUGGUCGUGGAUCCAUCCCUUUAAACUUCUUCGGGUGAGAUUGAAAUGUUCUGCCCAUUGACCUCUUCCUUACAUCUCGAGCUUCCAUCUCUGCCCUUCUCUUUUCUCUACUCAGCUCUUCAGCUUUGCAAGCACGAUCAACUAAUACCACAAAUUCUUUUAACUCUAAAAUUCCAACAUGUAAUCUGAUGUCUUCAUUUAGCCCCUCUUCAAAUCUUUUACACAUAAUAGCCUCCGUAGGCACACAUUCCUGGGCAUAUUUACUAAGCCGGACAAACUCCCGUUCAUAUUCUGCUACUGACAUUCGGCCCUGUUUCAAUCCGAGAAACUCUUUGCGCUUCUGAUCAAUAAACCGUUGGCUUACAUAUUUCUUUCUGAAUUCUUCCUGAAAGAAGUCCCAAGUAACUCUUUCUUUUGGAACCACCGUUAUUAAUGUUUUCCACCAACGGUAUGCCGAAUCCUUCAAUAAAGACACAGCACAUUUCAAACAUUCCUCAGGAGUACAAGAUAAUUCAUCAAAUACCUGGAUAGUAUUUUCAAGCCAAAACUCGGCUUUUUCCGGAUCAUCAUCAACAUUGGCCCUGAAAUCUUCAACCCCAUGCUUUCGAAUUCUAUCAACGGGUGGUUUACUUGAUCUCACCAAUUCAGCACUUCGUGGAGCUACGGGGACCGGCGGAGGAAUAGGAGGGGGUGGAGGAGGUGGAACAUUCGGAUUUACACGGACAUAUUCUGUAUACCAAUCACUCAUCAUUCGGAGGAAGGCUUCUCGAGCCUCAUCCUGUCCAUGUGUCUCAUGUCUACUCUCUUCAUGCGCGGUCCCUUGUGUGGGAACCGGCGUGUUACUUUCAACAUCAUCUGCCAUACUUCGAUUAGGAUCCAUUUACUAUAUAAAACAAAAUUUUAAAUUGUCAGAAAUCAUCACACUAUCACAAUAUAUUGAUGGCAUGUAUAGACUGACUUUCACACAUAUUUUAUUGGUCCGAGAACUGACUAAACCGUAGCUCUGAUACCACUAAAAUGUAACACCCCUUACUCGUAUUCCGGCUCGGAACAGAGUAUGAGGUAUUACUAAGUUUUUUAAAAAAAAUUUCGACAGCAUUUCUUCUUAAUUUUGCUUAAACCUCCUGCAAAUUUAAAUCACAAUCCAAUAUAUAUAUAUCAACCAAACUCAUUUAUAAUAAUACUCACAAUUUAACUAUUAAUGAACACCACAUUUUAAAUCAAACCAUAACAUAUAUUUACAUGAUGAUUCCAUAUUUCAUAGGUCGUCUAUACAUGCCAUAAUUUUCCGGAACGAUAGUAGCAAAAUACCCCAAGUGUGAAGGAUAGUGUGGAUGAUUGUCUGACUUCGUUCCAAAUUUCCGAGUUGUCGGAAGUCACUAUAAUCAAGGGAAAAAUAAAAUCGAGUAAGCAUAUAGCUUAGUAAGUAAACACAUGAUAAAUAAGUAAUUACUCACAUAACUACACCAAAAUAUAAACUUAUUCAUGAAUAACUUCAUUGUUUAGGCAAUUUCCAGCAAACUGUUUUUCUGCGUCAUAUUCGCUAAUUUAUUUUUAUCCGGAGCUACAGGGCUCCAAAUUGAGUUUCGUAAAUUUUCCCUGAAACUAGACUCAUAUACCAUUUCACCAUAAAAAUUUCAGAAUUUUUUACCCAGCCAAUUAGUACAUUUUAUUCAUUAAAACUUCCCCUGUUUCACUGCCCAACGGUUCUGACCCUUCCUCAAAAAAAUUCACUUAACUCUCUGUACAAAAUUUUAAAAAUGGUUUCGCUUGUUUCUAUUAAAAAUAGAGUCAAUAAGGAAUCCAGGAAUAUAAAUUUCACACCAUAAUUAUUUUUGUACAAUUUUUGGUGAUUUUCCAAAGUUAGAACAGGGGAUCCCGAAAUCAAUCCAGCCCUGUUUCAGUAAAAUUCAGAUAUCUCCAAAAAUACAACUCUUUUGCUUAUUCUAUUUAUUUCAUAUGAAAAUAGACACAUUCAGCUUCAAUUUCAUAUAUUAUUCAGCUUCCCAUUCAUUUUCCACCAUUUAUGGUGAUUUUUCAAAGUUACCCAUCUGCUGUUGUUCAACACAGUUUAUAACUAAAUCGUUCCUUUUUUCGUUUUUGAUAUUUUCUCCCAUCUCAUACAUGGAUCGAUUUAGUAUCCAACUCAAUAUUUGCCCCAUAAAAAUUUCCACCAUAUGGCAAUAUUCACCUUCCACACUUUUUCGUUGAGCACUCGGAAUGUUAACCGUUAUUGGUGGAUCUCGCACUUAGCACCACCACUUAAUCGGGGAAUCAGCACUUAGCAACCCCUUGGGGGAAUCAGCACAUAGCAACCCCCUUUUUAUUUCAGAGAUACGGUGGAUAUCGCACUUAGCACCACCAAUGAACCGGGGAAUCAGCACUUAGCAACCCCUCGGGGGAAUCAGCACAUAGCAACCCCCUUUCACAUUUCAAAGAUACGGUGGAUAUCGCACAUAGCACCACCAAUGAAUCGGGGAAUCAGCACACAGCAACCCCUUUAUGUACAACAUACUUCGGCUUAUUCCGAGUGUUCAACCCAUAAAUCAUAUAUUGCAACCCUUUACCACAUUUCCCGAUUUAACAACAUUUUUAGGAUAUGGCCAAACAUUUAUUUUAAUUCCAAAUAAAUCUCAACAUAUAUCAAUUAAUGUCAAAAUAAUACAUCAAGUCACGUGUUUACUUACCUCGGUGCAAAAUAUCGUAAUUUUGCACUUCACUUCACUCCACUAUCUUUUCUUUUCCUCGUUUGAGAUAAUCUUCACGUCUUUCUUGAUCUAUAAUAGCAAAUUUAACUCAUUUAAUGUUCACAUUCAUUAAAAUAAUCCACCACCCAACUUUUUGAAAAAUUACAAUUUUGCCCCCAAACUUUUGCAUAAUUACACUUUUGUCCCCAAGCUCGGAAAUUAAACUUCAUCACUUAUUCUUAGGUUUUAUGACAUGCUGAACAUUUUUCCCUUCUAUGGCAACAUCAAAUUCUCACUCUAACAUACACUUAUGAACAAUAAUUAUUUUUACCGAUUAUGCCUAUUUACCCGUUUUCGCUUAAAAUCGCUUAGCAAAAGUUGUUUAACAUAAUUUAUAGCUUCAUAUUCCACCAUAAAACAGAAAAAUAAACACAUUUCACCUAUGGGUAUUUUUCCAAAUAUGAGCCCUAACACGAAUUAUUGCUAGAAUAAGCUAAAUCGAGUUACGAGGAUUCCAAAAAUGCGAAGAACAUUAAAAACAGGGCUAGGAUGCACUUACUAUGAGCUUGAGAAAGCAAAGAAAACUUAGCUAUGGCUUCCUUCAAAUUUCGGCAGCAACUAAUGAGGAAGAUGAUGAUUUUUGUCAUCUUUUUCCCAUUUUAUUUUAUUUUAUUACCAAAUGACUAAUAUGCCCCAUUUAAAAAAAUCUAUUUCUCUCAUUUCUUAUGUCUAUUUUUGUCCAUCAACUAACUAAUGGUCUAAUUACCACAUAAAGACCUCUAAUUUAAAAUUUCAUAUCAAUUAGAUACUUCUACAUAUAGAACUCAACUUUUACACUAUUUACAAUUUAGUCCUUUUGACUAAAUUGAGUGCCCAAACGUCGAAAUUUUCGAACGAAAUUUUUACGAAAAUUUUCCGUGAAAUUGUAGACCAUAAAAAUAUAAUAAUAAUCAUAUUUUCCCUCGUCGGAUUUGUGGUCCCGAAACCACUAUUCCGACUAGGCCCAAAAUCGGCCUGUUACAUAUAGGCUAUUAAAAUGGUGAAAUUAUAUUUUUACAAUAGUAAAAAUUACAAUUUAAUUUCACCCCUAAAAGGAUUUUUUGGCUUCGACCCUAAUAAAAUCUUUGGCAAAAGAUUAAAAUAAAAUUAUACCGUGAAUGGAAAAAGAAACUAAGAAAAUCCAAUCUAACAAAGAAAAUAACUUUGUUUAGCAACCUUUGUUUGAUUAAAAAUGUUGAAUUAAAAAUUCCAGAAUAGAUUAAAAAUUAUACCGUGAAUGGCAAAAGAUUACAAUUUUUUUGGUAAUAUUUUAAAAUUCCAGAAUAGAUUAAAAAUGUUGAAUUAAAGAUAAAAUUAAUAACCACAAGUGUACUCAUUACUCACCAUCUCUGUUAAAAAUGAUCGAUGUUGUUUAGCAACCUUUGUUUGAUUUUCUUCAGCUCAACCACAACAUCUUUCAUAUCUUUUCUUUCUUCCGGUAACUCAGCUGAACAAUUCAAAGCCAACUCCAUGAUAGAUGAAAUACAAUUUGCUUUAACAACAAUGUACUCAUCCUCUCUUCUUAAUAAAUCAACAUCUGCAAUUUCUAUCGCUCCUUUCGGCAAUGAACUUUCCAUCCAAUGCCUUAUACUCUCUUCUUCAACAAAAACAUUACCAGUUGGCUUUUUCUUUGUGAAAGUUUCUAUAAGGACGAUCCCAUAACUAUAGACGUCAGAUUUUAUAGAAACGAUUCCUGCUGAUCCAAAUUCUGCAUUUCAAGUAUAAUUACAACAUCAUUCAUCCUCAAUUAUUUCUAAAAUGCUUAUUCAAAUAUAUAUUCACAUCCACAUGAAACAAAAAUAUAAAAUGCAAAUUAGGAAAAUAAUCAUACAAAAAUAAAAAAUAAUUCACCUGGUGCCAUAUACCCGAUAGUUGCAAGAGUCAUGGUUUGCUUCAUUACUUCACCUUCUCCCAACAAUUUGGCAACGCCAAAAUCUCCAACAUGUGCAACCAUGUCUUCAUCUAGUAAAAUAUUGCUUGGUUUUAUGUCACAAUGAAUAUAGGUGUUGGAUGUCCAUUGUGGAGGUGUUCUAUGCCUACCGCAACAUUUAUCAUUAUGUCGACCCUUUGUAUGAUAUCAAGGAAACAAUUUUCAGAAUGUAACCAUUUCUCAAGGUUUCCAUUAGACAUGUAAUCAAGCACCAAGGCUUUGAAGUCAAGACUUGAGCAGCAAGUAAUGACCUUCACAAUAUUACGAUGAACUAUAUUACGCAUAGCAUCACAUUCAAUGUCAAAACUCCUAAAUGCUCCCUCUGUUUGCAAAUUGAAAACUUUUAUUGCAACUUCCAUUCCAUCUGAAAGCCUCCCUUUAUAUACAUAUCCAAAACUCCCUGAACCAAGCAUAUUGCUUUCCUCAAAUCCAUUAGUUGCUCGUGAAAGUUCAGCAUGUGAAAUUCUUCUCGGUGUCUUCAAAGACAACAAAUCAUCUUUAAUUGGUAGAGCUGUACUCCUUCUUUGGCAUCUUCUAUACAUAAUAGUUAAGACUAUUAAUACUACGACAAUACCAAUUGUUGGUAAACCAUACCUAAAAGCAUGCAAUAUAAUCAUUUGGGAGUUUUUGUGGAUGUCGUUUUUACAAGGUGGGACUAGCAGUCUAGGUGGACCACAAAGUGCAUAAUUCUUUAUGAAUGAUGUGCUAGAAAAGUUUGAAAAACAUCCUUCGCUGGGAAUUUCCCCUUCAAGUCUAUUGAAAGACACAUUAAAAUACUUUAGAUAUAAAAGCUUCUCCAAAGAUUUGGGAAUGACUCCAGAGAGAUUGUUAUUGCAUAAAUCCAAGAAUUCCAAACUAAUCAACCCAUCAAAUGAUUCAGGGAUAUGACCAUGUAGUAUAUUAUUUGAUAAAUCUAAUGAAACCAAAGUUAUAAGACCCCCAAAUGUGGAUAAGAUAUCCCCCGUGAGAAGAUUCCUUGAUAAAUUUAGUUUCAGUAGACUCCUCAAAUUUCCGACAUCAAUAGCAUGUGAAUUGUGAAGAUGGUUUGAUGAUAAAUCUAUUUUUAAGAUAUCUUGAAGAUUCCACAAAGUUGAGGGUAUUGCGGAACUCAGUUUGUUGGAAUCUAAGUAAAGAUAUCCCAAAGAAGUAAUAUUACCCAAACAAGAGGGUAUGGAUCCAUGUAGCUUAUUCAACCCUAAAUACAUCUCGUAUAGUCUCUCCAAAUCACAAAAACUUUCUGAGAUGGGCCCUCCUAAUUUAUUAGAGGAAAGAUCUAGACCUUGGAGAUUUCGCAGUCCUCCUAUUGAUGCUGGAAUGAAUCCACUUAAUUUAUUAUGGCGAAGUUGUAAAAGCAAUAGGUUGGUUAAGUUACCUAUUUCCAUAGGAAUAAUGCCUUGAAGCUCACAAUUAGAGGCAUAAAAGUAUUGAAGGGUUUUUGAAAGGUUCCCGAUAUAAGUAGGAAGAACACCACUCAAUGGAUUUCCUGAAACAUCUAUUGUGCUCAAAUUCCUACAAUUCGUCAAAGAAGAAAGAAAGCUCCACUCAUGAUCGGUAGAAGAUCCUGUGAUCAAAUUAUUGUUUUUGAUUCGGAACCAUUCAAGGUGUCUUAAGUUGCCAAGCGUUUUAGGGAUUGGGCCAGAGAAUAAGUUAUGCGCCAAGUCUAGUUCCUUAAGCAUGGAAGCAUUGGAGAUAGAGUUGGGAAUGUUUCCGCUAAGUUUAUUUCUCCACAAUAAAAGAAUCUCAGGCUUUGGAGCAUUGGUGAUGGGUGGUAAAUUACCUGUAAAAUAUCAUCUUUUAGUAUACAUAUUCAUUGAAUACCAAAUUCACAAAAUAUAUUAUACAUUAAAAUAAAAACUGUAAAACUUUAAAUCAAUUAAGAAUAAAAUUUUGGCAUGGAAAAAUGUGAUGAAAUCAAUUACAAAGUUGAGACAUACUAAGAAGUUUCAAGUAGUAAUUAGUCUUGUGAUUUGUAUAGACAAAACAUAUAGAUUUGGGAAUGUGGCAUCUAAUCAAUCUUAAAAAUGAGACUGGCACUGAAUAAUAAUUAGUUAUGAUUUGGGAAACAAAAAGGUUAAAGCCAUUGUUUUUAAUGUAAACUGAUAUGAUUUUUAUUUAUUGGGUUAAUUAUUUAUUGUUAUUAAAUUAUAGUGUAAAAUUUAACGAUUAUUAUUUGCUCAAAAUUUCUGUAUUUUUCGUAUAUUUGAAAUUUAAUCUUUAUAUUUUUUAUUUUUUGUGAUUUAGUCUCUCUACUUUUUGAAUUGAAAAUUUUAGGUUCAUUUACUAACACUAUUAAAAAGUUUUUGUGUCUAGUAUGGCAUUUUGAAAAAUAAAAUAAACUUGAUAUCUAUGUUUUUAAUUAUUCCAAAUAUUGCUUUACUAUUUCAAGAUAAAUUAUUUGUGUCUAGACUAAUAUCUUAAGAACUAUUGUUGCAUGUUUAAUUAUCUAAAAAAUUAUCGAUUGAGUCUUAGCUUGAUUGGCAUGUGCGUUGUUGCCAAUGUAGGAGAAUGUGGGUUCAAGUAUGUUGAAGUGUAUUAUCUUCUUAUUUAUGAAUUAGGGAGUUGGUAAAGUACUAAAAUUUGAUAUAUUUUAAAAUAUUAAAAUUUAUUAAAAUAUUUUUUAUAAAAAAUGAUUCUACCACAAUAUACAAUUUUAAUAUCAAAUUUUUAAUUUUUUUUAAAAAUGUUAGCGAAUAUAUACUUUAUUUCAAGUUAUGCAAUUUUUACUAGUUUUUAACUUUUUUUCAAAUUUUUAUCGUCUUUUAUAAUUUCUAAUAAUUUUUUAUAAUUUUUUUACAAUAUUUAACAAUUUCUAAAUUUUUUUUAAUAAUUUUAUUAUGUAUUACAAAUUUAAAAAUUAACAAAUUUUUAUAUUUUUAAAAAAAUUAUAUAUUUAUAAUGUAUUUAUUUUUUAUAAUUUUAUUUGAAAUUUUAAAGAUUUUUUUGGUUUGUUUUCUAGAUGAUGAUGCCAUCAUGAUGCUAACAUAUUAUGAUUAGAUAUCUCAAUCUAUUCUUUUAACGCCCAGUGAAUGAAACCAAGAACACCUAAUGUUAAAGUGGGUAAAAACACAUUAAGGACCAAAGUUAAAAAAAGAAAAAGAAAAAGAGCAAUAUGCUGUAGGGAAUAAACUGUGCAUUAAGCCAUUAAAAAUAUAUGUAUAAUAUAUAUAAAUGCAUGGAUUUUGAGAAACUUUUGAACUGAUAAUUAUAUAGUCUUUGUUGUUUACUAUAUUAUUGAAUUUGUUAUUUUAAAUUAAUUUUAUUACUUUUAAGAUUUAUAUAAGAAUUUUGGUUUUACUAAAAUAUUUGCUUAAAUAAGUUCACUUCAUAAGAAAAUUUAGCAUCCUUAUAAAUAACAAUUUUGAUUCUAUUAAAAAACUUAUUUUAAAAAAUUAUAUAAUCAAAAUUUAAAAUUUAUAUUGAAUUACUUUAUACUUAAAUUAUUAUUAGAAACUUUAUCAUACACAUACGUGUAUGAGAACCACGUAUUUAGAACAUAAAUUUGUGUUUUAAAAUAACUUAUGAUAAAUAAUGAAAUGUAUAAUUUGAAACUAUUUAAUAAUAACACAUAGCAUAUCUACCAUAUUAAAAUAAAAAUAGAUUAAAUUGUAAGUAAAACAUAAUUUAAACAUAUGAACACAUCAAAUUAAGAAUACUAAAUGAAUAAAGUUAUUUAUAAUGAUAUUGUUGUCAAUUCCUAAAUUGGUGUCGAGUUAAUCUGUGACAUCAUAAAUUUAAGUGAUAAAUUUAAGGAUUUAUGUAUUGAUGUGGAUUCAAAUAUCACCAUAAGUUUUUUAAAAAUAAAAAACUAAAAUACCUUAAAAUACUAUAACUUAUAUUAAAUACGAAAGAGUAUUUUUGUAAUUUUCCUAACCGAGUUGGUGCCCGGUUGACUCAUGACACCAACUCAAUUAAAAGAUUUAAUAAUAAUAUAGAUAUUCACGUUAAAAAAACAAAAAAAAAGUACUUUAGUUCCAAAUAAUUAUAUAACAAGUAAAUUUAUAAUUGAUGAAUAAAUUUAUAGAUAAUAUAUUUAUAUGAUCUAAUAUAUUAUAUUAAUAUUAAUUAUAUAUCAUCUACAAUCUUUGAAGAUCAAUUUAUUAAGUAUCAAGAAAAGAAAAAAAUGAAAUUGAGUUAACACUAAAUCAAUUUUUAGAUUUUGUACAGAUGAUUUAAUGAUGAUAAAAAAAUUAUUAGCACUAUUUUUGAAUUAACAAAAAAUUAGUGAUAUAUUUUAAUUAUAUUUAUUAUUUAUUAUUUUUAAUAAUAUUUUUUAAAAUUAUAUGAAGUAAAAUUAUACUGUAUACUAAAUAUGGUACAUAUACUUUAAUUGUAACUUGAAAAUUUAUUAUAUAAAUUAAUAUAUUUUAAUUAUAUUCAACCAUUUGAAUAACAAAAUAAAAAAAAACUAAUUAGAAUAAUUUUUAGAAAAAAGAAAAAACAUUAUUUAAAGGCUAGUUAAAAAUCACGUGCAACAGGUGAUAUGAGAAUCUAUGUAUAUAAAUGUGUAUAUAUAUAUCGUUGUUUCAUUUUUUUUUUAAAUAAAUAUAUUUUCCACAUUGGUUUCUUUUCUUGUACAGACAAAGGAUUUCUAAUGAUUUUAAAAAAAAAAAUUUACUUAUAUAAAAUAGAUCAGUUUAUUCAGUAAAAUAAAUCAAUUCAUAUAAAUGUUAUUGUUUAUUAUCAGAUUGAAAUGAUAAAAGUAUAUGACAUAAAUAGAAGAAACAAAUUCAACACAAUGUUUUCCGAGUUUGGAAAAAAUUAAAGUGAAAAACAUACCUUCUAAUUUGUUGCCAUAUAGAGCUAUUACUUCGACCAUAGUUGAAUUAAAAAUACUUGAUGGAAUCUGACCUGCAAACAUAGUUGAAAAUUGAAGUAAAAAACAUACCUUCUAAACUCUUCAACUAAAAAUACUUUAAGCAUAUUUUUUUUCCCAUCAAAUUAACUAUUUUGCCUUGAAUGAAAUAAAAUGCUCUUACUUUUGUUAUCUAUUACAAAUCAAAUUCUUCUAUGAAAAAAUAUUUUAAAUUAAAGAAACAAAGAAAAUUCAAUAUCUUCUAAGUAAAGCACUUCAAGCUUGGGAAGAUCAUUAGGCAAACUACCUGAUAUGCCAGUGUUGGAGAGAUCAAUGAUCUUCAGAGAAGAAAUGUUGAAGAUCGAAGUUGGAAUCUGACCUGUGAGGCCUUUAAUUUCUUUAAUACUAAGCAGCUCCAAACCAAGAAGAUUACCGAUUUCCUCAGGAAUUUGACCUGCACACAUAUUUAGUCGAAAAAUCAAGAUGUCAAACUGCCUAUAUUGUUAGCAUAAGUCAAAGAGGUUUUCGUUUCUGCUCUACAGUAAUUUGGAGAUGUUAGAUUUAAUAUAUUUCAGCAUAUGUUUUUCAUCAAAUGAAAUAAAAAAGUUUUUCCUUUUGUUAUCUAUUAAAAAUCAAACUCUUUUAUAAAAAAAUACUUUAAAUUUAAGAAAUCAAGGAAAUUGAUUACCUUCUAGAUUAUUAAACCCCAAAUAUAAUUUCUGGAGUUGUGUUAGAUUUCCAAUACUUCUUGGAAUGAUCCCCAUAAAUUGAUUAUAGGACAACGACAAACUUUUAAGGUUGCUGCAUUUGCCCAUGCCAAAUGGAAUGUUACCAGAUAAUUCAUUCCAACUCAGGUAAAGCUCUUCAAGCUUGGGAAGAUGUUGACACAUAUCAUUAGGCAAACUACCUGAUAGGCUAUUGCUGGUGAGACUAAUAGAUUUCAAAGAAGAAAUCUUGAAGAUGGAAGAUGGAACCUGGCCAGAUAAUUGAUUCAAUUCCAAGUUCAAGAUCUCUAGGUUAGACAUGUUAACAAGUGUUUCAGGGAUUGUGCCUGUAAAGUUAUUAUUUUUCAUUUUCAGCGUUCGAACUCUCUGUAAGUUCCCAAGCCAUGAUGGAAUUUCUCCAUUAAGACGGUUGUAGCUUAAUCGAAGGAUCCUCAAACGAUGCAAUUGGCCCAAUUCUUUAGGGAGAUAGCCAUAGAAAUGGUUGCUACUCAAGUCGAGUGAGAGUAGAAGUGAAAGAUUUCCAAGGUGUGGAGGGAUAGUACCCCUAAGAUUCAUGCUUGUAAGAUUCAAAGCUAUAACUCUUUUAUGGAGGAUGCCACAAGUAACACCAAUCCAAUUGCAAACAGAGGUUGAGGCCGUCCAAUUGUUUGCCAAGACAUUUUGAGGACCGGCAAUGUGAUCCUUAAACUCGAGAAGUGCAAACUGAUCGGAGUUGAGAUUCUUGACUGUCAUAGCCAAGCAAAGUACGGAACAUGGUAUGAAUAAAGCUAAGAGAAGAUGAAAGCCAGCGUUGUAGUUCAUGAUUGCAAGACGGAAUAAGGCAAGAAAAUAAAAAAAAGUAGGAAAAGGGAAGUUGAGCUGAUAAAAUAGUUUGGAUGAUGAAGAAAAGCCCAGAGAGCAUGCUUUAAUAUGUUUCAACCCUCGUACACUUGAUAAACUUGAUAAAUUUAAGACUACCCUAAAAAUUAAAAAGGAAAGCAAAGUUUUGAAGAAAUUUCAAAAUAAAUGUCAAGUCUUCUUCUUUAGAAAAUACGUACAAAGAAUCGAAUUUUCAAAAUUUCUCCUAAAUUUUCUUCACGUUACUCCACAUAAUCCAUUAAAAAUACUUAAAAAUAUAUUUUAAUAAUUACUAUAUAUUCUUUUAUUUAAUAAAUUGUUUAAAAAUGCUAUUAGUCCCUGUAAUUUAAAAGUUAAAAAAAAAAUCCAAUCCUCCUAUUUUUCUAAUUUGAAAAUUCUAGUCCAAUAAUUCUUAAUUCCAUUAAAAAAUUUCAGCUUAAUAGGUUUUUUAUUAUCAAUCAUAUGCAACAGUAUAUGAAUGCAGUCUACUCAGCAUAUAUCCAAGUUUACAGAUUUUAAUAGAAAAUACUUACAAUCCUAAUGGUAGGACUAAGUUUUUUAAACUAGAAAAGUGAGAAGACUUAAUUUUUAACUUUUUAAGCACAAGGAUUAAAUUUUAAAUGUUGUCAAAGUACAAGCACUAACAAAAUAUUUUGAUCUAAUAAAUGUAAAAAACUUUUUAAACAAAAUAAGGUUGAAAUAAUCUAUUUGUCCUUGUACUUUGAUAAAAUUUGAGAUUUAGUCCUUAUAUUUAAAAACUUAAAAAUUAAGUCUUAUUGUUUUUAUUUAAAAAUCUUAGUCCUAUCCUUAAUUUUAUUUUAUCAAAAUUGGUCAACUUUACAUAUUAAUUAGGUUUCCCUUAUAUGUCGCGGUAUCAAUCAAAACUUAAUUAAUAUCCAUCAAUAUCCAUCAAUACGUCAUACAUAAAAAAAGCAAGCAUAAAAUACAGUUAAAAGUCCUCCUUUUAUUAUUAAAUGUUUUAUUUUAGUUAUUUUAAUCAAAUAUAUCCAAAUUACAAUAGAGUUAACAUUUAUUGUGUAAAAAAUAUUUUAAAUUUUUUUUUCAAUUUUAGUUUAAUUCUAGAAGAAAUAUUUCAUUUAUAAAAUCAUAAAACUUUAAAAAUAUUAACUCUGUUAAAUAAAAAUUAUUUUUUUAAAUAGUAAAUGUUAACUUUAUUAACACAAAUGGGCCUCAGUAAUUGACAAGCUCUUCCACAAACUGUGGAAGAUUUGGGGAUAAAAGCUUCAAUAAUUAUGGAGUUAUAGUGUAAAUUUGCCACUAUAUUAUAAGUGUAUUGAAAUUUAUCACUAUAUUUUAUUUGAUGUUUAUCAUUACACUUUGAAAAUAUAAGUAAAUUUACCAUUUAACUCAGAUUUACCUUUGCAAGUAAACUUAAAAUUUUAUUUAAUUUUGUCACUAAAUUUGAUUUGUUCAAUAUAGAUUUUGGUGACUUAAAACUCACUAAAUUUGAUUUUUUCAAUAUACAUUUUGGUGACUUAAAACAAAAUUAAUAAAUAAUUAUUCUUUUGGAUAUCUUUUUAAUGUUUAAUAAUAAGUUAAUUUAUAAAAUAUACUGUCAUUGGACACAAGCCUCUAAGGCGGUGAACCACUAAUCAAAUUAAUUUGGAGAUAUCUUUUUUUCUAAAUAAAGUGAAUUUACGAGUUUUGUUUUCUUUUAAAAACAUUUUUAAUAUUUUUGUGGAUAUCAAAAAAUUUUUCAAUAAGAAAUUUUAAUUCACUCGAAAAGUUAGUGUUUUAUUUCAAGGGGUCAUAAUUAAUCAUUAGAUUUCCCAAUUUUAAAUUUUAAAUUUUUCGACAAUUGCGUAAUUAAUAAGUACCAAUUUUGAGUGUUGUAGGGCUAGUACAAUCUUCCUUACACAUAACCGACUCUUAAACCUACUCUUUUCUCUAGAAUUCAAUGCAAACAUCGAAUUUAUCUUUUGAAAAGAAUUUUAAAAUAAUAUAAAAGGUGUUUUUUUAUGACUGAUCACACUUAACAAAAAUUUAAAAAUUAUUAAAAAAAUUUCAUUUUGAAAUUUAAAGUGAUCUAAAAACAUAUUUUUAAGUGCUUUGGACCAUCUGUUGCUGAUUUCCUUAUUAUAUUAAAUGUUUGCAAUCACUCCUAAUAUAUUGUGCUUGAGUUGUGACAGAGCAAAUCGCCAACGUGCCAUAUUGAUCUAUUGAUGCUGAAACUGAAGUUUUUGUUAUAUUGAUAGAGCUUGUCCUUCAACGCAUACAACGUGUUUGUUAUUUUUCUCCCUUCAAAUUGUAUGAUCUUAUUUAUUUAAUGAAUUAAUGAAUUUCCCUUUUAAAAAGAUAUAUUUUUAAAAUUAAAUACUUUAUAAAAUAUUUAAAACUACUUAAAAAAUUGUAAGCCUUAAAACAAUCAACAAAAUAUAUUUUUCUCUAAAAAAAUCAAUAAAAAUAUGUUUAAAAUUUUAUAUGAAAUUAAAUUUUUUUUAACAAUAAUAUAUUUUAAAAUUAUAGUAACGCUAUAAAAUAUAUAUAUACAUAUAUAUAUAUAUUUACUAAUUAUAUACACCUUUCCAUACAUCCUUUUUCUACAUAGAAUUUCAAAAGUAAAUGUGAAUUAAUGUAGGCGUAAGAAGACUUACAGGUAAGUCACCCAACGAAAGUGUCCUAAACCGACUUAUGGAAGAAUCAAACAAUAAUUUUGUAUCGUAUAAUAUAUUUAAUUACAUUUAUUAGUUUAUCAAUCAAAACUUAAGUAGAAUCCAUCAAUAUUUCACACAUCAAAACCCAAACAUAAAAUUCACUUUUAAAUUAUUCGGGGAAUAUUUGUAUUAUAGGAAAUGGAUUAAAUUAGACUUUUAUUAUUAAAUGUAUUAUCUUAAUCUUUGUAUUAGGUAUGAAUGAUAUCUCUUAGAUUGAAGCUAGAGCUAUUCUUGAAUGAUUGAAAUUAAGAUUAAGAUGUGUUGAGAUGGAAAGUGGCAACACAAUGCUGAUUGAUGCUAUUUGUAAUGGGUUGGCUACAAUAAGUAGUGCUGCUGAAGUAAGACAAAUUUAUGAUUGGUGUUCCAAAAUUUUGGGAAGUCAAAUUUUGACAUUUUCAGCGGAAUGCCAAUAAAGUUGUUGAUUGCAUAGCUAUGGCAGAUGGAGGCAUAAUUGAGCAGCUGGUUAUCUUGAAAGAUCCUCUGCAUUAUGUGAGAUACUAGCUUGAAGAAGAUAUUAGACGGUCACUGGUGACUGAUGAUAAUUUUCAUUUGGACUGAUGAGCGCUUAAUUUUCUAAGCUUAUGGUCAACCAAAAAAAAUAAAUAAAUGCGUCUAAAUUGUAAUAGAGUUAACAUUUAGUGUUUAAAAAAAUCUUAAAAUUUUUUUUUCAAUUGCAGUUCAAUUCCAAAAAUAUCGAUGAUGAACCCGAACAUAAAAAUUACCAAAAAAAAAAACACAUCUAUUAUCAAACCAACAAUCCAUGUCUAAACUUAAAUUAACAAAAUUCGCCACCCAACCCAAUACACUAUUUUAUAUAUAUAUUAGAUUUAUUCUAGAUGCGCAUGUUUUAUUAUAUUUAAAAAUUAAAAUAUAUGGUUGACUGAGUUUUAGCUGAGUUGAUAUUGGUAUUAUUGUUAGUGUAAGAAAAUUUGAGUUUAAUCGUGUUCAAAUGUGUUUUAUCCUCCAAUUUAAAGGUUAGGAAAAUAUUAUUGAUAAUUAAAUUAUACCAACUUGAUGAUAUUAAAAAAAGGAUGUAUAAAAAAUAUAAGGGAGAAAAAAAAAAGGAGAAACAUAUUCAUAUUGAUGGGCUCUUUCAAUAUUAGACUUUUUUUCUCUCACAAGUAAAAGUAGUUAUGGAGAGGAUCAUGUAAAAUAAUAGCCUGAAUAAUUUUAAACGUCUCAUCAUUGCAAAAAUGAAAUAGUAGAAAAGAAAGAGUAGACAUUCUAUGAAAUUUAUAAUUCCAACCGUGAAUAAAAUAUAAAUUUUAUGAAUGUGGACAAGCAAUUUUAUUUAACUUUUUUUAAAGUCAUUUUGUUUGUUUCCUAAUCACCAUGAAAUUACUUGUCACAAUUCAUCUUUUUAAAUGAGAAACAUUUUCCACAAUUUGCCAUCACUUUAACAUACACUAACUUUUCUAUGAUUAGUCCUUUGUUUGCUUUGGGUGCAAUCUUCCAACUAGCCUCAUCCUUGGUUUUACUUUCCAACAUUUAGUGUAUUACGAGUUUUGUUUUCUUUAAAAAAUAUUUUUGUGGAUAUUAGGAGAUAAUGAAAUUAUUUUACUAUGAAAUUUUAAUAAAACUGGAAAAUAAGUCAUUUAUUUUAAGAGAUCACAAUUAAACAUUAGAUUUCCAAUUUUUUAAUUUUAAUUUUUUUUGACAAUUGCAUAAUAUUUUGAGCGUUGUAGGAAUGCCAUAACCUUCCCUACGCAUAAUCGACUCUUAAGUAUGAUGGAUCCUAGACCUUCUCCUCUAUUCUUGUACCACAAAUUGCUUCGAGUGUGGGUUCGGAAAAUCACAAAUUAAGCACAAAACCAAAAAUGAUUUUGUAACACCCCAAACCCAGCCUAGUCAUUAUGGAUUAAUGUAGACCUGAGAAGACUUAAUUACAUUUAUUAGUUUAUCAAUCAAAACUUAAUUAGAAUCCAUCAAUAUUUCACACAUAAAAAACCCAAACAUAAAAUUCACUUUUAAAUUAUUUGAAGAUAUAUUUGUAUUAUAGGAAAUGGAUUAAAUUAGUCUUUUUAUUAGUAAAUGUAUUAUUUUAAUCUUUUUAUUAGGUAUGAAUGAUAUCUCCUAGAUUGAAGGCAGAGCUAUUCUUAAAAGACUAAAGUUAGGAUUCAGAUGUGUUGAGAUGGAAAGUGACAACGCAAUGUUGAUUGAAACUAUUUGUAACGGGUUGACUACAAUAAGUAGUGCUACCGAAGUAAGACAGAUUCACGAUUGGUGUUCCAAAAAUUGGAAAGUCAAAUUUCGACAUAUUCAGCGGAAUGCCAAUAAAGUUGUUGAUUGCAUAGCUAAGGCAAAUGGAGGCAUAAUUGAGCAGCUGGUUAUCUUGGAAGAUCCUCCGCAUUAUGUGAGAUGCUAGCUUGAAGAAGAUAUUAGACAGUCACUGGUGGCUGAUGAUAAUUUUCAUUUGGACUGAUGAGCGCUUAAUUUUUUAAGCUUAUAUUCAACAAAAAAAAAAUUAAAUACGUCUCAAUUGUAAUAGAGUUAACAUUUAGUGUUUAAAAAAUAUCUUAAAAAUUAUUUUUUCCAAUUGCAAUUCAAUUCCACAAAUAUCAACGAUGAACCUGGACAUAAAAAUUACAAAAAAAAAAAAACACAUCUAUUAUCAAACCAGCAAUCCAUGUCUAAACUUAAAUUAACAAAAUUUGCCACGCAACCCGAUACACUAUUUUAUAUAUAUACUAGAUUUAUUCUAGAUGCACAUGUUUUAUUAUAUUUAAAAAUUAAAAUAUAUGGUUGACUAAGUUUUAGUUGAGUUAGUAUUGGUAUUAUUGUCAGUGUAGGAAAAUGUGAGUCUAAUUGUGCUCAAAUUUGUUUUAUACUCCAAUUCAAGGGUUAGGAAAAGGUUAUUGAUAAUUAAAUUAUACCAACUUUUAUGAUAUUAAAAAAAGGAUUUAUAAAUAAUAUAAGGAAAAGAAAAAAAGAGAGAAACAUAUUCAUAUUGAUGGGCUCUUUCAAUAUUAGACUUUUUUUCUAUCACAAGUAAAAAUAUCAAAGGUGAUAAUAAUUAAAUUAUAAAAUUUAAAUUGAGAAAAUAGGGGAUUGAAUUUAUAACUUUUAAAGUAUAAAGAAUGAAUUUAUAACUAACAACAUAUUUUAACCACACAAUAAAAGUAGUUAUGGAGAGGAUCAUGUAAAAUAAUGACCUGAAUAAUUUUAAACGUCUCAUCCUUGCAAAAAUGAAAUAAUAGAAAAGAAAUAAGUGUUGGGUGUAGUGGCAAUGUACAUUAUACUUCUAAGGGGAGAUCAGGGUUUUAUACAAGGGAAGAAUUUUAAACCUGCUUUUUUCUCUAGAACUCAACGCAAACCUCAAAUUUAUCUUUUUAUAAGAAUUUUAAUAUAUCUAUAUAAAAGGUGAUUUUUUUGCCGAUCACACUUAACAAAAUUUUAAAUUUUUUUUUUUGAAAUUUAAAGUGAUCUAAAAACAUAUUUUUAAGUGCUUUAGACCAUCCUGUGUUGAUUUCUUUAGUAAUUUGAUUUGUUCAAUAUAGAUUUUGGUGACUUAACACAAAAUUAAUAAAAAAUAUUUUUUCAGAUAUCUUUUUAAUGUUUAAUAAUAAGUUAAUUUAUAAAAUAUACUUUCAUAGGACACAGGCCUCCAAGGCGGUGAACCACUAAUGAAAUUAAUUUUGAGAUACUUAAAUUUGUUUUCAUCAAUUAAGAAAUUUGAAAAAUUGUUGAGACCUCAUGAUUAUCUUUUAUAAUUUCAGGCUUAUCACCAAAAAACUAAAAAACAAAAUCGUCGACAUUAAAUUUGUUGGCAUGCAAUCAAUUUUAAGAUGGUUUUUGGAGUUAUAUAUCACUUUAGCAUGGACUUACUUUUCUACAGUUAGUCUUCUCCAACAAGUUAAAUAUUUCAAUUUUAACAACAUUGACAGGUCUUUGGGGUAGGGUCGAGCAAAACUCAAUAGAAAUAGAUGAUAUAGAUUGAGUUAGCUCGGCCAAGUCGAGUCGACUUGUUCAAAUUAGUUAAAUUAGUAAAUUUUAGGGUGCAGUUAGAAUUUUUUUUUGUUUUGAGAUGCUAAGAUUAAAAAAUUUCAGUUGCUAAAACAAAAAAAUUGUAUUUAAAAAAAGGCAUAAAGAAAGGCUGAAUGACAAAUUGCCCAAAGCCCAUGCCCCUAGCUAUACGCCCCUGGUAAAAUCAAUUUUAAAAUUAGUUAUAAUAGUUGAAGCGAUUGAUUAUUGAGGAAUGAAAUACAUAGUUCAACAAAAUAAAUAAGUUGACAAAUUUUGACAAAAAAAAUCAAAAAUAAAAUAAUAGAAAAGAAAGAGUAGCCAUUUUAUGAAUUUAUAAUUCCAACCGUGAAUAAAAUAUAAAUUUUAUGAAUGUGGACAAGCCAUUUUAUUUAUAAUUUUCUGUGUUUUUCUUCUUUUCCUGACUUUUUUUUAAAGUCAUUUUCUUUGUUUCCUAAUCACCAUGAAAUUACUUGUCACAAUUCAUCUUUUUAAAUGAGAAACAUUUUCCACAAUUUGCCAUCACUUUAACAUACACUAACUUUUCUAUGAUUAGUCCUUGGUUUGCUUUGGGUGGAAUCUUCCAACAAUUAGUGUAUCACGAGUUUCGUUUUCUUUAAAAAAUAUUUUUGUGGAUAUUAGGAGAUAAUGAAAAUUAUUUUACUAUGAAAUUUUAAUAAAACUUUAAAAUAAGUAAUUUAUUUUAAGAGAUCACAAUUAAACAUUAGAUUUCCAAUUUUUUAAUUUUACAAUUUUUUGACAAUUACAUAAUUAAUAAGGUACCAAUGUUGAGCGUUGUAGGAAUGCUAUAACCUUCCCUAAACAUAAUCGACUCUUGAGCAUGAUGGAUCCUAGACCUUCUCCUCUAUUCUCGUACCACAAAUUGCUUUGAGUGUGGGUACGAACAAUCACAAAUUAAACACAAAACCAGAAAUGAUUUAUUACUUUUAAUAGCAAAGUAAUUCUCUCUCAAUAGAAACCAAUAGAAUUGUAAUUCCCAUAAAAUAAAAUUUAUUUUCUGAAAUAUAUUCUCACUACUUUCUAGCAGAGUAACAAUAUUUAAAACUUAUGUCUUGUGUUAAUAGCUUUACUAGCACUAUCUAUUUAUAGGGAGAGAGAUGAGAGUCCUGGUUGAAUUAGUAAAACACGAAUAAUAUUUAUUUCAUAGAAGACAAUUUCAUAGAAAACUUAUGUCUUGUGUUAAUAAUGUUGAAUUUGUAUGUACAAGUUUCUAAUACACUUGUUGGGACAUUCUUUGACUUUUAUCUAUUCUCUCAAAAAGUUAAAGUUCAAAGUUGCAUUAAACUCAAAUAAGAUAACCAUUAGCAAACCAGCUCACAAGCCUGCUCAAGCUAAUCCUACAAGUCAUUCCACUUCAUCAUCAAGCACCAAUGUUCUUGCUUAUCCUUAUGGAAUUAAACAAAAGAAAAAAGCUCUUUAAGAGUUAUUUCAAUAGACUUCUUUAAUGGUAAAUGACAAUCCACUCUAUUGAUGCUUCUUCGCCCAACUCAUGAUUUAAAAGAAGUUUAUACUCAUGGAUCAAGUGUAGCUCACCAGUUAUCAUUAAGGAGAAAAAAGAGUCAAUCAAGUGAAAAUUAUAUUCCAACAUCCCCCCUGAACCAAAUUUUAGAGUGAUGAAUGUCAUGACAACUGACACUACAUUCUUAGAAGAAUAAGUAGAUCUCUAGCAAAAACGAUGGAGAGUCUUACUACAAGCAUAAAAGGAAUGGAUGAUCAAAUUGAACAUCUUAGAGGAAGUAACCAAACCUUUUCCUACGAAACUCAACAUCCUCUUCACAAAGUUGUUGGAAUCAAAAUUGUUGAAGGACUUUAAAGUGUUUCUUUAGAUCAAGUUAAGGAGCUCAUUAAAGAAACCAUUAAAGAUCAAGUCAAAAGUGUUGCUCUACCUUCAUAUACAUACUUGAAGCCAUACAUUUGAAGGGCUUAUCAUUUGAAUAUGCCUGAACAUUAUCCACCUCCAAAAUUGCAAUAGUUUGAUGGUAAAGGAAAUCUAUGUAAACAUGUCGCUCACUUCGUGGAAACUUGUGAUUGCGUCGAUGUAACACCCCACUCGCGACCUAAUCGCUGGAUUCGAGAAGAGAGAUACCGAAAUCAUGUUGGAAAAAUCUAGUUUGAAAAUGGUUUUAUUUAUAGAGGAAAAUAAAAAUUUUGAAAACUGACUCGGUUUGUGAUAUUUAUGGCAAUAAAUGUUAAACUGAAAUCAUAAAUGUGCUUUUGAAUAAGCAAAUCCUUGAUGUUUUCUAGCUUUAAACCAAAUUAUCUUCUUCACUAUUCUCAUACCACAAAAUGCUUUGAAGUGUGGACUUGAACCAAUUGAAUCAAAACACAAAACUUGAAAAAGCUUUUUAUUCUUUUCGGGGUGAAACCUAAAAUUUUCUCUUAUUUAAUAGAAACCAGUAGAAAUGUUUAUUUUGGAAAAAUAUAUUUAAUAGUUAAGAAUAAAUUCUCCUUAUUUUUCAAUAGAGUAACAAUCUCUCAAAGUUGUAUAUAAAUCCCUACUGAUGCCAGAUAUUUUUAAGAAGAGAAGAUAGAACCCUUGUGGAAUUGUAGAAGCUUAUUUCAACUAGAAAAAUAACUUCCUACUUAGAGUAGGAGCAGGUUGGAUGGCAUCCCCUGUCGCCCCUUCGUUUUCCAUGAAGGGAUUUUGGAUCUCUCUCACAUUAGAUCCAACUAUGAGUGCUUUUCGAGCAUUUAGACUCAGUACUUUGUAAUUUGACCCAACUCAAUUCUAUUUUUUUAUUUCCCAAAAUAAACUUCAAUAUUUUAUAUUAAAUAAUUUUCUCAUCCAAAUUUUACCCUCAAUAGAAUUUUUGAGAAAAUAUAUUUAAUAUUUCACAAUUCAACUUGUUCAUUAUGAUCGAAUGAUUUAUUUUCAUUUUCUAGAUUUUAUAUAGCUGAAAAACAUAAACUCAUUCUCCUGAUCAUUUUUAAGUAUAUUCAUCUACAUUUGAAAAUGAAUCAUUUCUCAUUUUCGUUUCCAAAUGAUUUCAUUUCUCCAUUUCGAAGAAAUGUAUAAUCAUUCCUGAAUGUUUGUCAUUUCUUUAUUUCUAUUCAUUUCGAUUCAAACAUGCAAUUCAUUUAUGGUUUCAACGAGCUAGUGAAGGGACUAAUUGGACAUAUACAAUUAGGGCUCAAAUGAUUUAUAUUUGAAGUUUCAACUUUUCAUCUAUUAAUUAUAAACUCAUUUAGUCAUGAAGUCAUUCCACUAUAGUAUCAUGGCUGAGCUUGUGGUUCCCCAAACUUGGACGAGACAGUCUGACCCAAAAUUUGAAACUUACAUUAGCCACCAAAAUGAUUCUCUGUUAAAAUACUACAAAACAGACCAACCAACCAUGCAGGCCACACAUUUUCAACAUAAAUCAUAAUACAAUUAAUCCUAAUUGCAUGCCUUUCUAAACAUACCAUAAAAAAUGAAGAAAAAAAAUUCAUAUUUAGGUCACCUGUGAACCCACCCACUUAGAAACCUAGUAGCACGCAUCAACUUGGCGAGCACCAGCUGAAGACCUCCUCGCGACCCCCAGCUCAUUGCUAGCCCUACGAACCACUAGUUUGCUACUACCCUGUGAUCCCUAAAUAUUGGCAAACCUAGACACACAACUCCCCUUUUAUUUUAAUAGACUACUCAAGUCGUUGGCUCACUUGCGAACUCCUCUAUUUAGUGAACCUACCUAAUAAGGCAAACUCACUAUCCUGACGUACGCAUUAACUAUGGAGAACCUUCUAUUGCUUGGCGUACUCCCUCCUAAUGGCAAACACUAGGUUAUAUAGGGCUAGUCUAUACUAGCGGACUCCCUAUACUUUGGCGAACACUCUAUUAGGGAACUUAUGGUUUUUGGUGAACACACUUUUGUUUGGCGAAACCUACCUUUGGUGAACUCACCCCUAUUGUUGAACACUGUGUUAUGGUAAGGUCCUAUUCCCUUAUGACCCCUGUCUCACACUAUGCUAGGUUGGCUCGUAAGUAUUCUUUCAAUGCGUUAUUACUUCUAUAACAUGCAUUCUAUGUUAUCACUUUAUCUCAACCAAAAAAUUGGUUCAAGGGCGUACCUCAAAAUUCGGCGAACUCCUUGUUUUACAUAAGUAUGUUAGUUCAUCAAUUUACCUAGCAAAAUCAUGUAUUAUAAUCCAAACAAUCAAGCAUUCAAUCAAGCACUUAUAAAGUCUAAAAAUCCAAAAUUUAAAUAGUUCGUAAUAUCUGUUUACAACUUGUCAAAGUUUAUUUAAAAAUUCUAGGUCUACAUCUGAUUCCUUAGGAUAGUCCCACAUUGCCUUCAACUAUAGGGUUUGUAAAAACAAAUCACGUACUCGAAUGGAUUUGCCUUAUGUUGCAUCACUAGAUUGCCAUGCUUCACAACUAGUCACGUGAACUACUUAUCUGCAAGAUAUAUGCAAGGAGUGUGAGCUUAUUGAAGCUCAGAGAAUGCUUAAGCACACAACACAUAAAACACAUCAGUCAUGCUAAAAUUUAGACAUGUUGUAACAAUUCACAUAAAAUAUAAUAAUCAUGCUCGUCAUAGUAAAAUAAUGGCAAUUUGUGAAUAUGAAACAUAAUCAUAUUAUAUAUGCAUUGGAUAAGUAGAUCUUUAGAAUACUCCAAAUGACAUAGAGAGUCAUGCGCUAUCUUUGAUAAGUGUAGUAUGAAUGCUCACACUCUCCAAACACUCCAUACUAUCCUCAAAAUUGGAGCUAAGCUCGACAUUCCCUUAUCUCUCCAAUGCUAUCUUCAGGCCAUAAUGCCCCAUCAUAUAGUAAAAAUGGUGAGUACUCACAAUCCUAUGACAUGCCAAUGAUAUCUAACGGUUUCAAGUGUUCACAAUGCCAACAUAUGAUUUUUAUUUCAUUCACUUUACACAAUUUAAAAGGCCCACAAUAUAGUAGAUCUCACAUAUAAUAGUUCUUAAUAACACAACUCACAUUUUUGUAGGGCUCGCAUGAUACAUAAGUUCGUAAUAACAUAGAUUCGCAUAACACUUAUGGCUCACAUAUAUUUAGGGCUCGAAUGCAACAUUUGGGUUUCCAUAUAUUUAAACUAGCAUAAUACAGGGGCUCGCGUAACAUGUUUUGGCUUGCAUGUAAUAUAGGGCUUGAUCACAUAUAUAGGUUUGCAUGAUCUUAGGGUUCGCAUCACAUAUAUAAGUACGCAUGAUACAUGGGUUCACUCAACAUGUAUAUAUAAACUUGCACAUCAAAGUAUAGGCUCGCAUGCAUUAAGGUAAUAGAUUUUGCAAACAAUUUAGAGCUAGCACACAUCUUAGGCUUGCAUACAUACAUGUUAGCAAGGUCUGCAGGUCACAAAUCGGGGCUCGAAUAACUAUAGAGGCUUGCAUAGAAAUAUAACAGUGUUCGCAUAUCAUUUUAAUCAGCUUCACACAUUAAAUCAGAUAGUUUGUAUGCCUUACUUGGCUUUCAUUAGCAUGCGAACUCUUGUUUUUGACGUAGUGUGUAAGGACACUCACUAGUUGUUUGUUGAUACUGUCAAACCUAUACCACAUUUUGCUUGACUUUUUCCUUGCUUGUAGAUGCACCUUUAUAUUGAGAGGCUUUGCAUAAAACAAGAAAAUAUACAGAUUGCUACUUUCACAAACAUAUUAACCUUCUUAACUAACAUAGCAGCUCACCACUUCUAAAUUUACCGAACUCACCUCAUGUGACCUUAAACUUUUAGUUACUUUAUUUUAGUUCAAUUAAAUCCCCAAUUAUUACUUCCUAAUCUCAUAAGUAAGGUUUAAUUAUAGAUCUAGGCCAUUAAUUUUAGUCAAUUCUUAAAAUCAACAUUUUUCAAAAAAUCAUGCUCAUUUUCUAUCUCAAGAAGAAAAAUCACUUGAUUCAUGCAAUUCCUUUAAGGAUUUGUUAAAUCAAGUUUAUAAACCUCUUAAUUAUGCCAAAAUGAGUUAAAAAUUAUUUUAAAAUCAUGACUUAGCUCACUAUUAUGAGAUUCACCAUUUUUUUAUAUAAACCAAGCUUUAAAGCCAUAGAUCCAAUGAUUUCUCUUGAAACUUCAGGUGCAGUGCACUAACUAUGAAUAAUGUGGACUGAAUAUGUUUUUGGUACUCCAUGGAACUCCUCCUUCAACCACAAAAUCCCAACCCAAUUUAUAUGCAAUAUGUCACACAAUCUCAUACAUAAUCCUAUCUUAAUACUUUUCACAUUCAUUUGACAUGCUCAGCAUGUCCUCAAUAAUCACAUACUUUCAUACUUUUAGAAAAUGGAAACAGUGUUCCAAAGUUUCAAUUACCAUUGUGUUGGUAUCAAUCAAUAUCAUUCAAUUACACAUACUUUAUAGAUUUCCAUUGUGUUUAAAUAGCACCCUUUUCAAUACACAAUAUAAAAAAUAUCUCAUGCAUUUAAUCAUACAUAAGCUUUAUAUCUCAACACAUUAUAUCAUUCAGUCAAACAUUCUCAUAUCUUAUAAUUCAAAUAUGCAAUUACAAACUCAAUCAAACAUUCAUACUAUCAAACUAGCAAUUUUGCCAACAUGUUAAUCUUUUAAGGCUCAAAACAUAAUUGGUUCAGCCACUCACAAAAUCAAUAAUUUGGCUAUUAAGCCAAUCCAAUCAACAAGCUAAUUUAUCACAUAUAACAUGAUAUUUAACAUUUUCAAAAAAAAUUAUAAGUUUAGGACCCACGCAUUAUUUUUUGCUUCCUCGCAACAUACUAGCGAAUCUUCCAAUCUUCCUUAAUAAUUCCUUAAACGAACCUAAACCAAAAUGAAGCAUAAAUUCAAUCAAUUUACCAUUAAGCCAACCCCCAAACACCCACUUGUGAGUUCAAACUGAUCAUUGAAAUUAAAACUACUUUAUGAAUCCAAACUAGUUAGAUUCCUUAAACUGUAUCGAUGCAAAUCGUACGUACAAUCGUUCUUCACCUUUAUGGAUGAUUGGGGGUGUUUGGGUCAGCACCUAAUUCAAUAAUAUACUGGAAAAUCAGUAGUUAAUCAAUGAUUAACUUUCUUUAUUUAACCAAUUCAUAACCUUUACCCAACAACUAUGCCAAAAUAACAAACUAGUUUACAAUUAAUCGUACUUAUACUUCUCAAAUUAUAAGAUUCGAAUGGCUAAUUGAUCAAGAAUGUCUUUUGUAACAUCCCAAAAAUUAGGUUAGAAGAAAUGAGAUUUUGAAACCAAGAGUGGUCAUCCCUCGAUUAUGAGUUUAUAUCUUGGAAAAUUUGACAAGUAAAUUGAUCUGGCUUAAUGGUUAAUUGCUAUGGUUAUAUGUGUUAGGUUCUGGGUUCAAAUCUUGUUUUUGGAAAAUUUGUUACUUUUCUUAAACCCUUACCUUGAAUGUUUGGCUUUUAAGUUAAAUUUAGUCAAUUGAGGUCAAGAAUGAGCCUGUUGGUUUAAUGGUUAAGUUUCUGCAUAAUCCUUGGUCUUGUGUUCGAAUCUCAGCGAAAGCAACAGGGAAUGUUUUGUUUUUGAAUUUUUUAUAAGGUAGUUAGUUUCGAUUGGUUAUUUAAAGCCUUCUAGAAACCUCCGUUGCUUUUACUUUUAUUUUGUUCUUUCUUUUUCUACAAUGUUUUCUAUCAUUUUGUUUUCGAUCUUCAGUUUCCUCAUUUUGGUUUUUUAUUUUCAAGCAACCUUCUUUUUGUUAUGUUACGUUACACUAAUUGUGUAUAAGGUUUAACUUCUCCUUCUAGUUAAUUUGCUGGUUGGUAAGUUCAAUUUAAAGUUUUGGUGUCGAAAGUUCUUUAACAUAACUUCAAUUUUGGAAUGUUAGUUUCUAGUGGUUUGACUGCGAAUUAAUCGUUUGUUAGGGAAUUGCUUGUCGUUUAGGGACCUGAAUUUAUCCUUGUUACUCCUACAUCGAGUUCGUAUCAAGUGGGUAUCAAAAAUAUCUUCUUCUUCAAAUUUUAGUCGUCGAAGAAUAGGACUAUCAAUGCCACAUGGUCAUGCGCAAACUAUCUAGGUACAAUCUGUAUUCUAUUAAGUUUGUUGGUAUGCCUCUGCAUUACUCUAUUGAUAAAGAAUAUGUGACAUUUGAUUAUGUUAGAUUGGUUGUUACUGAUUCUAAUUUAUAACCCUCUGUUUUACUUUAUAGAUGUGGAAUACACAAUAUCUGAAAAUGUUAGACUAAUUGUUACUGAUUCUGAUUUAUUGUCGUGCAUGUGACUUCAUGGCAAAUAUGAUAUGAUCUGUUGAGGUUUGAUAGGUCUAUUUUCCAAAACAUGGACUCUCAUGUCUCCUAAUUCUGUUAUUGAAAGAUAUCAUAACUUACAUGCUCAUCACUCUGAUUCUGCAUAUGUAUGUCAUGACACGUUGCAUGGGAUUUGGGUUGAUGUGAAAGGUAAAAGUUACUGGCAGUUAAUGAUCCGCAUUAUCUGAGGUUUAUCCUCAAUUCUGUUUCGGCAGCUUAGUUGUACUAUAUUAACUUGACCACAUGUAACCGAUAUGGCAGUCUUAACUACAAAAUUCUAGUGGCACCAUCCACAGUUAUCUGUUGGUGUGAUUUGGCUAGACGAGUUCUGAGGGAACUCUAUUUUGGAUUGUAGUGGAGUUUUGGUAGGAUGUUUUCUGAUAAUUCUGCAUUCUGAUCUAUUUGAGAAAUACAACAUCUUCAUAACACAUUUUCUACUUUGCUCUAUUCUGUUCUAUUCUGUUCUGCUCUCUUCGGUUCUAUUCUAUUUGAUUUGUUAUGUUCUGCUUCAUUCUGUUGUGCUUGGUUCUAUUGUACUAUCGUUAUGGAAAUUUUCAUGAUAUUCUCGAUCUAUUCCAUACUAGCUAUAAAACUAUUAUUAAGUUCUUUGAGUUACUUUGAUUUAUAUAAUAAAAUCUAUUUAUUUGUAUCUAAGUUUGGUUAUACGCGACGCUUGGUAGUUCUCCCUUUGUCUUAUCUUAAUCUAUUUAGGUGGAUGUUUUACAUUGAUAUAACUAUGAUUUGAUCUUUUAGGUUGUAAUUUGUUUUUGGACUUGCAUUGCUUUUCUUUUGAUAAUCUCAUCAAUAUUUGUCAUUUUCUUACACAAAAAUAAAAAAACCACCUAAGUCGACUAAAAUGAAUUUCUGGUUUUCAAUGUUAAAAUUUUGAAAAGAAAUUAGUUUUCUACAUGUUGGUGUAGCUCGUCCAAAUUUGACUUAAACUUCUAGGUUGGGUUUGGGGUGUUGUAUCUUUCCAUAAUUAACAUGUGAUUAAUCUUUUAUUAGGAGGAUUCAAGAACUCAACUUAAUGAUGGAAAAAUAUAGGUAAGAACCAAGAAACAAAACAACCCCCUUUCUUGCACACAGGCGUACGCACCACCACCCAUGGUGGCCAAAAUUGGGGAAGAAUUUUAAAAUGGUUUGAAAUCUCAUUAAAAUCUAGAAAAAUACAAUUGAAUUCAUUUAAAAUCCCCCAAAUUCCAGAUCUAAAAAUUUUUCUUUUUAAUUGACAAAAUUAAUUAAGAAUUUGAAGAGAAAAGAGAUCUUCCCAAGCUAGUUAAAAGAAACGACAAUGACACUUUCUUGGCAAUGUUCAAGAUUGAUCUUGGGUUCAAGAUUUUAGAAUUGGGGAUGAUUUAGAUGAGAAAAAAUGGUAGGAAUAGAGUAAAGGAGAUGGUGUACAAUCUUGAUGCAAAAAGAAGAAGAAAGAGUUGGUAAAUGGGAGGUGUAGGCGACGACAACAAUAGGAGAAAGAAAGAAAAUUAAAGAGAAAAGUGGAGAGGAAGAUGGUGAACGGAUAGAGUAGGGAAAAUUUGAAUUAAAGGCUGAAAAAUACAAUAAAAAUUUCUAUUUAUACUUAGGGUUCAAGGGUAUGGAUCGCACAUACAUUUAAAAAAAUAAAGGAUUUUACGAAAUUUAAAAUUUCGUAAAGGAAAGGAUUCGAAAUUGGGACCUCAUUUAAUUUUCAUGUGUUCUCAUAUUUCUUUUAACCAUUAUGAUAUUUUCUCAUUCUUAAAAUCAUUUUACAAGAUUUAGUUUAAAAAUAAGGCAUGCCACAUUCUAGGGUUUAAGGCAAAAUUAGCAAAAUAAUAAAAAUAGUGAGAGAGAAGGGAUUUGAACUUGGGUUUCAUGGAAUGUUUGACUAACACUUAUCCAACAAACCAACACCUUAUUGAUUUCCUAAAAAUGCAUAGAUAAUCUCAAAAAUUAAGGCAUGACCACUCUUUCUCGAUUCACAAACCCGAUUAUGCUAAACCCUAAUUUUUGGAAUGUUACAAGGUAAGUUUGUAGUGUAACAAUAUAUAUGUGUGUGUUUUAGGGAUACGAUUGGCAUGCCAAUAGGGUUAGUAUGCAUGCUUGUACUGGAUCACACUUUGGUUCUUCUCUUUACACUUUGGUGCCUCUCUUUGCACUUCAGUGCCACUGUAUUUGCACUACAGUGCCUCUAUUAGCAUUUCGAUGUUUGGGGGAAACCCAAGUAUCGAAGUCAUUUUGCUGUAGUUCAACAUGCUGUGAAAUUUUAUGUUUAAAUGUUAAAUUACUCUUGAAUUUGAUUUAUAUACAAUGAUAUAUUUGUGUAUCUAUGUACAUAAGCAUUGAUUGCUUUGGUUUGAGCCAUUGUUUAUAUUGAAUCAUAUGAGAUGAAUGUUUUGAUUACUAUAGUUUGAGAAUAAAUAUUAAUUCCUUGGUGUAAUUAUAUGAUUCAUAUGUCUUUAAACAUGUUAUCUAAUUAUGUUUAUGGUGUGUUUAGAGAAUUAAAUUAUUAUAUGAGUAUUUUCCAGGUAUUCAAUGUUGUUUCAUUUGGUUUAAUGGGUAAAUAAAGCUUUAAAGGGUAUGUGAUUACACGAAAUGCACUACGAUAUUUGAGCAAUGAUAUGGAUCAUGAUGAAAUGUUUAAUUGAAAAGGAAAUAUGGUUUAGUAUAUAUAUAUGAGUGGUGAAUUAUGAAAGUGAAAUAUAGAUAUGUUAUAUACCAUGUUUUAUUCAAAUUAUAUAUGAUAUGUUACACCAACUAACCUUGUGAGGUGGUGGGUAUAGGAAAGGAAAGUUGGCUUAAAACAUAAUGAAAUUAUGCCUGCCUUUUUAACAUAAAAUAUUCAGUAAAUUAAGUUUCCUUUAUAUGAACUUACUCAACAUUAGUUGCUUGCAUAGUUAUUUUUCUUUAUUUUAUAGUUCAUCAGAAGCUCGACCGGUUGGAAUCAUGUCAAAGCACGAUCACACUAUCCAUUCAACAUUUUGAUAGCUUUUUUUAUUUUGGUAAAUGGUUAUAAAUGACAUGUAAUAGGGUUUAAAUGUCAUUCUAGUGAUUUGACUUGUUUUGAGUUGUGUCAAACUUCUUGUGAUUGAUGUUGUUAGUUGUUGGCAUGUAAAUAAUGGUGUAAAUAUGUGACAGCCCAAAAUUGACCCUAGUCGGGAAGUGGUUUCGGGACCGCUAAACCGAGUCACCGAAAGGUUUGAAUGUGAUGUUUAUUAUCUAGAAUAUGUAAUAAUGAAUGUGUGAAAAUUUCAAGCUUCGAUUUAGUCGAUUGCAUGCGAGUUUAGUCAAUAGGACUUAUAUGAGAAAAACUUUAAAAUGUGAUAGGUCAAUGCAUGAGGACCUAUUAGUGCAUGUGGAAGAAAAAGGGGACUUGCAUGUCAAAUUCCCCCUCCCUAAUAUGUAGUGGCCGGCCAUGCUAUGGGUGGAAACAUGUCACCAACAUGUUGUGUUAGUGAUGUAUGGUAAGGAAAAUAAAAUAUUAAGCAUGAUAAUUAAAAUAAAUUAAAGAAAGGAAUUAAACAAUGAAAAGGAAGGGUGAUGAAAAAAAUGGUCUCAUCCAUACCCCCCCCCCUUGUUGCCGUGAGUUGAGGAAAGAAAACAAAAAAAAAUGUGUGUUCAUUCUUGAACACCUUUGGCCGAAUAGAGGAAAGAAAGGAAGGGGAAGAGCUUGAGAAAAUCGGCUAUGGUGGUUUGCUAGACUAAGGUAUGUUUGAUGUUGUUCUUGAGAUGCAUGCAUGUUUUAGUAGUUGACUUGAGUUCUAAAAACCCAUGGUUCAAUUUUGUGGAUUGAUGAAGAUUUUGUGUUUUGCCAUUGAUGAGUGCUUGAGCUUUUUGAUAGUUGUUGAUGAAAAGUGAAAGAUAUGUUAAAGAUUAAUAUGUUUUGUGUUGAAGUUUUUGGUGAUUUUGAGUAGUUAGGGCUAUAUUACAAAAACAAAUUUUUGAAGGACUCAAAGGUGAAAUAAAUGAGAUGUAUGGACUUAUAUGGGCACUAGGAAGAUUCGGCCCUUAAGGAGUGUGACCAAACUUUGUGUAUUUUGUGUUUUGUGGAAUAAAGACUAAAUUGUGAAAGUGCGAAAUAUUAGGGGUAAAAAUGUAAUUUACCCAUUUAUGCGUUAUUAGACUAAAUUGAAUGAAAAUAUGUUAAAUUAAGGCUUGGCAAGCUAGCUAUUAAGGUGAAAUGCUAAUGUUAGUAUUUGAUUCGGUAAUAAUCUGUUUGGGGACAGCAGCAGUAAGGUGAUUUUGGAAAAUCGCCAUAAUUUGUAGGAGUUGAAUUAGAAGCUGAGUGAAUUAUGCCAUUAAAGCUUGAAGAGUCUAUUUUCUUACAAAAGAAACUAUGAAAACAAAAGAGUUACCGAUCUUGAGAUAUUUGAAGUAUUGUGGGGCUGAGUCAAAAUGACUACUAGAUUCCCUGUUCUGUUUUUAGAAAAUCAUUAUAAAUUGUACAAAAAUUAUUAUAAGAUAAAAUUUAUAUGCUUAGACUCCUUAAUGAGUCUAGUUUCAAAUGAGAUCAAAUACAACACAUUUUGAAUUCUGUAAAAUGAGAAAUUUGAUUCGUAGUGAAGAGUGGUCAGAAUAGUCAAACAGUGAAACAGGGGAAACUUUAAGAAAAAUCUGGUAUUGAUUGGCCAAGCCAAAAAUUCUGAAAAUUUUAUGGAUGGAAGAUAUAUGAGUCUAUAUUCAGGGAAAAUUAACAGCUAGUGAUUUGGAGUUUUGUAGCUCCAGUUAUAAACAAUUUAGCGACUACUGCUCAGGAAAACAGCUCGUAGUGAAUAUGUGAUUUUGUUGUAAACAUUAAUGAAAAUUUGCCAAUGAGUUAUUUAUUGACUAUUACAAAGCUUACUAUAAUCUAUGUGUGUGAAAGUCAAAUCAAUAUAUAUAUUAUUCUGAAAGUAAUACUUGAAUAGUCGAUUAAUGACUAUUUUAAGUUAUUGAUUUGGCUCAAGGAGUUAAAGGAGGUGAAUCGAGCAAAGGCAAAGAAAAGGUUAUCGAGUAGCCGAGUUGGAACCGUCUUACCCAACACGAGGUAAGUCAUUAAGCAUGUAGUUGGUAUUAUUUCAAUGGUCAUAAUGUUUAUGUAUUGAUGCUGAAUGGAAUGAAUAAAUAUACAUAUAUAUAUAUAUAUGUGCAUGUACGUAUGUGAUGAUGAGAUUGUUGAAUGAAAGAAAAGAGGUAAGAUGUACUGAGUUGUUGAUCUCGGCACUAAACGUGCGGGAUAACCAUUUAUGACCAUGAGAUUGGCGCUAAGUGCGCGGGAUUAAAUUGUACAGCACUAAGUGUGCGAUUUGACUAUGUUGCACUAAGUGUGCGAAAUGAAUAUGAUGCACUAAGUGUGCGAAUUGACCAUGCGGCACUAAGUGUGCGAGUUUGACUAUGUAGCACUAAGUGUGCGAUUUGAUUAUGUAGCACUAAGUGUGCGAGUUGAUUAUAUAGCACUGAGUGUGCGGACUCGAUAUACAUUCGUGAAUCAUUAUGGACACUAUGUGUGCGACACUAUUGAGUCGAUCGCGGACAGCGGAUCGGGUAAGUGUCUUGAGUACAUGGCUAAUAGGUGCUAUGCUUAUACUUGGUGUUGAGCUCGGUAAGUUUGAACCUAUGUGACAAAUAUACUUGAAGUCACGUACAUAAAAUUUAUCGUAGGAUUGGUGAAAGGCCGUUUAGUCGUUUGAUUGUAACGAAAAUAAAUUGAUUUAUGAAAAUGCUUCAAUGUCCUAUUGAUGAGUAUAUGGAAUGUGAAUGCAUGAAUUGAUAUGAAAUUGAAUUGAUAGGUUGGAGGAACUAUGGUAUGGUUCGGAAUGGAUGGAGUAAUUAGCCUCGUUCCAUUUUGUUUUCUCUUGUGAUAAUGUUAUUGAUGGAUGGUAGUGCAUAGCUUAUGACUUACUGAGUUAUAAACUCACUCGGUGUUUCCUUGUCACCCAUUAUAGGUUGCUUGGACUCAUCUAUUUUUUUGCGUGGUCGGGCCGUCAUCGAAGUCAUCACACCGGAUAGCAAGUUUUGGUACUUUCUUCUUAGUUGGCUUAGAAGAACAUUUUGGCAUGUAUAAGCUAUUACGUUGUGUUUGAACUUUGGCAUGUAAACUUUAAGCCAUGUGAAAAUGGCACGAAUGUUCGAUUGAGUUGGAUCAAGGGUAGGCAUGAAAUGGACCUAGUUACUUUCGUAACAGAUGCUGGCAGCAGCAGUGUCAUGAGAUUGAAAAAUCAUUAAAAAUAGUAGGAGUGGAAUUAAUUGAUGAAUAAAUUAUGUAAUCGAAGCUCGAUGAGUCUGUUUUCAUGAGGAAGUAACGAAAAGAUCAUAUGGGCAGUAUAUUAAGAGAUAAUCAGAUUUUUGUGGGACAGGGCCAGAACGGUUUCUGGAUUCCCUUCUCCGACUUUGGAAAUUCAUUACAAAUUAACCAGAGAUAAUUAGGGGUCGUACCAUAUAUGUACAGAUUCCUCUCUGAGUCUAGUUUUCAUAGAAAUAAACGGCAUCAGUAUUGGAGCCCCGUGCAGGGAGAUAUCCAAGUCGGAAUGGGAAAAGGUCAGUGUAGUCGACCCCUGCAACUGGGGAGACUUUGACUAAUAAACUGUACUAAUUGGCCCGACCAAAAAUUCUAGAAAAAAAUACAUAGAUGGGCACAUGAGUCUAGUUUCUGGGAAAAAUUACGAAACUGAUUUUCGAGUUAGGAAACUCAAGAUAUGAUUUUUAAAACGACUAGUACACGGAUUGGGCAGUGUCUGGAAAAUAAAUUUUGUAAGGGGUUAAAGCCAGUUAACACCUCGUGUUCGACUCCGGUGUCGGUUUCGGGUUCGGGGUGUUACAAAAUAUGUGUGGUUGGACCCUUAUGCAUGCUUUAUUGAUUAAAGAUAUCAUAUGGUAAAAUGGCAUGUUUUUGGAAUGGUUAUUUGGCAUGAUUAAAAUAGGUUUAAGUUUUGAUCUUGAGACGUUGAAUUGAAUUAAGUUUAAGAUGUAUAUUGUGAUACCUUCAUUGGCAUAUUUGUUAGAUAUUAAAGGAUGGUUGAUUUGGUAUGUUUUUGAAAUGGUUGUUGGUAUGUUUGAUCUAAGUUGAUUAAAUGAACUUGUAAUGUUCAACGGUAUAAUACUUGUUGGUACAUUAGUUAGUCUUAUAGGUUGAUGGAAUUGGUAUGUUUUAAAUGUGUUUAAAAUAUGUUUUGGUUAUUUCAAUGUUUGUGGAAAUGGUGUGUCUUGGUGUACAAGAUUUGUAAUUGAAAUGGCUCUAUUUAGAAGCAACUUCUGCUGCACACUACCUGGGACACGAGUUGUCACAUGGUUGUGCAUCAUUAAUGUUUUAGGUGCAGGUUUCACACAAUCUAAGACUCGGCUCACGACACGGUCUGGGCUAUGUCACACAGCUUGGCCGCAUGGCCAUGUGACCCUUGUUUUCAAGUUUUCAAAAUUUUCUAUUUUAUUUCAAAUUGAUCAUAGAAUAUUCUCAAACUAUUUUUAAGGCCCCGUAGGUUCGGAUUAUGGCCCGUAAGUGUAUGUUUGCUAUAAUUAAGUUGUGUUAUUGAAUGUUAUUAAUUAAAUCACAUGAAUAUUUUAUUGUAAGUUAAAUGUUUUAAUUUGUACCAUAAUGCUUUGUAACCCUAAUCUGGCGAUGAAGACUAGUUUGGGGUGUUAUAAUUUUGGACUGUAAAUUUGUUUUGGGGGCUUUGUUCUUUGGUUAUUGCGAUGUUGGUUAGAUUUUGGUGUUUUAACAUUAAACUGCAAAAUUGUAUGAUUUAACAAACUAAAAAUUAGUUUUUCAAAAUUAAAACUCUUGAAAUUUCAGUUGCAAAGAUUAAGUAAUCACUUCAGUGUUUUUCCAUAAAUAAUUAAAUUUUUUUUAACAAAUGUUUUCCUUAGUUUGGGAAAUGAUUUGCCAACAUAUGUACUUUUAAAACACAUGAUUUCAAAUUCAAAUUCUCAAUUUUAAAUAAGGGUUUUCAAACUUUAGUUUUUUUUAACAGUUGUGAGAGGUUUUUGCCAAAUUUUAUGUUUUCAGAACAUAUUAGUAAGUUGAUUUUUAAUUUGUUUUUUAAACGAGUCGAUGUAAUUCCUCAAAAAUCCAUUCAUAGCGUCUUAGUCUAGAUCUAAACAUUAAUAUUCUCUUCCAAGAAAAAUCAAGAUUAUCAAAUUGUUACAACUUGGUAGGUAGACAAUCAUAUUAAAUAAGCAUAAAACUUAAUAAAUAAUUAGCGAAGAUUGAAACAAUCAAAGAAAAAAUAAAUUAAUUAACUAAGAAAUAGGAUCCAUUAUUGUUUCAAGAAAACAGAGUUUAGUUCAUAUUGAGUUGAGAAAUCCAAAAGGGAGAUUCAAAACAAACUUGUGAAAAGGGGAACAAUGUCAAUAGAUCGUAUUCAAGUUGUUCAACUCGAGAAGGAAAGAUUCAGAUCUAACCUAAAAAGAAGAAACCAAACAGAUUUAGAAAAACAAGAAAAACAAAGAAAAUAACUAAAAUGAGAAAUUUAAGAGUAAUUAAUAAAUAUUAAAACUAAUAAAGAAAUAAAGAAAUUAUAGAAUAAAUAGUGGAAGAUGGAAUGAAUAAACGAUGGAUAUGACAUAUAGAUGGAUAAGUGUCUGAUAAUUCUUGAAAAGAGUUAUUUUUCAUGCCUUUAGACCUAACUUGUAAUGCCCCAAAAAUCCCUUAUAUAUUUAUUUUCGUAAGUUUGUAACAGAAAUAUCUGUUAGCUUUAGUGGUUAUAUGCUUUGGGAGUGUUUAGGAGGUCCCAAGUUGAAACCUUAGCUUGGGCAAUUUUUUUUUGUUUUAAAUGAAUAAAACUCUAUCUUUGAUUAGUAGGCUUAUAAAUAGAUGUUGGUAAAAAAUGUCAGAAUGGUUUUACUGGUUUAGUGGUUAAGUGGGGUGUAAAUAUGCAGGAGCUCUUAUGUUCGAAUCUUUGUGCGAUCAAGAGCAUUUAUUUUAUUACUUGUGUCGUGUAGGUAUUUUGGUCCAGCCAAAAUACUGAAGAGGUUGACUAAGGGUUGGUUUCGGUUGUUGAGAGGUUUAUGGUGGGUUAGUAGAGAGGAUUUUAAGGAGAAAUUUUAGAGAUAUGAAGAGAGAGUUAGUGCCGAAUUGAAUUUCUUUUGCUUUCUCAAAUUUCAGCUGGGGUUUGAUUUUUCUUUUCAAUUUGUUUCUAUUGACUGUUUUCCAUUCUAGAGGGUCAAAUAUUGCUGAGGGUUCCUACUAGUUUCUUUUUUUUCUUUUUCUCUCUUCUCUCUUUCGACUUUGUUCUUCCCAACUGCAAAAGUGCUCUUCCCUAAACUGUUACUACCGUCUACUUUCUCUUUUCCUCCCUUGCUUUUUUUAUUGUCGAAUUUUGGGUUCUUUAUGCAUUUAAUUCUAAUGUCAAUUUAUCACUUCUCUACCAAAAGAUUAUUAUUUUCUCUCAUUGAUUUUCGUUUGGUUCAUCCUUGCUACCAGAAGUGUGGUUGCCCUUCUUUCUUGGUUUCGUUUGUCAUCAUCUGCUACAUGUUCUUUAACACUCUUUUGGUAAGUGUUCGUUUCUUCACCGCUCAGUUACUUGAAGUUAGUUUUUAAAUGGUUGUGUAUUGUUUUGAAUAAGAAUCUGAUAAAUCGUGUGUUCCAACCCUAUUUAGAUCAGUUCAUGGUGGUGUUUAUUGAUGAUAUACUGGUGUAUUCGAGAACUAAGGAUGAGCACGAUGAACACCUCAGAGUGGUUCUACAGAUUCUACGAGAAAAAGAACUGUACGCCAAGUUUAGUAAAUGUGAGUUCUAGUUAAGUGAAGUAACGUUUCUGGGACAUGUGGUUUCUACUGAGGGGAUUAGAGUUGAUCAUCGAAAGAUUGAGGCUGUCUUGGAUUGGAAGCAGCCUAAGACUGUAUAUGAGAUCUACAGUUUUCUCAGAUUGGCAGGGUAUCGACAAUUUGUGUAAAGGGUUUUCUCUAAUUGCCGUACCCUUGACUAAGCUGCUACGUAAAGGCUUACCGUUUAACUGGACUGAUUCAUAAUAAGAGAGCUUUGAGAAGCUCAAGACUGUACUGACUGAGGCCCCUGUUCUAAUAUAGCCAGAGUCUGGAAAAGAGUUUACUAUUUACACUGAUGCAUCACAUGUCUGUUUAGGAUGUGUGUUGAUGUAAGAAGGUAAGGUGGUAGUGUACACGUCUCAUCAGCUUAAGAAUCAUGAGGUGAAUUAUCUUACGCAUGACUUGGAGUUGAAGUGAUUGAGUAUAAUAACAUUUAACAUAUUAGAGCCAAUUGGUUGUCCAUAAACAUAAAAAGGUGACCUUAAUGAGAUACGCCAUAGACUCAAAAGUGUAUCAUUUACACUGAUCACAAGAGCCUCAACUACCUCCUCACUCAUAAGGAGCUGAAUCUUAGGCAACAUAGAUGGAUUGAGAUGCUUAAGGACUACGACUGUACUAUUGAAUACCACCCUGGUGAGGCUAAUGUGGUGGCUGACGCACUAAGCCGUAAAACUAUGACUGAACUGAGGGUGAUGUUUUCUCGCCUUAUUUUAUUUGAUAAUGGUAGUCUGUUGGCCAAACUUCAGGUUAAACCGAUUUGGAUAGAGUAGAUUAAGUGUAUACAAGUAGAGAAUGAGUUGUUGGGUCUUCGUUUUUGACAGGUUGAGAGUGGGAAUACCAAGGAUUUUAGACUGAAUAGUGAAGGGGUGCUCUAUAUCUGUGGGAGAAUCUAUGUAAAGACCUUCGUGAGUUAUACUAGUGGCCAGGUCUUAAAUGAGAAUUUACUAAAUUUUUGGCUAAGUGUCUGACAUGCUAGCAGGUUAAGGCUGAACAGCAGUUACCUUCGGGAUUGUUGCAGCCAGUCAAGAUUUCAGUUUGGAAGUGGGAGCAUGUAACUAUGGAUUUCAUUAGUGGGUUACCCCUCACACCCACUAAAAAGGAUUCGAUGUAGGUCAUCGUGGAUUGAUUGACCAAAUCCGCCCACUUCAUACCAAUUUGUACUGAUUACUCUCUGUAGAAGCUGGCUAAAUUGUAUGUGUCUGAAAUAGUGAGAUUACAUGGGGUACCGAUUUUAAUAAUAUCUUAUAGGGAUCCUCAUUUCACAUCUCGGUUCUGGAAGAAGCUAUAUGAAGCUUUGGGUACAAGAUUGGAGUUUAGUACUGCGUUUUAUCCUCAGACUGACGGUCAGUCAGAGAGGGUGAUUCAGAUACUAGAGGAUAUGUUGAGAAGUUGUGUGAUUGACUUUCGAGGUAGUUAGGAGGAUUACUUACCGCUAGUAGAAUUUGCAUAUAACAACAACUAUCAGUCUAGCAUUCAAAUGACACCCUAUGAGGCAUUAUAUGGUCGUAGGUGUCGCACACCUUCAUGUUAGACUGAGUUAGGCGAGCAGCGUAUUUUGGGGCCUGAACCAGUUUCUGAUACAGAGGAUAAAGUUAGACUAAUUCAGGACCAACUGAAAGCGAUAUCUAAUAGGCAUAAGUCCUACACCGAUCUAAAGAGUCGAGGGAUUGAGUAUUCUGUGGGGGACUUCAUUUUUCUCAAGGUCUCACCAUGGAAGAAGGUAUUAAGGUUUGGUCGUAAGGGCAAGUUGAGCCCUAGUUUAUUGGGCCCUAUCGCAUACUAAAACGUGUGAGAUGAGUUGCCUACCAGUUGGAGUUACCUCUAGAGUUAGAUCGGAUUUAUGACGUGUUCCAUGUCUCUAUGUUGAGGUUACCGCUCUAAUCCUACGCAUAUUAUUCCUAUUAAGGAAAUCAAGGUUAGGCUAGAUCUAACCUUUGAGGAGGAGUCAAUUCAGAUAUUGGAGUGAGAUAUAAAGGUUCUAAGAAGAAAAUUCAUCCCACUAGUUAAGGUUAUUUGGCGUAACCAUAGCACUGAGGAGGCCAUAUGGGAGUCUAAGGAUGUAAUGCUUUAGCAGUAUCCUCACCUAUUCUGAUCAGGUAAAUUUUCAAGGCCAAAAUUUUCUUUUAGGGGGUAGAGUUGUAGCGCCCCAAAAAUCCCUUAUAUAUUUAUUUUCGUAUUUUUUAUACAAAUAUCUGUCAGCUUUAGAGGCUAUGUGCUCUGGUAGUGUUUGGGAGGUCCCAAGUUCAAGCCUUAGCUUGGGCAAUUUUUUAGUUUUAAAUGAAUAAAAUCAUAUCUUUGAUCAAUAGGCUUAUAAAUAGAUGUUGGUAAAAUAUGUCAGAAUGGGCAUGCUGGUCUAGUGGUUAAGUGGGGUGCAAAUAUGCUGCAGGUCUUGUGCUUGAAUCUCUAUGUAUAGAGCAUGUUGUUAAACUGUACUACAUGCAUAUAUGAUACCAUGAUAUGACAUGACAUGAUUGUGUGGUGCAUGGCAUGGGGAUAGGUUAUUAUUGAUCGAAGGAAGUGUACUGGAAGGCUUUGAGCCUAACUUACUGGCAGCUCAGCUGCAUAUUACUGUAUAGUGUCGCCAUUGGUACUACUUAGAGUGUAGGGAUGGGUGGGUUGAUUAUAUCCCCACAUGAAGUGUAGGGUUGGUCGGAGUUGGUGUGUAGAGGUUGGCUAGGUAGGACUUGUAUACUGCAUAAUCUGUUAAUGUACUGAUUGCUAAUAUUGUAAUGGGCCAAGGCCCAAAUGCAUGAUUACUUUUGUACUAAGAUGGGCUAAAGCCCAAACCAAUACUGUCACUGAUACUGGAAAGGGCUUAGGCCGGACUGAGUUUAUUCUGUUUUCUGUCUGAUUAUUUUGUGUACUGUCUAUUUGUUUGCACUAGGAAUAUCACACUGAGUUUUGAAAACUCACCCUUUCUGUUAAUCUGUGUAGGUAAUCCCCAGUCGUAGGUAGAUCGGUGUGGCGGAGGAUUCAGCGGUGGCCACACGACUCCUUUUUAUUGUUUCGUAUCUAAUGAUAUUUAUUUUUAAGUCUUUAUUUGGGGUUUUUAUCUGUAAUAAUUGCUGCUAUGGAUUUUUUAUUUAAAUUUGGAUUUAACACUACUUCAUGUUUACAUCUGCUAGAGGUAGAUAUAGCACGGAUUUUUGAAAAGAAAUGCAUGUGUUUUAGCAAAAUACCCCAAUGUCACAAACUGUUUUAAAAAGCUUCCGCAACGUAUAAUGAUUUGCAAACUAACAAUUGAAUAAAAAUCACUAUUUUGGGAUUAACAAAAGAUAACGACGACCUCUAAUCGAAAAAUGUUUUAAGCAAAGUUACCAUUUUUCAACAUGAGCUUCGGUUUUGAAAAAUACCACCAUGUGACAUCGCCAAAUUCGCCCGUAACAUCCAGGCUGGGUUUGGGGUGUUAGAUAACUAAUUGCUUGAACUUAAGUACAUUUUGUUGCAUUUUAAGACAUUUUAGUUAGCAUUUCUAAUAUUGCAUUAGGACUUAGAUUGUGUUGGACUUAUGUGUUUUUAAUAUGGUGGAGUUUUUUUGUGUGUUGGUAUGGCAAGAACAUAUUUUAGAACGAGGAAAUAAAUGAGUGAAGUUUUGUCAGGGAAAAAGUGCAGACAGUUUGCCAGCACGGAUGCCGUGACAAUGCCAGGAAGACCAAGUAAACAUUUUUUUGCGCAACAGUCUCAAUUGAAAUUAAAACUUGUACCAGAUAAAUCUUCAAAAAAGAGGAGAAGAUAAUCACAAGUUGUUACUUGACACUAGCCUAAUCUACCUAUAAAAGCCAAUAAAGGGGAUCUCACAAAUGGCAGAAAAAAGUGGGAGGGAUCCUUAGGUGUGAAUAAGGUUUUAGUUGCGCAAAGGAAAGGAAGUCGAAGGCAGUGCUUUUUAGCCAUCACAGGAUGUUGUGCUACCGAAGUGUAAACUAGGCAAGUGAAAGUUGUUUCCCAAAGUUCUUUCGUUAUUUCCAUCAGCGUUCCUUCAAAAUAUUGAAGUAGUUGAACACAAUGUCAGAUAAUAUUUUGCUUUUGAAUUUUAUUUCUCAGCCCAUGAGCUAAAUCUCGUAGGGUUGGGAUUACUUUUGAUGAAACCUUAAACUAUUUUUAUGGAUGCAGUAUAUAUCUAAUUUACUUUACUGUUUCAUUUGAUUGUUCUUAUUUCUUAAUUAAAAUGCAAAUGAUUUCUAAACAUAGAAGACUGUUCGCAUACUUAUAAACUCAUUCUAAUUCUGAAAGGGUUGGAUUGGUUGGAUUAAAAUUAAAUGAAAUGAGCAAGUAUUCGAUGGACACUUGUAGUAGACUCUAUACAUAGAGUGACGAUCAUACAGAAGGAACCCAUGCAAGGUAUCUAAAAAGUCUUUAGACAUAGGCAAGGUAACUUGAUGUUUUCCUCUCAUGAGAGGAGAGCCAUUUUAGUACUCUUCUGUGCUUUAUAGUAGAUACGAUUUUCCCAAGGCAUUAUUGACAAUAAGGGUCAAUAUUCGGUAAUCCUGACCUUCGAAAUCCACAUCGUAUAUCCUUUAUUCUUUUCCACAUCAUUAUUAGUUAUUUAUUUGUUCAUUUACAUAAUAUUCCCAUAGUAAUUCUCAUCAUUGUCAUUACAUUUCUACUCUUGGUUUGACACAACAUUACCACUUAUUUAUUAAUUCUAUGUAUUGCUUACAUCAUUACUCUACUAAUUGCCACUGUAUAUUCAUCAUUGACUCUCCCAUAGCAUUAAUCGUAUUUUAUUAUAAUAAUUUGACCAAUUGUGUGCCUCAAUCCGAUCUUUAUGGGAACGAUACACACUCAUCACUUUAUUACGUGAUUCAACUGUAUACUUGCACAAAUCGCAUAUCAUUUCACACACGAUAGUGUUCAAUUGAACCCUUUGAGAUAUAAACCUAGACAAACUCAAUUAAUGGCUUUAAUUAACCCACCAAGAAAUAAUGAUUGGCAAAUUGAACGAUGAAGAAUGAAUUCCCAUGACUCCUUAAAAAAUUGAGAAGAAAAAUACUUCUAAAAAUCACAAGAAACAAAUCUUGGACAAAGAAACUAACUUUCAGAGUUGGAAAUUUUAGUAAUAAACAAAAACAAUUGCAUCUCUAAUGAACAUGAAGGGCCUUUACAUAGGCUAGAUAAGUACAUCCAGAUAAAAUAUUCAAGUAUCUUGAAACUUUAAUUAAUAUAAGUAAUAAGUAAUUUUAAACUAAAAUAGUCAUAAUUUUCGUCAUAAUCCCGUCCAAAAAUUCUGCUCACAUAAUCAUCAUUAAAAUAGUCAUAAUUUAAGCUCUUGAACUCAAAAUUGAGUGAAUAAAAGUGUGUUUCGAAGUUAAGUGCUAGAUCUUAGAACUUUAUGAAGACAUAUCAAUCGAAAAUUGUCCGGAUCCCAUCCAAAGAGUCACAGCAAGUUAACUAAUUUUUCAAACUUGAAAAUUGGCAACUUCGGGGAAUGGAAUUUAAUACAGUUCACCCCAUCUAUUCAUGUAUCAACUCGCAUUGGUAAAAAGUAAAAAGAAAUAAUCUAUAGAGAAAAUAGUUGAAGAAUUUAUGAAAAUUUAUUCAAAUCUCUUUUUUUUCUAGUCUUUGCAAGCUUGAAUUUUCCCUUGGUGUGUGAGAGUUGUUCCUUACCCUCUAAGUGAUUUUUUUUCUUUUUCUUUCUCUUCGAUCUCGUCACCUAAGGGUGUUCAAACAAUUGAUUCAGUUAGUACCCGUGCAAAACUAUCAUUAACUGAAAUUUUGAAACCCUUAAUCAUUAAUCAAACCAUUUUCUUUUUUGAAACCUACUAACCAGCUUGAUUGAUUUGGGUUAAUUUGAGUGGUUAACCAAAAUUUAAACAUUGUUUGUUUUUGUUCAAACAAUUUUAAAACAAAGAACAAUCCAUGACAAUUUUUCCUUGUUUUUUAUUCAAAAAAAUUAAAAGAAUUAAAAAAAUAACAUAAUAACAACACUAAAUUAAAAACAUAAUAGCAUUCAUUACAUUACAAAGCAUAUAUAUAUAUUUACUUUUUCUUGACUUUUUAGUUUAAUUUUCGUUUUAUUUUCCUAAUAUUUUUAGUUUUCAUAUUUUUGUUAAGCUUAUUAUAAGAACACUUAUAAAUCCAUUAGUUCUUAUAUAUUGGGUUUGUAUAAUGUAUUCGACCUAUCUCUAAUAUAUUGGGCCUAUAAUAUAUUUUUAUUGAUUUCGGUUAAUCAAUUCAUUCGAUUAAUUAGUCGAUUUCAAACUAAAAUAAUUGGUAAACAAAAUCUUCAAAAACCUUUAACCAACUCCAACCAAAUUAGAUUCAUUGAUCAACUUCUUAAUCAAAUUAAUUAGGUUUGAUAAAUUAAUUCGUUAAAACUGAAAAAUGCACACCCCUAUCAUCACCGUUGUUUUUAGGGAUUUUAAUCAUGUUGCUCCACCUGAUGCAGAAGUUGAGGUGGAAUGAACUACUUGCUACCAAAAUUUUUGAAUUAUAGAGCAUGCUCUACCGCAGUGAAUCAAAUUCGGUGGAGUGGAAGACUUUUCUUUACUACUUUAUGCUCUAUGCUCCAAGUCUUCUAUUCUUCUUCUGAGACCUAAAAUGGGAAAAAAAAAGAAGAAACAAGUCUAAACUAACUUUGAAAAUUAGAAAUUCUCAACAAAAUUGAAAUAAAAUAUAAUUAAUCCAUAAAAACUAUAAAAAAUACAAUAAAAACGAACCUAAAUACUAAAAUUACCUCCUAAAAAGCUAUGGAAACUAUACUAAAAUAAUUCUAAAUAUGAUAGUUAUCAAAAAUGACAUGAGGAAGCCAAUCGAGUAGAUGCUUUCAACUAUUGCAAAUACCAUUAGUCGAUUAGCCAUCAUCUUGAGAACAUCAUAGAGUUGAAAGAAAAAAUCAUACAACUCCAUAAAGAAGAAAAAAUCAUUUUUGAAAAAGAAUUGGCAUUAUCAAACUUGACAUCAAUGCUUUGGUUUCUCAAUACAAUAUUAUGGACAAAUUCAUCAAAUUUGGCUCUUUCAAUCCUAUUACACUAGCUCUAAGUAGAAGUAAGAUGGUGAGUUUCGAAGGGAUUGAGGGCAAUCAUCUAUUUUUGGAAUAUCAGAAUGGUCAUGAUUGGACUCUAGCCACAUGUCAAAGAAGCCAAUGAAAAGCAUCUCUCCUAGGUAUAAGCUUAUAUUAUCACAUUGCUCCUAAGCAUGAGCAUAAAUCGUUCAUCCAGAAUGAUGAUGAUCCUAAGCAUAAGCUUAAACUAUUCAUCUAAUGCUCCUAAGAUGGAGCUUAAUCUAUUCAACCUAAACGAUCAUGCUUUAAGCACAAUCUUAAACUAUUCACAAAAAAUAAAUGAUGAUCCAAUGAAGCAUGAGCUUAAACUAUUCAUACAAAAUAAGCGAUGACCUUCUAAGCAUGAAUUUAAAUUGUUCAUACAUAAUAAAUGAUGAUAUUACUAAGAACAAGCUUAAACUGUAGUCUAAAAAAUAUUGAACUAUAUUAUAACUUGAUCUUUUAAAAAUGAAGGUACGUAGAUAGCUUGGUUUCAUUGCCAAGUUCAGUCUAAUUAAAUAUGUUUAUGGUGUGUUUAGAGAAUUAAAUGAUUAUAUGAUUAUUUUCCAGGUAUUCGAGGUUGUUUCAUUUGGUUUAAUGGGUAAAUAAAGCUUUAAGGGGUAUGUGAUUACAUGAAAUGAACUAUCAUAUUUGAGUAAUGAUAUGGAUGAUGAUGAAAUGUUUAAUUGAAAAGGAAAUAUGGUUUAGUAUAUAUGUAUGAGUGGUGAAUUAUGAAAGUGAAAUGUAGAUAUGUUUUAUACCAUGUUUUGAUUCGAAUUAUAUAUGAUAUUUAAACCAACUAACCUUGUGAGGUGGUGUGUAUAGGAAAGGAAAGUUGGCUUAAAACAUAAUGAAAUUAUGCUUGGUUUUUUAACUUAAAAUAUUCAAUAAGUUAAGUUUCCUUUAUAUGAACUUACUAAACAUUAGUUGCUUACAUAGUUAUUUUUCUUUAUUUUGUAGUUCAUCAGAAGCUCGACCGAUUGGAAUCAUGUUAGAGCAUGAUCACACUAUCCAUUCAACAUUUUAAUAGUUCUUCGUUAUUUUGGUAAAUAGUUGUAAAUGACAUGUAAUGGGGUUUAACGGUCAUUCCAGUAAUUUGACUUGUUUUGAGUUGUGUCAAGCUUAUUGUGAUUAAUGUUGUUAGUUGCUGGCAUGUAAAUAAUGGUGUAAAUAUGUGUGAUCGGACCCUUAUGCAUGCUUUAUUGAUUAAAGAUAUCAUAUGUUAAAAUGGCAUGUUUUUGGAAUGGUUAUUUGGCAUGAUUGGUAUUUAUGAUCUUGAGAUGUUGAAUUGAAUUAAGUUUGAUAUGUAUAUUGUGAUACCUUCAUUGACAUAUUGGUUAGAUAUUAAAGGAUGGUUGAUUUGGUAUGUUUUUGAAAUGGUUGUUGGUAUGUUUUCUCUAAGUUAAUUAAAUGAAUUUGUAAUGUUGAAUGGUAUAAUAUUUGUUGGUACAUUAGUUAGUCUUAUAGGUUGAUGGAAUUGGUAUGUUUUAAAUGUGUUUUGGUUAUUUCAAUGUUUGUGGAAAUGGUGUGUCUUGGUGUACAAGAUUUGAAAUUGAAACGGCUUGAUUUAGAAGCAACUUAUGCUACACACCGCCUGGGACAUGGAUUGUCACAUGGCUGUGUCAUUAUUAUUUUAGGUAUAGGUUUCACACAAUCUAAGACUCAGCUCACGACACAGCUGUGUAUCACAAGUCAGUAUGUAACACGGUUUUGUACAUGGCCUGCGACACGAUCGUGUGUCCAGACUUCGAAUGUCCACAUGGUCUAGGCUAUGUCACAUGGCUUGGCCACAUGGCCGUGUGACUUUUGUUUUCAAGUUUUCCAAAAUUUUCUAUUUUAUUUCAAAUUGAUCCUAGAAUAUUCUCAAACUAUUUUUAAGGCCCCGUAGGUUCGGAUUAAGGCCCGUAAGUGUAUGUUUGCUAUAAUUAAGUUGUGUUAUUGAAUGUUAUUAAUUCAAACACAUGAAUACUUUGUUGUAAGUUAAAUGUUUUAAUUUGUACUAUAAUGCUUCGUAACCCUAAUCUGGCGAUGGAAACAAGUUUGGCGUGUUACAAUUUUGUAUUGUAAAUUUGUUUUGGGGCUUUGUUCUUUGGUUCUUGUGAUGUUGGUUGGAUUUUGGUGUUUUAACAUUAAACUGCAAAAUUGUAGGAUUUAACAAACUAAAAUUAGGUUUUCAAAAUUAAAACUCUGGAAAUUUUUGUUGCAAAGUUUAAGUAAUCACUUAAGUGUUUUUCUAUAGAUAAUUAAAUGGUUUUUAACAAAUGUUUUCCUUACUUUUGGAAAUGAUCUGCCAACAUUAGUACUUCUAAAACACAUGAUUUCAAAUUCAAAUUCUCAGUUUUAAAUAAGGGUUUUCACACUUCGAUUUUUUUUAAACAUUUUUGAGAGGUUUUUGCCAAAUUUUAUGUUUUCAGAACGUGUAACCAAGUUGAUUUUUAAUUAGUUUUUCAAAGUAGUCGAUGUAAUUCCUCAAAAAUCCAGUCAUAGCGUCUAGGCCGGGUUUGGGAUAUUAUACUGACGUUACUAAAGUUAAUCUUCAUCUAUUUAGUCUUGAUCUAAACAUUAAUAUUCUCUUCAAAAAAAAUCAAGAUUAUCAAAUUGUUAAAACUUGGUAGGCAGACAAUCAUAUUAAAUAAGCAUAAAACUUAAUAAAUAAUUACCGAAGAUUGAAAUAAUCAAAGAAAAAAUAAAUUAAUUAACUAAGAAAUAGGAUCCAUUAUUGUUUCAAGAAAAUAGAGUUUAGUUCACAUUGAGUUGAGAAAACCAAAAGGGAGAUUCAAAACAAACUUGUGAUAAGGGGAAUAAUGUCAAUAGAUCAUAUUCAAGUUGUUCGGCUUGAGAAAGAAAGAUUCAGAUCUAACUUGAAAACAAGAAACCAAAAAGAUUUAGAAAAACAAGAAAAAACAAAGAAAAUAACUAAAAUGAUAAAUUUAAGAAUAAAUAAUCAAUAUUAAAAAUAAUAAAGAAAUAAAGAAAUUAUAGAAUAAAUAGUGGAAGAUGGAAUGAAUAAACGAUGGAUAUGACAUAUAGAUGGAUAAGUGUCUUAUAAUUCAUGAAAAGAGUUAUAUUUCAUGCCUUUAGACCUAACUAAUUGUUUGUACUUAAGUACAUUUUGUUGCAUUUUAAGACAUUUUAGUUAGCAUUUCUAAUAUUGCAUUAGGACUUAGAUUGUGUUGGAAUUAUGUGUUUUUAAUAUGGUGGAGUUCUUUUGUGUGUUGGUAUGGCAAGAACAUAUUUUAGAACGAGGAAAUAAAUGAGUGAAGUUUUUUCAAGGAAAAAGUGCAGACAGUUUGCCAGAACAGAUGCCGUGACAAUGCCAGGAAGACAAAGUUAACAUUUCUUUGCGCAACAGUCUCAGUUGAAAUUAAAACUUGUACCAGAUAAAUCUCCCUAAAAGAGGAGAAGAUAAUCACAAGUUGUUACUUGACACUAGCCUAAUCUAUCUAUAAAAGCCAAUAAAGGGGAUCUCGCAAAUGGCAGAAAAAAAUGGGAGGGAUCCUUAGGUGUGAAUAAGGUUUUAGCUGCGCAAAGGAAAGGAAGUCGAAGGAAGUGCUUUUUAGCCAUCACAGGAUGUUGUGCUACCGAAGUGUGGACUAGGCAAGUGAAAGUUGUUUCCCAAAGUUCUUUCGUUAUUUCCAUCAGCGUUCCUUCAAAAUAUUGAAGUAGUUGAACACAAUGUCGGAUAAUAUUUUGCUUUUGAAUUUUAUUUCUCAGCCCAUGAGCUAAAUCUCGUAGGGUUGGGAUUACUUUUGAUGAAACCUUAAACUAUUUUUGUGGAUGCAGUAUAUAUCUAAUUUACUUUACUGUUUCAUUUGGUUGUUCUUAUUUCUUAAUUAAAAUGCAAAUGAUUUCUAAACAUAGAAGACUGUUCGCAUACUUAUAAACUCAUUCUAAUUCUGAAAGGGUUGGAUUGGUUGGAUUAAAAUUAAAUGAAAUGAGCAAGUAUUCGAUGGACACUUGUAGUAGACUCUAUACAUAGAGUGACGAUCAUACAGAAGGAACCCAUGCAAGGUAUCUAAAAAGUCUUUAGACACAGGCAAGGUAACUUGAUGUUUUGCUCUCACGAGAGUCAGGCCAUUUUAGUACUCUUUUGUGCUUUAAAGUAGAUACGAUUUUGCCAAGGCAUUAUUGACAGUAAGGGUCGAUUUUGGGUAAUCAACUUUCCAAAUCCACAUCGUAUAUCCUUUAUACCUUACCAUAGUAUAUUUGCCACAUCAUUAUUAGUUAUUUAUUUGUUCAUUUACAUAAUAUUCCCAUAGUAAUUCUCAUAAUUAUCAUUAGAUUUCUACUCUCAGUUUGCCACAACAUUACCAAUUAUUUAUUACCUCCACGUAUUGCUUACACCAUUACUCUACUAAUUUCAACUAUAUAUUUAUCAUUGAGUUUGCCAUGGCAUUAAUCGUAUUUUAUUAUAAUAACUUGACCAAUUGUGUGCCUCAAUCUGAUCCCCAUGGGAACGAUACUCACUCAUCACUUUAUUACGUGAUUCAACUGUAUACUUGCACAAAUCGCAUAUCAUUUCACACACGACAGUGUUCAAUUGAAACCUUUAAGAUAUAAACUCGGACAAACUCAAUUAAUGGCUUUAAUCAACCCACCAAGAAAUAAUGAUUGGCAAAUUGAACGAUGAAGAAUGAAUUCCCAUGACUCCUUAAAAAAUUGAGAAGAAAAAUACUUCUAAAAAUCACAAGAAACAAAUCUUGCACAAAGAAACUAACUUUUAGAGUUGGAAAUUUUAGUAAUAAACAAAAACAAUUGCAUCUCUAAUGAACAUGAAGGGCCUUUACAUAGGCUAGAUAAGUACAUCCAGAUAAAAUAUUCAAGUAUCAAGUACAUCCAGAUAAAAUAUUCAAGUAUCUUGAAACUUUAAUUAGUAUAAGUAAGAAGUAAUUUUAAACUAAAAUAGUUAUAAUUUCCGUCAUAAUCCCAUCCAAAAAUUCUGCUCACAUAAUCAUCAUUAAAAUAGUCAUAAUUUGAGCUCUUGAACUCAAAAUUGAGUGAAUAAAAGUGUGUUUCGAAGUUAAGUGCUAGAUCUUAGAACUUUAUGAAGACAUAUCAAUCGAAAAAUGUCUGGAUCCCAUCCAAAAAGUCACCACAAGUUAACUAAUUUUUCAAACUUGAAAAUUGGCAGCUUUGGUGAAUGGAAUUUAAUAAAGUUCACCCCAUCUAUUCAUGUAUCAACUCGCAUUGGUAAAAAGUAAAAAGAAAUAAUCUAUAGAGAAAAUAGUUGAAGAAUUUAUGAAAAUUUAUUCAAAUCUCUUUUUUUUCUAGUCUUUGCAAGCUUGAAGUUUCCCUUGGUGUGUGAGAGUUGUUCCUUACCCUCUAAGUGAUUUUUUUUCUUCUUCUUUCUCUUCGAUCUCGUCACCUAAGGGUGUUCAAACAAUUGAUUCAGUUAAUACCCGUACAAAACUAUCAUUAACUGAAAUUUUGAAACCCUUAAUCAUUAAUCAAACCAAUUUUUUUGAAACCUACUAACUAGCUUCAUUGUUUUCGGUUAAUUUGAGCGGUUAACCAAAAUUUACACAUUGUUUGUUUUUUUUCAAACAAUUUUAAAACAAAGAACAAUCCACGACAAUUUUUCCUUGUUUUUUAUUCAAAAAAAUUAAAAGAAUUAAAAAAAACAUAAUAACAACACUAAAUUAAAAACAUAAUAGCAUUCAUUAUAUAUAUAUUUACUUUUUCUUGACUUUUUAGUUUAAUUUUAGUUUUUUUUUUCCAAAUAUUUUUAGUUUUCAUAUUUUUGUUAAGCUUAUUAUAAGAAAACUUAUAAAUCCAUUAGUUUUUAUAUAUUGGGUUUGUAUAAUGCAUUGGACCUAUCUCACAUAGUCAUCAUUAAAAUAGUCAUAAUUUGAUCUCUUGAACUCAAAAUCGAGUGAAUAAAAGUGAGUUUCUAAGUUAAGUGAUAGAUCUUAGAACUCUAUGAAGACAUAUCAAUUGAAAAAUGUCUGAACUCCAUCCAAAAAUUCACGCAAGUUAACUAAUUUUUCAAACUUGAAAAUUGGUAGCUUCGGUGAAUGGAAUUUAGUAAAGUUCACCCCAUAUAUUGAUGUAUCAACUUUCAUUGUAAAAAGUAAAAAGAAAUAAUCUAUAGUGGUUAGUGUUUUAAUGGGGGUUUUGUGUUUACUCUCGGUUAGGGGAAGGGCAAGAAGAGUUGGUACUCCUGCAGCAAUUUGAGCGUUAAGGGUGUCUGUUCGUCGGCGGUAAGGUUUCAAAUUCUUUGUUGGUUAUUGUAAGGCUCCGUUUGUGGAAUGGUUUUGGAUUGAGUUUCGUAAGUGUACUGAAUUUGGGCUUCUGGAUGCUAUUUCUUAGGUUCGAUGGUCUCGGGGGUGCUUGUGCAUCAAAACGAUAUCAGGUGUGUACCCGAAAUGCAGAAAAUCGAGCUUCGAUGAAAUCUAAAACACCUUACUAUCGACACCACAAGGGCAUGUGCCUGGCCGUGUGGUUGGCUGUGUGUAGGACACGGUCAUGUGUUUGACGAGGGUAGGGUCGUGAGGAAGACAUGGCCGUGUGACGAUGUGGGCCCGCAGGCUAGGCCAAGUUAGGCUUGUGGGUUUUGGGCCACAUGUGCAUGUGGGUUUUGGGCCAAGCCAUGUGAACCACAUGGACAGGGCUAAUCUGGGUGUGUUGACCACAUGGGCAUGUGGGCCCGAAAUUCUAAAAUUUUUCGUAGGGUCUCACAGGUCAUUUUGGUCGACUUUGUGCCUACCGUAGGGUCAGUAAGGGCUAACCAAACCCUAAAACUAUGUGAUCUGUUAGUUUGAUAUUUGUUCUAAAUAUGAUACUACUAUGCAUGUCUGAUUAGUCUGGUGUAUAUAUAUAUAUCUGAUAUAUAUGUAUGAGCAUGUGAGCAUGAUAACUCUGAUUAUAUAUAUCUGAUUGAGGUGGGAUUUCUAUAUGUGGAGGAAGUGUUCUAUAUGGCGGUCAUCGCCUAUGUUCUGGCAGCUUGGCUAUACAUUAUCUGACAUGUAUCGUAAUGGCACGAUAUGGUGUGUAGGGAUUGGUGGGUGUUUUUAACCCCACAUGAUGUGAUGGGAUGGUCAGAGUUGGUUUGUAGAGGAUGGAGUUAGGAUUCUGUAUUUCUAAUAUGCAUAUAUGUUCUAUUAUUUGAAUCUAUAAAGGACUUAGGUCUGAAUCUGAAUCUGAAAUUGUAUCUGAUCGUGUAUGAGUUUAUUGCACGUAUUGCAUGUAUUUUUCUGUUGGGUUACACACUGAGUUUACGAAAACUCACAUUUGUUUGUCGGUUUUGUUUAGGUAAUCCACAGACUUAGACGGGUCAGUGUUACGGAGGCUCAGUGGUGACCACUUGAUUGAGAACUAUUUUACUUAGUAAAUUAUGUUUUAUUUAUAAUUUCGAUUUCAUUUGAGAGUUUGUAAUUUUUGGGACUCUCCGGACUGCUGGUUUUUAUUUUGGUUUUGGAUGCGAUUUUAGACUCUUUUGUUGCGAUGCAUAAUGGAAAACACGGUUUUAUGAAAACAAAGGUUAUUCUGAAAAUACGAACUGGAUUUCUAAAAUAUAACGGUUCAAAAACUUCUGCUAAAAAUCAUGUUUUGGUAAAUAAAUGAAUUAAGUAACACUUUCAAAAAUGGUUAUAAAGAAAUAUGAACUAUGAAUCUUUAAUGAUUUGACAAAAAGACCUUAUUUUCAAAACCAUACAUUGUGACCACUCCAGAUUCAGCUAUAACGUCUAGACCGAUUUGGGGUGUUACAGUAAGGAUGAAAAUUUAAGGGGGAGUGAGCUAUGGCGCUUAGUAUGAGUUCAUUCACAAUAAAUUCAAUGCAAACGGUUGGUAGGACACAUUAAAUAAUAUCACAUAAAAUAAUCACAGUCAGAUAAUAGUUUAGAAUGUCGGUUUUACAAUUUAACCACCAAUAUUAUCACAGUAUUCACAGUUGUAAUUUCAGAAUAUCAAAUUUUCACACCAUUCACAAUAUUUAGAUAUAUAUAAAUAUAUCAUAACAGAAUUCCAGAUUUGUAUGCACAUGAUUUAGAAGAUGCCAUACAAUUUCGGGUUUUAACAGAAUAAAUCCUACCCCACGUUACAUACCAUAAUGGGAGUUCCCCUAAACUCCCUUCUCCAACACACUGGGUACCACUACUGGUUUACAAAUAAUAACUAUCAUUUGGCUGUGGACACACAGCAAUCCCCCACAAUUGGAUUCUAGAUUUGGUUGUGGGUUCACAGCAAAAAAAUCUACAAAUGAAGCAUGCUUUUGCCUGUAGAUUAUACAACAUAUACCCAUAGUUGGAAUCUGCCUUCGGCUGUGGACACACUGUAACACCUCAAACCUGACCUGGACGUUAUGGCCGAAUCUUGAGGAAUUACUUUAACUCGCUAGAAAACCCAAGAGUUUACUUUGAAAUCAUGUGGUUAAACUAGUGUUCACUUUGAUAAAUCGUUUUCCAGUUUUAGGGAAAAUUAUUAUUAAAACUACUACUUUAUUACAAUAAAAAAUUAAAGUGAUUGUAUCAUUUUGUAACGGAAUCUACUGAGCUAUAAGGUUUUGAAAAUCGUGGUUUAAUUUGCAACAAAUCAUUUUGCAAAUAGAAAUUUAAUACUACUUAAUUUGGAAAAGCAUGCUAAAACGAAAGCAAAGUCCAAACUAAUUUACGAUUUAAAUUCUUAAAAGUCCAAAUUAAACAUAAAGUCAAUUUAAACCAGUUUAUCGAAAGUGUAACACCCCAAACCCGGCCUAGACAUUAUGGCCAAAUCUGGAUGUGUUACAAAAAAAAAGUUUAUAAAACGACUUCCUUGUUAUUGGCAAAUCAUCGCAACCAUUAUUACAUAGUAUGUCUGAUUUGUUUGGAGAACUUUUUGAUAUACUUAUUUGAUUUAAGAUCGUUGCUUGCUUAUGCCUUUCUAUUAAACCGAAUGUUUUGCAGUGGAGUUUCUUUAAAAUGUCAUAUUUUGGCAAAUCAAAUUGUUUCUUGAAAAUCGUUAUUUCAGAAAAGUUGUCAUUUUCAGGAAAACUAUUUUAUCGGUUGUUACGCUUAGAAAACCAAAAUAAAAUCCAAAACCAAAAAUAGUCCCAAAAAGUCCAAAGAGUCCCGAAAUUACAAAACUCUCAAAACCAGAAAAGUUUGAACUAAUUUUAAAAGAAUGAAAAUUUAUAGAAAUAUGGUCAACAUUGAGCUUCCGUCACACCGACCCACAUAAAUGUAAGGGUUACUUGAACAGAACAAACAAAUAGAGAGUGAGUUUUGAAACUCAGUGCGUAACGCGAAUAUAAACAAAAAUUUAGAAUCAAUCUAAUGCAUAACAGAUACAAAUGUAAACCUUUUAUAGAAUAAGAAUUAUACAGAUACAAAUGUGCAAAAUCCUACCCUCGUCCUCUACACACCAAUUCUGACCAGCCCAUCACACCACGUGGGGUAUAAAACACCCACCUAGCCAUACACACGGUAUAGUGUUUAUACGACACUUUUCAGAAUAAUCGCAGUAGAGUUGCCAGUAUAUAGGUGAGAUAUUUCCUCACACAGAACACUUCCUCCUCAUAAUACAAAUCCCGCUCCAUAGCCAGAUACAGACAGAAUAUUAGGUAAAACAAAUUAACAGAUACCAGAGUUAACAUAUCAUGCAUGAGCGUAUAACAAAUAUUACACAUGCUUGUACAUAACAGAACAAACCAUACAUACCGUAUUCCAUAAUACUCAUAUAAAUGUUAUUUUUUAAAUUGUAACAAAUAUUAUUAUUAAGAUGUUUUUCUUUUUAUAUUUUUAUAAAAAUAUAUUAAAAAACAAUUAGAAUAAUUUUAAGAGAAAAAACACUCAUAAAUAGUAGAAUUUAAUCUAAAAAUAUCAAAGUUUUAAAGCCUCAACUUUAACAUUUCAACCAAAAUUCCAUUAGUAUAUAAAUAUUUCAUAAAUAUAGAUUUUAUAUAAAAAAUUUAUGUUAACUUUUUUUUAACCCGCAUCACAAGUAUACCAUAUUUAGAGAUAUUCAUAGCUAGGCAGCCCACUUUGGGUCAAGCUUGAGCUUAGGUUUUAUCUCAAGUUGGCCCAAUUUAACCUAUUUUACUAUUUAAAAAUAUAAAUAUAUGUUAUAUUGAUAUUUAUAUAUUUCUAUAAUUAAAUUUUAAAUAAAUUUAUUGUUAACUUCUAAACAUAAAACAAAGAGAACUUUCACCCAAGUUAUAAGUUUGUGGUUAGACAGCCGACUUUCGGGGCAGGAUUCAGCUUACGUUUUUAAUCUUGGGAUUUAACAAUAAUAAAAAAUUUAAAAAUAAUAUUCUAUUAAUAUUUAUAAAUUUUAUAAAUUUAAAUUUAAUUAUAUUUUUUAAACAGUAAAAUGAACCAUUUAUAUGGGCUAAUUAGAGUUAAGUUUGGUUUGAAUCAAGGCUUAACUUUGACCAAAUCCAACUAAAAACACCUCUAACAAUUAUCUAGUAUUGUUUUUAUGAAUUGAAUUUUAACUUCUAAUUUUCAAUUUUAUUACAAAAUUUCUUUGCGGACGAUAAGAAAAUAACAUAUUUGUAACUUCUUCACUCCGACGUAAAGGUUAAGUCUGAAUUUGGAUUACAUCGGCCAUAAAUAUGGCCUAGCAGGAUUAUCGGAGUUUUUAAAAAUAGACAUCUUUAAAACGUUUGUUUAAUUUAUAAAAAAGCUUAUUUAAUUUCCAAAUUAUUUAUUACUUGAAAUCUUAAUUACAUUUUAAAAGCAGGAAGUGGUAACUAUUUAUUUUUAAUAAAAAUCGGGGUUCAUGUAUAAUUCAUUAAUAACCGUAAUUCGAAAACAUUAAAACUUAAAUUAAAUGUCAUGCAAAACAAAACAAACUUAAAUCUAAAUCUCAUGCCACAGUGCAAAACAAUUUAUUGUAGUCUUAGAAAAUAAAAAAAAAUCAUAUAAUGAACCUAAAAUAAUUUUUUUUACUUUAAUAAUGUGUCAAGACCUUACAAAUGUCACGCCCACGUUCAAUCCUGGUGGGUUAUCUAUAAGGAUGAAAAUUUAAGGGGGGUGAGCUUUGACGCUUAGUGUGAGUUCAUUCACAAUAAAUUCAAUGCAAACGGUUGGUAAGACACAUUAAAUAAUAUUGCAUAAAAUAAUCACAGUCACAUAACAGUUCAGAAUGUCGAUAUUACAGUUUAACUACCAAUAUUAUCACAAUAUUCAUAGUUGUAAUUUCAGAAUAUCAAAUUUCCACAUCAUUCACAAUAUUAACAUAUAUAUAAAUAUAUCAUAAUAGAAUUCUAGAUUUGUAUGCACAUGAUUUAGAAGAUGCCAUACAAUUUUGGGUUUUAACAGAAUAAACCCUACCCCACGUUACAUAUCAUAAUGGGAGUUCGCCUAAAAUCCCUUCUCCAACACACUAGGUUGUGGAUAAACCAAUACUCAUCCGCAGAUAAUAACUAUCAUUUGGCUGUGGACACACAGCAAAUCCCCACAGUUGGAUUCUAGGUUUGGCUAUGGGUUCACAGCAAAAAGUCCUGCAAAUGAAGCCUAUUUUUGCAUGUAGAUUAUACAACCUAUACCUGCAGUUGGAAUCUGCCUUUGGCUAUGGAUGCACUAUAACGCCCCAAACCUGACCUGGACGUUAUGGCUGAAUCUUGAUGUAACGCCCUAAAAUUUCUAAUUCUAUUAUUGUAAAAAUAUGACACAAAAUAUUUGUCUGCUUUAGUGGUUAUGUGUUCUGGGAGUGUUUGGGAGGUCCCAAGUUCACGUCUUUGCUUGGGCAAAUUUUGGUAUUUUGAAUGAAUUAGGCUUUACUCUUGUUCAGUAGGAUUUUAUUUGAUUGUUGGGAAAAUUAUAUCAGAAUGGGCUUGCUGGUCUAGUGGUUAAAUUGUGUGUUAUUAUGGUGAAGGUCUUGUGUUCAAAUCCUUAUGUAGGCAAAGGUAUUAUUAUUAUUAUUUUUGCUCAGAUUUCGGGAUAUAGUUGUGUAAUAGGGGGAUUCUGAGUAGUGGAUGUGUAGUGGGAAUUAGGGGAGAAGAUUAAGGGGUUUCGGGAUUUUAUUUUAUUUUUUCCCAGAACGGAAUUUUGACUCUCUUUUCCAAAAAAAUUCUGUCGUCUAUUCUUCUCCCUCUCCUCUUGUCGAUAUUCUCUAAGUUUUUUCAUCUUUCUCUUCUUUUUCUUCUUCUUGAUUUUUCCCUAAUCCAUUUAUUUUUCCUUCAUUUUCGCACGCGAUUAGUGCUCGCUUAGUUUCGGUAAGCGUUUCUCUUUGUUUUUAUCAUGAAUCUCCUAGGGACUAAAGUGGUAAUUUUUUUCUCUGCGAUUUGGGCAUAAGGGAAGGCUCGGACUGGUGAAUUCAGUAUUCUCAUCUUAUCAAUAGUUAAAUGGGGGGUUAUCGUUGGUGGUAUGUUGGGUUUCUGUUCGUUCUUGGUUGUCAAUUCGCUUGUAAAUCCAUUAAAUUGAUGUUUAGUAUCUUGAUUAUAGGCUUUGGAGUGCUUGGGGACUGUUUUAGCAUCAAACAAAACCAGGUGUGUACCCGAAACGCAAAAAAAAAGGGAUUCGGUGAAAAGUUAAAAUUGCUUGCUAUUUGGACAGCAGCAGUAGACUAAUUUUGAAAAAUCACCAUAAAUUGUGGAAAUCGAAUUAGAGGAUGAAAAAAAUAUGAAAUUAAAUCUUAUUGAGUCUAGUUUCUCAUAGAAGAAACGGUGUAAGUAAUGGAAUUGUAAAUCGUGAGAUAUAAUAAACUUUGUGAGACAAGGUUAGAAUAAAUUCGGGUUCCCCUGUUCUGAUUUUGGAAAAUCAUCAAAAAUUGGAGAAAAGUAAUUAGGAAUUAAAAUUUACAUGUUUAAAUUAUUAAUGAGUCUUUUUUUUCAAUAGAAACAAAUGGGAACUUCAUCCAAAUUUUGUACUAAAAGAUAAUUAAUUUUUAGCAAAGAAGGGUCAAAGCUGUCAGACAGCAGAACAAGGGUAAGUUUGAAGAUUUUACUGUACUUAUUAGCUGAACCAAAAAUUCUAAAAAUUUUAUGGUAGAAAGGUAUUUGAGUCUAUUUUUAAAGACAUCAAGCGAAUUUUAAUUAGAAAUUCUGUAGCACAAGAUAUAAAUAAUUUAGUAACAGUGACUCAAGUAGAAAGCUUUGAAGGAACACAUAAGUAAAUUGUGAUAACAUAUAUGAAUAUUUAGCUAACACAGGUUACACUGAAAAUGGAUCACGUGGCCAAGGCCAAUUUGGGCCGAGUGGGCCACGUGGGCGUGUGAGCCCAUUUUUUUGAAAAAUUCUGUAAGGUUGCACGGGUCACCCAAGUCGACUAUGGACCUACUGUAGGGUCAGUAACCUUUACUUAGACGCCUAUAUGUGUGAUCUGUCUAGCUGAUUUCUAUAACGAGCAUGACUUAUAAUAUCUAAAUGUAUGUACUAUUAAUUGCAUAAUGGCAUGGCAUAUUUUGUAUGUUGCAUUGCAUCGGGGUGGGUUGAUGAUAUUUGGAGGAAGUGUCUAAAGGGAUAUUAAGCCAGUUAUCUGGCAGCUCAGCUGCAACCUUCUGAUUAUGUGUCGAUUUCAGUAUAGCAUGGUGUGUAAGGAUGGGUGGGUUAAUUUAAUCCCUACAUGGUGUGUAGGGUUGGACGGAGAUGGUGUAUAGAGGCUGGUGGGUAGGAUUCUAAUUUACUAUAUCUACAUUCUGAAUCUGAUAUGGGCCAAGGCCCUAAUGUAUUUCUGAGACUGUAUCUGAACGGGCUAAGGCCCAAACUGAUUGUGUGAUGGGCCUAGGACGCAGACUGUAUCUAACUGAAUUCUGUUGAUUAUUUGUAUGCAUGUUUUCUAUGGGGAUUACACACUGAGUUUGAGAAAACUCACCCUUUCUCUGUUUAAUCUAUACAGGUAAUCCCCAAACUUGAUGGGUAGGUGCAGCGGAGGAUUCGACGGUGGCCACACGUAAAUUUCAGACUGUUUUCUGUUAAUGCCUAGAAUUUAUUAAUUAUUUGGGGUUUUUGAUGUAUCUUCUGGACUAUGGACUAGUAGGCUUUAAAUUUUAGACUUUAUACUAUUUUUUAUGUUUUUUUUAAAACUGCAACUCCACAAAACACGGUUUUUUUCUAAAAAAUAAGGAUUUUCGUAAAUAGAAAUGAUUUUCCCUAAAUUAAUUGGUUACAAAAGUUUUCUCUAAGAGACAAGUUUUAAAGCAAAUCAACUAGUUUUUUUUCAUAAUUAAAUAAAAGUUAACUUACUAUAACGAUUUUUCUUAAACUCGACAAUCUUGUCUUCAAAUCCCUUUUCAUGUGACAUCACCAGAUUCGGCCAUAACGUCUAGGCCGGGUUUGGGGUGUUACACCUGAUGAGUUACUUUAAAUCGCUUGAAAACCUAGAAAUUUACUUUGAAAUCAUAUGGUUAAACUAGUGUUCACUUUGAUAAAUCGUGAAAGUAUGUGAUUAUUGAGGACAUGCUGAGCAUGUCAAAUGAAUGUGAAAAGUAUUGUGAUAUGACUAUGUAUGAGAUUGUGUAACAUAUUGCAUAUGCAUUGGGUUGGGAUUUUUUGGUUGACGGAGUAGUUCUGUGGAGUACCGUCGGCAUAUUAAGCCCGCAUUAUUCGUAGUUAGUGCACUGCACCUGGAGUACUGAGGGGAUUGGUAAUUUUAUCGCAUAUUAUAUGUUAUUGGUGAUUGUAUAGCACUAUUUGAUAUCCGACAGAUUUUUUGCAUUAUUGAUUAUUCGGUGGUUUUACCACAUUGAGCUAUGCUCAGAAUGUUUUAGAGUUUGGUAGACGGGUUCUAGGGAACACGUGGUGUGUAGCGGAUGGUAUGGGUAGGAACCUUUUUGCAUUGCAUCAUGUGCACGACAUAUUCGAAUGUUAUUGGUUUAUGCUACGUAUUGUAUUUUUUUGUAUUGAAUGGUAUCAAAAUUAAUGAUUGUCACUCGAAUGAAUUAUGAACUAUGCUCAUACACUGUUUGACAUCAAUUUAAUAAUGGCUAUGUAACGAUAUGAAAUUCCUAUAAUGGUUUUAUUUUCUUCUAUUAAAGCUAAUAUGUUUCACUGUAUUUGAUAUUUAUGUUUGUUUAAAUAAUUGUUCGACUCACACUGAGCUUUUCAUAAGCUCACCCCUAAUAGUGUUAAACUUUUCACGUAAACCUCGAAAUUAAGACCAGACUUGGCAUUCGAAGAAUCACCUUGGACCUUGAAUUAUUUUUCUAAUAAGUAUUAAUCAAUCUCUAAUGGUUUUGGUUUGUAAUUUUUAAUUAUAUCUAGUCUGUGGCUUGAUAACUUUUCUUUUGGGAUUUUUGCAUGCAUGGAUUACUCAAGCAUAAUAACCGGAUAAUGCAUGAUAUCAGGCUUAAGUAAAAUUUGAUAUUGUUCCCUAGAUUCUGCUACAUUGCAAAGGAUUUGUUUUUGAAAAACAAAUUGAUAAGGUAACUAAGUUUUUAAAAUGACUUGAAAAAUGGUUUUUCCCCUAGAUUAGUUUAACAUCAAAUUUUUUUUAAAGGAGAGCAACAAGCAAAUGGUUUUUCUAAAACAACACUAUCAACAAUAAAAUGAAUUCUAAGUAUACACAACCUAAUGAAUGAAUGCUUUUAAGCUAACUUAAAGUACAAUUAUGGUUUUCUCUAAAAUGAGUUUAUUUAAGGUUUUCAUAAGUAAUGUAAGUUAGCUUAGCCAUUUCGGUGGCUAAUGUAGCCUUCUCAUUCUAGCCAUAACGUCUAGGCCAGGUUUGGGAGGUUACAGUAUUGAUAGGAACUGUGGUAUAAAUUUUAUUUUGGACAUUCUUAAAGUGUUAUUUGGACUAAACUUUAGAAACUAUGGAUUUUAUACUGAGCCUAAAUUUACGAAGUUCAUGCGUGGUUUUUACGAAAAUGAAACUAAUAUGAAUUUUUAAAACCAUGAUUUUUUUUAAAGCUCCAAUUUGAAAUUGUACAAGAAAUGUCAAUUUGAAUUAUUUUUGAAUGUUUUUUUAUGCCAAUAAAAUAUUGUUUCAAAACAUAGCUAAGUAUUAUUUAAUUUCGUAAAGACGAAGCAAACUCCAAACAAUCUAAAACUUUAAGGACUAGUUUGUAAUUUUUGUUUUUCCUCAAUUGUCUCUGGUUUGAUUCAAUUCUUGAUCUAUACAAUUAUUCCAUUCAAUUCAUCAAUAUUAAACAUUUAUACAUUAUGUCAUGUCAUGAAUGAACCUAGAUAAAUUCAUUUUUUGAUACCCUUAAAGUUUUACAUUUAUUUCAAUUUAGUCUCUAAAAUCGAAAUAGUCAUAACUUUAAAUUCUGAACUUCAGUUUGAAAAUCGACCUCAAUUUCAUUUUAGACUGUCUGUUAAAAAUUAGUGCAUCUUACUGGAUUUUUUAAUUUACUUGUUUUCUUUAUCAAAUAAGUUGGUUCCUAUUAUAUAGGGAUAUGAUCAGAUUAUGUUUUGUUAGUUGAGGUUUUAGUGGGCUAUUAGUUGCAGGUUUUUUAACUUUAACGUUACAUGUAGUUAAGCUAUUUAUAUGUCAUUUUAUCUAAUGUAAUUUUGUGUGUUUUUUUUAGUAAUCAAAAACGUUCUUUAAUACUUUAAGCUUUUCUUGUUAUUAUUUCUUUCAUUACCUCGGUCAUUCUUUUUUGUUUUAUGGUGUCAGUGCCAGGUUAUUCAUUGGUUAAUUGUGUGAAAGGGUGUUUUGCUAGUUGCUGCAAUGGAGGUUUCAAAUGGAGGAAAUAAUCAGAUUGGUAUGGAGAAGCUUGUAGGCACUAACUACAAGUAUUGGAGGAUGUGUAUGGAGGCAUUUCUUCAAGGCUAGGACUUGUGGGGAUUGGUUGUUGACCUGAUGCAACAAUCCCUCCCAAUAUUCUCGAGAAUGCCAAGUCACGAAGGAGGUGGAAGGUCAAAUGCGGUAAAGCUUCAUUGAUCAUGUUCAUGAUGUUAACUCUCCAAAAGAAGUUUGGGAAACGCUUGAAAGGUUGUUUACCAAGAAGAAUACUGCAAGGUUGCAAUUGUUGGAGAACGAAUUGGCCGGGUUAAAACAAUGAGGUAUGUCAGUUUUAGAAUAUUUUUUACGAGUUAAAAAUAUUUGUGCUGAAAUUUCAGAGAUAGAUACGGAUGAGAAAGUUAGUGAAGCUCGUUUGCGUCGUUAUCUUAUCCGCAGUUUGAAGAAGGAGUAUGGGCCUUUUGUCACUUCUAUUCAAGGGUGGUCGACACAGCCUUCGGUGGAGGAGUUAGAGAAUUUUCUCUCUAAUUAAGAAGCUUUGGCAAAGAAGAUGGUGAAAAGUUUCGAAUCUGAUGCCAGUCUCUUCUCAAAAGGGAAGCCAAACAAGAAGAAUGAGUCUGGAAAUAAAGGCAGAUCUGAAGACUCUAGUUCGAAAAAAGAUGGCAACUCACAAAGCAAAAAGUCUUUCAAAUGCUUCAGAUGCAGAAAGACUGGACAUAUCAAGAGAAAUUGCCGUGUGUAGAUUUCCAAGGCCAAUAUCGUGUCCACGGAAGAAACCGAUGAUCGACUCAAAUGGGAGCAUUGCUUUACUGUUGAAGCUAUUGAACAAAAGUCAUCAAAAGCUUUUGUCAAUUAUGCUGAUAACAAGAAGGAGGAGUGGAUCAUUGAUUCUGGUUGUUCUCACCAUGUAACCGGAAAUGAUACUUUGUUCUUAGAGAUGCAUGAACACCAUGGAGAUCGAGUUAUUGUGACUGCAGAUAACUCCACUCAUCCGGUAGCAAAAGAGGGCAUUGUGGUGAUCGAUGUUGUCGACGAUACGAGAACCGAAAGUGUCAAAUUGACUGAUGUGUAUCAUGUUCUAGAUGAAGCUUAUGUGAAGAAAACAAGCCAAACCGAUAACGCUGCUAUUUGGCAUGCUCGAUUGGGUCAUGUGGGGUACCAAAUGCUGCAACAAAUUUAUUCGAAAAGGUUGUUAGAUGGGAUGCCGAUCUUGAAGAGUGUACGUGAAGAUGUGAUUUGUCAAAGCUGUCAAUAUGGUAAAUCUCAUCGUCUUCCUUUCAAAAGCUCAUCAAAUCGGAGAUCUUCUUUGCUCGAAUUGGUUCAUACAGACUUGACGGGACCAACGAGAACACUGAGUUGUAGCAGCCACUGUUAUGUUAUGGUUUUGGUGGAUGAUUACUCAAGGUUCUCUUGGGUGAAAUUUUUGAAAGAGAAGAGUGAAGCAUUAUCCAAGUUUGUGGAGUUCAAAGCUGCUGUUAAAAAAGAGUUUGGAAAGAAGAUUAAGUGUCUUCGAAGUGACAAUGGCGGAGAAUACAUGUCCAAUAAUUUUUUUCAGUAUUGUGUUGACAACGGCAUCUGUCGUCAAAUGACUUGUCCAGAUACUCCAUAGCAGAACAGAGUUGCAGAAAGAAAGCUUGGUUAUCUUGCUUCGAUUUGCCUUUCAUGGCUGCAUGACAAGAAUCUUCCUCGAGAGCUUUGGGCGGAAGCUGUUCUUUGUGCAUGUCAUGUGACAAAUAGGCUGCCUCCUUGGCCAGGUACACAGAAAUCUCCUUUUGAGAUUUUAUAUGGUGAAAAGCCAAAUGUGAAUUAUUUUCGAGUCUUCGAUUCUAUUUGUUAUGUACAUGUUCCGAAAUCGAAAAGAACUAAACUUGAUCCGAAAGCAAAAAAGUGUGUAUUUGUUGGCUAUGAUUCUUAUAGGAAGGGAUGGAGGUGUAUGGAUCCGGAUACAAAGAAGUUUACUACUUCGAGAGAUGUCGUGUUCGAUGAAGUAUCAUCUUUCUACUCCACUCAAAGAUUUGCUGCAGAAAAUAUUAUUCUUGAAGAUGAUGAUGAAAACUUGGAUGAGCUAUUUCCAAGAGUUAAUUUGCAACCAUUCAUUGAUGAUGAGUUGGAAAAUGAAUCUCCAACACCAACUCCAAGUCAAAAUGUUCAAUGACAUGAAGGUGGUUAGCAACAGAGUGAGGAGGUCUACUAGAGAAACGAGACAACCUGAGUAUCUCAGAGACUAUGAGGUGCAGCUUAAUCAUUGUAGUAUCACUUCUUGUUUCUUUGUUUGAGCGUUUGAUGAAGAACCAGUAAGUUAUGAGAAGCCAAAAGCCAUUCAAAAUGGGAGGCAGCCAUGAAAGAAGAAAUUGAAGCUUUAGACAAAAAUGAGACGUGGGAGUUGGUUCUUAAACCAGAAAAUUGUAAGCCGAUCACUUGUAAAUGGGUUUUUUGCGUGAAGAAAAAAUUAGAUGGCACCAUUGAUAGAUUUAAAGCUCGUCUGGUGGCUCGUGGUUUUUCUCAAAAUUAUGGAUUGGACUACGAGGAGACGUUUAGCCUAGUAGCAAAGAUGGUGACGGUGAGAUCGAUUAUUUUGCUUGCUGCGUUUAAAGGUUGGAGACUAUGGCAACUUGAUGUAAAGAAUGCUUUCUUUACGGAGAUUUAGAUCGUGAAGUAUUUAUGGAGCAACCUAUUGGCUUUGUCUCUAAGGAAUUUCAAAAUCGUGUUUGCCGUUUGAAGAAAGCGUUAUAUGGCCUUAAGCAAGCGCCACGAGCAUGGUAUGGUAAAGCUGCUCAAUAUCUCAUUUUUUGUGGCUUUAGAGUUUCUGAAUCAGAUUCUAGUUUAUUUAUAAAAUUGGAAUCAGGUGCACAUCUCUUGGUAUUAUUAUAUGUUGAUGAUAUGAUAAUAACUGGAGAUAAUGAAUCAGAAAUUUGUAAUUUGAGGAAUGACUUGUCUGUUCGUCUUGAGAUGAAAAUUUUGGGGGAGAUUGGAUGUUUUCUUGGUCUAGAAGUGGAAAAAUCAGAUCAAAGUUGUUAUAGCCCGAUUUUGGGUCUAGUCAGAACAGUGGUUUUGGGACCACAAAUUCAACAAAAAGAAAAUGGGUAAAAAAUAUUAUUAAUUUAGUAAGUAUAAGUUAAAUGUGAAGUUAGGAAAAUUUUUUAAAUACUGAAUAGUGCACUAGAAAUAAAUAUUAAAAUAAUUAGAAUCGAAAUGAGGUAUCAAGACCUCGGGGAUUUUAAACCGAGCCAUAAAUAUUUUUAUAAAUAUUUAUGGAGUGUUAAAAAGUUAGUAUUAAAGUUUCGUUAGGAAAUUUUAAAGUUCCGAUAAUUAAUUGAACAAAAAGGACUAAAUUGUAACAAAUGCAAAAUUUUGGGAAAUGAUUAAGUAGCUUAAAUGAUAAAAGGAAGAGGGCUUAAAAGGCAAAUAGACCCAAGGUUUAUUUGGGCUGGACGGCAAAGGCAUGAAAUCAGCAAGAAAGUAAGGAGAAUUAAGGGCAAAAUUGGAAUAUUGCAAAAUUUGCUUAAUAAAGUUAGGACCCAAGUGGAAUUAUCUAGAUUUCUCUUCAUUUUUCUGAAUUCUCAUCAGCAAAAACACCAUGGAAGGGCUUCUUCAAGCUGGUUCUUCAUAUUUUUACUACAAGUAAGUUCAAUUCUUGACUAUUUCUUGAAAUUUUUGUAUUUUUAUGACUUUUACAAUUAGGCUCACUUGUUAAAUUCAUUAGUUUUUGAUUUUAUGAAAGAAGUUGAAAGUUGAUAUGAAUAUGUGCUGGAAUUAUAUGAUGAUUUAGCAUGGAAUUAGAGCUUUAAAUUGUUCAUAUGCUGAUUUUAUUGAAAGAAUUGAAUAGAAAGUGAAUGUUUGGGACCUAAUAGUAAAAGAGUUUGAAGAUAGAAUUAUAUGUGGAAAUUCUGAAUUUCAAUAGUUGUGUAACAACUUAUAAUGUCUAGGUAAAGUAUUAAUUCAGAAAAUUGGAUUAAUUGAGGGGUUAAUUGAGAAAGGACCGAAUUGUAUAAACUGUAAAAUUUGGGGCAAAAUGGAAAUCAACAUUUUGCACUAAAGCAGUUUUGGACAGCAGCAGUAGUGUAACUUUGAAAAAUCACAAAAAAUUGUAGAGAUUGAAUUAGAGGAUGAAUAAAAUAUGAAAUUAAAUCUUAUUGAGUCUAGUUUCUUAUAAAAGAAACGGUGUGAGCAAUGAAAUUGUAAAUCAUGAGAUAUAAUAGAUUUUGUGAGACAAGGUCAGAAUGAAUUCGGGUUCCCCUGUUCUGACUUUGGAAAAUCAUUAAAAAUUUUACAAAAAUUAUUAUGAGUUAUAAUUUAUAUGGUUAGAAUCCUUAAUGAGUCUAUUUUUAUAAGAAACAAACAAAAACAGCAUCCGAAUUCUGUACAAUGAGAUAAUUAAUUUUUAGUGAAGAGUGGUCGGAACUGUCAGACAGCAAAACAGGGAAAAAUUUAAAGAAUAAACUGUACUAUUUGGCUAAACAAAAAAUUCUGAAAAUUUUAUGGAAAUAAUAUAUGUGAGUCUAGUUCCAGGUAAAAUUAACGGAUCUUAAUUUGGAGCUUUUUAGCUCCGGAUAAAAAUAAUUUAGUGACUCUAACUCAGACAGACAGCCUAAAUUUUUCAUACAAGAAAAUAGUGAAAGUAUGAAUAAUGUUGUUUAAAUGUGUUAUACACAUUAAGGAUGAGGAAUGGAGAGGAGGUGGAGGAAAAUUGGGAAAUAUAUGAAUGGUUUAUCAUGUUGUUAGUUCCAAAAAGAGUUAUGUUUCAAUACACUAGCUUGCAACUAUGGUUGAAUGAUAUGUUUAUAUCUUGUGUGAUGUGCAUAGGAAACAAGUGUGGAAAGAUAAUGAAAUAGUAAGUUCAUAUGGCUGAAAUUUAAUGGUUAAAUGUUAAUUCCAUGAAUUAUAUGAUGUAUGAUGAGAUAUUUUUAUUGUUGAAAUAAGAAUAAAAUAAAAGUGCGAAAGCUGAAUAAAUGAUCAAAUUGAGCGGAACGCCGGAUUUGAGUACUUCUGAUCAAGUGACAAAGUGAUAAGUGAUAGCUUUAGCUACACUUAUUUGAUCAAGAACAAGUGAUAAGCGGUGACAAAGUGAUAAGUGGUAGCAUUAGCUACACUUAUCUGAUCAAGUGAGAAAGUGAUAAGUGGUAGCAUUAGCUACACUUAUCUAAUCAAGUGAGAAAGUGAUAAGUGGUAGCCUUAGCUACACUUAUCUGAUCAAGUGACAAAGUGAUAAGUGGUAGCCUAGCUACACUUAUCUGAUCAGGGACAGGUGAUAAGUGAUCAUACGUAAGACCAUAGUUAUACUAUGGCAAAGUGAAAGUGAAGUACUCAAUUUUCCGUGACCGUUCCCUAAUUUGAUUAAGGAUGGUAAGUGACAAAUGAGCCCAAAAGAAUUAAAGUAAAUGGAUAAGUGGUAGUAUAUUUAUAUCAGGACGAUGUUGUUAUUCAAGCUAAAGUGAUAUUUUCAUUGCAAAAUUGAGAAUUUCAUAAAUGUGUUAUUGAAUGGUAUAAUCAAUAAACAUUGAGUUAAAUGGUAAAUACGUAAUAGUGUUGAACUUGAUGUCAUUGAAUUGUAUGUGAAUUAAAUGGAAAUUGCUAGUGAUAUGAUGUAAAUUGUGAGCAUGAGAAAUUGCGACUUGAAUGAAAUGGAAAUGAAGCAUUGAAUUGCAUGAGUAUGUAUCGGGUCUCAUAGGCCCUAAUUAUUAUGAUUAUAAUAUUUCGAGGAUAUAUUGUGAAAAGUUAUAGAAGCAUGUUAAUUAUUUUGAAAGUUUAAAUUUAUAUGAAAUUUUAUAACUCGGUUAAAUAUGCUUACAAGUGCAUAUGUUUUGGUGAUACCUCGUACCCUAUUUCGGCGUUGGAUACGGGUAAGGGGUGUUACAAGGUUACUUUGUUUCUCAAAAAGGCUAUGCAAGGAAUCUCUUGGAGCUUUUCGGUAUGGGGGAGUCGAAAGAAAAAGCUACUCCGAUGGAGCCGAAUUUGAAGUUGAAGAAAGAUGAUGGGAGGCCGUUGGAAGAUGCAAGGAAGUUUCGACAACUUGUUGGAAGCUUAAUCUAUUUGACCAUUACAAGGCCUGAAAUUUCAUACUCUGUUAGUGUUGUUUCUCAAUUUAUGCAAAAUCCAACAAUUAUUCAUAUGGAUGGAGCAAAGAGGAUUUUGCGUUAUGUUAAAGGAACUAUUGGUUAUGGUCUUCUAUACAAGAGAUGUGAUAGCUUUAUGUUGAGUGGAUUUACUGAUGCUGAUUGGGCUGGAGAUACAAACGAUCGUCACUCGACUUCGGGAUAUUGUUUCAGUAUCAAUUCAGCAAUGGUUUCUUGGUGUAGCAAAAAGCAAGGUGUUGUUGCUUUGUUGAGUAUCGAAGCCGAGUAUCUGGCAGCAACUAUGGCUGCACAAGAGUGCAUUUGGUUGAAGAGGUUGAUUGGAGACAUAUGCAAAGUUAAUUAUGCUGUAAAAAUCAAGUGUGAUAAUGAAAGUGCUAUUAAGCUUGCAUCGAACCCGGUUUUUCAUGCUCGAACGAAGCACAUCGAGGUUCGACAUCAUUUUGUUCGAGGAAAGGUUCUAAGUGAAGAGAUUGAGCUUGUAAACAUUCGCACCAACGAUCAAGUGGCUGAUAUUUUCACUAAGGCUUUGGUGAAGCCUAAGUUUCAUCAAUUUAGAGAUGCUCUUGGAGUUCUUGAUCGUAAGCAUGCACUAAGGGGGAGUGUUAAAAAUUAGUGCAUCUUACUAGAUUUUUUAAUUUACUUGUUUUCUUUAUCAAAUAAGUUGGUUCCUAUUUUAUAGGGAUAUGAUCAGAUUAUGUUUUGUUAGUUGAGAUUUUAGUGGGCUAUUAGUUGCAGGUUUUUUAGCUUUAACGUUACAUGUAGUUAAGCUAUUUAUAUGUCAUUUUAUCUAAUGUAAUUCUGUGUGUUUUUUUUUUAGUAAUCAAAAACAUUCUUCAAUACUUUGAGCUUUUCUUGUUAUUAUUUCUUUCAUUACCUCGGUCAUUCUUUUUUGUUUUACUCUCUACUAUCCAUUAUUAUCAAAAUUUCACAUCAAUUUCACAAUUUAUUUACUUUAGUUAUUAUGUACAAAAUUAACAACCAAACAUCACAAUUUAGUCAUUUUUCAUAAUUUAAGCUUAAAAUCUAUAAAUUUAACACCAAUUUCUUCAAGAAAUCAACCAUGAAAUCUAUAAAAAAAAUUUAACAGUUUUGCAAAUUGAUACAUAGGUUAUUUAAAUCAAACUCUCAUGACCUCAGAAACACAAAAAAAAUUAUACGAAAAUGAUUUAGAAAUGCAUACCAAUUGAGGACCGAAAGCUUGAAGCUCAAAAAUGGCUUUUCCCCUUGAGGUUUUAUGUUGAUUAGAUGAAGAAGAAGAAGAAAUAAAGAUGACAACUUGCACUAAGUCACCUUUAUAUACUUAGAUUAAAUCUUAAUUAAUCAAAUUUAAUUAAUUAAAUCUUAAUUAAUUAACCUUAAUCACAAUUAAUAAAAAUUGGUGGAUGUUAACAUCAUCCUACACUAUUUGAUAUAACCAAAUGAUCUAUUUACCAUUUUGAACCUUUAGCUAAUUAGAAAUCUAUAGCGAUAAGACUUUCAAAAUUUAGUCUCUGUAUCUUAAUUAAGCAAUUAAUAGACAAAGUUGAAGGUUUAAAUUUUAAUGUUCUAUUAUACCAACUCUGUAAAUAUUCAUAUUUAAUAUUUACAGACCUGAAUUACGAAAAUGAGAUUUUGAAAUUGUAUUUUCCAGUACCACUGAAAAUCGGACAAUUACGUAACCUAUUUGCACCAAUGGGCCAAACAUGGCAAAUACUUGACAUGUAUGUCUUAAUAUCCUCAUCUAUUCUCUUCAAUAUAAUAACAUCCAAUAAUUGUUCCAUCCACUGUAACUAUCACGAAGAUUAGAUUGACCAAUACAGCCUACAAUUUGAAGAAGCGCGAUAUUUUCAUUCUAGAGAAAGAUAUAAUUGAAACAAAAUUGAAAUAAAGAUUUCAAUACAGAAUCAACAGACAUUCCAGCUAAUACUUAUCAAUUAUUUGCAGCUUUAUUGCUCCAACUAAGAUGGUUUUUAGUCGAAUAUGGUAAAUGAAAUCAAUGAACACCAGCUACUUGAUGAACGAGUGAAUCAAAGUCCUGAUAUGUGCCGGCUUAUUGGUGAAAAAAUACAUGGGCUAGUUUUGCAGCAAUUCAUGAUCUUACAUUUUAUAACCUUUGCUUACAAUUAUUCACUGACUAAUCAUUCAAUGAAUGUAGGCCUCAAAUUUAGCCACUAAACUUUAUUCUUUAUUUUUAGAUACAUAUUAUUUGAUCACUUCAUACAGCCUAUUACUCAUAAUAACUUCCAAUUUCCCUUCUUUAGGUUAGUUGCAAAUGUACAGCUUUUUCUAGAAGAAGAAAAUUGUCAAGAGCCACCUGUUCAAGAGAGGCGCAAACAAAAUGUAAAAAUACCUGACCUACUUACGGUACAGCCAAGUAAUCAUGUCUUUCUAUGCUAGAUCAUUAAAUCAAUGACUACAAAUUUCAUGCCAUGGUCGUGUAUCAUUUAUGCCAUUGAUGCUGCUAUUUUCUAUUCUAAUGCAUAAUAGGGAUUUAGUGUUUUUACCGUUAAAAUUGUGUCCUUUAAUUUUGGCUCUUUUCAGUUGUUGAUCAUGUCCACCUAUGCUUUAUUUUACUACUAUUGCUUUCUGUAAUGAUAGAUGAUUGAAUCGGUAGAAUUUUAUUAAUCCUCAACAUGUUUUAUCUUGACAUAUGGAUCCUAAGCAUUCCUUGGAUUGUGCCCUUUUUGUUCAUUUAUUUUUUCUUGGAACCUUAUUACAUGUUGUACCACUCCAGCUUUUUGGAGACAAUGAAGACGACUAACUGCUGAAUUCUUUCUUCUGCAGAGGAACCAAUGGCACGAGACUCAAAAAAUCCUACUCUUUUUUAUACCUUCCUCACCUCUUUGUGACAUUAUAGCUGAAAAAUGAUGUAUGCUAAUACAUGAAAUGUUUCCUCUUGCCUUUCUUUUUGUAGUACUAAAACUACAAAUAGUGUUUGCAAAACUCUUUAGAGAAAAACAAAUGUCUGUAAAUCUCUUUACCCGUAAUCUUAUCUUUUCCUCAUUGUAAUAGUUGGAAAACUUUUUAUUUGAAAACGAUGUCAACUACUGGGAUAAGUUAUUGUAAGCAUCUUAAGUGUUUCAUAUUAAAAACAAACACUGUUAUUGUUUAUUUUGUAGUCUAAAUUAUGAUAAUUUCUGCACAAAAUUCACAUAAAUGGUUACCCUCCCGAAGCAGAGCGAGGGUGAUGCAUACUAGUUAUUAAGAAAACAGGACCUUGUAGGGCUUAACUGUUGAAUCAAGAAAGAAAUUUCUUUUAAUGCCUUCAAUUGUAACAUCCCGAUUUUGGGCCUAGUCGAAACAAUGGUUUCGGGACCACAAAUCCGAUGAGGAAAAUUUUAUUUUUACUAUAUUAUUAUGGCCUAUAAUUUCACGGAAAGAUUUCUUGAAAAUUUCGUUCAAAAAUUUUGACGUUAGGGCACUCAAUUUAGCCAAAAGGACUAAAUUGUAAAAAGUGCAAAAGUUGAGUUUUAUUGGUUAAAGGUACUUAAUUGCUAUGGAAUUAUAACUUAGGGGUCCUUAUAUGGUAAUUAGACCAUUAGUUAGUGAUGGACAAAAAUGAACAUAAGUGAAAUAGGAUUUUUUUUAUGUAAGGGUAUUUUAGUCAUUUAGUAAAUAAAUAGAAUUAAAAGGGAAAAAUAUGUAAAAAAAAUUGUGUUCAUCAUCUUUGCUAGGUGCCAAAAUUUGAAGGAAGCCAUAGCUAGGGUUUCUUCACUUUCUCAAGCUCAUAAUCGAGAAGAACGAAAUUUGGAGGUAGAUCGGGGAAAGAAAAAAAUUGAGGACUAAAGUGUUAGAUUUGAUCACAUUUUUGUACCGAGGUAAGUUUACAGUAAAUAAAUGCAAUAUUUCAAUAAUUAUUAUUAAUGCUGUAUUUUUUAGCAAUUAUGUAUUUAUUUCAUGAAUAUAUUUAAUGUUGACUCAAGUAUGAGAUGACAGAGAAUUAGUGACACAAGCCUCAUUGAAACACUAGGAAUGUAUUGGAUACAAAUGCCAUGACAUUUGGGUAAAGAGGUCCCAUGUAAGACCAUGUCUGGGACAUGGCAUUGGCACCGAGAUGAGAGGUCCCCCGUAAGACCAUGUCUGGGACAUGGCAUGGGCACCGAUAUGAGAACUCCCAUGUAAGACCAUAUUUGGGAUAUGGCAUUGGCAGUACAGGAAACAUCCCAUGUGAGACCAUGUCUGGGACAUGGCAUGGGCACCGAUAUGAGAACUCCCAUGUAAGACCAUAUCUAGGAUAUGGCAUUGGCAGUAUGGGAAACAUCCCAUGUGAGACCAUGUCUGGGACAUGGCUUUGGCAUGUUAUUAUCAGAUAUGAGACCCAAGUAUCCUUAUUAUUCCAAUGUGACUCAACGGGCUAGAAAACAGAUUAUGUUCUACGAAAGUUCAAGUAAAAGUAUAAUUAGCAACUUCAGGUGAGUUAUAAGAGUUAAGAACAUAUUAUGUUAUUAGUGAGAACCAAUAUUUUAGCAAGAGAAGAGUAAGUUGUAAUCUUAAGCUAUCUAAGUAGAUAAGUAAGUAAACAAGUAAAUGAGAGUCAGUAAAGAGAAAACUUAAGAACAUGAUACUUGUAUAUCAUUAUUUAUGUUAAAUGAUGUCAUUUAUUUAUUUGUAAACUUACUAAGCUUUAUGCUUACUUCUUUUAUUUCUUUUUCUUUCAUAUAGUAUUAUCAAGCAUAGUCGGGAUCUUGAAGACGUCGGAGAGUGUUCACACUAUCAACCACCACAACUCGGUAUUUUAAGACGAUAAAUAUUUUGGGCUAUGGCAUGUAUAGGGACUUGGUCAUUUCAAUUGUAUAUUCUUAAAAUAUGACCAAAAGAUGAUAUGUAAAUGCUUGAUGAUGAAUAGUUAUUAAAAUGGCUAAGUAUGAAGGUGUUUGUGGUUAUAAAUGUCUAGGUUAUAAAUUAUGCAUAGAAAUCAUGAAAGAGUAAAAAUUUGUAGUGAAUCAGUUUUGAGACAGCAGUAGUGACGUGAAUUUGAAAAAUCACCAAGGAUAGUAGAAAAUGAAUUAGAGAGUGGAUGAGAUAUAGAAUUAAAUCUUAUUGAGUCUAUUUUUAUAGAAAAAUAACAGUGUAGACAAAGAAAUGAUAUAUUCCGAGAUAUUUGCAUUUUAGUUAGACAAGGUCAAAGUUGUUUUCGGAAUCCCCUGUUCUGAAUUUGGAAAAUCAUUAAAAAUUGUAAAAAAAUAUUUAUGAGUUUUAAUUUAUAUGUAGAGAUUCCUUAUUGAGUCUAUUUUCUUUAGAAAGAAUUUAGAACACUAUAUGAAGUAUGUACAAUGAGAUAAUUUAAUUUUAGUGACAAGAGGUUAGGACAGUUGAUUAGUGAAACAGGGGAGACUUUAACUAAUAAACUGUACUAAUUGGCUAAACCAAAAAUUCUGAAAAGUUUACAGUAAAAAUUUAUAUGAGUCUAGUUUCAGGGAAAAUUUAUGGAUCUCAAUUUCAAGUUUCAUAGCUCGAGUUAUAAUUAAUUUAGUAACUAUUGUGCAAGUGAAUAGACUUACUAUGAACAGUGAAUUAACUUUUAAAACUAAAUUUUUAUGCCCCGAACUUUUAAGUUAGUCAAGUAACGCCUCAUGCUCGACUCCGGAAAUGGACUCGGUUAAGGGGUGUUACAUCAAUUUUUUUUAAAGCUGAUUUUUUUUUUUACGAAUUAAAGUUUUGAUUGUAUGUUAAUUGCUUGAGGGAAGGUCGGAUACUUUAUUAUCCCUAUUUUUAUUUGUUAUAUAUUUUAGCCAUAAUGAUUUUUUUGGCUCUACAACUUUACCAAAAAAAUCAUAUUAUCUUUCAUUUAAUUUUCAUCUCUUUUAACCCUUUAACUUGUAUUUUUUUAUCAAAUCACCCCAAAAUGGAUCGAAAACUUAACAUUUGUAAACUUUGAUGAUGUGGCAUACACAUUAAUUGUCACAUGGAUGACAAGUCAACAUUUUUUAAAAAAAACUUAAAAAUAUUAAAGAAAAUAUUUUUGAUAUUUUUAAUGAUUUUUUUAAUUAAAAAAGUUUUUAUAUAUUUUUAAUUUUUAAAAAUUAAUUAAACACAAACAUAGAAAUUCGCAUCUAUGUGUCACAGGCCACAAAUUAAAGCCUGCGACCAUUUCGCAUAGAACACCCCAUAGAGGUCAAUUUAUUAAACGUGGUUCAUUUGACCCGCAUGAACUGGCUCGAAUCGUGGAACCCGUAGAGAAACCCAUCUACUUUAAGCCUUGGUGGUCUAGUGAAAUACUCCAAUAAAACUAGAGUUACUAGGGUAAAUAAUGUAAAUCUUAAAUGGAUAAGAUUGUAUAGAGUUUAAAUUCCUUAUAACUCUCAAUUGUAGAUAAGCGGUAACAUUAAUCAUCGAUGUAACUCAAUCUGUAUCGUUGCUUCUAGGAAGCUCAACUAUAACUAGAGGUCUCCCUCUUCAUUUGUAAUCAUUCCAUUCAUAGUUGUGAAUAUAUUUGAGAGCAUUUACUCAAACACCUUGUGUGCAUUGCUUUUCUUUGGCUAUUCUGCUCUUUCGAGCUUCUGUCUUUGAGUGUCACAUCCCAAAAUUGGGCCUAGAAGAAAUAGGGGGAAAAUUGAGUUUUAAUUUUUUUUUAACAUAGGGUAAGGGAAGUAGAAUGCCUUAAAAUUAAUUUUUUGCUAUAAAUCUAAUAAGAAUGAGUUUGUUGGUUUAGUGCUAAGGUCAUAGCCUACCUAUAGGUUCCAAGUUUGAACCCCUUGGUGAGCAUUCAACCAAAAUAUUUUUAUUUUCUUGUUUUUACCGCACCAAAAGUGACGAAUUUUAAAAUAACCCAGCCCAAAAACUAUAUUUUUUUAAAAUUUAGUCCUUAAUUUAAAAUUUUUCCCAAACCUACAUAAAUUUUUAAAACCUAUUCCAAUUAGGAAAGAUAAGUAUUAUAAAUAAACAAUUUCAAAACAAACCCUAGAAUUUCAUCUAGCAAUUUUUCGAGAAAACAUCCAUAAACACUUUAUUUUCCAAAUCAAACUUUCAAGCGAAAGGAAUCGAAAUCUUCAAAAUCAUCCCUCAAGUAGAUCUUCAAUCUCUUCUCCAACACUAAGGUUUUAAGUCUUCAAAAUAGGUGUGGGAACUAAACCUAAAUCUUUGUGUAUAAUUGAAUCUAAUAGCAUGUAGAGAACCAGUAUUGGCGAACCCUAGGAAAACCCCCCUGUAUGUGCGAUCAUGUAGGUGCGAGCCUGUAGAUGCGAAACCCCUUACACAUGAAAACCCCAUGCAUGCGAACCCUUACGUGAAACCCCCCCUUUCAUGCGAACCCUGUAUGAAUACCAUGCAAACCCUAGGUUGUUAUGUGGAUACUCAUACUGUGAACACAUGUGCACAAACAUAUAGGAAUAUUCAUGUGAACCCUACUAUUAGAUGCGAACCCCCUUAUACGUGAAAACCCCCUUGCAUGCGAACCCUAGUUAGUAUACAUACGAGUCUCAUAUUUACAUGCGAACCACUACUAGUGCGAGUCAAUUAUAUGAUACCACAUGCGAACCCUACUAUUACAUGCAAACCUUUAUACAUGUUAUAUUCUAACUUUUUUUGUUAAAAUAGGUGAGACUUGUCUAGUAUUACAGACGACCCUACAUAUACCUAAUUUGCGAACUCAUAUGUUAAAAGUAUGCAAAACUAUCUAUGUUUGUUAUGUGAACUCACAUGUUAGCAGUAUGUGAACCUAUAUAUAUCAGUUAUGCCAACUCACAUGUUAGCAGUAUAUGAACCCAUAUGUCUGUUAUGCAAACUCACACGUUGGCAAUAUGUGAACCCUAUAUACACCUUUAUGCAAACUCACACAUUAACAGUAUGCGAACCCUAUAUACGCCUUUGUUGAUGUUAGUUCCCAUGCAUCUUGUGGUGCAGCAAUCGUGGCCAUGCAGGUCACAUGGAGAAAAGAAGCAGCACAUGAAGGCAGUAACUGGAGCUUGUGGAUGCUGUCCAAAUUCAACUUAUUUUGUUGGUUUGAUUUUAUAGUUUGUAACUUAGUUCUUUUGGAACUUUCUUGGUAAAACUUUCGAUGUAUUUUUUAUGUUGAUUGACUGAAAAUUCAGCAAAGCAACUUAUGCAAGCUAGUUUAGCAAUUUUCAAUGUAUUAAGUGGUGUUAGGUAAGUGUUUAGGUAGUAUUUUGACUUGUAAGCUUAACUCAUGUUUGAUAUAUGUAAUGGCAACUUGCCAAUGCCUUGUUAAUGAAAAAAUUCAGCUUGUUUUCAAUUUCUGUUCUUAAAAACAAAAAGGUUUCUACUUUGUUUCUUCUCCAAGUCACGAGGCUUGCUGACAAAGCAAAGCUAAAUCAGCUUGCUCACUGCCUUUGACUCCAACAGCCUUUAUACAAACUCACACGUUAGCAGUAUGCGAUCCUUAUAUACGCCUUCAUGCAAACUCAUACGAUUAGCAGCAUGUGAUCCCUAUAUUUAUGCGAACCCUUCUAAUAACAAAUAUGCGAACCUUAACUUGCGAACCCUAGGCAGGAACCCUACACUCGCAAAGCCUUCUUCUGAACCUGUACAUAUGCUAGAUAACCAAGCCUAUUAGUUUACGUUAAAUCACUGUACAUAUGAGAUUGUUUGUUUACUUGCACAAAUUAUAUGUGUAUUUACUAUUCGAUACAAGAGUACCUAUCGACCUUUUGAUGAGAAUUCAGAGAUUAAUGAUGAUAAUUCCAACAAUCGGUGGAAGAACAAGUUAAAUCGAGAAUUGGUGUAAUUUAAGGUAAUAAAGAUUAAAUUUUCAGUAAUAAAUAUAAAAUUGUUAUGGAAAGAAAUGAUGGGUAAAAAAAUGAGAGUUUUAAACAGAAGAGAGGAAAACUUCAAUUUAGGGUUGAAGAGGAACUAAAAAUCCAUGUGAAAUUAGGAAAAAAAUAUUAAAUACCUAGGAUUAAAAAAUUUGAGGGGGCUGAAUGGUAAAAUACCCUUUUUGCUUAAAAAUGAAAAGAAAUGGAAAUGGGGAUUGAGUUUGGCAUGACUUGAACCUUGGAAGCAAAGGAAAAAAUUGCAAAGGCCAUACCAUUUGGGUUGCUACCUACAUUUGGCAUAUUUUUACACUAUUUAAUAUAUAUCCUAGCUUAGUUUUGAUCAUAGGUUGUUGAAAAAAAAACAAGGGGUAAGAGUGUGGCUUCAACCUUAGUUCUCUAGUUAGUAUACUAAGCUCUUAACCAUUAAGAUUAAGGCUCAUCUCUUAGUCAAUUAAUUCAUCUAACUCUAUAUAUUUUGGUGUGUUACAUCUUGAAUUAAAAAAACCCAUAAAAUGCAUGUAGACUUGUAUUGCUUGGUACUUGGUAGUAUAUAUGUAGACUUGUAUGUUGAUUAAGCCACCUUAAUUAAGACCAAUGUGUUAGACUUGUCUAUGCAUUGAACAAUUUAGAAGAAAAUGAAGAAAAAGACUCUAAAAGCACUUGAAAACAGAUAAAACUCAUAUGUCAUUGACUAGUUAAAUGUGGUCACCCAUAAUAGACCCUGUAUUUGACUUUUUGUUGAGGGAGAUUGACUCCUUUGGGAGAAGUCUCCUGAGUGUUGUUUGUCAAGCAGUCAGGGUUGUCCUAAACAACUAAAGGUAUUGUCCCCAUGUCGAGAUUUUAUCCCUAGCCUCUGCAAAAUAAUCAUGGAGAAUAUGUGCGAGAGAAUUCAAACACCAACCAAUGCAUGUGUAGCCUUUACCUUGCCACCAUCUUUGGGAACCCAUAAGGAUAAAAUCCCAACGAGAGAAUAGUAUCAUCUAUUGAGGGGUCUGUCAACCCAAUAAAUGAAAUUUAAAUGCAUACUUUUUUUUUAAUGAAAGUAAAUAUCAUAUUUAAUUAGAGAAAAGCAAUGAAAAAUCCAACAAUAAAAUCCUUAGCAAAAGAUUAAAACACAAUUGUACCAUAAAUUAAAUAAGAAACUAAAAAAAUUCAAAUCUAACGAAGACAAUAACUUGAUUCCUCAAAGCCACCAUAAACAGUAAUUCAUACGAAGGCCUGUUGCUCAUUUUAUAGGUUUCCAUUUUGAUUUUGCAAAAGAAGUUUGAAUUCCGAAGCGAGCCUAGUACAUGAGAGAAAAUUGUCGAAACCGUCUUUUUGAAAACAAAAAUUUAGUUGUCGACUUUAAAAAUAAAACUGGAGUCGCCACCGAUCCUUUAUUAGGGUGUGAUCGGCUCACCUUAAAAAUUAUUUUGGUCUACGAGCUUUAAGAAAACGAGUCCGGGAGUAAGUUACGCAUGAGGAAGGGUUAGCACCCUCGUAACGCCCAAAAUCGGUACCAAAUCGAUUAUUUAAUGUCUUAGUGUCGUGGACUAAAAAGAAGUUAAAAAAACCAAAUGAUGAAAUCAGAAAAGGAUAAUCAAUUGUUCAAGACAUGUAAAGAAAUCGAGUCCCAAUACGUUAGGGUACAAUUUCUCAAAAUUCCCGAACUUUGAAUAUCGCUUUUAUUUUAUGCGAAAACAUUCAUUGUGAGAAAGUAACAUGCCACACCCAAUACGUUAGGACACGACAAGUUAAGUUCCAAAAAAUGAUUUUUAUACUCAUGCAUUUUGAAUAAAAAAUAUUCUCGAUUAUUUAAAAUUAACAAAGAAAAUCGGAACCCAAUACGUUAGGGCUCAAUUUUCUCAGAAUUCCAAAUACCGAAUUGUGCCUUUUAUUCGAAAAUUCUUAUUUCGAGAAGUCAAAAUAUCAUGACCAGUAAGUUAGGACUUGACAUUUUUUGAUUCCCGAGAACAAGCUUCUAUUUGAAAUUUGCAUGAAUUUAUUUCAAAAUAAAUACCUGGUUUUCUAAAUUCACCAAGAAAUAAUCGCAAUCCAGUAAGUUAGGAUACUGUUUUUCUCGAGAAUCAUGAAUGCCAAAUAUUUUGGAAUUUUAUAAAAUAUGAUGAUUUUAAUGCUUUGACAGAACCAAAAUAUAUUUUCUUUAAAAAGUGUAGAAAAAUACUAAUGUAUCACAUAAAAUCAAUAUUUUAAUUUUAAAUUAUAUGCAUAUAUGUAUUUUCAAAAUAUAAGUAUGAUACAUAAAUAAAUUUUGAAAAUAUAAGUAUGAUACAUAAAUAAAUUUUGAAAACAUGUAUAUGCACAUAUUAAAACAAGUAUAUAUAAGUAUACACAUAUAAAAUAAAAUAAUGAAUGAGAUAUGUAUAUCAAAAUAAAAAUUAUCAAAAUUUCUACAAAAAAAAAUCAUGUAUGUAUAUACGUAAUGAAAAUUGUAAAAAUAAAAAUAAAAAAUAUGCAGAUGUGUAUAUAUUUACAAAAAAAAAUUUAAGUAUACAUGCUUUAGUAAAACAGAAAUAAUAAUAGUAUAUGAAGAAAUUAGGAAAAUGUGUAUAUAGAUGUACAUAUAUAAAAAAAAUGCAAAAAUAUAUUUACAAUAAUUUUGAAGGGCGUACGUGUAUAUCAAUAUCUAUUUAUGCAUAUAUAUUAUAAAAUAUGAAAGAAUAUAUAACUAUAAUAGAAAUAUAAAUGUAUAUACGUAUAUAUGUAUAUAAAAGCUAAAAAAGAAAUAAUAACAAUAUAUAUAUAUAUAAAUAUGUAUAUGUAUUAGAGAAAUAUUUAAUAUAUAUAUCUAUUAGCAUACAUAUGCGUAUGUAUGUAAGUAUAAUUAUAAUACUAUAUAAUAUAAUAAUAAUAAUAAUAGUAAUAAUAAUAAUAAUAAUAAUAACAAAAACUACAAAAAAAACCUUAAAAAGCACCAUUAAGGAUUAAACUGAGAGCUAAACGAAGUUAAAAGGCCAAAUUUAAAAAUAGAAAACACCAGGAAGGACAAAGUGAUACGCGCGCCAUGAGAGGAGGACUUAAAAAACAAUUUUCCCAAGUCGCUGAAGCACUGUGCAGUGACAUGGAUUAAAUCGUCACGCGAGCAAAAUAUUUGGGCCGAAUUUAAAAAGGAAAAAAAACUUGAUUGAAACACGUAGCAAAAGGGGAAGGGCUAAAAUAUAUAACAAAAAAACACAAAAAGUCAAUCUGGUAAAUCGAUGUUGGGUACUCUAAUUUUAGGAUUCAGAAGGCUUAAGAGUGUUUUCGCAUCAAAAUCGUACUAGGUGUGUCCCCAAAACACAAAAAGUCAGGUUUCGAUAAAAGCCGAAAAUGCAUCCAGUCGAUGCCACACGGACGUGUGCCUGGUCGUGUGGCUAGCCGUGUGUGAGACACGACCUUGUGGUGGUGUGAGUGUAGCGGUAUGGGCCACACGGGCUAGGCCAGUCUGGGCAUAUAGGCCCACAAUUUUAAAAUUUUCCUUAAGGCCACAUGGUUCGUUUCGAAUGAUUGUGGACCUACCAUAGGGUCGGUAAUGGCUAAUCAAACACUAAAUUAUGUGAUAUGAUAUUUUGAUAGUCUGCAUUGUGUAGGAUAUCGAUAUGUACAUCUGUUCUAUUUAAGUAUAUAUAUGCUAUCUGUAUAUGAGCAUGUUAUGCAUAAUAUUACUGUAUCUAUUAUUUCUAUAUUCUGUAUCUGUGAUUGUGGUGGGUUUUGUAUAUGUAGAGGAAGUGAUCUGUAUGGUGACACUUCCCUUAUAUUCUGGCAGUUGAUUGUAUAUUAUCUGUAAUGUGUUGUAUUGACACUAUAUGGUGUGUAGGGAUGGGUAGGUGUUUUAAACCUCAUAUGGUGUGAUGGGAUGGCCGAAGAUGUUGUGUAGAGGAUGGGGGUAAGAUUCUACAUAUCUGUACUACUUAUCUCAUUCUGUUAUCUAGAUUUGGAAUGGAUAUAAGUCCGAAUCUGGAUCUGACUGUAUAUAAGACUUCUGUUUGUAUUGCAUGUCUAUUUUUGUUGGGUUACACACUGAGUUUAUGAAAGCUCACAUAUGUUUGUCUGUUCUAUUCAGGUCUAUAGACUUAGGCGAAUCAGUGUGACGGAGCCUCACAGUGACCACGAGAUCGUAAACUGUUUAAGAUUAUGGUUUUUAUUUAAUUUAAGGAUUAUUUCUAGAAGUUUGUAAUAAUUGGACUUUCUAGACUAUUUGACUUUUAUUUCAAUUUUGGAGGCAUUUUAACUUUUAUGGCCACGUUUGACCAAAAUCACGGUUUUACUAAAAUAAAGGAUUUUCUAAAUACAUGAAUUAGAUUUCCAAGAUUCAAUGCUUUUUGAAAACUUCGACCUUAGAUUAUGUAUUGGAAAAUUAAUUAAUUAAAUAACGCUUCUAGUAACAAAUAGUACACUUGGGGUAUUUAUCAAAUGACUAAAUAAAGCUUUAUCAAAAUAUCACUGUUUUCAAAACCAUUCCAUGUAACACUCUUGGAUUCAGCCACAAUGUCUAGGCCGAGAUUAGGGUGUUACAUUUAAUGCUAUCAGAGCCAGGUUGCAAAACUCAAGCUAUGAAUUUUGGGUUUCAAAAAUUAUAUUUUGAAAAAGAACAGGUUUUCAAAUAAUUUGGAUCAUUCUGAGUAAGUAUGUGGUACACUGAGUCUAUGGUAUUGAUCCUGUAAGUACUUUUGAAAUUAGAUAGAACUUUCUGAAAACAUUGUAGUUAGUACUUUCUAAAACUAUACUGAAUUAGUUAAAAAUAGAAACCUCUGAAAUAUGUUCAAACUUCUGCUAAUUUGAGCAUAAAAUAUCUGUUAAUAAAGAUUGGAACUGAUGCAUAAAAUUUUGUAAUGUAGAUAAAUUUGAAAAUAUACGAUGAGCAAUUGUGGAACUCACGGUCAUGGUAUUCGUGGGCGCGUAGGGUCGUAGGGGGCUGGAGCUGAGUCUUUUUCUCUGGGCAGUAUGCCAAACUUAGAUAUGAGUGAGACACCGGUUUCACCUGCCAUUGAGACAAGGUCUCAAAGUCGCUUGGCUAGGGACGACGCACUGUCUCAAGCCAUGUUGAGGGUUUUGGAGAGGGUCACUAGACCUCAUUCUGGAUCUGUGGGUCGAUAACUGAACGACUCCGAUCCAAUAGAGCUGAGCUGUUUAGGUGUGUCAUUGGAGUCACCCCUACUGUGGCCGAGUAUUGGUUGGAGGCCACUGAGAGGAUUAUGAACGACAUUGACUGUACUCCUAAGUAGAAACUUAAGGGUGCAGUCACUUUACUUUGUGAUGAGGCAUAUCAAUGGUGGUUGUCGAUUGAGGAGGGUACUCAACGGGACUGUCUGAACUGGGAUUAUUUUAAGACUACCUUCUAGGGGAAGUAUGUGGGUGCGAGCUAUGUUGAUGCUUGUAGGCGUGAGUUCAUGAAUCUCACGUAAUGUGAUAAAUCUGUGGCUGAGUACGAGGUUGAGUUUCUGAGGUUGAGCCGCUACGCUUGAGGCAUAGUGGCGACUGAAUAUGAGAAAUGCAUAUGUUUUAAGGAUGGCUUGAGGUAUAAUCUGAGGGUAUUGAUUGCUCCACAGAGGGAGCGAGAGUUUUCAGUUCUUGUGGAUAUGGUGAAGAUCGCCAAGGAGAUUAAAUGCAUAGAGCGCUAAAAUAGGGAUCAUGAGUGAGGCAAGAAUAAGAGGGAUUCAGAGCCCUCUAGUUCUGUUUAGAGGCCUAAGAAACAGGUCAGACCUGAUUGGCUUGUUAGAGUAGGGGUUCCUAUUGCUUCUACUAGGAUUUAGCCAUGUGGUGAUUGUUUUAGGCGCCAUUCAGGUGAGUGUUGGAGGAGGUUAGAGGCUUGCCUGAGGUGUUGGUAUUUGGAGCACCACAUUAGAGAAUGUCCACUCCAUACGGAUUAGAUGCAAGCUUCAGGACUGAGUUUUAUAUAACCUCAGAGGGCAGUUCAACAGCCACCUAGGGGCCGUGGUCCGACUAGGGGUGGUAAUGGUAUGGGCCGAGGACAAAGAGCACUGGGAAAAGGUGUUAGUCAAACUGAGGCAAGGCAGCCUGCACUGGUUUAUGUUGCUUGAUGCCAAGAGGAUAGAGACGCUCUUGAUGUGAUCACAGGUACGUUCUUUAUUUUUGGUGUUCCAUAUACUACUCUGAUAGACAUAGGUUCUACUCAUUCCUAUGUAGGUAGUACUAUUUCCAAAAAUUUAUUGAUUUCUGGUGAGGGUACUUCUAGUGAAAUUAUUGUACUGAGUCCGUUGGGGCAGUCUGUUCGAGUAAGUAGACUUUAUAGGAAUGUACAUUUGGAAGUACAAGGGAUUGUGUUUUUGGCAGAUCUGGUAAGGGUAGUUCUAGUGAAAUUAUUAUACUGAGUCCUUUGGGGCAUUCUGUUCGAGUAAGUAGACUUUAUAGGAAUGUACCUUUGGAAGUACAAGGGAUUGUGUUUUCAGCGUUUUAUUCACAUAAAAGCAGCAAAAUUUAGCGGCGUUGUCUACAGCGGCAUUUUUUACGGUGCUUGUGAAAGCGCCGCUAUAGGCCUAAAAACACCGCUAAAAGCUUGUUUUGCUGCAGUGAAUUAAUAUUAUUAUAAGUGUAUUUUCACCUUUUCAUACUUUUAUAUAAUCUUUAAGUAAAACGAUUGAAAAUUAUUAUUUGAGAAUCAAACACAAGAGUAACAAUAUUCAUAUAGAAAACGCUUACCACUCCACUAAUAAUCAUUUGUUGAUGUAUUUUUGGUAAAAAGACCCCUCCAAUCCCUCUUAAUUUCACAAUUGCUCAAAUUAGUCCCUCUCAUAAAAAUUGGAGCAAUUUAAUCCCUAUCAAUUUUGAAAGUGAGUAACUAAGGACAAUUAAUUAUGGUGUUAAAUUCUUCCAUCAAUUGUACAUAAUUUUGAUUGGUAUAAGAAUAAAUUUAGCCUUCAAUGUUUAUAUAUUUUGUCAUUUUGGCCAUAAUUUAAAAAAAAUUCAAGAAAUUGAACCUCAACAUUUACAUAUUUACACAAACGUUGCGGGAAAAUUUUGUUAAAUUAAGACCAAAUUGCAAGUGUAAGUUUUGAGGGCUAAAUUUAUUAUUAUACCAACCAAAAUCAUGUACAUUUUAUGGGAAAUUAACAUCCUAAUUAAUUAUUCUUAGUUACUCACUUUCAAAAUUAAUAGGGACUAAAUUACUCUGAUUUUUUUAGGGUGACCAAUUUCCUCAAUUUGGAAUUUGAGAGAGACUAUUGAGAUCUUUUACAUAUUUUUUUAUAAAUAUAUAUAUUUAAUAUAAAAUAUAUUUGUUCACACACAUCGUGAGUAUGAUAAAAUAUUUUUAUUGUUAAUUAGUUGGUGUCAAAAAUUAACUCGACGCCAACUCAAUAUUAAUGAUAACAAUAUGAUAAAUAAUUGAUUUAUUUAAUAUUCUUAAUUUAACAUAUUGAUAUAAAUUUUAAGACAUGCUUGUCUUGAAGAAUUGUGAUUAUACUUUUCGAGUAUUGACUCAGUUUUCCACAAUUGUGGGUCUCUAUUUAAGACAAACAAUUUCAACAUUUCUUCAUAUUGUUUAAUCCAAAUGCAUUAAGGAUUUUCUUAUAUCAUUGUUUCAAAAAUGAUAAAAAAAAACAACGUCGACAUUGAAUUUGCUGUUUCACAUUCAAUUUUUGGAGAAGUAGAAUCUUCUAACUUAUUUUCCAUCAACUUCACUUCAAUUUUCAAUCACAAUCAAUUGCAUUCAAGAGCACCACAUAUUUUUUGGAUGAAACAAACCUAUCAAUUUUAAGAUAAACGGGUCUUUAGGGUUAUUAAUUGAGGGCCUUUUCCACAAUUGUCAUCGUUAAGCAUUUUUCAAUCUUGUCUACUGUGAAUAUCGUUUUUAAGCAUUUUUCAUUGAAAUAACGAUUAAUAGACAAAUAAUAUUCAAGUAAAACAAUUUUUGUAUAUUGGUUUGAAAGGUUUUCUAAAUAGUACAAGGACCUGAAACAGAACCACUGGACAAAGCUAACCAAAUCUAAGAGUUGGAAAUAUUUGGGAAUGAAUAGUUUAAAUUGUGAUUAUUUCUUCGGGUUCCUGUCAAAGAUAUCAGCUGAGCAAGAAGGCAGGGUAAUGUGCCAAUGAUAGAACCUUGAUGAACAACGAGCAAAUGUCAACCUAAGCAUUAAAAGGGGAUCAUUCUCAAAAAAUGACAUUCUACAUGUAACGCCCCAAAAUUUUAAUUUUGGGUAUUGUGAAUGUAUGACACAAAUAUCUGUCUGCUUUAGUGGUUAUGUGUUUUGGGUGUGUUUGGGAGGUCUCAAGUUCAAGUCAAUACUUGGGCAAAUUUUGGUAAUUUUAUGAAUAAGCCCUAUCUCUGGUUAUAGGCUUUUAAGUAAAAGUUGGCAAAUAAUUAAUAGAAUGGGUCUGUUGGUCUAGUGGUUAAGUGGAGUGUUGGUGUGAAGAAGGUCAUGGGUUCAAAUCUUUGGGACGGCAAGGUAAGUCGUUUUACUCUCCAUCUUUCUGACGUUUUCUCUCCCCCAUGUCUGCCGAAUUUUUUUUCUUUCUUCUUUACUUGUUACUCGGUUAUCUUUUCUUUUCUUUCCUCUACUACUGUCGAAAUUCCCUUGUUUCCCCUAAACCAUUCUUUCCUCUUGAUUUCGUAGCUUUAAGCAGCACUUGUUCAAAUUUAGUAAGUUGUUGGGUAUCAUUUUAAGAUAUUAUUUUGUAUUCAAUAGUCUAAUUUUGGGGUGUUGACAGUAGCAUUUCACGAGGAUUAAGGCUCUCCUCGUGAUUUUUGCAACGUACCGAUUUUAAGUUUUGCGGUAAGUGUUCAUCAUUUUAUGGGUAAGUAUUUUGGUUUCGGGAUUUUAAUUACUCACAAGGUAAGACUGAUUAUGGUGUUAUUUGCUCAAUUAUACGCUUAGGAGUGCUCGGGGACUAUUUUAGCAUCAAACAAAACCAAGUGUGCACCCGAAUCGCAAAAAUAAGGGAUUCGGCGAAAAGCCGAAAUUGCUUGCUGUUUGGACAGCAGCAGUAGGCUAACUUUGAAAAAUCAGCAUAAAUUGUGGAAAUCGAAUUAGAGGAUGAAAAAAAUAUGAGAUUAAAGCUUAUUGAGCCUAGUUUCUCAUAGAAGAAACGGUGUAAGUAAUGAAAUUGUAAAUCGUGAGUUAUAAUAGACUUAGUGAGACAAGGUCAGAAUGAAUUUGGGUUCCCCUGUUUUGACUUUGGAAAAUUAUCAAAAAUUGGAGAAAAAUAAUUAGGGGUUAAAUUUUACAUGCUUAAACUAUUAAUGAGUCUAUUUUCAAUAGAAACAAAUGAAAAUGUCAUCCAAAUUUUGUACUAAGAGAUAACUCAUUUUUAGCAAAGAAGAGUCAAAGUUGUCAGACAACAGAAAAGGGAUAAGUUUAAAUAUUUUACUGUACUUAUUAGCUGAACCAAAAAUUUUGGAAAUUUAUGGUAGAAAGUUAAUUGAGUCUAGUUUCAAAGACAUCAAACGGAUCUUAAUUCGGAAUUCUGUAGCUCAAGAUAUAAAUUUAUGUUUAUCUUAUUAUCUUUCUUAUUUUAGAAUUGAUUACAUGAAAGUUAAUUGCUAAUAUUAUUAGUUAAUUAUUAGUUUUCUUCAAAUCAAAUUAAACCCCGAAAGGUAUCUCUUUUUUUAUAUUAGUUUUAGUUAUCCAUUAAAUUUGUUUCUUUGUAGUAAAAUUAAAUUAUAGAAAUAACAUUAAAAUUUUAAAUAAAAAUAAUUCACAAUAAUUUAUUAUUUAAAAAACGCCCUGAAAUUUAAAAUUAUUGCUAUAAAUAUAUCAUUAAAUUAUACAGAAUUUAAUUUUUCUUUCAAAUACUAAAGUUAAUAAGGAAAGAGAAUAUAGUACAUAUCAAUAAAACUAUUAAAAAAGAAAUAUUGUUUAAAAUCAAUAGCGUCUAAAAAUUGUCAGAAUGAAAUAUUUGAUUUUAUAAGAUUUCAUUACUCUAAAAAAAUAAAAUAUGACAAUGCUUAAAAAUUUUAUUAAAAAAAGUUUUAAAUUUUAUAUAAAAUUUUAAAAAAUAAAAAAUAGUACUAAAAAUUUUUAUAAGCAAAUUUAAAUAUUAAUUAGUAAAUUUUUUUGUAAUAUUUAUAUGUAUUUUCAUUUUUAUAAAUACUAUUAAAACUUUUUAAAAAAAAAUUGAAUGCUAUUUAAAAACAUUAUUAAAAAAUAAAAUAUUAUAUGAAAGUUAAAAUGACCUAAAAACAUAUUUUAAAAAUUUAAAUACUUUAUACAAUAUUUAAAACUGCUUAAAAUUUCUAAACCCUAAAAAAUAAAUAAAAUAUAAUUUUUUUCUAAGAAAUCAAUAAAAAUAUAUUUAUAAUUGAACUGUCAACAAAAUUGUGGGAAAUAUUUAAAUUUUAUGAAAUUUUAAACUUAAACUGUCAAUAAUAGAAAAUUGCCUGAGUGACUUGGGAUAAGAGGUUCAACAUUUCUGGAUCGCAUUGCAUUUAAGGCGGGUCUUUAGGGUUAUGCUUUAGUUUUUUAGAACAUUUUCCACAAUUUGCCAUCAUUACUUGUGAGUGAUUUGUGGGGUAAGAGGUUGAACACUUCUGGAUCACAUUGCAUUUAAGACUGGUAUCAUUCAUAAAUUAUAUAUCUACAACAAGAAUGGUAGCCUCUUAUAUUAUAUUCAUGUAUCUAUUUUGCAUCUUUCAUUAUAAUAUGAUUUAGUAAUUUUAAUAUUUUUAUAGAAUAAUAUGCUUUAAUUUUUUUUGUAUCAUUCAUAAAAAUUAUAAUAAACUUACAAAAUGAUUUAAUGAUAUUUAAUUAUUAACGGAAAAAAUUUAUAUCAUAUAUAUUCUGUAUAUAUUAAGAUUUUGAAUGAUUAAUUAUAUAUCUACAUAUUAUAAUAAAUUCAUCUUUCAAAAUUUUCCUAAACUAUAUUCAUAAUAUUAUAAAUAUAUUAUAUCAUAAAUAUUCUUUCAAAUGUUUUUUAAUGUUUAAUAAUAAGUUAAUUUAUAAAAUAUUCUUUCAAUAAAUUAACGUGAUGAGAUCGUUAGGUGCUUGGAUUUGGUGACGGGGACGAGGAGAAAAGGGAUGGAAGUGAAGAGAAAUGUUGGGAAAUUGAAAGGGUUAGCAAGGGAGGCCUCCGUGAAAGGUGGUUCUAUAGAUGUGAACCUUCAAGCUUUUGUGGAUGAUGUUGCUCAAGGUUGUUGCAAGUAAAUUUAAAAAUAUUUUUUUAAUUAUUUUUUGUUAAAAAAUAUUUUUUUCUAUGUAGCAUGCCACAUUAGCAUACUACCAUGUGGUAACUUCUAGUGAUUUUCGUAUGUAACAUUAGACAAAUUAAUCGUUAAAUCGUUCAACUGACAGAUUUCGUUAAAGGAAGAGGUCAAUUGAUUUUUUUGGAAUCAUUGAGUACUCAAUUGGUGCACUAUUUUCAUAAAGACUAAAUUAAUUUUUUUAAUUUGUUAUCGCUGAGGGCUACAGUAAUAAAAAAUUUUGAGGUAAAAUUAGAAUAACGUCCCAAAAAUCUUAUAUUUAAUUUGUAAAAUUUUACCAUUAAUAAGUAUUUGUUUUAGUGGUUAAGUAUUUGAGUCGUGUUUAUAAUAUCUUGGAUUCAAGUCCCUACGUGAAUGGAUUGUUUUUUUUGUUUUUAAUUUUUGCAUGGGUCGGGUAGGUGGUUGAGUUUGAGUCCAUUUCGAACUUUGGAAAAAGGUGGUUAGUUAUCUGAGAUGGGUUAGUGUUAGUAGAUUUGGAUUUGGUUUAUUUUAAAAUUUAUUAAUUAAUUUGUUAAAAAAUUAAAUUAGUUUUUUCCUAAUUUUUGGCUCACCAUUCUUUCUCUUGUUCUUCUUUAUUCUUUCUUUUUCUGCUACCUUUCAAAUCACGUCGAUUUGUUCCUAUUUUGCUUUUGAGUUUUUCUUUUCUUUCCUUUACGCUCCUCUACGAUCGUGUCUUAAUUCCUUCAUUAUUUUCUCGUUGUUGGCGUUGCUCGUUCGAGAGUGGGUUAGUUUCCGUUUUGAUGUGUUUUUACGAGGUUAGUAAAAGAAAUGCGUUAAUUUUUGGAUUAUGGAGUUGAUCGUUUUUAAUCAAUUCUCCAGUAAGUUGACUCCUUUGCUGUUGUUAUGUGCUAGGUUAAGAGAUUAAUUCUGAUUUGGGCCUGCGUGGUUGUGUAGAUUUUCCAUGUGAAUUCGUUUGGUAUUUUUAGGAUAAAUCAUUCUUUAAGUCGUAUUGCUACCAUCGCUAAUGUGAUGUUUUAAUUUAUGCAUUUAGGAUUUGGUAGUUUUAUGGGUGUUUUCGUAUAAAAAUCAAACCAAGUGUGUAACGAAAAACCCGACAACAACGAGCGACGAAAGUCAAAAAAUUGCACUGUCGACACCACACGGCCGUGUGUCGGGCCGUGUGACAAGCCGUGUUUCAGACCGUGUGCGACACACUGUUUGGGCUAGUUAAGCCGUGUGGAACACACAGGUGUGUGUGAGGACGUGUGCCACGCCAUGUGAGCCACACGGGCUGGCCAUUUAGGCCGUUUGAGACCAAAAUACUAAGGGCACGUUUGGUUUGCUGUAUUGGAUUAGAGGUGUAUUGGAUUAGAGGUGUAAUGGAAUAGAUGUGUAAUAGCAAAUCAACUGUUUGGUUGAAUGUAAUGGAAUAGAGGCGUAAUAGUAAAACUGUGUUUGGUUGAAUGUAAUAGAGGUGUAAUAGCAUAAUGGAGAAAACUAAAAUGACCAGAAUACCCUUAGCAUAAAUUUGUUUUGGUAAAUGAUUAUUGUUAUUGUUAUUUAAAUUUUAAUAAGAUUAUUUAUUAUCAAAAAUAAAUAAUUUAAUCAUAUUUAAACAUAAUUAUUAUUUAAUAUAUUUUAAUUAAAAUAUAUAAUUUAAUAAAAUUCUUAAUAAUUAGCAGAAAUUUGUUUUGGUAAAUUAUUUUAUUUAAAUUUUAAUAAGAUUAUUAAUAUCAAUAAUAAAUAAUUUACUCAUAUUUAAACAUAAUUAUUAUUAAAUAUAUUUUAAUUAAAAUAUAUAAUUUAAUAAAAUUCUUAAUAAUUAAUAUUCUUAUAUGAAUUUACUCAAAUCAUAAUAUAUGAUACUGUAAAAUAUAAAUUAAAAUAAUAAUUAUUAAAUAUAUUUUAAUUAAAAUAUAUAAUUUAAUAAAAUUCUAAUAAUCAAUAUUCUUAUAUGAAUUUACUAAAAUCAUAAUAUAUGAUACUAUAAAAUAUAAUUUGAAAUAAUUAAUAUUAAAUAUAUUUUUAUUAAAAUAUAUGAUUUAAUAAAAUUUAAAAUAAUUAUCUAGAUUCAAAUUUAAGAAUUAUUUACAUGAACAAAAAUAUAAUAUUUGUUUCUAAGUUAAUUAUUUUAAUAAAAUAAUUAAAUAUUUAUAUAACGGUGUUCUCAUCUUUUGGUAUUUUUAUAUGCAAUUUUAAAGAUUGAAUCCAAACUUAAAAGAAUAUUUAUUUGUAAGCAUUUCACCGGUUUACUUCAACUCAAUUAUUGAUUAAUUUUUAAUAAACAUAAAUUCAAUCACUAAUUCUCUUGGCUCCUCUGUUUCAAUAUAUGAAACAUGACUCAAUCACUAAUCCUCAUAACUCAAAGGUGAGCCAGAUGGUCCAUCAGGGGGUGCAGAAGCAGCAUGAGUCAAAGCAACUAUGGCAUUUUUCCAGAAAGAGGAGCCAAGAGAAUUAGUGAUUGAUCUUAACAAUGGCAGAUCAUUAAGAUCCCGGGUCUGGCUGUCCAACCGAUCAACAUAGACUACAACAUCGGGGGGACACUUCUUUAUGUAUUGCUUUAUAGAAGCUAGGACUUUGUGAUUGGCACCUUGCUCCAUGGCAGAAGAUUUCAAACCUGGGGUAUCAAUGAUUCUCAGUUUAACACCAUCUACCAUUCCAGUAAUCUCUUUCACUACUGUAGUGGCAGGUUCAAAUGCAUGAAUUGAGGUCUUUGACUCACCAAAGAUUGAAUUUAUUGUGGCACUCUUGCCCACCCCAAUCUUCCCAAGCACAAGCAUGUUUAUGGAGAAGCUUAAAUCAUCUUUACCCUCUGUUUCAAGUUCCAAAGCUUUCCUCUUCGCAGAAUCAACACUAAACAGUUCACUGGUUUGUCUCCUUGCAACAUGUGCCAGUCUAUAAAGAACCUGUGCUGCUAAAGAAUCUUCAGUAGAAAGUCCGAGCCUUUGAAGAAUCCUCAAAAAUUUGACUCUUAUAAGCUGUAACUUUUCCAAUUUUAUUUUAUCUUCUUCUGUCAAGUUGUUGUCAGAAUCUCCCCUACUUGUUACAGCAGGACUAAAUAUGUUAGGCCUGUUUGAUCGAGGUGCGGAUGUUGCAUUUUGCAGUGAGGAUCCUAAGCCUGCAGGACGUUCAACAGUGAAAAGCCUAGAUCCAUCUUGAGAGGUUAUAGUAAUGUUGCCGCCAUCAGAGCCAGCACCAGUUGCUGCUUUCAAGAGGGCUGCCAAAGCAGCAGAAUCAAAUAACUCCUUCCCCUCUCCUUCUUCAUCCGUAUCCCCUUCUUCAUCUGAAUCAACAGCAUUUGUCUGUAUAUGAUUAUGAGAAGUAUCAGCACCCGAGUGAGAACCAAUGGCAGAUCCUCGUUCUAGCUCCUCCAAGAAUUGCUUAGCAGCUUCAGCAUUCUUAAAGAACAUACUUUCAGCCUCUCCAUCAGUCUCUGAGCCUUCAUUCUAAUGCUGCUUCUCUUCCAUUUCACCUUCAAAACUAACUUUUCCAGCCACUGUAGUUUGCUCUACUGACUCAGGCCAAUGAGAUUCUUCUCCUGGCAGGGUUACUGACCUUUUGCUUUGAGAAUCACUAUCUAAAUUCUCUGUUUCAUGAGCUGCCAUUAUUUCUGUAGGUUGAGCAGAACUAUCCUUUGCCUGAAUUCCAUCUCCACCCCCUCCAUCUACUUUCUCAGCAAAUGCUUGUUCCAAAAUAUCUAUGAUCUCCUCAUCUUUGAGAUCAUUUAGCUCAGUCCCAGAAUUGUCUUUACCAAGCAUAACCCCACUGGCAAUAUCAGCUUUAUUCUCAGCAUCAACAGCCAACUCGUCUCCGCCGGAAAACUUCGAACCAUCAGCAUGAUUCAAGCCGUUAUCCAAGCUCGCAUUAUCGUCAACUGGAACCACCUCUGUCUCCUUCAUCACCAAUGUCUCAAUGCCUAAAGCAGCUCCAGUCAAAGGUUUCGCAUCGACAGCCAACUCCUCUUCGCCAGAAAAUUUCGAACCAUCGACUUCAACUACCUGAUGAUCUACUGUUUCUACAAUCAUAGGAUUGAAACCCUUAGCUCCACCAUCUAACACCAAAUUAUUCUCAAAAAUCCCAAUUCUACCUUCCUCUCCACUUUCCAUUGAUAAAACAGAUUGGUCGACUUCUCCAAUGGAACCCAUUUCCACCUUAUCGUCCUUUUCACCAUUACCAACACUAUCAACAUCAACCUUCCCCAUCGAACCCUCACCUCUAUAUUCCUCUAAACCAUUAUCGCCAUCCCCAAACGAGUCCUCAUUCAAAAUCACAUUCGAACCAUCAGAACCAACAAAAGGGGCAUCACUAACAUCCCUCACGGUCGGAAUUACUUCAUCAGGGUCAGCCAUAAAUGGCCUCUCGGGUACUGUUUCAAACUUCCCCUCACCAUUCUCGUUACUAUCAUUAGUUUUACCAUUCCCAUUAUCUUCCAAAGUACGUUCACUUACUGAACUAGUUACAAACUCAGAAUCAUCAUUCGAAGUUAAAGAAGAAGAAGAGGAAGAAGAACCUGGAGAGGUAGAGAGCGACUGAGAAGUGAUUUCCGGGGCAGAAAGCAAGGCGUCCAUGGUUGAAAGAGAGGAAAGGGAGAUAGAGAGAAUUGGGUUUUAGGAUAUGGAAUGAAUUUUGAGUGGCACACAGAGGGAGCAAAUCGGCAGAAAGGGUAAAACAGGGAGGGGAAACCGAAGGGGCAACUAAUCUGCAGAAAAGAGGGGGAUUAGAAAUCGGUGGUUUUCACCGAUUAGGAAGGUAAAGGAUUACACCCGUAUUAGAAAUACAUCAAACCAAACGAUGGAAUACAGUCGCAUUAGGUGGGGCCCACCGAUUAGGGGUGUAUUGGCUAUGCCAAUACACCCAACCAAACAUGGUGUAAAUUUUUCCCUAGGGUUAUACACAUCGUUAUGAUCGAUCGUAGGCCUUUCGUGGGGUCGAUAUAUAAUCAAAUAGACUGUAAAGUAUGAAAUCCGGUCAACUAAUAGUAUAAAUUCUGAUAUCUGUUCAUAUAUUUGAGAUGUUAUUUGUUCAAUAAACCUUGUAAUAGGCUAUGAGAAACUUGAGAAAUAUUAUGUAUGCUUUGUAUCUGUUAUGUCAUACAUGUAUAAUGUAUUAUGUCUGAUUUUGUUCUAUUCUUUUCUGUAUUUGCAUCUGGGGUGGGUUAUAUUAUGUGGAGGAAGCGUUUCUUUGAAUGGCGAUAAUUCGCCUAUUACACUGGCAGCUCAGCUACAAAUAUUCUGAAAAGUGUCAUAUCAACACUAAGUGGUGUGCAGGGCUGGAUGAGUGUUUCAUACCCCAUAUAGUGUGUUGGAAAGGUCGGAGAUAGUGUUAGCGGAUGGGGGUAGGAAUAUAUGUCUGUAUCUGUACUGCUCUAAUAUGAAUAUGUUCUGCUAAAUCUAUCUUAUACAAAAUAAAUAUUUAAAGUUAUUCGUUAUACAUUGAGUUUUGUAAACUCACUUUCUAUUUGUUUGAUAAUUUUAGGUAUUCCUCAGACUUUGGCAAAUCGGUGUGAAAGAACUUGGUUAAAUUGAUUUAGUUUCAUUAUCUAUUAUAAUUAAAUUUUGGGUUAUUGUGUUUCAUUAUUUUUGGACUGUUGGGAAUUUUUGGAUUGUUUUGGUUUUUGAGAUUUUAUUUUCAAUUUUUGCAUGAUACUAUUAAAAAUGUUUUAUUGGAAAUGUUUGUUUUCCUGCAAAACAACUAAUUUCAGACAAAUAAACUUAGUUUUCCAAACAUAAUGAUAUGAGAAUUUUCGCUUUUAAGUAUUCAUUUUAGAAAAUGUAAGCAAACAUCGUUUCAACUAUAAAGUUAAGUUAGAUGUAUUUUUCUCUUAAAUCGAGGUUUAAGUAAUAAAAGUUUACGACAUUUUUCCAAAUUUUACAAAAAAUUGGAUUUACAAUUGUUUUAUGUAACAUCUCCAGAUUUGGUCAUAACAUCUAGUCGGAUUUCGGGUGUUACAUUUAGUGAUAUCAGGUCAGGUUGCAAAACUCAGGCUGUGAACUUUUUGGUUCAAAAUUUUGUGAAAACUAUUUUUCGAGUAAAGUUUGUCGAAACCACUUUUUCGAAACAAAAAAUAGCGUCGACUUAAAAAAUGAAAAUUGGAGUCGCCACCAGUCUUUUUUAUUUAGGUGUGAUCGGAUCACCUCCUAAUUUAAUCAUUUAAAUAAAAGUUAAAAUUUACUAAAACGAUUAAUGGGUUUAAAAAACCUUUUUCUUUACAAACAUUAACAAUAAUAAACGAACAUCGAAGAAAUAGAAAAGAAAAAAGAAAUCGAAAAGAAAAAAAAUUAGAUUUCAAAUCACCUCUCAAAAAUUUAAUUGCUUUCUGAUUUCUUUGGUAUCUUUUUUUACUGAUUUCUUAUUGUUCGCGUAAAAAACUUACAAAGGUCUUUUCUUCCGUUUUAUAGGCAAAAUAUGAAAUAAAUAAAAAAAUACAAUAUAUGUUUUUUCUGUGUUGCUUUUCGUCCUAUUUGUAGGUACGAAGACCAGCUAGCGCUGUACAGAGGCGGUGCAGCACGUGCUUGGCUGAGGUGACUAGAGGCGUGCGGUGGCUGGGUCUGCUGUGUAGUUUAGGGUUUCUGUUGAUUUUUGGUUAUUGGGCUGGGGUUUAAUUUGGGCUUGGGAUUGUGUUUGAUUUUUAAUCUGUAAAUGGACUUUUUAAUAUUGGACUUUUAUUUUUUAUUUGGAUUAUUAUUAUUUUUUGUGUAUGCGGGUCCGGGCUCUACAAAGUUCAUUUCUGGAUUAAUCUGAAAAUUAAUUAUGUGAAGUACCGAGUCUCUGACGUUGAUCCUGUAAGUACUUCUGACUUAGAAAAAUUUUAGUUUAGAAAACUCUAAAAUGAUUAGAACUGUAGUUGGAUAGUUAGAGACAGAAACAUUUCUAUAAAUUCUUUUGAUAACUUUUUGAGUAUAAAAUAUCUACUAAUAAAUACUAAAAUUGAUACAUAAAAUUCAUAAUAUAGGUAAUAUAUACGAUGAGUACUCGUGGAACACAUGGACGUGGUAACCGUAGGCGUGGCAGGCGCCGAAGAGGGGCUCGAGCUGAGUCAUCCUCGAUAGGUACCUGAUAGGCUAUCGCUGGAGAGAGCAAUAGUCUUGAGAGAAGAAAUUUGAAGAUCGAAGUCGGAAUCUGACCUUUAAGGCCUUUAAUUGCUUGAAUAAUAAGCAUUUCCAAACUAAAAGGAUUACAAUUUCUUCAAGAAUUUGACCUGCAGACAUAGUUGAAACAUGAAGGUGUUAAAUUACCUAUUUUGUUAGUGUAAAUCAAAGAGGCUUUUUAUUUUUAUUUUUCGUUGUGAAAUAAUAUGGAUAUGUUAGAUUCUAAUCAUAUUUAAGUAUAUAUUAGUUCUUGAAGAGUUCUUAUUUUUGGUAUUUAUAUUGCAAAUAAUUUUUUUAAAUUAAGAAAAAAGGGGGGAGGGGCAAAUGUGUUUAAACUAAAGACAUCAAGGAGAGUUGUGUCAAAUUCCCAAUGCUUUUUGGAAUGAUCCCACUAAAUUGAUUAACAGACAAUUCCAAAAUUUGAAAAUUGCAGCAUUUGUCUAUACUUGAUGGAAUAGAACUUGAUAAUUCAUUUCUACUGAUCAAGUAAAGCUCUUUAAGCUUGGGAAGAUGGACACACAAAUCAUCAGGCAAGCCACCAGAAAGACUAUUAUCACGUAAAUGAAUCCUUUUCAAAGAAGAAAUGUUAAACAUGGUGCAACCUGGCCAGGUAAUUGAUAAAAUUUUGAUUUAAUCCCUUAAAAAAUAUAAAAAUAUAGACUAUUAAAAUGGUAAAAUUACAUUUUUACUAUUGUAAAAAUUACAAUUUAAUUUCACUCCUAAAAAGAUUUUCUGGCUUCGACCCUAAUAAAUUCUUUGGCAAAAGAUUAAAAUAAAAUUAUACCGUAAAUGAAAAAAGGAAACUAUAAGAAAAUCCAAUCUAACAAAGAAAAUAACUUGAUGUCCAAAAGCUACCAUAAACCGUAAUUCAUGGGAAGGCUUGUUGCUCAUUUUAUUGGUUUCCAUUUUGAUUUUGCAAAAGAAGCUUGAAUUUUGAAGAGAGCCUACUACGUGAGAGCAAAAGAAAAAAAAAUUGUUUAUUAAUUUUUAGGAAUACCGAAAUAUUAUAUAUAUGAUUAAAAAUGUUGAAUUAAAGAUAAAAUUAAGUGUGAAUUAAUAACCACAAGUGUACUUAUUACUCACCAUCUCUGUUAAAAAUGUUGGAUGUUGUUUAGCAACCUUUGUUUGAUUUUCUUCAGCUCAACCACAACAUCUUUCAUAUCUUUUCUUUCUUCUGGCAACUCAGCUGAACAAUUCAAAGCCAACUCCAUGAUAGAUGUAAUACAAUUUGCUUUAACGACAAUGUACUCAUCCUCUCUUCUUAAUAAAUCAACAUCUGCAAUUUCUAUCGCUCCUUUAGGCAAUGAACUUUCCAUCCAAUGCCUUAUACUCUCUUCUUCAACAAAAACAUUAUCAGUAGGCUUUUUCUUCGUGAAAGUUUCUAUAAGGACGACCCCAUAACUAUAGACGUCAGAUUUUAUAGAAACAAUUCCUGCUGAUCCAAAUUCUGCAUUCAAGUAUAAUUAGAACGUCAUUCAUCCUCAAUUAUUUCUAAAAUGCUUAUUCAAAUAUAUAUUCACAUCCACAUGAAACAAAAAUAUAAAAUGCAUAUUAGGAAAAUAAUCAUACAAAAAUAAAAAAGAAUUCACCUGGUGCCAUAUACCCGAUAGUUGCAAGAGUCAUGGUUUGCUUCAUUACUUCACCUUCCCCCAACAAUUUGGCAACGCCAAAAUCUCCAACAUGUGCAACCAUGUCUUCAUCUAGUAAAAUAUUGCUUGGUUUUAUGUCACAGUGAAUUAUAGGUGUUGGAUGUCCAUUGUGGAGGUGUUCUAUAGCUACCGCAACAUCUAUCAUUAUAUCGACCCUUUGUAUGAUAUCAAGGAAACAAUUUUCAGAAUGUAACCAUUUCUCAAGGUUUCCAUUAGACAUGUAAUCAAGCACCAAGGCUUUGAAGUCAACACUUGAGCAGCAAGUAAUGACCUUCACAAUAUUACGAUGAACUAUAUUACGCAUAGCAUCACAUUCAAUGUCAAAACUCCUAAAUGCUCCCUCUGUUUGCAAAUUGAAAACUUUUAUUGCAACUUCCAUUCCAUCUGAAAGCCUCCCUUUAUAUACAUAUCCAAAACUCCCUGAACCAAGCAUAUUGCUUUCCUCAAAUCCAUUAGUUGCUCGUGAAAGUUCAGCAUGUGAAAUUCUUCUCGGUGUCUUCAAAGACAACAAAUCAUCUUUAACUGGUAGAGUUGUACUCCUUUGGCAUCUUCUAUACAUAAUAGUUAAGACUAUUAGUACUAGGACAAUACCAAUUGUUGGUAAACCAUACCUAAAAGCAUGCAAUAUAAUCAUUUGGGAGUUUUUGUGGAUGUCAUUUUUGCAAGGUGGGACUAGCAAUCUAGGUGGACCACAAAGUGCACAAUUCUUCAUGAAUGAUGUGCUAGAAAAGUUUGAAAAACAUCCUUUGCUGGGAAUUUCCCCUUCAAGUCUAUUGAAAGACACAUUAAAAUACUUUAGAUAUAAAAGUUGUUCCAAAGAUUUGGGAAUGACUCCAGAGAAAUUGUUAUUGCAUAAAUCCAAGAAUUCCAAACUAAUCAACCCAUCAAAUGAUUCAGGGAUACGACCAUGUAGUAUAUUAUUUGAUAAAUCUAAUGAAACCAAAGUUUGAAGACCCCCAAAUGUGGAUAAGAUAUCGCCCAUGAGAAGAUUCCUUGAUAAAUUUAGUCUCAGUAGACUCCUAAAAUUUCCAACAUCAAUAGCAUGUGAAUUGUGAAGACGGUUUGAUGAUAAAUCUAUUUCUAAGAUAUCUUUAAGACUCCACAAAGUUGAGGGUAUUGUAGAACUCAAUUUGUUGGAAUCUAACCAAAGAUAUCUCAAAGCAGAAAUAUUACCUAAACAAGAGGGUAUGGAUCCAUGCAGCUUAUUCAACCCUAAAUGCAUCUCGUAUAGUCUCUCCAAACCACAGAGGCUUUCUGGGAUAGGCCCUCCUAAUUUAUUAGAGGAAAGAUCUAGACCUUGCAGAUUCCGCAGUCCUCCUAUUGAUGCUGGAAUGAAUCCACUUAAUUUAUUAUGGCCAAGUUCUAAAACCAAUAAGUUGGUUAAGUUACCUAUUUCCAUAGGAAUAAUGCCUUGAAGCUCACAAUUAUAGGCAAGAAAGAAUUGAAGGGAUUUUGAAAGGUUCCCGAUAUAAGUAGGAAGAACACCACUCAAUGGAUUUCCCGAAACUCCUAUGGCUUUCAAAUUCCUACAAUUCGUCAAAGAAGAAAGAAAGCUCCACUCAUGAUCAGUAGCAGAUCCUGUGAUCAAAUUAUUGUCAAAGAUUUUGAGCACUUCAAGGUGUUUUAAGCUGCCUAGCGUUUUAGGGAUUGGGCCAGAGAAUAAGUUAUGUGACAAGGAUAGAAUCUUUAGCAUGGAAGCAUUGGAGAUAGAGUUGGGAAUGUUUCCGCUAAGUUUAUUUCCCCACAAUAAAAGAAUCUCAAGCUUUGGAGCAUUGGUGAUGGGUGGUAAAUUACCUGUAAAAUAGCAUCUUUUAGUAUACAUAUUCACAAAAUAUAUAAUACAUUAAAAUAAAAACUGUAAAACUUUAAAUCAAUUAAGAAUAAAAUUUUGGCAUGGAAAAAUGUGAUGAAAUCAAUUAGAAAGUUGAGACAUAAUAAGAAGUUUUGAGUACUAAUUAGUCUUUGUGAUUUGUAUAGACAAAACAUAUAAUACACUAAUAAUUUUUUAAAAUAUUGUAAAACUUGAAAUAAAAUAAAAAUAAAAGUUUGGCAUGAGAAUGUGGCAUCUAAUCAAUCUUAAAAAUGAGACUCACACUGAAUAAUAAUUAGUUAUGAUUUGGGAAACAAAAAUGUUAAAGCCAUUGUUUUUAAUGUAAACUGGUAUGAUUCUUAUCUAUUGGGUUAAUUAUUUAUUUUUAUUAAAUUAUAGUGUAAAAUUUAAAUAUUAUUAUUUGCUCAAAAUUUUUGUAUUUUUCGUAUAUUUGAAAUUCAAUCUUUAUAUUUUUUAUUUUCUGUGAUUUAGUCUCUCUACUUUUUUUAUUAAAAAUUUUAGGUUCAUUUAUUAACACUGUUAAAAAGUUUUUGUAUUAGUAUGACAUUUUGAAAAAUAAAAUAAACUUGAUAUCUAUGUUUUUAAUUAUUCCAAAUAUUGUUUUACUAUUUCAAGAUAAAUUAUUUGUGUCUAGACCAAUAUCUUAAGAACUAUUGUUGCAUGUUUAAUUAUUCUAAAAAAUUAUUGAUUGAGUCUUAGCUUGAUUGGCAUGUGCAUUGUUGCCAAUAUAAGAGAAUGUGGGAUCAAAUAUGCUGAAGUUCAUUAUCCUCCUGUUAUGAAUUGGGGAGUUGGUAAAGUAUUAAAUUUUGAUAUAUUUUAAAAUAUUAAAAAUUUAUUAAAAUAUUUUUUAUAAAAAUCGGUUGUACCACAAUAUACAAUUUUAAUAUCAAAUUUUUAAUAUUUUUAAAAUAUUAGCGAAUAUAUACUUUAUUUCAAGUUACACAAUUUUUACUAGUUUUUAACUUUUUUUAAAAUUUUUAUCGUCUUUUAUAAUUUCUAAUAAUUUUUUACAAUAUUUAACAAUUUCUAACCAUUUUUAAUAAUUUUAUUACUUAUUAAAAAUUAACAAAUUAACUAUUUUUUAUUUUUUUAAAACAAUUAUAUAUUUAUAAUGUAGUUAUUUUUUUAUAAUUUUAUUUGAAAUUUUAAAGUUUUUUUGGUUUGUUUUCUAGAUGAUGAUGCCAUCAUGAUGUCAUCAUAUGCCACAUGGCAAUUUAUGAUUAGUUGAAUAUCUCAAUUUAUUUUUUUAAUGUCCAAUGGACUAAACCAAGAACACUUGAUUAUGUUAGAGACUACACUAGGAAUGUUUGAUAACAUUAGGUACUAAAGUAGGAAAAAAAAAAAAAGGAGCAAUACGAUGUAGGGAGUAAACUGUGCAUUAAGCCAUUAAAAAUAUAUCUAUAAUAUAUAUAAAUGCAUGGAUUUUGAGAAACUUUUGAAAUGAUAAUUAUAUAGUCUUUGUUUUUUUACUAUAUUAUUGAAUUUGUUAUUUUAAAUAUUUUUUUAUUACUUUUAAGAUUUAUCAUAUGUAUGGAUAAGAAUUUUGGUUUUACUAAAAUAUUUGGUUAAAUAAAUUCACUUCAUAAGAAGAUUUAGCAUCCUUGUAAAUAACAAUUUUGAUUCUAUUAAAAAAUUAUUUUAAAAUAUAUAUAAUAAAAUUUUAAAAUUUAUAUUGAAUUACUUUAUACUUAAAUUAUUAUUAGAAACUUUAUCAUACACAUACGUGUAUGAGAACUAUGUAUUUAGAACAUAAAUUUGUGUUUUAAAAUAACUUAUGAUAAAUAAUGAAAUGUAUAAUUUGAAACUAUUUAAUAAAAACACAUGGCUUAUCUACAAUAUUAAAAUAAAAAUAGCUUAAAUUGUAAGCAAAACAUAAUUUAAACAUAUGAAUACAUUAAAUUAAGAAUACUAAAUGAAUACAGUUAUUUAUGAUGGUGUUGUCUUCAAUUCCUAAGUUGGUGUCAAGUUAAUUUGUGACAUCAUAAAUUUAAGGUUUUAUGUAUUGAUGUGGAUUCAAAUAUCACCAUUUUUUUUAAAAUAAAAUUUAAAAUAAAUACAUUUUCCACAUUGGUUUCUUUUCUUCUACAGACAAAGGAUUUCUAAUGAUUUUUUUUUUAAAAAAAAUUACUUAUAUAAAAUAGAUUAGUUUAUGCAAUAAAAAUAAUUUCUUUUUUAAAGUUUAAUAGAAAUUAAAAAACAAAAAAAAAAUCAAUUCAUAUAAAGCUUAUUGUUUAUUAUCAGAUUAAAAUGAUAAAAGUAUACGAUAAACCCAUACUUGACGGAAUGUUACCAGAUAAUUCAUUUUUAUUCUAGUAAAGCCCUUCAAGCUUGAGAAUAUGUUGACACAUAUCAUUAGGCAAACUACCUGAUAGGUUAUUGUUGGAGAGAUCAAUGGCCUUCAGAGAAGAAAUGUUGAAGAUCGAAGUUGGAAUCUGACCUGUAAGGCCUUUAAUUUCUCUAAUAUUAAGCAGUUCCAAACCAAGAAGAUUACCGAUUUCCUCAGGAAUUUGAUCUGCACACAUAGUCGAAAAAUCAAGAUGUGAAACUACCUAUUUUGUUAGCAUAAGUCAAAGAGGUUUUCUUUUCUGUUCUACAUAAUUUGCAGAUGUUAGAUUUUAAUAUUUUUAAGCAUAUUUGUUUUCAUCAAAUUAACUAUUUUGAACUAUUUUGCCUUGAAUGAAAUAAAAUGCUCAUAUUUUUGUUAUCUAUUACUAAUCAAACUCUUUUAUAAAAAAAAAUACUUUAAACUAAAGAAACCAAGAAAAUUCAAUACCUUCUAAGUUAUUCAACUCCAAAUAUAAUUCUUUGAGUCGUGUCAGAUUUCCAAUACUUCUUGGAAUGAUCCCCCUCAAUUUAUUAUCGGAAAAUGCCAAUAUUUUAAGGUUGCUGCAUUUGCCCAUACUUGAUGGAAUGUUACCAGAUAAUUCAUUUUUAUUCAAGUAAAGCCCUUCAAGCUUGGGAAGAUGUUGACACAUAUCAUUAGGCAAACUACCUGAUAGGCUAUUGCUGGAGAGAGCAAUAGUCUUGAGAGAAUAAAUGUUGAAGAUCGAAGUUGGAAUUUGACCUGUAAAGCCUUUAAUUGCUUGAAUACUAAGCAUUUCCAAAUUAAAAAGAUUACCGAUUUCUUCAGGAAUUUGACCUGCUGACAUAGUCGAAACAUCAAGGUGUUAAAUUACCUAUUUUGUUAGUGUAAAUCAAAGAGGAUUUUUAUUUUUCUCGUUAUGAAAUAAUAUGGAUAUGUUAGAUUCUAAUCAUAUUUAAGUAUAUAUUAGUUCUUGAAAGAAAGAGUUCUUAGUAUUUAUAUUGCAAAUAUUUUUUUUAAAAUUUAAAAAAAGGGGGGGGGGCAAAUGUGUUUAAACUAAAGAGAUCAAGGAAAAGGCAUACCAUCUAGGUUAUUUAACCCCAAGUAUACUUGUUUAAGUUGUGUCAAAUUCCCAAUGCUUUUUGGAAUGAUCCCACUAAAUUGAUUAAUAGACAAUUCCAAAAUUUGAAGGUUGCAGCAUUUGUCUAUACUUGAUGGAAUAGAACUUGAUAAUUCAUUUCUACUCAAGUAAAGCUCUUUAAGCUUGGGAAGAUGGACACACAGAUCAUCGGGUAAGCCACCAGAAAGACUAUUAUCACGAAAAUGAAUCCUUUUCAAAGAAGAAAUGUUAAAGAUGGAAGAUGGAACCAGGCCAGAUAAUUGAUUGAAUCCCAAGUUCAAGAUCUCUAGAUUGGAUAAGUUGACAAGUGUUUGAGGGAUUGUGCCUGUGAAGUUAUUAUUUCUCAUUUCCAACCUUUGAACUCUGUGCAAGUUCCCAAGCCAUGAUGGAAUUUCCCCAUUAAGACGGUUGUAGCUUAAUCGAAUGAUCCUCAAACGAUGCAAUUGGCCCAAUUCUUUAGGCAGAUGGCCAUAGAAAUUGUUGUUGCUCAGGUCGAGAGAAAAUAGAAAUGAAAGAUUUCCAAGGUGUGGAGGGAUAGUACCCCUAAGAUUCAUGUUUGUAAGAUUCAAAGCUACAACUCUUUCAUGGAUGAUGUCACAAGAAACACCAGCCCACUUACAAACAGAGGUAGAGUUCGUCCAAUUGUUUGCCAACACAUUUUGAGGAUCGACAAUGCGAUCUUUAAACUCAAAGAGUGCAAACUGAUAGGAGUUGAGAUUCCGGACUGUCAUAGCCAAGGAAACAAUGGAACAUUGUAUGAAUAAAAGUGAAAGAAGAUGAAAGCAAGUGUUGUAGUUCAUGAUGGCAAGACGAAAUAAGCCAGGAAAAGGGAAGUUGAAUUGAUGAAGAAAUACCCAGCCAACAUGCUUAAAUAGGCUUCAACCCUUGCACACUUCUCAUACAUAAAGUUCACUGCCAUUACAACAAGAAAACUCGUAUCUCCAUUCAUACCUAUCCAUACUUUAUUUGACUAACUUUUCCCUAACAGGUGUUCAGUAAGGAGACAAAUCACUUUGGAGCUAUUCACCGACUUCUCCAACCUUGGUUUCAAACUCCUAGCCCAUCAAUUCACUUUAAUUGAAACGAUAUACACGAGUCUUUCGGCUUAUAUUUUUAACUUACUACUUCUCUUUUUAAUUUAUUUUUUGUUACUUCUCAUAAUAUUUUUUGAGAAAUCCAAUAUUCCAGUCUGAAAUUUCUUCAUUGCCACGUCUAUCUCCUCGGUAAGUUCGUGGCUAGGCGGCCCACUUUGGGGGCAGGAUUGUAAUUUUAGUUCUAUCCGACUCAUUUUACUAUUUAGAAAUAUAAAAGUAAUAUUAUAUUAAUUUUUAUAUUUUUAUAAAUUUAAAUUUAAAUUUAAUUUUUAAACAAUAAAACGAGUCAUUUUUAUUUGCCUAGGCUAAAUUGAAUCAGGAGUGAAAAAUUUUUUAAUCAUAAUUUACUAUUAUUUUAAUUAAUUAAAUUUUAAUUUACUAUAACUAGUAGUUGCAAAAAAAAUGACAUUCCUUUAGAAAAAUGAGAACUUAUGAAGCAUUCAAUAAGAGUUGUUGGAAUACAUGGUAACGAAACCAUAAUUCGAUAUAAAACUAUAUAAAUAAUGUAAGAUUUGUGAUACCUAAAUUGUUAUGUUUUCUAUAAAUAUAUGGAGAUUUUUUAUUAGGAAAUAAUUUUAUAUAUCAACAUUUGUUAUUUUCUUUUGAUAGAAAUUUAAUUAUGUUAUCUGUAGAAAAAAAUAUUUAUAGAAAUAUCAUUAGUAGAAAAUCAUAAAUUUGUGUGUGGCAAAAAAUUUUCACCACCAAGAAAGGGACAAAUUAAACAACUUGAAAGUCAUUGGUUGUUUAAAAUAUUAGAUAAUAAUUUUAGUGAAGAAUCAUUAAAAUUAUGACAAAAUAACCCUAGAUAUUGUAGUAUUAAAUUAGAAAAUCUCAAUAAUAUUAUUAGAGUAAAACCUAUGAUGUAUCUAAACAAGAUAUAGAAGAAUUUGAUAUACAAAUUAAGGGUAGAAAUCAUACGGAAAUAAUAAAAAACAAGAAAAAGCUAGUAUGGUCAUUAAUUAUAAAAGAUUAAAUCAAAAUAUUAUUUUUUGUAGUUACUUGAAUUAAUCAGGAUAAACAAAAAAAAAUAUUUUAGUAAAUUUGACUGUAAAUCAGGAUUCUAGUAAAUCAUGCUAACAGAAAAAUCUAAACCUUUAACAGCUUUUAGUGCACCCAAUGGACAUUAUUAAUGGAAAGUGAUGUCAUUUGAAUUAUGCGAUGCACCACAAAUCUUCCAAAGACAAAUGGAUUUUAUAUUUAAUAAAUAUAAAAAAUUAUGGGUAGUUUAUAUAGAUGAUAUUUUGAUAUUUUCAGAUACACUAGAAUUACAUAAGAAAUAUUUAAAUAUUAUUUCUUAAGAAUUCAUAAAAUAUAGAAUCAUAUUAAACCCUAAAAGUAUGGAGUUAGAAAAAAGAGAGGGAAUUUUUAUAAUAGUGGAAAUAAAAAAUUGUCCUCAAAAGAUUGAAGAAAAAAAGAAGUUACAACAAUUUGUAAUAUAUUCCUCCCAAAUUUUCAGUUGCAAAUUUAUUACAGAAUUUCUUUGCCGACAAUAAGAAAAGAGCAUAUUCACAUUUUCGUCGCAAUUUCAACUAACAACCAAUCUGUUUCCCACUUUCCUUUUUCGGCCAAUUUCAAACGUAACUGUUUUUCGAAUUUUCCUCUUUAUUUCAUUAAUAAAAUGAUCAAUCUAUUUGUUUUUUAAAUAUAUAAUUUUAUUAAUAUUUUUUAAUUAUAAUAUAAGAGUUGUUGUUUAUUUAUAGUUUUAUUACAUUAUUUAAUCUCUUUUUUAUAUCAAGUUUUUAAAAUUAUAAUAUAAGAUUUAUUUUAUCAAAUUGUGGCUUAUCAAAUGUUCAUCUAUUUUAAUAAUAACUUGAGUUCGAAUCAUUAUCAUACCAGAAAGAGUUCCCUUUAUUCUUUAUCGUAAAUUUUAUAAGAAAUUAUAUUUUAUUAUAAUACUAUAUGUGUUAGAAUAAUAUUUUAUUGUGGAUGCCCAUAAUUCUCAAAGUUGUAACCUUGAAUGUAGUAACCUCAAUGAAAUUAUGAGGCUUUUAUAUUGUAAUCAAGCCUCUAUCUAUUCUUUGUAUUCUUUGUAGAAAAUAUGAAGUUGAUUUUACUUUAUUAAAAAAUUUAAAAUAAAUUAUCUUGUUUUUUUUUAAAUGAGUUAACCAAAUUAGCAUAUUUAUUUUGAUCUAAAAUUAUCCAAAAUAAUAUAAAAUAUUAUAUUAAUAAAAUUAAAACUAUGAAAUAAUUUUUUUUAAAGAUUAUUAUUUACUUUUAUCAAACAAUACAAUUAUAUUCAGUACUUAUAUUUACUAGUUUACCAAACAGUUUUCCAAUAUGAAUUCAACACUUAUCAAAUUCAGUAUUAAAAAUUCAGUGCUUAAUUUUUUAGCACUUAACUUUUCAAUUCAUCAAGCACGUCUAAUUCAAUUUAUACAAUUCCCUAUUUGUAUCUCUAUGAAUUUAUAAAAUCCUUCUCGCAUUUAGUUGUUGGGAUCUUUAUAUGAAGAUAGAUGCUUUUAUUUUUUAUUGGUUCAUUUUUAAUUGUAUUGAUUUAUUUAAUUUUAAUUUUGAUUAAUAUAUAUGAUUAUUGUGGAAUGGGAGUAAAAGUAUUUACUUCUCAUAAACUUUGAAAUAUUCACCCUGUCUACAUAUUAAUUAUUGUAAAAUUUGAAUUGAAAUUAUGCCAUAAAAGGUGGAGGUUAGAAAACCUCUUAUUGAGACCUUAUAAUAUUUUGUAAUUUUUUGUGUUAUGGUAUAUAAAAAAAUAUCUAACCAUAGUGAUUGAUUAGUAAUAUAAAUUUGUUAUUUGUUAUGUUUAAUAUAUAUUUUAUUUAUACUUAUUCAUUUUAUUUUUAUAUGAGUAAAUGAAGUGUUUGAAGAUUCGAAAUUUUUAUCAUCCAUGUUGAAAAUAAGUGCAAAAGUGUAUAUUAUUUAAAAUAAAUUACGCAUUCAUUAAUGUUAUGUGAUAAAAUCAUUACAUUUUCUGAAGAACUAAUAUUGCAUCAAACUGUAAAAAGCUCUUGAAGAGCUAAUAUUUAUCUCCCUGUGAUGCAAAAUCUUGUAAAACAUGAUAUUAUUUUUCAAAUCAAGAAGAUUUAUGUUGAAGGAAAUAUUUAUGUGUUUUACAUUAAAACCAUGGAUAGAAAUGACAUGAGACACUCAUGUAUUUGCAUUAUAAAUAUUCCUUGAAGGAAUACACUUCACUUGUAUGAUUGACAUAUGAGAUAAUAGCAAGAAGUUUAUAGUGUUGGUAUGGCCGGCUAGACCAUCUCAAGUCAAUAAUGAUGCAAAAUAAUUUGAAGAGAAUUUAUAUGAUUUUAUUGAAGAAUGAGAAGUUAUUUUCAUUUUGAUAAUUGUCAUCAACAAUAGUUCUUUGGAAAAAAAAAUAUUGAACUAACAUCAACUAAAGUUAGAGGUUGGUUCAUGGUUGCAUUUUUUGAUGAUAUCCAAAUAAUAUAUGAGCUCAUGUAUCACAUGUAUGCAACCCAAAGUUUACAGUAUUAUUUCUUGAAAUAAUUUGAUUCUACACAAUCUCUAUAGCAUGCAAUUUGUGCUAACAACACUGGUGCAUUAUAUCCUAAGCUUGAUUUUCGUAGUUUUAGCUGAGAUAAUAUUAAGUUGUCUAUGCCUAUAUAUAUUAUACUUAAUGGUUAGCAAAAUUAUGCCUCCAUUUAAUUGCUUAACCAUUAAUAUAAGAAUAGCUUUAAAAUAAGCAUGUAAUUUUAUUUGCAUCGAGCCAACAUGUAAGAAAUAUUUGUCCCAUGAGAAUUAGCUUUUAUUUAUAAGCCAAUAGGUUUCAUUUAUGACUAUUUGGAUGUAAAAUAUCUAUUUUAUAUUCCACCAUAAUGCACUAAGAUGGACCAUCAAGUAUGAAGUUGAGAAAAAUUAGAAUUUUUAUUUGAUGGUAAAAGUUGAAAAGAGAUAUAUAUUUAUAAUUUUGAAAAAAAUAGUCAUGUUGCAAAUUUUCUCAGUAUUAGAGGGAGACAAGUUGGACAAAUACGUAUAAUUAUGUCAUCACUUUUUGUGAUCCCUCACUAAUCUUAUGUGCACAAAGUUUGAAGGAAAAAAAUAAUUUGCUAGACAUGUUUAGUGAUGACAUUUAGAGAUUGUAUAUAUUGGAUGAUACAUAUACCAGCUAAAAUGUUCCAAAUAAUUAUGCGUCCUAGAAGGACAAAGUGAUAAAAAUAAUUUUUGGGCACGCUAGAAGGAUGAAAAACUAGUUGGUUCUAUAAAUAAAAAAAUUCUUGACAGAAAAGAGUAAGAAAUGAAUAUGGCCACACGUUAAAGGAGACGAGUACUCAUGAAGAGACCCAAGGUAUAACUUUUAAUAAAACCCCAAAAGAGGUUCAAUACAUGAAAUUAUGAAUAUAAUAAGUGUAAUAACCAAAUUUUUCCCGGGCCCAAUGCCAAACAAAUAAAACCCAAACCAAAUAAAUAAAAUAAGAGUCCAAAUUAUAGUCCGUUAGGGCCCAAUUCAGACCAGCCCACUAUUCAAUCAGACCAGCCGAACAACAAAAAAAAACCUAGUAGCCCACAGCCCAACUAAGCCUAAAAAAUUUUCAGCAAAAGAAAAAACCCUAGCUGCCAUGCUAGCCGCUGCUCCUGCCCUAGCCUCUGCCCACUAUCGUACGCCACCUCUGCCAUCACCAUUAGCCUCUGACACCUGCAAAACAGCAAACAACAUGCAACAACAGAGAAGAAGACGACAAGCAAAAAACAAAUCACUAAAGGACAAAAAUAAUGAUAACAAAUAGCCUUAGUUUGGCUAUAAAAGCAAAAAAAAUGAAAACUUUGUACUUCUUUGGCAAGAUUAAUACAAAAAAGAAAAGAUUUGAACUUUUUAGGGUGAUAUUUCAUUUUUUUUUACGCUUUAGAUCUAUUUUUUUAUUUCAUCUUCAUCUACGAAAAUAAUAGAAAAAAGACUUUGAUUUCAAGGUGAUAUUUUGUUGUUUUUUUAGAUCUAGUGUUUUUUUAUUUAUUUUUAUCUACAAAAAUAAAAAAAGGAAAAGAGAAACGUACCUAAUUCACCCCGUGGCUCCGUCGACGGAAGUCCCAUCGCCAUCGUCGGAAUCGGGCUUAAAAGGGGAAGGUUUUUAUUUUUCUUUACUUUUUUUUGGAUUUUUCGUCUCAAGAAAUGGACUAAGGGAGGGGAAAUGGCCAAAAUGGUCUUUUUCCGAUGAACUCUGGCAACCACAUGUGGCAGUUAACAGUGCCGGUGCUCGGUGGCUGCGGUGGAGCCAUGGUGGUGUCCCAUGGCCGGAUCUAGAGAGGAAGCCUUUAAGAGGGAGAGAGUUUCUAACAUUUUUUUUAUUUUCUAAGGCAGAAAUGAAUUUUUGAAAAAAAAAAGUUGGGUUUUAUAAGUGCGUGAAAUGGCGCCAUUUUGCGCAAGUGCACAUCGACGUCGAAACGACAUCGUUUACCCCUUUACCCGCUUGCCCGAGUCUGGCUCGAUGAAGGUCCGCAUAUUUUCAUGCCUGAUGGGUUAUUUCCCUGCCCGAUCCUUCCGAUUUUGGGCUUCUUCUCAAUCUGGUCCUGAUCCUACUUUUUCCCGCCUUUUAAAUUGUACCAUUUAAUUUCAUUUCAUUUUCAACUCGGUCCCUCGGCUGACCAAAGGAAAUGAUGCGCAUAAAGUUAAGGGAUAUUUUCCCUUUCAAUCCCCAAUAUUUUUAGAGCGAUGCAUUUUAAUCCCUAACCUUUCAUUCCAAUCUUUUACACAUAUUAUUUCAUUUUAUUCGUUUAUUUAUUGACUUAUCAUUUUUACCCUCUUUUUAUACUUAAAAAUAUAUAUUAUUUACACUAUUACUUGCAUUUUUUUACUAUUAAAUUAUUAUUUUUAAUGUAUUAUAUUCCCAUUAUUUUACCAUUUUAUUUAUUUUGAUACUUUCAUGUCACAUUUAUUUAUUUUAAUAUUGCCAUUAUUUAUUUUAUUUUAUUCUUAUGUUUUUUAGUAUUUUAUUAUUUCUUUUAUUGUUCACGGUUUUUUUUUCAUGUUAUACAUUUUUAUCUUUCUAAUCAUGCAUUUUUCCUUUUUUUAUUUUGUUUUAGGUUACGUUAUUUAUUAUUAUUAUUAUGAUAAUAUUAUUAUAAUUAUAUUACCAUUAUUAUAGAAUUCCUUUAUUUGUAUAUUCCAUUAUAACUAUUAUUAUUAUUAGUAGUCUUUAACUCACUUCUAUUUUUAUUAUUAUUUUUUAGAAUAGUAGUCAACAUGCUUAUCCUUAUUGUUAUUUGGUGUUGUUCUUAUGAUUUUAUCAUCAUUAUUGUUGUAUUUCAUUUUUUGUUCACUCUUUAAAUAUUUUGUUCAUAUAGUUAUUUUACACUAUUGCAAUAUUGUUGCAUUACGCAUUAUGUUUCUUAUAUAAUAAUUAUUUCGCUUUCACGCGAUGUUCGAAUCAAUUAAACAUGAAUCUUCUCAAUUAUUACAUUAAUUGUUACUUAAGUUCAAAAAGAAAAUUUUCAAAAUAAGGCAAUAUUUUGCGUUUUGGAAAUUCGAGAAAUCAUACCCUAACUUACGAGGUUUCGAUUUUCUCGUUAAACUUAAAUAGCAAAAUAUUCUUUUAAAUUUCAAAAUGCAUGCAAUUUCAAUAAAAAUCAAAGGCAAGCUUAUUCUCUAAGGUUCCAAAUAUCGCGUCCUAACUUACGGGAUGUGACAUUUCGUUACCUCGAGACGAGUAGGUCUUCAACUCUCUUUUCGAUUUAUUCGAGCGUUUUUAAUAACAUUAAUAAAAAGGGAUCGUAUUUUAAAUUUCUAUUCAAGUUUUCAACCUUGGACAUUAAGACAUUACUUAAUCAACUAGGUACCACCUUUGGGUGUAUUGAGGGUGUGUUUUCUAGAUUUUGUAGACCAAAUAUUAUCGUUUUUAGUAAAUUUAAAUUUUUAUUAAAAUGAUUAAAUUACAAGUGUUGACACCAUUUUUUUGAUGAAAAACGGGGUCGACUUGGGUUUUAAAAAAAAUGAAAAACGGGAGUCGCCACCAAUCCUUUUUGAUAAGGUGUGAUUGGGUCACCUUGAAAAAUGGUUGUUUUUAAUAAAUGAUUUGAUUUUAUUAAAACAACGGUUUUGGUCCAUGAAAUUUAGAAAACGGGUUCGGGAGUCGAUUACGUACGAGGAAGGAUUAGCACCCUCGUAACGCCCAAAAAUUGGUACCUAGUUGGUUAGCUAAUGUCUUGAUGUCGAAAAUUGAGAACUUGGAAAAAAUUAAAAAUACGAUCCUUGUAUUAAAAUGAAAAUUUUAGGAAAAGGGGGGCAUACUUCACGCUAAUCGAGAAAGAGAAUCAUAUCCAGUAAGUUAGGACACAAUGUCUCGAAUUCCCGAUACGCGAAUGAAUGCCAAAAUUUUACUUAUUUAAAAGACAUUUUAGCCGUCUCGAAUUUAAAAAUGAAAUCACGACCAGUAAGUUAGGACGUGAUUUUUUAAAACUUGAGUUUGAAAAGAUUCGUGCAUCUAGAUUUAUCGUGAAAAUCAAUACCCAGUAAGUUAGGGUACGAUUUUCUUGAAUUUAAACACGAAAUGCCAUUUUUUAAAACAAAUUUUGUUAUAUCGAGUGAAAUAAAAACACAAAGUCGUAGUAAAAAAAUGUGUAAGCAAAUUACAUUGUUAUGCAUGGCAAAAUCAUAAUGAAUACAAAAGUAUAAAAAUGAUACGAGCAAUAACAACAAUAUAAAAUAAAUAAAAGUCAAACCUACAAUAAUAUUAAAUAACAAUGUAUAUAAACAAAUAAAAUUAAAACAUUCAUUCAAAAUAAUAAUGAAAAUGAAAUAAAUAAAUAGUAAAUACAAAAUAAAACAAUAGUAAUGAAUAAAAAUAAUAUAAUAUAUAUAUGUAUGUUAGAAUUAUAAAGUAUAAAAAUAUACGUAUGUGUAUAUAAGAAUAUGUAAGCAUGUAUAUACAUAGAUUAUAAAAUAUAGAUAUUUAUAUAAAAAUGAGUAUUUGUAUUAAAUAAGUUGAAAAAAAAUAUAUAUAUACCUACAUAUAUAUAAAAAAUUAUAUAAUAAUAACAAUAUAAUAAAACACAUAUAUCUAAAAUUUACAUAAGUAAAUAUAAAUAAAAACAUACUAAUAACAAUAAUAUUAAUAGUAAAAUGAUAAUACAUAAAAAUGAUGAAGAAAAUAAUAAAAAUGCUUAAAAGGGGACUAAAUCGAAGUAAGAACCAAAAAAAAGGGGCAAAAUCGAAAUAAAGACAAGAGGGACUAAAUUGUAACGCGCGCUGAAAGAGGGGGACCAACAGGGUAACUAAACCAAAGCCUCAAAACGCUGCUCUGUAAAGGACUGAAAUGAGACAAAAAUAAAAUUUUGUGGCCAAAUUGCAAAUAUGCGAAAAACUUCCAUGAAAUCGCUACAAAAUCAAAGGGACUAAUUGCGCAAAUAGACCCUUAAACAAAAACGCGCGGAUCCUUGGGUGCGGGUCGGGUCGACGUGCGGAUCCCCUCACCAAAACGGCGUCGUUUUGUGUUUAAUAUAAAUAUAAAAAAAGGGCUAAAAAAACAGUUUCAUCAUUUUUGUUGAAAAACUGAGAGAAACCUCUCUCUUUUUUCCCUUUCUCAGGCUCAGAUUCCGGAGAUGGCCCGGCCUAGGCUUCUGGCGAAUCUCCGCCGUAGAGCCACCGUGUGUGGCGGCCGGAGGUCCAAAAUCGGACCUUUUCGGUCCCUUUUUGAAACUAAGAAUCCCUAGGGUACGGAUCUGGGACCAAACCCCCGAAAAAAAGAAUCGGAGACCUAAAGAACGAGGGGAAACCGCUCGUCUUCUCUCCUCCGGCGCGGCGCAGGUAAGGUUUCUUUUUCCUUUAUUUAUAUUACGUAAAAAACAUACAAAAAGAAAAAAAAGAAAAUAGAGUUUAAAAAAAAUCUAAAACAGAAAUGAGAGAAAAUCACCUCUCAAGUUUUCUUGUUUUUUAUUUCUUUUUGCUAAUAUCUGUUUCUUCUUUUUACAAAAGUUGAUGGAAGAAGAAAAAAUUACAUUUUGUUGGCUUUUUAUAGCCGACUUCUACUACUGCCUGUGUUAUUUGCUCUCUGUUUCUUUGUUUUGUUUCUUCUUUGCAGGUGACGGUGCAAGUGGUGGUGGUGACGUGACCGUGGCAGUGGCGGUGUGAUGUUGGCGGCGGCGGCAGGCCAAAGGUCAAUAGGUGUGGAGCCUAGGGUUUUAGUUUUUGAAACCCUAGGCAGAUUUUUUUAGGGGAAUUGGGCCUUAGCUAUUGGGUCGUUCGGGUUUGGGCGUUGGGUUAGGCUAGUUGGGCUUUGAGGUUGGGUUGUUUUGUAAUGUGCUUUGGUGUUUGGGUUGGUAGGUGGUGGGUAAGGUUUAUUGUUUUGGGUUCUUGGGCCUGGUUCUGUUUGGUUAGGGUAAUGGGCCAUUUGGGUCUGGGCAUAAAAUUGGGCUAUACAACAAGGUGACCCGAUUACACCUCAUCAAAAAGGAUUGGUGGCGACUCCCAUUUUCAUUUUCAUUUCUUUUUAAAUCAAAGUCAACCCGUUUUUAAAAAAAUGGUUUCGACAAUAAGAUAUAUUGAUUAGUUAUGUCAUAACUAAAGAUGAUGGAGUUGACAAAAGGAAAUUGUAGUUAACAACGAAUAAUCUACGUAGAACAUUUCAAUAUUAUGGAAAAAUGAGUAUUUACCAACCUUCUUUUAGUCAAAUUAUGCAAGCCUAAAAUUUUUAGCUUAAUUUGAGUUUGUUGACUAUGUCUAAUUCAAGUUUUAUUAUUAAGGACUAAAUUGUAACUUAAAAAAAUUAGAAUACCAAUUUAAAGAGACAAAAAUUCAAAACCCCAAAACCCACAUGGGCAUGUGGGUAAGUGACACAGGCGUGUGGAGACUGGAGCUAUCACACACGGGCGAGUGGGACAGAAAAAUAUGAAAUAAAUUAAUCCACUUAAAUUUCAAACAACCAUGCUAUACUACCAAACCAAAUAAUGCUAGAAGCUUUGAAUAGGGGUGAAUCGAAAAAAAAAUAAAAGAAUUAGAAUUAAAUUAUAAAAUUUUCAGAAGUUAUCAUGUAUUAAUUUAUUAUUUUUUAAAGGGUCUUAAUAGAAUUUUUUUUCCAUUUUGGUUUGGCCAAUACCCCUGUCUACCUCUUUCAAUUUGCUUCAACCCUAAACCUAAUAUUCGAUUUGUUGUGGAAGUUUGACGCAUAAAAAUUUCUUUUUUAGAGGUUUAAAUUAUAAAUUUUUGAAAGUUUAAAAUAAAUUUUCAUUUUUAUUAACAAAAUAUAAAAGAAAAAAAACAUGUGUAGACAAACCAAGAAACCUUUGGGAUCAUACGGGUGAUUUUGAUGAUGUUAAUGGUUAUUUUGAUGGAGAGGGUGAAAAAGAAACAAAUGAUUCAUAUAUAUAAUAUAAUUAUGAAAUUCAAGCCAUAUAUUGUAUGUUUCAUCCAUAAAAAUUUCAUGGGAGGUCCGAAGGUAAUUAAAUGACUUGUAGGCUUGCUGAAUUUCUUUGAAAGGCCCAAUGGCAAUUUAACAUUCACAAAAUAAUCUCUAAAUACUGUAAAGACAAAAUCAAAUCCACAGCAGCAUUAGAGUUGAUUAAGCUAAGCAUUGGCAAAUAUUACUUUGAUUUUGCAUGCAAUAUUAGCAAAACCCCCUCUUACAUUAGAUAAACAACAUACUCCAUGAAACAUUGAUAGCCCAAAUACAAAUUUCAUCGACAAAAAAGUCUCUUUGUUUUGUAGAACAUGAUAGUAAAAAUGUGGAGUUUCGUUCUUCUUAUUGGCCUCCUUUAGUUUUCCUUGAUCAACAACCACUAGCCAAAAACACAAUUAGAUUAGAUUAUGAAUGAUACUGACAUUAUUAAAUAUAAAACACUCUAAAUAACUCUAAAUAAAUGGAAAGCAGCAAAUUACCUGACGAGGCAAGCUAGCUCAAUUAAGACCAUUGUGUUAUACUUGUCUCUGAAUUGAAAAAUUUAGAAGGAAAUAAAGAGAAAGACUUAGAAAAUAUUUGAAAACAGAUAAAACUUAUAUGUCAUUUAAAAUAAAAAUUUUGUAUUUAAGCCGUUUAAAAUUUUUAAGAUUUUUGAAAUUUUAAAAUGAUAAAGGUAAAAUUGUACUUUGGCACACCAAAAAUGAUAAAACUUUGAUUUAAUCCUUUAGAAAUUAUAAAAAUAUAGGCUAUUAAAAUGGUGAAAUUACCUUUUUACUAUAGUAAAAAUUACAAUUUAAUUUCACUUUAAGAUUUUCUGACUUCGCCCCUAAUAAAAUCUUUGGCAAAAGAUUAAAAUAAAAUUAUACCGUAAAUGGAAAAAGAAACAAAGAAAAUCCAAUCUAACAAAGAAAAUAACUUAUGUCCAAAAGCUACCAUAAACCGUAAUUCAUGGGAAGAGAGCAAAAGUAAAAACAAAUAGUUUAUAUGAUUAAAAUUCCAGAAUAGGUUAAAAAUGUUGAAUUAAAGAUAAAAUUAAGCGUGAAUUAAUAACCACAAGUGUACUCUUUACUCACCAUCUCUGUUAAAAAUGUUGGAUGUUGUUUAGCAACCUUUGUUUGAUUUUCUUCAGCUCAACCACAACAUCUUUCAUUUCUUUUCUUUCUUCUGGUAACUCAGCUGAACAAUUCAAAGCCAACUCCAUGAUAGAUGAAAUACAAUUUGCUUUAACAACAAAGUACUCAUCCUCUCUUCUUAGUAAAUCAACAUCUGCAAUUUCUAUCGCUCCUUUAGGCAAUGAACUUUCCAUCCAAUGCCUUAUAGUCUCUUCUUCAACAAAAACAUUAUCAGUUGGCUUUCUCUUUGUGAAAGUUUCUAUAAGGACGAUCCCAUAACUAUAAACGUCAGAUUUUAUAGAAACAAGUCCUGCAGAUCCAAAUUCUGCAUUUCAAGUAUAAUUAGAACAUCAUCAGUCCUCAAUUAUUUGAUAAAUCUAUGUAUAUCCACAUACACGAGAAACAAAAAUAUAAAACGCAAAUUAGGAAAAUAAUCGUACAAAGAUAAAAAAAGAAUUCACCUGGUGCCAUAUACCCGAUUGUUGCAAGAGUCAUGGUUUGCUUCAUUACUUCACCUUCUCCCAACAAUUUGGCAACGCCAAAAUCUCCAACAUGUGCAACCAUGUCUUCAUCUAGUAAAAUAUUGCUUGGUUUUAUGUCACAAUGAAUUAUAGGGGUUGGAUGUCCAUUGUGGAGGUGUUCUAUAGCCACCGCAACAUCUAUCAUUAUGUCGACCCUUUGUAUGAUAUCAAGGAAACAAUUUUUAGAAUGUAACCAUUUCUCAAGGUUUCCAUUAGACAUGUAAUCAAGCACCAAGGCUUUGAAGUCAACACUUGAGCAGCAAGUAAUGACCUUCACAAUAUUACGAUGAACUAUAUGAAGCAUAGCAUCACAUUCAAUGUCAAAACUCCUAAAUGCUCCCUCUGUUUGCAAAUUGAAAACUUUUAUUGCAACUUCCAUUCCAUCUGAAAGCCUCCCUUUAUAUACAUAUCCAAAACUCCCUGAACCAAGCAUAUUGCUUUCCUCAAGUCCAUUAGUUGCUCGUGAAAGUUCAGCAUGUGAAAUUCUUCUCGGUGUCUUCAAAGACAACAAAUCAUCUUUAAUUGGUAGAGCUGUACUCCUUCUUUGGCAUCUUCUAUACAUAAUAGUUAAGACUAUUAGUACUACGACAAUACCAAUUGUUGGUAAACCAUACCUAAAAGCAUGCAAUAUAAUCGUUUGGGAGUUUUUGUGGAUGUCGUUUUUACAAGGUGGGACUAGCAAUCUAGGUGGACCACAAAGUGCAUAAUUCUUCAUGAAUGAUGUGCUAGAAAAGUUUGAAAAACAUCCUUCGCUGGGAAUUUCCCCUUCAAGUCUAUUGAAAGACACAUUAAAAUACUUUAGAUAUAAAAGCUUUUCCAAAGAUUUGGGAAUGACUCCAGAGAGAUUGUUAUUGCAUAAAUCCAAGAAUUCCAAACUAAUCAACCCAUCAAAUGAUUCAGGGAUAUGACCAUGUAGUAUAUUAUUUGAUAAAUCUAAUGAAACCAAAGUUAUAAGACCCCCAAAUGUGGAUAAGAUAUCGCCCGUGAGAAGAUUCCUUGAUAAAUUUAGUUUCAGUAGACUCCUCAAAUUUCCAACAUCAAUAGCAUGUGAAUUGUGAAGAUGGUUUGAUGAUAAGUCUAUUUCUAAGAUAUCUUUAAGAUUCCACAAAGUUGAGGGUAUUGUAGAACUCAAUUUGUUGGAAUCUAAGUAAAGAUAUCCCAAAGAAGUAAUAUUACCCAAACAAGAGGGUAUGGAUCCAUGCAGCUUAUUCAACCCUAAAUACAUCUUGUAUAGUCUCUCCAAAUCACAAAGGCUUUAUGAGAUGGGCCCUCCUAAUUUAUUAGAGGAAAGAUAUAGACCUUGGAGAUUUCUCAUUCCUCCUAUUGAUGCUGGAAUCAAUCCACUUAAUUUAUUAUAGUCAAGUUGUAAAAGCAAUAGGUUGGUUAAGUUACCUAUUUCCAUAGGAAUAAUGCCUUGAAGCUCACACUCAUCGGCAUAAAAGUAUUGAAGGGAUUUUGAAAGGUUCCCAAUAUAAGUAGGAAGAACGCCACUCAAUGGAUUUCCUGAAACACCUAUUUUUCUCAAAUUCCUACAAUUCGUCAAAGAAGAAAGAAAGCUCCACUCAUGAUCAGUAGCAGAUCCUGUGAUCAAAUUAUUGUCAAAGAUUUUGAGCACUUCAAGGUGUUUUAAGCUGCCAAGCAUUUUAGGGAUUGGGCCAGAGAAUAAGUUUCGUGACAACUCUAGUUUCUUAAGCAUGGAAGCAUUGGAGAUAGAGUUGGGAAUGUUUCCGCUAAGUUUAUUUCUCCACAAUAAAAGAAUCUCAAGCUUUGGAGCAUUGGUGAUUGGUGGUAAAUCACCUGUGAAAUAGCAUCUUUUAGUAUACACAUUCAUUGAAUACCAAAUUCACAAAAUAUAUAAUACAUUAAAAUAAAAACUGUAAAACUUUAAAUCAAUUAAGAAUAAAAUUUUGGCAUGGAAAAAUGUGAUGAAAUCAAUUAGAAAGUUGAGACAUAAUAAGAAGUUUUGAGUAGUAAUUACUCAUGAUUUCUAUAGACAAAACAUAUAAUACACUGAUAAUUUUUUAAAAAAUAUUGUAAAACCUGAAAUAAAAUAAAAAAUAAAAGUUUGGCAUGAGAAUGUGGCAUCUAAUCAUUCUUAAAAAUAAGACUAACAUUGAAUAAUAAUUAGUUAUGAUUUGAGAAACAAAAAUGUUAAAGAUGUAAACUGGUAUGAUUUUUAUCUAUUGGGUUAAUUAUUUAUUUUUAUUAAAUUAUAUAUAGUGUAAAAUUUAAAGAUUAUUAUUUGCUCAAAAUUUUUGUAUUUUUCGUAUAUUUGAAAUUUAAUCUUUAUAUUUUUUAUUUUCUGUGAUUUAGUCUCUCUACUUUUUGAAUUGAAAAUUUUAAGUUUAUUUAUUAACACUGUUAAAAAGUUUUUGUGUUAGUAUGGCAUUUUGAAAAAUAAAAUAAAAUUGAUAUCUAUGUUUUUAAUUAUUCCAAAUAUUGUUUUACUAUUUCAAGAUAAACUUUUUGUGUCUAUACCAAUAUCUUAAGAACUAUUGUUGCAUGUUUAAUUAUUCUAAAGAUUUGUUGAUUGAGUCUUGGUUGAAGUGCAUUAUUCUCCUAUUUAUGAAUUGGGGAGUUGAUAAAGUACUUUAUUUUAAUAUAUUUUAAAAUAUUAAAAAUUUAUUAAAAUAUUUUUUAUAAAACUUGAUUGUACCACAAUAUACAAUUUUAAUAUCAAAUUUUUAAUUGUUUUUUAAAAAUAUUAGCGAAUAUAUACUUUAUUUCAAGUUACACAAUUUUUACUAGCUUUUAACUUUUUUUAAAAUUUUUAUCGUCUUUUAUAAUUUCUAAUAAUUUUUUAUAAUUUUUUACAAUAUUUACAAUUUCUAACAAUUUUUAAUAAUUUUAUUAUUUAUUUCAAAUUUAAAAAUUAACAAAUUUUUAUUUUUUUAAAACAAUUAUAUAUUUAUAAUGUAGUUAUUUUUUUAUAAUUUUUUUUUGAAAUUUAAAGAUUUUUUUGGUUUUUUUUUUCUAGAUGAUGAUGCCAUCAUGAUGCCAUCAUAUGCCACAUGCCUUCUAAUUUGUUGUCAUAUAGACAUAUUUCUUCGAGCGUAGUUGAAUUAAAAAUACUUGAUGGAAUCUGACCUGCACACAUAGUCGAAAAUUGAAGUGAAAAGCAUACCUUCUAAGCUGUUAAACUAAAAAUACUUUAAGCAUAUUUUAUUUUCCAUCAAAUUAACUAUUUUGCCUUGAAUGAAAUAAAAUGUUCUUAUUUUUGUUAUCUAUUACAAAUCAAACUCUUUUAUGAAAAAACUAUUUUAAAUUAAAGAAACAAAGAAAAUUCAAUAUCUUCUAAGUUAUUCCACUCCAAAUAUAAUCUUCAGUGAAGAAAUCUUGAAGAUGGAAGAUGGAACCUUACCAGAUAAUUGAUUGAAUCCCAAGCUCAAGGACUCUAGAUUAGACAUGUUAACAAGUGUUUCAGGGAUUGUGCCUAUAAAGUUAUUAUUUUUCAUUUUCAGCCUUCGAACUCCCUGUAAGUUCCCAAGCCAUGAUGGAAUUUCCCCAUUAAGACUGUUGUAUUUUAAUCGAAGGAUCCUCAAACGAUGCAAUUGGCCCAAUUCUUUAGGGAGAUGGCCAUAGAAAUGGUUUCUACUCAAGUCGAGAGAGAGUAGAAAUGAAAGAUUUCCAAGGUGUGGAGGGAUACUACCCCUAAGAUUCAUGCUUUUAAGUUUCAAAGCUAUAACUCUUUUAUGGAGGAUGCCACAAGAAACACCAAUCCAAUUGCAAACAGAGGUUGAGGCCGUCCAAUUGUUUGCCAAGACAUUUUGAGGACCGGCAAUGCGAUCCUUAAACUCGAGAAGUGCAAACUGAUCGGAGUUGAGAUUCCUGACUGUCAUACCCCAGCAAAGUCCGGAACAUGGUACGAAUAAAGCUAAAAGAAGAUGAAAGCAAGUGUUGUAGUUCAUGAUAGCAAGACGGAAUAAGCCAAGAAAAUAAAAAAAAGUAGGACAAGGGAAGUUGAGUUGAUAAAAUAGUUUGGAUGAUGAAGAAAAGCCCAGAGAGCAUGCUUUAAUAUGUUUUGAAGAAAUUUCAAAAUAAAUUUCAAAAUAAAUUUCAAAAUAAAAAUUUAAAAAGGAAAGCAAAGUUUUGAAGAAAUUUCAAAAUAAAUUUCAAGUCUUCUUCUUUAAAAAAUACGUACAAAGAGCGAAUUUUCAAAAUUUCUCCUAAAUUUUCUUCACAUUACUCCACAUAAUCCAUUAAAAAAACUUAAAAAAUAUAUUUUAUUAAUUACUAUACAUUCUUUUACUUUCAGAAUAAUAAAUUGUUUAAAAUUUGCUAUUAGUCCCUGUAAUUUAAAAGUUAAAAAAAAAAUUCAAUCCUCCUACUUUUCUAAUUUAAAAAUUCUAGUUCAAUCAAUUUUAAUUUUAAAAUCUUUGUAUAAAAGGUGUUUUUUUUUUGUGACCGAUCACACUUAACCAAUAUUUAAAAAUUAUUAAAAAAUAUUUUUUUUUGAAAUUUAAAGUGAUCUAAAAACAUAUUUUUAAGUACUUUGGACAGUCUAUUGUUGAUUUCCUUAUUAUAUUAAGUGUUUGCAAUCACUCCUAAUAUAUUGUGCUUGAGUUGUGACAAAGUCGAUCAUCAAAUUGCCAUAAUGAUCUAUUGAUGCUGAAAUUAAAGUUUUUGUUAUAUUGAUAGAGCUUGUCCUUCAACGCGUACAACGUGUUUGUUAUUUUUCUCCCUUCAAAUUGUAUGAUCUUAUUCAUUAAAUGAAUUAAUGAAUUUCCCUUUUAAAAAGAUAUAUUUUUAAAAAUUAAAUACUUUAUAAAAUAUUUAAAAAUUUGUAAGCCUUAAAACAAUCAACAAAAUAUUUUUGAAAUUUUAUAAAUAUAUUUUAAAAUUAUAGUAACGCUACAAAAUAUAUAUAUUUACUAAUUAUAUGCACCUUUUUUAUUUUUUUUCCUAACAUAUCAUUAUUUUCAACACUAUCGUAAUCCUGUUUUGAUAAUUCCCUUUCCAUACAUCCUUUUUCUACAUAGAAUUUCAAAAGAAAAUGUGAAUUAAUGUAAACGUGAGAAGACUUAAUUACAUUUAUUAGUUUAUCAAUCAAAACUUAAUUAGAAUCCAUCAAUAUUUCACACAUCAAAAACCCAAACAUAAAAUUCACUUUUAAAUUAUUUGAAGAUACAUUUGUAUUAUAGGAAAUGGAUUAAAUUAGUCUUUUAUUAUUAAAUGUAUUAUUUUAAUCUUUGUAUUAGGUAUGAAUUGUAUCUCCUAGAUUGAAGCCAAAGCUAUUCUUGAAAGACUGAAAUUAAGAUUCAGAUGUGUUGAGAUGGAAAGUGGCAACACAAUGUUGAUUGAAACUAUUUAUAACGGGUUGGCUACAAUAAGUAGUGCUGCCGAAGUAAGACAGAUUCACGAUUGGUGUUCCAAAAAUUGGGAAGUCAAAUUUCGACAUAUUCAACGAAAUGCCAAUAAAGUUGUUGAUUGCAUAGCUAAGGCAAAUGGAGGCGUAAUUGAGCAGCUGGUUAUCUUGGAAGAUCCUCUGCAUUAUGUGAGAUGCUAGCUUGAAGAAGAUAUUAGACAGUCACUAGUGACUGAUGAUAAUUUUCAUUUGGACUGAUGAGCGCUUAAUUUUCUAAGCUUAUGUUCAACAAAAAAAAAUUUAAAUACGUCUAAAUUGUAAUAGAGUUAACAUUUAGUGUUUAAAAAAUAUCUUAAAAAUUAUUUUUUUCCAAUUGCAGUUCAAUUCCACAAAUAUCGACGAUGAACCCGGACAUAAAAAUUACAGAAAAAAAAACACAUCUAUUAUCAAACCAGCAAUCCAUGUCUAAACUUAAAUUAACAAAAUUUGCCACACAACGCCCGGUACACUAUUAUAUAUCUAUACUAGAUUUAUUCUAGAUGCACAUGUUUUAUUAUAUUUAAAAAUUAAAAUGUAUGGUUGACUAAGUUUUAGUUGAGUUAGUAUUGAUAUUAUUGUCAGUGUAGGAAAAUGUGAGUUUAAUCACGCUCAAAUGUGUUUUAUCCUCCAAUUCAAGGGUUAGGAAAAGGUUAUUGAUAAUUAAAUUAUACCAACUUUUAUAAUAUUAAAAAAAAGGAUUUAUAAAUAAUAUAAGGAAAAGAAAAAAAGAGAAACAUAUUCAUAUUGAUGGGCUCUUUCAAUAUUAGACUUUUUUUUCUAUCACAAGUAAAAAUAUCAAAGGUGAUAAUAAUUAAAUUAUAAAAUUUAAAUUGAGAAAAUAGGGGAUAAAAUUUAUAAGUUUUAAAGUAUAAAGAAUGAAUUUAUAACUAACAACAUAUUUUAACCACAUAAUAAAAGUAGUUAUGGAGAGGAUCAUAUAAAAUGCAAAAAUGAAAUAAUAGAAAAGAAAUAAGUGUUGGGUAUAGUGGCAAUGUAUAUUAUACUUCUAAGGGGAGAUCAAGAUUUUAGACAAGGGAAGAAUUUUAAACCUGCUUUUUUCUCUAGAACUCAACGCAAACCUCAAAUUUAUCUUUUUAAAAGAAUUUAAAAAUAUCUAUAUAAAAGGUGAUUUUUUACCGAUCACACUUAACAAAAUUAAAAAAAAAUUGAAAUUUAAAGUGAUCUAAAAACAUAUUUUAAAGUGCUUUUGACCAUCUUGUGCUGAUUUCUUUAGUAAUUUGAUUUGUUCAAUAUAGAUUUUGGUGACUUAAAACAAAAUUAAUAAAAAAAUAUUUUAUCAGAUAUCUUUUUAAUGUUUAAUAAUAAGUUAAUUUAUAAAAUAUACUUUCAUUGGACACAGGGCCUCCAAGGCGGUGAACCACUAAUCAAAUUAAUUUUGAGAUACUUAAAUUUGUUUUCAUCAAUUAAGAAAUUAAAAAAAUUUGUUGAGACCUCAUGAUUAUGUUUUAUAAUUUCAGGCUUAUCAACUAUUUUGAAAAACAACAAAACGUCUUACACCAAAAACUAAAAAAAUAAAAACGUCGACAUUAAAUUUGUUGCCAUGCAAUCAAUUUUAAGAUGGUUUUUGGAGUUAUAUAUCACCUUAGCAUUGACUUACUUUUCUACACUUAGUCUUCUCCAACAAGUUAAAUAUUUCAAUUUUAACAACAUUGACAGGUCUUUGGGGUAGGGUCGAGCAAAACUCAAUAUAGGCUGAGUUGGCUCGGCCAAGUCGAGUCGACUUGUUCAAAUUAUUUAAAUUCGUAAUUUUUAAGGUGCAGUUAGAAUUUUUUGUUUUGAGAUGCUAAGAUUAAAAUAUUUCAGUUGCUAAAACAAAAUAUUUGUAUUUAAAAAGGCAUAAAUUAAAUAAUUAAGUUUUUCGAGUUUCCAUUUAAUCAAAGGUUAAAAGGACUAAAUUGAAGCUUUUUAUUUUUAAGAAAGGCUGAAUGACAAAUUGCCCAAAGCCAUGCCCCUAGCUAUACAACUAACUUCUCUAUGAUUAGUCCUUCGUUUGCUUUGGGUGAAAUCUUCCAACUAGCCUCAUCCUUGGUUUUACUUUCCAACAAUUAGUGUAUCACGAGUUUUGUUUUCUUUAAAAAAUAUUUGUGGAUAUUAGGAGAUAAUGAAAAUUAUUUUACUAUGAAAUUUUAAUAAAACUGGAAAAUAAGUAAUUUAUUUUAAGAGGUCGCAAUUAAACGUUAGAUUUCCAAUUUUUAAAUUUUAAUUUUUUUUUGACAAUUGCAUAAUAUUUUGAGUGUUGUAGGAAUGCCAUAAUAUAACCUUCCCUAAACAUAAUCGACUCUUGAGCAUGAUGGAUCCUAGAACUUCUCCUCUAUUCUCGUACCGCAAAUUGCUUCAAGUGUGGGUUCGAACAAUCACAAAUUAAACACAAAACCAGAAAUGAUUUAUUACUUUCAAUAGCAAGGUAAUUCUCUCUCAAUAGAAACCAAUAGAAGUGUAAUUCUUAGAAAAUAAAAUUUAUUUUUUGAAAAUAUAUUCUCACUACUUUCUAGCAGAAUAACAAUAUGUGAAACUUAUGUCUUGUGUUAAUAGCUCUACCAGUACUCUCUAUUUAUAGGGAGAGAUACGAGAAUCCUGGUUGAAUUAGUAAAACACGAAUAAUAUUUAUUUCAUAGAAAACAAUAUUCCACCCUAAGUAGAUCAAGUUUGUAUGACGCAUGGAUCAAAGCUCAAUCUAGGAGGAAAAAAAUAAAGGAAUUUUCUUUGUAAAGAAAAUUUGAGAUUGUACUAUUUUCAAAGUUAUAAAUAAAAUUAUACGCCAAAUUUUUAAGUCAAUUUCAACUCCAAUUUUGUAUGCACAAAUUUCUAGUACACUUGGUGGGACAUUCUUUGACUUUUAUCUAUUCUCUCAAAAAGUUAAAGUUCAAAGUUACAUUAAACUCAAAGAAGAUAAUCAUUAGUAAACCACCUCACAAGCCUGCUCAAACUAAUCCUACAACUCAUUCCACUUCAUCAUCAAACACCAAUGUUCUUGCUUAUCCUUAUGGAAUUAAACAGUCUCAUUUUCUGCAUUUUGGGUACACACCUGGUUUUAUUUGAUGCUAAAACAGUCCCCGAGCACUCCAAAGCCUAUAAUUGAACAAAUAAUACUAAUUUAAUCUUACAUAACAUGAUCCCAAAUUGAACUUGUAUCGAGGUUUUAACCCAUAAGUGACUAAACCUUACCUUCAACCGAGUGAACAGUAAUUCCCACACAAACUAAGACUCCGAUUGAAGAUUACGAGCCAUUGAAUCCUCCCCUAAUUGGCAUAAACAAAACACUUCAAAAGAAAGUCAACAAAUGGAGACAAAUCACUUAUCUAAAACUUACCGAACGAUCACAGACAAACGUGAAGCGACACGAGGCAGAGUGGGAAAAGAAAAAUCAAGAGGAUGAAGGGUGAAAGAGAGCAGAAAUUCGGUAGCAAUGAAGAGAAAAACGGCAAGAAAGUGGAGGGAUUUUGGGGAAAGUAAAAAAAAAGAUGAAUAGAAUAUUUGAUAACUACCCCAAUCCCUUAUUUCUCUCUAUCAAACUCCCCACUAAAUCCACUACUCAAAUUUUUAGUCCAUCUCAAACUCUCCUGGACGCACGAGCAAAAAAUAAUGCCCAUGCCAAAAUUUAAACAAAAGACCUCCUUCACACCAACACUCCACUUAUCCACCAGACCAAUAGGCUCAUUCUUUUAAUUAUUUUCCAACUUUUACUUAAAAGCCUACUGACCAAAGAUAGGGCUUAUUCAUAAAAAUACCAAAUUUUGCCCAAGACCUGGCUUGAACUUGGGACCUCCCAAACACACCCAGAACACAUAACCACUAAAGCAGACAUAAAUUUUGUGUCACACAUUCACAAUACCCAAAAUUAAAAUUUUAGGGCGUUACAAAAACACAUUAAAUAAUAUCGCAUAAAAUAAUCACAGUUAGAUAACAGUUCAGAAUGUCGAUUUUACAAUUUAACCACCAAUAGUAUCACAGUAUUCACAGUUGUAAUUUCAGAAUAUCAAAUUUCCACAUGAUUCACAAUAUUCACACAUAUAUAAAUAUAUCAUAAUAGAAUUCCAGAUUUGUAUGCACAUGAUUUAGAAGAUGCCAUACAAUUUUGGUUUUUAACAGAAUAAAUCCUACCCCACGUUACAUACCAUAAUGGGAGUUCCCCUAAACUCCCUUCUCCAACACACUAGGUUAUGGAUAAACCACUAUUGGUUCACAAAUAAUAACUGUCAUUUGGCUGUGGACACACAGCAAGUCCCCACAAUUGGAUUCUAGAUUUGGUUGUGGAUUCACAGCAAAAAAAUCCUACAAAUGAAGCCUGCUUUUGCCUGUAGAUUAUACAACAUAUACCCGCAGUUGGAAUCUGUCUUUGGCUGUGGAUGCAGUGUAACACCGCAAACUCGACCUGGACAUUAUGGCUGAAUCUUGAUGAUUUACUUUAACUCGCUAGAAAACCCACGAAUUUACUUUAAAAUCAUGUGGUUAAACUAGUGUUCACUUUGAUAAAUUGUUUUCCAGUUUUAGAGAAAUUUCUUGUUAAAACUGUUACUUUAUUACAAUAAAACAUUAAAGUAAUUGUAUCAUUUUGUAGUGGAAUCUACUAAGCUAUAAGGUUUUGAAAAUCGUGAUUUAGUUUGCAACAAAUCAUUUUGCAAAUAGAAAUUUAAUACUACUUAAUUUGGAAAAUCACGCUAAAACGAAAGCAAAGUCCAAAAUAAUUUACGGUUUGAAAUUCUAAAAAGCCCAAAUUAGACAUAAAGUCUAUUUAAACCAAUUUAUUGAAAGUGUAACACCCUAAACCCGGCCUAUAUGUUAUGGCCAAAUCUAGAUGUGUUACGAAAAAAAGUUUAUAAAAUGACUUCCUUGUUAUUGGCAAACCAUCGUAACCAUUAUUACUUAGUAUAUCUGAUUUGUUUGGAAAACUUAUUGAUAUACUUAUUUGAUUUAAAAUCGUUGCUCGCUUAUGCCUUUUUAUUAAACCAAAUAUUUUGCAGCGGAGUUUCUUUACAACAUCAUAUUUUGGAAAAUCAAAUUGUUUCUUGAAAAUCGUUAUUUUAGAAAAGUUUUCAUUUUCAGAAAAAUUAUUUUAUCAGUUGUUAUGCUGAGAAAACAAAAUAAAAUCCAAAACCAAAAAUAAUCGCAAAAAGUCUAGAGAGUCCCAAAAUGACAAUACUCUUAAAACUAGACAAGCUUAAACUAAUUUUAAAAGAAUGAAAUUUUACAGAAAUGUGGACACCACUGAGCUUCCGUCGCACCGACCCACCUAAAUCUGAGGGUUACUUGAACAGAACAAACAAACAGAGAGUGAGUUUUGAAACUUAGUGUCUAACGCAUAUAUAAACAAAAAUUCAGAAUCAAUCUCAUGCAGAACAGAUACAAGUGUAAACCUUUUAUAAAAUUAGAAUUGUACAGAUACAAAUAUGCAACAUCCUACCCUCAUCCUCUACACACCAACUCCGACCAUCCUAUCACACCACGUGGGGUAUAAAAUACCCAUCCAGCCCUACACACCGUAUAGUGUUUAUAUGACACUUUUUGGAAUAAUCGCAGCAGAGUUGCCAGUAUAUAUGCGAGAUAUCACCUCACAUAGAACACUUCCUCCUCAUAAUACAAAUCCCGCCUCAUAGCUAGAUACAGACAAAAUAUGAUGUAAAAUAAAUUAACAGAUACUAGAGUUAACAUAUCACGCGUGAGCGUAUAAUAGAUAUUACACAUGCUUAUGCAUAACAAAAUAGAUCAUACAUAUUGUAUUCCAUAAUACUCAUAUAAAUGUUAUUUACGUCAAUCUCAAUCUAACAGAGUAGCAGAUUUCAUGCUUUAACGCUUAUACCACACAUAUAGACCCUAUAGAAGGCCCACAGUCGAUCGAGACAACAUGUAUGUCGCUAGGGAAAAAAUUUGUAAUUUGGGCCCAUAUACAUGUAUGAGCCCACACACCCAAAAUGGCCUUGCCCAUGUGGCUCACCAACCUAGCACUCAGCCCAUACGGUCCAAAAUGGCCUAGGUCGUGUGUCACACACAGCCGCAUGUUGCACACAGCCUACCACAUAGCCAGUCACAAAACUGUUUGGAGUUGAAAAGCCCAAUUUUUGGCUUUCGUCAAUCAUCAUUUUCUUACGUUUUCAUUACACACCUGGUUUGAUUCUGACGCAAAAGCAACCCUAUGUCCACCGAAACCUAAAAAUAGCAUUCCAACGCCCAAUUUCAGUGAACAUUUACAAAACUCAAACAAAAACUAUCCAAAAACAUAGCCUCACAAUAGCAUCCAACGCACUCGCACACUUAUCGUCAACAAAUAGGAAACACCCAACACUCAAUUCGUUGGCGGAGCACCAAUUAUGAUAAUGCAAAAAUUUUAUGGAUUCUCAACACUAUCGAUCCGAAUGUAAGAUUGAUGCUUUCCAAUUAUGAUAAUGCGAAAAUUUUGUGGGAUGGUUUACAUGAAUUUUUUUUGUUGUCAACGAUCAACGUAUUCAAUAAUUAAAAUAAAAUAUUAGUCGUUUUUAGAAAACCAAGACUAUGAGUGUUGUAGUUUAUUUCAGUAAAUUAAAGGUUUUGUGGGAUGAACUAGAUAAUCAUGAACCAUUGAUUUGUUGCAAGUGUGGACAAUGUUUAUGUAACUUAGGGAAGGCGCAUGAACAAUGUCGUGAGCAUGAUUGACUUCAUCAAUUACUUCUUGCUCUCUAUUGUAAUUGUUAUGCUCAAACUAGGUUUACACUGUUUUACCAAGAUCCUUUGCCUUCCUUAAAUCAGGCAUUCCAACAAAUUACUUAGGAGGAACAUGUACGUGGAAUUACACUGAUUAAGGAAGAGAAGUCUGAUAUUUUAGGCUUUGCUAUGCGUACAGAGGGUCAUAACAAAGGCCGAGCUAAUUGUAUUGAUAAGUCAACCUUGUUGUGCACUCAUUGCCAUCGCAAAAGGCAUGAGAUGGCUACCCAUUUUGAAUUACAUAGCCACUUGGAUUGGCGGCUUAAGAAGUAUGGGAAGCCAGAGAAGAAAAGUGAUGAUCGUGGUGGUAAGACAAGUGCCACAUCUUCCACGUAAGUGUUUUAUUUCAAAGGAUCACAAUUAAACAUUAGAUUUCUCAUUUUUAAUUUUUUUAUUUUUUUAACAGCUACGUAAUUAACGAGUACCAAUUUUGGGUGUUGUAGGGGUUCUAUAACUUUCCCUAUAUGUAAUCGACUCUUGCACCCACUUUUUUUUCUCUAGAAUUCAAUGCAAACCUUAGAUUUAUCUUUUUAAAAGAAUUUUAAAAUCUCUUUAUAAAAGACGAUUUUUUUAGGUGACCAAUCACACUUAAGAAAAACAAAUCGGUGGCAACUCCUUUCUAAUAAAUGUAAAAAACUUUUUAAACAAAAUAAGGUUGAAAUAAUCUAGUUGUCGUUAUACUUUGAUAAAAUUUUAGAUUUAGUCCUUAUACUUAAAAGGUUAAAAAUUAAGUCUUGUUUUUAUUUAAAAAUCUUAGUCCUAUCGUUAAUAUUGUUUUUUUUUGUCAAAAUUUGUCAAGUUGACAUAUUAAUUAGGUUUCUCUUAUAUAUCGUGGUAUAUGACUAACACAAAAUAAACAAGUUGACAAAAUCUACAAAAAAUAUCAAAGAUGAUAAUAGUUUAAUUAAAAUUUUUAAAUUAAAAAAGUAAGGGAUUAAAUUUAUAACUUUUAAAGUACAAUGAAUGAAAUUAUUGAAAUACAAGAACUAACAACAUAUUUUAAAAUAUUACUAGUAAAUUAUAUAUCUACAACAAGAAUUGUAACCUCUUAUAUUAUAUUCUUGUAUCUAUUUUUGCAUCUUUCAUUAUAAUAUGAUUUAUUAAUUUUAAUAUUUUUAUAGAAUAAUAUGCUUUAAAUAGUUUUUUGUAUAAUUUAUAAAAAUUAUAAUAAACUUACAAAAUAAUUUAAUGAUAUUUAAUUAUUAACCAAAAAAAAUGAUAUCAUAUAUAUUAUGUAUAUAUUAAGAUUCCGAAUCAUUAAUUAUAUAUCUACGCAUUAUAAUAAAUUCAUCUUUCAAAAUUUUCCUUAUAAUUAAAGCAUAAAUUAUAUUUAUAAUAUUAUAAAUAUAUUUUAUCAUAAAUAUUCUUUCAAAUAUUUUUUAAUGUUUAAUAAUAAGUUAAUUUAUAAAAUAUUUUUUCAAUAAAUUAAUGUGAUGAGAUCGUUAGGUGCUUGGAUUUGGUGAAGGGGGAUGAAGAGAAAAGGGAUGGAAGUGAAUAAAAAUGUUGAGAAAUCGAAAGGGUUAGCGAGGGAAGCCGCCAUGAAAGGUGGUUCAAUGGAUAUGAACCAUCAAGCUUUUGUGGAUGAUGUUACUCAAGGUUGUUGCAAGUAAAUUAAAAAAUAUUUUUUUAAAUUAUUUUUUUGUUAAAAAACAUUUUUUAUUUUUUAUGUGGCAUGCCACAUUAUCAUAGUAUCAUGUGACAACUUCUGGUGAUUUCUGUCUGUAACAUUAGUCAAAUCAACAGUUAAAUCGUUCAACUCACAGUUUUUGUUAAAUGAAGAGGUCAAUUGGUUUUUUUGGAAUCAUUGAGUACUCAAUUGGUGCACUUUUAUCAUAAAGGCUAAAUUAAUUUUUUUAAUUUGUUAUUGUUGAGGGCUAUAACAAUAAAAAAAUUAAUGUAAAAUGAAAAAAAUGUUAGAGCUAAAUUUGUCAUUAUAACUAAAAUGUAAAACCAAAAUUUUUUGAAAAAUGAAAAAAAUGGAAAAUCACAAAUUCUAUCACUUAUGUUUGCUUAAAAUUAUAGUUUUGGUCACCAAUCUUUUGAAGUAAAUAUAUGGUCACCAAUAACUCACCUUAAAGUUAUACCCCUACGCAAGAAAGGAUUAAAUGACAUUGGAAUACCAUAAAACUUGUAUCUUUUUUUAUUCAUCUAAUACCAUUUUAACAUUUUCAUUUUAAAAAAUUGACAUAUCAUUUUGAAUUUGAUCUUUUUCAUGGUAUCUCAAAUUCAUUUAAUCUUUCCCUCUCUAAAAAAGCUAAUGUAACACAUUAAUGACAUCAUUUCAAACAAAGUUUUAGGUCAAAUUAUUCAUCUAGUCCUUGUAAUUGUUUUUAUAGGUGAAUUUCAUUAUUAUUCUUUUAUUUUCUUAGGCUUAAAUACACAUUUACCCCUAAUUUUAUCCCAUUCUCCUUAAUUGGUAUUUAUGGUUUAGAAAAUUUUAUAAAUAUAUUAUUUUUUAAGAAAUUAUAAGAAGAUUACAAAAAUUCCAAAAUAAUAUAAAAAAGCCAAGGAAAACCUAGAAAUUCAAAAAAAAAAAAAAAACGUCGACAUUGAAUUUGCUGUUUCACAUUCAAUUUUUGGAGAAGUAGAAUUUUCUAACUUAUUUUCCAUCAACUUGACUUCAAUUUUCAAUCACAAUCAAUUGCAUUCAAGAGCACCACAUCUGUUUGGAUGAAACAAACCUCUCAAUUUUAAGAUAAACGGGUCUUUAGGGUUAUAAAUUGAGGGCCUUUUCCACAAUUGCGGGUGAUUCGUUGAUAAUAACCUCAACAUUUCUGUAUCACAUUUCAAUUUUUAAUUUUUAGAGAGAUGAUUGGGUUACAAGACUGGUUUGAAGUGAAGAUAUUUCAAAAGAAGAUCGAAUACUCUACCAAUAGUCAUAAUUUAAAAUUCAGGUUAUGUUUCAUUUCAGCUAAGUUAAAUGUUAAGAUUGAGGUUAAACCUUUUAGAGGUUGCUCACAAAAGGAUCAAACCUUUAUAAAAUUGCCUAAAUGAAGGUUAAACCUUUUAAAAUAGACAAAUAAGGGCCUAACCUUUUAAAAGGUGUUCAAAUAAGGGUUUCUCAAACGUUGUAUAUCAGGUUAUGUGUUUUACUCUAAACACAUCGACAUUUACCUAUUUUUUCUAUAAAUUUGGUUGAAGUGCAUGAAAAAUCCUUAUUUGAGCACUUUUGUAAAGGUUAAUCUCUUAUUUGACCAUUUUGAAAGGUUUGAUCCUUAUAUAAGUAACCUCUAAAAGAUUGAGCACUAAUUUGACAAGUUUGAGAAAUAUCUAAAUUUGUUUUCAUGAAUCAAGAAAUUAAAAAAGAAAUGUUGAGAAAUAUUUUAGAGAUUCUUAGCUUUGACAAGUUCCCUCCACCAUCUCCCUGCCUCCAGUCCCACCUCUUCUCUUAUGCUCCUUCCAGCUUCUUGCCUUUUGUGUGUUGAAAAUUCAAAGGAACAAAAUAUCAACCUACAUCAUAAGGCACGAUCGCCAGAACUUUACUUUCUAGCCUGUCGAUCCGAUCCAAUCCAAUGAAAGAAGAACAAGGAGUCUUAAGAUCUGUCAACUUUAUUUCAUUUUCAUUUUCUUUGUCAUUUUCUAUGUUUCAUGUCGAAUACAAUGAAAGAAGAACAUAGAAAAAUGUGGCCUAUUUAUUUCCCAAUCAUCAUGAAAUUACUUGCCAUUGACUUAGAAUUUUCUCACCAAUUUUCAAGCAAUCUGACAUGAUUUCUCAAUCACAAUUAAUUGAAUUCAAGAUCUUUUUAGAUGACACAAACAUUUCAAUUUUAACACAAACCAAUAUUUCGGUUAUACUUCAGUGCUUGACAAGCACUUUCACAUUUGUGGGAUAAGAACUCUUAACAUUUUAGGAUCACAUUUAAUUCAAUUGCAUUUAAGACCUCAUGGUUUUAUUCUAUAAUUUCAGUCUUAUCAGCCUUUUCGGAAACAAUAAAACGUCGACAUUAAAUUUGUUGUUGAUGCAUUCAAUUUUUUGAGGGGUCUUUGGAGUUAUAUGUGACUUUAGCAUUGACUGACUUUUUUAUAAUUUAUCUUUUAUAAUAAGGUAAAUAUAUUAAUUUUAAUAACAUCGACAUGUUUUUUAGUAGGGUCGAGCAAAACCCAAUUAAAAUCGAUGAUAUUGGCUUAGUUGACUCGGUCAAGUCCAUUAGAUUGAUAAAAUCAUUUUUAAAAUCAGUUAUAAUGGAUAAAGGUAAUUAAUUAUCGAGUAAUGAAAUACAUAAUCAAAUCAAUUGAUUUUGUUAGAAACUAAAAGAAAAAGGGCUAAGCUGAAAAUUGAUUGCCCUUUAUUAAAAUUAACGAAUCUGUCUUUUACGUAUUAGAUAAUAUGAACAUCGCAUAUAUAAUAAGAAAAAUUACGUAUGAUUAUUUAUUAUCAUAAAAGGUUAGUUUAAAUUUAAAGUAAUCUAAUAUGUUUAUUGAACUUCAACUAUUAAAUAAAGUAUAAGCUAAAUAAGUAUAAAUAUUCUAGAAACCAUUUCUAACUGAUGAUAGGCUAAUUCGAUUAAUUUAUAAAAACUAGAUAGUAGGGUUAUAGUCCUCAAACUACACCUAAUUUAAUAACAUUUAUAUUUUUUUUAGCCUUAAACAUUUAUAGUUUUUGUUAAUUUGGUCCUUACUCUUUAAAAUUACAUAAAAAUUGCAAAAAAAUUAAAAAUUAAUUUUUAUCAUGAUUUUAAUAACAUUUAUAUUUUUUUUGUGGUUUGGUAACUUAUCAACUUGACUCUUACUUGUAACCAACUUUUCUAACCUUUUUCGUACCCUUAACCUAAGUCCCGUUACAAUUUCUAAAGACCUCUUGAUUGGUGUAUCAUCUCGAUUUGUUUUUAUAGUGGUGGAGAUUUGUUUUUUGUAGUGGCAUGAUUGCCAGAACUUUACUUUCUAUCCUGUCGAUCCGAUCCAAUGAAAGAAUAACAAAGAGUCUUAAGAUCUGUCAACUUUAUUUCAUUUUCAUUUUCUUUGUCAUUUUCUAUGUUUCUUGUCACAUACAAUGAAAGAAGAACAUAGAAAAAUGUUGCCUAUUUAUUUCCCAAUCAUCAUUCUAACAGGCCGAAUUAGCCCAGGCCCAAACAUUAAUAAAAUGUCCAGAUUACAAAAUAACCAACCAAAAAUUAAAAGCCCAAAAUAAUAAAAUAAAACCCAUUACAUUAACCCAAAACUCCAGCCCAAUUACAUUGAAGCCCAAAAAAAUAGUUUUUAGAAACCCCUAGGGUUUCUGGAACAAUCCGCGCCGCUCCUCCAUCCGCUUCUCCACGCACGCUGCACCUUUCCACGUGCGCCUCCAGCUGGCAGUGUACCUCCAAUGCAACAAACAAAGCAACAAGCAGCAAAAGAAAUGGAAAAACAACAAAAAAAAAAAGAAAGGAGCAACAAUGUAUAACAGAUUGAUAACAAAUAAUAGAAAAAAUAGCAGUAAAUAGGAAAAAAAAUUAAAAAAUAAUGAGGGUAAUUUCAUUUUUUUCUCUGUUUUGGCUAUAAAGAGAGCCGGUCAAAAUCUCUAAAGGGGGAUUUAGAAAUCAAUCAGAAAACAAGUAUUUUGUACCAACAAUUAGAGAAAAAAAAUACAAAAAUAGGGAUUGAAGGUUUUUUUUUCUUUCGUUUCGAUUUAUUUUAAAAUAGCAUAGAAAAUAAAAAGAAGGCUUACCUUGCGACGCCUUCAGAUCCUCUCGAAAAGGGGCUAAAAGGCCCUAUGUGGCACAGAUUUGACCACUGUUCACGGUGGAACCGCAGCGGAGGCGCAGAGGAUUGGCAUCAAUUUAGGCAGGGUUUGAAACCCUAGCAGAGAAAAAAUUAGGGUUGAUAGAUUUUUUUUAAAAAAAUGGCAAAAUGUUGUUUUAAAAAAUUUUGUUUUAAAAAAAAUUGUUGCUUUUAUAAAGGGUGUAAAACGGCGUCGUUUAGGGCAUGUUUCGAUGGCCCCAAAACGGCGCCUUAUAAGGCAACCCCCGACGACCCGACCUGCUCCAUGGGGGAUCCGCGUGGUUUUUGUUAAAUGGGUUAUGUCUAACCCUGGCCCUUCUACUUUUUAUACUUGUUUUAAUUUGAUCCUCUUUUUAUUUAUUUUUAUUUCUUUAAAUUAAGCCUGAUAAUUUUUUUCCAUUACAUUUUAAUCCUUAAUGAAACGGCGCGUUUUAGAGGAGAAGGGAAAAUUACCCUUCUAGUCCCUUCUUGUUAUUCGAGUGUUCAGAAGGGUCCUUUUUUGUUUAUUUUUUAUUUGCCCCAAAAUUUUGUUUUAAAGCUUAAUUUAGUCCUAUUUUGUUAUUUUAGCUAUUUUAUUAUUAGAUUAAUUAAUUUAAUAUUAUUAUUACUGCUAUUAUUUUACCCCUAUUAUUUAUAUAUUUAUUAUUAUAACUAUAUCAUUAAAUCAAUUAGUUUUUACAUUAUUAUUUCCAUUCUGUUUUUUAUUUACUUACUUAAAUACUUUAAAUGCAUUUAUUUUAUUUCUUAUUUUUUUAUGAAAUUUCAAAACUUUAGACUAUUUUUUUGUUACUAUAACCCUAAUUUCAUUCAUUUUAUAAUAGUUUUUUUUUAAAAUAUUUCUUAGAUUAAUUCCCUCGAUGUUAUUUUGUAUAUUUAUUUAUCUUUUUAAAUUUUCGAUAUUGUCUUAUUGUAUUAUUGUUGUUACUAUCAUUAUUCAUUAUUAUUGUUGAUUUUAUUCUUCUUUGAUUAAUGUUUAUGUUAGAGUAAUAGGUGUUAUGUGAUCAUUGUUAUUAUAUGUUAUAAUUUGUUGACACUCGUAUUGUAGUCAUUCGUCAGCUUAAUAUUUUGAGUAACAUUUUAAAUAUUACAUUAAUUUUGACCCAAAUGCAUAAUUUUUUAAUAAGUAAUAUUUCGUAUUGUGGAAUUUGAGAGAUCAUUCCCUAACUUACGGGGUCUCGAUUUUUUUGAUAAAUCUGAAUAUAAGAACUAUUUUAAAAAAAUACGUUUUAAAAUUAUCUCGGGAAUUUAAAAAGAAGCGUGUUCUAACUUACGGAAUAUGAUCUUUUUUUAAAAAUCGAGAUAAUCAAAUAUCUUUCAAAUAAAUAAACUUUUCGUGUUUAUUCUCGUUUUAGGAUUUAAGAUAUUGUGUCCUAACUCACGGGACACAAUUCUUUUUCUCGAUUAACGUGAAAUACGCCCUUUUUAAUUUUAUCUUUUUAAGUGAUUUUAACAAAAGGAUUGUAUUUUAAAUCUCUUCAAAAUUUUCAAUUUUUCGACAUUGAGACAUUAACUAAUCAAUUAGGUACCAAUUUUGGGCGUUACAAGGGUGUUAACCCUUCCUUGUACAUAACCGACUCCCGAACCUAUUUUUCUGAAUAUUAUAGGCCAAAAUUGUUUUAAUAAAUUAAACCCUUAAGAGGUGACUCGAUCACAGCUCAUAAAAAUUAUCGGUGGCGACCCUUGUUUUAAAAAAGGUGGUUUCAACAGCUUGGCGACUCCGCUGGGGACAAAAAUAAGAGUCAAGCCGCGAGUUGAUUAUUUCUUAUCUUUUUGUCAGAAAUUGUGAAUUCGAUUUAAAUUUAUGAUCUUUUCAUUGCAUUUUAUGGUCUGCAUCAUUUUUAUAUGCUUGCUUUACUACUUCGAGUCUUUUAAUCUUCGCAUAUUGUAUUGCAUAACCGUUCGGUUAUACCCUUUUAAGCGGGAGUGAGAAAUUAUUCUUUCGUGAGGUUUUCACCUUCGUAUAGGAUAGUGGAUUACUUUCAGGAUACAUCCAUACCUAUGUCUUCGUGAGAUUCUCAUCUCCGUAUAGUCAUAGGGAAAUGUAUUCCCCUGAACUGAACUCAGUCCGUAUGAGCCUAUAAUGGGUGAGGAUUGAGGAAUCUGCUGGUUCAGGUACCCUUUCUUUAGAACUAAACCGCAUGUAGUGAGCCCUAAGAGCAUACCCUAGGUAGAACCACUCCAAACCCCUAGUGGUCACCCAAAUAGGUGCUCUAUUUAUUUUUGCUUGCUUGUUUUUGCCUUGUACUAACCUAUUUGUUAUGGUUAUGAGUGCAUUGCAUUUUUAUCAUAAAAAAGAUGUGUUGAUUCACGUUCAGUUGCUAAAUAGAGAGCUUGUCAUGGAAAACGAAUUUCUUGAUAAAGUGGAAGACAAUGCGGUUGUCCGGAUAUGGUCCAAGAAAAUGUGAAGAAAGAAGGGUGAUAGUCUAAUGGAGGACUACACGACCUUGCUUUGUUGCCUGAUGAUUCAAGUUGACAAAGAUUAUUCGAGAGUCUUCAAUGUCCCGACCUUUUUAAAGAAGCUAACGAGCGUCACGAGGAUGAGCGAGUAAUGAGUUGCGGCCCGGAUCAAGCAAAAAAAAGAUAGAGGAGACACCCUUUUUGAAGAGUUCACGAGAUUUAUCUUAACAUCUAGACGAAGAAAAAGAUCAAUCUCUUUGCCUAGAGUAUGAGGGCAAAGCCGUAUAUAUCCGCUUUAUGUAAAUAAAUUUGUUUUCUAGUAAAGUUUUUCUAAUAGGAUUGAAUCAGAAUCAACGUCUCUUUUUGCAUUCAUUCCAUUCAUCUGCAUUGCAUUUCAUUGCAUCUAGAAUUUCACAAAAGGACCCUAAUUAAUCGAAAUUGUUAUAGCUACCUUGAAAAACUAACGAAAAUUUACCAAUUAAAUAUUCCUAUGGUACCCAUUGCAAAACUAAAGUAAUGGAUCAAAUAUUAGAAAGAUUAGAACAAAUGCUGAAGGAUAAACAUAACUGCUUUGGCUUAGGGUACAAGCCAGAUACAAGACAAAGAAGAAAUAGGAAAGGAGAACACGUUUGAGCGGGGAUGAGGUCAAAUGGGAGGGAUUAUUCAUCCCAGGCGAAGAAUGCCAAGAGAAGAAAAUAUUGAAAACAUGUUGGGAAACGUUCACAUCAAUGCCAUAUACGAAGAAGCAAUUGAAGGAGUGACCUUGUUAGAUAUCCGCCCUUAUGAACCUAAGAGUGUGCUAAACAAUUGGACUGCAGAAGAAAUUCUUGUAGUGUUUAGAGCUUACUCAUAGUAAUGUUCAGAACACACUUGUUGCUUUUAGCCUAGAAGUGAUAAGAAUCCCUCUGUGAAAUAGGCUCAUGUAUAAACAUCAUUAUUUUAAUGAAGUACAUCUUUGCAUUCAUUUUGAGCAAAUAUUCUUUUAUUCUUUUCAUACGAGUAAUUAUUUUGGAUUCUUUAAUUCUUUUGGGAUUUUCUUCCAAAAUCAUUCUUUUAUUACAUCCAUAAUCAUACUGUACAAAUAAUGUAAUAGCCUGAAUUUUCAGUGGUGUCGGAAUGGUGAUUCAAGAUCACUAAGUCUGACAAAUGAGUAGAAAAUAUUAUUAAUUUAGUAAGAAUAAGUAAAUGUGAAGUUAGGAAAAUUUUUGAAAUAGUGAAUAGUGUACUAGGAAUAAAUAUUAAAAUAAUUAAAAUAAAAAAUGAGGUAUCGAGACCUCGAAGAUUUUAAACCAAGCCAUAAGUACUUUUAGAAGUAUUUUUAGAGUGUCAUUGAGUUGGUAUUAAAGUUUCGUUAGAAAAUUUUAACGCUCGGAUAGUUAAUUAACCAAAAAGGACUAAAUUGAAAAUAGUGUAAAAUUUGUUAAAUUGUGAUUAAAUAGCUUAAGUGAUUAAAAAGGAGGGAUUUAAAAGGCAAUUAGGCCCAAAUUAUAUGGGCUGGACGGUUGGGUAAGAAAAAUCAGCAGAAUGUAAGGAGAAACAGGGGCAAAAUUGGAAACUUAACAAAUUAAACAUAUAAAACAAAGACAAAAGUGAAAAAUCUAGAGAUCUGCUCACAAUUUAUCAGCAAAAAUGCCAUAGGAGGUCUGAAAGAAGCUGGUUUUUCAUAUAUUUGAAUCAUGUAAGUUUAAUUCUUGAUUAUUUCUUCUAAUUUUUGUGAUUUUGAUACUUUUACAAUUAGGUCCAACUAAUUAUUUCAUUAGUUUUUGAUUUCAUGGCUGAUUUUGAAAGUUACCAUUGAUGAGUGUUGGAUUUUUAUGAUGAAUAAACAUGGAAUUAAAGCUUUAAUUUUGUUAUAUGAUGAUUUUAUUAAGUAAUUUUGAUAGAAAUUGAUUUUUGGGACCUAAUUGUGAAAAAGUUUGGAAUUAGGGUUUGGUGUUGCGGUUUUGAAUAUGAAAGUCUAUGUAGUAGUCUAAAAUAGUUGGAAAAGGUGUUAAUUGAGAAAAAUUAGAUCAAUUGAGGGGUUAAUUGAGUAGGACCAAAUUGUAAAAACUGUAAAGUUUGAGGUAAAAGUGUAAUUUCGAAAAUUUAAGGGCAUAAAUUGUGAAGUGAAUUAGAAUAGAAUUAUAUGCUGAUGAAUGAAUAAAUUUGUAUUUUAGAUCGAGAACCCGAAGCAAGCCGAGGAAAAGAAAAAGUAGUUGAUUAGUCCCUGAACUUUUACAAAUUCUGCAAAUCGACCCAGGUAAGUUCAUAUGGCUGAAAUUUAAUGAUUAAAUGUUAAUUUCAUGAAUUAUGUAAUGUAUGAUGAAAUGUAUUUAGUGUUGAAAUGAGAGUAAAAUAAAAAUGCGAAAAUCGAAUAAAUGAUCAAAUUAAGCGGAACGCCGGAUUUGAGUACUUCUGAUCAAGAGACAAAGUGAUAAGUGGUAGCUUUAGCUACACUUAUCUGAUCAAGUGAAAAAGUGAUAAGUGCUACACUUAUCUGAUCAAGAGACAAAGUGAUAAGUGGUAGCUUUAGCUCACUUAUCUGAUCAAGUGAAAAAGUGAUAAGUGCUAUACUUAUCUGAUCAAGUGACAAAGUGAUAAGUGGUAGCUUAGCUACACUUAUCUGAUCAGGGCCAAAUGAUAAGUGAUCAUACGUAAGACCAUAGUUAUACUAUGGCCAAGUGAAAGUGAAGUACUCAAUUUUCCGUAACCGUUCCUUAAUUUUGAUCAAGGAUGGUAAGUGACAAAUAGGCCCAAAGAAAUUAUGGUAAAAGAAUAAGUAGUAGUGAGUUUAUACCAAGGAACUCUCCAAAGAUUGUGGUUGACAAGUAAACUUAGUAAUGGUGUAUAUUGUAUAAGUGUACAAAUGUUUGGUAAGAUUUAUGUUUGUGCCUAUGAACUUACUAAGCUUUUCUAUAAGCUUACAUGUGUGUGUUUAUUGUUUUUCUAGAUUAACGUAUUUAUACAUUCGGAGGAUCGGAUCUACUUCGAGAAUCACACUAUCCAGAUAUACUCCGGUAGAUUUUGUUAAACAACUUUUUGGAUUUAUAUGGCAUGUACAUAGAAUUGAAGUAAAAAGUAAUAGAAUGAAUGACUGAGUAUGCAAAGUAAAUUUGAAUGUGAUGGUUGUGUUAGAUAUUGAAAAAUACAUGUUUUUAGUUUGAAAUGGUUGAUUGGCUGAACUUCGUUAGUAUUCAAGUGAAGUAGUUGAAAUACUGGAAUUGGUUGUGAUUUGAAAUUUGCAGGGAAGGUUAGAUAAAUAUAAAGGGGUUAUAUUGAUUUUUUUUAAAAAUUUCAAUGGAAUAAUUUUUGGACAGCAGCAUUGAUGUAACUUUUAAAAAUCACCAAAAAUAGUGGAAAUAGAAUUAGAAGUUGAAUGAGAUAUGAAAUUAAAUCUGAAUGAGUCUAAUUUCACAUGAAAGAAGUAGAAUAAGAAAAAGAGUUAUAUAUUUUUAGAUAUUUGAAUUUUAGUGAAACAGGGCAAGAAUGUUUUUGAAGUCCCCUGUUCUGACUUUAGAAAUUUAGUAAAAAUUGUACAAAAGGAAUUAUGAAUUAUAAUUUAUAUGUUUAAAUUCCGUAAUGAGUAUAUUUUAAGUAGAAAUAAUUGGAACCACCAUAUGAAGUCUUUGCAAUGAGAUAAUUGAAUUUUAGCGACAAGAGGUCAGGAUAGUCAAUUAGUGAAAUAGGGGAGACUUCAACUAAUAAACUGUAUUAAUUUGCUAAACCAAAAAUUCUGAAAAAUUUAUGGUGAAUAUACAUAUGAGUCUAGUUUGAGGGAAAAUUUACGGAUCUAAAUUUUUAGUUUCGUAUCUUGAGUUAUAAUUAUUUUAGUGACUACUGCGCAUGUGGACAGCUUUGUUGUGAAUGGUGAAAUUAAUUUUUAAAGUAAAUUUUUAUGCCCCGAACUUUUAAGUUCAGUCAAGUAACGCCUUAUGCUCGACUCCGGCAACCGUCUUGGGUAAGGGGUGUUAUAAAUAAUUAUUCUUAAAUUCAUACAUUCUUUGUAUAUUAUUUUGUACCUACAAUAGGUCCCUAGAUAUUAACAACAUGAGUGACGUUGCUACAGACUCAGAAUUUCCUUUUAAACAAGACAUGUGUUUAGAGGGAUCCCAUGGCUUUGAAGAUGACGUAGACUGUGGCUUAUCUCUGAAUUUGUUAAGGAUGGUAAAACAAGAGGAGAAGCAAAUCCUACCUCACAAGGAAUCAAUGGAAAUUGUGAGCUCAGAAGGGGGAAAAGAGGUGAAGAUUGAGACUAACAUUGCCACAAAGACAAAGCAUGACCUCGUUGAGUUACUCCAAGAAUUUAAAGAUGUCUUCGCAUGGUCAUACCAGGAUACUCCCGGGUUAAGUACUGGCAUUGUAGUACACUACCUUCUUAUAAAAGAAGAUUGCAAGCCAGUUUAGCAGAAACUCUGAAGGAUGAUGCCUGAUAUUGUGCUAAAAAUAAAAGAAGAAGUUAAAAAGCAAUUUGAUGUUGGGUUCUUACAAGUGGUUAAAUAUUCAGAAUGAGUAGCCAACAUCGUCUCAGUCUCUAAAAAAGAUGGGAAAGUACGAAUGUGCAUAGAUUACAGAGACAUGAACAAGGCCAGCCAAAAAGAAAAUUUCCCAUUGCCUCACAUUGACACUUUGGUGGAUAAUACAGUAGGCUACUCACUGUUUUCCUUCAUGGACGACUUCUCUGGAUACAACCAGAUAAAGAUGCAUCCCAAAAACAUGGGAAAGACUACAUUCGUGACCCUAUGGGGAAUGUUUUGCUAUAAAAUGAUGUCAUUCGGAUUAAAGAAUGUGGGAGCGACGUAUCAAAGGGAAUGGUAACCUUGUUUCAUGACAUGAUGUACAAGGAAAUCGAGGUUUAUGUUGGCGAUAUGAUUGCAAAAUCCAGAACAGAAGAGGAACAUGUGUAGGCCCUAAGAAAAUUAUUCUUAAGACUGAGAAAGUUCCAGCUCAAGCUUUCCAACGAAAUGCACAUUCAGAGCUAGGUUAGGAAAGCUGUUAGGCUUCACAGUUAGUGAAAAAGGAAUCGAGAUCAACCCAGAUAAAGUCAAGGCGAUACGAGAUUUACCUCUACCAUGCACUCAGAAGGAAGCUCGAGGUUUCCUAGGAAGACUGAAUUACAUUGCUCGAUACAUUUCACAACUAACCGAAAAAUGUGACACCAUAUUAAAAUAAAAAUAGAUUAAAUUGUAAGUAAAACAUAAUUUAAACAUAUGAAUACAUCAAAUUAAUAAUACUAAAUGAAUACAGUUAUUUAUGAUGAUGUUGUUGCCAAUUCCUAAUUUGGUGUCUAGUUAAUUUGUGACAUCAUAAAUUUAAGUGAUAAAUUUAAGGUUUUAUGUAUUGAUGUGGAUUCAAAUAUCACCAUAAUUUUUGUAAAUAAAAAACUAAUAAGAUAACUUAUAUUAAGUACGAAAGGGUAUUUUUAUAAUUUCUCUAAUCGAGUUGGUGCCCGGUUGACUCAUGACACUAACUCAAUCAGAAGCUUUAAUAAUAAUAUAGAUAUUCAUGUUAAAAAAACAAAAAAAAAGUACUUUAGUUCCAAAUAAUUAUAUAACAAGUAAAUUUAUAAUUGAUGAAUAAAUUUAUAAAUAAUAUAUUUAUAUGAUCUAAUAUAUUAUAUUUAUAUUAAUUAUAUAUCAUCUACAAACUUUGAAGAUCAAUUUAUUAAGUAAAAAUGAAAUUGUUAACACUAAAUCAAUUUUUAGAUUUUGUAUAGAUGAUUUAGUGAUGAUAAAAACAUUAUUAACACUAUUUUUUAAUUAACAAAAAAUUAGUGAUAUAUUUAAAUUAUAUUUAUCAUUUAUUAUUUUUAAUAAUAUUUUUUAAUUAUAUGAAGUAAAAUUAUAUUGUAUACUAAAUAUGGUACAUAUACUCUAAUUAUAACUUGAAAUUUUAUUAUAUAAAUUAAUAUAAAUUUGAAUAACAAAAUAAAAAAAAACUAAUUAGAAUAAUUUUAAAAAACAUUAUUUAAAAGUAGUUAAAAAUCACGUGCAACAGGUGAGAUCAAUGGUCUUUAGAGAAGAAAUGUUGAAGAUCAAAGUUGGAAUCUGGCCUAUAAGGCCUUUAAUUGCUUUAAUAUUAAGCAGUUCCAAACCAAGAAGAUUACCGAUUUCCUCAGGAAUUUGACCUGCACACAUGGUCGAAAAAUCAAUGUGUCAAACUACCUAUUUUGUUAGCAUAAGUCAAAGAGGUUUUCUUUUCUAUUCUACAUAAUUUGCAGAUGUUAGAUUUUAAUAUUUUUAAGCAUAUUUGUUUUCAUCAAAUUAACUAUUUUGAACUAUUUUGCCUUGAAUGAAAUAAAAUGCUCUUACUUUUGUUAUCUAUUACUAAUCAAACUCUUUUAUAAAAAAAAUACUUUAAACUAAAGAAACCAAGAAAAUUCAAUACCUUCUAGGUUAUUCAACCCCAAAUAUAAUUCUUUGAGUCGUGUCGGAUUUCCAAUACUUCUUGGAAUGAUCCCCAUCAAUUGAUUAUAGGAAAAUGACAAAAUUUUAAGGUUGUUGCAUUUGCUUAUACUUGACGGAAUGUUACCAUAUAAUUCAUUCCGACUCAAGUAAAGCCCUUCAAGCUUGGAAAGAUGUGACACAUAUCAUUAGGCAAGCUACCUGAUAGGCUAUUGUUGGAGAGAUCAAUGGCCUUCAGAGAAGAAAUGUUGAAGAUCGAAGUUGGAAUCUGACCUGUAAGGCCUUUAAUUGCUUUAAUAUUAAGCAGUUCCAAACCAAGAAGAUUACCGAUUUCCUCAAGAAUUUGACCUGCACACAUGGUCGAAAAAUCAAUGUGUCAAACUACCUAUUUUGUUAGCAUAAGUCAAAGAGGUUUUCUUUUCUGUUCUAUAGUAAUUUGGUGAUGUUAGAUUUUAAUAUAAUUCAGCACAUGUUUUUCAUCAAAUGAAAUAAAAAGUUUUUCCUUUUGUUAUCUAUUACAAAUCAAGCUCUUUUAUUAAAAAAAUACUUUAAAUUCAAGAAAUCAAGGAAAUUAAUUACCUUCUAAAUUAUUAAACCCCAAAUAUAAUUCCUGGAGUCGUGUUAGAUUUCCAAUACUUCUUGGAAUGAUCCCCAUAAAUUGAUUAUGGGGCAACAACAAAUUUUUAAGGAUGUUUCAUUUGCCUAUGCUUGACGGAAUGUUACCAGAUAACUCAUUGCUAUGCAAGUGAAGCCCUUCAAGCUCGGGAAGAUGUUGACACAUAUCAUUAGGCAAACUACCUAAUAGGCUAUUCCUGGAGAGAGCAAUAGUCUUGAGAGAAAAAUGUUGAAGAUCGAAGUCGGAAUCUGAUCUGUAAGGCCUUUAAUUGCUUGAAUAUUAAGCAUUUCCAAACUAAAAAGAUUACCGAUUUCUUCAGGAAUUUGACCUGCAGACAUAGUCGAAACAUCAAGGUGUUAAAUUUCCUAUUUUGUUAGUGUAAAUCAAAGAGGCUUUUUAUUUUUUUUCGUUAUGAAAUAAUAUGGAUAUGUUCGAUUCUAAUCAUAUUUAAGUAUAUAUUAGUUCUUGAAAGAAUGAGUUCUUAUUUUUGGUAUUUAUAUUGCAAAUAUAUAUUUUUUUAAAUUUAAAAGAAGGGAGGGGGCAAAUGUGUUUAAACUAAAGACAUCAAGGAAAAGGCAUACCAAGUAUAAUUGUUUAAGUUGUGUCAAAUUCCCAAUGCUUUUUGGAAUGAUCCCACUAAAUUGAUUAAUAGACAAUUCCAAAAUUUGAAGGUUGCAGCAUUUGUCUAUACUUGAUGGAAUAGAACUUGAUAAUUCAUUUCUACUCAAGUAAAGCUCUUUCAGCUUGGGAAGAUGGACACACAAAUCAUCGGGCAAGCCACCAGAAAGACUAUUAUCACAAAAAUGAAUCCUUUUCAAAGAAGAAAUGUUAAAGAUGGAAGAUGGAACCUGGCCAGAUAAUUGAUUGAAUCCCAAGUUCAAGAUCUCUAGAUUGGACAAGUUGACAAGUGUUUGAGGGAUCGUGCCUGUGAAGUUAUUAUUUCUCAUUUCCAACCUUUGAACUCUGUGCAAGUUCCCAAGCCAUGGUGGAAUUUCCCCAUUAAGACGGUUGUAGCUUAAUCGAAUGAUCCUCAAACGAUGCAAUUGGCCUAAUUCUUUAGCCAGAUGGCCGUAGAAAUUGUUGUUGCUCAAGUCGAUAGAAAAUAGAAAUGAAAGAUUUCCAAGGUGUGGAGGGAUAGUACCCCUAAGAUUCAUGUUUGUAAGAUUAAUCAAAGCUACAACUCUUUCAUGGAUGAUGCCACAAGAAACACCAACCCACUUACAGACAGAGGUAGAGUUCGUCCAAUUGUUUGCCAACACAUUUUGAGGAUCGACAAUGCGAUCUUUAAACUCAAAGAGUGCAAACUGAUCGGAGUUGAGAUUCCGGACUGUCAUAGCCAAGGAAACAAUAGAACAUUGUAUGAAUAAAAGUGAAAGAAGAUGAAAGCAAGUGUUGUAGUUCAUGAUGGCAAGACGAAAUAAGCCAGGAAAAGGGAAGUUGAAUUGAUGAAGAAAUAGCCAGCCAACAUGCUUAAAUAGGCUUCAACCCUUGCACACUUCUCAUACAUAAAGUUCGCUGCCAUUACAACAAGAAAACUCAUAUCUCCAUUCGUACCUAUCCAUACUUUAUUUGACUAACUUUUCCCUAACAAGUGUUCAGUAAGGAGAUAAAUCAGUUUGGAGCUAUUCACCGGCUUCUCCAAUCUUGGUUUCAAACUCCUAACCCAUCAAUUCACUUUAAUUGAAACGAUAUACACGAGUCUUUCGGCUUAUAUUUUUAAUUUAAUUUUUGUUACUUUUCAUAAUAUUUUUUGAGAAAUCCAAAUAUUCCAGUCUGAAAUUUCUUCAUUGCCACGUCUAUCUCCUGGGUAAGUCCGUGGUUAGGCAGCCCACUUUGGGAGCAGGAUUGUAAUUGUAAUUCUAUCCGACUCAUUUUACUAUUUAGAAAUAUAAAAGUAAUAUUAUAUUAUUUUUUAUAUUUUUAUAAAUUUAAUUUUAAUUAUAAUUUUUAAACAAUAAAACGAGUCAUUUGUAUUUGCCUAGUCUAAAUUGAAUCAGGAGUCAAAAAAAUUUUAAUCAUAAUUUACUAUUAUUUUAAUUAAUUAAAAUUUAACCUACUACAACUAGUAGUUGCAGAAAAAAUGUCAUUCCUUUAGAAAAACGAAAAUCCUUUAGAAAAAUGAGAACUUAUGAAGCAUUCAAUAAGAGUCAUUGGAAUAAAUGGUAACGAAAUCAUAAUUCAAUAUAAAGCUAAAAAAUGUACCAAUCUAUAUAAAUAAUGUAAGAUUUGUGAUACCUAAAUUAUUAUAUUUUCCAUAAAUAUAUGAAGAUAUUUUAUUAGGAAAUAAUUUUAUAUAUAAAAUUUUUUAUUUUCUUUUGAUAGAAAUUUAAUUAUGUUAUCUGUAGAAAAAAAUAUUUAUAGAAAUAUUAUUAGUAGAAAAUCAUAAAUUUGUGUGUGGCAAAAAAAAUUCACCACCAAGAAAGGGGCAAAUUAAACAACUUGAAACAAGUCAUUGGUUGUUUAAAAUAUUAGAUAAUAAUUUCAGUGAAGAAUCAUUAAAAUUAUGACAAAAUAACCCUAGAUAUUGUAGUAUUAAAUUGGAAAAUCUCAAUAAUAUUAUUAGAGUAAAACCUAUGAUCUAUCUAAACAAGAUAUAGAAGAUUUUGAUAUACAAAUUAAGGUUAGAAAUCAUGCGGAAAUAAAAAAGAAAAAAAAGCUAGUAUGGUCAUUAAUUAUAAAAGAUUAAAUCAAAAUAUUAUUUUUUUAUAGUUACUUGAAUUAAUCAGGCUAAACAAACAAAAUAUUUUAGUAAAUUUGACUGCAAAUCAGGAUUCUAGCAAAUCAUGAUAACAGAAAAGUCCAAACCUUUAACGGCUUUUAGUGCACCCAAUGGACAUUACCAAUGGAAAGUGAUGUCAUUUCAAUUAUGUGAUGCACCACAAAUCUUCCAAAGACGAAUGGAUUUUAUAUUUAAUAAAUAUAAAAAAAUUCUAUGUAGUCUACAUAGAUGAUAUUUUUUAUAUUUUUAGAUACACUAGAAUUACAUAAGAAACAUUUAAAUAUUAUUUCUUAAGAAUUCAUAAAAUAUAGAAUCAUAUUAAACCCUAAAAAUAUAGAGUUAGAAAAAAGAGAGAGAAUUUUUAUAAUAGUGGAAAUAAAAAAUUGUCCUCAAAAGAUUGAAGAAAAAAAGAACUUCCAACAAUUUCUAAUAUAUUCCUCCCAAAUUUUCAGUUUCAAUUUUAUUACAGAAUUUCUUUGCCGACAAUAAGAAAUUAAGAGCGCUCUUUAAGUUGAAUAUAGUCCGUCAGAUAUGGCUAUCUAUAACAUGGAACCUUUGGUUUUCAAGCUGAAUAGGAGAAUUGAUUCACUUGAUAAGUAUGAAAAAUUGAAACUGCUAAAUUUAAGUGCACUAACUCUGGAUAUCAUCAUUAUUUUUCUGUACAUUAAAGUACCUGUUUGAUAUGCGAUUUCUGCCUCAAACUAUCAACAUCUUUAACAUCCUUUUGCUAUAGUUAGCAUGGGUACUUCCUUUUAGAUUAACAGUUAGGUUUGAACUGUGAAUUAGAUUUCUGUGGCUGCUGGGAUUGAAGAAGUUAGUAUGCGAAUGACAUUGGACAAAUUUGGCAAAGUCUUCUCCAUCAGUGAAGAAAACCCCUUGGCGUAUGAAAAAUGUUCACCAUCUUAGACAUUUGUUUUCUUAUUGUAAGAAUAUUUUUAACAUUGUAACUUUUAACAUUAUUGUAAGAAUAUUUUGAAUUAUACUUCAGUUAUCAAUUUAUAUCAUAUAUCUUUUGUUGAAUUUGAAGUAUAAUUUAUAUUUGCUGUUUUUGGUUAGAUUUCAUGCUAUAGGAAGGGUUGUAUAUGGAUAGAAAUUGAAUGUUACAAAUCUGCCAAAGUUAGUGGCGUUUUUUCAUAAGAGCUGCUAAAGAAUGCUAUUUUUGGCGGUGUUUGUAAUAAAAGAGCCGCUAAAGGUCAUGUUCUUUAGCGAUGUUUGUGGGUAAAGCGCCGCUAAAGAUCAUGUUCUGUAGCGGUGUUUGUGGAUAAAGCGCCGCUAAAGAACAUGACCUUUAGCAGCGUAUUUUCACAUAAACGCCGCAAAAUUUAGCGGCUUUGUCUAUAGCGACUUUUUUUGCAGCGCUUUAAGUUUUAGCGGCGCUUUUAGGCCUAAAAAAGGGCCGCUAAAAGCCUGUUUUGCUGUAGUGAGCAUAUUUACAUUUUCGUCCCAAUUUCAACUAACACCCCAUCUAUUUCCCACUUCCCUUUUUCGGGCAAUUUCAACUAACACCUUCAUAUCAAACAUAACUAUUUUUCAAUUUUUCUUCUUUAUUUCAUUAAUAAAAUUAUCAAUCUAUUUGUUUUUAAAUAUAUAAUUUCAUUAAUAUUUUUUAAAUUAUAAUAUAAGAGUUGUUGUUUAUUUAUAGUUUUAUUACAUUAUUUACUCUCUCUUUUCUAUCAAGUUUUUUAAAUUAUAAUAUAAGAUUUAUUUUAUCAAUUUGUGGCUUAUCCAGUAUUCAUCUAUUUUAAUAAUAACUUGAGUUCCAGUCAUUAUCAUACCAGAAAGAGUUCCAUUUAUUCUUUAUCGUAAAUUUUAUAAAAAAAUAUACAUUUUAUUAUAAUACUAUAUGUGUUACGAAUAAUAUUUUAUUGUGGAUGCCCAUAAUUUUCAAAGUUGUAACCUCUAAUGUAGUAACCUUAAUGAAAUUAUGAGGCUUUUAUAUUGUAAUCAAGCCUCUAUUUAUUCUUUGUAACUUAAACAGAAGCAUAUUUUCUAUUAUAUUGAUAUUUUUUAUAGAUAUAUAUAUAUAUAUAAGGAAUCAAAUAAAAAGUUAUUUACCUUUCUAUUAUAUUGAUAUUUUCUAUUUGAUUUGUUCUUUUCUUUCACUAUUCCAUAAUAUAUUAUCAGUACGAUUUUAACCAAGAGUAACAUGUUAUUAGAUUGUGUCAAAAUUUUGUUGAGAAUCAUUAGAUUGUUUCCUUUUUCUUCUAUUUAGCCCCAAAUUGCACCCCUACACAAAAUUCAACAAAAACAUGGAAAAAUUAGUGGUGCACUCUCAUAAAUUAACCAAUUUAAUUACAUAAAAUAUGUAACUUUAGCAUUUUAUCAAUCAUGUUCUUUAGCGGCAUUUGUGGGUAAAGCGCCGCUAAAGGUCAUAUUCUUUAGCAGCGUUUGUGAUAAAAGUGCCACUAAAUAUCAUGUUCUUUAGCGGCGUUUGUGGAUAAAGCGCCGCUAAAGAACAUGACGUUUAGCAGCAUUUUUUUACAUAAACGUUGUAAAAUUUAGCGGCGUUGUCUAUAGCGACGUUUUUUGCGGUGCUUUCAAAUAGUUUUAGCGGCGCUUGUAGGCCUAAAAAAAUGCCGCUAAAAGUCUGUUUUGCUGUAUGAGCAUAUUUACAUUUUCGUCCCAAUUUCAACUAACACCCCAUCUAUUUCCCACUUCCCUUUUUCGGCCAAUUUCAACUAACACCUUCAUUUCAAACGUAAUUGUUUUUCGAUUUUUCCUCUUUAUUUCAUUAAUAAAAUUAUCAAUCUAUUUGUAUUUUAAAUAUAUAAUUUUAUUAAUAUUUUUUAAUUAUAAUAUAAGAGUUUUUGUUUAUUUAUAGUUUUAUUAUAUUAUUUACUCUCUUUUUUCUAUCAAGCUUUUUAAAUUAUAAUAUAAGAUUUAUUUUAUCAAAUGGUGGCUUAUCGAGUAUUCAUCUAUUUUAAUAAUAACUUGAGUUCCAAUCAUUAUCAUACCAGAAAGAGUUCCAUUUAUUCUUUAUCGUAAAUUUUAUAAAAAAAUAUAUAUUUUAUUAUAAUACUAUAUGUGUUAGGAAUAAUAUUUUAUUGUGGAUGCCCAUAAUUUUCAAAGUUGUAACCUCUAAUGUAGUAACCUCAAUGAAAUUAUGAGGCUUUUAUAUUGUAAUCAAGCCUCUAUUUAUUCUUUGUAACUUAAACAGAAGCAUAUUUUCUAUUAUAUUGAUAUUUUUUUAUAGAGAUAUAUACAUAAGGAAUCAAAUAAAAAGUUAUUUACCUUUCUAUUAUAUUGAUAUUUUCUAUUUGAUUUGUUCUUUUCUUUCACUAUUCCAUAAUAUAUUAUCAGUACGAUUUUAAUCAAGAGUAACAUUUUAUUAGAUUGUGUCAAAAUUUUGUUGGACUUCAAGUAUUGGAAUUUAAUUGUUUAAGUUAAGAAUCAUUAGAAUCAAUGGCUAUUUGAGAUAUGCUUGAGGAUGAUCUCAUUCUCUUCAUCACAAAGGUGGAGGUUAGAAAAUCUUUAUGUUUAAACAUUUAUAGCUUUAAAGUUAUUUUAACCUCUUAUUGUGACCUUAUAAUAUUUUGUAAUUUUUUGUAUUAUGGUAUAUAAAAAAAAUCUAACCAUAGUGAUUGAUUAGUAAUAUGAAUUUGUUAUUUGUUAUGUUUAAUAUAUAUUUUAUUUAUACUUAUUCAUUUUAUUUUUAUAUGAGUAAAUGAAGUGUUUGAAGAUUCGAAAUUUUUAUCAUCCAAGUUGAAAAUAAGUGCAAAAGUGUACAUUAUUUAAAAUAAAUUACGCAUUCAUUAAUGUUAUAUGAUAAAAUCAUUACAUGUUCUAAAGAACUAAUAUUGCAUCAAACUGUAAAAAGCUCUUGAAGAGUUAAUAUUUUACCUCCUUGUGAUACAAAAUCAUAUACAAUAUGAUAUUAUUUUUCAAAUCGAGUAGAUAUAUGUUGAGGGAAAUCUUUAUGUGGUUUACAUUAAAACCAUGGAUAGAAAUGACAUGAGAUACUCGUGUAUUUUUAUUAUAAAUAUUCCUUGAAGGAAGACACUUCACUUGUAUGAUUGACAUAUGAGAUAGUGGCAAGAAGUUCAUAGUGUUGGUAUGGUCGUCUAGAUCAUCUCAAAUCAAUAAUGAUGCAAAAUAAUUUGAAGAGAAUUUAUAUGAUUUUAUUGAAGAAUGAGAAGAUAUUUUCAUUUUGAUAAUUGUCAUCAAUACUAGUUCUUUGGAAAAAAAAUAUUGAACUAACAUAAAGUUAGAGGUUGGUUGCAUUUUUUGAUGAUAUCCAAAUAAUAUAUGAGCUCAUGUAUCACAUGUAUGCAACCCAAAGUUUACAGUAUUAUUUCUUGAAAUAAUUUGAUUCUACACAAUCUCUAUAGUAUGCAAUUUGUGCUAACAACGUUGGUGCAUUAUAUCCUAAGCUUGAUUUUCGUAGUUUUAGCUGAGAUAAUAUUAAGUUGUCUAUGCCUAUAUAUGUUAUACUUAAUGGUUAGCAAAAUUGUGCCUCCAUUUAAUUGCUUAACCAUUAAUAUAAGAAUAACUUUAAAAUAAGCAUGUAAUUUUAUUUGCAUAGAGUCAACAUGUAAGAAACAUUUGCCCCAUGAGAAUUGGCUUUCAUUUAUAAGCCAAUAGGUUUCAUAUGACUAUUUGGAUGUAAAAUAUCUAUUUUAUAUUCCACCAUAAUGCACUAAGAUGGUCCAUCAAGUAUGAAGUUGAGAAAAUUUAGAAUUUUUAUUUGAUGGUAAAAGUUGAAAAGAGAUAUAUACUUAUAAUUUUGAAAAAAAUAGUCAUGUUGCAAAUUUUUCUCAAUAUUAGGGGGAGACAAGUUGGACAAAUAAGGAUAAUUAUGUCAUCACUUUUUGUGAUCCCUCACUAAUAUUAUGUGCACAAAGUUUGAAGGAAAAAAGUAUUUGCUAGACAUGUUUAGUGAUGACACUUAGAGAUUGUAUAUACUAGAUGAUACAUAUACCAGCUAAAAUGUUCCAAAUAAUUAUGAGUCCUAGAAGGACAUAGUGAUAAAAAUAAUUUUUGGGCACGCUAGAAGGAUAAAAAACUAGUUCAUUCUAUAAAUCAAAAAAUUCUUGAAAGAAAAGAGUAAGAAAUGAAGCUGGCCACACAUUAAAGGAAACGAGUACUCAUGAAGAGACCUAAGGCAUAACUUUUAAUAAAACCCCAAAAGAGGUUCAAUACAUGGAAUUAUGAAUAUAAUAAGAUAUCUCGAUUAGUUAUAUCAUAACUAAAGAUGAUGGGGUUGAUAAAAGGAAAUUGUUGUUAACAACGAUAAUCUAAGUAGAACAUUUCAAUAUUAUGGUAAAAUGAGUAUUUUGAAUGAAAAUAUACUUGAAAGUAUUUAGAUGGGAACAACUCAUCAAAAUAAAUAGACGUUUCUAUUAUAACUUAUGAAAUGUGUCUCGGACAUGAAGUCCAAACAUUCGACAGGUGUAAAGCCAAGUGGAGUAUAUGUUAGCAUAAUAGUGAAAAAAUACAAAUCAUAAUAUAUAAAAUUGACUUGUAAGACAAACUUUCCCAAGACACUUGAUUUUGAUUAUGAAAAAUGAUUAAUUUGUGAUCUUAUCAAUUGAACAUACUUUGUAUAAUCAACAAAUUAUUAAUUAACCUCAUUUAACCAAUUUCCUUCAACACAUUUCAAAUCAAAUUAAUGUGUUGAGCACGCCCUUAACCCUUUUUCUUGAUUCAUUGCAUAGUCUAUUUCCAAGUACCAUAAUCAUCAACAUUUCAAUAUAUAAAGUCAUAACAUAAUGAAUCAUAGUUAGAAUUUUUUUUACCCUAUUAACCAAGUAUGGAACAAAAAUAAAAACCUAAUUUGUCAAGCUCAUUCAAUCAGCUUAUAUAUUAUAAGAAGAGCCUAAGUAUAAAUCCUAUACAUGAUUUCAAAUUCAACUAUUUAUAUUUGAGAUUCAAUUUAAAAUUCAUACUGAAAUUAUCAAAUUAACUCGUAAGCUACUCACGCUAAACAUUAAGGUACUCGAAUUCAAGUGGCUAGAUAUCAUAAACACUUUUAGCUUGUAAAACUAUUUCUAAGGGUCAGCCCAGAAUCAUGGUUGAACCCAAAAUCUGGUAACAAAAAUUUAAUUGAGCCAUCAGCCUAAAACAAAUAAGGCUUAAAAGGUUGGCACCCGAACAAUCAAAGAUAAACACCACCAUAUGCCACUCCCUGAAUCCGAUACAUACAAUAACACCCUUCACCACUUUUAUUCUUCUCCUUUUUUUUAACCUCAAUUUGGAUGGUCGCAUUUCUCUUUUUAGUGCUUUAUAGGGUUUGGGCUUUCAGAAUCCUCAGAGAUGCAAUUCAUGGAUCCCUCUAAGAAAUGCAAGCUUGAUGAAAAUGGUAUUAUUUCAACGGCAUCAGAACCUGACCCAAUCACCAAACUAACCCCACAAGAUGGCCGCAAGCUAAUCGAGCAAUUUAUCGUCGAUCAACUCCUUGACGUCCUCCAAGAUGCUGUUUGUUGUCACCUUGAUGUUCUUUCCGCCGUACACUCUAUUGCCGAUCAAGAUCCAUCUCAAAGGAAGCUUUUCAUCCGUGGUUGGGUUGGGAUACUACAACCCAACCCAACCCACAUUAGCAUACUACCAUGCGGUAACUUCUAGUGAUUUCUGUCUGUAACAUUAGACAGGUUAACAGUUAAAUCGUUCAACUGAAAGAUUUCUUUGAAGGAAGAGGUCAAUUGAUUUUUUUUGGAAUCAUUGUGUACUCAGUUGCAUUUAAGACGGGUAUCAUUCAUAAAGUAUAUAUCUACAUCAAGAAUGGUAGCCUCUUAUAUUAUAUUCAUGUAUUUAUUUUGCAUCUUUAAUUAUAAUAGGAUUUUUUUUGUUUAUUUAUAGUUUUAAUUAUAAUAUUUUUUAAAUAUGCCAAAGUAAAUUAUGUACCAAUUUUAAACUUCUCCUAGGUAAUUUAACGUAAGGGCAUUUAUGUUAUUUUACCACUUAUGAUAAAACUAACCUAAUUUUAGAUCUAAGUGUUUACCAACCUUCUUUUAGUCAAAUUAUGCAAGCCUAAAAUUUUUAGCUUAAUUUGAGUUUGUUUACUAUGUCUAAUUCAAGUUUUAUUAUUAAGAACUAAAUUGUAACUUAAACAAAUUAGAAUACCAAUUUAAAGAGACAAAAAUUCAAAGCCCCAAAACCCACACGGGCAUGUGGGUAAGUGACACAGGCGUGUGGAAACUGGAGCUAUCACACACGGGUGAGUGGGACUGAAAAAUAUGAAAUAAAUUAAUCCAUUUAAAUUUCCAACAACCAUGCUAUACUACCAAACCAAAUAAUGUUAGAAGCUUUGAAUAGGGGCGAAUCUUAAAAAAAAAUAGAAGAAUUAGAAUUAAAUUAUAAAAUUUUGAGAAGUUGUCAUGUAUUAAUUUAUUAUUUUUUAAAGGGUCUUAAUAGAUUUUUUUUCCCCAUUUUGGUUUGGCCAAUACCCCUGUCUGCCUCUUUCAAUUUGCUUCAACCCUUAGCCCAAUAUUCGAUUUGUUGUGGAAGUUUGACGCAUAAAAAUUCCUUUUUUAGAGGUUUAAAUUAUAAAUUUUUAUUAACAAAAUAUAAAAGAAAAAAACAUGUGUAGACAAGCCAAGAAACCUUUGGGAUCAUACAGGUGAUUUUGAGAUGUUCAUGGUUAUUUUGGUGGAGAGGGUAAAAAAGAAACAAAUGAUUCAUUAUAUAUGAUAUAAUUAUGAAAUUCAAGCCAUAUAUUGUAUGUUUCAUCCAUACAAAUUUCUUGUAGCAUUAAAUGACUCGUAGGCUUGCUGAAUUUCUUUGAAAGGCCCAAAGGCAAUUUAACAUUCACAAAAUAAUCUCUAAAUAGUGUAAAGACAAAUCAAAUCCACAGUAGCAUUAGAGUUGAUUAAGCUAAGCAUUGGCAAAUAUUACUUUGAUUUUGCAUGCAAUAUUGGCAAAACCCCCUCUUACAUUAGAAAAACAACAUAAUCCAUGAAACAUUGAUAGCCCAAUACAAAUUUCAUCGAGAAAAAAGUCUCUUUGUUUUGUAGAACAUGAUAGUAAAGAUGUGGAGUUUCGUUCUUCUUAUUGGCCUCCUUUAGUUUUCCUUGAUCAACAACCACUAGCCAAAAACACAAUUAGAUUAGAUUAUGAAUGAUACUUUCAACUAUGACAAUAUUAAAUACAAACCACUCUAAAUAACUCUAAAUAAAUGGAAAGCAGCAAAUUACCAGACGAGGCAAGCUAGCUCAAUUAAGACCAUUGUGUUAUACUUGUCUCUGAAUUGAAAAAUUUAGAAGGAAAUAAAGAGAAAGACUUAGAAAAUACUUGAAAACAGAAAAAAAAAUUAUGUCAUUUAAAAUAAAAAAUUUCUAUUCAAGCCAUUUAAAAUUUGUAAGAUUUUUAAAAUUUUAAAAUGAUAAAGGUAAAAUUGUACUUUGGCACCCCAAAAAUGAUAAAACUUUGAUUUAAUUAUUUAAAAAUUAUAAAAAUAUAGGCUAUUAAAAUGGUGAAAUUAUAUUUUUACUAUAGUAAAAAUUACAAUUUAAUUUCACCCCUAAAAGGAUUUUCUGGCUUCGCACCUAAUAAAAUCUUUGGCAAAAGACUAAAAUAAAAUUAUACCAUGAAUGGAAAAAGAAACUAAUAAAAUCCAAUCUAACAAAGAAAAUAACUUGAUGUCCAAAAGCUACCAUAAACCGUAAUUCAUGGGAAGGCUUGUUGCUUAUUUUAUUGGUUUCCAUUUUGAAAGAAGUUUGAAUUUUGAAGAGAGCCUACUACGUGAAAGCAAAAGAAAAAAAAAUAGUUUAUAUGAUUAAAAUUCCAGAAUAGAUUAAAAAUGUUGAAUUAAAGAUAAAAUUAAGUGUGAAUUAAUAACCACAAGUGUACUCUUUACUCACCAUCUCUGUUAAAAAUGUUGGAUGUUGUUUAGCAACCUUUGUUUGAUUUUCUUCAGCUCAACCACAACAUCUUUCAUAUCUUUUCUUUCUUCUGGUAACUCAGCUGAACAAUUCAAAGCCAACUCCAUGAUAGAUGAAAUACAAUUUGCUUUAACAACAAUGUACUCAUCCUCUCUUCUUAAUAAAUCAACAUCUGCAAUUUCUAUCGCUCCUUUAGGCAAUGAUCUUUCCAUCCAAUGCCUUAUACUCUCUUCUUCAACAAAAACCUUAUCAGUUGGCUUUUUCUUUGUGAAAGUUUCUAUAAGGACGAUCCCAUAACUAUAGACGUCAGAUUUUAUAGAAACAAUUCCUGCUGAUCCAAAUUCUGCAUUUCAAGUAUAAUUAGAACAUCAUUCAUCCUCAAUUAUUUCUAAAACGCUUAUUCAAAUAUCUAUCCACAUACACGUGAAACAAAAAUAUAAAAUACAAAUUAGGAAAAUAAUCAUACAAAAAUAAAAAAAAGAAUUCACCUGGUGCCAUAUACCCAAUAGUUGCAAGAGUCAUGGUUUGCUUCAUUACUUCACCUUCUCCCAACAAUUUGGCAACGCCAAAAUCUCCAACAUGUGCAACCAUGUCUUCAUCUAGUAAAAUAUUGCUUGGUUUUAUGUCACAAUGAAUUAUAGGUGUUGGAUGUCCAUUGUGGAGGUGUUCUAUAGCUACCGCAACAUCUAUCAUUAUGUCGACCCUUUGUAUGAUACCAAGGAAACAAUUUUCAGAAUGUAACCAUUUCUCAAGGUUUCCAUUAGACAUGUAAUCAAGCACCAAGGCUUUGAAGUCAACACUUGAGCAGUAAGUAAUGACCUUCACAAUAUUACGAUGAACUAUAUUAAGCAUAGCAUCACAUUCAAUGUCAAAACUCCUAAAUGCUCCCUCUGUUUGCAAAUUGAAAACUUUUAUUGCAACUUCCAUUCCAUCUGAAAGCCUCCCUUUAUAUACAUAUCCAAAACUCCCUGAACCAAGCGUAUUGCUUUCCUCAAAUCCAUUAGUUGCUCGUGAAAGUUCAGCAUGUGAAAUUCUUCUCAGUGUCUUCAAAGACAACAAAUCAUCUUUAACUGGUAGAGCUGUACUCCUUUGGCAUCUUCUAUACAUAAUAGUUAAGACUAUUAGUACUAGGACAAUACCAAUUGUUGGUAAACCAUACCUAAAAGCAUGCAAUAUAAUCAUUUGGGAGUUUUUGUGGAUGUCAUUUUUGCAAGGUGGGACUAGCAAUCUAGGUGGACCACAAAGUGCACAAUUAUUCAUGAAUGAUGUGCUAGAAAAGUUUGAAAAACAUCCUUUGCUGGGAAUUUCCCCUUCAAGUCUAUUGAAAGACACAUUAAAAUACUUUAGAUAUAAAAGCUUUUCCAAAGAUUUGGGAAUGACUCCAGAGAGAUUGUUAUUGCAUAAAUCCAAGAAUUCCAAACUAAUCAACCCUUCAAAUGAUUCAGGGAUAUGACCAUAUAGUAUGUUAUUUGAUAAAUCUAAUGAAACCAAAGUUAUAAGACCCCCAAAUGUGGAUAAGAUAUCGCUCGUGAGAAGAUUCCUUGAUAAAUUUAGUCUCAGUAGACUCCUAAAAUUUCCAACAUCAAUAGCAUGUGAAUUGUGAAGACGGUUUGAUGAUAAAUCUAUUUCUAAGAUAUCUUUAAGACUCCACAAAGUUGAGGGUAUUGUAGAACUCAAUUUGUUGGAACCUAACCAAAGAUAUCUCAAAGCAGAAAUAUUACCUAAACAAGAGGGUAUGGAUCCAUGCAGCUUAUUCAACCCUAAAUACAUCUCGUAUAGUCUCUCCAAACCACAAAGGCUUUCUGGGAUAGGCCCUCCUAAUUUAUUAGAGGAAAGACCUAGAAUUUGGAGAUUUCUCAUUCCUCCUAUUGAUGCUGGAAUCAAUCCACUUAAUUUAUUAUACCCAAGAUCUAAAAGCAAUAGGUUGGUUAAGUUACCUAUUUCCAUAGGAAUAAUGCCUUGAAGCUCACACUCUGUGGCAUGAAAGUAUUGAAGGGAUUUUGAAAGGUUCCCGAAAUAAGUAGGAAGAACGCCACUCAAUGGAUUUCCUGAAACAUCUAUUAUGCUCAAAUUCCUACAAUUCGUCAAAGAAGAAAGAAAGCUCCACUCAUGAUCAGUAGCAGAUCCUGUGAUCAAAUUAUUGUCAUAGAUUUGGAGCCAUACAAGUUGUCUUAAGCUGCCAAGCGUUUUAGGGAUUGGGCCAGAGAAUGAGUUAUCUCCCAAGUCUAGUUCCUUAAGCAUGGAAGCAUUGGAGAUAGAGUUGGGAAUGUUUCCGCUAAGUUUAUUUCCCCACAGUAAAAGAAUCUGAAGCUUUGGAGCAUUGGUAAUGGGUGGUAAAUUACCUGUAAAAUAGCAUCUUUUAGAAAACAUUCACAAAAUAUAUAAUACAUUAAAAUAAAAACUUUAAAUCAAUUAAGAAUAAAAUUUUGGCAUGGAAAAAUGUGAUGAAAUCAAUUAGAAAGUUGAGACAUAAUAAGAAGUUUUGAGUAGUAAUUAGUCCUUGUGAUUUGUAUAGACAAAACAUAUAAUACACUGAUAAUUUUUUUAAAAUAUUGUAAAACCUGAAAUAAAAUAAAAAAUAAAAGUUUGGCACGAGAAUGUGGCAUCUAAUCAUUCUUAAAAAUAAGACUAACAUUAAAUAAUAAUUAGUUAUGAUUUGAGAAACAAAAAUGUUAAAGAUGUAAACUGGUAUGAUUUUUAUCUAUUGGGUUAAUUAUUUAUUUUUAUUAAAUUAUAUAUAGUGUAAAAUUUAAAGAUUAUUAUUUGCUCAAAAUUUUUGUAUUUUAGGAUUUUAGGAUCGCAUUUAAUUCAAUUGUAUUUAAGACCUCAUGAAUUUAUUCUAUAAUUUGAGUCUUUUCAACCUUUUGGGAAAUAAUAAAACAUCGACAUUAAACUUGUUGUUGAUGCAUUCAAUUUGAUUUUUUGAGGGGUCAUUGGAGUUAUAUGUGAAUUUAGCAUUGAUUGACUUUUUUAGAAUUAAUCUUUUAUACCAAUUUAAUAACAUCGACAUGUUUUUGGGUAGGGUCGAGCAAAACCCAAUUAAAACCGAUGAAAUUGGUUUAGUUAACUCGGUCAAGUCCAUUAGAUGGAUAAAAUCAAUUUUAAAAUCAGUUAUUAUGGAUUAAGGUAAUUAAUUAUCGAGUAAUGAAAUACAUAAUCAAAUCAAUUGAUUUUGUUAGAAACUAAAAGAAAGUGGGAUAAGCUGAAAACUGAUUGCCCUUUUUUAGAAUUAAGGAAUCAGCCUUUUACAUGUUAGAUAAUAUGAACACCCCAUAUAUAAUAAGAAAAAUUAUGUACGAUUAUUUAUUAUCAUAAAUGGUUAGUUUAAAUUUAAAGUAAUCUAAUAUGUGUGUUGAACUUCAACUAUUACAUAAAGUAUAAGCUAAAUAUGUAUAAAUAUUCUAGAAACCAUUUCUAACUGAUGAUAGGCUAAUUUGAAAUUAAGAUUAAUAUAUAAAAACUAGAUAGUAGGGUUAUAGUCCUCAAACUACACCUAAUUUAAUAAAAUCUAUAGUUUUUAUAGCCUUAAACAUUUAUAGAUUUUGUUAAUUUGGUCCUUACUCUUUAAAAUUACAUAAAAAUUGCAAAAAUAUUUUAGAAAUACAAUUUUUUCGUAUUUUUAAUAACAUUUAUAGUUUUUUUUUUGGUUUGGUAACUUAUCAACUCGACUCUUAAUUGUAACCAACUUUUCUGAUUUUUUCGUACCCUUAACCUAAGUCCCGUUACAACUUUCUAAAGACCUCUUGAUUGGUGUAUCAUCUCGAUUUGUUCUUAUAGUGGUGGGGAUUUGGUUUUCAAGCAAGCCUAUGCUAAUCACAUUUUUCGUUCAACUAUUGAGCACACAGUACUUGAACCUUAAACACUUUGAGUGCUUUGAGUGAAUCUUAGUUAGGGUAUUGAUUAUUGUUGAGUUUGAAUUUUAGGUAAUUAUUGAGAUGGAGGAGAUGCCUAUUUUUUUGUGCUUUACAAAUUUCUGCUUAGAUUGCUUUUAUUCUUUAGUUUCAUGCUAGUUUCAAUUUCCAGUGCAUGAUUAUCUAUAGAUUAUUCAUAAGGCAUUGUCGGUGAAAACAAUAAAUUGAGGGAGAUUAACUUGAAAUAAAUUGAGGGAUAUUAACUUGAAUAAAGGUUGAGAAUUUUGCUUAAGGACAAACAAAUGCUUAAGUGUGGGGAUAUUUGAUAAGUGCUAAAAUUGAUAUGUUUUAACAUCAUUCUUAAUGUGUUUUUGGUUGAUUAUUCGAUGUUAAUGAUGCUCCUAAUCCUUACAAUUCGUGUUUUUAUGCUUAAUAGAACAUUUGGGAGGAAAAUGAGCUAAAAAUGAACGAAAACCUGAAAAUGGGGGCAAACUAUAGGACAUGGGCUGACCUAUUCCUCAUGACCGUAUGACUCACACGAUCAUGUGGUAGGUUGUGUCGAUUUCGUAGAUUUGCACUCUGAACUGUAAAAAAAGAAAAUUUUAGAUUUUUUGAGCAUUUUAAUACGUAUAUAUGAAAAAAAUAAGAAGAUAGGAGAGAACCUUCCUAGAAUAUUUAAGAAAACAACUCCAAAGACACUAUUGAAGUCGACUCUGAAGCAAAUUUUCCUCAAGAUUGAAGAUUCCCAGUUGGUUUCUUAAGAGAUUAUCAUGAGUUUCUUUAUUUCUUCUGGUUAUACUGCCCUUUGGAUGUUUUUAUUUUUAAGCAUGAACUAAUUUUCUAAAUACCGAAUUAGAGAGAUGAACCCUAUGAUAGAUUGUGACACCCCAAACCCAACCGGAUAGACCCGCCCGAAUUCAAAGCAUUUCAUUAGCCACCUAAGUGACUCUCCAGCUAACGACCACCCAAGACACACCUCGACCUUAUAACACCUCAAUCUUAUCUAAUUACUAGUUAUUUAUUAAUGUAGAAGUAAAUUAAUAUGAGCCAAUUUUAAACUUUUUCUAGGUAAUUUAACCUAAAGGCAAUUUUGUCAUUUUACCACCUAAUGUAAAACUAACCCGAUUUUAGAUCUAAGUGUUUACUAACCUUCUUUUAGUCAAAUUAUACAAGCCUAAAAUUUUCAGCUUAAUUUGAGUCCGUUUACUAUGUCUAAUUCAAGUUUUAUUAAUAAGGACUCAAUUGUAACUUAAACAAAUUAAAAUACCAAUUUAAAGAGACAAAAAUUCAAAACUCCAAAACCCACACGGGCAUGUGGGUAAGUGACAAGGGCUUGUGGGAUUGAAAAAUAUGAAAUAAAUUAAUCCACUCAAUUUUCCAACAACCAUGCUAUACUACCAAACCAAAAAAACACUUGAAGUUUUGAAUAGGGGCGAAUCUAAAAAAAAUUAGAAGAAUUAGAAUUAAAUUAUAAAAUUUUGAGAAGUUAAAAUAUAAUUUUAUCAUGUAUUAAUUUAUUGUUUUUUAAAGGGUCCUAAUAUAAUUUUUUUCCCAUUUUGGUUGGGCCAAUACCCCUGCCUGCCUCUUUAAAUUUGCUCCAACACUAAACCCAAUAUUCGAUUUGGAUUAACAACAACAUAUAGGUUAGUAUUUGUGGGAGUUUGACGAAUAAAAAUUCCUUUUUUAGAUGUUUAAAUUAUAAAUUUUUGAAAGAUUAAAAUAAAUUUGUAUUUUUUUAUUAACAAAAUAUAAAAGAAAAAAAAAUAUGUUUAGACAAGCCAAGAGAACUUUGGGAUCAUACAGGUGAUUUUGAGAUGUUAAUGGUUAUUUUGGUGGACAGCGUAAAAAAGAAACAAAUGAUUCAUUAUAUAUAAUAUAAUUAUGAAUUUCAAGCCAUAUAUUGUAUGUUUCAUCCAUAAAAAUUUCAUGGGAGGUCCAAAGGUAAUUAAAUGACUUGUAGGCUUGCUGAAUUUCUUUGAAAGGCCCAAAGGCAAUUUAACAUUCACAAAAUAAUCUCUAAAUACUGUAAAGACAAAUCAAAUCCACAGUAGCAUUAGAGUUGAUUAAGCUAAGCAUUGGCAAAUAUUACUUUGAUUUUGCAUGCAAAAUUGGCAAAACCCCCUCUUACAUUAGAAAAACAACAUAAUCCAUGAAACAUUGAUGGCUCAAUACAAAUUUCAUCGAGAAAAAAGUCUCUUUGUUUUGGAGAACAUGAUAGUAAAGAUGUGGAGUUUCGUUCUUCUAAUUGGCCUCCUUUAGUUUUCCUUGAUCAACAACAAUUAGCCAAAAACACAGUUAGAUUAGAUUAUGAAUGAUACUUUCAACUAUGACAAUAUUAAAUACAAAACACUCUAAAUAAAUGGAAAGUAGCAAAUUAAGACCAUUGUGUUAUACUUGUCUCUGAAUUGAAAGAUUUAGAAGAAAAUAAAGAGAAAGAGUUAGAAAAUACUUGAAAACAGAUAAAACUUAUAUGUCAUUUAAAAUAAAAAAAAUUUCUAUUUAAGCCAUUUAAAAUUUUUAAGAUUUUUUAAAUUUUAAAAUGAUAAAGGUAAAACUAUAUUUUGGUACCCAAAAAUGAUAAAACUUUGAUUUAAUUCUUUAGAAAUUAUAAAAAUAUAGGCUAUUAAAAUGGUGAAAUUAUAUUUUUACUAUAUUAAAAAUUACAAUUUAAUUUCACUUGCUAAAAGGAUUUACUGGCUUCGCCCCUAAUAAAAUCUUUGGCAAAAGAUUAAAAUAAAAUUAUACCGUGAAUGGAAAAAGAAACUUAAGAAAACCCAAUCUCACAAAGAAAAUAACUUGUCCAAAAGCUACCAUAAACCGUAAUUCAUGCGAAGGCUUGUUGCUCAUUUUAUUGGUUUCCAUUUUGAUUUUGCAAAAGAAGUUUGAAUUUUGAAGAGAGCAAAAGAAAAAAAUAGUUUAUUAAUUUUUUACGAAUACCGACAUAUUAUAUACAUGAUUAAAAUUCCAGAAUAGAUUAAAAAUGUUGAAUUAAAGAUAAAAUUAAGUAUGAAUUAAGAACCACAAGUGUACUCAUUACUCACCAUCUCUGUUAAAAAUGUUGUUUAGCAACCUGUGUUUGAUUUUCUUCAGCUCAACCACAACAUCUUUCAUAUCUUUUCUUUCUUCUGGUAACUCAGCUGAACAAUUCAAAGCCAAUUCCAUGAUAGAUGAAAUACAAUUUGCUUUAACAACAAUGUACUCAUCCUCUCUUCUUAGUAAAUCAACAUCUGCAAUUUCUAUUGCUCCUUUAGGCAAUGAACUUUCCAUCCAAUGCCUUACAGUCUCUUCUUCAACAAAAACAUUAUCAGUUGGCUUUUUCUUUGUGAAAGUUUCUAUAAGGACGAUCCCAUAACUAUAGACGUCAGAUUUUAUAGAAACAAUUCCUGCUGAUCCAAAUUCUGCAUUUCAAGUAUCAUUAGAACAUCAUUCACCCUCAAUUAUUUCUAAAAUGCUUAUUCAAAUAUAUAUCCGCAUACACAAGAAACAAAAAUAUAAAAUGCAAAUUAGGAAAAUAAUCGUACAAAAACAAAAAAGAAUUCACCUGGUGCCAUAUACCCGAUAGUUGCAAGAGUCAUGGUUUGCUUCAUUACUUCACCUUCUCCCAACAAUUUGGCAACGCCAAAAUCUCCAACAUGUGCAACCAUGUCUUCAUCUAGUAAAAUAUUGCUUGGUUUUAUGUCACAAUGAAUUAUAGGUGUUGGAUGUCCAUUGUGGAGGUGUUCUAUAGCUACCGCAACAUCUAUCAUUAUGUCGACCCUUUGUAUGAUAUCAAGGAAACAAUUUUCAGAAUGUAACCAUUUCUCAAGGUUUCCAUUAGACAUGUAAUCAAGCACCAAGGCUUUGAAGUCAACACUUGAGCAGCAAGUAAUGACCUUCACAAUAUUACGAUGAACUAUAUUAAGCAUAACAUCACAUUCAAUGUCAAAACUCCUAAAUGCUCCCUCUGUUUGCAAAUUGAAAACUUUUAUUGCAACUUCCAUUCCAUCUGAAAGCCUCCCUUUAUAUACAUAUCCAAAACUCCCUGAACCAAGCAUAUUGCUUUCCUCAAAUCCAUUAGUUGCUCGUGAAAGUUCAGCAUGUGAAAUUCUUCUCGGUGUCUUCAAAGACAACAAAUCAUCUUUAACUGGUAGAGCUGUACUCCUUUGGCAUCUUCUAUACAUAAUAGUUAAGACUAUUAGUACUAGGACAAUACCAAUUGUUGGUAAACCAUACCUAAAAGCAUGUAAUAUAAUCAUUUGGGAGUUUUUGUGGAUGUCAUUUUUGCAAG